RNAcentral lists this long non-coding RNA (420784 nucleotides) under Triticum aestivum (bread wheat). RNAcentral describes it as "long non-coding RNA (TAES_LNC000869)". The stretch from base 56710 to 56843 matches the Rfam family "MIR1120/MIR1122 microRNA precursor family". The record is from RNAcentral. Lineage: Eukaryota; Viridiplantae; Streptophyta; Magnoliopsida; Poales; Poaceae.
CAAAUUGAAUGGUCUUGCAGGUUACACAUUCCUGGCGUAGUGACUCUAGUUUAGCUGUGGAAGGAGAAGCUUGGCUUUUACAUUCGAUGUGUGCUUGGCCUCACAAUAGCUUUCCUUUCAGAUCUGUAAUUCGUGAGGUUGUGCUCAGGAAAGUUUAUGUUAAGCACUUUGUAUGAGAACGUUUCUGAAACUAAUAAAGCCUUCUCCUCAAAUUGUCUAAAUUAUCUUUGUUCAUAUAUCAUUUUUUGGUUCUACUAGUAAAUAUGCCCAUGCGUUGCAACGGGAGUAAAACAAUUAGAUUGUGCAUAUGUGGUAGAAAUAAAAAAAGUCUAAAACAUAUUCCAGGAUGAGAUCGGGACCUUUAAAAUGUGAUUUCAUAAACUACGUCUGAAUCAUGUCAUGAUGAGAAAAGGAACUUCUGUAAGGUCAUUUCAAAAGCUAAAAAUGUGAUGGUCUCAUCACGACUUGAUUUUCUAAGGCACCACAACAAAAUAUUUUCUACCUGAGAAACUGUAUUGAUGGACCCUACCUGAGCUACACUAAUUAAUGGUGUGUCUCGCCUUCACCUAGGGUCACGGUGUUUACCAUGAAUAGGAAAACUAUAGUACCAGAAUAAACAUAGAGGUGUAUGGAGGCAAAUUAGAUAUUUAAUCAUUUUUGUAUACAACUUACAAAAACUAAUUGUAGGAAGUUUUGUCAAUUUUUUUGGGCUCAACGUUGUGCAGAUUAUGGAAACCUUUUUUUACGCGACUCGCAUGUACUAAAGAAAAUCAUGAAACAACCUCUACAAAUAAAAAAACUCUAUAUAAGCAGGUUAGUUUUGUUCGUUAUUUACAGAUCUGCUUAAUUUUUUUGAACAUUUUCUAAAAUUUACAUUCUUCCAAAUUUCCGAAUAUAUUUUGAAUACAUGAUAAUUUUUCUAAAAUCUUGAAUAUUUUGUGAACAUUUUUUCGAAAACGUGAUUUUUCAUGAAUGCAAACAUUUUUCAAAAUACUGGACAUUUUAUAAUUUUCCAAACAUUUUUUGAAUUAAUGAAAAUUUUAUGAUUUCGCAAAAACAACGUGAAUAGUUUUUAAAAAUACUGGACAUUUUAUGAUUUCCUAAACACUUUAUGAAUUCAUGAACAUUUUAUAAUUUCCCAAUAAAAUCCAAAACUGACAACUUUUGGAAAUCCCGAAUUAAUUUGAAGAAGGAAAAAAAGAACCAGAAUUAGGGUGAGGUUAAUGUAGCAUGAGUCUCGGGAUGUUACAAAUCUACUCCACUACAAAAAAUCUCGUCCCAAGAGUUAAGAGGCGGAGUAAGGUGGAAAGUUCUGGUUACGAAAUUCUAAUGAAUCUUCUCGUUCUUGGUUGCUCUUCUCGAAUGAGUUGACCCAUUACGUUGAUGUCUUAUUUUCUCUACUUCGGGUAAUAAUGACGAAGUCGUCAUCCUUUCUUCAAGAACUCCAUCGUACUUACGAAGGAAUAGAGGGUGGGUAUUCCAGGGGAAACAUGCCUCUACAAGGUUGAUUAUUUGGUUGAUAACAUCAGGGAAGGUGGCAGAGAGUAACUCUCUAAUUGAAACCUAAGAAAAUAUCUAGAGCAAAGUAAGGAGGUAUCAUGGGAAGUCUUGAGUGGGCAGGCAAUCGUUCGGUGCCUGAAAUAGGGCAUGAAAGGGGUUCAAGGCAACGAGAAUAAGUAUUAUGUUUGAUAGCAGAAUUGAUGAUCUCUCGAAAGGUGGCUUGUGAAUUACAUAAGAGGACACACGCGAGGAACAACCUUGGGAAUAGGGGGUGUACAGGAGAGUCAGGUUUCGAUCCUGUGGAACUGUGGGUUCCACCAUGUGGGUUAAAUUUUGGAAAGGCGGUGUUGUCUUGCACGAUCAUGUAAGCAAGGCAUGUCAGAGGAUAGCCUGUCAGUUAUGUCGGCAACAACAUCGGUACCAUUUUUCUGCUCGUUGAACGAGGCAGACCAAUAGGCAAAGUUCUCGUCCAUCGGUGGUUACCGGAAUGUCAUCAACAUUAGUAACAGGGUCUUACUGACAGAGUGUUACAACGAGGUGCUUACUUAACCAAGGAAUUAUCAUUGCUCAGUUAACUCAGAUUACAAGAAAGGUUAAACCAAACAAUGGAAAGGAAAAUGUGUUCAAACACAUAUUUCAGGGGUAUAUCCUCCCCAAGGGCAAGCAGAGCACGAUAUCCAUGACAGGAUAGAAACUAGAAAACCAUUUAGGUCAGGGGGGAGGAAUUUCAUGACAUUACCCAAACAACGGUGUUUGGAUAAUUGACGGGAAAAAAUUAGCAUUGUGCUUCAAAUGUUCUUAUUGAAGAUCGAAGGACCACAAACAUGCUUUAAGAUUGCAUUGACAUGGUCUUCAAGCAAGGUCGGACUUUGGAUACUCAAAGGAUUCAUCAGGAACAACUUAUAGAAUAAGUCUUACAAUUUCCUCAUGGAAGAAUGGUUAACCUUGCUAAAAAGGAAACUAUAACAAUAGGGCCCCGACCAGGUGUGCUAGGCAUGACAUCACAUUAUCGGGUCAUAUAAAGACCAAUGUUAUAACUCUUGGAAAUAUGUUCCAACCAUCAUAUUUGACCGAGAUUCGGAUCUGAUUGGUGUCAGGAUACCUCGGACUCAGGAUGCUUGAGAAGAAAAAGGUGCGACACAUAUUGACGAGAUGGCAUUUUAAGAUUAUUGGGAAAUGAACUAUGGGAGCGAGUUCCGAAACAAAAGUUCAUCAUUAAAUCAAGGAGAGGGCGAGGAGGUGGCUGAUGGACUCAGCGACAAUUCAUUGAGAUUUCCCAAAAGAUGGAUUUGCACAAUUAUGUGAAGGAGAUAACAUUUGUAAGAUCAAAUGAUAUAACGAUGUAUGCUGAAGGAGAACAUCCACGAGUAAACAUUGGUUGAAAGGUGCAACCAAAAUAUGGGCUUAGGUAGCAUGAUCAAUGUUAGAAUGGUGAUUCAAUAACCAAUACACAAAGAAUGAAACUAUCAUUCAUUAACUUACAUGCAAUAGGGUUGCUAGAAGUUUUGAAUUUUACACAUCACAGUCCAGUUGUCAGUACUCUGGUUAAGAACAACAUGGGGACCAAGAACUGAAUGUAGACGGUGAGAUAUAUCACUUGUAUCAAGAAUUCUUAAGAGGUGGUGAAAUUCUCACAACUUUCUUGAUAUAUAAAAUGAUAAUACUCCAAGGUAGGACAUAAGAUAAGUUGGAUUGCCAGGAACUCAUGGCACACCACAACACUAACAAGUUUGUGUUGGAAAGAAGGUGAGGAAGUAGUUGAUGACAACACAAAUUACGAAGGAUAAGGAUGGUAAUCCCCAUCAGAAAUUUGAUUGAUAUCCUGGAAGGAGUCAAAAUGUUGUUGAUGAUCAUGAGAAAUUUGGUCGAGAGGCUCCACGAAGAAGCAAUCAAACAGUGACUGCAUCAAGCAAAAGUACUAAUGUAGCGAAAGAUUAUUGGAUCCUUGGAUACGCCACCAACUCGGAAUGAAGCUUGUUGUUCAUGGUGGAAUGAUAAGACGAGGGAAUCGACGUAAGAUUAGCUCAUCGUCGAAGUUGUGCUCUGGGAGUAAGGAACAUGUAGCACAGUUAAAAUCAGCACGAUAAUGAUAUAGCCGAGAAGGACAAGAAUGACAUGGUCGAGUACAAACUCGUGAGUAAAGGAGAUUACUUUAAUCAUGGUGCGGACCUGAUUUAUUUAUUGGUGUCCUCGAGUGACUAACAACUCGGAACCCAGGAAAAAUUGGAAUCGGUGAGGAAUAAUACUUGAUGAAGGCUCAUAAUAAGCAACAUGGUUCGGUGCUAUUAUCGAGAUACCAGAGGGUAAUACUCGGAGGUAGAGAAAAAUAGAGGGUUGACAAGUUUAUUGAUAUGCAGAAGACAAGUACUUUAACUUGUCCGAGAAAAGGAAUCAAGGAAUAUCAAUAUGGCCGAAACCAUAGCUACAAGGGAACCAAUUUAAUGACACCGAAAGAAUUAUCCAACUAAUUAAAUGUUUUGCAAGAAGCUUGUAUGACAAGUUCCACAUCAGGUCCAUGGGCAUGAAAACUAAGUUCGUGCAGUUUUUGCAGAAAAGUGAGACUACGUCCUCCUUGUGGCAGUCCUCGACCUUGUUAAGCACAAGGAGGAAGUUGGCCCAGUAACGGUGUACCGUCUCCAGGGGCUCUUGCCUGAUGCGGGAGAGACGGUUUAAGUUCGAGCGAGUGUUGUUGGCUAAAUCCGGAUCUUGAUCCGAUCUGACACCCGGGGGCAUGGACAGUUCUGAGCCCGACAGUUCGGGGUCCGGAGUAUCACCCGAUCUCUUCGGCCCGAUGCCCGACUCUAAGUUCGGGACUCGGGUCAUGUCUUCCUUUGAGUAGGUGUCCGGCUUACUGAGUUCGGUGAUCCGGACAUAAUUCGUCCUUAAAGUUGAGGGGCGACCCGUGUGUGGUUCCUCCACUACCGCUAUCUCAUGGGUGGCGGGCGGGGAUCCAAUAUCCCUCUGGUUGGGUUUAAGCCCAAUUCGGUCAUAGUCCGUAGCGACUCCCAAAGCGGCGAUGCGAUCCAGGAGCUCAUUAAGAGAGGAGAGCUCUACCGGAUCCAUCUGUUCGGCAAGCUCCGAAUUGAUGCGAAGGUUAUGCGUGAUGACCCGAGAGGCCAUCGUUGGCGAGACAGCCAAUGGGGCGGCCAUAAUGAAGCCCCCAAGUUGGAGGAUCUGGCCUACAACCAGUGUUCCUCCUGAGAUGAUGUCGUCCUUGACAACGAGACGAGCCAUCAAGCCUUGCAGCGACGACAUAGAAGAACUCUCAACGAAAGCACCAAUGUCGGUGUCAAAACCGGCGGAUCUCGGGUAGGGGGUCCUGAUCUGUGCGUCUUAGGCUGAUGGUAACAGGAAGCAAGGGACACAAUGUUUACCCAGGUUCGGGCCCUCUCGAUGGAGGUAAAACCCUACUUCCUGCUUGAUUAAUAUUGAAGAUAUGAGUAGUACAAGAGUAGAUCUACCACGAGAUCGUAGAGGCUAAACCCUAAGAGCUAGCCUAUGAUGGUAUGAUUGUAAUUGUGAUCGGCCUUCUAAGGACCAUCCUCUCAGGUUUAUAUAGACACCGGAGAGGGCUAGGGUUUACAUGGAGUCGGUUACAAGGAAGGAAAUAUAAUAUCCGGAUCGCAAAGCUUGUCUUCCACGCAAAGGAGAGUCCCAUCCGGACACGGGCCGAAGUCUUGAGUCUUGUAUCUUCACGCUUCAAUAGUCCGGACGAUGUAUAUAGUCUGGUUGUCUGGAUACCCCCUAAUCCUGGACUCCCUCAAUGGCCCAGUGGAAUAAUGGGCCGUUAAUGGGUAUAAAGUGAUACACUUUUUAUUACGGGCCAGUUUCACCACGGGUCGUUAAUGGGCCAAGAGUUACAAAGGGCCUCAUAUGGGCCGAAAGAAGUCAUGGGCCACACAUCGGCCGGAAGUUAAAACGGGCUGGAAUUAUAUUGGACGGCCCAGAUGAUGCUACUGGGCCUAAUUCGGAUAGGGCGUAACGGGCCCAAGGUUAGCGGGCUGUAAAUGGGCAAUAUGCGAACAUGCCUUUAACAGGCUUUCUGUGGGCCGGCCCGCCACCUUUUGACCAAGUCAAACGAGCCGGCCUUUUCACAGGAAUGGGCCUCUGUUGGGCCUUGCCGCGUGUCGCCGUAUCAUAGGCGCCUUCGGUCCAAUGAGCGGAUGACAUCUAUCCCAGCGGUGAGCCGACACGUGUUUCCUCCAGCCAAUGAUGAUUUUACACGUGGAAAAUCCCCAUUGGUCGGGGCUGUUAAUGGGUUCUCGGAUCCAAAACUUGACCUGAUAGCUUAACGGCGUUCCAUUACGGUGGAUGCCACGUGUCGGUCACCCUUGACGAAAGCACUUUUGUGACGCGCGAUUUAUCAUCAUGGAAGUGGACACUUCCGUGAUGAUAAUUUUGGUAAUAUCAUGGAACAUUUCAACGACAGCACAUGUAUGACUAUCUAGAUUCUGUCAUAAAUUUGUCAUGGAUGUACAUGCAUGACAAAAAACGUGACCUACUGUGACAAACACGUAUCAUCACGAAAGUGUAUUUUUUUUAGUGCUACUUGUUACCCAUUACGAAUUAUCUUAUCAGAGAACUAUCUGUUACCGAUAAUUUCAGCGCUUGCAGAGAAUACCUUGCUGAAAACCGCUUGUCAUUUCCUUUUGCUCCUCGUUGGGUUCGACACUGUUAUUUAUUGAAAGGACUAUAAUAGAUCCCCUAUACUUGUGGGUCAUCAAGACUCUUUUCUGGCGUCGUUUCCGGGUUGUGAAGCGCCUUUGGUAAGCAAACAUUUAUAUAGUGUGCUGAAAUUUACUGUCACUUGUGGUUAUGGAAAAUAAUCCUUUGAGGGGCUUGUUCGCGGUAUCUUCACACCGACCGGAAGAACAAAGAGUUGUCUCUCAACCUAAUGAACCUAUUGAAAAUAUUUAUUAUUAAAUUUCUUCAUGUAUGAUAGAGAAAUUGCUAGCUAAUCCUUAUGUAGGAGAUGGAACAUUACAUCCUGAUAUGCAUCUCGCACUUGAAAGGGUUGUAUUUGGCACUUGAAAGGGUGUGUUUUAUUAAGUAUCGGGUUCUAGUUAUCAUAAGGUCGAAGUACAACUCCGGGUCGUCCUGUUACGGUGGACACGACUAUUCGAAUAGAUCAAUCUUCCCUGCAGGGGUGCAUCACAUUACCCGACACGAUCGAUCCCUCUGGCCGGGCACACUUUCCUGGGUCAUGUCCGGCCUUGGGAGAUCAACACGUCGCAGCCCUGCCUAGGCUCAACAGAGAGGUCAGAACAUCGGUCUAAAUCCUAAACGCGCAGGGGUCUGGGCCCAUCGCUCGUUGCACACCUUGCACGUUGCGAUCGUGGCCGGAAGCAGACCUAGCCUCCCUAAUACAAGACCAGGCGUUCCAGUCCAAUCCGGCGCGCGUCGCUUAGUCGCUGACGUCAGGAAGGCUUUGUCUGAUACCACGAUGCCCAUUCCCCAUAUCUUGUCCCACGUGGCGGUUAGUGCGUAUAAGGUGAACGACCCAACUCAGAUCAAAUACCAAGAUCUCGUUAAGCAUGUUAUUUUGAGGUAACUCCGGAUGCUGACCAGGACUAGACCCACCUGUCUCCUAGGUGGUCACAACCUGCCCUAUCGCUCUGUCACAAAGAUCCACUCAGAGGGCCGUCUGGACAAAUGUCCUUUCAGCACCCAAUAUGUGAAUCAAUCGCGGGUACUCUACGAGCCGACCCCACUUUAGUCACAUCAUGUAACCUGUAUAGUAUGUAUGUAUGUAUAUACCCGUGAUCACCUCCCGAGUGAUCAUGGCCCGAUAAUAUAGCAUGGCAGACGGACAAGAAUAUAGGGCCACUAAUGAUAAACCAGCAACCUAUACUAAGCAUGUAGGAUUGCAGGUAAAGGAAUCAACAAUCGUAGCAACAAUGACAUGCUAUGCAACAGAAUAGGGGCUAUCCAAUCAAUAAUAGUAGAAAAACCAAUGCAAGAAUAAGAGAGAAGAGAGUGGGCGAUAUCUGGUUGAUCAAUGGGGGUUUGCUUGCCUGGAAGCUCUGCAGACAAAUACGGACCCUCGACGGUGAAGUAGUCGACCACUGGGACAACCGCGGUGUCGAGGUCUGCCGGAAAGAAGUAACGGAGGGGGAACACAAUAAAUAACAGAGCAAUCAAAGUAUCACAAAGUAUGACAUAGCAAUACACAGUGCUAGGGGUGACCUAACGUUGUGCUAAGCGUUACGGACGGAGCGGGAAAUAUCCGGUCAUAUUUUCUCGGCUCCAGGCAUUUAUCGGACAAACGAACUGGUGGGAAAUGUUCCAUGUUUGUAAUGUUUGGGGCACAUGAUAGGUAUGUGGGUGGCAUAUUCGGAUUCGUCUCAUUUUUCUGAUUAUUUUUCAUAUUUAAAUUAUUCUCAUCGGAGUUACGGUUUAUUUUCUAUUAAUUUACAAAGUUUAAAUGAUUUUCUGAAUUUACAGAAUUCUUUUAAUCCGAAAAUAAAACAGCAAAAUACUUUUGCACCUAGUGCUAUUCUAGCCAUAGUGUAUGACAGUGGGGCCCGUGGGUUUGGGUUGACUAGUCAACAUAUAAACUGUGUAGGGGGCCACAUGUCAUUGACUUAAACUUUUGUUAAAAUUUGUUUUUCUUUAAACUAACAGUGGGUCUACAUGUCAUCUACUAUCUAAUUAGCUAGCACUACUAAUUAGACUGACUAACGGGCCGGCCACCCGCGCGGCUGUGGCACAGCCCGCCACAGACACACACACGACGCACACACACCAGCUCAUGGCCAUGGCCAUAGAGCAGCAGCGGUGGCAGCUAACAAGGCUGCGUAGCAGCAGUGUAAGAGGAGCAGCGGGAAGCAGGAGCAAGGAAUAACAGCGACGCAGCAGAGCAUCAACCAGAGCAGCGGCGUAGCGGGAGGUGGAGGGAGAUGGAGGUGAGUUGGGCCUCCCAGCCCCACUCGGGCCUCCCUCUCUCUUACUUUUCUCUCUUUCUUUCUUUCUUUCUUUCUUCUUUUUCUGUUUUCUUUCUAAUUUGUUUUGUUUUCUAUUUACAUUCAAUAGUUUUUCGGUUUUAUAAAAUAUGAGACUUGGUCCAUAAUUAGUUAUUCAAUAUUAGGCACUGCCACAAAAGUUUUGGGGGUUAUUUAAAAUAGUUUGUAUUUUCAUAAAUUAGGAAAGGCAAUUUUAAUAAUGAAUUGUCCCUUGUUUCAUUUAUUUUUGGGCACUCAACCAAUUUAUAAAAUGUUGGUUAGUGAAUGACAAUUAGUUAGUGAAUAUUUACUGUUUGAAGGAAUAAUAAUUUAAAUUGUUAUUUGAAUUUCAAUUUGACUUGAAUUUUAAUCAAGUGACAAUUGACUUAGUAGAUGAUGAUGACAUGGCAUCAUUAGGGUGAGGUUACUGUAGCAUGAGUCUCGGGGUGUUACAAUCUAUGAGCAAGAAACAAUAACUGGAAAGAAACAAAGAGGAAGGAGAAAAACAAAAACAGGGCAAAAAAACUUAGGGUGCGUUUGGAUUGCAACCAAUAGUAGCCAUAUCAAAAAAUUGGCAAGCCCAUGGAAAUUGGCUAGUGCUUGGAUAGCAGCCAAAAUUUUGGCUCGCCCGACGUUCCGCCAACGGGCCAGUGCAAAUUUUGCCAACACAUGGGCGAGCUGGCGGCGCCGAAAAGCUCCGCCAAAAUAUUGGCAGCGCCCACGCCCGCUCACUCCACGGGGCCUGCUUAAUUAUCGCAGCUAACUCACGAUUGACCCUGAAAGUGAUUUGUAGAUCGGCAUAUUUCUCCUGUUCCCUGAUCGUUUGGUGGUAGGUACUCUUUUUUGGCUCAACAAAUCCGCAUGUGCAUGCAGGAAGAUAGCUACCUAAUUACCACAAAAUUAGCAUGAGUCGUGUAGGUUUAUUAAUCCGCUAAGCAGUACUUAAUUUGAUUAUUAUACUAGUACGGUCGAGUAGCAGCCCUACCUCAUAGAACUACUCCUGAAAAGCACGGAACUAUUUUUACCUAAAGAAGGGAUAUAUGUUUUGACGAAUGAAACAUUGCUUUUGCAUGCCCAUUUUUUUGUUACUUUUUGUGUAUUGUAGCUAUUAAAAAAAUCAUUUCACAUUUUUUUGCGGGGCAUGUCACAUUAUUUUUUGACUUGGAAUAAAAAUAAGCAUGGAAUAAGCCUAAUUCCCAAAGUUUGUCGCGUUAGUUGGCAACAAACCAAAUGACAGCUCAGUUAUUUUGCCAAAAAAUUGGUAGAAACAUUGGCUCUAAACCAAACAAGAACAACCAACCAAUAUUUUGGCCAUGCCCUCACUUUGGUCAUGCCAAAAAAUUUGGUGGGGCUAGUUGGGGCACAAACCAAACACACCCUUACUCCAAUGACAUCUCUCUCCCUUAAAAGGAAUGGGAAAUGGGCGAAAUGAAUGCGAGGGGGAAAAACUACUCUGAGAGAGACAAACGUCCCGCCAGCCCAACUAUCGUGACAAACACCCCGGCCCGCUACUAGUAUCAACCUGAAAACGGGCCGCACGACACACAAUAGCCGCGAGCGAAUGCACCAGCGGGACAAAAAUAGGUUUGCGCGAAUCUUAAAGACAGACGAGAUCCAAUGGCUCUUGACUUAGACGUGAAGUAGUUAUUUCACAUCUAGAUGUGAAAUAGCAAAUCUGAUAUAAUGAUUGUAAUGGUAUAGUCUGUAGAUGUGUAAUUAAUGCACAAUUCAUUUUUUUGAUGCAGUACCAUUCCUUCAAGAUAUAUAUAAUUAAUAUAACGUUGUAGCAUGUAGAUGUGUAAUUAAUGCACACGUUCAUUUUUUGGUGAAGUACCAUAUCUUUCUAUCUUCAAGAUAUAUAUAAUUAAUGUAAUAUUGUAGCAUGUAGAUGUGCAACUAAUGGAUACAUUCAUUUUUUAUGCAGUACCAUAUCUUCAAGAUAUAUCAUAUAUAGUACAACUAAUGUAUGUAUAACGUGUCGAUGUGGAGUUAAUGUACACACUCAUUGUUCGAUGCGAUUACAUAUCUUCAAGGUAUAGCCUAUAAAUAUAGAGUUAAUGUGAACAUCCAUUGUUUGAUACAAUAUGCAUCUUCAAGAUAUAGAACUAAUGUAUGAUGUGGCCUCUAGAGUGCAAUUAAUGUACAUAUUAAUUGUUUGACAUGGUGACAUAUCUUCAAGAUAUACAACUGAUGCAUGUGCCCAUAUCAUCAUCUCAAACAAGGCUAUAUAAACCAAGCCAUAGCUAUCGAAGUCAUGUAUCCCACACAUUCACAGAGAAGCCACACAAACAAUUAUAACAUCAAAGGGAUAGAGAAGGCUCUAGUGUAGCAGAUACAAAAGCCAUAGCCAUGGCGAAACUCAUGGGCUUAUGUUUCAUCAUCCUCACUAUUGGGGUAGCCGUCUCGGCUGAUGAAUGUGAGGGUGACCGACAGGCCAUGAUCAAAGAGUGUGCUAAGUACCAAAAGUGGCCAGCAAAUCCGAAGAUAGAUCCGUCGGACGCAUGCUGCGCCGUGUGGCAAAAGGCAAACAUCCCAUGCCUUUGCGCUGGUGUCACCAAGGAGAAAGAGAAGAUAUAUUGUAUGGAGAAGGUUGGCUACGUUGCCAAUUUCUGCAAGAAGCCGUUCCCACAUGGCUACAAGUGCGGAAGUAAGUGAAAUAUAUUAAGGGAAUUAUGACGAUCGGCAUUGCAUACAUGCAGUUUUCAUAUUUGUUAUUCUUCGGAUUCACACGAUUUCGAUUUUAGUUAUGCAUUUUAUAUGUUUCUUGUGCUAUUCUGAUCAUAUGUUGGGACAAAUUGAAUGGUCUUGCAGGUUACACAUUCCCUCCUCUGGCGUAGUGACUCUAGUUUAGCUGUUGAAGGAGAAGCUUGGCUUUUACAUUCGAUGUGCUUGGCCUCACAAUAGCUUUCCUUUCAGAUCUGUAAUUCGUGAGGUUGUGCUCAGAAAAGUUUAUGUUAAGCACUUUGUAUGAGAACGUUUCUGAAACUAAUAAAGCCUUCUCCUCAAAUUGUCUAAAUUAUGUUUGUUCAUAUAUCCUUUUUUGGUUCUACUAGUAAAUAUGCCCAUGCGUUGCAACCGGAGUAAAACAAUCAGAUUGUGCAUAUGUGGUAGAAAUAAAAAAAAAGUCUGAAACAUAUUCCAGGAUGAGAUCGGGACCUUUAAAAUGUGAUUUCAUAAACUACGUCUGAAUCAUGUCAUGAUGAGAAAAGGAACUUCUGAAAGGUCAUUUCAAAAGCUAAAAAUGUGAUGGUCUCAUCACUACUUGAUUUUCUAAGGCACCACAACAAAAUAUUUUCUAGCUGAGAAACUGUAUUGAUGGACCCUACCUGAACUACACCAAUUAAUGGUGUGUCUCGCCUUCACCUAGGGUCACGGUGUUUACCCUGACUAGGAAAUCUAUAGUACCAGAAUAAACAUAGAGGUGUAUGAAGGCAAAUUAGAUAUUUAAUCAUUUUUGUAUACAACUUACAAAAACUAAUUGUAGGAAGUUUUGUCAAUUUUUUUGGGCUCAACGUUGUGCAGAUUAUGGAAACCUUUUUUUACGCGACUCGCAUGUACUAAACAAAAUCAUGAAACAACCUCUACAAAUAAAAAAAACUCUAUAUAAGCAGGUUAGUUUUGUUCGUUAUUUACAGAUCUGCUUAAUUUUUUUUGAACAUUUUCUAAAAUUUACAUUCUUUCAAAUUCCCGAAUAUAUUUUGAAUACAUGAUUAUUUUUCUAAAAUCUUGAAUAUUUUGUGAACAUUUUUUCGAAAUCGUGAUUUUUCAUGAAUGCAAAUAUUUUUUCAAAAUACUGGACAUUUUAUAAUUUUCCAAACAUUUUUAGAAUUAAUGAAAAUUUUAUGAUUUCGCAAAAACAAUGUGAAAUGUUUUUAAAAAUACUGGACAUUUUAUGAUUUCCUAAACACUUUAUGAAUUCAUGAACAUUUUAUGAUUUCCCAAUAAAAUCCAAAACUGACAACUUUUGGAAAUCCCGAAUUAAUUUGAAGAAGGAAAAAAAGAACCAGAAUUAGGGUGAGGUUACUGUAGCAUGAGUCUCGGGAUGUUACAAAUCUACUCCACUACAAGAAAUCUCGUCCCAAGAUUUAAGAGGCGGAGUAAGGUGGAAAGUUCUGGUUACGAAAUUCUAAUGAAUCUUCUCGUUCUUGGUUGCUCUUCUCGAAUGAGUUGACCCAUUACGUUGAUGUCUUAUUUUCUCUACUUCGGGUCAUAAUGACGAAGUCGUCAUCCUUUCUUCGAGAACUUCGUCGUACUUAUGAAGGAAUAAAGGGUGGGUAUUCCGGCGGAACGGGCCUCUACAAGGUUGAUAACAUCAGGGAAGGUGGCACAGAGUAAAUCUUGAAUUGAAACUUAAGAAAAUAUCUAGAGCAAAGUAAGGAGGUAUCAUGGGAAGUCUUGAGUGGGCAGGCAAUCGUUCGAUGCCUGAAAUAGGGCAUGAAAGGGGUUCAAGGCAACGGGAAUAAGUAUUGUGUUUGAUAGCAGAAUUGAUGAUCUCUCAAAAGGUGGCUUGUGAAUUACAUAAGAGGACACACGCGAGGAACAACCUUGGGAACAGGGGGUGUACAGGAGAGUCAGGUUUCGAUCCUGUGGAACUGUUGGUUCCACCAUGUAGGUUAAAUUUUGGAAAGGCGGUGUUGUCUUGCACGAUCAUAUAAGCAAGGCAUGUCAGAGGAUAGCCUGUCAGUUAUGUCGGCAACAACAUCGGUACCAUUUUCCUGCUCGUUGAACGAAGCAGACCAAUAGGUAAAGUUCUCGUCCAUCGGUGGUUACCGGAAUGUCAUCAACAUUAGUAACAGGGUCUUACUGACAGAGUGUUACAACGAGGUGCUGACCUGACCAAGGAAUUAUCAUUGCUCAGUUAACUCAGAUUACAAGAAAGGUUAAACAAAAAAAUGGAAAGGAAAAUGUGUUCAAACACAUAUUUCAGGGGUAUAUCCUUCCCAAGGGCAAGCAGAGCACAAUAUCCAUGACAGGAUAGAAACUAGAAAACCAUUUAGGUAAGGGGAGAGGAAUUUCAUGACAUUACCCAAACAACAGUGUUUGGAUAAUUGACGGGAAAAAAUUAGCAUUGUGCUUCAAAUGUUCUUAUUGAAGAUCGAAGGACCACAAACAUGCUUUAAGAUUGCAUUGACAUGGUCUUCAAGCAAGGUCGGACUUUGGAUACUUAAAGGAUUCAUUAGGAACAACUUAUAGAAUAAGUCUUACAAUUUCCUCAUGGAAGAAUGGUUAACCUUGCUAAAACGGAAACUAUAACAAUAGGGCCCCGACUAGGUGUGCUAGGCAUGACAUCACAUUAUCGGGUCAUAUAAGGACCAAUGUUAUAACUCUUGGAAAUAUGUUCUAACCAUCAUAUUUUACCGAGAUUCGGAUUUGAUUGGUGUUAGGAUACCUCGGACUCAGGAUGCUUGAGAAGAAAAAGGUGCGACACAUAUUGAUGAGAUGACAUUUUAAGAUUCUUGGGAAAUGAACUAUGGGAGCGAGUUCCGAAACAAGGAGAGGGCGAGGAGGUGGCUGAUGGACUCAGCGACAAUUCAUUGAGAUUUCCCAAAAGAUGGAUUUGCACAAUUAUGUGAAGGAGAUAACAUUUGUAAGAUCAAAUGAUAUAAUGAUGUAUGCUCAAGGAGAACAUCCAUGAGUAAACAUUGGUUGAAAGGUGCACCCAAAAUAUGGGCUUAGGUAGCAUGAUCAAUGUUAGAAUGGUGAUUCGAUAACCAAUACACAAAGAAUGAAACUAUCGUUCAUUAACUUACAUGCAAUAUGGUUGCUAGAAGUUUUGAAUUUUACACAUCACAGUCCAGUUGUCAGUAAUCUGGUUAGGAACAACAUGGGGACCAAGAACUUAAUGUAGACGGCGAGAUAUAUCACUUGUAUCAAGAAUUCUUAAGAGGUGGUGAAAUUCUCACAACUUUCUUGAUAUAUAAAAUGGUAAUACUCCAAGGUAGGACAUAAGAUAAGUUGGAUUGCUAGGAACUCAUGGUACACCACAACACUAACAAGUUUGUGUUGGAAAGAAGGCGAGGAAGUAGUUGAUGACAACACAAAUUACGAAGGAUAAGGAUGGUAAUCCCCAUCAGUAAUUUGAUUGAUAUCCUGGAAGGAGUCAAAAUGUUGUUGAUGAUCAUGAGAAAUUUGGUCGAGAGGCUCCACGAAGAAGCAAUCGAACAGUGACUGCUGUCGUGGUUCUAAGCCUGACAGUAGAGUGGGGGGUAGGUAUGGAGAGGCAAGGUCCUAGCUAUGGAGAGGUUGUAAGCACAAAGGAUGUACGAGUUCAGGCCCUUCUCGGAAGAAGUAACAGCCCUACGUCUCGGAGCCCGGAGGCGGUCGAGUGGAUUAUGAUUGUAUGAAUUACAAGGUGCCGAACCCUUCUGCCUGUGGAGGGGGGUGGCUUAUAUAGAGUGCGCCAGGACCCCAGCCAGCCCACGUAGGAGAGGGUUUAAGGUGAGUUAAGUCUGGGGCGUUACUGGUAACGCCCCACAUAAAGUGCCUUUACUAUCAUAAAGUCUACUUGAUUACAGGCCGUUGCGGUGCAGAGUGCCUCUUGACCUCCUGGUGGUCGAGUGAGUCUUCGUGGUCGAGUCCUUCAGACCAGUCGAGUGAGUCCUCGUUGGUCGACUGGAAGGCGACCUCUUCUAAGGAUGUCCUAGGGUAAGUUACUUGGAUCAGGUCCAUGAUCCUACCCUAGGUACACAACCCCAUCAUUAGCCCCCGAAUGGAUUGAGGCUUCGAGUGAAGGAGUUGAUGUCGUUUCCGAUUGACCUUUGCGCUCUAGUUGUGCGCUGUUCUGGACCAAAGAAUCUCUUCGUUGACAGGGAGCAAUUUGCCUUCAGUCGACUCGAUCCAUUCUGUUUUUACGUCGAGUGAUCUUUCGGGCUUCGACGAUCUCCGAGCGACGGAUCGCCGGAAACACCGCGUCUGACAGACUGAUUUGUUGCUCGCGGAUUCCGCGGGAUGCGAAAUUUGGGGGCGCGCGCGUUGCGGGGCGGACCGCGGCGUUCGGAUGGGACGGGGCAUAGACGCCUCGAUCUCCGCGCCGCCUUUUUCGCCACGUAUCCAGCCUGCAUAACUGCUCUCAGAUAUGAUUAGAUCGACCGGGCCCGCAUGUCAGCCACUCGGAAGGGACCUUAUAAAUGCGCCCGACGAGGAUUUCUGUGCUGCGCCCCAGCAUUCUCCCUCUAUCUCUGCUUCCUUCUUCCCUGCUCAGCGUGCUCGCUCUCGCCCCCGCGCCACUUCCCUUCGCGCAUCUCUCCGGCGACCAUGGCAAAGGAGAAGACGGCGGCGCUGGAGCGCGCCAAGAAGGCGUCAGCGUCGGAGAAGGCGAAGGGGAGAUCCACCAGCCGCGGAGGGUCCUCGUCCAGGUCCCGCCUGCCGAAGGGCUGGGUCCAAGGAGACUGGAUCCAGUCGACCAUCACAGAGAAGGACCUCCUCGACAUGGCCAACGAGGGCUUGAUCCCUCACGGAGCUGCGAGGUUGCCGGGGGAGGAGUGGCAUCCACAGCCAGAAGAGGGUGAGUGUGUGCUUUUGGCCACUCAUGUUGAUCGUGGGUUUUCCUUGCCGCCAAGUAUUUUCUUCCGUGGCUUCUUGAAUUUCUUUGGAGCGCAGCUUCACCACUUUACCCCAAACUCCAUUGCCUAUCUUGCUGCAUUCGUGUCCAUGUGUGAGGGUUUCUUGGGCUGUCGACCGCACUGGGGUUUGUUCAAACAUAUCUUCACGUGUCGCUCUCAGACCGUGAAGAAGGCGAGCCCAGGUGAUGAGAAAACCCGAGUCGUCCAAAUGUGUGGGGGCCUGGGGAUCCAGGUGAGGAAUAAGAGCACCUUCCCGCCCAUGACCUUUCCCGAGUCCGUCAGAGGCUGGCAGUCGACUUGGUUCUACUGCCAGGUCCAGUCGACGCCAGGGCAGUCGAGUGGACUCCCUCCGUUUACCAUGGACCGAGUGAACAAGCCCUCCCCCCUGAAGCUGAUUCCGGAGGAGAAAGCCGACGUGAAGAUGUUGAUGGAGCGCGUGGUGCAGUUGGUUCGGGAGGGGGUGACGGGCAUGGAUCUUCUGGAGGUCUUCCUCAGGCGUCGCAUCCAACCCCUUCAAUUCCGGAGCCACUGCAUGUGGUUGUACUGUGGGACCGAAGACGAGACUAGAGUCCAUCCAGAAGCAGUCGACGACGUCACUCUGGAAAGAUGGAUGGUAGCCGUUACCGGAAACAAGGACAACCCGCGCGGAGCCAGAAGGAUUCCUCCACUCGACCACAAUAGCGACCCAAACAAGGUACACUUGCUCUGCUCUCUACUGCGCCCUUGUCGUAUUCAUUUCUGUUAAUCCUGCCGACUGGUCGACUGAUUCUUGUCUGGGCAUUUGUUAGGCCCUCACCGAGCUGUACUCGAUGCCCAAUGGGGCACAAGCUUCGACUGAGGAGGGCGAGGCGAGCGGAGGCGAGAGCCAGGAAGAGGAGGAAUGGGACUCGGAUGUCACAGAGGAUGAUGACGACGAUGAUGAUGAUGUCGAUGAUGAAGACGACGUCGAGGACGAGGAAGAGGAGGAGGAGGAGGUCGUGCCACCGCGCUCGGAAAGGCGGUCGAAGCUCGUCAACGACCCUUCGACUGAACGUGGCAAGGGGGUUGCGACGCAGUCGACCAAGCGCCCUAGGACCACCUCUCCAGCGCCGACUGAAAAGGCGCCGAAGCAGCCCAGGGCGGCCUCGUCGAAGCCGAUCAAACUCUUGCCGAAGAUGAAGGUGUCCAUCCCUACCAUAUCAGGGUAACCGUGCUGCUCAUAUUUUCUUAUUCUGUGUGAACUUUAUUUCUGGUCGACGCUGAAGUUAGUCGACUGAUCCUUUGGAGUUGCAGUGCUGCUACUUCUGAGACCUCGGCCCGGGCCGAUGACCACGAGAUGGAGGAUGCGGCAACUUCGAACCCAGGUACUGUAUUCUUAACACCGUUCUUAGUCGACUGACUCGCGAUCUCUGAUCCUGAUCCUUCUCCGCAGCUCCACCCAACACUGUUAUCAAUCUCCCUGACGACGACGAGGAUGAAGAACCACUGACGCGCAGGAGGAGUCGGAAAGCGUCCUCCAGUAAGGUACCUCAGGAUGUGACGGCGCCUGAGAUUCUGACUGUGGAGGAAGGGAACACCACUCGACACACGGUGUCCUUCGCAAAUCCACUGACGAGUGCUCAGCAGCCCUCCCUCUUUACAACGCACCACGUCCCAGAGGACCAAGCUGGCGCAGCGAAGGAGGCAAUACGCCAGGUGGGACUCAUGAUGGAGCAGCUGAAGACCAUCCGGGACGCGAGCCAGGCAGCUUAUGACGCCAGUUCUGCCCUCCAAAGCAAUGUCCAGGUCAGUCGACCGCUGUUUGUUCUGUUGGAUAUGCUACCAAAAACUUUUCUUUUCCGGAAUUUAUAUUAGUCACCCACUGGGUGUGUCGAAUGAACUCUGUGUUAGCGGGGGCACGCUGAGUGCACCCGCUGGGUGUAGUCCCCAAGGCUAAGGUCGACUGCUGGCAGUCGGCCUUAGGCUUUAUGAUGUCGAUCUUUUUGUCAGUCGACUGGUCGACUGGAUUUCACAAACCGGUGGGGGCACGCUGAGUGCACCCACUGGGUGUAGUCCCCAAGGCUAAGGUCGACUGCUGGCAGUCGGCCUUAGGCUUUAUAAUGUCAUUCUUUCUGUCAGUCGACUGGUCGACUGGAUUUCACAAACCGGUGGGGGCACGCUGAGUGCACCCACUCGGUGUAGUCCCCGAGACUGUGGUCGACUGCUUGCAGUUGAUCACAGUCUUAGAGAAUGCAUCUCUCUCUUUUUUUUGUUUUUUUUUGAGGUCGACUGGUCGACUUUGUCUUCAAUAGGAUUAGUGGGGGCACGCUGAGUGCACCCACUGGGUGUAGUCCCCGAGACUACGGUCGAAUGUUUGUAUUCGGCUGUAGUCUUAGAAACGUGUGUUUUUCCCUUUUUCAGUCGGAAGUGAAUUAUAUUUGACAUUUAGUCGAUUGGUUCUUCGCAGAACUCUUGUGAUCUUGUCGCUCGCUACUCAGAGCUGGAACAAAAACAUACUCAAGUCGAGCUGAGCUUGAAGCUGGUUCAGGAGAAGCUGACAAAGGCAAAGGAGGAGACCGAAGGUAUGUUUGGUGAGACCCUGACGACUGCUUUUCCCCUUGCUUGUUUCAGCAUCUGAUCUUGCGGUAACUUGCAGGUAAGGUAAGGGAGGCCCAGCAGAAGAAAGACCUUGAGCUAGCUGAGAAGAUCAAGCUUGCUGACGAGAAGUUAGCUUCAGUCACCAAGCUCGAACAAGACAAUACCAAUCUGAAAGCUGCUCUUGGGAUUGCCAACAAGGAGGUCAGUCGACUGAGAACUGACAAAGCUGCCCUGACCGACCAAGUCAGCAAAUUAACUGAGAAGAAAACUGAACUGGAGGCCUUCCUGAGUGGCCUUGCCAAGAAGCUGUUUCUUAUGCUUGAAGGUAAACCUCUAUGCUUGGCAGACAUUUCCAAUUGUGAUUUUUCCAUUCGACCGUCCUCUUGACUUAGUGACCACCCUUGCAGAAUUUUGUCAAAACUUUGAAGAAGAAACUAGCCGGCUGGAGCCAAACCUCGACCCCGUCAAUUCUCCGGUGAACGACGAAGUUGCCAUGGAAGUUUUCCGACUGGAGUCUCGUGUUGCAACUGUUGUGGACUAUCUCGCAAGGCUGAAGGCCGCCACAUCUCGCAUCGACUCGACGCUCUGGCCUGAGGAGACACUUCAGAAUGACCUUGAGUCGCUGAUGGCCCGCUUGAACACGAUCCCUGGUCGAGUGCAGGAGUGGAAGAAGUCUUCGGCUCGGUGUGGUGCAGAUGUCGCUCUGUGUCUGGCCCGAGUCCACUGCAAAGAUGCACGAGAGGAGAAGCUGGAGGCCCUUCGGGUGGCCAAUACCAAGAAGCACGACUUCAGGUCCUUUAUGGAGACUUUCCUUGCAGCUGCCACUCGGAUCGCCGACGGAAUUGACCUUGAUGAAUUUGUUGCACCUUCCAGCCCUCCACAGGAGGGGUAAAAAACUUCUUCUGGCUCGACGCUUUAAAUUUGCCUCGGUAUGCCGAGUGAAAUUGUAACCGACAAACCUUAACGGGCUUGACGCCUGAGCACUUUCGGUUCCUUUAGAUAUCGAUUCAAACUUGAAUUUGGCGCUUGAAUAUGAUUGCCUUCGGCUCGGAAUGUCUUUUGCAGGUUCAAAGCAAGGUGCCUGUACUGCAAUCGACUUAUUCUUUAGUCCACUUAGGCGAGCACUGGGCUGCAGCUAAGCCCCCCGAGUGAGAGGGUUGCUCUCCACUCGGCAGGGUUUUUAUACCUUAGGCGAGCACGGGGCUGCAGCUAAGCCUCCGAGUGAGAGGGUUGCUCUUCACUCGGUAGGAUUUUUAUAACUUAGGCGAGUGCUUGGACUGCAGCUAAGCCCCCGAGUGAGAGGGNNNNNNNNNNNNNNNNNNNNNNNNNNNNNNNNNNNNNNNNNNNNNNNNNNNNNNNNNNNNNNNNNNNNNNNNNNNNNNNNNNNNNNNNNNNNNNNNNNNNNNNNNNNNNNNNNNNNNNNNNNNNNNNNNNNNNNNNNNNNNNNNNNNNNNUAAGCCUCCGAGUGAAAGGGUUGCUCUUCACUCGGUAGGAUUUUGAUAACUUAGGCGAGUGCUUGGACUGCAGCUAAGCCUCCGAGUGAGAGGGUUGCUCUUCACUCGGUAGGAUUUUAAUAACUUAGGCGAGCACAGGGCUGCAGCUAAGCCCCCGAGUGAGAGGGUUGCUCUUCACUCGGUAGGAUUUUAAUAACUUAGGCGAGCACAGGGCUGCAGCUAAGCCUCCGAGUGGAAGUCGGGCUUACCACUCGGUAGGAUUUUGAUAACUUAGGCGAAACGGAUUCGCAGCUAAGCCUCCGAGUGGNNNNNNNNNNNNNNNNNNNNNNNNNNNNNNNNNNNNNNNNNNNNNNNNNNNNNNNNNNNNNNNNNNNNNNNNNNNNNNNNNNNNNNNNNNNNNNNNNNNNNNNNNNNNNNNNNNNNNNNNNNNNNNNNNNNNNNNNNNNNNNNNNNNNNNNNNNNNNNNNNNNNNNNNNNNNNNNNNNNNNNNNNNNNNNNNNNNNNNNNNNNNNNNNNNNNNNNNNNNNNNNNNNNNNNNNNNNNNNNNNNNNNNNNNNNNNNNNNNNNNNNNNNNNNNNNNNNNNNNNNNNNNNNNNNNNNNNNNNNNNNNNNNNNNNNNNNNNNNNNNNNNNNNNNNNNNNNNNNNNNNNNNNNNNNNNNNNNNNNNNNNNNNNNNNNNNNNNNNNNNNNNNNNNNNNNNNNNNNNNNNNNNNNNNNNNNNNNNNNNNNNNNGGUAGGAUUUUCACAAACUUAGGCGAAACGGAUUCGCAGCUAAGCCUCCGAGUGAGAGUCUGGCUCACCACUCGGUAGGAUUUUUACAACUUAGGCGAGUGCUCGGACUGCAGCUAAGCCUCCGAGUGAGAGGGUUGCUCUUCACUCGGUAGGAUUUUUAUAACUUAGGCGAGUGCUUGGACUGCAGCUAAGCCCCCGAGUGAGAGGGUUGCUUACCACUCGGUAGGAUUUUGAUAAACUUAGGCGAGUCCUUGGACUGCAGAUAAGCCUCCGAGUGGAAGUCAGGCUUACCACUCGGUAGGAUUUUGAUAAACUUAGGCGAAACGGAUUCGCACCUAAGCCUCCGAGUGGAAGUCUGGCUCACCACUCGGUAGGAUUUUUACAAACUUAGGCGAAACGGAUUCGCGGCUAAGUCACCCACUGAGGGGGAAUUUUAUUGUGGACAAAAAUAAAAAGUGAUAGAUAUUAUGGAGGAACCAUGACACUUAUUAUUUUGAGAUCCAUGAACUACAAAAGUACUUUAUUGUAACUCAUCCGAGUGAUAAAACUUAAGUGUAGAAUGGGCGGAGUAGCUCCGCGUUCCAAGCUCGGGGCUCGUCGAUAUUAUGCUCGACGUUGUAAAGACGGUACGCCCCGUUGUGGAGGACCUUGGUGACGAUGAAGGGGCCUUCCCAGGAAGGAGCAAGCUUGUGUGGUUUGUGCUGAUCCACUCGGAGAACCAAAUCCCCUUCCUGGAAGGCUCGACCUCUCAUAUUUCUGGCGUGGAAACGGCGCAAAUCUUGUUGGUAGAUGGUCGACCGGAUCAGAGCCAUCUCCCUUUCUUCCUCUAAAAGGUCGACUGCGUCCUGCCGCGCUUGUUCAGCUUCUGCUUCGUUGUAGAUUUCAACUCGAGGAGCAUUGUGAAGAAGAUCACUCGGCAAGACUGCUUCAGCUCCAUAGACCAAGAAGAAGGGAGUUCUUCCGGUCGACCGAUUAGGCGUGGUCCGCAGUCCCCAGAGUACAGAUGGAAUUUCGUCGACCCAAGCCCCAGCCGCGUGUUUGAGAUCACGCAUCAGUCGAGGCUUCAGUCCCUUGAGAAUCAGUCCAUUAGCUCGCUCUGCUUGUCCAUUCGACUGCGGAUGGGCGACCGAAGCGUAGUCGACCCGUGUGCCCUGGGAGUCGCAGAAAGCUCUGAAUUCCUCUGAGUCAAAGUUCGACCCAUUAUCCGUAAUGAUGCUGUGCGGGACUCCAUAUCUGAAUAUUAGUUCCCUGAUGAAGCUAACAGCAGUACCGGUGUCAAGGCUCUUGAUUGGUUUAGCCUCGAUCCACUUGGUGAACUUGUCGACUGCCACCAGUACAUGCGUGAAGCCACUUCGUCCUGUUCUCAAAGGACCGAUCAUGUCCAGCCCCCAAACUGCAAAAGGCCAGACGAGUGGGAUGGUCUUCAAAGCUGACGCAGGCUUGUGCGACAUAUUCGAGUAGAACUGACAUCCCUCGCACUUAUCUACUAUCUCUUUUGCCAUCUCAUUCGCCUUGGGCCAGUAAAAUCCGGCUCGGUAUGCUUUGGCCACGAUGGUCCGAGAGGACGCAUGAUGACCACAGGUCCCUGAGUGGAUAUCAUUGAGGAUGAGUCGACCUUCUUCUGGUGUUAUGCACUUCUGACCGACUCCAGUCGCGCUUUCUCUGUAUAAUUGUCCUUUGAUUACGGUAAAGGCCUUAGAUCGACGGACGAUCUGUCGAGCCUCUUCUUCAUCCUCCGGAAGCUCUUUCCUCAAGAUAUAUGCGACAUACGGAAUCGUCCAGUCGGGAAUGACCACCAAAACCUCCAUGAUCAAGUCGACCACCGCUGGGACUUCGACUUCAGUCAGAUCUGUGGCGCUCUUGGGCUGCGGAGUUUCUUCGGUGAAAGGAUCUUCUUUGACUGACGGAGUGUGUAUAUGCUCCAAGAACACACCACUCGGAAUGGCUUCUCUCUUGGAACCUAUCUUUGCUAGAUCAUCAGCUGCUUGAUUUUUCAGUCGGGGUAUAUGAUGGAGCUCCAACCCCUCGAACUUCUUCUCCAGCUUCCUCACUGCACUGCAGUAUCCAGUCAUGGCUGGGCUUCUCACGUCCCACUCUUUCAUCACCUGAUUGACCACUAAAUCCGAGUCACCAUAGACCAUUAGGCGACGGACGCCGAGUGAAAUGGCCAUGCGCAAACCAUAUAGGAGGGCCUCAUAUUCUGCAUCAUUGUUGGAGGAAUCAAAGUGAAUCUGGAGCACAUAUCUGAGCUUAUCUCCUCUGGGGGAAACCAGGACAACCCCAGCACCGGAACCAUUCAACAUCUUAGAGCCAUCGAAAAACAUGGUCCAAUGCUCCGAGUGAACUUCAGUCGGCUGCUGUUGUUCAAUCCACUCGGCGAGGAAAUCUGCUAUCGCCUGGGACUUAAUGGCUUUCUUUGCCUCAAACUUGAUAUCAAGGGGAAGAAGUUCAAUCGCCCAUUUGGCCACUCGACCAGUUGCAUCUCUGUUGUGCAAAAUCUCUGAUAGUGGAGCGUCGCUGACGACUGUGAUGGAAUGGUCAGAGAAAUAAUGAGCAACCUUCUUUGUGGUCAUGUAUAUUCCAUACACAAGCUUCUGAUAAUGAGGAUAUCUCUGCUUGGAUGGAGUCAAGACUUCAGACAAAUAAUACACUGGGCGCUGAACUUUGAGAGCUUUUCCUUCUUCUUCCCGCUCGACCGUUAUCACAGUACUGACGACUUGUCCUGUGGCUGUGAUGUAGAGCAACAGAGGCUCUUUGCUGAUUGGAGCAGCAAGCACCGGCUGGGUGGAGAGCAGAGCUUUUAGCUCGGCAAACGCUGCAUCAGCUUCUGGAGUCCACUCGAACUUGUCAGCCUUCUUCAUCAGUCGGUAAAGAGGCAGUGCCUUUUCACCGAGUCGUGAGAUGAAUCGACUUAAUGCGGCCAAGCAUCCAGUAAGCUUCUGGACAUCGUGCACUCGCACAGGGCAUUUCAUUCGGAGAAUAGUGCCAAUCUUCUCUGGGUUAGCGUCGAUUCCCCGUUCGGAAACGAGAAAACCGAGUAACUUGCCACCAGGAACUCCAAAUGUGCACUUUGAUGGAUUGAGCUUGAUAUCAUACCUUCUGAGGUUGGCAAAUGUUUCGGCGAGGUCAGCGAGCAGGUCGGAACCUUUUCGCGACUUGACAACAAUAUCAUCCAUAUAAGCUUCCACAUUCCGACUGAUUUGGGUGAGUAGACACUUCUGAAUCAUUCGCAUAAAUGUGGCUCCGGCAUUCUUGAGGCCGAAUGGCAUGGUGAUAUAGCAGAAGCACCCGAAUGGAGUGAUGAAAGCUGUUUUUACCUCAUCGGGCCCGUACAGACGGAUCUGGUGGUACCCGGAGUAAGCAUCUAAAAAAGACAACCUCUCGCAUCCCGCGGUCGAGUCAACAAUUUGAUCUAUGCAAGGGAGAGGAAAGUGAUCUUUCGGGCAGGCCCGGUUGAUGUGCUUGAAAUCAAUGCACAUUCGGAGCGACUUGUCCUUCUUAGGAACCAUGACGACAUUAGCGAGCCACUCGGAGUGGUAUAUCUCUCGGAUAAAUCCUGCCGCCAACAGUCGAGCCACUUCUUCACCGAUGGCCUUUCUCUUCUGGACGGCGGACCGCCGAAGAUGCUCUUUGACUGGUUUUGCAGACGAGUCGACUCUUAGGCGAUGCUCAGCCAGUCCCCUGGGAACACCUGGCAUGUCAGCGGGCUUCCAUGCAAAAAUGUCCCAGUUCUCACGGAGGAACUGGAUGAGCGCUUCUUCCUAUUUUGGGUCGAGUGUUGUGGAAAUGCGGGUCGGAGCUGCUUCGGGGUCGGUCGGGUGAAUGUGAACAGGCUUCGUCUCACCGGACGACUGGAAUGCAGACUCUGUGGCGGGCUGCUUGGCUCGCAGCAAGUCACUCGGAUCUGCGUUUUGCUUGUAUUCUUCGAACUCGACCACUGUCACUUGGGAAUCGGCAAUCUUGGAGCCCUUCUGAAAGCACUCCUCUGCCUUCCUCCUAUCACCGGUGACAGUGAUCACACCUUUGGGACCGGGCAUCUUCAAUUUGAGGUACACGUAACAUGGUCGAGCCAUGAACCGUGCAUAGGCUGGUCUCCCCAAAAUGGCAUGAUAUGCACUUUGAAAAUCCACGACCUCAAACGUCAACUUUUCUAUGCGAAAAUGCUUCGAAUCACCAAACACUACGUCCAAAGUUAUCUGGCCGAGUGAUUCGGCCUUCUUCCCUGGUAUAACUCCAUGGAAGCUCAUGUUACUAGUGCUCAGUCGGGACAUCGGAAUGCCCAUACCUUUCAGUGUGUCUGCAUACAAUAAGUUCAGCCCGCUUCCACCGUCCAUCAGCACCUUUGUCAGUCGAGUGCCUUCGACAACUGGAUCGACCACCAAAGCUUGCCUCCCGGGGGUGGCAAUAUGAGUCGGGUGAUCAGAUUGGUCGAAUGUGAUGGGUGUUUGAGACCACUUCAGAUAAUUUGCCUUUGCUGGGGCAACCAUGUUCACCUCUCGGUUAAUCACUUUCAGUCGACUUCUGCUUUCCACAUAUGCAAAGAUCAUCAGAGUGGAGUUGAUAUGCGGAUAUCCUCCCUCACUGUCCUCUUUGUCUUCGGCCUUGUCCGACUCCUUCUCCUUGUCCUUAGACUGUUUUCCCUGAAACUGCUGGAUCAGGAGUCGACAUUGGCGAGUGGUGUGCUUUGGGUAAAUGAUAUUCCCCUCUUCAUCUUUCUUCGUGUGAAUGUGACACGGCAUAUCCAUCACGUCGUUCCCUUCUUUAUCCUUUACCUUCUUGGGGUUCCAGGAUCCUUUUGGUUUCCCCUUAAACUUUCCUUGAGUCACGGCCAGAGCCUCUCCAGGAGCUGCCGGUUCAGCCUUCCGCUUCUGUUUCCGACUGGUGUUUCCUUUUUCCGACUGACUCGGCUUGUGCUUGCCGCUUCGGAGUCGGUCUUCUUCUUCGCCGUUGGCGUACUUGGUAGCAAUCUCCAUCAUCCGACUCAAGGUCAUGUCACCGGUUCGACCAAAUUUCAAACUCAGUUCUCUGUUCUUGACGCCGUCUUUGAAGGCGCAUACUGCCUGAUGAUCAGAAACAUUUUCCACAGUGUGGUGCAAAGUGAUCCACCUCUGAAUAUACUCUCUGAGAGUCUCAUUAGUUUUCUGCACGCAGACUUGCAGCUCUGUCAAUCCCGCUGGUCGCUUGCAAGUCCCUUCAAACGUUCUGACGAACACUCGGGACAGAUCUUCCCAAGUGUAAAUGCUGCUAGGAGGUAAUUGAGUCAACCAUGCCCUGGCAGAACCUUCCAACAUGAGGGGCAAAUGCUUCAUGGCCACCUCGUCGUUCCCACCACCGAUCUGAACUGCCACUCGGUAGUCUUCAAGCCAAGUUUCAGGCUUAGACUCACCAGUGAACUUGCUGACCCCUGUUGCCAACCUGAAAUUGGGGGGGAUAACUGCGGCUCUGAUAGCUCUGCUGAAACAUUCAGGACCAGAAACAUGUACUCGACUGCUCGUGGGUACAUCUCUGUCGAGUGCGCCUCGAUGGGCUCUGUUCCGAUCGACCAGCCCUUGCACGAUAAUGGAUCGCGCGUCGAAGCCUGGCUCUCUGGGGUCAACUGGAACCCUACGCCCUGCACUGUACUGACGCCUAUCAUCUGGCUGCCGAGGAGCGUAAGACCCUCCCCUCAGAGGGGAAUAGGGCACUCGACGCCUAUCAUCUCGGUCGAGUCUGUCGCCAUAUUGAUCUCGCCGAUUCUCACGCCCUUCGCGCCGCGGAGGCGAUCUGGGGCUGUGAGCCGACUGAACCGUAUUCACAGUGACAGAUCGACUGUGAAUUCUGUUGCGCGACCGAGACACGGCUGAAUUCUGAUCUCCUGCUGCCCGGAGCAGAUCCCUGAUCUGCAGCAAACCUCUGCCAGCUUCCGACUGCGAAGGCUGAAUGGACUCUGCUAUACGGGUCGCAGCUGCUAAAUUCUGAAUUGGGGUUCGAUAUACCUGAGUCGGCGGGAAGAGUUAACGUCGACUGGUGUCGGGAACUCGUUGCCGCGCGCGCUCGUCGAGUGCUCGCUGAAGGUUCUCCAGUCGAGUGCGCUCGGCCAAAUUGGCCAGACACGCCUCCUCCAAGGCACGAGCCUCGGGGGUUUCUCCUGCGAUGGGAAUACGCAGGGGAUCCUCGUUCCUGCGGCGAAGCUCUUCUCUUUGCAGAGAGUCGAGUGGCUCGGGCUGGUACUCUUCGUAGCCUCGUGCAGGGUCGCCGCCGUCAUCUGCUCCACCACCACGGGCGAAGCCAGGAGGGCUGUGGGGCCCGUCGACCAUCAAGAUUUCCGCCGCUGGAUUACUGCUUCCGCACUCGGAUGCAGUCUCUACGGAGCCAGUCGACUGAUCGAGCAAGCCGUAGAGAGAUUCGUUGGGCUCGAUUGCCGCAACUUGGGUAGUGGCCGAUUGGCGAGCCACCGCGUGACUCACCCAUCGCUGAAGCCUCGACCGGCCUGAGCGCUUGCGCUGGCGGGAGACCGGGAGGGUGGACGAUGGAGGAGCCGACCGAUACUGGGUCGACGGUUGCCGCAGCAGAACGCCGCGGACACAUGCGCGAAAAUGCGUCGCACCGCGGACGGGGAGCGCAUCUACGUCGAGUGGAGCCUCCUGGAGCCAUGCGGAGUCGUCGGCGAUGAAGGUGAGAGCGCCGAGACGGAUCUCUUGACCCUCGACCAAAACUCCAGCAGACACCAUGAUGAAAGUACUCGGAAGAAUCGCAACUUCUCCACAAAAUCGCUAAAACACCUGCCCCACGGUGGGCGCCAACUGUCGUGGUUCUAAGCCUGACAGUAGAGUGGGGGGUAGGUAUGGAGAGGCAAGGUCCUAGCUAUGGAGAGGUUGUAAGCACAAAGGAUGUACGAGUUCAGGCCCUUCUCGGAAGAAGUAACAGCCCUACGUCUCGGAGCCCGGAGGCGGUCAAGUGGAUUAUGAUUGUAUGAAUUACAAGGUGCCGAACCCUUCUGCCUGUGGAGGGGGGUGGCUUAUAUAGAGUGCGCCAGGACCCCAGCCAGCCCACGUAGGAGAGGGUUUAAGGUGAGUUAAGUCUGGGGCGUUACUGGUAACGCCCCACAUAAAGUGCCUUUACUAUCAUAAAGUCUACUUGAUUACAGGCCGUUGCGGUGCAGAGUGCCUCUUGACCUCCUGGUGGUCGAGUGAGUCUUCGUGGUCGAGUCCUUCAGACCAGUCGAGUGAGUCCUCGUUGGUCGACUGGAAGGCGACCUCUUCUAAGGAUGUCCUAGGGUAAGUUACUUGGAUCAGGUCCAUGAUCCUACCCUAGGUACACAACCCCAUCAACUGCAUCAAGCAAAAGUACUAAUGCAGCGAAAGAUUAUUGGAUCCUUGGAUACGCCACCAACUCGGAAUCAAGCUUGUUGUUCAUGGUGGAAUGAUAAGACGAGGGAAUCGACGUAAGAUUUGCUCAUCGUCGAAGUUGUGCUCUGGGAGUAAGGAACAGGUAGCACAGUUAAAAUCAGCACGACAAUGAUAUAGCCGAGCAGGACAAGAAUGACAUGGUCGAGUAAAAAAUCGUGAGUAAAGGAGAUUACUUUAAUCAUGGUGCGGAUCUGAUUUAUUUAUUGGUGUCCUCGAGUGACUAACAACUCGGAACCCAGGAAAAAUUGGAAUCGGUGAGGAAUAAUACUUGAUGAAGGCUCAUAAUAAGCAACAUGGUUCGGUGCUAUUAUCGAGAUACCAGAGGGUAAUACUCGGAGUUAGAGAAAAAUAGAGGGUUGACAAGUGUAUUGAUAUGCAGAAGACAAGUACUUUAACUUGUCCGAGAAAAGGAAUCAAGGAAUAUCAAUAUGGCCGAAACCAUAGCUACAAGGGAUCCAAUUUAAUGACACCGAAAGAAUUAUCCAACUAAUUAAAUGUUUUGCAAGAAGCUUCCAUGAUAAGUUCCACAUCAGGUCCAUGGGCCUGAAAACUAAGUUCAAGGUCAACUCCCACUUCUCCAAAGCACAACCUUACAUUCACUUCUCGUUUCGAAAAUGGCAUUAGCGUUGAAAGUAUUACCUGGUGAAAUGCCAUAUGAGUAUGAACCGUGAAACCUCUCAGGUUCGCACAGAUUAGGGAAACCAUUGGUUCAACCCACCGGGGCAUCUUAGGGACAUAUACCACAAACUUCAGAGUAAAUAUCACCAGCUCGAAAGUAGAGUAUGGUUGGCCAAAUAAGAUAAUAGGAUUUACCAAUGGCAUUAUUAUCAAGGAAAGAACUCCAAGUUUUGAGAACAUGCAAGAACGGUCGGAUAAUAAUCCACCAAAGGAUCUAGCGGACCGCAAAGGAUCUAAGGUGAGUAACGGUACCCAACCAGAAGAAGAAAGAAUGCAAGGGAUCAUAUUAUAUAAACAACUGACUAAUUCAAAGCUCAAAUGUAAAGGAAAUAUGAUUUCCAAAUCAAGGGAUCAAAAGCAAACGCUCUGAUUAAGGAUGGAUAAGUUCAGUAAGCUUACACUACAAAAAAAUACACUUCCGUGAUGAUACGUGUUUGUCACAGUAGGUCGCGUUUUUUGUCAUGCAUGUACAUCCAUGUCGAUUUUAUGAUAGAAUCAAAAUAGUCAUACAUGUGCUGUCGUAGAAGUGUUCCAUGACAUUACCAAAAUUAUCAUCACGGAAGUGUCCACUUCCAUGAUGAUAAAUCGCGCGUCACAGAAGUGCUUUCGUCAAGGGUGAACGACACGUGGCAUCCACUAUAACGGAAUGCCGUUAAGCUAUCGGGUCGGGUUUUGGAUCCGAUAACCCGUUAACAGCCCCGACCAAUGGGGAUUUUCCACGUGUAGAAUCAUCAUUGGCUGGAGGAAACACAUGUCAGCUCAUCGUUGGGACAGAUGUUAUCCACUCAUUGGACAGAAGGCGCCUAUGAUACGUCGACACGUGGCACGGCCCAACAGAGGCCCAUUCCUGUGAAAAGGCCGGACUGUUUGACUUGGUCAAAAGGUGGCGGGCCGGCCCAUGGAAAGCCUGUUAACGGCAUGUUCGCAUAUAGCCCAUUUACAACCCGCUAACCCAAGGCCCGUUACGGCCUAUCCGAAUUAGGCCCAGUAGCGUCAUCUGGGCCAUCCAAUAUGAUUCCAGCCCGUUUUCACUUCUGGCCCAUGUAUGGCCUAUGACGUCUUUCCGCCCAUAUGAGGCCCUUUGUAACUCUUGGCCUAUUAACAGCCCGUGGUGAAACUGGCCCGUAAUGAACCGUUUAUCACUUUGCAGCUAUUAAUGACCCGUGGUGAAACUGGCUCGUUGUCGGUGUCAAAACCGGCGGAUCUCGAGUAUGGUGUCCCGAUCUGUGCGUCUUAGGUUGAUGGUAACAGGAAGCAAGGGACGCAAUGUUUACCCAGGUUCGGGCCCUCUCGAUGGAGGUAAAACCCUACUUCCUGCUUGAUUAAUAUUGAAGAUAUGUGGAAUACAAGAGUAGAUCUACCACGAGAUCGUAGAGGCUAAACCCUAGGAUCUAGCCUAUGAUGGUAUGAUUCUAAUUGUGAUUGGCCUUCUAAGGACCACACUCUCCGGUUUAUAUAGACACCGGAGAGCUAGGGUUUACAUGGAGUCGGUUACAAGGAAGGAAACAUAAUAUCCGGAUCGCCAAGCUUGUCUUCCACGUAAAGGAGAGUCCCAUCUGAACACGAGCCGAAGUCUUGGGUCUUGUAUCUUGACGCUUCUAUAGUCUGGACGAUGAAUACAGUCCGGCUAUCCGGAUACCCCCUUAUCCAGGACUCCCCCAGUAGCCCCUGAACCAGACUUCAACGACGAUGAGUCCGGCGCACAGUCUUGUCUUUGGCAUUGCAUGGAAGGUUCCUCCUUCCGAAUACUCCAAGGUGAUUAUAGAACACGUAGGUUGUGUCCGGAUCUGCAAGAUGAUCUUCACACACCCUUAGCAUAAAUCCAUUCUGCUGGCAAUCUUCGUAUGUCGUGCCCUUGCAUCGUGACCUGGUCCAACAUGAACCAGCAUUUCCUGCUCCACCUCGACUCGCGUUGCGAGGCGGUUUUAUCGGCACGUCCUGCGAAAGUAGAGAUUGUGUCCCUCUUAAUACGGGAUCUUUCAUCAAUAUGGGCAUAUGCGACCCCACGACGACUGUUGGUAUAAUUCCUUGUCUCUCUUUAGAUAAGUCUCAAGCGGCCACGCUGAGGACUCUUGGUAUUCAUCCCUUUUAUAAGGGGGUCAAGGCCUACACUUCGUUUCUACCUCUCCUGCUCCUUCUCGCACCUCGAGCUCCAUCGCUCAAAACCUAAGCUCCAACACGCCAGAUCCUCUAGUAUGUCCGGAUCCGACGCAGCAGGCCGGUGGGUGGCCUCCUUGAUCCAGGAGGAGGAUAUUGCAAAGCUGAGGGAGGUUGGAUACCUGACUGUUGAUAUGCAACACAGGCUUCCUGGUCCGGGGCAAGUCAUCCCCAUGCUGGAGCCCAAUGAGAGCGUCAUGUUUACUCCUCACUUCCUCCGAGGCCUAGGCCUCACCCUCGACCCCUUUGUGAGGGGGCUCAUGUUCUAUUAUGGCUUGGAUUUCCAUGAUCUGGCUCCAGACGCCAUCCUCCAUAUCUCGUCUUCCAUUAUUGUGUGCGAGGCUUUUCUCCAUGUCAACCCACACUUCGGCUUGUGGCUCAAGACCUUCAAUGUGAAGCCGAAGAUGAUCGAGGGGCCACAUGCGGAGUGCGGGGGCGCCAUAAUAAGCAGGAAUGCUGAUGCUCCAUGGCCAGAGGGUUCUUUUCCGGAAGUGUCUGAUGUAUGGCAACGAAGAUGGUUCUAUGUCACCGCUCCCAGAGGCACAAAGCGGGUAGCUGCCCCUGAGUUCCGCUCAGGCCCUCCAUCAAAGUUGGCGUCUUGGACCGACUUGGGACGGAAUUAUGGGCCUGCUGGUGAUGUACCAGAACUACAGAACCGCAUCCAGGAGCUUAUUAGGAGGGACAUAAAUCUUGUCAGCAUAAUUCAAGUAAUGCUAGUCCGGCAGAUAUUGCCAUGCAAACGACGGCCUCUCCGUAUGUGGGAGUUUAAUCCGGAAGGUCUGCGGACUAUUAAGCACUUCUUCGGCUUGCCGCUCGAAGGAAUGUGUAAAUUAUUCUUCGGACCACAAGCAAAGUGUCCAGACACCACCGAGGAUGCAUGCCUAAGCUACAAUCGCCUAGAUGCCCAAGUAAGUAACCUUAAAGCCAGACACUUCAUUUAUAUUUAUCAUGAUCAUUAUUCUAACACUCCCUCCGCAGCUAGGAAUGGCUUGACAAGGCGAAGAGAAUCAGGUGUCCGGCACCACUUCCUGAAGGCUCGCCUGGUCCCACCAUUGCAAAGAUGCUGGACUGGGCGCUCAGCAAAAUCCCUUCAGAGAAGGACAAAGGAAAGGGCAGUGAAGCCGAACUUCACGCGCUGCACAUCUAGACCGGGAAAAUUGCUAACCCUCCUAUGGAGGAUACUCGGGAAGGGAAGGUCAAAGCCUCCUCCCCACGCGGGAAGAAGAGGGCCGCCUCCGAAGAUUUGGAGGCGGAGACGCCCAAGCAAGGGAAGAAAACAUCACCAAGGGGCUCUACCGCGACGGGCACCCUCACCACGCCAUGCCCACCAACGGGCCAGCCCUCCAACAAGCCGUAAGUCAUUCAUUAAUUUGAAAGUCAGAUGCUACUCCGAGAUCCAUAAUCAGGACUUUGUUUUUUGUAGUCCGGCAAGCAGCUCUUCUCAACAGAGUUUGUCUUCGUGGGACCUUCAUCCGGAGAUGAUGGAGAGUGAAACCCCACCCAACUCUCCGCCUCAUGAGGCGGGCGACACGGAGGUGUUGUCACGGAGGAUCCCGGAUAUACCGAAGCCGGAGGCUAGUACAUCAGGCUCCCUGAGCCCGGAGCAUUUGGCUCCCACGAGGGGCGAUGAGAAGGGUCCGACAUAGUUUAGUGUCCGGCCGGACAUACUGACGGGCCAUCUGUAGCGAGUCGUGCUCUCGGAGGAGCACCGCUCUUUAAUGAGAAUGGUGCUUACGAAGAUUUCAUCCGCUACCAGCGGCUUGAAUGAGGCAUUUACAAGCCUACUCAAAGGUUUUGAGGUAUGUAGUGAAAAAAUGCACAACUUUUUGGUUAUGAAGCACGCGCUAGGUGUGCUCCCUAUAUAUAGUAGCCCCUGAGACUUUGGUUGCCCGCCAUAGGUGGCAAACGGGGGAUCAUAUACUAAUGGCUGCACCGUACAUGUGCGUAGGUAUACAAGGAUCCGGCAGCCAACCAGUCUGUUGAAGUUGCCGAGCUAAGGAGGCAAAUCGGAUCCAUCGAUGCCGAUAUCACGCUCGUGAAUAAACAGCUUGAGGAGUCCCAGGGUAUGUGCUUGGUUUUUAUUAUAAUGUAUAGGAAAAUGCCAAAGAGGCAUAAUAUUAAUGCAAUGUAUUGGCACUGCAGAUGGUGCUGCUGCCGUGGAGGCCCUGAGGGCGGAACUUGCUCAAGCCAAGGAACAAGCUCGGGCUAGCAAUGCGGCUUCGCUAAAGGAGGCCGAAGAGUUGAGAGCCGAACAGGCUGCUCGUCGACAAAGCGAGGAAAAGAUAGCCGGAAUGACUGAAGAGUUAAAAAAUGCCGCCGACCCGUACGCACUCCUUGAAAAGGAGAAUAAGGCUAGUUCGGCCGAGCUGGACAAGGCACGUAAUGCCGCCAAGGAGAUGCGGACCGAGAUCCGAAGUAUGCGGGAGGAGCUCCAUCAAGCUGACAAAAUCAUGGCUCGGGGUUCGUACUUACUACGGACGAAGUUCUUGGAUCCGAAAUAUGCUCCCCUGGCGGGUCGCAUGAGUCCUGCGGACACAUAUGCGGACUUCGCGAAUAGGACGGCUGAUGCUGUCAAGUUCUUCGAGGGUCAAGGCGAUGAAGAAGUGGAGAGGCUUUUUUGGUCGCAGUUUAAUGCUCCCACUCGCCCGCUGCCACUGAAUGAGAAGGUGGCUACUAUGGCGGAGCUCCACAGGCUGUUCGGACUUGGAAUGCGGUCUGUAAUAGACCAUCUUUGGCAGAAGGGGCCUAAGCCGGACAACUACUUUGGUUUGGUGCAACAAUUCCUUGGAUCCGUGUCCCGGAUUGACGCCCUGAGAAGGUCGGCAUGCAUAGAGGGUGCACGGAUGGCUCUAGCCCGCGUUAAAGCCUACUGGACGGAUAUGGAGGCCACUAUAAUAGCGAGCCAGGAUCCGGCGGGAGGCCAACAUCCUACUGAGCACUACUUGGUGCAAGUCAUAGAAGGUGCCCGCCUAAUAGGGGCGCAGUGCUCGAAAAGUGUUUUAUUCGAGUGAUAAGUCGAAUCAUUGUAGAAAACAAUGUUUAUUUUAAUUAUGAGGCUAUGUUUAUACUUUUGCCCGGAAGAAUGAUUGUCCUCCCUUUGCGGCUAUUCUUAUAUGUAUAAGUAGUCUGAAAGAUAGCAGUCGUUGGCUUCAUCCCCCUCGCGGACAAUGCGGGGGUGUUGGCGAAAAAAUAUGCAUAAUCACACUUGAUCCAACGUCUUGGUCCAUUAAGGAGGUGAUCGCACGCCGAACUAGGUAACCGGACUAUAUAGCUGUAACACUUUCGCUUAGCCAUGGGAGUCUAAUGGUGGGGCUACUAUGUAGCCCCUGGUACCUCCAGGUGCAUCCGAAUACGGGCGCGUGUGUACAUGGCCGGGAAACGACCCUUCGUUAAGGCGAAGGAAUCUUUAGGGAUUCCGGUGAGUCUUCAAGUGGUUGAACAGUCUCUCGCUGUAUCAUGACGGUCAGUUUUCGGCUUUCUCUACUGAGGUGCUCAUCCGGAAUAACCAGGGCACAAUCGCAAUAGUUCUCCUUUGGCCUGCCUUAGCCGGGUGAUAGUGGAACGUAAGGCAGCAAACCCAGGAGCCGGGCAAAACCAACAUUUUGACCAAAGACAUGAUUCGGAGCUGAUGCAUAUACGGCCAAACUCGUGAUGCCGAACACUCCCGAGGGUAUUUGGUCUUUUGUAAAAGAAGAUAGGUGACAAGAGCCUAUUUUAAGCCCUUUAUUUCUAGGUACGUGCAAUUUAGUAUGUCGUGGCCAAAUGCCAAAAACGGCAGUAUCCUGUGUGGGUAUAGAACCCAUGGGAUGGUCUAAACAACAAGAGGCAGUAGAAAAGGUUUACACAGGGGAUUAAUCUAAAAAGAAACCUAUUGCACGGGGCCCUGCUGCACGUCUGCGCCUUUGUCUCCAUUGUACCGUAUCCUGGAAGGGUAUCGCGCGAACAUUGUCUGUAAAAAAAGAAAAACUCGUAGGAGGGUGCAACGUAAGUAUGCGAUCAAUAAUAAGAGUGUAAGCUGUUGGCCUGCCGAUAAGGUCGAGCUAAGUGUGGGGCUGUAUUAAGUAUAGACAACCCCUUGAUUCCCUUAUGGGAUUACAUAUACAGUGCCAUGUUUGAAUUUAUCCGGGCUACCAGACUCGUCUAACCGUGUCUGUGGUCGUAAUGACCAAUCAUGUUUUCUAAAACUGGAGGCCGCUUAUAGUUCGGCCGCCAGGGCCAUCGCGUAUUCCUCUGCGCGUGAAGGGCGCUUUAUGAUUCCGUGAACGGUGAUGACGCCACGGGGACCGGGCAUCUUGAGUGUAAGGUGGCCAUAGUGCGGCAAUGCGUUGAAGCGGGCGAAGGCCGUUCUUCCUAGCAAUGCAUGAUAGCUGCUUUGGAAGGGUGCGAUAGUGAAGAGAAGCUCUUCGCUUCUUGAGUUUCCUGGGGAGCCGAAUGUUACUUCCAGCACGACGGAGCCCCUGGCGCAGGCUGCAAUGCCUGGUAUCACCCCUUCAAAGCUGGUGUUGCUUUGUUUAAUUCUGGAUGGGUCUAUCCCCAUUCUAUGGACAGUUUCCUUGUAUAUUAAAUUGAGACCACUGCCGCCGUCCAUGAGGACACGGGUGAGACGGUAUCUGUCGAUUAGUGGGUUAAGCACCAAGGCAUGUGAUCCUCCGCGCCGAAUACUAGUUCGGCCGUCCAUGUGAUCGAAAGUGAUCGGACGAGACAUGCAGUAGUGAGACGUGGGUAUCACGGGCUCUACAUCGUGCGCUUCUAUGUGCGCGUGUUUAUGCCCUCUCGUGGAUGUGCGAGUCGCGUGGAUCAUGUUUACUAUUUUAACCUUUGGCGGGAUUUUUUUUCUGUACCCCAGUGUUUGGCUGGUGAGGUUCAUCCUCGUAUUCGCUUGGUGUGCCCCUCCCCUUCUGUUCGGCAUUUAAUUUGUCGGCCUGCUUGAAGACCCAGCACUCUCUAUGGGUGUGGUUCGCAGGUUUUUCGAGGGUGCCAUGAAUUUGGCAUAGUCUGUCCAGGACUCUGUUCAGACCGGACAGUCCGUCUUUAGUGCCUUUGAAUGGCUUCUUAUUCUGAUCAGGUUGAGAGCCCUUGAAUCCAGCAUUAACCGUCGUGUUAUCCGUGCUCACUUCCUUGUUUGGCACUUGUUUUUAUUUCGCCGUGGCUUCCCGUUGCCAUCCCUUAGUUCGGAUGUGCUGGGGUUGCUGGUACCUUUACGGGCCAACCAACUAUCCUCACCCGUGCAAAAGCAGGUCAUAAGGCUUGUUAAGGCUGCCAUUGGCCUUGGCUUUUCUUGGCAAAGGUGUCGGGCGAGCCAUUCGGCACGGAUGCUGUGUUUGAAAGCCGCUAAGGCUUCAGCGUCCGGACAGUCGACAAUUUGAUUCUUAUUAGUGAGGAAUCUGUUCUAAAUCUUGCUGGCGGACUCUCCGGGCUGUUGGAUUAUGUGACUUAGAUCGUCUGCAUCCGGAGGCCGGACAUAAGUCCCUUGAAAAUUGGCCCUGAUAGCGUCUUCGAGUUCCUCCCAACUCUCAAUUGAGUUUUCGGGGAGGCUUUUCAACCAGUGUCGAGCUGGUCCCUUCAACUUGUGGGGAAGGUAUUUGAUGGCGUGGAGGUCAUCCCCACGAGCCAUGUGAAUAUGCAGGAUAAAAUCCUCGAUCCAGACCCCUGGGUCUAUCGUGCCGCCAUAUGCUUCUAUGUUCACAGGUUUAAAGCCUUGUGGGAAUUCAUGGUCCAGUACUUCUUCGGUGAAGCACAGGGGGUGAGCAACCCCUCUGUAUCUGGACGCAUUGUGGCAUGUAGUCAGCUGUUGUUGUGUCCGGGGUUGAUUCCGAACUGGUAUCUGGCUUUUAUCAGCGUUUGGGUGACCAUAGUCCUGCGCUGGGGUGUGUCUUCUAGAUCCAUAUAUGGACCUGGCUGCACCUGUCUUUUUAUCCAGAUGCUCACGUGGAUCAUGUGCAAUGUCCGCGGCCGCUCUGUUAUGGUUGUGAGGCAGUACGUCUGGUUUCUUGGUCGAAAUUUCUUUUGGUGGAACGGCCGCAUCAUCGAAUUCUAGCAGUAGCUUGUGCUUCGAAUAGGUUUUUGUAUGGUAGUCAUCGCCAUAUCUUUCUUCAGUGUCUAGCACCCUAUUCCAUCUGUGACUUAGCUUUUCCUGUGCGGCCUUGAGCCGUUGCUUUUGCUUUUCUAGACUUCUUGCGGUGGCCAUAAGCUUUCUGUGGAAGUUGUCUCGUUCCACUUGUUCGUCCAGGAUGAUGAAUGCAUCCUCAUCCGGACUGUCUUCCUGGGGCGGCAUCCUGAGCUCGUCCCUCCAGAUCAUCGUGAUCGGGUAUUUGCUCCGAACUUCAUUUGGCGUGACCUGGCUCGUCCUGCUCCAUCGAUGGGUCCGUGUGGUCAUUAUUGUUUUUGGAGUUUGCGGGUAUAUCAACCCUUCUUGCGCUCUUGUCGCUAUAUUUGCUAUUGUUGGACUUUGAGCGGCGUCUGCGCCGCCUCUUUGGCUUUUGCCCGGGUGUUUUAUCGUCCGGGUUGCCGUCCUUAUUGGGCGUAUCUACCAUGUAUAUAUUGUAUGACAAGGUAGUAGUCCCGCGCUCCAGGGAUUCUGGAGCCUGUCCUGCAUCGUCGUCCAUACCGUUGAUGUCUUCAGAGUCAAGCACGUUGGUUAAUUCUUUGGUCGUGGCAACGAAGUGGGUGGUGGGUGGGCGCCGAAUUCCUUCAUCGCCUGCUUCCCACUCGGGCCGGACAUAGUUCAACCCAGAGUCUCCUGACAAAGAGAGAGACUUCAAGGAGUUCAGCAUGUCGCCAAAGGGCGAGUGCUGAAAGAUGUCCGCAGAGGUAAACUCCAUUACCGGAGCCCAACCUGGCUCUGCUAGCUCGAGAGUGAUCGGAACAGGACCAACAGCCGGAUAUGAGUCCGGGGGUCCGGGGUUACACGCCUCCACAGAGGUGGGACCCGUGUUCGGCUCCACCGCCGGUAAGUGUGCGGCCUGCGGAGCGGGGUACAGCCCUCCGUCCAUAGGCAACGCAACCCGUCCUAGAUUUAGAUCCAAGGCCACUUCGAGGAUGAUGUCCCGGGCACUGUCAGACAACAUGUCUAGGCCGUGCUCGUCGUGGUUGUCCGGCGCUCCUGGCGCAGGCUCGAAUACGUUGAAGAUCAAGUCUCCGUGGACAUCUGCCGUGUAGUUCAAGUUUCCGAACCUGAUCUGGUGGCCAGGGGCGAAGCUGUCGAUCUGCUCCAACUGGCCAAUCGAAUUGGCCCGUAGUGCAAAGCCACCGAACACAAAGAUCUGUCUGGGGAGAAAAGUCUCGCCCUAGACCGUGUUGUUGACAACUGAAGACGCCAUCAAGCCUCGAAGCGACGACACAGAGGAACUCUCAAUGAAAGCACCAAUGUCGGUGUCAAAACCGGCGGAUCUCGGGUAGGGGGUCCCGAUCUGUGCGUCUUAGGCUGAUGGUAAUAGGAAGCAAGGGACACAAUGUUUACCCAGGUUCGGGCCCUCUCGAUGGAGGUAAAACCCUACUUCUUGCUUGAUUAAUAUUGAAGAUAUGUGGAAUACAAGAGUAGAUCUACCACGAGACCGUAGAGGCUAAACCCUAGGAGCUAGCCUAUGAUGGUAUGAUUGUAAUUGUGAUCGGCCUUCUAAGGACCACGCUCUCCGGUUUAUAUAGACACCAGAGAGCUAGGGUUUACAUGGAGUCGGUUACGAGGAAGGAAACAUAAUAUCCGGAUCGCCAAGCUUGUCUUCCACACAAAGGAGAGUCCCAUCUGGAUACGAGCCGAAGUCUUGAGUCUUGUAUCUUGACGCUUCUAUAGUCCGGACGAUGAAUACAGUCCGACUGUCCGGAUACCCCCUUAUCCAGGACUCCCUCACCCGUAAUGAACAUUGUAUCACCUUAUACCCAUUAACGGCCCGUUAUUCCGUUGGGCCGUUUCCAGCCCAUGUUAUCUUCCGGCCUUCUCAGAGCCCAUUUAUUCUUGGGCUCAUUUCUAGCAUUCGUUUACUUAUGGCCCGUUACUGUCAUUUUCUGCUUGUGGGCCAAAUUCAGCCCGUGGUUACAGUCGGCCCGUUUGUGGUCCGUUAAUACGUUUGGUCGUUUUCAUAGCGUCAUCAAAUACAGCCUAUUAAUGAUGGCCCGUUAUGGUCGGCCCAUGAACGGACGAUUCCAACUCUAGCCCGUUACGACCAUAAUGCGUUCUGUUUGGCCCAUGUUUGUCCAAUCGAUCAUACGGCCCGUAUAAGGCCCAUUGAUGAUACGGCCCGCAGAAGGCCCAUUGUUUCUACGGCCCGUAGAAGGCCCAUUGUUUCUACGACCCAUAGAAGGCCCACUAUUUCUAUGGCCCGUAUGAGGCCCAGUGUCACUACAGUAAAUAUUAGCCCAUGGUUAUUGUGGCCUAGUUUUAAAAAAUAGGUUAUUGCAGCCACGAGCAAACCGUGGAAAAAGAACUGCAAUGACUACAAGCAAACAAAUAAACAAGACAACAAGGAAAUAAAUAAGCAAGCAACUAAUGCUAGGCUAUCACGGCUAUUACACAUAUUACAUCCAUUGGGCAUCAAAGUUCGCCACCAGUGCAAAUAUAGGGAACAAAGCAGCAUAUCAUAUACACUGGUUGUCAAAGUUGGCGACAAGAGCAAAUAAACGCCGCAGCAAAACAAAUCUAUAACUGAAACCACUUCAGAAGAUAUCAAGAAACAAUAUCCUGGGUACCCAUAAUGCUGGCAAGAUGCUUAGCAAGCUUAUUAACUUUCUCUUGUUUGGUGCUUAAAUCCUCCAGCACUUGCUGUUGCACUAGAAAAUAUGCAUCUGAAUUAUGGAGGGACUUCCUCAGUCCUCCAGCUUCCUGUCGCAGAACAUCUGAUCGAUGUCUUUCAACUUGAAGUUGAGACUCAAGAAGACAAACUGAUUCAGGCAGCGAGUUCGAAGAGCUUGUGCCAGAAGUAGUGGCCAGUAACUCAAACACUACAUCAAGACAGGACUUUUGGGUUCUCUCAUUGUCGUCAAGAUAGUUUUUACCAGCUUUCUUGGAGACCAACAGGGAUGUCUCACUAUCUUGAACCUUAUCUGCAUUACUUCCUUUACCAUUUGGUAACGCGGUACUGUUCUCCAAUAUUUUGUCCGUAUUCUAAAAGAGAAACAAGCAGACACAUCACAUGUUUACCAUGUUGUAUAUGAAACUCAUUUUGGUAAAUGAGUUUAGUAGUAAAGUGGACAGGAUAACAGCAUGAAGCAAACAUAUAUCUAUGUACCAUGGUCACUUUAUGGUCUAUAUCAUUCUAGUUUUUGUUUCCAAAUCAAGAUAGAGACACAGUUCAAAUAAUAUUUGUUCAAGACAAAGCAGAAUAGACAGAAUAUAAGUGUAGGAAACUAUAGAGCAAUAACAACACUUGUAAUGUGCAUGACAUGAGAACAUAACUGUUUAUUCAAUUCAAACUGAAAUCAACAUACAACAGCAAACAAGUUAAAGAAACAUGUUUAAAACAUACCUGUUGCGCCAUUGGAGUUUCAAUUCCAUCCUUCAAAUUUGAAAAUAGUUGGUAUGAGUAAAUACAGUAAUGCAAGAGCAAAGUAGUAUGAACCAUAACUACAGAACCUGACCUAAGAACAAAUCUUCUUCUCCUUUAAGCGUUGAGUUGGGAUUCAGAGUGGUGGUUCUCAUGCUUUGGGCACUACAGUUCCCUUACUAACUGCUCGUGCUUGGGUGCUCUAUGGUGGAGACGGUGCUGUGUCAACUGGAACUGGGUUACUAUCUGCCGGGGUUGGGGUUAGAAGGGGUGUAGCUGGUUCUCUGUCCAACUGGGUAGGGGUACAAUCUGCGAGAGUCUGGGUUAUGUGUGGUGGAUCUGGUCCUUGGGCAAGUACAACCGUGGUACUAUCUGCAUCAACUGGUAGCACUAUCUUUUCUAAAGACCGUGUUGUUACUCCCUUAGAUACUGCCAUCACCCUCUCCAAUUCAAAUGGCUGAUAAACAAGAAAAUUAAUUGAAAGUAUUGACAUUGUAUGAUAGACAGGUGCAAUCGAUAGUGGGGAAUUAAAGAGGGCAUGAAAUAAUUCAUAUUUAUGUUGUCUAACCAAACAUGAUAGCAUGACACAAUUUCACAUAUAUGAUGGCUAACUAAACAGGAUAGCAUGACACAAUUUCACAUUAUGAUGGCUAACUAAAAAAGAUGGAAAUACAUAGUUGAAAAUAUGAGACUAUGUAAACAGGAUGGCAUGAUAUAACUAUAUAAUGUGUUUAUUAAAUAGGUUGGCAUGCCAUAAUUCACAUACAUUCACGGAUAGAAUGUCAUAAUUCAAAAUAUGAUGAAUGUAAACACUAAACAGGAUGAGAUGAUAUAACUAUAUGAUGUCUUUAUUAAAUGGGUUGCCAUGCCAUAAUUCAGAUAGAUGAUGUGUAUGUGCUAUGUAAACAUGAUGGCAUGAUAUAAUUCAAAUAUAUGAUUUAUAUAGUAAGCAAGUAAGUAGAUGGCAAUCCAUAUAUGACGUAAAAACUAAGCAAUGCAAGAGAACAUGCAUGACAUGGGUAAUAUAACCCUGCAAAGUUAGAGCAUAGACCUCAGGGGGAAAUAGGACUGGUCAUCAGUCUCUGAAUCCUCCUGUGAGGAGCUCUCUGUAACCAGCAAGAUGUCUGCUUCAGCAGGUAGCAUUGUCUGCUAUGAAUACCUUGUUUUCACUCCAGAUACUUCCAUCACCACUUCAAAUGGCUGAUGCCCAGGAAGAGUAGUUGAAUAUACAAAUGUUGUCGACAAAUGGAACACGUAAUACAAAAAAUGAUAGCAUGAUAUAAUUCACAUACAUGAUGAUUGGCUAAACAACAUGGCAUUGUAUGAUUCACAUAUAUAAUGCCUUUGCAACAAGAUAGCAUUGUAUAAUUCACAUAUAUAAUGUCUUGCAACAAGAUGGCAAUGCAUAAUUCACAUAUAUGGUAAUUAGACACUGAACAGGUCGCAUUCACACAAAGCAUGUCUAAACUAAUCAAAUGACAUCUCAAUGAGAGACACCAUACGCACGAUAUGAGCAACAUAACCCUGCCAAGUUAGAUCAUACACCUCGGGGUGGUGGGGUGGUGGGGGGGAUAGGACUGGUCAUCUGUCUCUGAAUCCUCGUCUGAGGAGCUAUCCAUAACCAGCGAGAUAUGCGCUUCGUCAGAUAGCAUAGUUUGCUCUGAAGACCUUGUUUUCACUAUAGAAUUUGCCAUCACCAUGUCAAAUGGCUGAUGCACACGAAGAGCAGUUGAAUGUACUAACAUUUUUGACAAAUGUAAUAUGUAAAGAAAAAAAGGAUGGUCUGAUAUAAUUUACAUAUACAAGAUGACUGGCUAAGUAGGAUGGCAUUGCAAAAUUCACAUAUAUGAUGCCUAGCUAAACAAGAUGGCGUUGCAUAAUUCACAUAAACGAUGAAUAAACUAAACAAAUGGCAUUCGCACAAAGGAUGUCUAAACUAAGUAGAUGACAUAUUUGAUGUAUAAAGUAAGCAAUGCAAGACACCAUAUGCAUGAUAUAACCAACAUCAGCAUGCCAAGUUAGAGCGAAGACCUCAGGGGGUAAAUAGGAGUUGUCUUCUCCUUCUGAAUACCCCUCAGAACAGAUAUCUUCCUCUCGAUUACAAUCUGAAAUGCGUGGAGGGGGGGGCUGCCUUUGCACCUACCAUGGAGCGCCGUCUGCAUGAAAUUUUAUUGACACACAAGGCUCGUCUCUUUUGCUCUACAUGUUCAGUUCCAUUGUUUACAAUAACUGUCAUGCAUAGUAAUAAAACAUGGUGAGAUUAUUUAAGGAGUGCAUGCAGAAAUCCAGAGUGAUGGUAGCAACCUGUGGAUAGACCCAAAACCAAUAUUAGCAGGCAGAUAAUGGCUUCAGUUAAAAAAUACAGAUAAUGGCUUCUUUACUGUUUGUUUCCCACCCAACAUGAAACUCAUAGUAGACACCAAAGAUUAACCAGAUAGUAGAUAGAUACUAUUGAUUGCGACCCCGAUAUGUACCCCACAACCAUUUAAAAACUCAAGUUUAACCAUUAGUUUGGAGCUGACUCAGAGUCUAAUCGGUGAACAUGACGAUAAAGUAGCAUGUAAUAUUAAGCGAUGCAUAACGUAAGCAGACACGAAAGGGUGCGACCUCUCUUGCAGACCUGUGUAGUCCUCGAGGUCAUCUGCUUGGUUGAUGAUGGUAAUGCAGUUUUCAUGGCUACCGGCGGCGGGGAAGAAGAUCUAAGGCGGCGAAAGACACUCUGGAGGACGGAUCCCUGCUGUGCUAGACCCUUCUGUCGUUGGAGCAGCUGAGCUGGGGUGGACGACGAUGCAGGAGGAGCGGGACAAACCAUGCAAGGUUUUCUUUGACAACUAUCUGUAAGAGAAGUAAUUCUGUAAAUGCUCGUUUGAAUUGGAGGAUUCCAACAAUGUAGGGAUAGGAAAUAGACAGGAAUAGGAUAGGAAUGCACGUACAAAACAGAGAAUUUAAAAACAUAUGAUUUCUGCCAAUCUGGGUGUUUGAUUCACAACAAUUGGAAGAUCAAAUGAUGCAAAGAAGCAUAGUGAGAUUAAGUCAAACCACAAGAAAAUGUACAGUUAUAAUGCUAUUAUGCUACUAUCUGUUAGUCUUGUGCUUCAUGAAUAGGAAUUUGAAAAGGAGGACAAGUGAAAUAUUAAAAUUCCUAUGUUUUUUUAUUUCAAGGAGACACUAAAGGAACAAAUCUAUGUGCUCAGUGGACAAUAAAUAUAACAUGUAGAGUGAAAAAGAGAUGCAACAAGUGUACAACCUCUUUAGUGAAGCCAUGACGAUCUCAGCGUGAUUGAGUUGGCCGGUGAGGAUGCUCCGACUGACUUGGCUGUCGUGGGUGGGGAAGAAGAUCUUAGGCAUCUGGAGAUGGAGCCCGAGGUACAACUCCACUGUGAUGGAGGGUUUCGUCAUUGGAGCAGCUCCGGUGAGUUGUACAUGAAGUAGGACAAGAGAGACAACGAACAACGUUAACCUGAGUGGAAUUCUAAUAGCAUCUCCAAUACAUGACGUAAAAUACAUAACCACAAAGUGCUAGAUGUAAAAUACAUCAGUGGCUCAUCUCUGAACUUAACUAUCAAAGUUUAAUUUAACUGUCGAAACUGAACUUAAACUGUUGAAACUGAAUUUUGCUGUCGAAACUGAAUUUUGCUGUCGAAACUGAAUUUUGCUGUCGAAACUGAAUUUUGCUGUCGAAAUUGAAUGCACUAGAAAGGUGAGGCUACACGUCGGUCGACUGACUUUUUCAUCUCUGGUCAGUCGAUUUUGCAGCAGUUGGAUACGAAAUCAAGGGCCUGCAGUUCAUCUUCAACCUCCACCCCGUGAGCCGCCAGCGACCACCGGCCAAACAGCAGCCCGCCGCCGCCCGCGGCCAGCGGUGCGCCGCCCCGCCCGCCCCAAAAACACUCCCCACCGUCGGUCCGCCGCCGCCCCGGCCAUCCCUUUAGGCCCCCCCAUGCCGAGCUUUUUCUCCGGCGAUCCCCACGCCAUCGCCCCGCGAACGCCUCGCCAUCGCCGGUGACCACCGCCCCUACCAUGAACCCUAAGAUAGAUAAUGGGGUACCUCUCCGAUGAGCCCCCAUCCCGGCUGCGGCUGGUUCUUCCAUCACCCCNNNNNNNNNNNNNNNNNNNNNNNNNNNNNNNNNNNNNNNNNNNNNNNNNNNNNNNNNNNNNNNNNNNNNNNNNNNNNNNNNNNNNNNNNNNNNNNNNNNNNNNNNNNNNNNNNNNNNNNNNNNNNNNNNNNNNNNNNNNNNNNNNNNNNNNNNNNNNNNNNNNNNNNNNNNNNNNNNNNNNNNNNNNNNNNNNNNNNNNNNNNNNNNNNNNNNNNNNNNNNNNNNNNNNNNNNNNNNNNNNNNNNNNNNNNNNNNNNNNNNNNNNNNNNNNNNNNNNNNNNNNNNNNNNNNNNNNNNNNNNNNNNNNNNNNNNNNNNNNNNNNNNNNNNNNNNNNNNNNNNNNNNNNNNNNNNNNNNNNNNNNNNNNNNNNNNNNNNNNNNNNNNNNNNNNNNNNNNNNNNNNNNNNNNNNNNUCCCAAAAGUCGAUUCAACCGACUAAAGUGUAGCUAAAUCGUAGCAGCAUCGCAAGCAAGAGCAAGAGCGAGAGCAGCAGCGUGAGCAAGAGCAAUAGCAAGAGCAGACCAGGCAAGAGGACCGAGAGGAAGAGCAGAGAAGCAGCGCAAGCGGGAGCUAAAGUAGCAGCAGCUCCUACUGAUGUGGACGCUACCGCCGAGGGAGCGACGCCGUGGAGGAAGUGGCCGGCGAUGCCGUCGUGGAUGGAGCCGCGCCGUGUAGGCUCGGGACCGAGCGCCGGCAGCACCGUGAGAUCGAAUCAAGAAGAAAAUGCGGCGAUUGGUGUACAACCUCUUUGGUGGCGCCGAUUAGGCUGCAGCUUCAUCCGAGGAAACGGUGAUGAUGAUGCUCUUCCGGUGGUGCAGGUGAAGACGGCGGUGUGGGAAUGGAGGUGUCAUGAAAGACGAGGGAACGUCGGGGCAGCUCCUUGGAGGUGGAGGAUGGGGUGGCUGAACCGGCGGGACGACGAGAUCAACGACGGAUCCUCAUCCGGUAUGGUGGAUGAGUGACGUCGAGGUGUUGCUGUGGACGACAUCGUCGGGGAAGAGGCUCUGGCUGGGUGGCAGACGGAGCAGGGUGUGGGGUUUCGUCGCUGGUUUUCGCGGCCUCGGUGUACGAAUGGAUGGGCUGAUGGGAUGGCAGUGGGGAACCAUGGCUUAGGGACGCGCUUGUCCGAAAUGUGGGGUAAGUUAAGAAAGUGCCCCCACCGAUUUGAGGCGAUUCUUUCGGUUCAGGGGUACCACAUGCAUUUCGCAUGUCGGGAUUUCACAGGAGGCGGGAGUUUUUGCACGCUUUGUAAUUUCGGAAUAGCAAGGCGCGGGUUGAGAUGGAGGGAGUUGUCGGAGUGCGACAAGACAAAGAUAUAUCUUAAAUAUUUCGGGCUAACAAGGCGCGGGUUGAAAUUUCCGGACAAGCCUAACGUGUACUGUACCAAAUCAAUCGCACUACAAAUGUCAUUCAAAACUUUGAAUUCCUGUUAUGUUCAAUUAAAAUAUUCCGCUAUGUAUAUAAUGCAUGCAACCUACUACUCAAAUGAACGUUUUAGUGCAUUCCGAACGUAUAUACUACCGCUUCAAUAUGAACUAAAUUUGAAUUUGUUUCUCUAUUAGAAUAAUAUCUACAGUAAUGAUUGUUCUGAAGUCAAAGCAUUUGAAUUCGUUUCUCUGUUUUAGUAAGAUCUACAAUCAUCAUUAUUGUCAAGUUAAACCAUCAUUUGUGUAUUAUCUUCAUAGCACACCACAUGAUUAGUCUCGAGUUACAUAUGAACUACGUGUACUAUAUGAACUCGAACUCAAUUUUUUGAAUCCACUUUAUGUUGAUUUCAAAUCACAUUACAUUUCUAGCUCUAGCUAGAUCUUCAUUAUCUAAACCAUGUCUCGUAUGUAUAAUGUGUUUAUCACAUUAUGUAUGGUGCCCCACCCCCUACGCCUACACGUAUUUAGAUGUGAGUUGCAAACACCACACAUUACCACAAAUUGAAAUAAAAUGUGAGAAUGUUCGAUAUAUAGUAUUGUUUAGAUUGUUUGAUAUUUAAAUGUAAGCUGCAAACACCACACAUUAUCACAAAUUCAAAUAAAAUGUUAGACUGUUUGAUGUAGAGUAUGGUUUGGAUUGUUCGGCAUUUAGCUGUGAGUUGCAAACGCCAUGCAUUAUCACAUUAUAGUAUAACAUGUGCACAGCACGUGUAUCACUUCUAUAUUCAUGCAUGCAAUGUUUAAAACACUAUGAUCUCCUACUCAAAUAUAUGAAUCCACUUUCAUAUCAAAUUAUGAUCUUUGUUAGUCUCUUACACCCACAAAAUCCUCUAACCUUUGUAGCUACCACUAACUUUCUCUCGUGCAUGCACACGCCCUCCUCGGCCUCCCCCUCCCUCGGCAUUCUAUCCACCGGGCACAUUCAUUUUUUUCUUUAGGUCGUUCUCCCAGAGUCUCCACAACUCCUUUCCGACACACACCGAUCGAUAAACCUCUCCAGCGAUGCCUGCCUACAACACACACACACACCUUCAAUCUCCUCCUUUAUGUGUCCUUGCCUCGUGUCUCUCAUACGGUCACACACACGUGUAAACUCCCGCCCCUCUUUUCAUCGAUCUCACAACCGCACACUCCUCCCCCUAUCUAGCUAGUACCUGGGCCUCUCGCACCACCUCCUCGCUCCAUUCUCUCUGUCUAUCCGUCUCGCUGGGCCUUAUUUGCGUCUAACAAAUGGACGUACACUGAGUGAUCUCUCGCUAUACAUAUACCUAUCUAGGUCCUUAAUUAUAACUCGUAUUUACCCACGCGUCGAUCGAUCUACCUCAUUAGUUGUGUCUCUCCCUUCCUCUGACAAACAACAAUUGAUCUACCAAUCUAGUUAGGUUUGCUUACCAAACACAUAGUUCCCCUUCAUCAUCCAUGGAUGCGUCCCGAUAGAUCUACCACGCAUAGGCACACACAGAAACACAUCCCCACUCUUAUUGAUAAUAUUGUAGUUCCACCGUCAGUUUGUCUAGUAGGCCUCUCCCACCAUCUUUGAGAAGCAACUCCAUCACCCAUACAACACUCAACCCCUCUCCCUCACUGUCUCUCUCCUCUCUCUCUCUCUCUCCCAUCAUAUUUCCCGUCCUUCAGUUAUGUAUGGAUGUCGACCGAUCUCCCUCAAGACAUACACUACAAAAAAAAGACACAUCCGUGACAUUUUGGGCCGAACGAAUUUUUUUUCUGUCAUACAUAUGACACUUCUAUGACGAUAAUUGUGACAAAACUCGGUAUCAUCAUAGAUGUGGUGGGCUCCUACUUCUAUGACAAAAAACCAUGACAGAAAAUGGGCUUUUCGUCUUGGGCGGGCCGGAGAUGCAGCUGCAUGACAUUCUUUGGGCCGUCCAUGACGAAAAAAAACGUGGUAGAACCGAGGGGGAGGAAAAUUUUGGGGAGUUGCCAGUUACGGUGGGAGGUCGGGGGACGAGCGAUGCGUGUUUCUCUCAUACACGUACGCGCGUGUGUGCGAGGCGUUGGCUCUAACUGAACCCGAGCGAGGCGUUGGGCUCUAACUGAACCCGAGCGACUGCACUGCAGGCUGCGCGUUACUGAACCCGAGAUCGAUGGCUGUUAACUGAACCCGAUCGAGCAAUUCCUUCNNNNNNNNNNNNNNNNNNNNNNNNNNNNNNNNNNNNNNNNNNNNNNNNNNNNNNNNNNNNNNNNNNNNNNNNNNNNNNNNNNNNNNNNNNNNNNNNNNNNNNNNNNNNNNNNNNNNNNNNNNNNNNNNNNNNNNNNNNNNNNNNNNNNNNNNNNNNNNNNNNNNNNNNNNNNNNNNNNNNNNNNNNNNNNNNNNNNNNNNNNNNNNNNNNNNNNNNNNNNNNNNNNNNNNNNNNNNNNNNNNNNNNNNNNNNNNNNNNNNNNNNNNNNNNNNNNNNNNNNNNNNNNNNNNNNNNNNNNNNNNNNNNNNNNNNNNNNNNNNNNNNNNNNNNNNNNNNNNNNNNNNNNNNNNNNNNNNNNNNNNNNNNNNNNNNNNNNNNNNNNNNNNNNNNNNNNNNNNNNNNNNNNNNNNNNNNNNNNNNNNNNNNNNNNNNNNNNNNNNNNNNNNNNNNNNNNNNNNNNNNNNNGGAGGGCUGGAUGAACAGUAGACGGUGGAGGGGUGGUUGAACAGUAGCCGGUGGAGUAGAGCAUAGUGGAGGCUGGAUGAAUAGGAGCCCGUGGAGGCUGAAGGAGGUCGACGGUAGCCCGUGGAGGCUGGAGGAGGUCGACGGUAGAGAUGAACAGUAUCCCGUGGAGUCCCAUUUUGCGGUACGCCACACCUCUCCCGAUGAACAGGACCCCCGUUUCGACCGUAGGAGGUCCGUUUCGUCUGUUUUGCGGUACGCCAGACACCUCCUGAUCAACUGGACCCCCGUUUCGACUAUAGGAGGUCCGUUUUAUCCGUUUUGCGGUAUGCCACACCCCUCCCGAUCAGCAGGACCCCCGUUUCGACCGUAGGAGGUCUGUUUCCUCUGUUUUGCGGUACGCCAGACCCCUCCCGAUGAACAGGAUCCCGUUUCGAACGUGGCCGGCCGAACACAAGGCAGUUUCCUCCGUUCUGCGGUACUCUAGGCCUCGUUUCUAUCGCCUGUUUCAUCCAAGCCCUCCCGGUGAACACGACCACGCAUUUCGUUCCGACCCAGCCCGUUGGAUCCCACGCGUUCCGUUUCCUCCCAAUGAACAAGACACAUUCCGUUGCCUCCCUAUGAACACGACGCAUUUUGUUGCCUCCCCAUGAACACGACGACGACACUGUUUCUCCGUUCCGACCCAGUCAUGUACAUGAGCCCUCGCCGUACGUAUGCGCGAGUAGGCGUUCGAGAUCCCUCCCGUAUGUACACAUACGUGGCCGUAUUUUCUUUCUUGCACCCUGGCCGUUGUAUGUACGUGUACAUGCUACGUGCGCGCCUCUACUACGACACGUACGAGCCUCUACUACGACACGUACGCGUCUCUACUACGACACGUGCGCGCCUCUACAUCGACCAGUAUAUAUGUACAUACACGUUCACAACCAGAAUGACAAUGCUACGUACACAUCGACUAGGUGGGUCCCGACUAUCAGGCACUUCCUUGCGUGCGAAGAUGUAGCUGGUGGGUCCCAGCUGUCAGGGGGGAAAAUUGGUUUUUUUGCCCAGACGCACUUCCUUGCGUGCGAAGAUGUAGCUGGUGGGUCCCAGCAGUCAGGGGGGCGAAUCGCUUUUUUUGGACGCACUUCCUUGCGUGCGAAGAUGUAGCUGGUGGGUCCCAGCAGACAGGGGGAAACGUUUUUUCGCGAAAUACGGUGGCCCGUCCAGUGGGUCCCGCUGUCAGGUGGAGGAAUAAUUAUUUUGCGCGUAAUAAGGAGGCACUUCCUUGUUGCGGCCAUGGACCCAGCUGUCAGCCUCUCCACGUAUAGUCCAUGUCCAAUGGAAGCCAUUCCUUGACCAUGUUGACCACGCCGCGUCGAGAGCACCAGGGCGGUGGACGACGGUGAGGCCUAGGAAGGGGACGACGCGGAGCCGGGGAAGACGCGACAGUGGAUGCCCAUGCAUAGAGGAGUAUGCGGAUUCACUCGUUCGGCUGCGGUGUGAGGCUGUCGUCGCCGCAGAAUAACAGGGGGUGUGGGUGCGUAGAGGGAUGGCCUGGCCAGCGGUGGGAGUAGUAGGGGGCGGUGAGGCUUCCGCAGCAUCACAGCCAGCCACGGGCGGCAGGAGCAGGUGGCACGACCGGCGCUGCUUUGGGCGGCUGGAGCAAGAAGACCAGAGGUUGAAGAAGCACUAUGGCCGUUGGAUGGACAUUGUAUGGACACGGGAGCUAGAAUCGUUCAUAUAUUGACUGAAGUUGACAAAGGCCUCUGUCCCAGUCAACUUAGUAGGCCCACAAGUCAGCCUCCCACCAAGGUGGGUCCCAGCUAGCAGGGGGUAUUCAUUUUUUUUGUGCGUAAUAAGGAGGCACUUCCAGUGGGUCCGAGCUGACAGCGGGGGGAACAUUUUUUUCGUGAAAUACGGUGGCCCGUCUUGUGGGUCCCAGCAGUCAGGGGGAAACAUUUUUUCGCGAAAUACUGGUGGCCCGUCCGGUGGGUCCCUGCUGUCAGGUGGAGGAAUAAUUAUUUUCCGCGUAAUAAGGAGGCACUUCCUUGAGGUUGCCGUGGACCCAGCUGUCAGCCUCUCCAUGUACAGUACUCUUCCGAUGGAAGUCGGUCGUUGACCACAUUGACCACGCCGUGCCGAGAGAACCACAGCGGUGGAGGACAGUGAGGCCUAGGAAGGGGCAAUGCGGAGCCGGGGAAGAUGCAGCAGUGGAAGCCCGGGCGGAGAGGAGUACGAGGGUUCACCGGUUCGGUUGCAGUUUGAUGCUGCCGUCGCCGCAGAAUAACAUGGGGUGUGGGUGAGUAGAGGGAUAUCCUGGCCAGCGGUGGGAGUAGUAGGGGGCGUUGAGGCCUGCGCGGCAGCACAGCCGCCCACGGGAGGUGGGAGCAGGCAGUCCCACUGGCGCUGCUUUGGCGGCUGGAGCAAGAAGUUCAGAGAUUGAAGAAACACGACGGCCGUUGGAUCGACAUCCAACGGUUAUGUAUGCUAGAAUCAUUUGUUGACGUAUAUAAUAACUAAAAAAAUCUUGCAUACGCGUCAACUAAACAGGCCCACAAGUCAGACCACUCCCUCUUUUUUUAAUAAUUUAUAUAUAGCUCAUGGCAACUUCUUAUGCAAUUUAUUGUAGUCGUUUUUUUUGGUUGACCAGGGCCAAUUUCGGAUAUUUCUGUGGGUUCCAAACUAUUUUUAAUACCAAAAUGUCGAGCCAGAUUUAAAGUACUUUGAAGAUAUAUUUAAAUUAGGUUAAUGCCCAGUGAAAUAGGAAUCUGAAAAUGUGAAAAAAUCAGAAAUUAUAAAGUAAUUGCCAAUUUGUCAUCUGUUUUUAUAUUUACAACCCAGUUCAUAUUACUUUCAAGGUUUGCAGGCGUCUUGAAAGAGUUGCAGCCCAUGAGGGCGUAGAAAAAUAAGUAGGCCUGGAUUGGGUAUUCUUCAGAAAAAUACACUGGACUCAUUUUCACAAAUAAAAAAUAGCUGGGCUGGUCACAUGGUGAACAUAAAAUAAAAGCCUGGGUUAGACGGGCCACAGCCCAGUUCAAACCCUGCUCCGUCUCAACAAUACCAAACAAAAAAAAUACUACUCGAGUAGCUACGUCAAAGGUGUCAGCCGAUCUUGUGCUGUUCUCUUGUCUAUUGACUAUAUACACUCACAAUAUCGUGGGUCCCAGAUGUCAGGAAAACACUAGGAGGAAGCAUUCUAUUUUUCCAUACGCUGAUGUGGUGGGCCCCUACUAUCAUCCUCUCCACGUACUUCUGCCGAUUCCUGUUGUUUGUUGACCAUGUUGACAAUGCGAGAGGGCGGCGCUGCGGCGAGCGCACCAAAGUGCGCGAAGGACGUCGGCGUUAAUGAUUUAGGAGACGAUGGGGCGGUGAUGCAUGCGCUGAGGCACAGCCAGCCGUGGGAGGCGGAAGCAGGCGGGCCUACCGGCGCUGGUUUGGUUUUGGUGGCUGGAGGAAGAUAGGACUGAAGAAACAUGACAGACUAUAAAAGCAGCAGGAGUACUUAACAACCUUAACUGAAACCAGCAGGGGCACUUAACAACCAAAGCUGAAAGCAGUAUGAGUACUUAUACAGGUUCAACCGUACAAAGCACGCCUCGAACAGUGCUACUUGGCCUAUAGUUAACCAAGGCUGAGGCCGCCAAGCCUCAGGACAAGGCCCAGGCGCCACCCCGCGCAUCCAUAACCUUCUGAAAGCGGCUUCAUCUUGCAACGUGGUCAAUAAACUUGAUAUUCGCUUUAGAGCCAUGGAAAAGCAUGAACAUAAUCUUCUGUCCUAUUCUCCAAGAUGGACGGGCCUUCAUUAUUUGAGACCACCCAUGAAUAAGUAUCUUUUCACCUCCAAGGGGAAUUGAGUAGGUCGACAUAAACAUCAUGUUAUGACCAAGCGCAAGUCUGACCCGACCAUGGUCAGGCAUCUGUAUAGGAACAAUAGAACUCGGCAGUUACUGUUUCAAGAAGAUCACAACUGUAAAACUGUGUAUAAGCAAUAGUUUAUGAACAACAUAUAUAACAGAAAACAGCUCGUACCAUAAGUUUCUCGACACAGUUACCUGUUCAACGAGUGCCGCAGUGGAACACAUAUCCCACGUGGCCUUCCACCAUUGAAACGCCCCACAAGGACCUCAAGACGAUCAAUAAAGUGUAGGGACUUGUGGAUGUCGAUCCAAUCAACUUCAGUGCCAUUAGUCACAACCAAGUUAUUACAGAGUAACAAACGAGCAGACUGCUAAACUCUGAAAAAACCUACACGUGCCACCAAUUAUAAGAAAAUAUUAGUUAGAAGUAGCAUCUUCAUGGGAGAUUCGUUGCUACUUCUAAAGUUAAAUUGUGAUUAGUUAGACAGAAUAGGUGGAUUAAGAAGUUAUCGAGGCAACAAGCAAGAACCAGAUACAAAACUAACAUGGAUGAACAAUUGGAACGACGUCGGGGUGGAAGAUCAAGUGAUGAUGAGACCAGGUUCUGUUAUUUCCAUCAACAUUCAUGCGCCAACUUUCAGUCCGUAACACUUGAGAAAGUUUAUCCAAGUUCGGCCAUAAAAAAAGCAACGAUCUUCUUGGUUCAUGAACCCAACUCGGAAGUAAUGUACAUGGCUUGUCUUCACUGUGACCAUUAAACUAGUGUAUUCAGUUAUGGCAAGGCCGAGCUUCUUGAGUACAUGUUUUCUGGCAGAGCAAAUAAGACACUUCAGGAAAAAUAAUAUGAGAACACAACAUGUUAAAAGAAACCACCCUCCCGGAUAGAAAAGAGGAUUCUAGGAACAUACUAUGCGCGUUUCAAAAUGCUGUGUUAGGAUGAGAAGGAACAAGUGUGGCGUCUUGCUGAAGGCGCAGAAAUCUAUAGGGUGCUCGCACUUUGGGCACUGCAACUGAAACACACUAGAUUCAGUACGAAGAAAAAUGCAUCAACGGCGGCGGUUGCCAUCCUAGGAUUACCUGCGACCAAGGGACUUGGAUUUAUCAGGGAUGGAUGAAAAAUUCGUACCUGGUUCUCCAUGAGAAAACCCUAUGCAAUCGUCAAGCGGGGGUUUUCUCUGAACAAGCAGAUGAGGGAGAAGGGGAUUCAGGCCCAGUGAAAUAUUGCCGCUUCGUUCGUCCAGCUUACUACUAAAGCUGGAAAGGGGGGUUGUGAUUUGACAGCUCAUUGGGCUUUACUGCGGCGCUACGACCGGGGUGUGUCUACCAUGAAGUUGUGCACUCUAAGUUGUGCACUCUAUUAUGGGGGUUCAGCUGAGAUAUAAUACUCAGAUAGGCUCACAGUUCUGGACUUUGGGCCGCAGGCUGACCCUACAUGUUUGGGGGCCCAUGUGUUCUACCUUAGCGCUUUUCAUAUUGCAAGCGAUCGGUACGGCGCUGGUUUUAGAUGCUGCCGCAAGGCGAAUACACAAAAUUGAAUAAAGCACGACAGAUGUUGGAAUGAAAUCGAACAAGAGUUCCUAACCAGCAAUCAGAGUUGCAAUUCUAUCAACGAUAUACCAUGUGAUAAAUAAUACUGUCAUACUACUUAUACAGAUAGGACACUUUUUUCACCAUGCCAGAUUAUUACAUCAAAAUCUAUUGGAGGAUAGAUCAGUUCGGCAGUUGCGUGCUGCUACUGAAGAAAUUCAAAGUUGAUUUGGACUAGCUCUCCUUGCCGAGAAAUUUGGAUUUUGACAUCAUCCCCUACCACAAGAUAUGAUUUAGAUUUGAACCUUGACCAUCCUUUAGCAUCAAUCAUCAUGCGACCAUCCUUUGUACUUACGGUAUAUUGAGCAGGUUCAUUCACACCAAGGCUGCGCAUGGUAAGAGAAACUUGGCCGCAGUCACCCGGAUUGUUGAACGACUCCCUCGUUGCUCUAGGAAUUCUCUGUUUGCAAACAAGAAGACAUACCCAAACAGUUAGAUCAACACAGUGAAUCAUGUGAAAGAACAUGGAACGAAAAAAGAACGAAGCACUUGGGCGGCCAAUGCUUACCAAGAAGGUGGACAUGUCGGUUUUUGUAAGGACUUUGGUAUAUAAAGUGUGAACUGCAACCCAGUCUAUUGCCGGUGCAACUGCACGGGAUGGAGCAGAUGCAUGUGCAAGUGUUGGUGCAGGUGCCGAAGCCGCUGCUUCUGCCAGAGAUGGUGCUCCUUGUAGAGCUGGUGCCGGUGUCGGAGCAGGUGCCGAUGUCGAUGCCCAAUCCUCCGGUAGAUCAGACUGAUCCGCUGACGCGGUCAGUUCCCAAUCCUCAACUGGAUUAGAUUGAGCUUCUUCCGCUGUCAGUGCUAGAGCAACUUUCGGUGCUCGAUCUGUGGGUGACUAUGGAAGGAUUCUGUGGUAGUCUCUGACUCCCUCCAACUCAAUCAAUAUCAAGAACAUGCAGUGAGCAUGAGAUUUGGUUAGGCUUGGUUGAGUUUGUAAGAAAAGAUAGUAGGUUGAGGGGCUUCAUUGAUUAGUAAACCUACGGUGCUGGUAAGGUCGGGACUGUGGUCGUCCGUCUCCGCUUUGCCGACCGAUAAGAUCACUGAGAUUGACCAGCCAGCUGGGUAGGUUUGGGACACCUCUAUUGGGAUGAAAGGAAGGUCAAUGGAUUAGAUCAUGAAUACUGUUUAUUUCCUUUCAUACCCAGGAGGUGAGGUAGAGAUGGAGGGCGGCCCUCGGCAGGAGGGCUUAUUACACUGUUUGGUUUCCAAACAUACCAAUUAGCAUGUCUCAUUGGCAAGAGACAUGCUCAGCGGCGAUCUUGUCUGGUCUGCUAUGAUCAUAUUUCUAACUUGACUAGGAUCCAUAACCGUGAUCCAGUUUUUUUCUUCAUUUCUUUUAAACGCGAGAAGGACUAAUUGUGGCGUUUUUGUUACACCAAACUGCAGUUCAUCAUAGAGAUUCAGCUUGUACUCAGACAACAGACUGAUCCAAUUUUUUCCAGUAAUAUAAGUGAUGGACAGUGCCUUCGUUACUGACACGACAUAAGAAGUGAAACCUGCAAAAAUAGUCAUCGUAGAGCAAACCAAACGGUUUAUUCCAUGAUGAAUGUCCCAUGGCAAAACCUGCAUCGUAAAAUUGCAGGAAAAGAAAGAAAACAUGACAUUAAAUCAAUAAGAUUUAGACAGUAAAUCAAUAAUAUUUACUUGAUGUGACACGAGUGAAUUCUUACCAGGAAAUCACUAUGUUGAAGUACUAAACAGAAGAUUGAUUGUCCAACUACGCGUGGCAUGUAGGGGCCUACUCCCACAAGCAGGACAGUCCAAAGGUCGUGACAAAUCGUAUGGACCGAACAUCCAUGGGACUGGAAAUCUUGGUGGGUGCCAUAAAUCCUGCAAUGCAUACAGAUAUUGGAGUGUAACCAUAAUUGAUAAACCGUCCUCACAAAAAUAUGAUCUGGCUACUUCAAAAUGUACAGACUGAAUUGAGUGGACAGACAUUAACAUAGACCGUUCUCAGGACUAACAACACACCAAAAGCGGCAGUACUAAUAAACAAUACAGGGUUCAGAAACACAAAUCAAGUACUGAACAAUAGUACUUACUACAGACAAGCAAAGUUGCACUAACUAAACUCUGCAGACUAUUUCUUACCACUUACCUACGGGAUGAACCCCGCAUAACUGACUAGGCCAUGGACUUCGUGUGAGAUGUCUACAUGCACCAUCACCAUCUUUUCAACCUUGGAGAACCUAACAGAGUGGUCUUUGCACUCAUAAACAUGAUGAUGAAGACAAGCCGCAUCAGAUUUGUUGGGAAGCUUUACAAGAACCACACCCUUUGUAAUCGAAGGCACAACUAGGAAAUUGUUGUGGUCAAGUACAGCCUCGAGAACACGCCUGACAACAAUGCUACAGGAAAACACUAGUUUAGGACACGUGGCGACAAGGACACAUCAGCUGGAUAGUUCAGCAGUAGAACUCAUCAUCAGGUCUUCCAGUUCACACGGCAUGACUUUGAGAACUUCAUCUCCACCGCGGACCCGGUUCUAAUUCAAAUAGAAACCAUAUUUCAUUACUACCUCCGUUCAGAAAUAUAAUAUGAUUUUCGAUAUUAUACUCCAUAUAUGACUACAUAUACGCAUAGAAAUGAGGGAACAAAGACACUAGAACAUGUCUUCAAAGGCAUGAGAGCAGAGGGAUUACAUGCAAUAUCCAUAACACAAGUUACUAAGGCAAAUAUACCCUCUUAAAAGGUAGCAUUGAUGUUCAUAAAGUACUCCCUCCGUCCCAAAAUUCUUGUCUUAGUUUGUCUAGAUACGGAUGUAUCAAGUCACAUUUUAGUAUUAGAUACAUCCGUAUCUAGACAAAUCUAAGACAAGAAAUUUGGGACAGAGGGAGUAGUUGAAAGUAAUCUAUAAGAAAUCAGUGUCAACCUCUCGCAUGUUUUGGUCAAAAGAGGAAUUUAGAACCGUCAUUUGGCACACUAAAAUAACAUGCAAGAUCACCCAGAAAGUUGUACUACCGGUACUAGUAAUGCGUGUUAGAUGAAAAAACACGAUCAAGAUCGAGAAAAAGAUCAUCAACAAGAGACAUUACCUGGACUUGCUUAAUGAGGGAUCCCGGAGAGGGGCGCUUGGAUAGGGCGAUGGCUUUGAGCUUGUCUGCAGUAGUCUCGGCGGGGUGCUUGCGCUUCUCCGUACCAUGAGCCUCGACGGUUUUGGCCAGAGCCAUAGACAUCACGUCGGCCGGUGCUUCGGCAUCCAUCCAAGAGAGGAAUCUGAGAGAGAAGAGUGAAAGAAGGAACAAGAUGAGGGAGAAGCGAAGCGAGUGGGGGUUUUCUUCAAGAGAGGAAGCUGAGAGAGAAGAGUGAAAUUAUGGUUGCUUCGUCCGUCCAACUUGCUGCUGGAAAGGAGGGUUUUUUUUGAUUUGACGGCUCAUUGGGCAUUAAUGCGGCGGUUCGAUCGGGGUAGUCUACUGUCACUCUACUACAGAGUGAUUUAGUGCAUGGCUGGUGGACCCAGGUGCUGGCUAUCCAACACGUCGGCGAAAGUGAGUAAUUUAGUGCAUGGCUGGAGCAGGAUCCGCACGGUAGAGCGUGUCCACUGUUUUUCAUUCUGAAAAAAAAUUGAUUACAACAAGUGUUUCCACUCUUACGACGGAGGAGUGCGAAACACGGCAGCCACUUGAACAAACAAAGUGCUCCUACUACUAGGCAUGUGCAGUGGUUCAUACGUCAGUACUACACAAUCUUGUUGCUAGUGUAGUAAGAUAUGACGAUAACAAAUGAUGUUGUGUGCAUGUCAACUACUCCUAUAUGUAACAUAGUACCACUUUUUCGACUGUCCGGUCGAGAAUGAACAGUGAGAUCAAUGUUAACAGAACUAGGUCCACAGCGCACAGAGAGUACGGUGCUACAGUACUCCACGAAACAUGAACCAUAUGAAGCACGAAUAGUGUUAGACAGGGUGUAUGAAGGGUGCAUGGGAUGGGAGCAAAAGUUCCCUUCUCGACCCACUUUUUGGUGUUUGGCAGAGUGCAUGAAGGGUGCAUGAGUCCACACUAGUAGGUUGACAAAAAUACACGAAGAGGAAACAACUAUAUUGAGAUGAGAAUGCAACCAAACACACCCACACGCUUUGUGCUACAAUGACUGAUCUGCACCGUCUGAGUUUGAUCCAACGGUCAUGUUGCACCGAGACAUGGACAUGCCCAUGCAGAGGGCGCCUAAACACCACCGAAGUCCCUCUGCUUCUCGAGCCGCAUGACGUUGGUGAUGCAGGGUGCAACCGCCCACAUAGCCCGCUCCCAGUCAACGGGAGCCAGCUCGUCAAAGACGGGUGUCCAAUGGCACGAAUUGAUUCCGGUGAGGAAGCCCUGAAAGGAUUUGCCCGGCAACGGCGACGGCAGCUUGCAACCCCUCCUUGUCCAGCUCAGCCCCUACCAUUGCACGGAGACGGCUCAGCUCCUCGGAGAUAUAGGUGAAGAAGGUGACCAGGUCCGGAAGCCCCAGCUCAUCAAAGUCAACUGGGUGGUCAAACGGGUUUAGCCCUACGGCCGACAUCGUCGCGCUGGCACGACAGUAGGCAUCGCGCAGCCGAAACACGUGCGUGGCAAUUUGGUUCACCAAGUGGCUGAGGCGAUCCUGGACCUCGUCACGAUCUGCCCGCUUGCGCUCCAGCCAGCUCCCCUGAUGGCCUAUCGUAUCUCCCGCUUUCUGCAGCAACACUGCUGAUGCCUCGAGUAUCUUUGUUGUGGACGCCUUCCGCUUUUGACGCUCCGUGAACUCCCGCACAUAACGGAGGAGCAUGGCACUCCUCUCCUCCUUGAACUCACGGAGCUCCACAUCCUUGGCACUGAGCUCCGCAUCCUUGGCAUGGAGCUCCUGUGUCAGGCGCCUCACCUCGGACUCCGUGAUCUGCUGCGCCGCCAUGGCAGCAGGUAGAAGCAAUGGGGAGAGGAAGCAAAGGGGGCGAAACGGCUGAAAGGAAAUGCAAUCUACGGGAAGGCGGAGGGAGCCAGCCAAGAAGCGGGAAUCUUAUGGUUUUCACCAUGGUAAAACACCAGUCGACGACUUCUCACAUCAGGGAGCAGUGAGUUUUUACAGGCAGAGUCGUCGUUACUAAUUGCUGCCGCGCCUGCUCCCGUCAAUCAAAAAAUUAAAAAUCCUGCCGCGCAUGCUCCUGUCAAUCAAAAAAUUAAAAAUCCAGCCGCACCCAAACACCAGAGCAACGCUAUGGUGGAUAUUUAAAUUUACCUACCGGCAAGUAGAUAAAAAAGGGGAGAAAAAACAAAUGUGGCGGCGGCCUAGCUAAUCGGUUGAACUAGCCCAACUAGCUAGCCACCGUGCUUCACUGAUGUACUCGGCAGGAAAGGUGGUCUUUCGUGAUUUGACGACUCAUUUACUUGCUUCGGCGCUACGACCGAGGAGGACCCCGAAAACACGCGGUAGGGCGUCCCACGUCAGGACCCUGAAACCGUGCGGUAGGGUGUGCCACGUCUCGGCACGGAGGAAAAAUGUGCGUGUAAAAAUAUACUGUAUCAGACGUAGUACCUAUGGUUUGACCUCGGGACCCAGCCAGCCGGCCGAAAACACCCAACUAGCCACACAGCUUCAUCAUGCAAACAUGGCACGGAGGAUAGAUGUGGUUAGCUCCGUCUCGACCAGCCACAACGUCUCUUGUUCUAGGCGAUUCUUCUAUUUUCCAAGCUUUUUUAGUUGUAAUAACACCACGGCAAGCUAGCGCCACUCUUCGUGUGUGCCCGUGCAAAGGUUAGACGAUGGAGAGAAGAGAGAUUGAGAUCGCAGACUUGGGACCCACCAGUAAGUGAGACAACGGCCAUGCACGUGUUGACGAGGCACUCCCUCUACUCUCCUCAACGCAAGUACUGUAUAAAAUCAAGUUAUGGGACAAAGCCAACAACCGUUCAUUUUUUCAGGCUAUCGACUUACGCUUUGUAGUCCAGGUUGCCAAUUCGAAUCUCGUCUUUCAGAUAUGUUAGUUUUAGGUCCAAAUUUGAUAAAUGACAAGUGGGACCCCCGUGUGUUGUUCCGAUAUUUCAGUGUAGGAUGGUUUUUUUGAACAAACACUUUGCGCGGUUAGACAAGUAACGGCACGAGUUACACGAAUUUUGCAAGUUUACGAACAAAAAUCACAGCGCCAUAGAAUAUCACAUCCACCCCGCAGCUUAGAUACUAUGGUGAUAUCAGUUUUUACACCGUUGGAAGUGAGAUCCAAAGGCUUGGGAGUAGUCUUUGUAAUUAUGUGCAAUUUCCAAACUCUCGAAAGGUUUUUUUGCAAAUAAAACAUUCAGGCCUCAUGUGUGCCGCUACAUCUUCGAUCCAACGGCUCCCCGGUGCUCAUAUUAGGUGCUCCCCGUAGCUUAAUUACCCGCUACGGUGAUAUGAGCAUCUAGGUCCUAUGAUCAGUGAUCAGAUGGCACAUGUGUAGUACUUGUACUUUCUGCGCAUUUCCCAAACUCUAUCAGUUGUAUAUUACAAAAACAUUCAAACCUCCUACUGUGGGCCGUUAGAUCUCAAUGAACUCGUAUCACCAUAGAAUCUACGGUGCGGGAGCACCUCAUACUCUCCCGUGCGAGAAAACAUAAGGUGCUAUCGCAGCUUGGAUGCUACGGUGAUACGAGCUUGGAGGUUAUUUGAUCUGAGAUCCAAUGGCAUCUGAGCAGUCUUUGUGCUUGUAAGCAGUGGCCGAACUCUUUUGGGGCUUUUCUGCAAAAAACCAUUCGAACCACCGAGGAGGUGUUGGGUCACAAAUCCAACGCCUCCGAAGAGCUUGUAUCACCAAAGCAUCUAAGGUGUGGUAGCACAUGAUAUUCUUACAUACAGGAGAAUAUGAUGUCCUCCUUCAUCUUAGAUGCUACGGUGAUACGAGCUUCGAGGUUCUUGGAUAUGGGAUCAAAGGGCAUCUAAGUAGUUUUUGAACAAAUUGUGUGCAAUUCUCAAACUCAUUAAGGUUUCCUGCAAAAAAAUUAAGACACAUCAUAUGAGCUGCUAUAUCUUAGAUCUACAAGCUCCAAGCAACUCGUAUGAGCAUAUAGCAUCUAAGGUAUGGGGGCACAUGAUAUUCUCCCGGGGAGGAGGGGUGGGGGGGGGGGUGCACAACCAAUCGGUGGUUGGGAGGAUGGGGACAAAUAAAAUCUAAACAACCCUAAACAGAGCUCCACGAUUUUAUCUAAGGUCGUGGGGUUGACCCCCGAGAAUCAUAGCUCUGCCUAAACACAACAUUUGCAUGUACUGUAGUACUAGACUUAAUAUUCAUGUUUCUGUUUCAUGUUCAUUUUAAAUAUUGAACUGAGGACCAUGGAUGUCUUACAUUUUACUCCCUUCGUUCCUAAAUAUUAGUCUUUUUAGAGGCUUCAAAUGGACUGGCACAUACAGAUGUAUAUAGACAUAUUUUAGAGUCUAGAUUCACUCAUUUUGCUCCGUAUGUAGUCACUUGUUGAACUCUCUAAAAGACUAAUAUUUAGGAAUAGAAGGAGUAUUUUUGAAUUCGUGUCAUACAUGCAUGGUUUGGAAAAAUAGAUGCACUAUACUUAUUGGAUUGUUGUUGUGUUCGUGCGUGUGUGUCUGUGUGUGUGUGUGUGUAGUCAUAUGCUGAUACAUACAAAGUUUUCUCACCUCCAUAUUGUUCAUCUUUUAAAUUCGAAUUUGCAUUGGAAACCUUACUAGGGAUACCAUGAAAUGUGAAAUCCACGUUGAGAUCACUAUAUCACAAACUCACUCUAAUUCAACAACUCGUCAUGAAUCAAUUACCACGUUGAGAUUAGUAUUUGCAAGGAAAAUACGGGUAUUGUAAUACACAUAGAUUCGUUCAGCAAUUUAAAAGGUUCCUUUCGUAUUCUCGAAUGGUAGGACCCAAGGGCGUACCAGCCAGACCUUGGCUCAUGUUGAUCCUAAAAAAACGGGCUCGUGUCCUUCGGUGGCGUGCAUGGUACGCACAUUAGGCAACCCCAACCAGUCGAGCCUCAGCGUUUCAAGUCGAAAUAUUUGGCGGCCAGAAUUCCAGCCCUAGGAAAUUCCCCUCAUGUCCCAGGUCCAUAAUGACUACCAAUGAACAACAGAGGGAUGCUUUAGUAACUAGACAACAUUACCUACCGUGCCGAGCACGGUUCAAUUCCCUCGGUCGCCGCUUGUCAAGGUCACCCGUCAACUGCAUUGCCUAGUACUACUACUACUACACUAGGAUGAGCAUAGAAUUGAGCCCGUUUGUUCGUGCCUAGUACUUGAGUUAAUAUAUCAGGCAACGCACUGGUAUGGAGGGAUUAUCCUUUUACUCUGCAUAUAUAAAUUGUCUGAAGUCUAACUAAGAAAAAUGUUUGAUCAAAUCCUUUCUUAAGAAAUACAACAAGACAGAUGUACGGCUUGAAAAUUUAUUGCAUGAUGCAGGUUAUGAUAUUGUUUCGAAUCCUGGAUCUUAAAUUUCAGAAAAUCUAAAAGUGAGCGUAAAUUCUUGAAACUGAGCAUGGUCACGUGAUAUGGCACAAAUAUUACUUCGUAAGUUUUUUCUUCAAUUCGAGACAAGCUGCUUAUGACAAGUUGCACAAAUGAAGAGCCAAGGUAUUUUGGAACAAAGACCUGUCACGUUAAGGAGAAUGCUUUCACUAUUGAAACCGUGGGCGUUUACGUGCCGCCAUGAGUCCCCGCUUCUCAUCGGCAGGUGCCGUCCCGACAAGCGUGUGAGUCGAUGGGAGGUGUGCGAGCAGACCAUUGCUCCCACUUUUAAUGUCGCCGGCGCCGCAGUUUAAAAUCAACCCCGCACUACACGGUAUCGCUACAAUCCUCUCUCUUCCUCUCUGAUUCUCCUGUCGUCUACCUCCAACUAGCCUGACCUAAACGUAUGCCAUGCCACAUCACAAUGGUCCGCCCUCAGUGUUCCAGUUUCAUGAGGAAGACACCCGGCCAGAGUCUGAAGAACAAAAGGCGCUUUGGGACGAGCUUGAACUGGCCUUGCGGGAAGUCGCCGCACCUGUCCCCGCUCCUGUUCCGGCUCCCGUCGCCCCGACUACGCCAGCGCCCAUCCUCGUGGCAUUGAUGGGCUGGGAGCUGCACAUUGUCGCCGAGCUUGAUGCCACGGGGUUCCACGAGGUCCCCGCCGACUUUCACGCGCCCGUGCACCUACCAGCGCAUGCGCCUACGUGUGCACUGACAUGCGCGCCCGUGCCGGUGCCCAUGCACACGAAUGUCUUCGUCGCACCAUUGACAGCGCAUGUCCCCGCGCGGGUGCCAGUGCCCCCGUCAGCGGCAUGGAUGGCCCCCGUCGACCGCUUCCUUGCACCAACGCCAGUCGCCUCCUCCCGCUAGUUGACUCGCUCCGAAGUCCAGAACAUUUUGGCCUUCCUUGAAGCUAGGCCAACGUCUAGGAGUACGCCAACAACGCGCAAGACGCCGCCGUCAUCGUCGGUCAGUGGCCCGACGACACACAGAGCAUGGCAGAGGAUCCGCUUCCCACCGCGAGACACCCUCGCCGCCGCCGCGUAAUCUAAAUUUGCCAUGAAAAACGUUCGGAUUGCCAUGCUUAAAAUCCGAAUGUUUAUCAUUUCCGUUUAUUUUAUAUCGAUCGUCGUAUAAUUUAAAGUCGGAGUCAGACUGAACGAAUUGUAUGGUUUGAUCGAUUGAAUGUUCUGCUAGAGCCGUAUCAAAUUAAAUAUAAAAUGUCAUCAAGCCACAUGUAUUCCUUGUCAUCCAAUGGCCUAGACUGCUUCAAUGUCGAGCGAUCAACACGUUUAGCGUGCAGUUAAUUUCAUGCCAAAGAUAGUGCUAAUCACAUGACAACACACAAAUAAUAUCCUAGUAGUUAAUAUCCGCAUGCACUUAAUAUACUUCCAAAUUAACGUGCAUUGCACGUACACACUGACUAGUGCUGCUAGUACGUGAAACUGGUGCCGUGACUUGUGAACAUGUCCAGAUAUGGUCAACGGCAACAUCGACCGCGAGUUCUUCCUAUUUUCUCGUGCGUCUAAACGUGGAAGGGGAGGAGUGAGAGAGAGCACACAUGGAACCCACCAGUAAGUUAAUGCAAAUAGUACUAAAAAUAAUAUUACAUGUUAUCCAUUAAUUAGGCUUGAAGGGGGUACAACAAACAUUGCUAUUCUAUGUAUGUUGCCUAUUGACGUGCGGCUUGAAGGCCCGGUCGCAUGUUCGAUCCUCGUCCUUUAUUUUUAAAUUUGUAUAUGGGUCCACAUUUGUUUCAUGACAUGUGGGCCCCUCGGUGUGUAGUUUGUAUCACUUUAAUUUGUGGGUCGAAAUUUGUUCCAUUCCAAGUGGACUAUCGGUGUGUAGUUUUGUAGCUUAUUUAUAAUAAUUAAAGAGAACAAAAUAGUUUUUUCAAUAAUAUCAUGGUGCGACGUUGAAGGAGAGAAAGGACAUGCGAGAGAGCGAUGACCAAGCCAGAGGGAAAUCAACUAGGGGAGUUGCAUGGGUUGCAACGGUGUUUGGAGUAGUUGUGGUCCGAAUGCUACGAAAAUAUAAUCUAAACCGGCCGGAAUAAAUGCCUACACAAAUUAGUCCAAGGUUGGGGUGCCCCUCGCAAUGUAAAUAGCUCCGGCUUUGCGAGGGAUGGAGAGGUAGUAGAUUCAAUGCGUGGAAGAUACGGUGUGAGAAAGUGAGGUCAAUCGAGAGACAUAUAGAUAGAGAGACAAAGUGAGUGUGGUCCGACAUUCAUUGAACAAAUAUAUAUGCUCCGGAGAGAUAUUGUCCGUUUGAGCUUUUGGCAAGGGUGAGGGCUGUAAGAUAGAGCUUGAGAGAUGAUCCAAUCAUAGACGUGUAGAUAUAUUUUGUGCGUGCGAGGAAGCAAGGUCAAUCGAUCACAUAGGGUCGCUGUGCGAUCGAAAGAGUGAGACGGGUUGGAGAGAGUGACCUAGAUAGAUGAUGUGCGUGAGAGAGUAUACAAUGUGAAUAGGUUGAAUUGGGCUCAAACAUGGUGAUAUAUCGUUUUUGUCCGAGAAAGAGCGAGGUCAAUCGAGACAUACGGAGAGAGAGAGAGAGAGAGAUAGAGAGAGAGAGAUUGAGUGAGAAUGGCCCACCAUGAGGUCGAAAGAGUGGUGGCGUCUUGGAUGGACUGACCUAGAUAGAGAAUCUGCAUGAGAGAGUAUAGAGUGUGUCGAUCGAGGCCUGAACAGGGAGAUAUAUCAUUUGUGUGUGAAAGAAAACGAGGUUAAAUGAGACUCAGAUAAAGAGAGCCAGAUUGAGCGAGUGUGGCCCGCCGUGCGGAAGAAAGACUGAGGCAGUCUCGAGGGAGUGACCUAGAUAUACAACGUGCGUGCGUGCGCAUGAGAGGUUGGGGGGGCUAGAUAGGCAAUGNNNNNNNNNNNNNNNNNNNNNNNNNNNNNNNNNNNNNNNNNNNNNNNNNNNNNNNNNNNNNNNNNNNNNNNNNNNNNNNNNNNNNNNNNNNNNNNNNNNNNNNNNNNNNNNNNNNNNNNNNNNNNNNNNNNNNNNNNNNNNNNNNNNNNNNNNNNNNNNNNNNNNNNNNNNNNNNNNNNNNNNNNNNNNNNNNNNNNNNNNNNNNNNNNNNNNNNNNNNNNNNNNNNNNNNNNNNNNNNNNNNNNNNNNNNNNNNNNNNNNNNNNNNNNNNNNNNNNNNNNNNNNNNNNNNNNNNNNNNNNNNNNNNNNNNNNNNNNNNNNNNNNNNNNNNNNNNNNNNNNNNNNNNNNNNNNNNNNNNNNNNNNNNNNNNNNNNNNNNNNNNNNNNNNNNNNNNNNNNNNNNNNNNNNNNNNNNNNNNNNNNNNNNNNNNNNNNNNNNNNNNNNNNNNNNNNNNNNNNNAAACAACAUUUGAAUGUACAUAGUAUGAGACUUAAUUCGGUGUACAUUGUAAGAUUUGAACCGAGGACCAGGCAUACGGGUAAUUAUUUCGAAUUCAUGCCAUACUAAGUUUCGAAAAGUUAACAUUGACUAAAUUUGUUGUGCUAUUUUGUAGGCCAUAUGUUUGAAUCCAUCCUAAAGUUUUCUCACUACCAUGGUGUUCAUCAUAUACAUAUGAAUUUGUAUUUAAAAAAGUAGCGUGGAUACAGUGAAAUGCGAAAUCCACGUUAGAAUUGGAGAUCGCUGCGUGACACACACUCUAAUUCAAAUAACUAACUACAUGACACACACUCUAAUUCAAAUAACUAAUUAUGUGACACACUCUAAUCCACGUUACCGUGGGUACCGUUUCGAUUUUUUUUUCAAAUAACUCCUCAUUAAUUAAUUUAUAGUACUCCCUCUGUUCACUUUUAUAAGACCUUGAAGACAUUUCAGACAAUGUGCAAAACAAUUCAUUUUAAGUUGUCUGAAACGAGUUACAAAAGUGAACGGAUGGAGUAUCUCGUUUCAAAUGACUAAUUAUUGCAAGGAAAACACGGACAUGGUAAUACAUACAGAUUCGUUUGCAAAUGAAAGAAUAUUCGUUUGCAUUCUCAAAUGUAGGCGCACCAGGCAGACCAGGGUCAUGUCGGCAUGGACGCUGCUUCGGUGCCUUAAAGGCAACUGCCCUUGGGUGACAUGUGGGCCAGCCACUUGUUGGGCCCACAUGUCAUGGACACAAAGGCAGGUGCCUUAAGGCACUGAAACAUAGUCCUGUCGGGGUGGUCGCGUGUGUCGGACGGACGCGUAGCACCCAGCCACCCACCCCCGUCCCCCCACAAAAAAAGGACGACGACAAUAUAAGUUCGCGCUUCCACGCUUCGGAUUUAAAUAUCUGGCGGCCCCAAUUCCAGCCCUGCAAAAUCUCUCUUCCCCACCGUCCCCUUUCGUGCCCAGAUUGCUCAAAUCCCUAAUUCGCUGCCAUCCCUCGAAUCGCCCCUCGUCUCUUCUCUUUCCCCACCAUUCCCCACCUCUUUGCCGGACGAUGAUGACGAAGACGACGGUCGCGCUUCACCACCGCACCGGAGCUACCUCAUCUACGCCCUCGUCCACCGCACCAGGUGGUCCACCGACAACGUCGGCCGCCGCAACUGACGUGCCUCACAGACACCGAGUUCCACCACAUCAGGUGCGCUUCACCGACGCCGUCUCCCAGCUCACCGGGGCUACUUCACCGAGCACAUCGUCGCACCUCCGCCCCCCGAGGCCAUUGGGGCUUCACCAACGGUCUCAUCCACCGCAUCGUAGCGCUCCGCUGCCACUCAAGAUCUGCAUCCGUGCGCGGCUAGCCAACGCCAGCACAUCACCCUCAAUGGCUCUGAAGUGACCCACACUGUAGCUAGGUGAGCAUGCCCAAACGCCGGCCCGAACUAGGUAUCCAGACAUCACUCCCUUGUGCACUGUUCCGAUGAUGUUUGGAUAUCCUUUCACUUCUCUCUUAGCUUACACACCUAUGCAACUCUGACUUUAACUCUUAUUUCUUCUGGAGAUAUCAUCUGAAACAAGCAAAUCCAUUUUUUAGCGAAGCAUGACGGUGCUACGGGAUCUGGGACACAUCUUGCACACCCGUAUAACCUUGUAAGUAUCUGUCCUCCGGUACAACAUCAAGGUAGAUUCCUCUUAUUUUAUCAACCAUUUGUCGUGUCAAAAAUGCAGAGGGGGAUGCAAGGAGCACAAGGCCUGCACAUCCAAGCAAGUGGUAACAUGGACAUGUACAUGGAACAUCCCAAGCGCAAGUAGAGCUGCAGUGAGCCUCUACAACGAGCUAGCGUAAGUCCCUGCAUUUCAUUUAAUUCGUACAAGCAUUCAUGUAUGAUUUGUGUGCAGUGGUUGAUCCACGAAUUCAAGUUACUAGGGGCGAACAUUUAACUUAAAAAAUACGAAGGAACUUGCACUCCGGAAAUCAGCAUAACCUGAGAAAUGUAAAGCUACAUGCAGUUUGAAAACCAUCUAAUGAUCCAAAGUAGUUCAGAUUAUAAACACUAAAUGAUGCAAGCACCAAAAAACAGAAAAUGCAACAUGGUGUACAAGGACUACAAACAUGGUCUGUACCUGCUUGAAUUAUUCGUUCUCUGGCUGAAAAUAUCGAAGUGUAAUUGCACGUAUAACCAGUGCGCAAACUGCAUAUCAAUAUAUCUAUCCUGCACAAGUAUGCCAAUAGUUUCAAACAAUAGAUUAGAAAAGUAUUUAUGCUAUGUUGUCAUGAUAUGGGGACUUUCUGGUAGAUGGCCUCGACGUUUCUCAAGCUAUGAAAAUGCACUAUAAUUUGCUUGUCAUCAAUGCCUGCAAAUCUCUGUCUCUCUCAACAUACUAGAUCAUCAUUAGACACUAAAUCAUUCAAUGAGCUUGCAAAAUGCUUGCACUAGAUCCUUCAAUAGACACUAUAUGUUCAUCACCAGGAGCAUUAAAAAUGUUUGCAUCAAAUCCUUCAUUAGCAAUCUGUUCAUUAGACACUUCAUGCUCAAUAACAACAUGAGCUUGUAUGUUUGUACCGGAAAGUUGAUUAGAUACUUCAGAUUCAGUUAGUUUAGUAAUGAUUGGGGGAGUUAUAAAAUAAGUAGAAAUUGGUUUCAUUUUCUCAUAGAUUCCCUACAUACAAGCAGUUUUACAACACCGUCAGGUUUAACUAUGGGCCAGAAAUUGAAGAGUUGAAUUACAUAUAAUCAGGGAUGUGAUGUACCGGCUCGUUGCGCAUGCUACUCUUGCAAGCUGAGACUGUCCGUUUGCGCAAGCUCGAUGCCAUGCCCGUGCUGCCGCCGCUGCCUCCCACGCAGGAUACACCCAGGGUUGGAUCUUCAUCUUCUUGUCCUUCCGUUCGCUUGCAGCCCGGCGACCGCCCUCCAACGAGGGCACGAGGAAGUGCUGUGUCGGUCUAUCCAGCAGCGGCUAGGUUAGGAGCGAACUAGACUGGAGGCUGGAGCGAAUGAAUUCGGAUUUUUCCUAUUGUCGAUCGAUAUGGGAGGCGCUCGUUUGCGCCGCGAGCCUGCUAUAGGGCCUGCCUUGCACUUAUGUUAUUGGCCCAUCCAAAUUGAAACAUUUUUCUUCAUUUUUUACAUUGCCUGCUCGUGCAUUGGGACGAACAAAACUAGCGUGGGUCAACCUGGACGACUCAAACUAGGUGCACACUUUUCAGCCACCUGAGGCGGCCGCCCAUACCAGCCCCUAUAGUGGUGUCGCCCAUUUUUGCGUGUAUGAUUGGAUAGUGAAAAAUAUUCCAGUGGCGCUUUUGAUUUACCCACAGAAUGGUUGAAUUGGUUGUUUCUAUGAACUGAGUUCGCCAAUAAUGUGAAGGAUGCCAAUCUUUUCAUCCUAUUGUAGAUUGCUUAGAUCUCGAUAUGCCAAAAGUAAUCGCAUGAAAUAUACAGGAAAAGCCAGUGUGAUUUGUUUGGCUACAACUAGUCUGACUACACGUCCUCAUAUAACAUAUCAAGGACGCACCAUCUUACCAGAUUAACCAUUCGACUGACCUAUGCAGUGUGGGAAGAAAGAAGUAUUGGGACUGCGUAUCCAAGCAAUUGAUGCCAUGGACUCCUUCUUACAACCUUGUAAGCAAAAAAGAAGUUGCAGUGUGCCUGUACAAAGAACUAGCAUAAGUUCAGUUACCUGCUUCUCGGAAUUUUAGUUUGCCACUUAUUGCAAAAUUGUUCAAUUACGUUGGUUGGCUUAAUUUAGUUUGCUACUGAUUACAUAAUGGCACAGCCUGUUAAUCAUAUUGUAGACUACGCCUAUCUAUGUGUUUGAUACUUACUGUUAAGAAUUAUUACUUGUUUGCCUUAACUUAAAUAUCUACUUGUUUGUUUAACUACUUUGCUGCUGCAACAGCUGGUUACAAUGAUGUUAAUAACUACUUUUCAGCAUUCAAUUGAAACUCUUUAAUUCCUUGUUUGUUUAAUUGGUUUGCUGUUAUAACUCCCAGUUCAGAUGUUUUGCUAAAUUCAACUUUUCUGAAUCCAAUCGGAACUUUAAUGGCAAAACAGGUUAGCCCAAGAUCAAAGAGCGAGGUCCCCAUGGACGUUGCAUCAUCCCAGAGCAGUGGCACCGGCCCAAUCGUGCAUUAUGAAUUGCCAACUAUUGAUGCUCUAGAGGCUAAACUAGUGGUAGAAAGAGAUUCUGCUUUUGCACUUAGAGAUGAAGUUGACAUGUUGAGGAAGCAAACAGCACAAUCACAAGCAGUACUCAAGACAACCAUUAAAUAUUUGGUGGGUUUCAAAACGAAGCAAGCUGAGACUGACCAGAUUGUUACGGUCCUGAAGGAAAAAAGGAAAUUAAAUUCCUAGUUGGUAGGUCAUAGGUGAAAUAUACUUUACAUAGUUGAAUAACCUUUGUGUUGUCUGUUCAUGUAAUCAAUCAAACCAUUUGUUUUAGAGAUCAUGUAAUCAUUGUUUUUUUUGUUUUUUGGUUUGUAAUUUUAUUUGAGCACAAGUCUGUAUUCAUUGAUAAGACUCGGAGACAUUUCGUUUGGAUUGCUGUGCCAGACCUACAAAUAUGCCAAUCGGGACGAAUGUGCAUUCAGCAAUAGUAGUAGUAUAGAUGGACCAUAAUUGGCACGCAUCGGAAAGGGCCAAGAUGCUGGGUAAAAAAAGGAUGUUGUUGUAGCCAAAAAAAAGUACAGCGGCCUGGCUUAUGUAUGUUAGUUGAUAUUAUUGAUCCAUACACUCUAUAAGUGUUUAUAUGUCUGUUAGUUCUAUACAUUCUUGGAUGACUAACUCGGUAUUUGAAUCUUGAUACAUCGCUUGUGUACAUAUCUAAAUGGGAGUACACAUUAUGCUACGUGUGACAUUUGAGUUGGACACGAAGUGUUCCAAAUAUUCAAAUUCACCGUAAACUGGAUUCUAGUUUCUGAAUUUGAGUAUCGGCAUUUGUAAACCAUAUUCAUAUAUGACAGUGGAAUACAUCUUUGUCGUCCUUUUGAAGAUAUAUAAAAACACAUAGAAUGAUUUAUAAAGAUUCAUAUAGGAAUACAAAAUGGAUUCGAAUUUAGUUGCCAGGGUAAACGUGGAUGCUUAUUGUCCCAAAAUUUGAAAGAAGCAGCAAAAUGUCCACUCCCACGUCGGCUGCUCGAAGCCAAGUGUUUGGGAGAUGGAAAUUACUAUCUACCCAUUACAUGGGCAAUCCAUCACCCCGAUUUCACUUUAAAUAGGGGUAGGUUAGUAACUUCAAUUAGACGUGACACGACCGCCUCUGAGCCCAUUCCGACACGGUGGGCAUCAAACAUGGGCGGAAAAACACAUUUGAUUCAAGCUCGUCCGAAAGACCUCUGUUUCUCCCUCCAUUCCCAAUUCAUACACGGUGGGCGGCAAAACAAAUUCGACUCGGCCGAAAUCGAUGUAGGCAAAUAUUUUCAAUAGGGGCAGGUUUGUAACUUCACUCAGACGUGACACAACCGCCCUACCUGUCAGCCCCGUUCAUAUACCGUGGGCGCCAACCAUGGGCGCCAACCACCCUCUCCUCACCCGAAAUCGCUCUGGGCAAAUAUUGGCGAGAUGCGAGAUUACCGUCCUAUCCCCAACCAACGAGACGUCCAAAUUUUAAACGGGGGCUAAGUUCGUAACUUUCCCAUAUUUCAGAUAGGCACAUCCCAAAAACAUGGUUCCCCGUACCUCUCCCUCCAUUUUCCCAUUCAUACACCGUCCCCGCUAGAACACCCCAUCCCCACACCAGCCUCCGUCUGCCACCCCAUCCAUCGCCGCCGUCCUCCACCACAUCCAUCGCCACCGUCCUCCACCAUGCCGAAGCGCCUACCAAGACCGUGUCGUCCACUGCUAGAGAUGGACGUUUCUCAUCCACGGCAAUGGACCAAUAGCCUUCCAUCACGUCCUCUCACUUCAUCGGCGCCGUCGUCCUCUUUGCCGGGGCCGCUCACACGACCUUCUCUUCCACCACAACGGGACUUAUCCCUCGAUGCACCCGUCUAGCUACCAUCACAGAUCUGCUUCAACGCCACCGACAGCCAUCGCACCCCCGAUGCCUACACGGCGCCGCAAGAGAGGUGGUACUUCAUAUCUCCUCAACUUUUUGAUCUCAACCAGAAAAUAGAUCUUAACUUGGUUACUCUACUUUCUUUUAAGCUCUUAGAAUUUAGUUCUUAGUUCAAAGCAAACAAUGGAUGCUAAAUAUCAUUUCUCUGGUUUGCAGCUUCAAAUCUGCCAUGGCACAACCAUAAUACGGUUUAAUUGAUCAUGCUUAGGGUUUAAUUGAUCAUGUUAGUUCCGUGGUAGUUUCUUUAAUACAAAUCGGAGGGGAAACCCUCUUUUGCUAAAAAAAUAUGCUUAGAGUUUCCCCCUUUUAUGAUCACUAUACGAUCAGAAUACGUGCUUCGUGUCAUAAUAACACUGCUCCACCCAUCAAGCUGAACAAGCAUAGACAUUCAAAUACGAAUCUGAUAUUAUUAAAACAGAGUUGUUUAAUUGGUCAGCUAAAUGUUCCUAAAUUAGUUUCGAAAAUGCAUGUUCGCCACUCGGGUGUGUAUCUCUACAGGGUGCCCACGCCGGCCCACCUUGGGAUUUUGGGUCGUCCCAGGCCCCGAUUCCCCUCUAUUCUGGAGCGCGCUUCCGGUCUCUACUCACCCCCAGCCGCCUGACUCACCGGAGACUUGCCGUCCCCGGACGACAUGACUUUAGGAGGAGAUGCCAGACUAACAGGAGGCCAGGAGCCGCUCGCCCAACAGCGUCACCGCUGCCCGGGCGCGCCGCCGUGCCUACCUUCCCAGUCCGUUCAGGGCUCAGGCGUGCAACACCCACCAAGGCAACCCAAUUUAUCCUGAGAUACGUCCUCAACACUCAGUAGCCAAUCCUCAUCACCCAUUUUCUAAUUGAUUCAUUACUCAUUAGGUAGGACUGUCAUUAGGGUUUGUUGUGUGCUCAAUGCUACCUACACUUAAUGGUUUAGAUGUAUUUCAGUAAUUUUUCGUACCUCUAAAGUUCACAGGGUUUUCAAAAUUCUGGCCCUCGGAACAGAAACUAGUCAUUUUGGAUUGUUGGUUGUAGUGACAUUGACCCAGAUUACUACUGCAAGCCAGGUUUGUUGACAAUUUUACUUUUCUUUCUUACUCAUUUGAUAUAAUAUCCAAUUAUUCACAUCGAUUAGUUGCAAAGAAUAAGUGCUAGACAAACUUCUUCAUUCAGAUUUUGGACGGUCUCUUACUACAGUUACAAUUCUGCAUACUUGUCCUAAUAAUCUCACAAGUAAAUGAUUGAUUCACUACAUCUAUGCUUGCCUUGUCAUAUUUAUUGUCAGUAUUCUUUUAGGGUGGACCACCCUGUUUCUAAAUACUGGAACCGUAGACAUGAGUGAAUAGUAUUUCUCUAUGUGAUCUCUUCCAUCAUGUGUGGGUAAUGAACACUGCAUUGUAUAGAAAGAAAGUGUCAUUUCCAGCUUUUACAUAGGUUUCGAUCUUUUACAUGGAAUACAAUCUGCCUACUUGCUUUGUGUCGCACUACCAACACUCCACCCUUGAAGCUAAACAUUACGCCACUCAUAAUUGCUUAGUUUACUUGUUCAAAUACGAAUUUCAUAUGAUUCUAAUGUUCCUACUUCAGUUUUGAAAUGUGUGCCUGCCUAUUAUAGAGACAUAAGGGGUUUGUAUUUCUGUGUGUGGUCGGGUCAGCACGGUUUGGGAGGAGAACUUUGCAUAUGCAGGGUUUUAUAGGGAGACACUCUCCGAGUUGAAUCCGCAAUGCAUUCCAUAGAUAAUCUGACUACUUUUUAUGUUUUCAUGAAUCUCAGGUUUUGAACAACAUCAUAAUGAUUAUGAGCUUGCGCGCAUGAAAAGAAUAAAGCAGAACAAUGCCAUGGCUGUCAAACUUGGCAUUAAGGGACUGAAAUCAAGUCUAGAUGCAAUGCAAUGCAAAUGCUCUCCACCUAAAGAUUCAUGCUCAAAAUAUGAUCCUAACAGUGAUUCUGAGCUAGAGGGAGACCUAAGUCAAUGUAGCUCCCUAGUGGAGGAGCCAGAGGAAGAUGUCCUAUCUUAUUCACCCAUCAAGGUACUUGCUCUAACUUUCUAAUGUUACAUUGCUCGCACAUAUCUUGCAUCUAAUGCUUUGCAUUGCUUCUACUUUCUUGAACUGCCAUUAGCUUAGUUUACACAUCAUGUAUGUGAAUACGCCCUGCCUAUCCACUUUCAGUACAUAUUCCAUCUGUCAUCAUAGCAUAUUUGUCCAUUCGAAUGUUGUUCUUGUGUAUCAGACUUUCAAAAGGAAGAGGGCGAUUGCUGAUCGUGGAGGAGCACAAGCAAAGUAUUUGGAAAAGGUAGUGGCACCUGAUAAAUCAAAUAGCCCAUUAGGUGUAGUUGCAAUAUCACCUGACCCACAAAAUACCCCAACUCUAGCAGACUCUAGCCCUACUACACUGGUCAUUUCUGAUGCUCCAACUCAGCAGACCCCAACUGCAGCAAACAGUAUGAUUAUGCCAGUUGACAUAGCACCAGCUGUAUGACGCAAAACCCCCAUUCCAGCAAAGAGUACACCAAAUCCAUUUGCCAAAUCCCUUUUCGAACCAGGGAGAGCCCCAAUUGCAGCAAAUAGGACCCCUGUUCCAUCUCUUCCCUUUUUAGAAGAUGAAGCUUAUGUUGUUUUCAGGAACUUUGUGCGCAUCUUUCCUUCAUGGAAAGAUUAUACCGCAGACACAGAACAAUUUCCAGUCUUCCUUCGCAACUUAUGCGUAAGUAAUGUACUAAUGUUAUUCAUGGUCAUUACUGCAUAUGUUUCUGCUGACAGAAGACACAAGAUUUCAUUCUUUUAAAUAGGCAAGGAGCUAACUAGAUUGUGAUACGAGCAAGGGUUGGUUGCGCUUUUUAAGCACUCGUUGAUGAAGUAUAGUUCCUACCUGAGGCAAGCGCACUUCGAUGGCAAGCCUCUGAACGAAAUUUCUGUAAAUUCUCCGGUGCUACAUUUAUCCGACGGUGACUAGAAUAAUCUUAUUACACAGUGGUCUCGGCUGCAGCGUAAGGUACUGUCUAUGAUAUCACAUCACAAUUUGAACUACAUUUCUGCAUUUGCCUUAAUGUCUCACUUGUAUGAAAACUGUUAGCAGAAGAACAUUCGUUCUCAAGGGACCACAGAAUCUUGCAACUAUACUGCACACUGCAUUGCUCUUGUGAGUACCUCUUGCCCUGUAUGACCAUACUUACUUUCAUAGCUGUUUGAUUAUGUAGCAUCACUGCACAUGUUAGCCUCGUAAUCGUCCAUUUGGUGGACAUUAUAAGAUCUGUAUGGACUCUUACACAAAUUUAGAAUCAACCCAAUGCUUUUGGAGAGGUUUAGCUCUGCAGUCCUCUUGUAAGGACUGAACGUGGUCUAUCACUGUACUUACAUUAACAGCUACUCCCUCUGUCCCAUAAUAUAAGAACGUUUUGUAUAGUACACCAGUGUUCAAAACACUCUUUUAUUAUGAGAAGAGGGAUCGGUUCAUUUUGUAGCAUUCUGCAUCUUAUCUCCCUCGCCCACCAUUUACUAAAAAAGAUCAGAUCUAUAUUUAAUCUUACCAACAAGUAGAAUACACAGACAAUGCUAGUGCAGAAGUGUAGCACAUUGCUCUUAUCAGUACAUUUUGUCCUGUAACGCUUGUACUUCCAGGGAUUGGUAGUCGAUUAUGUAGCAUCAAUCUGCAUCUUAUCUUCAUUAUCCUCUAUCCCUUCCAGUAUUAUCAUAUCUAUAAUUACUCUCUACAAAAUGUAGAGUACAGGCAAUGCUUAUGAAGAAGAUUUUGUGCUGAAAUUCUUGAGUUAUCCUUCCCUUGACAUGGAGAAGGGCAUUAUAAAGUCGGUGUUAACUGUUAAUGUAAGGCAGUCCUUCUAAAGCCUUUAUCCUCAACUGCUGUUUAAUUUGCUCAUACUCCCUAUCAUUUGCUGCUGUUUAGUUUGCUGUUUCUACAAAAAUGCAUGUUCGUAAGAACUGUAAGUUCUAAGUUUUACUUGUAAAACCAAAUUCAUUAUUCAUACCAUGCACAUUACUUAAUACUCCCUAUAUGUAUGCUUGGUUUUGUGGAUCUAUAAUCCAGUGUGUGGUGAAGCAGCCCACGUUUGCACCUUGUCAUCUCCUGUUUUAUCUUACUGAUGUGGCUGAUGAUAUGAACAACAUGCCAUGCACAUUAUCCAAAAUAGAUACAAUGAUUUUCUUUGCCCUUCAUCUAUGCUUGUUAUGUUGACAUGGUAAUCUAGUAGUGUGGUGAAGCUCCCCGCAUUAUGAACAAUGGCAAAUUAUGCUAUUGGUAUUUUGAACUUACUCUUUAUUUUCUAAUUUGAAAUUGGAUAGAAUUGACAGAACAAUUAUCAUCUUUGUUUAUACACGUGCAAAACCUAUCAUCUCGCUACUUUGUUUCAGGGUGACAUGCCUAAUGGCAAGCACAAGUCUGCUGAAGGCUGUGAGACAAACCCAACAUAUAUUGCUGCAAAGAAGGCAAAACAUCUUGAAGAUAGAGAGACAACUCCAAAGUCUUGUCUUGAUGCAGUGUUCAAGUUACUUGAGACUAACAGUCAGAAUUCGUUGUCUGAAUCAAUUCGACUUCUUCAGUCCCAAGUUAUAGCAGAAAGGCAUUCUGCAACUCAACUUUGACUUGAAGUCCUAUCUCUAAGAAAGAUUGCGGAGAACACCAAUGAGAACCUCAACGCUAAACAGCUACACCUGGAAGCUAUGACCGACAUGCUAGGCCGGUCUCACAGCCUUGCUGAGCAGCUUGCGCAGCAGUUCCCCCGCAAGGCUAACCUUUCUUGAACUGUCUUGGAAGUGGUCUCGGUUUAGUAUUAUUUUGUUACGCUGCAAUGGUGCCCAGUUUUUGUAAUCUGCUUCUUCGUUGCGCUUUAUGAUCACUGGUGGCGAACUUCGAUGCCCAGUGGAUGUAAUAUACCUUAAAUCCUUUAUUGUAUAGUGUAGGUUUAUUCUUAUUUACUAUGUCGUAAUUUCUUUAUUGUAUAGAGUAGGUUUGUUCAUAAUUCCUACUAGUUACUGCCAUCAUUCGCUAUCUGAAAAAAAAUCAGAUGUAGUCGACUGGGCCGAAACAUUCGACUCUAAGGCCACAAUUGGGCCGGCCUACGUAUUUCUAGGGUCCGAAUGAUUGGGGCCUUCACACAUUGCGCCAGGCCCAAACUUACACCGGCCUAUCUUUUAGUUGGGCCUUUUGUCGACCCAGCGCUUAGUUUGGCCUAGGUAGCGUUGGGCCAUUAACAGGCUGAAUAUUGUGCUGGCCUGUUACGGCCGAGAUGAAACCACGGGACUUUAGCAGGCCAAAAUGCAUGUUGGGCCUCAAUUUUCACUAGUCGUCGACGGGCCUUCAGCAGGACGAAAUGUAGACCAGGCCGUCUUGGGCCCAGUUAGCUCACGGGCCGUUACCAGGCUGAAACAUAUCUCGGGCCUUAGUUGGCCCACUGAUAUCAUGGGCCUUUAAGAGGCCGAAAGCUUAGUAUAGGCAUCAAUGGGCCGAAUUACACGACAUGCCUUUAACAGGCCCAAAGUCACGUUAGGCUUAACUGUUGCCACCUUUGGCAUGGGCCGUUAGUGGGCCUGAUGUCCCGUUGGACCAUAUAUGGCCCAUGGGCAGCACGGGCCAUUCCCAGGCCGAAAGUCACACCGGGCUGAAAUGGGCCCAUGUCUACAUCAGGCCUCUAACAGGCCGAAAGUCACUGGUCUAUAGUUGGGCCCAAAUAUUAUGCAAACAAUUAACGGGCUAGAUCUGGCUUCGGGCCGCAAAUGGGCCCAAAUAUUGGGCGAACAAUUAAUGGCUAGAUCUGGCUUCGGGCCAUAAAUGGCUCCAAAUAUUGGGCGAACAAUUAACGGGCCAGAUCUGGCUUCGGGCCGUAAAUGGGCCUUUAUUAAGUAGGCCGUUAUUGGGAUGGCCCACUAGUACCUGAUUAAGUUCUACGGGCCUUUGACUGGGCUGGCCUUUUUAACCUAUAUGGGCCUCUGUUGGACCCAACCACGUGUCGACGUAUCAUAGGCAUGUCUCCUCCAAUGGACGGGCGACAUCUAUCCCACUGACGAGCUGACAGGUGUUCCCUUCAGCCAAUCAGAAUUUUACACGUGGAAAUUUCCCAUUGCUCGGGGCUGUUAACGGGUUAUUGGAAUUUUACACGUGGAAAUUUUACACGUAGGUCGAUCUGUCGCUCUCUCUAUUACACACAUGUUGUUAAACACACACACGCGCGCGCGCGCAUGCACGCACGCACCUUGGUCCUGUUGCACCUUCUAACGUGACUUAUUACACCUAGACGGAGGGAGUAGUAAGUAUACGAGAUACGGUGGCACACUGACUUAAGUCGAAUACAAGUGCCCAAAAUUGUGUGCAUGUUAUAAUAAGGAUUCACUUAAAAUAGUACUCACUCCGUCCGGAAAUACUUGUCGGAAGAAUGGAUGUAUCUAGACGUAUUUUAGUUCUAGAUACAUCCAUUUUUAUGCAUUUCUCCGACAAGUAUUUCCGGACAGAGGGAGUACGUGAGCGAACAGAGGGAUCAAUUGGACAGUGUUCCUGAGCAGUAGCGAGAUGUGUGAGGUAAGAUACGCUGCUGGUGCUUUUAAUUUUUCUUAUUAAUUUGUUUGUUUCACCCUCUGACUGGUGGGACCCAACGUACUACGUGGAGAGAGGUAAGGUGACUAAGGCUGCAUUAUUUCUACACCACUGUGGAUAGUCUUACCACCAAAGCCACAUGACACGGUUAUGAUUGAAAUCCCAAUGACUCCCACACACACAAAAGAAAACACGGCAUGCUUGUCACACGAAUGCAGGAAUAUAUAAAAGGUUAUUUUCCUCUCGUUGAACAUAACGGGAGGGUUGUGUAGCUGGUUAGCAUGUUCGCUCAUCAAACUUGAGCUCUCGGGUUCGAUAACUACACUUGAGCAUAAUUUGUACCAGGAGGAUUCUUUAACUGGUCAAAAUGGAUGGAUACGGAGCUAUAUGAUCUUGUAGUGACUGUAUAAUCACCUCAUCACGUAUAAGCUGCAGCCUAGGCACUUGUUUUCUAGGGUUUGCAUGCUUCACACUCUCUCUCCAGCAUAUAUAUACACGCUGGAGCCUUAGCGCUUGUAGUUGCUCUCUUCACACUCUCUCGCCCUCUCCAGAUCUAAACAAGACUUCGUUGCCUCUCUCUCCCCUCACUGCUGCUCAAAGAGCCGGCAGGAUCCGUCCGCUGGGAAGGGAAGGAGGCUUAACACUGUCGCCGUCGGCGAGGGAGGGAAUCCACUACCGGCGCAGCUGUUCUUCACCCAACGACGGUGCGGGAGGGCCUCCGACCCCUUCUUUGCCGCAGUUCCGCCACCCACCGAACCACGCCCCAAGAACCUUAAGGUAUAAUUUACUUACUCCACAUGCAUUGCUCUAGCUGCAUGUAUACCAUGAAUCUAGGACAUGGUUCCAAGAGGAAAGGAGUGGGGGAAAGUAGUGGGAAAAGUUGUAUAUUGCAUGAAUCUAGGACGUGGUUCAAAGAGCAAAUGAAGGGGGAAAGUUGUAUAACAUGAAUCUAGGACGUGGUUCAAAGAGGAAAGGAAUGGGGGAAAGUAGUGGGGAAAUUUGUAUCGCAUAAAUCUAGGACGUGGUUCAAAGAGGAAAGGAAGGGGCGAAAGUACUAGUACAGACUGGCUAUCUAGCACCUACGUUGGUCGAAAAGGGAAAACAAUGACAAACGCAGUACGCACAUCUGUAACAAACUGAUCUUUUGUUUUGGGGGACAAGGCUGUAGAGUUUGAGCAGGACUAGAUUUGCUGGGCUCACAUAGGGAAAGGUGUCUAAAGAUAACAAAACUGGGACCAACACAAAUAUGCUACUUGGUUGUUUGUUCUUUGUUGCAACAGACUAUGCAUGACCACAGUACAUAGGUAGAUGCACAUGGUGCUGGUGCGUCCAUGCUACGUCUUGAGCUUUUGUUGGUUUUUCUUGAAGAGGAAAGGGUGAUGCAGCAGUAGUAGCGUAAGUAUUUCCCUUAGUUUUUGAGAACCAAGGUAUCAAUCCAGUAGGAGGCUCCUCAAAAGUCCCAUGCACCUACACAAACAAACAAAGAACUCGCAACCAACGCAAUAAAGGGGUUGUCAAUCCCUUCACGACCACUUGCCAAAGUGAGAUCUGAUAGAGAUAGUAUGAUAAGAUAAAUAUAUUUUUGGUAUUUUAUAAUAUAGAUACAAAAAGUAAAGAUGCAAAUAAAAGUAGAUUGGAAGCAAAUAUGAUAAAGGAUAGACCCGGGGGCCAUAGGUUUCACUAGAGGCUUCUCUCAAGAUAGCAUAAUUAUUACGGUGGGUGAACAAAUUACUGUCGAGCAAUUGAUAGAAAAGCGAAUAAUUAUGAGAUUAUCUAGGCAUGAUCAUGUAUAUAGGCAUCACGUCUGCAACAAGUAGACCGACUCCUCCCUGCAUCUACUACUAUUACUCCACACAUCGACCGACUCUUCCCUGCAUCUUGAGUAUUAAGUUCAUAUGAACAUAGUAACGAAUUAAGAAAGAUGACAUGAUGUAGAGGGAUAAACUCAUGCAAUAUGAUAUAAACCCCAUAUUUUUAUCCUCGAUGGCAACAAUACAAUACAUGCCUUGCAACCCCUCUUGUCACUAGGUAAGGACACUACAAGAUUGAACCCAAAGCUAAGCACUUCUCCCAUGGCAAGAAAGAUCAAUCUAGUAGGCCAAACCAAACUGAUAAUUUGAAGAUACUUGCAAAGAUAACUCAAUCAUACAUAAAAGAAUUCAGAGGAGAUUCAAAUAUUUCUCAUAGAUAAACUUGAUCAUAAACCCACAACUCAUCGGAUCUCGACAAACACACCGCAAAAAGAGUUUACAUCGAAUAGAUCUCCACAAGAGAGGGGGAGAACAUUGUAUUGAGAUCCAAAAAGAGAGAAGAAGCCAUCUAGCUAAUAACUAUGGACCCGAAGGUCUGUGGUAAACUACUCACAACUCAUCGGAGGGGCUAUAGUGUUGAUGUAGAAGCCCUCAAUGGUCGAUUGCCCCUCCGGCAGAGCGCCGGCGAAGGCUGCAAGAUGGGAUCUCGUGGAUACAGAAGGUUACGGUGGUGGAAAUUGUGUUUCGUUGGCUCACUAGAUGUUUUCGGGGUACGUAGGCUUAUAUAGGAGGAAGAAAUACGUCGGUGGCCGCCCGAGGGGCCCACGGGAUAGGGGGUCACGCCCUGUAGGGGAGGGGGGCGCCCUACCCUCUCGUGGACGCCUCGGCUGCUUCUUGACUUGCACUCCAAGUCCUCUGGAUCACGUUCGUUCCAAAAAUCAUGCUCCCGAAGGUUUCAUUCCGUUUGGACUCCGUUUGAUAUUCCUUUUCUUCGAAAUACUGAAAUAGUCAAAAAAACAACAAUAUGGGCUGGGCCUCCAGUUAGUAGGUUAGUCCCAAAAAUGAUAUAAAUGUGUAAAAUAAAGCCCAUAAACAGCCGAAAGGGGUAAUAUAAUAGCAUGGAACAAUCAAAAAUUAUAGAUACGUUUGAGAUGUAUCAGUCCACUGUCCCAUGCAACUCAUUAGCUGUUGUUAAUCUAAGGCCCUAUUUGGUUAAAAACUCCCUAGUCCCUACCUGCUUGGUUCCAGGGACUAAACAUGGACUAGAGGUUAUUAAAUGACAUGCUAAAAGACCAUGUUACCCCUAGUAAUGAACUAAUAGAGACAAGGUGCGAUGUGUGGCAUGGACAACCACUACUAGGGAAAACCCUAGUAGUAGCGCGGGUUUUGAGGCUAUCAGCAGCGCAUUUUCGGAACGCGCUACUAUUAGUUAGCUGUAGUGAUUUCCCGAGCCCGCGCUACUGUUAUGUCUUUCACCAUUUCCCCAUUCCAGCUUCAAUAAACUGCAAUUUCCAGAUACUAGGUACUACUAGAUAUCAAUUUCAUUAAGCAUUAUAGGUACUAGUCGUACUCCCUCGGUUCCAAAUUACUCGUCGUGGUUUUAGUUCAAAUUUGAAAUAAAACCACGAUGAGUAAUUUGGAACCGAGGGAGUACUAGAUAAAAAUUUCAUAUAUACUCAACAUGCAUCCUCAAGCAGUACAAGGUGACAUCGACGACGAUCAUCAUAUUUAGUUCUAGAUGAUAUUGACGACGAUCAUCAUAUUUAGUUCUACAUGAUAUCGACGACGAUCAUCAUAUGUAGUGCUAGAUGAUAUAGCCACACACACAUAUGUAGUUCUAGAUGAUAUCGACGACGAUCAUCAUCCUCAAGCCUGGGCGGUGGGUGUUCCUGAUAGUAAUUAGGAUGGCCUGUCCAACACGAAGAUUCUUGCCAACGAGGAAUCUCUUCCACCCAACCGAAUUUAAGUGUGUGCGACCGUCUGUGUCCAUGCGGUAAGUACAGGUGGUGACGGAGCCCCUUGCAGUAAGGUGUAUUCCAGCUGAUCCUUCUUCAUCAGGCUCGAUACCACAACUCACAGAUAGGUUCUUUGGCAAUUUCUAAAUAAGAAAAACAUAUCAAUUAAUAAAUAGCCUCACACAUACUCUUGCAAAUAUAUUUCUAUUAAGUCUAGAUUUCUACACUAUCAAAAGACACAGUACUACCCAUUUGUACUAAUUAAUCAUGAAUUCUACUAAUAACUAUAUAUGGAUUAUCUACACUAUUAAUAGUUCCUUGGAUUCCACACUAAUAAGCAUGUGAUCAGACUCUACACUAAAGCAUAUCAACGACUAGAUUCCACACAACAUAUCAUUGGACUCUACACUAAGCAUGUCAUCAGAUAAUUUGCAUUUGUAAGUAUAACAUACCAUAUCAUGUCGAUCGGCCAUGGUACUUGUCAGGCGGGUCACGAAUGGCACCCCGACAAAGCCAGCACGUGGUGGAAUUAUGUCCCAUAGGUUGCACACCUCCUCCUCGCUCAGCCUCAUUCUUUGAGCUACGAUGGCUUCAUGAAGUGGGUUCCCAUCAUCUUCAUCGAGUGGGUCCUCAUUAUCUUCAUCAUCUUCUUCAUCUGCAUCAUCUUCGUCAUCUUCAUCAUCUUCGUCAUCUUCAUCAUCUUCCACCAGGUUGAGAUAAAUGACAGCCAGCUUGGGUCUUUCUGCUCUGAAGGAGAAGCUGAUCAACUCACCACCAGUAAGACGCAUGCGGGCGAGGAAACGGGCCCAUCCAUCUCCUCCAAUCUGCAACAUAUUGCGUCCUUUCUAGACCUCCAUAGUGUACGCACCCCUAGGAGCCUCAAAUGUCCCCGUGUCUCCUGUCAGCUUGUUGAAUGUAAACCUCACAUUGCAUGGGACAGUCUGUGUAAGAAAAGAAAAAUGACACAAUGCAGUAAUGCCAACACUAAAAAUAAAAUAGUUGUUACAUUUCAUCUAAUUUCUUACCGCGCAUGACGAAAACUCGGCUGGAAGUAGAUGCCAAACAGCUUGCCAGUUGCAAGGCUGCUGGCGCACCUUGACUUGCACAGUCGACAUAGUGGUGGUGGUGGUGGCGCCAUUUUCCUAAAGCAAUAUGAGCAAAGGAUUAAUGAUUCACUUCACAGGAAAGAAAAACAGUAGCAUGUGAUAUUUUCCUAAAGCAAUAUGAGCAAAGGAUUAGUGGUGGUGGCGCCAUUUUAUGGACAAUUAUAAUCCUAAGAUCUAAUAACAUAUUAGAUGACAAGGUACCACGUACCAAAGAAUUUCGGUGGCACCUAUUGCCGAAAUAACAAUAAAAUGGUGCAUACUAAAUCACCUAAAUCAACUAGCAUACUAAAUCCACUAUCAUACUAAAUCAACUAAAUCAAAAUGUUCUAAAUCAACUAAAUCAACUAGCCUACUAAAUCAACUAAAUCAACUAGCCUACUAAAUCAACUAAAUCAACUAGCCUACUAGAUCAACUAAAUCAUAUCAACUAAAUCAGAAUGUUGCAUAUGAACUAGCCUACUAAAUCAAAAUGUAGCAGGGAGGAGGGAGAAGGAGGGGCGACUCGAGGAGAGAGAAGAGAGUAAGACGGAGGAGGAAGGCGGAGCGAGGAGGGGCUGGCCGGCGGUGAGUGGAGGGAGAAUGGAGGAGGAAGGCGGAGCGAGGAGGGGUCGGCCAGCGGCGAGUGGAGGGAGGACGGAGGAGGAGGCCAGUAUCGAGUCCAGCGAGGAGGAUGAGGUGACGGCGGCGCAGAUUGGAGGAUGGGCGACGGGGGAGGACUGGCGGCGCGGGGGUUGAGGGGGAGAUCGAGUGUGUGUGUGAGUGUGAUCUGUAUCGGAUAGGUGAAUGGGGGGAGAUGGAAUGACUUAGCAGUAGCGCGCUAGAGCAAAAUGGGCUACUGCUAAAUGACCUAUCAGUAGCGCCUUUCGCCGAGAACGCGCUACUGCUAUGUUAGACAUAGACAUAAAAAAUACAUUGAUCAUCAAUUGUAUUUUUGUGUACAAUAUGAUUUGUCAAUAGGAAUCCUCGACGGUUGGUUUAAGAACAGGCGAGGAUUCCUAUUGCGGCCACAGAUCCUACACAUAGAGUUCAAUGAAGAGCAAGUGCUUGUGAAAGUUGUAGAAGUAACAUAUUUAAGGUGGUACAAACUCUCUUCACGGAGCGAGGUGGGAUUAAAUUUUUGUAGUAACCAAAAAGUAGUAGCGAUUAUUGCGUAAAUGCGCUACUGCUAUGAUCCGUAGCAGUAGCGCUCUUUGUGCUAACGCGCUGCUGCUAUAACUGGCCUCGCGGCGGCGUCGUGGGAAUUUUAGCCGUAGCGCGUCUUAGAGUGUGCGCGCUACUGAUAAACUUGUUUCAGCAAUGAGUUUUGAAAGCGCGCGCUACUGCUACAUAGCAGUAGCGCCUAAUUUUAAAGCGCGCUGCUGGUAAGAUUCUGUGUAUAGGAUUUUCCCUAGUAGUGAACUGUUGGAAAAAGUCCCAAAAAGAGUCCCUCGGGGUCUUCUUUCUUUAGUCCCAAAUGCCCACUUUUAGUCCCUAAACGUCCCUCCUGCUUGGUUUAGAUGGGACUGACAUAGGUUUUUUUAGUCCCUACACCAAAAUGUCCCUGUAAACAAACACCCUCUAAUAAUGCCGCUGGAAAAUUGAUGCAAUACCACAGUUAAAAGCAAAUUACAUGUUUAACGAAUUUUCUUGUUAAUAUAAUCUCUAUGUUAAUAUUAAUCAAUGCCGCCGUUUGAGAAAUGCUACUGUCUUGCUUUCUUUCCCAUUUAGAUAAGGUAGAUGCUUCUUUUUGUUGGCUUCUGUGUCAUCCACCGUUAUUGACCAUUAAUUGUUUCCUUUGCACCUCUGUGUAAACAGGGUUAUCUAUUUCACCUCGUUGCCAUUGUGACCUUUUGUUGCACUACACAAAACUUUUUUGUUUUAAGAGUGUUUUGCGCAGUUCAACCAAAAUGUCACACCGACAAUGUUGCUUGAUUGCUUGAUCUUAGUGGAACUGCACAAGAGGAGAUCUUACUUCCUAUCCAUGUUGGCAAAUUUGGUUCAGAUCUUCGUCUUGUGAGUUGUUUGAAUUCCGCAUCAUGAGAGGUCAGUACUAGCCUUCUUUCACAUGAUUCUGCAGUGUGCUUUCAUAUGUUGUGCUACUUGUACGAUAAUGUUGCUUGAUUUUAGUGAACUGCAUAAAUGGAGACAAGACUUCCAAUCAGUAUGUGCACCGUAAUAUCCCAUUGAGGUAAGAUAAGGAUAUUUCACAACUGUUGGCCUGUAUUUUGCCACUUCCAUCAAAAAAUUAAGUUUAGUAUUAUACUUGUGCUCCCUAAUUGACAUACCAAAUCUUACAUUGAAGGUGAAGCUUGUCUAUUUUGAACCAAGUGAUGAAUGGGAAGAACAAGCAGAAGAAAAACAAAAAUCAACUCCCGGUGCUGUAAUGAAGCACUAGAACUGUGAUGACACAAGUAAUGAUAUAGUUUUGCAUCUUAAUUUAUUGUUGUGGCUGGAACGAGCAAUUGUUUUGCCACUGAUUUGAUGCCACUCUUAUUGUAAUACGUAAUUAUCUCUACUUGUGCAAACAGGGAUCUUAUUUGAAGAUACCAUAUAUUUUAGUGGAACUGCACAAGAAGAUGUUGGAAACAUUAAACUAAUCGAGGAGUAUAUAGUAAGCAUGGCCACCACCGUAGAUAGCAACAGAUGGUUCCGGAGAAGUGCUUCAUCUGUAUGCUCUACACAAUAAGCCUCCUGACAAAGGUUGGUACUCUCCCAUUGAUUUCAUCCAUAUGAUUGAGCUUUUUCAUCUCUAUUGGUGUUGUACUACUGUUUAGAUACUGUCAUGAAAAAGUGGUAUUGUCCUUCAGAAGUGCUUCAUCUGUGUUGUUUUAAAUAUUUCCUUUCCUUUUUUUCGAGAAAACAAGGAUGCUAGCAUUUAGUAGUCCUCUCGUCUUUGCACAAUAGGAUUACUUCCUCUGGAGAAGAAUAUGGAGUAUGUCAAGUGACUAGUUCCGAUUAUGCCAGGAUGAAGAAGCCCUGUCUAUCUUCUUAUCAGAAGGAGCACUUAAAGGAUGGUUACAUUACUCCCCACAAGACCAAACUAACUUCAUCUCAGAAGGACUGACAAAUCUCCAUUUUUUGCUGUGAUGCGCGAGUACAAUGUUUUUCUAGGAUUCUUUCUGGUGAGUUCCAUUUUUCUAAAAGUGUGCUCUACAUGGAACAUGUAGGUGCCUGUUUAAACUGUCAAUUCAUAGUACAGUUUGCUUUAUACUUAUCACUUUUUUGUAUUUGUGCAAACAGGGGUGCUCAGCUUGAUUUCAAUGGGAACUGCACAAAAUGUUCAUGAAUACAUCGAAUCAUUCAUUUCCACCACAAGAAACGAGGUGCCGAUAAGUUCAAGGCUUGCAACAUAUAAGGGCGAAAUCAUACAAGCUACGUGCGAAUUUGGUUGAUUUUGGUGGAACUGCACAAAAAGAACAGCUGGUUUAUUUAGCACGAGGUGCCAUGUCAAUGUCCAAACUGAUGGCAAACCCUGCCCAUUCCACAAUCAUAGGCAUUUGAUAUUUUGGAAUGGGACAACCUUGUCAAACUUUGCUCAUUGAUUUUAGCAAGACAUGCGUUCGAUAUUUUGGAAUAGGACGCCCUUUGUUGUCAGCAGCGUCGAUCAAUUUUUUCUUUAUUCUUUAGUUGUGAAGUAAAUAUUGCCUCUGACAUGUGAGUCGCUAAGAUGCAUAAUCAUCCAUUGUUUUGAAUGUUCUCUAUGAAUUGCCAGCCCUGUGUGUUUGAUUGCAAUGUACAGAAACGCUAAAAAGCUGCUCAAACUCUUUGUACUCCUUCUGUUCCUUUUGACUUCACACAUUGUGUAAGUGCAUACUUUUUUGUAUAAGAUUGGUCAAAGUAGAGAUACCUUUACUGUAGAAAAAACUUGUAUGCAGACUAGAAAGGACCGAAGGGAGUACAUGUGAAACUGCUGCAAACGAGGUUAUCACCCAGGGAAUAAUGCUAGUAUGUAUUGUUUUGCAUGUUCAUCCAAUGCGAGUGAUACAGGAAUUCGAACUAAUCGAAAUAAAUUCAUUCAUACACGGUCGGAUUUCAUAUAAACAUGCCGGAUUUCAUUACAUUUCAUACAUUCUUCAACUAAAAAGGGGUGCGCUGGAGGUAUAAUUAAUUAACCGAAGCUACCCACCUGUGUCCCGCUGAGCCAAAUAGAAGCUUCAGUGACUUAACUGCAGGUGCAGUUGCGUAACUAACAUGUGGACUAUUGGGCCCAUGUGUCAGUCAGCCAACUGCACCAGCAGUUAAGUAGAAGCAGCGUUCUUCUCCAGGGCAGCUCUCCGACUCCACGUCGCUGCCAAGAAGCUAACCGGCCGUCAAUGGUCAACCCGCCUAGCUUGGCUUCAACCGGAGGGUAGCAGUGGGGGCCUUACUUGGACCCGAGCGGCGGCGACCUACCGUGUUCUACUCUUCCUCGUUUUCUGUGUGGAGCGACCUCGUUGGCAGCGGGGCCUCGGCGGAGCCGGCGAUGUCCUCUGUGUCGUUGCCAGCAUGCGGCGGAGCGGUGGAAAUCCUCCCCCUCGUUGCUGGCAGGGUUGGGCCUCGGCUGAGCCGGCGAUGUCCUCUGCCACAUUGUUGGCGGGGCGGGGCAUCGGCAGAGCCGGCCGUGUCCUCUGCCUCGUUGUUGGCGCCGCGGGGCCUUGGCGGAGCAGGGCCUCAUUGAUGCCAAACAGCGCCUCACCCAUUUCAUCAUCCUCUUUGUAAGCGGCCACAGCCUCCGCCACCCGCAUGCGGUACCGCGAGCACUUGAGGCGGCCCUUGCGGGCAGAGUGGUACGAGUCGAGCAGCGCCUCCUGCACCGCCCGCUCAUCUACUCCUCUGCCUGCAGGUGCUCCUGCAGGAGAUGGUGGUUGUAGGCGGCGUCGGCAUGCGCCUCCCGGAACUGCUCCUCAUGCAUCUACCUCAUCGUGUCCAUAUAUUGGGCAUGGGCCUCGCCGAUGGUCAUGGUGCAAUGCACCGGCGAGGAUGGCGCAGAGGAGGGGGUUGGCGCCGGAUCGUCGACUACCAUGUUCUCCAUUGGGACGUUCUCGUCCUCCGGCUGCCUGUCGGCCAGCCGGUCGGCAGCAAUGGGUGCCAUCUCCUUGUGGUCCGUCGUCCGCCCGUCCCGAAGAGCGCUGGAGCGCGAGGAAGCCAUGGUGGGCAGUAGUGGUGUGUACAGGAGAAUGGGAACGGAUGUGGAUGACUGCGGCUAUGGCCGGCGCAGUAGUUUAUAUAGCAGUGGUGGGCGGUGGAGGGACGGACGUGUGGCGCCGGAGUAGCCACCGCGGCAACCGCAUAUCAUUAAUGUGGGCAGCAGAUGGACAGACAGACAACACUUGUGUCAUUUGAAGGCGGAGCAAUCACCUGCACUGGGAAGCAGGGCGGGCGGCGCUGACUGUUUCGGGCGGAAAGCGCGCGCGGGCGAGGAGAUAACUUUACUUGGAGAGGAUGACAAUGGGGACCCACCAGGGCCAUAGCCUCACGUAUGCAAGUGCCUCCUUAUUAUAUAUAUAUAUAUAUAUAUAUAUAUAUAUAAUUUAUUUUGCUUCCUCCUGGUUUCCUUACAUCACGGUCCCUCACCAUUGUCAACCUAUGUACUCCCUCCUUUCUGGUUUAUAGGGCUUAUCUCAAAAUUUUAUUUUUUCCAUUUUAUAAGGCUCAAUUUGGUUGUUUUCCAUCACAUGUUCAGAUUCUAAGGUGCAUUAAAUCAUUGCAUGCAAGUAUUAAGAGAAAAUUGACCAAUGCAUGUACUUUAUGCAUGCAUGCAUUGCAAUUAAUGCAUUAAAAAAAUUUAAUUUUUUGAGGACAACAAGAGCAUUAAUUAGGUGCUUUUGCAAAACUACAAAAAGUAUUCCACCACUCACCAUCUACCUUGAUUGGUGAGAUUUUUGAAUUGAGCACUAAAAACCAGAAAGGAGGGAGUAGUCAAUAAACGAGAGAAUUGCACAAGAAGUGGCCGACAGUUGGGACCAAGCAGCUCGAGCAGUAUUUGUGUUUUUGAGGUGUGAGCACUUCAGAGUUUUUCGAUGUUUAGCCCAGAUAUUAAAUUUUCUCCACUAAACAACAACGAAAACAUCACUGCAGGUAUUAACUGGGCGGGCUGUGGCCCGUCUAGCCCAGGCCAGAUAUUCAGCCCAGAUAUUAAUUUUUUUCUGGCUGAAAAUGGCUAGCCCAGCUAUAAUUUUUUUAAGAAUACCUAGGCAAGGUCAAGUUAUUAUUCUUCGCCCCGCUGGGCUGCAAAUCUUUCCUAGGAGGGAUGCACUAGGCUUAACAAGAAAAUGGGCUUUAAGAAAUAAUAAAUGGAAUGUAAUUAUAAAAACUGGGAAGUAACUAUAAAAAGAUGCACUAAAAACGUAAUUACUUUAUAAAAUAUUAUUUUUGGAUAUUGAAAAUUUUAAUUUCAUUAAUUGUUGCGAGCGCAAUGUUUCAUUGGAUUUUUACAUAAUAUAAAUUUAUAUUGAAAUUGUAUUUAAUCUCACUAGAAAUUUUGGGAUAAAAAUAUUUCGGAUCCCAUCAAAAUGUGGGAAAUUUUAUUGAAUUUUGUUUUGAACGGUUGGUUGAAAUGGGUUGUACUUUUAACAAACUGUAAAAUGGGCUGUAGUAAAUUCCAUUAGAAUUCAAAAAUGGGUUGCACAUUCUUACAAAUAUCAAAUGGGCUAUAAGUUCUCUGCCACACACUUAUGGCCUUACUAAGUUGACGUGUCCCCUAAAAAAUAGAGUUGACGCAUAUGCAAGGCUUUGUCAACUUAUAGUCAACACACGGUUCUAGCAGCAGUGGCCGUUGGAUGUCCAUCCAACGGAUGCCGUGCUUCUUCUUCAAUCUCGGAUAGUCUAGCUUCACCCGCCCAAAAAAUGAUUCCUCCCCCUGACAUCUGGGGCGCACCGUUUCGGAAGCUGACCUGUGGGCCUACUAAGUUGACGUACCAAGGGCUUUGUCAACUUAGUCAAUAUAAACGAUUCUAGCUGCAGUGACCGUAUGAUGUCCAUCCAACGGCCGUCGUGCUUCUUCAACCUCUAGUCUUCUUGCUCCAGCCGCCCAAAGUAGCAUCGGUCAUGCCACCUGCCUCCCGUGGCCAGCUGUGCUGUUGCGGAGACCUCAUCACCCACUACUACUCCCACCGCUGGCCAGGCCAUCCCUCCAGUCACCCACACCCCCUGUUAUUCUACGGCAACGGCAGCAUAGCCGAACCAGUGAACCCUCGUACUCCUCUCCGCGUGUGCAUCCACUGGCGCGUCUUCCCCGGCUCCACAUCGUCCCCUUCCUAGGCCUCACCGUCGUCCACCGCCAUGGUGCUCUCGGCGCGGCGUGGUCAACGUGGUCAAGGAACGACUUCCAUCGGACGUGGACUGUACGUGGAGAGGCUGACAGGUGGGUCCAUGGCAGCAGCAAGGAAGUGCCUCCUUAUUACGCGCAAAAUAAUUAUUCCUCCACCUGACAGCGGGGACCCACCGGAUGGGCCACCGUAUUUUGCGAAAAAAUGAUUCGCCCCCUGACUGCUGGGACCCACCAGCUACAUCUUCGCACGCAAGGAAGUUCGUCCGGGAAAAAAACGAUUCGCCCCCCUGACUGCUGGGACCCACCAGCUACAUCUUCGCACCCAAGGNNNNNNNNNNNNNNNNNNNNNNNNNNNNNNNNNNNNNNNNNNNNNNNNNNNNNNNNNNNNNNNNNNNNNNNNNNNNNNNNNNNNNNNNNNNNNNNNNNNNNNNNNNNCUGCUGGGACACACCAGCUACAUCUUCACACGCAAGUAAGUGCCUGACGGUCGGGACCCACCUGGUCGAAGCGUACGUAGCGUUGUCAUUAUGUUCACAAACGUGUACGUACAUACUGGUCGAUGUAGAGGCGCGCACGUGUCGUAGUAGAGGCCCGAACGUGUCGUAGUAGAAGCGCGCACAUAGCAUGUACACGUACAUACAACAGCCAGGGUGCAAGAAAGAAAAUACGGCCACGUACGUACAUACAGGCGGUGUCUCGAACGCCUACUCGCGCAUACGUACGGCCAGGGCUAAUGUACAUGGCUGGGUGGGAACGGAGAAACAACAUCCUCGUCAUGUUCAUGGGGAGCCAACCGGCUGGGUUGGAGCGAAAUGCGCCAUCGUGUUCAUCGGGAGGGCUUGGACGGAACAGGCGAUGUAAACGAGGCCUGGCGUACAGUAGAACGAAGGAAACGGCCUUGUGUUUGACCGGCCACGUUCAAAACGGGAUCCUGUUCAUCGGGAGGGGUCUGGCGUACCACAAAACGGAGGAAACGGACCUCCUACGAUCGAAACGGGGGUCCUAUUGAUCAGGAGGGGUGUGGCGUACCGCAAAACGGACGAUACGGACUUGUGUUGGAGAGCUACGGUCGAAACAGGGGUCAUGUUCAUCGGGAGGGGUGUGGCAUACCGCAUAAUGGACGAAACGGACUUGUGUUGGAGCGCUACGGUCGAAACGGGGGUCCUGUUCAUCGAGAGGGGUGUGGUGUACCGCAAAACGGGACUCCACGGGAUACUGUUCAUCUCCACCGUCGACCUCCUCCAGCCUCCACGGGCUACCGUCGACCUCCUACAGCCUCCACGGGCUCCUGUUCAUCCAGCCUCCACCCUGCGCUACUCCACCGGCUACUUUUCAACCACCCCUCCACGGGCACCCCUCCAUCGUCUACUGUUCAUCCAGCCCUCCACGGGGUCAUCCUAUUCAUCUACCCCUCCACACCACAGGGUCGAUCCUGUUCAUCCAGAGGCAACACCACCGCUCACUGUUCAUCCAACCCCCCUACCCCCGCAACGCUCACUUUUCAUCCAGAGAUGCAGCAUCGAUCGGCUUCAGUUAGAAGCAGUAGUGAAGGAAUCGCUCGAUCGGGUUCAGUUAACAGCCAUCGAUCGAUCGCUCGGGUUCAGCAAUGCAUAGCCUGCAGUGCAAUCGCUCGGGUUUAGUUAGAACCCAACGCCUCGCUCGGGUUCAGUUAGAGCCAACGCCUCGCACACAUGCGCGUACGUGUACGAGAGAAACGCGCAUCGCUCGGCCCCCGACCGCCCACCUUAACCGGGAACUCCCCGAAAUUUUCCUCGCCCUCGCUUCUACCAUGGUUUUUUCUGUCAUGGACGGCCCAAAGAAUGUCAUGCAGUUGUGUCUCCGGCCCGCCCAGGACGAAAAGCCCAUUUUCUGUCAUGAUUUUUUGUCAUAGAAGUAGGAGCCCACCACAUCUAUGAUGAUACUAGGUUUUGUCACAAUUAUCGUCAUAGAAGUGUCAUAAGUAUGACAGAAAAAAAAUUCGUUCGGCCCAAAAUGUUACGGAUGUGUCUUUUUUUUUUGUAGUGUUAGGGGUACAAUCGACGACAAUUUGAUUGGUCGAGAUCCAGCUCAUGUUUAAAAUGACGUCUGAGCCGGAAGGAUGAAUUCUAGGAUCAGAUUAAGGAUUGCGCGCAUUCACAACAUAUUGAACCAACGGAUUUAAAAUGAUAAUGACAAGGGAUACCAAUAAGAUUACGAGACUUAUGGGAUUAACCAUAAUGCAAGCAACCAAGAAUUUCAAGAGCAAUAGGCUGCUCAGGAUUUUCGGAAGACCGAAUGGUACUUCGAAGACUUUUGGGAAACACAUGAACAACUGGGAAUGAGCGGAUACUCGAUAAGUGCAAGGAAUUAUCCGUAGGGGUAUUCAGGUGGCAAAGAACUGCAAGUCAAUAGGCAAUAGUAUUCUCGGAACAAUAGAGAGAAUUUCGAGGUACCUUGUAAUAACAAGAUCAACUAGGAAUAAAAGUAAAAAUGACAAGUGUAUGCAUUUAUCCAUAGUGAUAUAUGGGUGGUAGGGAAUUGCAAAAGAGACAGGCACAAAGUCUCAAGAAAACAUGGGAGAGUAUCUUCGAAAUCUUCUGGCACACUAAGCAAUCAUCUGGAGUGAGGGGCUCUCCGGAAGGAAGUAGUUACGAGAACCUAGAGUUAGAGUCAGUAAAAAUCAUUUAACAUGAAUAGAAGAGAGAUCAGAGUCCCAGAGUAUAAACGAGGAAUAAAAUAUCUAAUACCACCCAAUGGCGAUAUGGGCCUGUAAGGCACACAGCCAUGUUAGGAAAAUUUUAGCAAUGUCUAGACUCGACUUCGACUAAGGAGUGUGGAAGGGGGAUUCCAAUAGAUAGUCAUCUCUGAGACCAACCUGUGACGCCCCCGAUUCAAUCAUACACUAAUCAUGCAUGCAAAUGUGUAUGACCAAGAUCAGGGACUCACAGGAAGAUAUCACUACACAACUCUAGACACAAAUUAAAGAUUAUACAAGCUUCAUAUUACAAGCCAGGGGCCUCGACGGCUCGAAUACAUAAGCUCGAUCAUAAAUGAGUCAGCGGAAGCAACAAUAUCUAAGUACAGGCAUAAGUUAAACAAGGUGCUAUAAGGUUGCUAGAAGAAACUGGGAUAUGGAUUGAAAGAGGCGCAUGCCUCCUGCCUGGGGUCCUCCUCCACUACUCCUGGUCGUCUGUGGCCUGCACGUAGUAGUAGGCACCCUCGGUGUAUUUGGGGUCGUCUUCCACGGUGGCGUAUGGCUCCGGGGGUCCAACAUCGGGUUGCGACGUCCGAGAAGAAUGGAAAGGGGGAAAAGAGGAUGCAAAGCAACCAUGAGUACUCAUCCAAAGUACUCGCAAGAAAGAAUCUACACUACAUAUGCAUUGGUAUCUGUGUAAAGGGGUAAUAUCAAUGGAUUGAACUGCAGAAUACUAGAAUAAUAGGGGGAUAGCUAGUCCUAUCGAAGACUACGCUUCUGGCAGCCUCCAUCUUUAAGCAUGUAGAAGAGAGUAGCUGGUAAGUUCACCAAGUAUCAUCGUAUAGCAUAAUCCUACCAGGCGAUCCUCUCCUUGUCGCCCUGUGAGAGAGCGAUCACCAGGUUGUAUCUAGCACUUAAAAGGGUUUGUUUUUUUAAGUAUCCCAUUCUAGUUAUCAUAAGGUCAAAGUACAACUCCGGGUCAUCCUGUUACCUUGGACACGACUAUUCAAAUAGAUCAAUCUUCCCUGCAGGGGUGCACCACAUUACCCAACACGCUCGAUCCCUCUUGCCAUGCACACUUUCUAGGUCAUGUCUGCCCUCCGGAGAUCAACAUGUCACAUCCCUACCUAGGCUCAACAGACAGGUCAGCACGCUUGUCUAAAUCCUAAGCGCGGGGGGGUCUGGGCCCAUUGCCCGUUGCACACCUGCAUGUUGUGAACGCGGCCAGAAGCAGAGCUGGCUUCCCUAAUACAAGAGCAGGCGUUCUAGUCCAAUCCGGCGCGUACCACUUUGUGGCUGAGGUCCAGAAGGCUCCGGUGUAUAAGGUCAAUGAUCCAACUCAGAUCAAAUACCAAGAUCUCGUUAAGCCUGUUAUUUUAAAGUAACCGUGGACGCCGACCAGGACCAAGCCCACCUGUCUCCUAUGUGGUCACAACUUGCCAUGUCGCUCCGUCACAAAGAUCCACUCAGAGGGCCGGCUGGACAAAUGUCCUUUCGACCCCCAAUCCAUGAAUCACUUGCGGGUACUUGAUACGUCUCCAAUGUAUCUACUUUUCCAAACACUUUUGCCCUUGUUUUGGACUCUAAGUUGCAUGAUUUGAAUGAAACUAACCCGGGCUGACGCUAUUUUCAAUAGGACUGCCAUGAUGUUGUUUUAUGUGUAGAAAAGAAAAGUUCUCGGAAUGUCCUGAAAAUCCACGGAGGCACUUUUCGGAAAAUUUUAAAAAUACUGGCGAAAGAAUCAAGACAGGGGGGCACACCCUGUCGACGAGGUUGGGGGCGGGCCCCCUGUCUCGUGGGCUCCCCAGACCUCCACCGACCUCAACUCCAACUCCAUAUAUUCACGUUUGGGGAGAAAAAAACUUAGAGAGAAAGUUUCAUCGCGUUUUAUGAUACAUAGCCAACGCCAAGCCCUAAUCUCUCUCAGGAGGGAUGAUCUGGAGUCCGUUCGGGGAUCCGGAGAGGGGGAUUCGUCGCCGUCGUCAUCAUCAACCAUCCUCCAUCACCAAUUUCAUGAUGCUCACCGCCGUGCUUGAGUAAUUCCAUCGUAGGCUUGCUGAACGGUGACGGGUUGAAUGAGAUUUACCAUGUAAUCAAGUUAGUUUUGUUAGGGUUUGAUCCCUAGUAUCCACUAUGUUCUGAGAUUGAUGUUGCUAUGACUUUGCUAUGUUUAAUGCUUGUCACUAGGGCCCGAGUGCCAUGAUUUCAGAUCUGAACCUAUUAUGUUUUCAUGAAUAUAAGUGUGUUCUUGAUCCUAUCUUGCAAGUCCAUAGUCACCUAUUAUGUGUUAUGAUCCGACAACCCCGAAGUGACAAUAAUCGGGAUACUUCUCGGCGAUGACCGUAGUUUGAGGAGUUCAUGUAUUCACUAUGUGCUAAUGCUUUGUUACGGUUCUCUAUUAAAAGGAAGCCUUAAUAUCCCUUAGUUUUCGCUAGGACCCCGCUGCCAUGGGAUGGUAGGACAAAAGGUGUCAUGCAAGUUCUUUUCCAUAAGCAUGUAUGACUAUUUACGGAAUACAUGCCUACAUUACAUUGAUGAACUGGAGCUAGUUCUGUGUCACCCUAUGUUAUGGCUAUUAGAUGAGGAAUCGCAUCCGACAUAAUUAUCCAUCACUCAUCCAUUGCCUACGAGCUUUUCACAUAUUGUUCUUCACUUAUUUACUUUUCCGUUGCUAUUGUUACAAUCACUACAAAACCCAAAAACAUUACUUUUGCUACCAUUACCUUUAUUAUCAUACUACUUUGCUACUAAAUACUUUGCUGCAGAUACUAAGUUAUCCAGGUGUGGUUGAAUUGACAACUCAACUGCUAAUACUCAAGAAUAUUCUUUGGCUCCCCUUGUGUCGAAUCAAUAAAUUUGGGUUGAAUACUUUACCCUCGAAAGCUAUUGCGAUCCCCUACACUUGUAGGUUAUCAAGACUAAUUUCUGGCGCCGUUGCCGGGGAGAAUAGCUCUAUUCACUGAGUCAUUUGGGAUUUAUAUCUGUUGAUCACUACGAAGAACUUGAAAGAUGACAGAACCAAGAUUUUGCCCUCAACUACGAGGGGAGGUAAGGAACUGCCAUCUAGCUAUGCACUUGAUUCUCCUUCUGUUAUUAGUAAACUUGUGACACCUAAACCUGCUACUGCUAUGAAUUCUGAUAUGUCGCAUGUUAUCGAUGAUGCCACUUCUGCUAUGCAUGAUACUUAUGAUGAAACUACUUCUGUGCGUGAUACUACUUUGCCAUUAGGUGAAUUUCUUGAUGAACAACUUGCUAUAGUUAGGGGGAAUGAAAUUAUUGAAGAUGCUAUUACUGAUGAUAGUGAUGAUGAAAAUUCUCCUGAUGAUUAUGAAUUGCCUGUUGUUCCUGAGGGUUAUGUUAUGAAUGAAGAAGCUGUUAGAGCUAUCUUUGCUUGCAAUGAUAGAUAUGAUCUUAAGAAGUUAUUAGCUAAAUGGAAGCAGUAGUCUCUUAAUGCUAGAAUGAAACCUGACCCCGCUUUUGCUACUUCACCUAUCUGUGUUACUAAUAAGGAUUAUGAAUUCUCUGUCGAUCCUGAGAUUAUUACUUUGGUUGAAUCUGAUCAUUUUUAUGGCCUUGAAUCUGAAACUGUUGUGGCACAUCUUACCAAGUUGAAUGAUAUAGCUACCCUGUUUACUCAUGAUGAUAAAUCUCGCUAUUAUUAUAUCCUUAAGAUAUUUCCGUUCUCGUUAAAGGGUGAUGCUAAGACUUGGUACAAUUCUCUUGCUCCUGGUUGUGUGCGUAGUCCCCAGGAUAUGAUUUGUUACUUCUCUGCUAAAUAUUUCCCUUCUCAUAAGAAACAAGCUGCCUUGCGGGAAAUAUAUAAUUUUGUGCAAAUCAAAGAAGAGAGUCUCCCACAAUCUUGGGGGAGGCUUUCCGGUUACUUAAUGCUUUUCCUGAUCAUCCUCUUAAGAAAAACGAAAUACUUGAUAUCUUUUAUAAUGGACUAACCAAUGCUUCCAAGGACUACUUGGAUAGUUGUGCUGGUUGUGUUUUCAGGGAAAGAACAAUCGACGAAGAUGAAUUACUAUUGAAUAAUAUGUUGACUAAUGAAAAUAAUUGGACUCUCCCUGAGCCAAUUCCUGAGGCAAUUCCUGAACCAAUUGAGCCAACUCCUGAGCCUAUUCCUAAACCCACUCCGAAGAAGAGAGGUGUUCUAUUUCUCAGUCCUGAAGAUAUGCAAGAGGCAAAGAAAUCAAUGAAAGAAAAAGGUAUUAAAGCUGAAGAUGUUAAGAAUUUACCACCUAUUGAAGAAAUACAUGGUUUUAAUAUACCGCCUGUUGAAGAACCACGUUGUCUUGAUGACCCGACAUAGGUAGUAAAAGUAAAUUAUCUCUAUAGAUAUGAUAAAGUUGAAAUCCCCUCUACUAAAUUUCAUAGCCCAUGCUUAGAUGAAUUUUAUGACUUUAUGGCUAGAUAAGAAAGUUUUAAUGCUUAUGUUGGUAGAGAGUUCAAGAAUAAUGCUUUCGAGAUAGGACGCGUGAGCGAUAAUAUGGCUAGAGUUAAAGGUGAACUCAAACUCAUUAGCAAAUAUGCUUCUAUGGUUGCUACUCAAGCUGAGCAAGUACUUAAAGCUCAAAAUGAUUUGCUUGAUGAAUUAAAUAAUAAAAAUGACUUUGCUGUUAGAGUGGCUACUAGAACUGGUAGAAUGACUCAGGAACCUUUGUAUCCUGAAGGCCACCCUAAGAGAAUCGAGCAAGAUUCUCAGAGAAACAAUUUAGAGGCACCUAGUUUUUCUAAAAAGAAGAAAAAGAAAACCGAUAGGACUUCGCAUGCUUCUAGUGAACCUACUAUAGACACACCUAAGAAUCCCAAUGAUAUUUCUAUUUUUGAUGUUGAAACACAAACAGGUGAUGGACAUGAACCUGGUGAUAAUGUUAAUGAUAAUGUUCAUGUUGAUGCUCAACCUAGCAAAAAUAAUGAUGUAGAGAUUGAACCUGUUGUUGAUCUUGAUAACCCACAAUCAAAGGAUCAACGUUAUGAUAAGAGAGAUUUUGUUGCUAGGAAGCACGGUAAAGAAAGAGAACCAUGGGUUCAUAAACCCAUGCCCUUUCCUCCUAAACCAUCCAAGACAAAGGAUGAUGACGAUUUUGAUCGCUUUGCUGAAAUGAUUAGACCUAUCUUCUUACAUAUACGCUUAAUUGAUAUGCUUAAAGUAAAUCCUUAUUAUGCUAAAUAUAUGAAGGAUAUCAUCACAAACAAAAGAAAGAUACCGGAAGCUGAAAUUUCCACCAUGCUUGCUAAUUACACUUUUAAAGGUGGAAUACCAAAGAAACUUGGAGAUCCAGGUGGACCAACCAUACCAUGCUCCAUUAAAAGAAAUUAUGUUAGAACUGCUUUAUGUGAUCUUGGAGCCGGCGUUAGUGUUAUGCCUCCCUCUUUAUAUCAUAGACUUGAAUUGAAUAAGUUGACACCUACUGAAAUAUCUUUGCAAAUGGCUGAUAAAUCAACCGCUAUACCUGUCGGUAUUUGUGAUGAUGUGCCUGUUGUGGUUGCAAAUGUCACUAUCUUAACGGACUUUGUCAUUCUUGAUAUUCCUGAGGACGAUAGUAUGUCUAUUAUCCUUGGUAGACCUUUUUUGAAUACUGCAGGGGCUGUUAUUGAUUGCAACAAAGGCAGUGUCACUUUUCAUGUUAAUGGUAAAGAGCAUACGGUACACUUUCCAUGGAAACAAUCUCAAGUUCAUAGCAUCAAUUCUAUUGGAAAAGUUCCAACUAUCAUUAUUGGAGGUUUUGAAUUUCCUCUCCCUACUGUCAAGAAAAAGUAUGAUAUUCUUAUUGUUGGGGAUUUUCAUAUCCCCGUUGAGAUAACUUAGUGUUAUUUGAAAUUUCUCCAGUUCCGUGUUAUUCGGAAUGAGUUUGUUAACAAGACUUGAUCAACCUUGUUAGUGGAUUCAUUUCGAUGAUCAUGAGAUGGAUGAAACUAGAAGGCACAACCUUCUGUACCCUCUUUUUACUUUCUGUUAUUUAGAAUAAAUAAAGCAAAAAUAGUAUUAUCCGUCUGUUUUCUGAAUUAUCUGUGCAAUAAAAAAUUAUUCCGAAAAUAAAAGUAUUCCAAAUGCCCUGCAAAUUUAGUAUGAUUUUUUAUGGAAUAUUUGAGGAUUUUAGGCACUGAAAUCACUGCAGGAGGGGCAAGCACCACACCACGAGAGUGGAGGGCACGCCCACCCCACCUGGGCACGCCCCCCUGUCUCGUGGGCCCCUGGUGGCCCCCCUCCACUUAUGCCAGCACCCACACACUUCAUCUUCUACCCAAAAAAAUUCCCAUCCAGCUCAAGCACGAGUUCUAGCUCAUUUUGCUGCGAUUUUCGAUCUCCUUGCUCAAAGCUCCAUUCACAAAACUGCUUUGGGAGAUUGUUGCUUGGUAUGUGACUCCUCUAUUGGUCCAAUUAGUUUUUGUUCUAGUGCUUUAUUCAUUGCAAACUUUUGCUGCAUAGGUGACCAUGUUCUUGAGCUUGCAUGUUGAAUUUAUGAGGGCCCAAGCAAUUCUAAUGCAUGAUAUAGGCUUUAGGCACUUGUAGGAGUAGUUGCUACCAAUCUUGUUUAGUUUUAUUCACUUUUAUUUUGAAGAUACUAAAAUUUCAGAAAUUUUUCAGAAAAAGAAUUAUGUCUAGGAGAAUGUACCAAGGUGGUUCCUCGGUUAAGAAACGACCCAGGAUUGCUAUACGUGAGCAAGAUGUGGAAUUACCGAGGGACGCGGAUGUACGAGCUUGUGAGUGGCCAUCCGAUGAUUUUAUUGUCGAAGGAGGCUUUAAGGAGGAAUUUUACGCAUAUGUGUGUAAUGCUGAGCUGGAGGAAUUCUUACAAGAUAAGUGUCCUUAGUACUAUCAAUUGACUGAUUCCUUCGUGCGGAGGUUUAAAUAUAACUAUACGCAUAAUUCUCCUAGUGUCAUAUUUGAUAUUUAUGAUACAUCUUAUACCAUGGACUUAGAGGAUUUUACUACUGCUUGCAAACUUCCGCAGUGGGGUAAUAUUAAUGAUCCUCACAAAUCUGAACUUAGAGAUUUCCUCGCUAGUAUUACUAUGGGAGAAUCCAGGGACAUAGCACAAGCUACCAUAGGGAGCAUUCAUUUUCCUGCUAUACAUUAUUUUGCUCUCUUCGUUGGUAGAUGCAUUAACGGUAAGAAUGAAGCAUGUCACAUGUGUGUCCCUGAUCUUUGUGUCCUCAAGAGUGUUGUGUUGGGUUAUAAAGGUUAUAACUUGGGGGCAAUAGUCGCACGUAGGUUGCAGAAUAAUAGUAGAACUGGAGAUUUAUUUGGAGGAAUUUAUGCAAACCGUGUGGCUAAUUAUCUUGGUAUAGCCCCACGAGAAGGGGAUAUGAUGAUACCUCCUGCUUAUUUAGAUUAUGACGCUAUGGUCAAUCAUCAAUUUCUUAGGAGGAAUGAACAAUUCCUCCAAUAUCAAAUAAUCUAUGACAAAUGCAACGUUGUCCAUGUUACUCUUCCUGCUCCUCUCCUUUUUGAUUAUCAGGCAAAAGGAAGAUAUGUUGUUACCAGGGAGGAAGCAGCUGAACACGAGGGAAGAGCGGAGGCAGCUCGCAACAUGCCGCAGCUCAGGAGGCGGUUGCCGCUGCGUCUCAGUACGACCCCAGCUACAACUAUGGAUAUCAGCCAGGCGGUCCUUGGUAUUAGACCAACUUAGGCCAAAAGCCUAAGCUUGGGGGAGUACGUAUUUCUCAUCGGCUUUACAUUUAUGUUCACACACUAGUCGUCGGUGCUCAUACUCUUUCAUUGUAUUAUCCAUGUUAGUUUAAUUUUCUUUUUUGCUUUCUUCUUGUGUGUUUGAUAAACCAUAAGAAAAAACAAAAAAAUUAGUUAGUUUAAUUUCCAUGCUUGUAGUAGAAUGAAAAUGAAAACCCCAAAAGAUUUCUAGUUCUUCUUCUUACUUGUUGGGAGCUUUCCCAUGUAAGUAGUUUUAUUUUCUUUUCUUUCUUUGGGGGUCGAGAAGACCAAAUUGAAAAUGUUUAGUGGCUCUCGUAUGCAUGAUUGUUUAUUUAAUUUAGAGCCCAUAUUACCCUAUCUUCUCUCUUGAGUUGAAUGCUUGCAGAUUCCAGCUUAGUCCAAUGCACGUGCACUAUUAUUAUUAUACACAUCGUUCGGUCGUGCAACUGAAAGGCAAUAAUGACGAUAUAUGAUGGACUUAUUGAGAUGAGAAAAGGUGCUAUGAACUCGACCUCUCUUGUUUUUGUAAAUAUGAUGGGUUCAUCGUUUCUGAUUCAGCUUAUUAUGAAGUAAACAUAUUUGCAAUGACAUUUAGAGAUUAUAGUGUGUUGUGCCAUGCUUGAUUAGCUAAGAGUUAUAAUGGUUUACCUUGCGUGCCAACAUGCUAUUAGAAUGAUUAUGAUGUGGUAUGAUGGGAUGGUAUCCUCCUUUGAAUGAAUUGAGUGACUCGACUUGGCACAUGUUCACGCAUGCAGUUGAAACAAAUCAACAUAGCCUUUAUGAUAUUUAUGUUCAUGGUGGAUUAUAUCCUACUCAUGCUUGUACUCGGUGUGAAUUAAUUUUAAUGCAUGUUUAUGACUAUUGUCGCUCUCUCAGUUGGUCGCUUCCCAGUCUUUUGCUAGCCUUCACCUGUACUAAGCGGGAAUACUGCUUGUGCGUCCAAACUCCAUAAACCCCAAAGUUAUUCCAUAUGAGUCCACCAUACUUUCCUAUAUGCGGUAUUUACCCGCCUUUCCAAGUAAAUUUGUAUGUGCCAAACUCCAAACCUUCAAAGGAAAUUCUAUUUUGUAUGCUCAAGCAGCUCAUGUUACAACUAGGGCUGCCUAUAUCUUCCAUGCUAGGUGGGUUAUUCUAAAGAGGAGUGGACUCCGCACCUCAUUCAUGAGAAAGGGCCAGUAACCCGGAUACCCGUUCCCAUGAUCCAAAAAGAUCAAAGAAAAUCAAUAUAAUUAAACAAAGCUACUCCAGGGCUGUUGUUAGUUGGAGGCACUCAUUGUUUCGAGCAAGCCAUGGAUUGAUGCGUGUUGGUGGUCGGGGGAGUAUAAACCUUUACCAUUCUGUUUGGGAACUGCCUAUAAUGCAUGUAGUAUGGAAGAUACAGCCAUCUCAUAGUUGUUGCGUUGACAGCAAAAGUAUGCCGCUCAAAAUUUUAUUCAAUCUCUAUUUUAAAAUCGAGCUCUGACACCUCUACAAAUCCCUGCUUCCCUCUGUGAAGGGCCAAUCUAUUUACUUUUAUGUUGAGUCAUCACCCUUCUUAUUAAAAAGCACCCGCUGGAGAGCACACUGUCAUUUGCAUUCAUUACUAUUGGUUUAUAUUGGGUAUGACUUGACUGGAUCUCUUUUACCAUGAAUUACAAUGUUUAGUCAGUCCUUGAUCUUUAAAGGUCUAGCAAGAUACCAUUUUGUUAUAUCAUGUUAUGAUUUUUUUGAUAAAGUGUUGUCAUCUGAGCUUUAUUAUUAUGGUUCGCUAGCUGAUUAUGCUAUUGACAUGAAUAAUUGUGAGACCUAAGUGUUAUUAUAAGUAUGGUUAGUUCGUAAUAUUUGCUGAAACCUAAAUGAUGGCUUUGCAUGUUUACAACAACAAGAGCAAAUAGAGUUUGUAAAAAAAAUUCUUUAUCACUUUCAGUUUAUGAACUGAAUUGCUUGAGGACAAGCAAAGGUUUAAGCUUGGGGGAGUUGAUACGUCUCCAACGUAUCUACUUUUCUAAACACUUUUGCCCUUGUUUUAGACUCUAACUUGCAUGAUUUGAAUGAAACUAACCCGGACUGACGCUGUUUUCAGCAGAACUGCCAUGAUGUUGUUUUAUGUGUAGAAUAGAAAAGUUCUCGGAAUGUCCUGAAAAUCCACGGAGGCACUUUUUGGAAAAUAUUAAAAAUACUGGCGAAAGAAUCAAGACAGGGGGCGACACCCUGUCCACGAGGGUGGGAGCGCCCCCUCCCUGUCUCGUGGGCCCCCUAGACCUCCACCGACCUCAACUCCAACUCCAUAUAUUCACGCUCGGGAAGAAAAAAAAUCAGAGAGAAAGUUUCAUCGCAUUUUACGAUACAGAGCCACUGCCAAGCCCUAAUCUCUCUCAGGAGGGAUGAUCUGGAGUCCGUUCGGGGAUUCAUCGCCGUCGUUAUCAUCAACCAUCCUCCAUCACCAAUUUCAUGAUGCUCACCGCUGUGCGUGAGUAAUUCCAUCCUAGGUUUGCUGGAUGGUGAUGGGUUGGAUGAGAUUUAGCAUGUAAUCAAGUUAGUUUUGUUAGGGUUUGAUCCCUAGUAUCCACUAUGUUCUGAGAUUGAUGUUGCUAUGACUUUGCUAUGCUUAAUGCCUGUCACUAGGGCCUGAGUGCCAUGAUUUCAUAUCUGAACCUAUUAUGUUUUCAUGAAUAUAUGUGUGUUCUUUAUCCUAUCUUGCAAGUCUAUAGUCACCUAUUAUGUGUUAUGAUCCGACAACCCCGAAGUGACAAUAAUCGGGAUACUUCUCGGUGAUGACCGUAGUUUGAGGAGUUCAUGUAUUCACUAUGUGCUAAUGCUUUGUUCCUGUUCUCUAUUAAAAUGAGGCCUUAAUAUCCCUUAGUUUCCGCUAGGACCCCGCUGCCACGGGAGGGUACGACAAAAGAUAUCAUGCAAGUUCUUUUCCAUAAGCACGUAUGACUAUUUAUGGAAUACAUGCCUACAUUACAUUGAUUAACUGGAGCUAGUUCUGAGUCACCCUAUGUUAUAACUAUUACAUGAGGAAUCGCAUCCGGCAUAAUUAUCCAUCACUGAUCCAUUGCCUACGAGCUUUUCACAUAUUGUUCUUCGCUUAUUUACUUUUCCGUUGCUGUCGUUACAAUCACUACAAAACCCAAAAACAUUACUUUUGCUACUGUUACCUCUAUUAUCAUACUACUUUGCUACUAAAUACUUUGCUGCAAAUACUAAGUUAUCCAUGUGUGGUUGAAUUGACAACUCAACUGCUAAUACUCAAGAAUAUUCUUUGGCUCCCCUUGUGUCGAAUCAAUAAAUUUGGGUUGAAUUCUUUACCCUCGAAAGCUGUUGCGAUCCCCAACACUUGUGGGUUAUCAGUACUCUAUGAGCCGACCCGACUUUAGUCACAUCAUAUAACCUGUAUUGUGUGUAUGUAUGUAUAAAUAUACCCAUGAUCACCUCCCGAGUGAUCACGACCCGAUAAUAUAGCAUGGCAGACGGACAACAAUGUUGGGCCACUGAUGAUAAACUAGCAACCUAGAUUAAGCAUGUAGGAUUGCAGGUAAAGGUAUCAACAAUCAUAGCAACAAUGACAGGCUAUGCAACAGAAUAGGAGCUAUUGAAUCAACAACAGUAGCAAAACUAAUGCAAGAAUAAGAGAGAAGAGAGUGGGCGAUAUCUGGUUGAUCAAAAGGGGUUUGCUUGCCUGGAAGCUCUGCAUAUAGAUACGGAUCCUCGAUGGUGAAGUAGUCGACCACCGGAUCAACCGUGGUCUCGGGGUCUACUGGAAAGAAGUAACGGAGGAGGGAACACAAUAAAUAACACAAAAUCAAUGCAUCACAAAGUAUGACAUAGCAAUACGCAAUGCUAGGGGUGAGCUAACGUUGUGCUAAGCGUUACAGACGGAGCAGAAAUAUCCGGUAAUAUUUUCUCGGCUCCAGGCAUUUAUCGGACAGACGAACCAGAGGGAAAUGUUCCAUGUUUGCACUGUUGUGAGCACAUGACAGGUAUGUGGGUGGCAUAUUUGGAUUCGUCUCAGUUUUUGAUUAUUUUUCAUAUAUAAAUUAUUUUUAUCGUAGUUACGGUUUAUUUUCUAUGAAUUUCAAAGUUUAAAUGAUUUUCUGAAUUUAUAGAAUUCUUUUAAUCAGAAAAUAAACAACAAAAUACUUUUGUCACCUAGUACUAUUCUAGCCAUAGUGUAUGACACUGGGCCAGUCGGGUUGGGUUGACCCAGUCAAAUGUUGACUACUCAACAUAUAAACUGUGUAGGGGGGCACAUGUCAUUGAAUUUGACUUUUGUCAAAAUUUGUUUUUCUUUAAACUAACAGUGGGUCUACAUGUCAUCUACUAUCUAAUUAGCUAGUACAACUAAUUAGACUAACUAACCGGCCGGCCACACGCGCAGCUAUGGCACUGCCCGCCAGACACACACCACACACACACACACGACGCACACACACCAGCUCAUGGCCAUGGCCAUAGAGCAGGAGCAGCGGCAGCUAACAAGGCGGCGUAGCAGCAGUGUAAGAGCAGCAGCGAGAAGUGAUAUGUCUCUGUCCUAUCUAUAAUUUUUUAUUGUUCCAUUUCAAUAUUCUACAACUUUCAUAUACUUUUGGCAACUAUUUAUACUAUUUUUGGGACUCACAUAUUGAUCCAAUGCCCAGUGCCAGUUCCUGUUUGUUGCAUGUUUUAUAUUUCGCAGAAAUCCCAUAUCAAACAGAGUCCAAACGGGAUAAAAAUGGACGGAGAAUUAUUUUGGAAUAUUUAUGAUUUUUGGGAAGUAAAAUCAACGCGAAGCGGUGCCCGAGUGGGCCAGGAGACAGGGGCGUGCCCCAGGGAGGCAGGCGUGCCCUAGACUCUCCUGGGCACCCCGUAAGGCGGUUGACGCUCUUCUUUUGCCGUAAGAAAGCUAAUUUUUAUGAAAAAAAUCUGGGCGAAAGAUUCACCCCAAUCGGAGUUACGGAUCUCCGGAUAUAAAAGAAACGGUGAAGGGGCAGAAUCAGGAAAUGCAGAAAUAGAGAGAGACAUAGAGAUAGAUCCAAUCUCGGAGGGGCUCCCGCCCCUCCCAUGCCAUGGGAGCCAAGGACCAGAGGGGAAACCCUUCUCCCAUCUAGGGAGAACGUCAAGGAAUAAGAAGAAGAAGAAGGGGGGCUCUCUCCCCCUUGCUUCCGGUGGCGCCGGAGCGCUGCCGGGGACCAUCAUCAUCACCGCGAUCUUCACCAACACCUCCGCCAUAUUCACCAACAUCUCCAUCACCUUCCCCCUUCUAUCUGCAGCGGUCCAAUCUCCCGCAAUCCGCUGUACCCUCUACUUGAACAUGGUGCUUUAUGCUUCAUAUUAUUAUUCAAUGAUGUGUUGCCAUCCUAUGAUUUCUGAGUAGAUUUUCAUUGUCCUAUCGGUGAUUGAUGAAUUGCUAUGAUUGGUUUGAGUUUCAUGUUUUAUUAUUGGUGCUAUCCUAUAGUGCUCUCUGUGUCGCGCAAGCGUGUGGGAUCCUCGUUGUAGGGUUUGCAAUAUGUUCAUGAUUUUUUUAUGGCGGGUGGCGUGAGUGACAGAAGCAGAGACCCGAGUAAGUAGGUUGUUUGCGUAUGGGAUAAAGGGGACUUGGUACUUUAAUGCUAUGGUAGGGUUUUACCUUAAUGAUCUUUACUAGUUGCGGAUGCUUGCUAGAGUUCCAAUCAUAAGUGCAUAUGAUCCAAGAAGAGAAAGUAUGUUAGCUUAUGCCUCUCCCUCAUAUAAAAUUGCAAUAGUGAUUAUCGGUCUAGUAACGUAGUCAAUUGCUUAGGGACAAUUUCACAACUCCUACCACCACUUUUCCACACUCGCUAUAUUUACUUUAUUGCUUAUUUAUCUAAACAGCCCCUACUUUUUAUUUACGUGUUCUUUAUUAUCUUGCAAACCUAUCCAACAACACCUACAAAGUACUUCUAGUUUCAUACUUGUUCUAGGUAAAGCGAACACUAAGCAUGCGUAGAGUCGUAUCAGUGGCAGAUAGGACUUGAGAGAAUAUUUGUUCUACCUUUACCUCCUUGUUGGGUUCGACACUCUUACUUAUCGAAAGAGGCUACAAUUAUCCCCUACACUUGUGGGUGAUCAAGACCUUUUUCUGGCGCCGUUGCCGGGGAGUCAUAGCGUGGGGUGAAUAUUCUCGUGUGUGCUUGUUUGCUUUAUCACUAAGUAAUUUUUAUUUGCUGUUCUUAGUUGUUUUCUAUCUUUAUUUAUGGGUAGGAAACGCAAAAUACCAAAAAAAAUAGUUGUACCUACUACACCAUUGGUUGAAGAACCACUCAAAAUCAAUCACACUCCUGAAGCUUUUUACUUGGAUCAUCUUCGAUCCCUUUGUGCUCAUGCUGAAACCCCCACUAGCUUAGUUGAGGGCAAAUCUUUAGAUGAGCAUGCUUGUUAUGUGCGACACCGUAUAUCUGAAAAAGGGAAAAUUUUACUGGAUCAUAUUCAUCAUUUGCAAUGCUAUGCUUGGACUUUAUGUGAAAUAUAUGAUGUUACUUGUUGUUCUGAAAACCCUAAGAAACACCUUCCCUACCAAUGUGAGGUUAUUGAUAAUGGAAUCGUAUCUUCGUAUGCUAAGGGUGUUUAUAAUUACUAUGAUGUUCAACAAAUUGAAGAAUUUGUUGCUUUUAAGGGUGCUUAUGAAAUUGCUUCUUUGAUUGAAAAGUAUGAUGCUACUCUCUACAAAUCUGAAAAUUUUGCCAUACUUGAAUAUUGUUAUGAUAAUUAUUCUUCUAAUGCCUAUGUUAUACCAUAUAUUGAGAAAGUCUCCGCUGUCCAAGAAGAGGCUAAUAUUUUGCAGGAAGCUAUGGAAGAAGAAAUUGAUGAAACUGUGAGCUCCUUGGAUGAAAAAGAUGAUGAGGAGAGCGAAGAAUAAAAGGAGGAAUAGCGGAUUAGCUACCCAUGCUCACCUUCUAAUGAGAGUAACUCUUCAACUCAGACAUUGUUUAAUUCCCCUUCGUGCUUACCGUAGGAUGAUUGCUAUGAUGAUUGUUAUGAUCCCGUUGAUUCACUUGAAAUAUCCCUUUCUGAUGAUGCUUGCUAUGCUUGUGGCCAAGAUGCCAAUAUGAAUUAUGCUUAUGGAGAUGAACUUGCUAUAGUUCCUUAUGUUAAACAUGAAAUUGUUGCUAUUGCACCCACGCAUGAUAGUCCUAUUAUCUUUUUGAAUUCUCCAAACUACACUAUAUCGGAGAAGUUUGUGCUUGUUAAGGAUUACAUUGAUGGGUUGCCUUUUACCAUUGCACAUGAUGCUUUUGAUAGAUGUAAUAUGCAUGUGCUUGCUGCUCCUACUUGCAAUUAUUAUGAGAGAGGAACUAUAUCACCACCUCUCUAUGUUUCCAACACGAUAGAAUUGCAAGAAACUGCUUAUACUAUGCAUUGGCCAUUACUUGGUGUGCAUGAAUUGUUCUCUUAUGACAUGCCGAUGCAUAGGAAGAGAGUUAGGAUUCGUUGUUGCAUGAUAUAUGUUACUUUGUGCUCACUACUAAAUUACAAAUCAUUGUUAAUUAAAAUUGGCUUUGAUAUACCUUGGGAUCCGGGUGGAUUCAUUACUUGAGCACUAUAUGCCUAGCUUAAUGGCUUUAAAGAAAGCGCUGCUAGGGAGACAUCCCGUAAGUUUUAGAGAGUCAUUUAUUGCUGUUGAGUUCUUUUAUAUAGUUUAAAAAAAUAGGGGAACCCAAAACUUUUCAAAAAGGAAAGUGAAAGUGAGAGAGACAAGCAUUGUUGAAGUGGGAGAGCUCCUUGAAAUUUGUUCAUGCUCACGGAAACUUUGUGAAUCUUGAUUAUAGAAACUUUUCAUCAAAAAUAAUUAUCCCCUUGUACAAUUCCAUUGUAUUAUAAAAAUAAUGUGCUAAGGUUUGCCUUUAGGAUGUUUAAAAUGCUUGUUGGUUUGUACGGUGUAGGACAGAAACAUUGGCUGUAGUGCGCAAUUUUACAUUUUUUACUGGAGGCCAAACGGUUCUGAUUCUUUUUGCACAGUCUUGCUGUACAAAUUGUUUAUUUUUCCUAAUUUUAGUAGAAUUUUUGGGGUACCAUAAGUAUGGUGAAUGUUCAGAUUGCUACAGACUGUUCAGUUUUUGACAGAUUCUGUUUUUGAUGCAUAGUUUGCUUGUUUUGAUGAAACUAUCAAUUUAUAUCAGUGGAUUAAGCCAUGGAAAACCUAUAUUACAGAAUACACAAUGCAAAAACAAAAUAUUAAUUAGUUUGCAACAGUACUUAGAGUAGUGAUUUGCUUUAUUACACUAAUGGAUCUUACCAAGUUUUCUGUUGAAGUUUUGUGUGGAUGAAGUGUUUUGAUCGAGAAGGUCUCGAUAUGAGGAAAAGGAGGAGAGGCAAGAGCUCAAUCUUGGGGAUGACCAAGGCACCCCAAGUAAAUAUUCAAGGAUACUUAAGUGUCUAAGCUUGGGUAUGCCCCGGAAGGCAUCCCCUCUUUCUUCAACAAGUAUCGGUAUGUUUUCGUAUUCGUUUCAUUCAUGCGAUAUGUACAAGUCUUGGAGCGUCUUUUGCAUUUAGUUUUCACUUUUCUUUUAUGAACCAUGCUGAUAUGAGAUAGUCCUUGGUUGAUUUAUAGAAUGCCCAUUGCACUUCACUUAAAUCUUCUGAGUAUGGCUUUAUAGAAUGCUUCAUGUGCUUCACUUAUAUCUUUUGAAGUUUGGAUUGCCUGUUUCUCCUCACAUAGAAAACCGCCAUUUGUAGAAUGCUCUUUUUCUUCACUUAUAUUUGUUAGAGCAUGGGCAUAUGUUUUGUAGAAAGAAUUAAACUCUGUUGCUUCACUUAUACCUAUUUAGAGAGAUGACAGGAAUUGGUCAUUCACAUGGUUAGUGAUACGUCUCCAACGUAUCUAUAAUUUAUGAAGCAUUCAUGCUAUAUUAUUAUCUGUUUUGAAUGAUUAUGGGCUUUAUUAUCCACUUUUAUAUUAUUUUUGGUACUAACCUAUUUCAGUGUUUCGAGGAAAAGGAAUAUCAGACGGAGUCAAAACGGAACGAAAUCAACUGGAGAAGUUAUUUUUGGAAGGAAAGCCACCCGAUGGACUUGGAGUGCACGUCAGGAAAGAAGGGAGGUGCUCACGAGGGUUGGGGUGCGCCCACCCCCCUGGGGCACGCCCCCCUGCCUCGUGCCCCCCCCCUUCGGUCCACCGACAUACCCCUUGCACCCAUAUAUACCUACAUACCCUAAAACUUCCAGAACAGAAGAUAGAUCAGGAGUUCCACCACCGCAAGCCUCUGUAGCCACCAAAAACCUCUAGGGAGCCCUUCCCGGCACCCUUCCGGAGGGGGAACCCAUCACCAGUGGCCAUCUUCAUCAUCCCGAUGCUAUCCAUGACGAGGAGGGAGUAGUUCACCCUCGAGGCUGAGGGUAUGUACGAGUAGCUAUGUGUUUGAUCUCUCUCUCUCGUGUUCCCUCUAUGGCACAAUCUUGAUGUAUCCCGAGCUUUGCUAUUGUAGUUGGAUCUUAUGAUGUUUAUCCCCCUCUACUCUCUUGUGAUGAAUUGAGUUUUCCCCUUUGAAGUUAUCUUAUCGGAUUGAGUCUUUUAUGAGAACACUUGAUGUAUGUCUUGCGUGGGAUAACCGUGGUGACAAUGGGUUAUUCUAUUGAUCCACUUGAUGUAUGUUUUGGUGAUCAACUUGCGGGUUUCGUGACAUUGGGAACCUAUGCAUAGGGGUUGGCACACGUUCUUGACUCUUCGGUAGUAGCUUUGGGCACUCUUUGAAGUACUUCUAUGUUGGUUGGAUGAAUCUGAUAUUGUGUGACACAUAUCAUAUAAUCAUGCCCAGGGAUACUUGAGGUGACAAUGGAGUAUCUAGGUGACAUUAGGGUUUUGGUUGAUUUGUGUCUUAAGGUGUUAUUCUAGUACGAACUCUUUUAUAGAUCGAUCCGAAAGAAUAACUUUGAGGUGGUUUCGUACCCUACCAUAAUCUCUACGUUUGCUCUACGCCAUUAGUGGCUUUGGAGUGACUCUUUGUUACAUGUUGAGGGCUUCUUAUAUGAUCUAUCUAUGUUAUUACUGUUGAGAGAACUUGCACUAGUGAAAGUAUGAACCCUAGGCCUUGUUUCCUAUCAUUGCAAUACCGUUUACGCUCACUUUUAUAGCUCGCUACCUUGCUGUUUUUAUUAUUUCAGAUUAAAAAACCUUUAUCUACCAUCCAUAUUCCACUUGUAUCACCAUCUCUUCGCCGAACUAGUGCACCUAUACAAUUUGCCAUUGUAUUGGGUGUGUUGGGGACACAAGAGACUCUUUGUUAUUUGGUUGAAGGGUUGCUUGAGAGAGACCAUCUUCAUCCUACACCUCCUACGGAUUGAUAAACCUUAGGUCAUCCACUUGAGGGAAAUUUCCUAUUGUCCUACAAACUUGUGCACUUGCAGGCCCAACAACGUCUACAAGAAGAAGGUUGUGUAGUAGACAUCAAGCUCUUUUCUGGCGCCGUUGCCGGGGAGGUUAGCGCUUGAAGGUAUAUCUUUAGAUCUUGCAAUCGAAUCUUUUUGUUUCUUGUUUUAUCACUAGUUUAUUUUAUAAAAGAAAACUACAAAAAAAUGGAAUUGAGUUGAUCUUAUACGCUUCAUCUUUUUAAUAUAUUUUGUGAGGAUGAUGGAAGGGAAAAUUGUGCCAAAGUGUUAGAGGAAGAAUGCAUUAAAAUGUUUAGCACUAAAUAUUUGAAUGAUGAGCAUGAUUGCAAUGUUGUUAGUAUGAACUCCUUGAAUAUCCAUAGUACUAAUGAUGAUUGCACUAGUUAUGAUGAAAAUGCCUCCUAUAAACAUGUCAGUUUCCGUGGAGUGCAUUGGGUUUGCAAGUACACACCAAAUAGGGAAGAUAGAUAUUGCAAGAGGCAUAAGUACUUAGAAACUAAAUUGUUCCAAGAAAGGCUAGAUGUUUGUGUUGAAGAUUUAAAUUAUCUUGGCCGUACUUGUGGACUUUGCAAUGAAAAUGGUCAUUUAAAGCUCCAAUGCUAUUUGUUUCAUGAUCAAGUCGUUUCCAAAUAUUUGUGAUAAUUUGAUCCUUUGAGCAUCAUAAAGAGCUUAGCCUUCUUUUGGGUUAUGAAGAAAUGAAACGUAUAACUGAGGGUAUUCCAAAAUUUAAUCUUGAUAGAUUUCUUGAUUUUGAUCUAGAGGAUAUUUAUAUGUUUUGUGUGGAGAAUUGCAUUGAAAAUCCUUAUAUUGCCAAUUACAUAAAUAAAAGAAAGCAAAUAGAAGAUGAUGAGAAUACUAGUGAAAGGGAAGAGACUUCCCAAUAUCCUCCUAUUAUUUCUCAUGAUGAAUCAGGUACGAGGGGGAGCUUUCUAUUCAACCAAUCUCAUCAAUAAGGAGCUCAAAGAGGAAUGUUAAACCCACACAUAAUGUGAAGAAGAAAAAGAAAAGAAGGAGCAACAAAGGUAGAAAGGUAUCCCUCCCAAAUGAUGUUGCUCCUACUACUCAUUGUGAUGAUGAUAAUUGCUAUACUAUUGGUGCUAUCAAUAUUUUUAAUGAUGAGAGUGAUUAUGCUUAUGAUAUGAAAGGGCCCAAGCUUGGGGAAGCUAUGUUUGAUGAGGAUGAAAUAUUUGAGAGUAUAUUUGCUGGAAUUAAUGUUUGUCCCAAGCUUGGGGAAGCUAUGUUUGAUGAAUAUGAUAUUUUUAGUCCCCCAAGUUUUGAUGAGAAUAUUUAUUCUGAUGAAAGCAUGCUUCCUAUUUAUGAUGAUUGUAUUGAUUAAAGUGGGUUUGGAAGAGUGUCAACUUUAGGAAUUAGUUAUCCCACUAUUUUGGAGGAUGUUGAAUGUUAUUGUGAUGAAUAUGAAAGUGGAUUUGGAAGAGUGUCAACUUUAUUUAGUGAUGAUUCCACUAUUUCGAAAGAGGUUCCAAUUGAUUAUGACAACAAAGUUGCUAGUUAUGAUGAUUAUUGUGAUUAAUUGUAUGCUAUUAAGGAUAAUAAUAACCAUGAAACUUGUCAUCAUGAUUUUAGUUUUCAAUUGGAUUAUGCCUCACAUGAUAAUUAUUUUGUUGAGUUUGCUCCCACUACUAUUGAUGAGAAGAAUUUUGCUUAUGUGGAGAGUAUUAAAAAUUCUAUGCUUGUAGAUCAUGAAAAGAAUGCUUUAGGUGCUGGUUAUAUUGUUGAAUUCAUUCAUGUUGCUACUGAAAAUUAUUAUGAGAGAGGAAUAUAUACUUGUAGGAAUUGCAAUAAUGUCAAGUUUCCUCUCUAUGUGCUUAAAGUUUUGAAGUUAUGCUUGUUUUGCCUUCCUAUGCUAGUUGAUUAUUGUUCCCAUAAGUUGUUUGCUCACAAAAUCCCUAUGCAUAGGAAGUGGGUUAGACUUAAAUGUGCUAGUCAUAUUCUUCAUGAUGCUCCCGUUAUGUUUCAAUUAUAAUAUUUUAUGUCAGCAUCAUUGUCAUCAUCAUGCCUAGCUAGAAAGGCAUUAAAGAAAAGCCCUUGUUGGGAGACAACCCAAUAUUUACCCUUACUUUUUUUGUGUGUCCACAUGAUUAUGAUACUGUAGUAAUCAUGUUUAAUAGCUUUUGUUUCAAUAAAGUGCCAAGUAGAAACUUUGGGAAGACUUGGGUGAAGUUUAUGUGAUCUUGCUGUGAAAAACAGAAACUUUAGCGCUCACGAGAUUAGCUGCCAUUUUUUACUGGAGAGUUCUUUUAGGUUGAUUAUUUUUGAAGAUGAUUAACAGACAAAUUACUCAGGUCCAGCAAUUUAUUUCAUAAUUUUUGGGGUUCCAUAGGUAUACGUUUGAUACAGAUUACUACCGACUGUUAUGUUUUUGACAGAUUCUGUUUUCAUUGUGUUGUUUGCUUAUUUUGAUGCAUCUAUGGCUAGUAUUAAGUGGUAUGAACCAUAGAGAAGUUGGAAUACAGUAGGCUUUACACCAAUAUGAAUUUAUAAUGAGUUCAUUACAGUACCUAAGUGGUGAUUUAUUUUCUUAUACUAACGGAGCUUACGAGUUUUGUUUUGAGUUUUGUGUGGUUGAAGUUUUCAAGUUUUGGGUAAAGAAUCGAUGGAUUAUGGAAUAAGGAGUGGAAAGAUCCUAAUCUUGGGGAUGCCCAAGGCACCUCAAGGUAAUAUUCAAGGACAACCAAGCAACUAAGCUUGGGGAUGCCCCGGAAGGCAUCCCCUCUUUCGUCUUCGUUCAUCGGUAACUUUACUUGGAGCUAUAUUUUUAUUCGCCACAUGAUAUGUGUUUUACUUGAGCAUCAUUGUAUCUUGAUAGUUUUUUAUUUAUUUUAGUUAGAAUAAUGUUUUGCAUCUUUAGUUUCAAUAAAAAAGUCAAGGAUAGCCUUUGCCAUGCUUAUUUUGCUAGUAUACAUGUUGCUGUUUGAAAACAGAAAGUUUACCGCUGUUGCAAAAAUUCCCUAGAAAAGUCAGAGAAUGCUAUAACGUUGAAUCUUUUGGCAUAUUAAGAUCUGAUAAAUUUAUUACAGUGGGAAUUUUAGUUCAUAAUUUUUGGAUUCAGGGAAGUAUUGAUACUCUUGCAUUCUUUACAGACUGUACUGUUUUGCCAGAUUGCUGUUAUGUUUGCAUUGUUUGCGUAUGUUUGCUUGUUUAAUGAUUCUUUUUGAGGAUAGGAGUAUUAAAUAUGCAGAUACAUUUAGUAUUCAAUGUUGAAUAAUAGUGUUAGUGAUUUAUUACAAUAGAAGAUGACAUGGUUUUGCAUUGGUUUAUACUAACCUAUCUCACGAGUUCUUGUUGAGUUUGUUGUGAAUGAAGCUUUUGAUAAAAAGAGAAACCAUGACAUGAAAGGAAUUAAGGAGACACAAAAUCUCAAGCUUGAGGAUGCCCAAGGCACCCCAAGAUAAUAUUUCAAGAAGUCUCAAGCAUCUAAGCUUGGGGAUGCCCCGGUAGGCAUCCCACCUUUCUUCUUCAACAACUAUCGGUUAGUAUCGGUUGAGCCUAAGUUUUUGCUUCUUCACAUGAGUUAUGCUAUCCUUGCAUUUUCAUUUUAUUUUGCUUUGCUUGCUGUUUGAAUAAGAUACCAAGAUCUGAAAUUCUUUAAUGAGAGAGAGUCUUUGCAUAGUUGCAUAAUUAUUUAGCUACUCUUUGAUCUUCACUUAUAUCUUUUUGGAGUAGUUUUUCAUUUACUCGUGUGCUUCACUUAUAUCCUAUGAGUAAAUUGUUGAAUUAAUUGAUUGUCAUAAAUCUGAAAUUAUAUAUGCCUCAUUUGCUUAUUCCAUGGGGAGUAAUUACUUCACAUCUAAGAAGUAGAGGUUGUAAAUUUAUUGAUGGUUAGCAAGCAUUGUAUUGGUCAUUUGAACAAUUCAUGAAAGAAUAUUGAAGGAAGAGAGAUUUCACAUAUAAAUAUAUUAUCAUAGACAUCUUUUAUAAUUGUGAGCACUCAUUAAGUAUGACAUGCUAAAGAGUUGAUGUUGGACAAGGAAGACAACGUAAUGGGUUAUGUUUUCUCGCAUCUCAGUUAAAGUAUAUUGUCAUGGAUCAUUCAAACGUGUUGAUCUUGCCUUUCUCCCCUUGCUAGCCUAAAUAUCUGUACUAAGCGGGAAUACUGCUUGUGCAUCCAAUAUCCUUAAAUCCAUUUUUUCCAUGAGUGUCCACCAUACCUACCUAUAUGCGGUAUUUACCUGCCGUUCCAAGUAAAUUUGCAUGUGGCAAACUCUAAACCUUCAAAUUAUAAUAUGUUUUGUAUGCCCGAAUUGCUCAUAUAGCAACUAGGGGCUGUCAGUGUCUUCCAUGCUAGGUGGGUUAUUCUCAAGAGGAGUGGACUCCGCUCCUCAUUCACGAGAAAGUGGCGGUAACCGGGAUGCCCAGUCCCAUGAUCCAAAAAGAUCAAAGCAAAUCAAAAUAAUUAAACAAAACUCCCCCAGGAUUGUUGUUAGUUGGAGGCACUCGUUGUUUCGAGCAAGCCAUGGAUUGAUGCUUGUUGGUGGUUGGGGAAGUAUAAACUUUUACCAUUCUGCGUGGGAACCACCUAUAAUGUAUGUAGUAUGGAAGAUAUUGGGAACUCUUGGUUGUUAUGUUGACAAUGAUAUCAUACCUCUCAAAAUUAUUUAUCUCUAUUUCAAAAAUGAGCUCUGGCACCUCUGCAAAUCCCUACUUCCCUCUGCGAAGGGUCUAUCUUUCACUUUAUGUCUUUUACUUUAUGCAAGAGUCAAGGUGGUCUUCACCUUUCCCUUUUUCAUUUUAUCCUCUGGCAAGCACUUUGUGGUGGGGUGAUCCUGAUAUAUAUAUAUCCAAUUGGAUGUACAUUAGCAUGAACUAUUAUUGUUGACAUCAUCCAAAGGUGAAUACGUUUGGAGGCAACAUUAUAGGCCCCAAUCUUUCUCCGUGUCUGAUUAAAACUUCAUAACCACAAGUAUUUCGUGAGUGUUAGCAAUUGUAGAAGACUAUAUGAUAGUUGAGUAUGUGGAGUUUGCUAUUCCUGAAAAUAAGAUGAAUUGCAAUUGUUUUGAUGACUAAGAAUGAAGUUUGCUAGUUUUCAAGAAUGUUUAUGGUCUAUGCUUUAACAUGUGAAUUGCUUGUUACUAGUUCGUGAAAAGUUUUAUGAGAUGAACUACUGUUAUGACAUAUAAUGAUGCUAGUAAAGGUGAUUGAAAUUAUCUUUGAUCAAACUUGUGCACCUCUAGCAUUCACACUUCAUAAAUUCUUUCUUCUAUCAUUUACCUACUCAAGGACGAGUAGGAAUUAAGCUUGGGGAUGCUGAUACGUCUCCAACGUAUCUAUAAUUUAUGAAGCAUUCAUGCUAUAAUAUUAUCUGUUUUGAAUUUUUAUGGGCUUUAUUAUCCACUUUUAUAUUAUUUUUGGGACUAACCUAUUAACCGGAGGCCCAGCACAGAUUUGUUGUUUUAUGCCUAUUUCAGUGUUUCGAGGAAAAGGAAGAUCAGACGGAGUCAAAACGGAACGAAAUCAACUGGAGAAGUUAUUUUUGGAAGGAAAGCCACCCAAUGGACUUGGAGUGCACGACAGGAAAGAAGGGAGGUGCUCACGAGGGUGGGGGGCAUGCCCACCCUCCUGGGGCGCGCCCCCUGCCUCGUGGCCCCCCUUCGGUCCACCGACGUACCCCUUGCACCCAUAUAUACCUACGUACCCUAAAACUUCCAGAACAGAAGAUAGAUCGGGAGUUCCACCACCGCAAGCCUCUAUAGCCACCAAAAACCUCUCAAGAGCCCUUCCGGGCACCCUGCCGGAGGGGGAACCCAUCACCGGUGGCCAUCUUCAUCAUCCCAGCGCUAUCCAUGACGAGGAGGGAGUAGUUCACCCUCGAGGCUGAGGGUAUGUACCAGUAGCUAUGCGUUUGAUCUCUCUCUCUCUUGUGUUCUCUCUCGUGUUCCCUCUAUGGCACGAUCUUGAUGUAUCCCGAGCUUUGCUAUUGUAGUUGGAUCUUAUGAUGUUUAUCCCCCUCUACUCUCUUGUGAUUAAUUGAGUUUUCCCCUUUGAUGUUAUCUUAUCGGAUUGAGUCUUUUAUGAGAACACUUGAUGUAUGUCUUGCGUGGGAUAACCGUGGUGAUAAUGGGUUAUUCUAUUGAUCCACUUUAUGUAUGUUUUGGUGAUCUACUUGCGGGUUUCAUGACAUUGGGAACCUAUGCAUAGGGGUUGGCACACAUUCUUGACUCUCCGGUAGUAGCUUUGGGGCACUUUGUGAAGUACUUCUAUGUUGGUUGGAUGAAUCUGAGAUUGUGUGACCCAUAUCGUAUAAUCAUGCCCACGGAUACUUUAGGUGACAAUGGAGUAUCUAGGUGACAUUAGGGUUUUGGUUGAUUUGUGUCUGAAGGUGUUAUUCUAGUACGAACUCUUUUAUAGAUCGAUCCGAAAGAAUAACUUUGAGGUGGUUUCGUACCCUACCAUAAUCUCUACGUUUGUUCUCCGCUAUUAGUGGCUUUGGAGUGACUCUUUGUUACAUGUUGAGGGCUUGUUAUAUGAUCUAUCUGUGUUAUUGCUGUUGAGAGAACUUGCACUAGUGAAAGUAUGAACCCUAGGCCUUGUUUCCUAUCAUUGCAAUACCGUUUGCGCUCACUUUUAUCGCUCGCUACCUUCCUGUUUUUAUUAUUUCAGACUACAAAAACCUUUAUCUACCAUCCAUAUUGCACUUGUAUCACCAUCUCUUCGCCAAACUAGUGCACCUAUACAAUUUGCCAUUGUAUUGGGUGUGUUGGGGACACAAGAGACUCUUUGUUAUUUGGUUGUAGGCUUGCUUGACAGAGACCAUCUUCAUCCUACGCCUCCUACGGAUUGAUAAACCUUAGGUCAUACACUUGAGGGAAAUUUGCUACUGUCCUACAAACCUGUGCACUUGCAGGCCCAACAACGUCUACAAGAAGAAGGUUGUGUAGUAGACAUCAGUUAGUCAUAAAAUCCUACAUAAGACUUGUAGAUUGCUGAAUAUGAUAUGUUUGAUUCCUUGCAAUAGUUUUGCGAUAUAGAGAUGAUAAUAUGUGGGAGGUACUAGUAGAUGGUUGUGUUCAGUAAGGAUGUUGGUGUUAAGUUUUGUGAUUCCCGAAGCAUGCACGUAUGGUCUACUAACUAUGUAACCAAAUUGGCGCGCAUUAUAUUUUGAAUAUUUAUCUUUGCAUGAAGGUCGGGGGCGAGCGAUGGUUAACUCCUAGCAACCUCCCCCCUAGGAGCAUAUGUGUAGUACUUUGUUUCAAGGGAUAAUAAAUUUUUGCAAUAAGUAUGUGAGUUCUUUAUGACUAAUGUUGAGUCCAUGCAUUAUACGCACUCUCACCCUUCCAUCAUUGCUAGCCUCUUCGGUACCGUGCAUUGCCCUUUCUCACCUCGAGAGUUGGUGCAAACUUCGUCGGUGCAUCCAAACCCCGUGAUAUGAUACGCUCUAUCACACAUAAGCCUCCUUAUAUCUUCCUCAAAACAGCCACCAUACCUACCUAUCAUGGCAUUUCCAUAGCCAUUACGAGAUAUAUUGCCAUGCAACUUCCAUCAUCAUCAUAUACAUGACUUGAGCAUUCAUUGUCAUAUUGCUUUGCAUGAUCGUAAGAUAGCUAGCAUGAUGUUUUCAUGGCUUUUCCGUUUUUUGAUGUCAUUGCUAUGCUAGAUCAUUGCACAUCCGGUACACCGCCGGAAGCAUUCAUAUAGAGUCAUAUAUUUGUUCUAGUAUCGAAUUGUAAUGUUCAGUUGUAAGUAAAUAAAAGUGUGAUGAUCAUCAUUAUAGAGCAUUGCCCCAUGAAAAAAAAGAAAAAAAAAGGAAAGGCCAAAGAAGCCUAAAUAAAAAAGGGGGCCAAAGAAGCCCACCCAAAAAAAAGAAAAAGAAAAAAAGAAAAAAGAAAAAGAAAAGGGGCAAUGUUACUAUCCUUUUACCACACUUGUGCUUCAAAAUAGCACCAUGUUCUUCAUAUAGAGAGUCUCCUAUGUUAUCACUUUCAUAUACUAGUGGGAAUUUUCAUUACAGAACUUGGCUUGUAUAUUCCAACGAUGGGCUUCCUCAAAUGCCCUAGGUCUUCAUGAGCAAGCAAGUUGGAUGCACACCCACUUAGUUUCAGUUUGAGCUUUCAUACACUUAUAGCUCUAGUGCAUCCAUUGCAUGGAAAUCACUACUCCUCGCAUUGACAUCAAUUGAUGGGCAUCUCAAUAGCCCGUUGAUUAGCCACGUCGAUGUGAGACUUUCUUCCUUUUUGUCUUCUCCACAUAACCUCCACCAUCAUAUUCUAUUCCACUCAUAGUGCUACAUCCAUGGCUCACGCUUAUGUAUUGCGUGAAAGUUGAAAAAGUUUGAGAAUACUAAAGUAUGAAACAAUUGCUUGGCUGACACCGGGACAGGCAUGAGGGGUACCUUGUGUUAAGAAAAGCGAGCAUACAAGACUAUAUGAUUUUGUAGGGAUAACAUUCUGAAGCAUUGAUAUUUUGAAAGACAUGAUUGUUUUUUGGGAUGCCCUAAGUAUUAUUGUUUUUAUGUCAAAUAAAGGACUAUUGCUUUGAAUCACUCGUGUCUUAAUAUUUAUGCCAUGAUUAGAUAUAUGAUCCAGAUUAUGCUAGGUAGCAUUCCACGUAAAAAAUUAUCUUUUUUGUCAUUUACCUACUCGAGGACGAGGAGGAAUUAAGCUUGGGGAUGCUAAUACAUCUCCGUCGUAUCUAUAAUCUAUGAUUGUUCCAUGCCAAUAUUCCACAACUUUCAUAUACUUUUGGCAGCUUCUUAUACUAUUUUUGGGACUAACAUAUUGAUCCAGUGCCCAGUGCCAGUUCCUGUUUGUUGCAUGUUUUAUGUUUCGUAGAAAACCCAUAUCAAACAGAGUCCAAACGGGAUAAACACAGACGGAGAAUUAUUUUGGAAUAUUUAUGAUGUUUGGGAGGUAAAAUCAACGCAAGACGGUGCCCGAGGGGGCCAGGAGACAGGGGCGCGCCCCAGGGAGGCAGGCGCGCCCUGGACUCUCCUGGGCACCCCGUAAGGCGGUUGACGCUCCUCUUUUGCUGCAAAAAAAGCUAAUUUUAUGAGAAAAAUCAGGACGAAAGAUUCACCCCAAUCGGAGUUACGGAUCUCCGGAUAUAAAAGAAAUGGUGAAGGGGCAGAAUCAGGGAACGCAGAAAUAAAGAGAGACAGAGAGAUAGAUCCAAUCUCGGAGGGGCUCUCCCCCCUCCAAUGCCAUGGGAGCGAAGGACCAGAGGGGGAACCCUUCUCCCAUCUAGGGAUAAGGUCAGGGAAGAAGAAGAAGAAGAAGGGGGGCUCUCUCCCCCUUGCUUCCAGUGGCGCCGGAGCGCUGCCGGGGGCCAUCAUCAUCACCGCGAUCUUCACCAACACCUCCGCCAUCUUCACCAACAUCUCCAUCACCUUCCCCCUUCUAUCUACAGCGGUCCACUCUCCCGCAACCCGUUGUACCCUCCACUUGAACAUGGUGCUUUAUGCUUCAUAUUAUUAUCCAAGGAUGUGUUGCCAUCCUAUGAUGUCUGAGUAGAUUUUCAUUGUCCUAUUGGUGAUUGAUGAAUUUCUAUGAUUGGUUUGAGUUGCAUGUUUAAUUAUUGGUGUUGUCAUAUGGUGCUCUACGUGUCGCGCAAGCGUGAGGGAUCCCCGCUGUAGGGUUUGCAAUACGUUCAUGAUUUGCUUAUGGUGGGUGGCGUGAGUGACAGAAGCACAGACCCGAGUAAGUAGGUUGUUUGCAUAUGGGAUAAAGGGGACUUGGUACUUUAAUGCUAUGGUUGGGUUUUACCUUAAUGAUCUUUAGUAGUUGCGGAUGCUUGCUAGAGUUCCAAUCAUAAGUGCAUGUGAUCCAAGAAGAGAAAGUAUGUUAGCUUAUGCCUCUCCCUCAAAUAAAAUUGCAAUAGUGAUUAUCGGUCUAGUAAUGUAGUCAAUUUCUUAGGAACAAUUUCACAACUCCUACGACCACUUUUCCGCACUCGCUAUAUUUACUUUAUUGCUUCUUUAUCUAAACAGCCCCUACUUUUUAUUUACGUGUUCUUUAUUAUCUUGCAAACCUAUCCAACAACACCUACAAAGUACUUCUAGUUUCAUACUUGUUCUAGGUAAAGCGAACACUAAGCGUGUGUAGAGUCCUAUCAGCGGCAGAUAUGACUUGAGGGAAUAUUUGUUCUACCUUUAGCUCCUCGUUGGGUUCGACACUCUUACUUAUCGAAAGAGGCUACAAUUAUCCCCUAUACUUGUGGGUUAUCAGGAAGCAGUAGCAAGGAGCAGCAGAAAUGCAGCAAAGCGUCAAGCAGAGAAGCGCAUUAGCAGGCAUGCAGAGCAGCGGCUAGCGGCAUGUAACAGCACCGGCAGCAGUGGGAGGCUUUAGCAAAGAGCAGUUGCAAGCAGAGCACCAGUGGCACAAGCAGGUAGUAGCUAGCAUCACACAACGGCAACAAUACAUAGCAGCAGCGGCAGAUAGCAGCGUAGCAGGCAACCGCAAGCAGUAUCAUGGGAAGUCUCGAGUGCGCAGGCAAUCGUUCGAUGCUUGAAAUUGGGCAUGAAACGGGUUCAAGGCAACAGGAAUAAGUAUUGUGUCUGAUAGCAGAAUUGAUGAUCUCUCGAAAGGUGGCUCGUGAAUUACAUAAGAGGUCACACGCGAGGAACAACCUUGGGAACAGGGGGUGUACAGGAGAGUCAGGUUUGAUCCUAUGGAACUGUGGGUUAUGGGCCCACCAUGUGGGUUAAAAGUAGGAAAGGCGGUGACGUCUUGCAUGAUCAUGUAAGCAAGGCAUGUUAGAGGAUAGCCUGUCAGUUAUGUCGGCAACAACAUCGGUACCAUUUUCUUGCUCGUUCAACGAGGCAGACCAAUAGGCAAAGUUCUCGUCCAUCGGUGCUACCGGAAUGUCAUCAACAUUACUAACAGGGUCUUAUUGACAGAUUGUUACAACGAGGUGCUUACCUAAGCAGGGAAUUAUCACUGCUCAAUUAAGUCAGGUUACAAGAAAGGUUAAACAAAACAAUGGAAAGGAAAUGCAAUUAUCAGAUUAAACAGAACAAUGGAAAGGAAAAUGUGUUUAAACACAUAUUUCAGGGGUAUAUCCUUCCCAAGGGUAAGCAGAGCACGAUAUCCAUGACAGGAUAUAAACUAGAAAGCCAUUUAGGUAAGGGGAGAGGAAUUUCAUGACAUUACCCAAACAAUGGUGUUUGGAUAAUUGACGGGGGGAAAUUAGCAUUGGGCUUCAAAUGUUCUUAUUGAAGAUCGGAGGACCAAAGACAUGCUUCAAGAGAGCAUUGACAUGGUCUUCAAGCAAGGUCAGACUUUGGAUACUCAAAGGAUUCAUCAGGAACAACUUAUAGAAUAAGUCUUACAAUUUCCUCAUGGAAGAAUGGUUAACCUUGCUAAAAAGGAAACUAUAACAAUAUGGCCCCGGCCAGGUGUGCUAGGAUGACAUCACCUUAUUGGGUCAUAUAAAUACCAAUGUUAUAACUCUUGGAAAUAUGUUCCAACUAUCAUAUUUGACCGAGAUUCAGAUCUGAUUGGUGUCAGGAUACCUCAGACUCAGGAUGCUUGAGAAGAAAAAGGUGUGACACAUAUUGAUGAGAUGACAUUGUAAGAUUCUCGGGAAAUGAACUAUGGGAGCGAGUUCUGAAACAAGAGUUCAUCAUUAAUCAAGGAGAUGGCGAGGAGGUGGCUGAUGGACUCAGCGACAAUUCAUUGAGAUUUCCAGAAAGAUGGAUUUGCACAAUUAUGUGAAGGACAUAACAUUUGUAAGAUCAAAUGAUAUAACGAUGUAUGCUCAAGGAGAACAUCCACGAGUAAACAUUGGUUGAAAGGUGCACCCGAAAUAUUGCCUUAGGUAGCAUGAUCAAUGUUAGAAUGGUGAUUCGAUAACCAAUACACAAAGAAUGAAACUAUCGUUCAUUAACUUACAUGCAAUAGGGUUGCUAGAAGUUUUGAAUUUUACACAUCAUGGUCUAGUUGUCAGUAUUCUGGUUAGGAACAACAUGGGGACCAAGAACUGAAUGUAGACUAUGAGAUAUAUCCCUUGUAUCAAGAAUUCUUAAGAGGUGGUGAAAUUCUCACAACUUUCUUGAUACAUAAAAUGGUAAUACUCCAAGGUAGGACAUAAGAUAAGUUGGAUUGCCAGGAACUCAAGGUACAGCCACAACACGAACAAGUGUGUGUUGGAAAAAAGGCAAUGAAGUAGUUGAUGAUAACAAAAAUUAUGAAGGAUAAGGAUGGUAAUCCCCAUCAGGAAUUUGAUUAACAUCCUGGAAGGAGUCAAAAUGUUGUUGAUGAUCCUGACAAAUUUGGUCGAGAGGCUCCACGAAGAAGCAAUUGAACAGCGACUGCGUCAAGCAAAAGUACUAAUGCAGCGAAAUAUUAUUGGAUCCAUGAAUAUGACACCAACUCGGGAUCAAGCUUGUUUUUCAUGGUGGAAUGAUAAGACAAGGGAAUCGUCAUAAGAUUAGCUCAUCCUCGAAGUUGUGCUCCGGGAGUAAGGAAUAGGUAGCACAGUUAAAAUCGCCACGAUAAUUAUAUAGCCGAACAGGCCAGGAAUGACAUGGUUGAGUACAAACUCAUGAGUAAAGGAGAUUACCAAGAGUUGUUUAAUCAUGGUGCGGACCCGAUUUAGUUAUCGGUGUCCUCGAGUGAAUAACAACUAGGAACGCAGGAAAAAUUGAAAUCGAUGAGGAAUAAUACUUGAUGAAGGCUCAUAAUAAGCAACAUGGUUAGGUGCUAUUAGCGGGAUACCAGAGUGUAAUACUCAGAGGUAGAGCAAAAUAGAGGGUUGACAAGUGUAUUGAUCUGCAUUAGACAAUUACUUUAACUUGUCUGAGAAAAGGAAUCAAGGAAUAUCAAUAUGGCCGAAACCAUAGCUACAAAGGAUCCAAUUUAAUGACACCGAAAGAAUUAUCCAACUGAUUAAAUGUUUUGCAACAAUCUUGCAUGAUAAGUUCCACAUCGGGUCCAUUGACAUGAACACUAAGUUCAAGGUCAACUCCCACUUCUCCAAAGCAGAACCUUACAUUCGCUUCUCGUUUCGAAAAUGGCAUUAGCGUUGAAAGUUUUACUUGGUGAAAUACCAGAUGCGUACGACCCGUGAAACAUCUCGGAUUUACACAGAUUAGGGAAAGCAAUGGUUCAACCCACCGUGGCAUCUUAGGAAUAUAUGCCACAAACUUCAGAGUAAAGAUCACCAACUUCAAAGUAGAGUAUGGUUGGCCAAAUCAGAGAAUAGGAUUUACCAAUGGCAUUAUUAUCAACAAAAGAACUCCAGGUUUUGAGAAUAUGAAAGAAUGGUCGGAAAAUAAUCCACCAAAGGAUCUAAGGUGAGUAACGGUACCCAACCAGAAGAAGAGAGAAUGCAAGGGAUCAGAUUAUAGAAACAACCGACUAAUUCAAAGCUCAAAUGUAAAGGAAAUAUGAUUUCCAAAUCAAGGGAUCAAAAGCAAAUGCUCUAAUUAAGGAUGGAUAAGCUGAGUAAGCUUAGGGGUACAAUCAACGACAAUUUGAUUGGUCGAGAUCUAGCUCAUGUUUAAAAUGACAUCUGAGCCGGAAGGAUGAAUUCUAGGAUUUGAUUAAGGAUUGCGAGCAUUCAUAACAUAUUGAAUCAACAGAUUCAAAAUGGUAAUGACAAGGGAUGCCAAUAAGAUUAUGAGACUUAUGGGAUUAAGCAUAAUGCAAGCAAGCAAGAAUUUCAAGAGCAAUAGGCUGCUCAGGAUUUUCGGAAGACGGAAUGGUAUUUCUAAGACUUUUGUGAAACACAUGAACAAUUGGGAAUGAUCGGAUGCUCGAUAAGUGCGAGGAAUUAUCCGUAGGGGUAUUUAGGUGGCAAAGAACUGCAAGGCAAUAGGCACAAGUAUUCUCAGAACAAUAGAGAGAAUUUCGAGGUACCUCGUAAUAACAAGAUCAACUAGGAAUAAAAGUAAGAACAACAAGUGUGUGUAUUUAUCCACAGGGAUAUAUGGGUGGUAGGGAAUUGCAAAAGAAACCUGCACAAAGUCUCGAGAAAAUAUGGGAGAGUAUCUUCGAAAUCUUCUGGUGCACCAAGCAAUCAUCUAGAGUGAGGGGCUCUCCGGAAGGAAGUAGUUGCGAGAACCUAGAGUUAGAGUCAGUAAAAAUCAUUUAAUCCAAAUAGAAGAUAGAUCAGAGUCCCAGAGUAUAGACAAGAAAUAAAAGAUCCUAAUACCAUCGAAUGGCGACGUGGGCCCGUAAGACACACAACCAUGUUAGUAAAAUUUUAGCAACGUCUAGACUCGACUUAAGCCAUGGAGUGUGGAAGGGGGAUUCCAACAGGCAAACGACUCUAAUACCAACUUGUGACGCCCCCAAUUCGAUCGUACACUAAUCAUGCAUGUAAAUGUGUGCGACCAAGAUCAGGGAUUCAUGGGAAGAUAUCACUACACAACUCUAGACAUAAAUUAAAGAUCAUACAAGCUUCAUAUUACAAGCCAGGGGCCUCGAGGGCUCGAAUACAUAAGCUCGAUCAUAAAUGAGUCAGCAGAAGCAAAAAUAUCUGAGUACAAACAUAAGUUAAACAAGUUGCCAUAAGAUGGCUAUCACAAACUAGGAUACAGAUCGAAAGAGGCGCAUGCCUCCUGCCUGGGAUCCUCCUAAACUACUCCUGAUCGUCGUCAGCCUGCACGUAGUAAUAGGCACCUUCGGUGUAGUAGGGGUCGUCGUCCAUGGUGGCGUCGGGCUCUUGGGGUCCAACAUCUGGUUGCGACGUCCGAGAAGAAUGGAAAGGGGGAAAAGAGGGAGCAAAGCAACCAUGAGUACUCAUCCAAAGUACUCACAAGCAAGGAUCUACACUACAUAUGCAUUGGUAUCUAUAUAAAGGGGUAAUAUUAGUGGACUAGACUACAGAAUGGCAGAAGAAGAGGGCGAUAGCUAGUCCUAUCAAAGACUACGCUUCUGGCAGCUUCCAUCUUGAAGCAUGUAGAAGAGAGUAGUUGGUAAAUUCACCAAGUAUCAUCGUAUAGCAUAAUCCUACCAGGCGAUCCUCUCCUCGUCGCCCUAUGAGAGAGCGAUCACCGGGAAGUAUCUAGCACUUGAAAGGGUGUGUUUUAUUAAGUAUCCGGUUCUAGUUAUCAUAAGGUCGAAGUACAACUCCGGGUUGUCCUAUUACCGUGGACACGGCUAUUCGAAUAGAUCAAUCUUCCCUGCAGGGGUGCACCACAUUACCCGACAUGCUCGAUACCUUUGGCCGGGUACACUUUCCUGGGUCAUGUCCGUCCUCGGGAGCUCAACACAUUACAGCCUACCUAGGCUCAACAGAGAGGUCAGCACGCCGGUCUAAAUCCUAAGCGCGCAGGGGUCUGGUCCCAUCGCCCGUUGCAUACCUGCAUGUUGCGAACGCGGCCGGAAGCAGACCUAGCCUCUCUAAUACAAAAGCAGGUGUUCUAGUCCAAUCUGGCGUGCACCGCUUUGUCGCUGAGGUCAAGAAGGCUUCGGCUAAUACCACGACACCGGUUGUCCAUAUCUUGUCCCACGUGGCAGUUAGUGCGUAUAAGAUCAACGACCCAACUCAGAUCGAAUACCAAGAUCUCGUUAAGCCUGUUAUUUUAAUGUAACCGCGGACGCCGUCCAGGACCAGACCCACAUGUCUCCCAGGUGGUCAUAACCUGCCCUGUCACUCCGUCACAAAGAUCCACUCAGAGGGCCGUCUGGACAAAUGUCCUUUCAGCCCCCAAUCCGUGAAUCACUCGCGGGUACUCUACAAGCUGACCCGACUUCAGUCACAUCAUGUAACUUGUAUAGUUUGUAUGUAUGUAUGUAUAAAUAUACCCAUGAUCACCUCUCGAGUGAUCACUGCCCGAUAAUAUAGCAUGGCAGACGGACAAUAAUAUAGGGCCACUGAUGAUAAACUAGCAACCUAUAAUAAGCAAGUAGGAUUGCAGGUAAAGGUAUCAACAAUCAUAGCAACAAUAACAAGUUAUGCAACAAAAUAGGAGCUAUAAAAUCAACAACAGUAGCAAACCUAAUGCAAGAAUAAGAGAGGAGAUAUCUGGUUGAUCAAAGGGGGUUUGCUUGCCUGGAAGCUCUGUAGAGAGAUACGGAUCCUCGACGGUGAAGUAGUCGACCACCGGUUCAAACCGCGGUCUCGGGGUCUAUCGAAAAGAAGUAACGGAGGGGGGAACACAAUAAAUAACAGAGCAAUCAAUGCAUCACAAAGUAUGACAUAGCAAUACACAGUGCUAGAGGUGACCUAACGCUGUGCUAAGCGUUACGGACGGAGCGGGAAAUAUCCCGUAAUAUUUUCUCGGCUCCAGGCAUUUAUCGGACAGAUGAACCGAAGGGAAAUGUUCCAUGUUUGCAGUGUUGGGGGCACAUGACAGGUAUGUGGGUGGCAUACCCGGAUUCGUCACAUUUUUCUGAUUAUUUUUCAUAUAUAAGUGAUUUUCAUCAGAGCUGCGGUUUAUUUUCUUUGAAUUUACAAAUUUUAAAUGAUUUUCUGAAUUUACAAAAUUCUUUUAAUCCGAAAAUAAAACAAAAUACUUUUGUCACUUAGUGCUAUUCCAGCCAUAGUGUAUGACAAUGGGGCCAGUGGGGUUGGGUUGACCCAGUCAAAUGUUGACUAGUCAACAUAUAAACUGUGUUAGGGGACCACAUGUCAUUGACAUAGACUUUUGUUGAAAUUUGUUUAUCUUUAAACUAACAGUGGGUCUACAUGUCAUCUACUAUCUAAUUAGCUAGUACUACUAAUUAGACUAACUAACCGGCCGGUCACACGCGCGGCUGUGGCACAGCCGGCCACAAACACACAUGGCGCACACACACCAGCUCAUGGCCAUGGCCAUAGAGCAGCAGCAGCGGCAGCUAACAAGGCGGCGUAGCAGCAGUGCAAGUAGUGUAAUAAGGCCAACCCAGCGCGCGACCCCAUCCCGUCCGCCCCGUCCUUUUGAGGUAAAAUAAACAAAUCAGACAGCCUAGCGCGCGACGGCCUGAACCCAUCUGGUCUGUCUUGUGUCCGGGCCGACCCAUUUCGGGCGCAAACAUGCGCGCGGUUUGGGUCAAGGCGGACGGCAAACGGACGCCUCGAUCGUUCGUGUCGGGGCCGCGUGGCAUGCGGCCACCUACCUCCCACCGCCCGACGUAAAUGCACACAGGUGGUCGACCCCACCUGUCAUCUGCCCAGGCGAACAGUCGCCGUCCUUCUUAAAUGGGGAAGCCGUGGACCGGCCGUCGUCCACACUCCCCAGUCCAACCCUUCCUGCCUCCUCGAAACCAACACCCCAAACCCUAGCCUCUCCCGAUCCUAGAUCUCAUCGGCCGGCCACCUCGCAGCCAUGGGCUUCUGGAACCACGGCCACAAGGGGAAGCACGACCGCGAGGCUAGCUCGUCCUCGGGCCGCCGCCGCGGCUCCGUGAAGGAGGAGCCCGCAUCACCAUCGUGUCGGGCCCCCGCGCCUGCCCCAUUCACCAUCGGCCCUACGGCCAGCGGCGAGCGCAACCGGCAGUACAUCGCCCCAGAUGUAUGACGGCGUUAUUGGGAGAUUAGGACGCCGCUCCCGUGGAGCGACGUGCACCUCCCCAAUAACUGGCACCUCUCAGUCAACCGGGUCCCGAUCCCACCGGUCCCGAUGAGCGGCCAUGCGCGCCGCGAGGAGAUCGAGCGUCGCCGCCGCCUCCUGCCUUACGACCUAUACUACGACGACAGGUACACCCCCAAUCCCAGCUCUGGGACACGUGGCUCCAGCACGAGCACGACGUGCGGCGCGUGUCAUUCUUUGCUGGCACCUCGUCUGGGCCGCGGCGGCCACGUCGAGAGCACGCAGCACGUGCUUGCUAGGUGCGCGGGCAUACACGGGUGCGCGGCCUCACGCCAACGCCGUCGCCUUCACCGUCUCCAUCUCCGUCUCCAGCACCACCACCUUGCAUGACAGCGGAGGAGGAGGCCUGGCUCAUGCAGCGUGUCAUGGAGGACUCCAUCCGCACGCACGAUGAGUGCCAAUGGAAGGGCCUCGAGGAGAUGAUGGCCCUCUCUGCGGCAGGCGAUGUCGACAUCCCCGAGCUGGAGAUGAUGAAGGCGGAGGAGGAGCCGGUGGCAGCGUUCCACUCGGGCCUGGUGGGCUAGAACUGGAGCUGGUCGUGCACGGCUCCGGAGAUGGCCGAUGCCGUGGGGGGCGUGAACUGGUGCCCUACGCCGCCGCGGUCACCGGAGCGGGAAGCCUCGCCAUGGGAGGAGGUAGUGCAGGAACCUCCGGCCUUCCAGCCCGCCCCAGUGUAUCACGCGCCGCCAUCCCACCUCUGGACGCCGCCGGACUACGUCGACCUCAUCAGCGACGACGACGAUAACAAUGGCCACUGAAGACGGCCAUGGCCACGGCAUCGAUGGGCACGGCACGAGCGCGCGGGCGGCUUUUUUUUGUUUUUUAUGUUAAUUAUGGCAAUGUGAACCGUGGAACUGGGCCGUUUUGUGGCCGUGAUGGUUAAUUUAUGUUUUAUGUUUUUAUAUUUGUGUUUAUUUAAUUUUUUCAGCAUUUUAUUUUAGUUUUUUGUUUAUUUAAUCACGUCCACCCCGGACAUGAUUUGGGGUGCGGCCGCGCGUUGGGCACACCGAAAACCCAACGGACAGAAGCGGGCACGGGCAAACCCAUUGCCACCCCAAAGGGACGAAAUCCGGCCAAACCGGACGUCCGUUUGGGGUCGUGACCUGGAGUUGGCUGAAGAGCAGCAGCGGGAAGCAGUAGCAAGGAACAGCAGCAACGCAAAGAGCACCAAGCAGAGCAGUGCAGUAACAGGCAGCAGAGCGGCGGCUAGCGGCAUGUAACAUCAGCGACAGUAGUGGGCGGCUUCAGCAAAGAGAAGUAGCAAGCAGAGCAGCAGCGGCACAAGCAGGCAGAAGCAUCACAUAGCGGGAACAACACAGAGCAGCAGCAGCACAUAAGAGUGCAGCAGGCAGCCGCAAGCAGCAUAAGGUAGAGCAAUCGUUCAAUGCUUGAAAUAGGGCAUGAAACGGGUUCAAGGCAACAUGAAUAAGUAUUGUGUCUGAUAGCAGAAUUGAUGAUCUCUCGAAAGGUGGCUCGUGAAUUACAUAAGAGGUCACACGCGAGGAACAACCUUGGGAACAGGGGGUGUACAGGAGAGUCAGGUUUGAUCCUAUGGAACUGUGGGUUAUGGGCCCACCAUGUGGGUUAAAAUUAGGAAAGGCGGUGACGUCUUGCAUGAUCAUGUAAGCAAGGCAUGUUAGAGGAUAGCCUGUCAGUUAUGUCGGCAACAACAUCGGUACCAUUUUCUUGCUCGUUGAACGAGCCAGACCAAUAGGCAAAGUUCUCGUCCAUCGGUGCUACCGGAAUGUCAUCAACAUUAGUAACAGGGUCUUACUGACAGAGUGUUACAAUGAGGUGCUUACCUAAGCAGGGAAUUAUCACUGCUCAAUUAAGUCAGGUUACAAGAAAGGUUAAACAAAACAAUGGAAAGGAAAAUGCGAUUAUCAGAUUAAACAGAACAAUGGAAAGGAAAAUGUGUUUAAACACAUAUUUCAGGGGUAUAUCAUUCCCAAGGGCAAGCAGAGCACGAUAUCCAUGACAGGAUAGAAACUAGAAAACCAUUUAGAUAAGGGGAGAGGAAUUUCAUGACAUCACCCAAACAAUGGUGUUUGGAUAAUUGACGGGAAAAAAUUAGCAUUGUGCUUCAAAUGUUUUUAUUGAAGAUCGGAGGACCAAAGACACGCUUCAAGAGAGCAUUGACAUGGUCUUCAAGCAAGGUCAGACUUUGGAUACUCAAAGGAUUCAUCAGGAACAACUUAUAGAAUAAGUCUUACAAUUUCCUCAUGGAAGAAUGGUUAACCUUGCUAAAAAGGAAGCUAUAACAAUAUGGCCCCGGCUAGGUGUGCUAUGCAUGACAUCACCUUACCGGGUCAUAUAAAUACCAAUGUUAUAACUCUUGGAAAUAUGUUCCAACUAUCAUAUUUGACCGAGAUUCAGAUCUGAUUGGUGUCAGGAUACCUCAGACUCAGGAUGCUUGAGAAGAAAUAGGUGCGACACAUAUUGACGAGAUGACAUUGUAAGAUUCUCGGGAAAUGAACUAUGGGAGCGAGUUCUGAAACAAGAGUUCAUCAUUAAUCAAGGAGAUGGCGAGGAGGUGGCUGAUGGACUCAGCGACAAUUCAUUGAGAUUUCCAGAAAGAUGGAUUUGCACAAUUAUGUGAAGGAGAUAACAUUUGUAAGAUCAAAUGAUAUAACGAUGUAUGCUCAAGGAGAACAUCCACGAGUAAACAUUGGUUGAAAGGUGCACCCGAAAUAUUGCCUUAGGUAGCAUGAUCAAUGUUAGAAUGGUGAUUCGAUAACCAAUACACAAAGAAUGAAACUAUCGUUCAUUAACUUACAGGCAAUAGGGUUGCUAGAAGUUUUGAAUUUUACACAUCACAGUCCAGUUGUCAGUAUUCUGGUUAGGAACAACAUGGGGACCAAGAACUGAAUGUAGACUGUGAGAUAUAUCCCUUGUAUCAAGAAUUCUUAAGAGGUGGUGAAAUUCUCACAACUUUCUUGAUAUAUAAAAUGGUAAUACUCCAAGGUAGGACAUAAGAUAAGUUGGAUUGCCAGGAACUCAAGGUACAGCCACAACACGAACAAGUGUGUGUUGGAAAGAAGGCAAUGAAGUAGUUCAUGAUAACACAAAAUACGAAGGAUAAGGAUGGUAAUGCCCAUCAGGAAUUUGAUUAAUAUCCUGGAAGGAGUCAAAAUGUUGUUGAUGAUCAUGACAAAUUUGGUCGAGAGGCUCCACGAAGAAGCAAUCGAAUAGCGACUGCAUCAAGCAAAAGUACUGAUGCAGCGAAACAUUAUUGGAUCCAUGAAUAUUACACCAACUUGGAAUCAAGCUUGUUAAUCGUGGUGGAAUGAUAAGACAAGGGAAUCGACAUAAGAUUAGCUCAUCCUCGAAGUUGUGCUCCAGGAGUAAGGAACAGGUAGCACAGUUAAAAUCGGCACGAUAAUGAUAUAGCCGAGCAGGCCAGGAAUGACAUGGUCGAGUACAAACUCGUGAGUAAAGGAGAUUACCAAGAGUUGUUUAAUCAUGGUGCGGACCCGAUUUAGUUAUCGGUGUCCUCAAGUGAAUAACAACUAGGAAUGCAGGAAAAAUUGAAAUCAAUGAGGAAUAAUACUUGAUAUAGCUCAUAAUAAGCAACAUGGUUUGGUGCUAUUAGCGGGAUACCAGAGGGUAAUACUCGGAGGUAGACAAAAUAGAGGGUUGACAAAUGUAUUGAUCUACAAAAGACAAGUACUUUAACUUGUCUGAGAAAAGGAAUCAAGGAAUAUCAAUAUGGCCGAAACCAUAGCUACAAAGGAUCCAAUGUAAUGACACCGAAAGAAUUAUCCAACUAAUUAAAUGUUUUGCAAGAAUCUUCCAUGAUAAGUUCCACAUCGGGUCCAUUGACAUGAACACUAAGUUCAAGGUCAACUCCCACUUCUCCAAAGUAGAACCUUACAUUCACUUCUCGUUUCGAAAAUGGCAUUAGCGUUGAAAGUUUUACCUGGUGAAAUACCAGAUGCGUACGACCCGUGAAACCUCUCGGAGUUACACAAAUUAGGGAAAGCAGUGGUUCAACCCACCGUGGCAUCUUAGGAAUAUAUGCCACAAACUUCAGAGUAAAUAUCACCAACUUGAAAGUAGAGUAUGGUUGGCCAAAUCAGAGAAUAGGAUUUACCAAUGGCAUUAUUAUCAACAAAAGAACUCCAGGUUUUGAGAAUAUGCAAGAACGUUCGGAAAAUAAUCCACGAAAGGAUCUAGCGGACCACAAAGGAUCUAAGGUGAGUAACGGUACCCAACCAGAAGAAGAAAGAAUGCAAGGGAUCAGAUUAUAGAAACAACUGACUAAUUCAAAAUUCAAAUGUAAAGGAAAUAUGAUUUCCAAAUCAAGGGCUCAAAAGCAAAUGCUCUGAUUAAGGAUGGAUAAGUUGAGUAAGCUUAGGGGUACAAUCGACGACAAUUUGAUUGGUCGAGAUCCAGCUCAUGUUUAAAAUGACAUCUGUGCCGGAAGGAUGAAUUCUAGGAUCUUAUUAAGGAUUGCGAGCAUUCACAACAUAUUGAAUCAACGGAUUCAAAAUGAUAAUGACAAGGGAUGCCAAUAAGAUUAUGAGACUUAUGGGAUUAAGCAUAAUGUAAGAAGCAAGAAUUUCAAGAGCAAUAGGCUGCUUAGGAUUUUCGGAAGAUGGAAUGGUAUUUCUAAGACUUUUGUGAAACACAUGAACAAUUGGGAACGAUCGGAUGCUCGAAAAGUGCGAGGAAUUAUCCGUAGGGGUAUUUAGGUGGCAAAGAACUGCAAGGCAAUAGGCACAAGUAUUCUCGGAACAAUAGAGAGAAUUUCGAGGUACCUUGUAAUAACAAGAUCAACUGGGAAUAGAAGUAAGAACAACAAGUGUAUGUAUUUAUCCACAGGGAUAUAUGGGUGGUAGGGAAUUGCAAAAGCAACGGGCACAAAGUCUCGAGAAAAUAUGGGAGAGUAUCUUCGAAAUCUUCUGGCGCACGAAGCAAUCAUCUAGAGUGAGGGGCUCUCCGGAAGGAAGUAGUUGCGGGAACCUAGAGUUAGAGUCAGUAAAAAUCAUUUAAUACAAAUAGAAGAUAGAUCACAGUCCCAGAGUAUAGACGAGGAAUAAAAGAUCCUAAUACCAUCGAAUGGUGACGUGGGCCCGUAAGACACACAGCCAUGUUAGUAAAAUUUUAGCAAUGUCUAGACUCGACUUAAGACAAGGAGUGUGGAACGGGGAUUCCAACAGGAAGAUAGCUCUAAUACCAACUUGUGACGCCCCCAAUUCGAUUGUACACUAAUCAUGCAUGCAAAUGUGUGCGACCAAGAUCAGGGACUCACGGGAAGAUAUCACUACACAACUCUAGACAUAAAUUAAAGAUCAUACAAGCUUCAUAUUACAAGCCAGGGGCCUCGAGGGCUCGAAUACAUCAGCUCGAUCAUAAAUGAGUCAGCAGAAGCAAAGAUAUCUGAGUACAAAGAUAAGUUAAACAAGGUGCCAUAAGAUGGCUAGCACAAACUGGGAUACAGAUCGAAAGAGGCGCAUGCCUCCUGCCUGGGAUCCUCCUAAACUACUCCUGGUCGUCGUCGGCCUACACGUAGUAAUAGGCACAUUCAGUGUAGUAGGGGUUGUCGUCCAUGGUGGCGUCGGGCUCCUGGGGUCCAACAUCUGGUUGCGACGUCCGAGAAGAAUGGAAAGGGGGAAAAAAGGGAGCAAAGCAACCAUGAGUACUCAUCCAAAGUACUCACAAGCAAGGAUCUACACUACAUAUGCAUUGAUAUCUAUAUAAAGGGUUAAUAUUAGUGGACUGGACUACAGAAUGCCAGAAGAAUAGGGCGAUAGCUAGUCCUAUCAAAGAUUACGCUUCUGGCAGCCUCCAUCUUGAAGCAUGUACAAGAGAGUAGUCGGUAAAUUCACCAAGUAUCAUCGUAUAGCAUAAUCCUACCAGGCGAUCCUCUCCUCGUCGCCCUGUGAGAGAGCGAUCACCGGGAAGUAUCUAGCACUUGAAAGGGUGUGUUUUAUUAAGUAUCCAGUUCUAGUUAUCAUAAGGUCAAAGUACAACUCCGGGUUGUCCUAUUACCGUGGACACGGCUAUUCGAAUAGAUUAAUCUUCCCUGCAGGGGUGCACCACAUUACCCGACAAGCUCGAUACCUUUGGCCGGGUACACUUUCCUGGGACAUGUCCGGCCUCGGGAGAUCAACACGUCACAGCCUACCUAGGCUCAACAGAGAGGUCAGCACGCCGGUCUAAAUCCUAAGCGCGCAGGGGUCUGGGCCCAUCGCCCGUUGCAUACCUUCAUGUUGCGAACGCGGCCGGAAGCAGACCUAGCCUCUCUAAUACAAGAGCAGGUGUUCUUGUCCAAUCCGGCGUGCACCGCUUUGUCGCUGAGGUCAAGAAGGCUUCGGCUAAUACCACGACACCGGUUGUCCAUAUCUUGUCCCACGUGGCAGUUAGUGUGUAUAAGAUCAACGACCCAACUCAGAUCGAAUACCAAGAUCUCGUUAAGCCUGUUAUUUUAAAGUAACCGCGGACGCCGUCCAGGACCAGGCCCACAUGUCUCCUAGGUGGUCAUAACCUGCCCUGUCACUCCGUCACAAAGAUCCACUCAGAGGGCCGUCUAGACAAAUGUCCUUUCAGCCCCCAAUCCGUGAAUCACUCGCGGGUACUCUACAAGCUGACCCGACUUUAGUCACAUCAUGUAACUUGUAUAGUUUGUAUGUAUGUAUGUAUAAAUAUACCCAUGAUCACCUCUCGAGUGAUCACUGCCCGAUAAUAUAGCAUGGCAGACGGACAAUAAUAUAGGGCCACUGAUGAUAAACUAGCAACCUAUAAUAAGCAUGUAGGAUUGCAGGUAAAGGUAUCAACAAUCAUAGCAACAAUAACAAGUUAUGCAACAGAAUAGGAGCUAUAAAAUCAACAACAGUAGCAAAACUAAUGCAAGAAUAAGAGAGAGAGACUGGGAGAUAUCUGGUUGAUCAAAGGGGGUUUGCUUGCCUGGAAGCUCUGCAGAGAGAUACGGAUCCUCGACGGUGAAGUAGUCGACCACCGGUUCAAACCGCGGUCUAGGGGUCUAUCGGAAAGAAGUAAUGGAGGGGGGAACACAAUAAAUAACAGAGAAAUCAAUGCAUCACAAAGUAUGACAUAGCAAUACACGGUGCUAGAGGUGACCUAACGAUGUGCUAAGCGUUACGGACAGAGCGGGAAAUAUCCCGUAAUAUUUUCUCGGCUCCAGGCAUUUAUCGGACAGAUGAACCGGAGGGAAAUGUUCCAUGUUUGCAGUGUUGGGGGCACAUGACAGGUAUGUGGGUGGCAUACCCGGAUUCAUCACAUUUUUUGAUUAUUAUUCAUAUAUAAGUUAUUUUCAUCAGAGUUACGGUUUAUUUUCUUUGAAUUUACAAAGUUUAAAUGAUUUUCUGAAUUUACAGAAUUUUUUAAUCCGAAAAUAAAACAGCAAAAUACUUUUGUCACUUAGUGCUAUUCCAGCCAUAGUGUAUGACAAUGGGGCCAGUGGGGUUGGGUUGACCCAGUCAAAUGUUGACUAGUCAACAUAUAAACUGUGUAGGGGACCACAUGUCAUUGACUUAGACUUUUGUUGAAAUUUGUUUAUCUUUAAACUAACAGUGGGUCUACAUGUCAUCUACUAUCUAAUUAGCUAGUACUACUAAUUAGACUAACUAACCGGCCGGUCACACGCGCGGCUGUGGCACAGCCCGCCACAGACACACAUGGCGCACACACACCAGCUCAUGGCCAUGGCCAUAGAGCAGCAGCAGCGGCAGCUAACAAGGCGGCGUAGCAGCAGUGCAAGUAGUGUAAUAAGGCCAACCCCAGUGCAAGACCCAUCCCGUCCGCCCCGUUCGUUUGAGGUAAAAUAAACAAAUUAGACAGCCUAGCGCGCGACGGCCUGGACCCAUCUGGUCCGUCUUGUGACUGGGCCGACCCAUUUCGGGCGCAAACAUGCGCGCGGUUUGGGUCACGGCGGACGGCAAACGGACGCCUUGCUCGUCCGCGUCGGGGCCGCAUGGCAUGCGGCCACCUACCUCCCACCGCCCGACAUAAAUGCACAUAGGUGGUCGACCCCACCUGUCAUCUGCACAGGCGAACGGUCGCCAUCCUUCUUAAAUGGGGAAGCCAUGGACCAGCCAUCGUCCACACUCCCCAGUCCAACCCUUCCUGCCUCCUCGAAACCAACACCCCAAACCCUAGCCUCUCCCCAUCCCCGAUCUCGGCGGCCGGCCACCUCGCAGCCAUGGGCUUCUGGAACCACGGCCGCAAGGGGAAGCACGGCCGCGAGGCUAGCUCGUCUUUGGGCUGCCGCCGCGGCUCCGUGAAGGAGGAGCAAGCAUCACCACCGCGUCGGGCCCCCGCGCCUGCGCCAUUCACCAUCGGCCCUACGGCCGGCGGCGAGCGCAACCGGCAUUACAUCGCCGCAGAUGUAUGACGGCGUUAUUGAGAGACUAGGACGCCGCUCCCGUGGAGCGACGUGCACCUCCCCAAUAACUGGCACCUCUCCGUCAACCGGGUCCCGAUCCCGCCGGUCCCGAUGAGCGGCCAUGCGCGCCGCGAGAAGAUCGAGCGUCGCCGCCGCCUCCUGCCGGACGACCUAUACUACGACGACAGGUACGCCCCCAACUCCCGGCUCUGGGACACGUGGCUCCAGCACGAGCACGACGUGCGGCGCAUGUCAUUCUUUGCCGGCACCUCAUUGGGGCCGCGGCGGCCACGUCGAGAGCAUGCAGCGCGUGCUUCCUAGGUGCGCGGGCAUACACGGGUGCGCGGCCUCACGCCAACGCCGUCGCCUUGACCGUCUCCAUCUCCGUCUCCAGCACCACCACCUCGCAUGACAGCGGAGAAGGAGGCAUGGCCUCCGGUGUCAUGGAGGACUCCAUGCGCAUGCACGAUGAGCGCCAAUGGGAGGGCCUCAAGGAGAUGAUGACCCUCUCUGCGGCAGGCGAUGUCGACAUCCCCGAGAUGGAGAUGGUGAAGGCGGAGGAGGAGCCGGUGGCAGCGUUCCACCUGGGCCUGCUGGACCAGAAGUGGAGCUGGUCGUGCACGGCUCCGGAGAUGGCCGACGCCGUGGGGGGCAUGAACUUGUGCCCUACGCAGCCGCAGUCACCGGAGCGGGAGGCCUCGCCAUGGGAGGAGGUGGUGCAGGAACCUCCGGCCUUCCAGCCCGCCCCAUUGUUUCACGCGCCACCGUCCCACCUCUGGACGCCGCCGGACUAUGUCGACCUCGUCAGCAACGACGACGACAACGGCGGCCACUGAAGACGGCCAAGGCCAUGGCAUCGACGGGCACGGCACGAGCGCGCGGGCGUUUUUUUUUUGUUUUUUAUGUUAAUUAUGGCAAUGUGAACCGUGAAACUGGGCCGUUUUGUGGCCGUGAUGGUUAAUUUAUGUUUUAUGUUUUUAUAUUUGUGUUUAUUUAAUUUUUUUGGCAUUUUAUUUUAGUUUUUUGUUUUUUUAAUCACGUCCACUUCGGACAUGAUUUGAAGUGCGACCGCGCGUUGGGCGCACCGAUAACCCAACGGACAGAAGCAGGCACGGGCGAACCCAUUGCCACCCCAAAGGGAUGAAAUCCGGUCAAACCGGACGUCCGUUUGGGGUUGUGCGCUGGAGUUGGCCGAAGAGCAGCAGCGGGAAGCAGUAGCAAGGAACAGCAGCAACGCAGCAGAGCACCAAGCAGAGCAGCGCAGUAGCAGGCAGCAGAGCAGCGGCUAGCGGCAUGUAACAUCAGCGACAGUAGUGGGCGGCUUCAGCAAAGAGAAGUAGCAAGCAGAGCAGCAGCGGCACAAGCAGGCAGUAGCAUCACACAGCGGCAACAAUACAGAGCAGCAGCGGCACAUAAUAGCGCAGCAGGCAGCCGCAAGCAGCAGAAGGUAGAGCAAUGCGCGACCGCGGCAUCGCAGGGUAGCAAGCGAGCGAGCCGGGCCGCACGGACGGGCGCCGGCAGGGGAGCCCAGGGUGCGCACGAGGCUGCCCGGGCUCCAGCGCGGCCACGGUUGCUACGUUCAGGGGUGGGGCUUAGGGGGAAAUCGACGCGGUGCUCAUCUGGGAGGACUGUUAGACUUAAUCUUGAUUCCAUGUAUCUGCAUAUUUAGUUUGCUUUCGUUGUGCAUGUAGGAUAGGUUAGAGAGUAGCUAGUCCGGUGAAGCUUCAGCGGAGGCACGCGAAGAAGAUGAGAUGUCAGGCUGCCGUGCGACGCGGCGAGCACGAGGAGAUGUCGAUAUUGCUAUGCGAUAAGGCAACGCCGUGUGAUGCGGCAAGAUGCGACCGUGGCUGGAGCGUGACGGGCUGCUCAUUCAGGUUGAGCCAAGUGAUUUGGCCAAGUCAGAAUUAGUUAGAGUAUGUGAGGCUGUAGCUGCAUGUGUGCGUGGUGCUAGCCGAGUCAAGAGUCAGUGCAUGCGUGAGUUUGUUAGUGAUUGACAUGGGCGUGCAUGUAGCUAGUCAGUUGGCGAAUGGGUUAGUGCGUGGAGGGUGCUGUUAGUGGCCGGUUAAGGUGGCUGGUAGUGCGUGCGUGAGUCCAGCACCUGAUGUAUAUAUACAUGUUGCAUACUGAGUAAUGAAGUGAGGCCGAGAGGGCUGAGCAGAGAAACCAUGUAGCCAUUGUGGUUCACCAAGGGAGUGUCUCUGGCAAAGCCGUUCCUCUUUCUUGGUAUAUGCGUGCGUGUGUGUGUGUGUUCAUGAGAGAGUUCUUGAGAGAAAACACAAGAGAAUUGUGUGAGAGGGAGAAGAGAGUUGUGAGAGGCAACUCGAGGUAGAAGAAGGAGCGGCGCUGCGAGGUGAGGCGGCGCCAACAAUUGGCAUCAGAGCCUAGUCGAUCUGGCGACGGCGGCGGCGCGGCGGACUCCAUGCGAGAUGGAGGCCGGCGGUGCAAGGAGGAGGCUGGUGGCGGUGCGAUCGGCGCCGCGAAGGCGUCGUCCACAUCAAUAGAUGGUCGUUGCAUGUGGCAGGAGGUCGUGGUACACGGCGCCGCGACGGCAUCGUCCACGGCAAGAAGGAGUGGUGAUUGGCGUUGCUAGGGCAUCAUCCGCGGCGACGAGAUGGUCCAUGGCAACUGGCGCCGUGAGGGCGUCGACAACAACAAGUGGCUGCGGCGCUGCGAUGGCGUCCGCAAGUGGUUGCGGGUGAUCCGCAUAGGAGAUUGGGGAAUCAAGAUUAAGGGGGGAAUGUUAGACUUAAUCUUGAUUCCAUGUAUCUGCAUAUUUAGUUUGCUUUCAUUGUGCAUGUAGGAUAGGUUAGAGAGUAGCUAGUCCGGUGAAGCUUCAGCGGAGGCACGCGGAGAAGAUGAGAUGUCAGGCUGCCGUGCGACGCGGCGAGCACGAGGAGAUGUCGAUAUUGCUAUGCGAUAAGGCAACGCCGUGUGAUGCGGCAAGAUGCGACCGUGGCUGGAGCGUGACAGGCUGCUCAUUCAGGUUGAGCCAAGUGAUUUGGCCAAGUCAGAAUUAGUUAGAGUAUGUGAGGCUGUAGCUGCAUGUGUGCGUGGUGCUAGCCGAGUCAAGAGUCAGUGCAUGCGUGAGUUUGUUAGUGAUUGACAUGGGCGUGCAUGUAGCUAGUCAGUUGGCGAAUGGGUUAGUGCGUGGAGGGUGCUGUUAGUGGCCGGUUAAGGUGGCUGGUAGUGCGUGCGUGAGUCCAGCACCUGAUGUAUAUAUACAUGUUGCAUACUGAGUAAUGAAGUGAGGCCGAGAGGGCUGAGCAGAGAAACCAUGUAGCCAUUGUGGUUCACCAAGGGAGUGUCUCUGGCAAAGCGGUUCCUCUUCCUUGGUAUAUGCGUGCGUGUGUGUGUGUGUUCAUGAGAGAGUUCUUGAGAGAAAACACAAGAGAAUUGUGUGAGAGGGAGAAGAGAGUUGUGAGAGGCAACUCGAGGUAGAAGAAGGAGCGGCGCUGCGAGGUGAGGCGGCACCAACAAGGACGCAGGCGAGCUCGAGAGGGGUUGGGGAUGGCCCAGAGCAGCAGAUCGACGGUGGCGUGCGGCGGCUGUGACAGAAGAAGUUGAACAUGCCAUCUCUUGGGGCCUCUAGGUGCGAACGGAGUAAUUGACGAUGACAAGCACGACGCGACGGAGCUCCUGGACACACCGGCGAGAUGAGAGGUGGUCGGUGGCCGCAGCAUCGACGCGGCGACAGCGACGACCACGUUGGGUGCCUCUCCAGAUCGGGGAGGAGAGCGAGGGGGAAGAGGGGGGGUAGUGGCUAGGGUUUGACCGGGGUCGCGGGGUUGAUCAUAACCUAGGGGGGCCAUGGGAUGGGUGCCACGGCGGCAUCGCCAGCCAGGGAGGCCAGGAUGGCUGCCACGCUCCCCUCUACCUCCUAUAGUGGGAGGUCGAGGAAGAUGGAGGUGGGCUGGGCCUCCCUCUCUCUUACUUUUCUCUCUUUCUUUCUUUCUUUCUUUCGUUCUUCUUUUUCUGUUUUCUUUCCAAUUUGUUUUGUUUUUUAUUUACUUUUAUUUUGGUUUUAUAAAAUAUGAGACUUGGUCCAUAAUUAGUUAUGCAAAAUUAGGCACUGCCACAAAAGUUUUGGGGUUAUUUAAAAUAGUUUAUCAUAAAUUAGGAAAGGCAAUUUAAAUAAUGAAUUUUCCCCUUGUUUCAUUUAUUUUAGGGAUCUCAACCAAUUUAUAAAAUGUUAGUUAAUGAAUGACAAUUAUUUAGGGGAUAUUUUCAACCUAACGAAGAUUUUCAAUUUACUAUUUGAAGCAAUAAUAAUUUAACUUGUUAUUUGAAUUUGAAUUUGACUUGAAUCUUAAUCAAGUGACAAUUGGCUUAGUAAAUGAUGAUGACAUGGCAUCAUUAGGGUGAGGUUACUGUAGCAUGAGUCUCGGGGUGUUACAAUCUACUAGAUAAUACCCCGCCCGUUGCCGCGGGAUGUAUGCAUGGAUACAAUUGAUGAACUCUUUGGAAGCUAAUAGGAAAUAUUGCCAAGCUGAAGCAAAUAUGUUAUGUUCUUUACAAAUAAUUAACUAAGAACAAUGAGUUGCACUUGGACAAAAAACAUGUUUAGUGGAAAUACCGGCACCCUGUAGUGCCAUAAAAUCGUAGAUGAUACAAUGCAUUCACGGUUGUAUCAUUUACAUGCAUAGAACACACUAAUGGAUUAAUUGUACUUCCGACUGAUCACAGUACUUCAGGGAAUGCUUCUGUGAAGAAAGAUCAAUAAAAAUACAUACAGUACUCCAAAUCUCUGAAGGUGAUAACUGUCAUGGACAAACUCAACACAGAUAUGGAGAACAAACCUAUCUGUAACAUUCCUGGGCAAACUUGUGCGCAAAAAUAUUAGGAAAUAGACUGUUCACGUCAAUGGAAUAUUCCAAAAGUGCUUUUAUCAAUUUAGAGAUACAUAUAGACUAAGGUAUAACGAACCAGAAGGUGAAGAGUUGUUGCUCAGCCAUGUACGUUCAGAAAACCACUUAUAUACUUCUUUAAUAUUUUUCCUCUAGAUUUCCAGAAGGAAACAGAUAAGUAAAUUAUUGUAGCUCAAUUUCUACUAAUACCGUGCAUUAUGUAAGUGUAUAGACAUUCAUGCAUAUAGCGAGGGAGUAAUGGACCAUACCAAUUCUAUGUCUGGUCAACCACGACAUAUGCAUCCGGUGAAUUUGACUUCUCUCAAAAAAAUCCGGUGAAUUUGACUGUUUAUUCUUCCUUUCAACAUCCAGCGAAUCCAAACUUUGUUGGACCUUAUUUUUUAAUAUAUCAAGGAAAUGAUAAGCAUAAUAAGGAGGCAGGAAGUGCUACAACCAACAACAUAUCCUAAAAGUAAAAUAUAUGCCUCCUCGAAAAUUAGGAAUGUAAAUUACAUAACUAAGAUAUAUAGGGGGUGGAAAAGGAGUAUGUAACUUGUGGAAGAGAUAGACCUGCCAUAAGACUGGAAGAAUGUAUUUCCCUGUGCACCUCUUCUGCAAAACUAAAAAGUAAGUGAUCAUCAUAUCACUUGUAGAAGUGCUAGAUCAUUAAAACAAUUGAAAAUUCUUUCAAACGAACAAUUGAAUAUGUUCAUAAUCAACAAAAUACAGAAGAAAUAGUGGAUGUUCUCCCAAAGGGCCAAAAGCACUUGAGUGCAUCAUAUUAUUCAAAAAUCAACAAACAUCUAAAACACAGAAGAAGGAAAGACAGAGAAUGGUUUAUAUAUUAUUACCAUUCUACCAAAGCGAAAGAGAUGAGAUUGCUUACCAGAACCUAGUUGCUCCAUAAAUGAUUCAUAAUGUUAAAGGGCUUCAUUGUCACUGCUGACAGUUCGUUGGAUCGUCAAAUUCAAGUGAAGCGAUGACAACACAAAGCAGUUCAAGAUCCAGUAGGAGAGAAAACCAAGCAGUGCGGAGACUUAAUACGAGGGUUGGUAUAGCUGCAGCCCACCGCGGAUGAGUUGCAACCAAGAAUAGACAGUCUGCAUGCAUGCUAGUAAAGAUCUACCAAAACACAAAAUAAUAAUGUGUCAACACUACUGUUCCUAUUAUCCAACAGGUAAACAUGAAUGUAUGUAAAACAAUCUGAUGCUAAUAUCUAUGUUGACAUGCCCAUGACAAAGAAAAAAAUGGCAGUACUUAAUUAUUAUUUUUUGCCCUUCACUAAUCUGCACGUAGCGUGAGUAUGCAAUGUCAUCAAAAAAGAAAAAUAGCAUAUGAAGAAGUCAUCUUCCCUGCACAUAGAUCAGCAUUUGGUGCAGAAGAAACAGAGCCAUGAAGCAACACUGCAAGAGAAACACUCGGACAACGGAACCAAUGAUGAUCCCAUAAUGCUACAAAAAUACAUAAGCCCUGCAGGGAAACAAAAACUGGUAAUGAUAGUGAGACAAAUAAAUCAUACUGAUAUUGUAAAUCGCUCGGACGUUUUUGAAAUGUCUGUGAACAUGUAUAACAAUAACUGACUGAUUUAGUUCAGAAAAAUACUUCCCUGGUAGCCAGUGUUGGAGGUGGGGAUAGGAGGAGUGUGCAACCUUGUUCCAUGGUGCUUUUUAAUGAUAUUGUAAAUCGCUCGAACGUUUUUGAAAUGUUUGUUAGCAUCUAUAACAAUAACUGAUUGAUUUGGUUCAGAAAAAUACUUCCCUGCUUGCCAGUGUUGGUGGUGGAGGAGUGUGCGACCUCGUUCCAUGGUUCUUUUAAUGGAAGCCAUGGCCCCUUCUCCAACCUCCCGCUGGUCCACGGUCAGCAUCGUUGUCGGCCUUCCCGCCUGCUGGCCUCGUCCUCCCGGAAUCGAGUGUCGGGGCAGCUCCGUCGUCCUGUGGAGCAGCGCCAGCUUCCUCAUGCGCCAUGUCUGCCCAUGAGAUCUGAUAGCUUUUUCUCUGCCUGGUGAUACCACUUCGAUCAAAGUUCCAACUGCUACACCCAACCGGCAGAUGCUGCCGGGCAGCCGGAUCUGAUUCCCAUCUGGAGGGCUCAAUUCCUCAUGGAAAAUAAGUAGGGUGGGGAUUUAAUUAGAGAAAAUGCCUGAGAUUGAGAAACACCAAAAGCCAUAGGGAGGUAAAGAAUAAGAAAGGAGCAGCCGUGGGAAGCGGAGGGGACUGAUGGAUUCGCCAAAGGGACUCCUCGGUCGCCUGCGCUGCGCCUUCUCUCUACUCGUCGGUUACUACUGAAAGAAGGGAGAGGAAACGAACAUAUAGAGGAUUUGAGUGAGUGGAACCAAGCGUGUCAUUAAACAUUUUUUUCUCUAUGCAGUGCUGAUGUGGCAGCUUGCGCUUGAUUGGUCGCUCUUGUAAGCUAGUAGUAGAACGAUGAUGUGGCUCACUUGCUGAUGUGGAUAGGCUGCAUGUCAAAAGAAAUAAGAUAGUGGGGAUGAACCAUUUAGAUAUUAUAGAUGAACAAGAAACAAUAACUAGACAGAAACAAAGAGGAAGGAAAAAACAAAAACAGGGCAAAAAAAACUUACUCCAAUGACGUCUCUCUCCCUUCUCGUUCUCUAGAACCCCUGGAGGACCUCCUGCUGAAGAGGAAUGGGAAAUGGGCGAAAUGAACGCGAGGUAGAAAAACUACUCUGAGAGAGACAAACGGCCUGCCAGCCCAACUAUCGUGACAAACACCCCGGCCCGCUACUAGCAUCAACCUGAAAACGGGCGGCGCGACACACAACAGCCGUGAGCGAAUGCACCAGUGGGACAAAAAUAGGUUUGCGCGAAUCUUAAAGACAGACGAGAUCCAAUGGCUGUGGACAUAGAUGUGAAGUAGUUAUUUCACAUCUAGAUGUGAAAUAGCAAAUCUGAUAUAAUGACUGUAAUGUUGUAGUUUGUAGAUGUCUAAUUAAUGCACAACUCAUUUUUUUUAUGCAGUACCAUACCUUCAAGAUAUAUAUAAUUAAUGUAAUGUUGUAGCAUGUAGAUGUGUAAUUAAUGCACACGUUCAUUUUUUGGUGCAGUGCCAUAUCUUCCUAUCUUCAAGAUAUAUAUAAUUAUUGUAAUAUUGUAGCAUGUAGAUGUGCAACUAAUGGGUACAUUCAUUUUUUAUGCAGUACCAUAUCUCCAAGAUAUAUCAUAUAUAGUACAACUAAUGUAUGUAUAACGUGUCGAUGAGGAGUUCAUGUACACACUCAUCGUUCGAUGUUAUUUCGUAUCUUCAAGGUAUAGCCUAUAAAUAUAGAGUUAAUGUGAACAUUCAUUGUUUGAUACAAUAUCGUAUCUUCAAGAUAUAGAACUAAUGUAUGGUGUAUCCUCUAGAGUGUAAUUAAUGUACAUAUUAAUUGUUUGAUAUGGUGCUGUAUCUUCAAGAUAUACAAUUGAUGCAUGUGCCCAUAUCAUCAUCUCAAACAAGGCUAUAUAAACCAAGCCAUAGAUAACGAAGUCAUGUAUCCCACACAUUCACAGAGAAGCCACACAAACAAUUAUAAGAUCAAAGGGAUAGAGAAGGCUCUAGUGUAGCAGAUACAAAAGCCAUAGCAAUGACGAAACUCAUGUGCUUAUGUUUCAUCAUCCUCACUAUUGGGGUAGCCGUGUCGGCUGACGAAUGUGAGGGUGACCGACAGGCCAUGAUCAAGGAGUGUGCUAAGUAUCAACAAUGGCCAGCAAAUCCGAAGAUAGAUCCAUCGAACGCAUGUUGUGUCGUGUGGCAAAAGGCAAACAUCCCAUGCCUUUGCGCUGGUGUCACCAAGGAGAAAGAGAAGAUAUAUUGUAUGGAGAAGGUUGGCUACGUUGCCAAUUUCUGCAAGAAGCCGUUUUCACAUGGAUACAAGUGCGGAAGUAAGUGACAUAUAUUAAGGGAAUUAUGAUGAUUGGUAUUGCAUACAUGCAGUUUUGAUAUUUGUUAUUCUUUGGAUUCAAACAAUUUUGAUUUUAGUGAUGCAUUUUAUAUGUUUCUUGUGCUAUUCUGAUCAUAUGUUGGGUCAAAUUGAAUGGUCUUGCAGGUUACACAUUCCCUCCUCUGGCGUAGUGACUCUAGUUUAGUUGUGGGAGGAGAAGCUUGGCUUUUACAUUCCAUGUGCCUGGCCUCACAAUAGCUUUCCUUUCAGAUCUGUAAGUUGUGAGGUUGUGCUCAGAAAAGUUUAUGUUAAGCAUUUUGCAUGAGAACGUUUCUGAAACUAAUAAAGCCUUCUCCUCAAAUAGUCUAAAUUAUGUUUGUUCAUAUAUUAUUUUUGGUUCUACUAGAAAAUAUGACCGUACGUUGCAACGGGAGAAAAACAAUCAGAUUAUGCAUAUGUGGUAGAGAUAAAAAAAAGUUUGAAACAUAUGCCAGGAGGAGAUCGGGACCUUUAAAACGUGAUUUCAUAAACUACGUUUGAAUCAUGUCAUGAUGAGAUAAGGAACUUCUAAAAGGUCAUUUCAAAAGCUAAAAAUGUGAUGGUCUCAUCACGACUUGAUUUCCUAAGGCACCACAACAAAAUAUUUUAUGGCUGAGAAACUGUAUUGAUGGACCCUACCUGAGCUAGACUAAUGAAUGGAGUGUGUCGCCUCUGUUGGAAAUAUGCCCUAGAGGCAAUAAUAAAAUGGUUAUUAUUAUAUUUCUUUGUUCAUGAUAUUUGUCUGUUAUUCAUGCUAUAAUUUUAUUAUUCGGAAAUCGUAAUACACGUGUGAAUACAUAGACCACAACUUGUCCCUAGUGAGCCUCUAGUUGAGUAGCUCGUUGAUCAACAGAUAGUCAUGGUUUCCUGACUAUGGACAUUGGAUGUCAUUGAUAACGGGAUCACAUCAUUAGGAGAAUGAUGUGAUGGACAAGACCCAAUCCUAAGCAUAGCUCAAAGAUCGUGUAGUUCGCUUAGCUAGAGCUUUUCCAAAUGUCAAGUAUCAUUUCCUUAGACCAUGAGAUUGUGCAACUCCCGGAUACCGUAGGAGUGCUUUGGGUAUACCAAACGUCACAAUGUAACUGGGUGACUAUAAAGGUGCACUACGGGUAUCUCCGAAAGUGUCUGUUGGGUUGGCACGAAUCGAGACUGGGAUUUGUCACUCCGUAUGACAGAGAGGUAUCUCUGGGCCCACUCGGUAAUGCAUCAUCGUAAUGAGCUCAAUGUGACCAAGUGUCUGGUCACGGGAUCAUGCAUUACGGUACGAGUAAAGUGACUUGCCGGUAAUGAGAUUAAACUAGGUAUUGGGAUACCGACGAUCGAGUCUUGGGCAAGUAACGUACCGAUUGACAAAGGGAAUUGUAUACGGGGUUGUUUGAAUCCUCGGCAUCGUGGUUCAUCCGAUGAGAUCAUCGAGGAGCAUGUGGGAGCCAACAUGGGUAUCCAGAUCCCGCUGUUGGUUAUUGACCAGAGAGGCGUCUCAGUCAUGUCUGCAUGUCUCCCGAAACCGUAGGGUCUACACACAUAAGGUUCGGUAAUGCUAGGGUUGUAGAGAUAUGAGUAUGCAGUAAACCAAAAGUUGUUCGGAGUCCCGGAUGAGAUCCCGGAUGUCACAAGGAGUUCCGUAAUGGUCCGGAGGUAAAGAAUUAUAUAUGGGAAGUCGAGUUUCGGCCAUCGGGAAAGUUUCGGGGGUCACCCGUAUUGUACCGGGAACACCGGAAGGGUCCCGGGGGUCCACCGGGUGGGGCCACCUAUCCCGGAGGGCCCCAUGGGCUGAAGUGGGAGGGGAACCAGCCCCAGGUGGGCUGGUGCGCCCCCCCUUGGGCCCCCCUGCGACUAGGGUUGGAAACCUUAGGGGUGGGGGGCGCCUCCACUUGCCUUGGGGGGCAAUCCACCCCCUUGGCCGCCGCCCCCCCUCGGGGAUUCAAUCUCCUAGGGCCGGCGCCCCCCUGGGGACCCUAUAUAAAGAGGGGGGAGGGAGGGCAGCCGCACCCUUGCACUUGGCGCCUCCCUUCCCCCUUGCUACACCUCUCCCUCCCGCAGACUCUUGGCGAAGCCCUGCCGGGAUCCCUGCUGCAUCCACCACCAUGCCGUCGUGCUGCUGGAUCUUCAUCAACCUCUCCUCCCCCCUUGCUGGAUCAAAAAGGAGGACACGUCUCCCUGACCGUACGUGUGUUGAACGCGGAGGUGCCGUUCAGUCGGCGCUAGGAUCUCCGGUGAUUUGGAUCACGACGAGUAUGACUCCCUCAACCCCGUUCCCUUGAACGCUUCCGCUCGAUCUACAAGGUUAUGGAGAUGCACUCCUUUCUCUCGUUGCUAGAUGAACUCAUAAAUUGAUCUUGGUGAAACCGUAGGAAAUUUUUUAUUUUCUGCAACAUUCCCCAACAGUGGCAUCAUGAGCUAGGUCUAUGCGUAGUUCUCUUUGCACGAGUAGAACACAAUUUUGUUGUGGGCGUAGAUGUUGUCAAUUUUCUUGCCACUACUAGUCUUCUUUUGCUUCAGCGGUAUUGUGGGAUGAAGCGGCCCGGACCGACCUUACACGUACGCUUACGUGAGACAGGUUCCACCGACUGACAUGCACUAGUUGCAUAAGGUGGCUAGCGGGUGUCUGUCUCUCCCACUUCAGUUGGAGCGGAUUCGAUGAAAAGGGUCCUUAUGAAGGGUAAAUAGAAGUUGACAAAUCACGUUGUGGCUUUUACGUAGGUAAGAAAAUGUUCUUGCUAGAACCCUAUUGCAGCCACGUAAAGCAUGCAACAACAAUUAGAGGACGUCUAACUUGUUUUUGCAGCAUAUGAUUUGUUAUGUGAUAUGGCCAAAAGUUGUGAUGAAUAAUGAAUGAUAUAUUGUGAUGUAUGAGAUCAUGUUCUUGUAAUAGGAAUCACGACUUGCAUGUCGAUGAGUAUGACAACCAGCAGGAGCCAUAGGAGUUGUCUUAAUUAUUGUAUGACCUGCGUGUCAAUGAUUUAACGCCAUGUAAUUACUUUACUUUAUUGCUAAACCGUUAGCCAUAGUAGUAGAAGUUAUAGUUGGUGAGCAACUUCAUGGAGACACGAUGAUGGAGAUCAUGAUGAUGGAGAUCAUGGUGUCAUGCCGGUGACGAAGAUAAUCAUGCAGCCCCGAAGAUGGAGAUCAAAGGAGCUAUAUGAUGUUGGCCAUAUCAUGUCACUGUUUAAUUGCAUGUGAUGUUUAUUAUGUUUAUGCAUCUUUUUUACUUAUAACGACGGUAGUAAAUAAGAUGAUCCCUCAUAAUAAUUUCAAGAAAGUGUUCCCCCUAACUGUGCACCGUUGCGAAAGUUCGUCGUUUCGAAGCACCACCUGAUGAUCAGGUGUGAUAGAUUCUAACGUUCACAUACAACGGGUGUAAGACAGAUUUACACAUGCAAAACACUUAGGUUAACUUGACGAGCCUAGCAUGUACAGACAUGGCCUCGGAACACAAGAGACCGAAAGGUCGAACAUGAGUCGUAUGGAAGAUACGAUCAACAUGGAGAUGUUCACCGAUGAUGACUAGUCCAUCUCACAUGAUGAUCGGACACGGCCUAGUCGACUCGGAUCAUGUAUCACUUAGAUGACUAGAGGGAUGUCUAAUCUGAGUGGGAGUUCAUUAAAUAAUUUGAUUAGAUGAACUUAAAUUAUCAUGAACUUAGUCUAAAAACCUUUGCAAAUAUGUCUUGUAGAUCAAAUGGCCAAUGCUCAUGUCCACCUGAACUUCAACGCGCUCCUAGAGAAAACCAAGCUGAAAGAUGGUGGCAGCAACUAUACGGACUUGGUCCGGAACCUGAGGAUCAUCCUCAUAGCUGCAAAGAAAGAUUAUGUCUUAGAAGCACUGCUAGGUGAAGCUCCCAUCCUAGAGAACCAAGACGUCAUGAACGCUUGGCAGUCUCGUGCUGAUGAUUACUCCCUCGUUCAGUGCGGCAUGCUUUACAGCUUAGAACCGGGGCUCCAAAAGCGUUUUAAGCAACACGGAGCAUAUGAGAUGUUCGAAGAGCUGAAAAUGGUUUUCCAAGCUCAUGCCUAGGUCGAGAGAUAUGAAGUAUCCAACAAGUUCUUUAGCUGUAAGAUGGAGGAAAAUAGUUCUGUCAGUGAGCACAUACUCAAAAUGUCUGGGUUGCACAACCGCUUGACUCAGCUGGGAGUUAAUCUCCCGGAUGACGCGGUUAUUGACAGAAUCCUUCAGUCGCUUCCACCGAGCUACAAGAGCUUUGUGAUGAACUUCAAUAUGAAGGGGAUGGAAAAGACCAUUCGUGAAGUAUAUUCAAUGCUGAAAUCAGCAGAGGUUGAGAUCAAAAAGGAACAUCAAGUGUUGAUGGUAAAUAAAACCACUAAGUUAAAGAAAGGCAAGGGUAAGAAGAACUUCAAGAAGGACGGCAAGGAAGUUGCCGCGCCCGGUAAGUCAGCUGCCGGGAAGAAGUCAAAGAAUGGACCCAAGCCUGAGACUGAGUGCUUUUUAUUGCAAAGGGAAGGGUCACUUGAAGCAGAACUGCCCCAAAUACUUAGCGGACAAGAAGGUCGGCAACACUAAAGGUAUAUGUGAUAUAAAUGUAAUUGAUGUGUACCUUACCAGUGCUCGUAGUAGCUCCUGGGUAUUUGAUACCGGUGUCGUUGCUCAUAUUUGUAACUCAAAGCAGGAGCUGCGGAAUAAGCGGAGACUGGUGAAGGACGAGAUGACGAUGCGCAUCAGGAAUGGUUCCAGAGUCGAUGUGAUCGCCGUCGGCACGCUACCUCUACAUUUACCUACGGGAUUAGUUUUAAACCUCAAUAAUUGUUAUUUAGUACCAGCUUUGAGCAUGAACAUUGUGUAUGGAUCUCGUUUAAUACGAGAUGGCUACUCAUUUAAAUCCGAGAAUAAUGGUUGUUCUAUUUAUAUGAGAGAUAUGUUUUAUGGUCAUGCCCCGAUGGUCAAUGGUUUAUUCUUAAUGAAUCUCGAACAUGGUGUUACACAUAUUCAUAGCGUGAAUAUCAAAAGAUGUAAAGUUGAUAACGAUAGUUCCACAUACUUGUGGCACUGCCGCCUUGGUCACAUUGGUGUCAAGCGCAUGAAGAAGCUCCAUGCUGAUGGACUUUUAGAGUCUCUCGAUUAUGAAUCAUUUGACACAUGCGAGCCAUGCCUCAUGGGCAAACUGACCAAGACUCCGUUCUCCGGAACAAUGGAGCGAGCAACCAACUUAUUGAAAAUCAUACAUACAGAUGUGUGCGGUCCAAUGAGUGUUGAGGCUCGCGGGGGAUAUCGUUAUGUUCUCACUCUCACUGAUGACUUGAGUAGAUAUGGGUAUGUCUACUUGAUGAAACACAAGUCUUCGACCUUUGAAAAGUUCAAGGAAUUUCAGAAUGAGGUAGAGAAUCAACGUGACCAAAAAAUAAAGUUCUUACGAUCAGAUCGUGGAGGAGAAUAUUUAAGUCACGAAUUUGGUAUGUACUUAAGGAAAUGUGGAAUCAUUUCACAACUCACGCUGCCUGGAACACCUCACCGUAACGGUGUGUCCGAACGCCGUAAUCGCACUUUAUUAGAUAUGGUGUGAUCUAUGAUGUCUCUUACCGAUUUACCGCUAUCUUUUUGGGGAUAUGCUCUAGAGACAGCUACACUCACUUUAAAUAGGGCACCGUCUAAAUCCAUUGAGACGACACCGUAUGAAUUAUGGUUUGGGAAGAAACCUAAGCUAUCGUUUCUAACAGUUUGGGGAUGCGAUGCUUAUGUCAAGAAACUUCAACCUGAAAAGCUCGAACCCAAGUCAGAAAAAUGCGUCUUCAUAGGAUACCCUAAGGAAACCAUUGGGUAUACCUUCUACCUUAGAUCCGAAGGCAAGAUCUUUGUUUCCAAGAACGGGUCCUUCAUGGAGAAAGAGUUUCUCUCGAGAGAAGUAAGUGGGAGGAAAGUGGAACUUGAUGAAGUACUACCUCUCGAACCGGUAAGUAGCAUAGCUCAGGAAGAUGUUCCUGUGGUGCCUACACCGACUGGAGAGGAAAUUAAUGAUGAUGAUCAAGGUACAUCGGAUCAAGUUGCUACCGAACUUCGUAGGUCCACAAGGACACGUUCCACACCAGAGUGGUAUGGCAACCCUGUCCUGGAAAUCAUGUUGUUAGACAACGGUGAACCUUCGAACUAUGAAGAAGCGAUGGCGGGCCCAGAUUCCAACAAAAGGCUUGAAGCCAUGCAAUCCGAGAUAGAAUCCAUGUAUGAAAACAAAAUAUGGACUUUGACAGACUUGCCCGAUGAUCGGCGAGCGAUAGAAACAAAUGGAUCUUUAAGAAGAAGACGGACGUAGAUGGACUAUGCUAAGGGUUAUCGGCAAGUUCAAGGGGUUGACUACGAUGAGACUUUCUCUCCCGUAGUGAAGCUGAAGUCCGUCCGAAUCAUGUUAGCAAUUGCCGCAUACUAUGAUUAUGAGGUAUGGCAGAUGGACGUCAAAACAGCAUUCGUUAACGGUUAUCUUAAGGAAGAACUGUAUAUGAUGCAGCCGGAAGGUUUUGUCGAUGCUAAGAAUGCUAACAAGGUAUGCAAGCUCCAGUGAUCCAUUUAUGGGCUGGUGCAAGCAUCUCGGAGUUGGAACAGUCGCUUUGAUGAGAUGAUCAAAGCGUUUGGGUUUAUGCAGACUUAUGGAGAAGCCUGCGUUUACAAGAAAGUGAGUGGGAGCUCUGUAGCAUUUCUCAUAUUAUAUGUAGAUGACAUACUUCUGAUGGGAAAUGAUAUAGAACUUUUGGACAGCAUUAAUGCCUACUUGAAUAAGUGUUUUUCAAUGAAGGACCUUGGAGAAGCUGCUUACAUAUUAGGCAUCAAGAUCUAUAGGGAUAGAUCGAGACACCUCAUAGGUCUUUCACAAAGCACAUACCUUGAUAAGAUAUUGAAGAAGUUCAAUAUGGAUCAGUCCAAGAAAGGGUUCUUGCCUGUAUUGCAAGGUGUGAGAUUGAGCUCGGCUCAAUGCCCGACCACGACAGAAGAUAAAGAAGAGAUGAGUGUCAUCCCCUAUGCCUCAGCCAUAGGAUCUAUUAUGUAUGCCAUGCUGUGUACCAGACCUGAUGUAAACCUUGUCGUAAGUUUGGUAGGAAGGUACCAAAGUAAUCCUGGCAAGGAACACUGGAUAGCGGUCAAGAAUAUCCUGAAGUACCUGAAAAGGACAAAGGACAUGUUUCUCAUCUAUGGAGGUGACGAAGAGCUCGUCGUAAAGGGUUACGUCGACGCUAGCUUCGACACAGAUCUGGAUGACUCGAAGUCACAAACCGGACACAUGUAUAUUCUGAACGGUGGGGCAGUAAGCUGGUGCAGUUGCAAGCAAAGCGUCGUGGUGGGAUCUACAUGUGAAGCGGAGUACCUGGUAGCCUCGGAGGCAGCGCAUGAAGCAAUCUGGGUGAAGGAGUUCAUCACCGACCUAGGAGUCAUAACCAAUGCGUCGGGGCCGAUCAAACUCUUCUGUGACAACACUGGAGCUAUUGAACUUGCCAAGGAGCCCAGGUUUCACAAGAAGACCAGGCACAUCAAGCGUCGCUUCAACACCAUACGUGAAAAUGUUCAAGAUGGAGACAUAGAUAUUUGUAAAGUACAUACGGACCUGAAUGUAGCAGAUCCGUUGACUAAACCUCUUCCUAGGGCAAAAUAUGAUCAACACCAGAAUACCAUGGGUGUCCGAUUCAUCACAAUGUAAGUAGAUUAUUGAACUCUAGUGCAAGUGGGAGACUGUUGGAAAUAUGCCCUAGAGGCAAUAAUAAAAUGGUUAUUCUUAUAUUUCUUUGUUCCUGAUAUUUGUCUGUUAUUCAUGCUAUAAUUGUAUUAUCCAGAAAUCAUAAUACACGUGUGAGUACAUAGACCACAACUUGUCCCUAGUGAGCCUCUAGUUGACUAGGUCGUUGAUCAAUAGAUAGUCAUGGUUUCCUGACUAUGGACAUUGGAUGUCAUUGAUAACGGGAUCACAUCAUUAGGAGAAUGAUGUGAUGGACAAGACCCAAUCCUAAGCAUAGCUCAAAGAUCGUGUAGUUCGUUUAGCUAGAGCUUUUCCAAAUGUCAAGUAUCAUUUCCUUAGACCAUGAGAUUGUGCAACUCUCGGAUACCGUAGGAGUGCUUUGGGUGUACCAAACGUGACAAUGUAACUGGGUGACUAUAAAGGUGCACUACGGGUAUCUCCGAAAGUGUCUGUUGGGUUGGCACGAAUCGAGACUGGGAUUUGUCACUCCGUAUGACGGAGAGGUGUCUCUGGGCCCACUCGGUAAUGAUCAUCAUAAUGAGAUCAAUGUGACCAAGUGUCUGGUCACGGGAUCAUGCAUUACGGUACGAGUAAAGUGACUUGCCGGUAACGAGAUUAAACGAGGUAUUGGGAUACCGACGAUCGAGUCUCGGGCAAGUAACAUACCGAUUCACAAAGGGAAUUGUAUACAGGGUUGUUUGAAUCCUCGACAUCGUGGUUCAUCCGAUGAGAUCAUCGAGGAGCAUGUGGGAGCCAACAUGGGUAUCCAGAUACCGCUUGUGGUUAUUGACCGGAGAGGCAUCUCGGUCAUGUGUGCAUGUCUCCUGAACCCGUAGGGUCUACACACUUAAGGUUCGGUGAUGCUAGGGUUGUAGAGAUAUGAGUAUGCAGUAAACCGAAAGUUGUUCGGAGUCCCGUAUGAGAUCCCGGACGUCACGAGGAGUUCCGGAAUGGUCUGGAGGUAAAGAAUUAUAUAUAGGAAGUCGAGUUUCGGCCACCGGGAAAGUUUCGGGGGUCACCGGUAUUGUACCGGGACCAUCAGAAGGGUCCCGGCGGUCCACCGGGUGGGGCCACCUAUCCCGGAGGGCCCCAUGGGCUGAAUUGGGAGGGGAACCAGCCCCAGGUGGGCUGGUGCGCCCCCCUUGGGCCCCCCCUGCGCCUAGGGUUGGAAACCAUAGGGGUGGGGGCGCCUCCACUUGCCUUGGGGAGCAAGCCACCCCCUUGGCCGCCACCCCCCACCUUGGAGAUUCAAUCUCCUAGGGCCGCCCCCCCUGGGGACCCUAUAUAAAGAGGGGGGGAGGGAGGGCAGCCGCACCCUUGCACGUGGCGCCUCACUUCCCCCUUGCUACACCUCUCCCUCCCGCAGACGCUUGGCGAAGCCCUGCCGGGAUCCCUGCUGCAUCCACCACCACGCCGUCGUGCUGCUGGAUCUUCAUCAACCUCUCCUCCCCCUUGCUGGAUCAAGAAGGAGGAGACGUCUCCCUGACCAUACAUGCGUUGAACGCGGAGGUGCCGUCCGUUCAGCGCUAGGAUCUCCGGUGAUUUGGAUCACGACGAGUACGACUCCCUCAACCCCGUUCCCUUGAACGCUUCCGCUCGAUCUACAAGGGUAUGUAGAUGCACUCCUUUCUCUCAUUGCUAGAUGAACUUAUAGAUUGAUAUUGGUGAAACCGUAGGAAUUUUUUUAUUUUCUGCAACAUUCGCCAACAGCCUUCACCUAGGGUCAAGACGUUUACCCUGACUAAUAAAACUAUAGUACCAAAAUAACAUAGAGGUGUAUGGAGGCAAAUUAGAUAUUUAAUCAUUUUCAUAUACAACUUACAAAAACUAAUUGUAGGAAGUUUUGUCAUUUUUUUUGGGCUCAACGUUGUGCAGAUUAUGGAAACCUUUUUUUACGCGACUCGCAUGUACUAAAUAAAACCAUGAACCAACAUCUACAAAUAAAAAACUCUAUAUAAGCAGGUUAGUUUUGUUCGUUAUGUACAGAUCUGCUUAAUUUUUGUGAACAUUUUCUAAAAUUGACAUUUUUUCAAAUUCCCGAGUAUGUUUUGAAUACAUGAUCAUUUUUUUUCUAAAAUCAUGAGUAUUUUGUGAACAUUUUUUUGAAAUCGUGAUUUUUUUAUAAAUGCAAACAUCUUUUCAAAAUACUGGACAUUUUAUAAUCUUUCUAAAAAAAAUUGAAUUAAUAAAUUUUUUAUGAUUUCGCAAAAACAAUGUGAAUAGUUUUUAAAAAUACUGGACAUUUUAUGAUUUCCUAAACACUUUAUGAAUUCACGAACAUUUUAUGGUUUCCCAAUAAAAUCCAAAACUGACAACUUUUGGAUUAGGCUGAGGUUACUGUAGCAUGAGUCUCGGGGUGUUACAAAGUUCCUCCACUACAAGAAAUCGCGUCCCGAGAUUUAAGAGGCGGAGUAAGGUGGAAAGUUCUGGUUAUGAAAUUCUAAUGAAUCUUCUCGUUCUUGGUUGCUCUUCUCAAAGGAGUUGACCCAUUAUAUUACGUUGAUGUCUUAUUUUCUCUACUUCGGGUCAUAAUGACGAAGUCGUCAUCCUUUCUUCGAGAACUCCAUCGUACAUAUGAAGGAAUAAAGGAUGGAUAUUCCGGGAGAACGGGUCUCUGCAAAGUUGAAUAUCUGGUCGAUAACAUCAGGGAAGGUGGCAGAGAGUAACUCUCAAAUUGAAACUUAAGAAAAUAUCUAGAGCAAAGUAAGGAGGUAUCAUGGGAAGUCUCGAGUGGGUAGGCAAUCGUUCGAUGCCUAAAAUAGGGCAUGAAAGGGGUUCAGGGCAAUGGGAAUAAGUAUUGUGUCUGAUAGGAGAAUUGAUGAUCUCUCGAAAGGUGGCUCAUGAAUUACGUAAGAGGCCACACGCGAGGAACAAACUUGGGAACAUGGUGUGUACAGGAGAGUCAGGUUUUGAUCCUGUGGAACUGUGGGUUAUGGGCCCACCAUGUGGGUUAAAAGUAGGAAAGGCGGUGACAUCUUGCACGAUCAUGUAAGCAAGGCAUGUUAGAGGAUAGCCUGGCAGUUAUGUCGGCAACAGCACCGGUACCAUUUUAUUGCUCGUUAAACGAGGCAGACCAAUAGGCAAAGUUCUCGUCCAUCGGUGGUUACCGAAAAGUCAUCAACAUUAGUAACAGGGUCUUACUGACAGAGUGUUACAACGAGGUGCUUACCUAAGCAGGGAAUUAUCACUGCUCAAUUAAGUCAGGUUACAAGAAAGGUUAAACAAAACAAUAGAAAGGAAAAUGCGAUUAUCAGAUUAAACAGAACAAUGGAAAGGAAAAUGUGUUUAAACACAUAUUUCAGGAGUAUAUCCUUCCCAAGGGCAAACAGAGCACGAUAUCCAUGACAGGAUAGAAACUAGAAAGCCAUUUAGGUAAGGGGAGAGGAAUCUCAUGACAUUACCCAAACAACAGUGUUUGGAUAAUUGAUGGGAAAAAAUUUAGCAUUGUGUUUCAAAUGUUCUUAUUGAAGAUCGGAGGACCGCGGACAUGCUUCAAGAUAGCAUUGACAUGGUCUUGAAGCAAGGUCAGACUAUUGAUACUCAAAGGAUUCAUCAGGAACAACUGAUAGAAUAAUCUUAGAAUUUCCUCAUGGAAGAAUGGUUAACCUUGCCAAAAAGGAAACUAUAACAAUAGGGCCCCAGCCAGGUGUGCUAGGCAUGGCAUCACCUUACUGGGUCAUAUAAAUACCAAUGUUAUAACUCUUGGAAAUAUGUUCCAACCAUUAUAUUUGACCAAUAUUCGGAUAUGAUUGGUGUUAGGGUAGCUUAGACUCUAGAUGCUUAAGAAAAAAAAAGGUGUGACACGGAUUGACGAGAUGACAUUGUAACAUUCUCAGGAAAUGAACUAUGGGAGUGAGUACCGAAACAAGAGUUCAUCAUUAAAUCAAGGAGAGGGCGAGGAGGUGGCUGAUGGACUCAGCGACAAUUCAUUGAGAUUUCCAAAAAGAUGUAUUUGCACAAUUAUGUGAAGGAGAUAAAAUUUAUAAGACCAGAUGAUAUAACGAUGUAUGCUGAAGCAGAACAUCCAUGAGUAAACAUUGGUUGAAAGGUGCACCCGAAAUAUGGGCUUAGGUAGCAUGAUCAAUGUUAGAAUGGUGAUUCGAUAACCAAUACACAAAGAAUGAACCUAUCAUUCAUUAACUUACAGGCAAUAGGGUUGCUAGAACUUUUGAAUUUUACACAUCACAGUCCAGUUGUCAGUAUUCUGGUUAGGAACAACAUGGGGACCAAGAACUGAAUGUAGACGGCGAGAUAUAUCACUUGUAUCAAGAAAUCUUAAGAGGUGGUGAAAUUCUCACAACUUUCUUGAUAUAUAAAAUGGUAAUACUCCAAGGUAGGACAUAAGAUAAGUUGGAUUGCCAGGAACUCAAGGUACAACCACAACACUAACAAGUUUGUGUUGGAAAGAAGGCAAGGAAGUAGUUGAUGACAACACAAAUUACGAAGGAUAAGGAUGGUAAUCCCCAUCAGGAAUUCAAUUGAUAUCCUGGAAGGAGUCAAAAUGUCGUUGAUGAUUGAUACGUCUCCGUCGUAUCUAUAAUUUUUGAUUGUUCCAUGCCAAUAUUCUACAACUUUCAUAUACUUUUUGCAACUUUUAUACUAUUUUUUGGGACUAACAUGUUGAUCCAGUGCCCAGUGCGAGUUCCUAUUUGUUGCAUAUUUUAUGUUUCGCAGAAACCCCAUAUCAGACGGAGUCCAAACGGGAUAAAAAUGGAUGGAGAAUUAUUUUGGAAUAUUUGUGAUUUUUGGGAGGAAGAAUCAAUGCGAGACGGUGCCCGAGGGGGCCACGAGACAGGGGAGCAUGCCCUAGGGGGCAGGUGCGCCCUGGACUCUCAUGGGCACACCGUAAGGCGGUUGAUGCUCUUGUUUUGCCGCAAGAAAGCUAAUUUUAUGAGAAAAAUCUGGGCGAAAGAUUGACCCCAAUCAGAGUUACGGAUCUUCGGAUAUAAAAGAAACGGUGGAAGGGCAGCAUUUGGGAACGCAGAAACAGAGGGAGACAGAGAGAUAGAUCCAAUCUCAGAGGGGCUCUCGCCCCUCCCACGCCAUGGGAGCCAAGGACCAGAGGGGAAACCCUUCUCCCAUCUAGGGAGGAGGUCAAGGAAUGCCGCCAGGGCCAUGGCCAUCAUCAUCACCGUGAUCUUCACCAACACCUCCGCCAUCUUCACCAACAUCUCCAUCACCUUCCCCCAUCUAUAUUCAGUGGUCCAUUCUCCCGCAACCUGAUGUACCCUCUACUUGAACGUGGUCCUUUAUGAUUCAUAUUAUUAUCCAAUGAUGUGUUGCCAUCCUAUGAUGUCUGAGUAGAUUUUUGUUGUUCUAUCGGCGAUUGAUGAAUUUCUAUGAUUGGUUUGAGUUGCAUGUUUUAUUUUUGGUGCUGUCCAAUGGUGCUCUCCGUGUCGCACAAGCGUGAGGGAUCCCCGCUACAGGGUUCGCAAUAUGUUCAUGAUUUUCUUAUGGUGGGUGACGUGAGUGACAGAAGCACAGACCCGAGUAAGUAGGUUGUUUGCUUAUGGCAUAAAGGGAAGUUGAUACUUUAAUGCUAUGAUUGGGUUUUACCUUAAUGAUCUUUAGUAGUUGCGGAUGCUUGCUAGAGUUCCAAUCAUGAGUGCAUAUGAUCCAAAAAGAGAAAGUAUGUUAUCUUAUGCCUCUCCCUCAAAUAAAAUUGCAAUAGUGAUUACCGGUCUAGUAACAUAGUCAAUUGCUUAGGGACAAUUUCACAACUCCUACCACCACUAUUCCACACUCGCUAUAUCUACUUUAUUGCUUCUUUAUCUAAACAGCCCCUACUUUUUAUUUACGUGUUCUUUAUUAUCUUGCAAACCUAUCCAAUAACACCUACAAAGUACUUCUAGUUUCAUACUUGUUCUAGGUAAAGCGAACGUCAAGCGUGCGUAGAGUUGUAUCGGUGGUCGAUAGAACUUGAGGGAAUAUUUAUUCUACCUUUAGCUCCUCGUUGGGUUCGACACUCUUACUUAUCGAAAACUAUUGUGAUCCCCUAUACUUGUGGGUUUUCAAUGAUCAUGAAAAAUUUGGUCGAGAGGCUCCACGAAGAAGCAAUUGAACAGUGACUGCAUCAAGCAAAAGUACUGAUGCAGCGAAAGAUUAUUGGAUCCAUGGAUACGACACCAACACGGAAUCAAGCUUGUUGUUAAUGGUGGAAUGAUAAGACGAGGGAGUCAACAUAAGAUUAGCUCAUCCUCGAAGUUGUGCUCCGGGAGUAAGGAACAGGUAGCAUAGUUAAAAUCGGCACGAUAAUGAUAUAGCCGAGCAGGCCAGGAAUGACAUGGUCGAGAACAAACUCGUGAGUAAAGGAGAUUACCAAGAGUUGUUUAAUCAUGGUGCAGACCCAAUUUAGUUAUCGGUGUCCUCGAGUGACUAACAACUUGCACCCAGGAAAAAUUGGAAUCGAUGAGGAAUAAUAGUUGAUGAAGGCUCAUAAUAGGCAACAUGGUUCGGUGCUAUUAUCGAGAUACCAGAGGGUAAUACUUGGAGGUAGAGAAAAAUAGAGGGUUGACAAGUGUAUUGAUCUGCAGAAGGCAAGUACUUAACAUGUCCGAGAAAAGGAAUCAAGGAAUAUCAAUAUGGCUGAAACCAUAGCUGCAAGGGAUCUAAUUUAAUGACACCGAAAGAAUUAUCCAACUGAUUAAAUGUUUUGCAAGAAGCUUCCAUGAUAAGUUCCUCAUCGGGUCCAUGGGCAUGAACACUAAGUUCAAGGUCAACUCCCACUUCUCGAAAGCAGAACCUUACAUUCACUUCUCGUUUCGAAAAUGGCAUUAGCGUUCAAAGUUUUACCUGGUAAAAUACCAGAUGAGUACGACCCGUGAAACCUCUCGGGUUUACACAGAUUAUGGAAAGCAUUGGUUCAACCCACCGGGGCAUCUUAGGAACAUAUACCACGAACUUUAGAGUAAGUAUCGCCAGCUCGAAAGAAGAGUAUGGUUGGCCAAAUCAUAGAAUAGGAUUUACCAAUGGCAUUAUUAUCAAGGAAAGAAUUCCAGGUUUUGAGAAUACGCAAGAAUGGUUGGAUAAUAAUCCACCAAAGGAUCUAGCGGACCGCAAAUUAUCUAAGGUUAGUAACGAUACCCAACCAAAAGAAGAAAGAAUGCAAGGGUUCGGAUUAUAGAAACAACUGACUAAUUCAAAGCUCAAAUGUAAAGUAAAUAUGAUUUCCAAAUCAAGGGAUCAAAAGCAAACACUUUGAUUAAGGAUGGAUAAGUUGAGUAAGCUUAGGGGUACAAUCAAUGACAAUUUGAUUGGUCGAGAUCCAGCUCAUGUUUAAAAUGAUGUCUGAGCCGGAAGGAUGAAUUCUAGGAUCUGAUUAAGGAUUGUGAGCAUUCACAACAUAUUGAAUCAAUGGAUUCAAAAUGAUAAUGACAAGGGAUGCCAAUAAGAUUAUGAGACUUAUGGGAUUAACCAUAAUGCAAGCAAGCAAGAAUUUAAAGAGCAAUAGGCUGCUCAAGAUUUUUGGAAGACCGAAUGGUAUUUCGAAGACUUUUGGGAAACACAUGAACAACUUGGAAUGAGCGGAUAUUCGAUAACUAUGAGGAAUUAUACGUAGGGGUAUUCGGGUGGAAAAGAACUGCAAGGCAAUAGGCACAAGUAUUCUCGGAACAAUAGAGAGAAUUUCGUGGUACCUUGUAAUAACAAGAUCAACUGGUAAAUAAAGUAAGAACGACAAGUGUAUGUAUUUAUCCAUAGGGAUAUAUGGGUGGUAGGGAAUUGCAAAAGCGACGGGCAAAAAGUCUCGAGAAAACAUGGGAGAGUAUCCUCGAAAUCUUCUGGCCCGCAAAGGAUUCAUCAGGAAAAACUUAUAGAAGAAGUCUUACAAUUUCCUCACGGAAGAAUGGUUAACCUUGCUAAAAAGGAAACUAUAACAAUAGGGCCCCGACCAGGUGUGCUAGGCAUGACAUCACAUUACCGGGUCAUAUAAAGACCAAUGUUAUAACUCUUGGAAAUAUGUUCCAACCAUCAUAUUUGACCGAGAUUCAGAUCUGAUUGGUGUCAGGAUACCUCGGACUCAGGAUGCUUGAGAAGAAAAAGGUGCAACACAUAUUGACGAGAUGGCAUUUUAAGAUUCUUGGGAAAUGAACUAUGGGAGUGAGUUCCGAAACAAAUGUUCAUCAUUAAAUCAAGGAGAGGGCGAGGAGGUGGCUGAUGGACUCAGCGACAAUUCAUUGAGAUUUCCAAAAAUAUGGAUUUGCACAAUUAUGUGAAGGGGAUAACAUUUGUAAGAUCAAAUAAUGUAACGAUGUAUGCUCAAGGAGAACAUCCACGAGUAAACAUUGGUUGAAAGGUGCACCCAAAAUAUGGGCUUAGGUAGCAUGAUCAAUGUUAGAAUGGUGAUUCGAUAACCAAUACACAAAGAAUGAAACUAUCGUUCAUUAACUUACAUGCAAUAGGGUUGCUAGAAGUUUUGAAUUUUACACAUCACAGUCCAGUUGUCAGUACUCUGGUUAGGAACAACAUGGGGACCAAGAACUGAAUGUAGAUGGCGAGAUAUAUCACCUGUAUCAAGAAGUCUUAAGAGGUGGUGAAAUUCUCAUAAAUUUCUUGAUAUAUAAAAUGGUAAUACUCCAAGGUAGGACAUAAGAUAAGUUGGAUUGCCUGUAACUCAUGGUACACCACAACACGAACAAGUUUGUGUUGGAACGAAUGCGAGGAAGUAGUUGAUGACAACACAAAUUACGAAGGAUAAGGAUGGUAAUUCCCAUUAGGAAUUUGAUUGAUAUCCUGGAAGGAGUCAAAGUGUUGUUGAUGGUCAUGAGAAAUUUGGUCGAGAGGCUCCACGAAGAAGCAAUCAAACAGCGACUGCAUCAAGAAAAAGUACUAAUGAAGCGAAGAUUAUUGGAUCCUUGGAUACGGCACCAACUCGGAAUCAAGCUUGUUGUUCGUGGUGGAAUGAUAAGACAAGGGAAUCAACGUAAGAUUAGCUCAUCGUCAAAGUUGUCCUCCGGGAGUAAGGAACAGGUAGCACAGUUAGAAUCAGCACGAUAAUAAUAUAGCCGAGGAGGCCAAGAAUGACAUUGUCGAGUACAAACUCAUGAGUAAAGGAGAUUACUUUAAUCAUGGUGCGGACCCAGUUUAGUUACUGGUGUCCUCGAGUGGCUAACAACUCGGAACCCAGGAAAAAUUAGAAUCGGUGAGGAAUAAUACUUGAUGAAGGCUCAUAAUAAGCAACAUGGUUCGGUGCUAUUAUCGAGAUACCAGAGGGUAAUAAUCGAAGGUAGAGAAAAAUAGAGGGUUGACAAGUGUAUUGAUUUGCAGAAGACAAGUACUUUAACUUGUCCGAGAAAAGGAAUCAAGGAAUAUCAAUAUGGCCGAAACCAUAGCUACAAGGGAUCCAAUUUAAUGACACCGAAAGAAUUAUCCAACUAAUUAAAUGUUUUGCAAGAAGCUUCCAUGAUAAGUUCCACAUCGAGUCCAUGGGAAUGAAAACUAAGUUCAAGGUCAACUCCCACUUCUCCAAAGCAAAACCUUACAUUCACUUCUCAUUUCGAAAAUGGCAUUAGCGUUGAAAGUAUUACUUGGUGAAAUGCCAGAUGAGUAUGACCUGUGAAACCUCUCGGGUUCACACAGAUUAGGGAAAGCAUUGGUUCAACCCACCGGGGCAUCUUAGGAACAUAUACCUCAAACUUUAGAGUAAAUAUUACUAGCUCGAAAGUAGAGUAUGGUUGGCCAAAUAAGAUAAUAGGAUUUACAAAUGGCAUUAUUAUCAAGGAAAGAACUCCAGGUUUUGAGAACAUGCAAGAACGGUCGGAUAAUAAUUCACCAAAGGAUCUAGCGGACCGCAAAGGAUCUAAGGUGAGUAACGAUACCCAACUAGAAGAAGAAAGAAUGCAAGGGAUCAGAUUAUAUAAACAACUGACUAAUUCAAAUCUCAAAUGUAAAGGAAAUAUGAUUUCCAAAUCAAGGGAUCAAAAGCAAACACUAUGAUUAAGGAUGGAUAAGUUCAGUAAGCUUACACUACAAAAAAAUACACUUCCGUGAUGAUACGUGUUUGUCACAGUAGGUCGCGUUUUUUGUCAUGCAUGUACAUCCAUGAUGAUUUUAUGACAGAAUCAAGAUAGUUAUACAUGUGAUGUCGUAGAAGUGUUCCAUGACAUUACCAAAAUUAUCAUCACAGAAGUGUCCACUUCCAUGACGAUAAAUCGCGCGUCACAGAAGUGCUUUUGUCAAGGGUGACCGACAUGUGGCAUCCACCAUAACGGAACGCCGUUAAGCUAUCGGGUCGGGUUUUGGAUCCGAUAACCCGUUAACAGCCCCAACCAAUGGGGAUUUUCCACGUGUAAAAUCAUCAUUGGCUGGAGGAAACACGUGUUGGCUCAUCAUUGGGACAGAUGUCAUCCACUCAUUGGACAGAAGGCGCCUAUGAUACGUUGACACGUGGCACGGCCCAACAGAGGCCCAUUCCUGUGAAAAGGCUGGCCCGUUUGACUUGGUCAAAAGGUGGCGGGCCGGCCCAUGGAAAGCCUAUUAACGGCCUGUUCGCAUAUAGCCCAUUUACAGCCCGCUAACCAAAGGACCGUUACACCCUAUCCGAAUUAGGCCCAGUAGCGUCAUCUGGGCCAUCCAAUAUGAUUCCAGCCCGUUUUCACUUUUGGCCCAAGUAUGGCCCAUGACGUCUUUUGGCCCAUAUGAGGCCCUUUGUAACUCUUGGCCUAUUAACAGCCCAUGGUGAAAUUAGCCCUUAAUGAACAAUGUAUCACUUUACACCCAUUAACGGCCUGUGGUGAAACUGGCCCAUAAUGAACAGUGUAUCACCUUAUACCCAUUAACGGCCCGUUAUUCCGUUGGGCCUUUUCCAGCCCAUGUUAUCUUUCGGCCUUCUCAGAGCCCAUUUAUUCUUGGGCUCAUUUCCAGCAUUCGUUUACUUACAUCCCGUUACUGUCAUUUUCUGCUUGUGGGCCAAAUUCAGCCUGUGGUUAUAGUCGGCCCGUUUGUGGUCUGUUAAUACGUUGGGCCGUUUUCAUAGCGUCAUCAAAUACGGCCUACUAACGAUGGCCCGUUAUGGCCGGCCCAUGAACGGACGAUUCCAACUCUAGCCCGUUUACAGCCAUAAUGCUGUCUGUUUGGCCCAUGUUUGGCCAAUCGAUCAUACGACCCGUAUAAGGCCCAUUGAUGAUACGGCCCACAAAAGGCCCAUUGUUUCCACGACCCGUAGAAGGCCCACUGUUUCUAUGGCCCGUAGGAGGCCCAAUGUCACUACAGUAAAUAUUAGCCCAUGGUUAUUGUGGCCUAGUUUUAAAGAAUAGGUUAUUGCAGCCACUAGCAAACCGUGGAAAAAGAACUGCAAUGACUACAAGCAAACAAAUAAUCAAGACAACAAGGAAAUAAAUAAGCAAGCAACUAAUGCUAGGCUAUCACGACUAUUACACAUAUUACAUCCACUGGGCAUCAAAGUUCGCCACCAGUGCAAAUAUAGGGAACAAAGCAGCAUAUCAUAUACACUGGUUGUCAAAGUUGGCGACUAGCGCAAAUAAGCGCCGUAGCAAAACAAAUCCAGAACUGAAACCACUUCAGAAGACAUCAAGAAACAAUAUCCUGUGUACCCAUAAUGCUGGCAAGAUGCUUAGCAAGCUUAUUAACUUUCUUUUGUUUGGCGCUUAAAUCCUCCAGCGCUUGCUGUUGCACCAGGAAAUAUGCAUCUGAAUUCUGCAGGGACUUCCUCAGUCCUUCAGCUUCCUGUCGCAACACAUCUGAUCGAUGUCUUUCAACUUGAAGUUGAGACUCAAGAAGACGAACUGAUUCAGGCAGCGAGUUCGAAGAGCUUGUGCCAGCAGUAGUGGCCAGUAACUCGAACACUACAUCAAGACAGGACUUUUGGGUUAUCUCACUGUCGUCAAGAUAGUUUUUAUCAGCUUUCUUGGAGACCAACAGGGAUGUCUCACUAUCUUGAACCUUAUCUGCAUUACUUCCUUUAUCAUUGGAUAACGUGAUACUGUUCUCCAAUAUUUUGUCCGCAUUCUAAAAGAGAAACAAGCAGACAGAUCACAUGUUUACCAUGUUGUAUAUGAAACUCAUUUUGGUAAAUGAGUUCAGUAGUAAAGUGGACAGGAUAACAACAUGAAACAAACAUAUAUCUAUGUACCAUGGUCACUUUAUGGUCUAUAUCAUUCUAGUUUUUGUUGCCAAAUCAAGAUAGAGACACAGUUCAAAUAAUAUUUGUUCAAGACAAAGCAGAAUAGACAAAAUAUAAGUGUAGGAAACUAUAGAGCAAUAACAACACUUGUAAUGUGCAUGACAUGAGAACAUAACUGUUUAUUCAAUUGAAACUGAAAUCAACAUAGAGCAGGUUACAAUAGCAAACCAGUUAAAGAAACAGGUUUAAAACAUACCUGUUGUGCCAUUGGAGUUUCAAUUCCAUCCUUCAAAUUUGAAAAUAGUUGGUAUGAGGAAAUACAAUAAUGCAAGAGCAAAGGAGUAUGAACCAUAGCUACAGAACCUGCCUGAGAACAAAUCUUCUUCUCCUUUAAGCGUUGAGUUGGGAUUCGGAGUGGUGGUCCUCGUGCUUUGGGCACUGCAGUUCCCUUACUAACUGCUCGUGUUUGGGUGCUGUGUGGUGGAGAUGGUGCUGUGUCAACUGGAACUGGGUUACUAUCUGCCGGGGUUGGGGCUAGAAGGGGUGUGGCUGGUUCUCUGUCCAACUGGGUAGGGGUACAAUCUGCGAGAGUCUGGGUUAUGUGUGGUGGAUCUGGUCCUUGGGCAAGUACAACCGUGGUUCUAUCUGCAUCAACUGGUAGCACUAUCUUUUCUGAAGACAGUGUUGUUACUCCCUUAGAUACUGCCAUCACCCUCUCCAAUUCAAAUGGCUGAUAAACAAGAAAAUUAAUUGAAAGUAUAGACAUUGUAUGAUAGAAAGGUGCAAUCGAUAGUGGGGAAUAAAAUAGGGCAUGAAAUAAUUCAUAUUUAUGUUGUCUAACCAAACAGGAUAGCAUGACACAAUUUCACAUAUAUGAUGGCUAACUAAACAUGAUAGCAUGACAUAAUUUCACAUUAUGAUGGCUAACUAAAAAAGAUGGAAAGACAUAGUUCAAAAUAUGAGACUAUGUAAACAGGAUGGCAUGAUAUAACUAUAUAAUGUGUUUAUUAAAUAGGUUGGCAUGCCAUAAUUCACAUACAUUCACUGAUAGAAUGCCAUAAUUCAAAAUAUGAUGACUGUAAACACUAAAAAGGAUGAGAUGAUAUAACUAUAUGAUGUCUUUAUUAAAUGGGUUGCCAUGCCAUAAUUCAGAUAGAUGAUGUGUAUGUACUAUGUAAACAUGAUGGCAUGAUAUAAUUCAAAUAUAUGAUUUAUAUAGUAAGCAAGUAAGCAGAUGGCAAUCCAUAUAUGGUGUAAAAACUAAGCAAUGCAAGACAACAUGCAUGGCAUGGGUAAUAUAACCCUGCCAAGUUUGAGCAUAGACCUCAGGGGGAAAUAGGACUGGUCAUCAGUCUCUGAAUCCUCCUCUGAGGAGCUCUCUGUAACCAGCAAGAUGUCUGCUUCAGCAGGUAGCAUUGUCUGCUGAAUACCUUGUUUUCACUCCAGAUACUUCCAUCACCGCUUCAAAUGGCUGAUGCACAGGAAGAGUAGUCGAAUAUACAAAUGUUGUCGAUAAAUGGAACACGUAAUACAAAAAAUGAUAGCAUGAUAUAAUUAACAUACAUGAUGAUUGGCUAAACAGCAUGGCAUUGCAUAAUUCACAUAUAUAAUGCUUUUGCAACAAGAUAGCAUUGUAUAAUUCACAUAUAUAAUGUCUUGCAACAAGAUGGCAAUGCAUAAUUCACAUAUAUGCUAAUUAGACACUGAGUAGGUGGCAUUCACACAAAGCAUGUCUAAACUAAUCAAAUGACAUAGUAAUGCAAGACACCAUACGCACGAUAUGAGCAACAUAACCNNNNNNNNNNNNNNNNNNNNNNNNNNNNNNNNNNNNNNNNNNNNNNNNNNNNNNNNNNNNNNNNNNNNNNNNNNNNNNNNNNNNNNNNNNNNNNNNNNNNNNNNNNNNNNNNNNNNNNNNNNNNNNNNNNNNNNNNNNNNNNNNNNNNNNNNNNNNNNNNNNNNNNNNNNNNNNNNNNNNNNNNNNNNNNNNNNNNNNNNNNNNNNNNNNNNNNNNNNNNNNNNNNNNNNNNNNNNNNNNNNNNNNNNNNNNNNNNNNNNNUCCUCAGAUGAUCUAUCCGUAACCAGCAAGAUAUGCGCUUCGUCAGAUAGCAUAGUCUACUCUGAAGACCUUGUUUUCACUCCAGAAUUUGCCAUCACCGUGUCAAAUGGACGAAGAGUAGUUGAAUGUACUAACAUUGUUGACAAAUGCAAUAUGUAACGAAAAAAGGACGGUCUAAUAUAAUUUUCAUAUAAGAUGACUGGCUAAGCAGGAUGGCAUUGCAAAGUUCACAUAUAUGAUGCCUGGCUAAACAGGAUGGCGUUGCAUAAUUCACAUAAACGAUAAAUAAACUAAACCGAUGGCAUUCUCACAAAGGAUGUCUAAACUAAGCAGAUGACAUAUUUGAUGUAUAAAGUAAGCAAUGCAAGACACCUAAUGCAUGACAUAACCAACAUCAGCAUGCCAAGUUAGAGCGAAGACCUCAGGGGGUAAAUAGGAGUUGUCUUCUCCUUCUGAAUCCCCCUCAAAACAGAUAUCUUCCUCUUGAUUACAAUCCGAAAUGCAUGGAGGGGGGGGGGCUGCCUUUGCGCCUACCAUGGAGCGACGUCUGCAUGAAAUUUUAUUGCCACGCAAGGCUCGUCUCUUUUGCCCCACAUGUUCAGUUCCAUUCUUUACAAUAACUGUCAUGCAUCAGAAUAAAACUUAGUUAGAUUAUGUAAGGAGUGCAUGCAGAAAUCCAGAGUGAUGGUAGCAACCUGUGGAUAGACCCAAAACCAAUAAUAGCAGGCAGAUAAUGGAUUGAGUUAAAAACAGAUAAUGGCUUCUUUAUUGUUUGUUUCCCACCCAACAUGAAACUCAUAGUAGACACCAGAGAUUAACUAGAUAGUAGAUAGAUACUAUUGAUUGCGACCCCGAUAUGUACCCCACAACCAUUUAAAAACUCAAGUUUGACCAUUAGUUUGGAGCUGACUUAGAGUCUAAUCGGUGAACAGGACGAUAAAGUAGCAUGUAAUAUUAAGCGAUGCAUAACGUAAGCAGACCCGAAAGAGUGGACCUCUCUUGCGGACCUGUAUAGUCCUCGAGGUCAUCUGCUCGGUUGAUGAUGGUAAUGCAGUUUUCAUGGCUACUGGCGGCGGGGAAGAGGAUCUGAGGCGGCGAAAGACAGUCUGGAGGCCGGAUCCCUGCUGUGCUGGACCCUUCUAUCGUUGGAGCAGCUGAGCUAGAGUGGACGACGACGCAGCAGGAGCGGGACAAACCACGCAAGGUUUUCUUUGACAACUAUCUGUAAGAGAAGCAAUUCUGUAAGGGCUUGUUUGAAUUGGAGGAUUCAACAAUGAAGGGAUAGGAAAUAGACAUGAAUAGGAUAGGAAUGCACGCGCAAAACAGAGAAUUUAAAAACACAGGAUUUCUGCCAAUUUGGGUGUUUGAUUCACAACAAUUGCAAGAUCACAUGAUGCAAAGAAGCACGGUGAGAUUAAGUCAAACCACAGGAAAAUGUAAGGUUAUAAUGCUACUAUGCUACUACCUCUUAGUCUUGUGCUUCUUGAAUAGGAAUUUGAAAAGGAGGACAAGUGAAAAUUAAAAUUCCUACAAUUUUUUUAUUUCAAGGAGACACUAAAGGAACAAAUCCGUGUGCUCAGUGGACAAUAUAUAUAACAUGUAGAGUCAAAAAGAGAUGCAACAAGUGUACAAACUCUUUUGAGAAGCCAUGUCGAUCUCAGCGCGAUUGGGUUGGCCGGUGAGGAUGCUUCGGCUGACUUGGCUGUCGGAGGAGGGGAAGAAGAUCUUAGGCAUCUGGAGAUGGAGCCCGAGAUACUGCUUGCUACGUCUUGAGCUUGCGUUGGUUUUCCUUGAAGAGGAAAGGGUGAUGCAGCAAUAGUAGCAUAAGUAUUUCCCUCAGUUUUUGAGAACCAAGGUAUCAAUCUAGUAGGAGGCUCCUCAAAAGUCCCACGCACCUACACGAACAAAGAAAGAACUCGCAACCAACACAAUAAAGGGGUUGUCAAUCCCUUCACGGCCACUUGCGAAAGUGAGAUCUAAUAAAGAUAGUAAGAUAAGAUAAAUAUAUUUUUGGUAUUUUAUAAUAUAGAUGCAAAAAGUAAAGAUGCAAAUAAAAGUAGAUUGGAAGCAAAUAUGAUAAGAGAUAGACCCGGGGGCCAUAGGUUUCACUAGUGGCUUCUCUCAAGAUAGCAUAAGUAUUACGGUGGACGAAUGAAUUACUGUCGAGCAAUUGAUAGAAAAGUGAAUAAUUAUGAGUUUAUCUAGGCAUGAUCAUGUAUAUAGGCAUCAUGUCCGCAACAAGUAGACCGACUCCGGCCUGCAUCUACUACUAUUACUCCACACAUCGACCGACUCUUGCCUGCAUCUAGAGUAUUAAGUUCAUAAGAACAGAGUAACACAUUAACCAAGAUGACAUGAUGUAGAGGGAUAAACUGAAGCAAUAUGAUAUAAACCCCAUCUUGUUAUCCUCGAUGGCAAUAAUACAAUAUGUGCCUUGCAACCCUUUCUGUCACUGGGUAAGGACACCGCAAGAUUGAACCCAAAGCUAAGCACUUCUCCCAUGGCAAGAAAGAUCAAUCUAGUAGGCCAAACCAAACUGAUAAUUUGAAGAGACUUGCAAAGAUAACUCAAUCAUACAUAAAAGAAUUCAGAGAAGAUUCAAAUAUUAUUCAUAGAUACACUUGAUCAUAAACCCACAAUUCAUCGGAUCUCGACAAACACACCGCAAAAAGAGUUUACAUCGAAUAGAUAUCCACAAGAGAGGGGGAGAACAUUGUAUUGAGAUCCAAAAAGAGAGAAGAAGCCAUCUAGCUAAUAACUAUGGACCCGUAGGUCUGUGGUAAACUACUCACAACUCAUCGGAGGGGCAAGGAUGUUGAUGUAGAAGCCCUCCGUGGUCGAUUCCCCCUCCGGCAGAGUGUCGGCGAAGGCUCCAAGAUGAGAUCUCGCGGAUACAGAAGGUUAUGGUGGUGGAAAUUGUGUUUCAUCCGCUUCCUGGAAGUUUUCGGGGUACGUAGGCUUAUAUAGGAGGAAGAAGUACGUCGGUUGACGCCCGACGGGCCCACGAGAUAGGGGGGCGCCCUAUAGGGGGGGGGGCGCCCUCCUAUCUCGUGGAAGCUUCGGCUGCUUCUUGACUUGCACUCCAAGUCCUUUGGAUCACGUUCGUUCCAAAAAUCACGCUCCCAUAGGUUUCAUUCCAUUUGGACUCUAUUUGAUAUUCAUUUUCUUCGAAAUACUGAAAUAGGCAAAAAAACAGCAAUAUGGGUUGGGCCUCCGGUUAGUAGGUUAGUCCCAAAAAUGAUAUAAAUGUCUAAAAUAAAGCCCAUAAACAUCCAAAAGGGGUAAUAUAAUACCAUGGAACAAUCAAAAAUUAUAGAUACGUUGGAGACGUAUCAAGCAUCCCCAAGCUUAAUUCUUGCUCGUCCUCGUGUAGGUAAAUGAUAAAAAGAGAAUUUUUGAUGUGGAAUGCUACCUAGCAUAAUUCUCAAUGUAAUUUUCUUUAUUGUGGCAUGAAUGUUCAGAUCCAAAUGAUUCAAAAUAAAAGUUCAUAUUGAUAAAAGAAAUAGUAACACUUCAAGCAUACAAAUCAAAGUAAUCAUGUUUUCUCAAAAUAACAUGGCAAAAGAAAGUUCAUCCCUACAAAAUCAUAUAGUUAGGCUAUGCUUCAUUUUCGUCACACAAAGAUGUUCCCAACUUCUAUGCCCCCGAUGACAAGCCAAGCAAUUGUUUCAUACUUAAAUAAUCUCGAACUUUUUCAACCUUCACGCAAUACAUGAGCGUGAGCCAUGGAUAUAGCACUAUGGGUGGAAUAGAAUAUGAUGAUGGGAUUGUGUGGAGAAGACAAAAAAAGAGAAAGUCUCACAUUGACGAGGAUAAUCAACGGGCUAUGGAGAUGCCCAUCAAUUGAUGUCAACAUGAGGAGUAGGGAUUGCCAUGCAACGGAUGCACUAGAGCUACAAAUGAAUGCUCAACAAAAGAAAACUAGUGGGUGUGCAUCCAACUUGCUUGCUCACGAAGACCUAGGGCAUUUGAGGAAGCCCAUCGUAGGAAUAUACAACCCAAGUUCUAUAAUGAAAAAUUCCCACUAGUAUGAAAAAUACAACUUAUGAGACUCACUAUAUGAAAAACAUGGUGCUACUUUGAAUCACAAUAUACGAGACUCACUACAUGAAGAACAAGGUGCUACUUUGAAGCACAAGUGCGGAAAAAGAGAUAGUAACAUUGCCCUUUUUAUUUAUUUUCUUUUAUUUUCUUUUUUUCUUUGGGCCUUUUUUUGUCCUUUCUUUUUUUUUCUUUUUUUCUUUUUGGGCAAUGUUCUAAUAAUGAAGAUCAUCACACUUCUAUUGAUUACAACAGAUGAAUUACAACUCGAAACUAGAACAAGAUAUGACUCUAUAUGAAUGCCUCCGACGGUGUACCGGGAUGGUGCAAUGAAUCAAGAGUGACAUGUAUGAAAAAUAAUGCAUGGUGGCUUUGCCACAAAUACGAUGUCAACUACAUGAUCAUGCAAUGGCAAUAUGACAAAAGCAAAGUAUGUCAUGAUGAUGAUGAACGGAACGGUGGAAAGUUGCAUGGCAAUAUAUCUCGGAAUGGCUAUGGAAAUGCCAUAAUAGGUAGGUAUGGUGGUUGUUUUGAGGAAGAUAUAAGGAGGUUUAUGUGUGAUAGAGCGUAUUGUAUCACGAGGUUUGGAUGCACCGGCGAAGUUUGCACCAACUCUCAAGGUGAGAAAGGGAAAUGCAUGGUACCGAAGAGGCUAGCAAAGGCGGAGAGGUAAAAAGCGCGUAUAAUCCAUGGACUCAAAAUUAGUCAAAAGAACUCAUAUACUUAUUGCAAAAAUUUAGAAGUCAUCAAAAAUCAAGUACUACGCGCAUGCUCCUAGGGGGAUAGAUUGGUAGGAAAAGUCCAUCACUCGUCCCCGACAGCCACUCAUAAGGAUGCACAAGCCAGGUACACUUCAUGUUUCAAAUUUGUUACACAACUUUAACCAUACGUGCAUGCUACGGGACUUGGUAACUUCAACAAAAGAAUUCUUUGAAUUCAUAAUCACCCAAAUAGCAUGACUUUAAUAUCACUACCUCCCUAUCUCAAAACAAUUAUCAAGUAUCAAAUUGAUCAUAGCAUCCAAUUCAUUUCCUAUGCUAGUUUUUAUUAUACCCAACUUGGAUGCCUACCAUCCUAGGACCAAUUUUAUAACCAAAGCAAAUACCAUGCUAUUCUAAAAGACUCUAAAAAAGAUAUAAGUGAAGCAUGAGAGACUAGCAAUUUCUACAAAAAUAAGUCACCACCGUGCUCUAAAAGAUAUAAGUGAAGCACUAGAGCAAAAGGGAGAUCUAAUAAAGAUAGUAAGAUAAGAUAAUUUUUUUUGGUAUUUUAUAAUAUAGAUGCAAAAAGUAAAGAUGCAAAUAAAAGUAGAUUGGAAGCAAAUAUGAUAAGAGAUAGACCCGGGGGCCAUAGGUUUCACUAGUGGCUUCUCUCAAGAUAGCAUAAGUAUUACAGUGGGCGAAUGAAUUACUGUCGAGCAAUUGAUAGAAAAGUGAAUAAUUAUGAGAUUAUCUAGGCAUGAUCAUGUAUAUAGGCAUGACGUCCGAGACAAGUAGACUGACUCCUGCCUGCAUCUACUACUAUUACUCCACACAUCGACCAACUCCUGCCUUCAUCUAGAGUAUUAAGUUCAUAAGAACAGAGUAACGCAUUAAGCAAGAUGACAUGAUGUAGAGGGAUAAACUCAAGCAAUAUGAUAUAAACCCCAUCUUGUUAUCCUUGAUGGAAAUAAUACAAUACAUGCCUUGCAACCCUUUUUGUCACUGGGUAAGAACACCGCAAGAUUGAACCCAAAGCUAAGCACUUCUCCCAUGGCAAGAAAGAUCAAUCUAGUAGGCCAAACCAAAAUGAUAAUUCGAAGAGACUUCCAAGUUAACUGAAUCAUACAUAAAAGAAUUCAGAGAAGAUUCAAAUAUUAUUCAUAGAUAAACUAGAUCAUAAACCCACAAUUCAUCGGAUCUCGACAAACACACCGCAGAAAGAGUUUACAUCGAAUAGAUAUCCAGAAGAGAGGGGGAGAACAUUGUAUUGAGAUCCAAAAAGAGAGAUGGAGCCAUCUAGCUAAUAACUAUUGACCCAUAGGUCUGUGGUAAACUACUCACAAAUCAUCGGAGGGGCAAAGAUGUUGAUGUAGAAGCCCUCCGUGGUCGAUUCCCCCUCCGGCACAGUGUCGGCGAAGGCUCCAAGAUGAGAUCUCGCGGAUAGAGAAGGUUACGAUGGUGGAAAUUGUGUUUCAUCCGCUUCCUGGAUGUUUUUGGGGUACGUAGGCUUAUAUAGGAGGAAGAAGUACGUCGGUGGACGCCCGAGGGGCCCACGAGACAGGGGCCGCGCCCUAUAGGGGGGGCGCCCUCCUAUCUCAUGGAAGGUUCUGCUGCUUCUUGACUUGCACUCCAAGUCCUCUGGAUCAUGUUCGUUCCAAAAAUCACGCUCCCGAAGGUUUCAUUCCGUUUGGACUCCAUUUGGUAUUCCUUUUAUUCGAAAUACUGAAAUAGGCAAAAAAAAUAGCAAUACGGGCUGGUCUCCGGUUAGUAGGUUAGUCCCAAAAAUGAUAUAAAUGUGUAAAAUAAAGCCCAUAAACAUCGAAAAGGGGUAAUAUAAUAGCAUGCAACAAUCAAAAAUUAUAGAUACGUUGGAGACGUAUCACUACUCCGUUGUGAUGGAGGGUUUCGUUGUUGGAGCAGCUCCGGUGAGUUGUUCGACGCCGAGGCUGAAGCAGGAUGAGAGAGACAACGAACAAUGUUAACCUGAGUGAAAUUCUAAUAGCAUGUCCAAUACAUGACGUAAAACACAUAACCACAAAGUGCUAGAUGUAAAAUACAUCAGCCGCUCAUCCCUGAACUUAACUGUCGAAACUGAAUUUAACUGUCAAAACUGAACUUAACUGUCGAAACUGAACUUAACUGUCGAAACUGAAUUUUGCUGUUGAAACUGAAUUUUGCUGUCGAAAUUGAAUGCACUAGCAAGGUGAGGCUACACGUCGGUUGACUGACUUUUUCAUCUCUGGUCAGUCAAUUUUGCAGCCGUUGGAUACGAAAUCAAGGGCCUGCGGUUCAUCUUCAACCUCCACCCCCUGAGCCGCCAGCCAUCGCCAGCCAAACAGCAGCCCCCCGCCGCCCGCGGCCGGCGGUGCGCUGCCCCGCCUGCCCCGAAAACACUCCCCACCAUUGUUCCACCGCCGCCCCGACCAUCCCUCUAGGCGCCCCCGUGCCGAGCUUUUUUUUCCGAUGAUCCCCACGCCACAGUCCCGCCAACGCCCCGCCACCGCCGGCGACCACCACCCCCACCCUGNNNNNNNNNNNNNNNNNNNNNNNNNNNNNNNNNNNNNNNNNNNNNNNNNNNNNNNNNNNNNNNNNNNNNNNNNNNNNNNNNNNNNNNNNNNNNNNNNNNNNNNNNNNNNNNNNNNNNNNNNNNNNNNNNNNNNNNNNNNNNNNNNNNNNNNNNNNNNNNNNNNNNNNNNNNNNNNNNNNNNNNNNNNNNNNNNNNNNNNNNNNNNNNNNNNNNNNNNNNNNNNNNNNNNNNNNNNNNNNNNNNNNNNNNNNNNNNNNNNNNNNNNNNNNNNNNNNNNNNNNNNNNNNNNNNNNNNNNNNNNNNNNNNNNNNNNNNNNNNNNNNNNNNNNNNNNNNNNNNNNNNNNNNNNNNNNNNNNNNNNNNNNNNNNNNNNNNNNNNNNNNNNNNNNNNNNNNNNNNNNNNNNNNNNNNNNNNNNNNNNNNNNNNNNNNNNNNNNNGACCCAAAAGUCGAUUCAGUCGACUGAAGUGUAGCUAAAUCGGAGCAGCAUCGCAAGAAAGAGCAAGAGCGAGAGUAGCAGCGCGAGCAAGAGGAAUAGCAAGAGCAGACCAGGCUGGCGGACCGAGAGCAAGAGCAGAGCAGCAGCACGAGCGAGAGCUAGAGAAGCAGCAGCUCCUACUGAUGUGGAUGUCGCUGCCGAGGGAGCGACGCCGUGGUAGAAGUGGCCGGCGACGCCACCAUGGAUGGAGACGCGCCGUGUCGGCUCGGGGCCGAGCGCCGGCAGCACCGUGAGAUCGAAUCAAGAAGAAAAUGCGGCGAUUAGUGUACAACCUCUUUGGUGUCGCCGAUUGGGCUACAGCUUCAUCCGAGGAAAGAAUGAUGAUGAUGCUCUUCCGGUGGUGCAGGUGAAGACGGCGGUGUGGGAAUGGGGGUGGCACGAAAGACGAGGGGAACAUCGGGGCAGCUCCUUUGAGGUGGAGGAUGGGGUCGUUGAACCGGAGGGAUGACGAGAUCGAUGAUGGUUCCUCAUUCAGUACGGUGGAUGAGGGACAUCGAGGUGUUGCUGUGGACGACGUCGUCGGGGAAGAGGCUCCGGCUGGGUGGCGGACGGAGCAGGGUGUGGGGUUUCGUCGCGGGUUUUCACGGCCUUGGUGUACGAAUGGGUGGGCGGAUGGGAUGGCAGUGGGGAACCAUGGCUUAGGGACGCGCUUGUCCGAAAUGUGGGGUAAGUUACGAAAGUACCCCCACCGAUUUGAGGCGGUUCUUUUGGUUCAGGGGUACCACAAACAUUUCGCAUGUCGGGAUUUCAGAGGAGGUGGGAGUUUUCGCACGCGUUGUAAUUUCGGAAUAGCAAGGCGCGGGUUGAGAUGGAGGGAGUUGUCGGAGCACGACGAGACAAAGAUAUAUCUUAAAUAUUUCGGGCUAACAAGGCGCGGGUUGAAAUUUCCGGACAAGCCUAAUGUGUACUAUACCAAAUCAAUCGCACUACAAAUGUCAUUCAAAACUUUGAAUUCAUGUUAUGUUCAAUUAAAAUAUUUCACUACGUGUAUAAUGCAUGCAACCUACUACUCAAAUGAACGUUUUAGUGCAUUCCAAACGUAUAUAGUACUGCUUCAAUAUGAACUAAAUUUGAAUUCGUUUCUCUAUUUGAAUAAGAUCUACAAUAAUUAUUGUUGUGAAGUCAAAGCAUUUGAAUUCGUUUCUCUGUUUUAGUAAGAUCUACAAUCAUCAUUAUUGUCAAGUUAAACCAUCGUUUGUGUAUUAUCUUCACAGCACACCACAUGAUUAGUCUCGAGUUACAUAUGAACUAUGUGUACUAUAUGAACUCAAACUCGAUUUUUUGAAUCCACUUUAUUUUGAUUUCAAAUCACAUUACAUUUAUAGCUCUAGCUAAAUCUUCAUAAUUUAAACCAUGUCUCAUAUGUAUAAUGUGUUUAUCACAUUAUGUAUGGUGCCCCGCCACCUACGCCUACAAGUAUUUAGAUGUGAGUUGCAAACACCACACAUUACCACAAAUUCAAAUAAAAUGUGAGAAUGUUCGAUAUAUAGUAUUGUUUAGAUUGUUUGAUAUUUAGUUGUAAGCUACAAACGCCACACAUUAUCACAAAUUCAAACAAAAUGUGAGAUUGUUUGAUGUAUAGUAUGGUUUAGAUUGUUCGGCAUUUAGCUGUGAGUUGCAAACGCCAUGCAUUAUCACAUUAUGGUAUAACAUGUGCACAACACGUGUAUCACCGCUAUAUUCAUGCAUGCAAUGUUUAAAAUACUAUGAUCUCCUAUUCAAAUAUAUGAAUCCACUUUCAUAUCAAAUUAUGAUCUUUGUUAGUCUCUUACACCCACACAAUCUUCUAACCUUUGUACCUACCACUAACUUUCUCUCGUGCAUGCACACGCCCUCCUCGCCCUCCCCCUCCCUCGGCAUUCUAUCCACCGGGCACAUUCAUUUUUUUUUCUUUAGGUCGUUCUCUUAGAUUCUCCACAACUCCUUUCCGACACACACCGAUCGAUAAAUCUCUCCAGCGAUGACUGCCUACAACAUACACACACACCUUCAAUCUCCUCCUUUAUGUGUCCUUGCCUCAUGUCUCUCAUACGGUCACACACAUGUGUAAACUCUCGCCCCUCUUUUCAUCGAUCUCACAACUGCACACUCCUCCCCCUAUCUAGCUAGUAGCUGGGCCUCUCGCACCACCUCCUAGCUCCAUUCUCUCUGUCUAUCCGUCUCGCUGGGCCUUAUUUGCCUCUAACAAAUGGACAUACCACCUUUGUUUUUUUUGUGAACCAAAAUAUGUUUUAGUUAACUUUUCUUUUAUCCCAUGUGAAACCUGUAUUUCCAUUUGAACUAAUUUUUAUUGCUCCCAUGUGAAAUCAGUAAACCAUGUGAACUGGACUAAAGUAGUGAGAAAUUGGAAAUAUCUGAAUGUUGUGCUUAGGUAGUUAGCAUAUAAAGUUGAUGCACUUAGAUUGAUUUGCUAAGUUGCAACAAUUUGUUAUCUUUGGCAGAUGGGCAGAAGCUGGAUUAGAAAAGGAGUUAGAAAGUUUUUGAAAGAACAUAUGAAAGGAGUUGAUGAUUUCAUGGCCUUUGUUAGGGCAAAUUUUGCCAAAGAUGCUCACAUUCUUUGCCGAUGCUGCAAAUGCCUCAACCAUCCAAGAAUGGCUCAAGGAAGAGUGGAAGAUCAUCUGCUUCUUAAUGGGAUGUCCAGCACAUAUGAUAGAUGGAUAUAUCAUGGAGAACCUUUGGAUAGUCAACCUCAACAUUUUGAAGCUGAUACAGAGGCCCCUCAUAUGAUGGGUGGUGGUGAUGCUGGCAUUGAUUUCAUGGAAAAGGUUUUGCGAGAUAAUGCUAUUUUGGAGGAAGAGGAUGGGCAUGAAGAUGAUAGGAUUCCUGACCUAUUGAAGGAUUUGUAUGAUGCUGAAGAUCGUGCUGAUGGACAGAAGUCAUUGUUUGCUGAGGUGUUAGAGGAGGCGAAGCGCGCAACUCAUGAAGGGGGUAAAUUUUGAAGAUUUACCUUCACCGUGAAGUUACUCCACAUCAAGUCUUUCUACCGGAUUAGCAAUGCCGCAUUCAAUGCAAUACUCCAUCUUUUGAGCUUGCAAUUCCCUGAUAGUUGUGUUCCCAGAUGUUAUGAUGAAGCAUUGAGCAUAAUCCGUAGGCUGGGGUUAGGUUAUGUGUCAAUACAUGUGUGCCCAAAUAACUGUGUCUUGUUUCGGAAGGAUUUAGCAAAGCAUGACAACUGUCCAAAAUGCAAUGCAUCAAGGUGGAAAGAUGCUGAUGGAAAGAAGUAAAUACCGGAGAAGGUACUGAGGCACUUUCCCUUGAUACCAAGGCUGCAGCGGAUGUUCAUCUCGAAGAAAUCAUCGCGUGAGGUAUAGUGGCACAAGCUGAAGCGGCAACCUAUGGACAAUGAGCUGAGCCAUCCAGCAGAUGAAGAGGCAUGGAAAGAGUUUGACCGUAUACAUAUAGAUUUUGCUGAAGAUCCAAGGAACAUAAAACUUGGCAUUGCCACAGAUGGGUUUAAUCCGUUUGGGAACAUGAGCACGUCUUAUAGCAUGUGGCCAGUUUUUGUGGUGCCGUACAACCUGCCACCAUGGGCAUGCAUGGAUCAGUCCAACUUCAUGAUGUCAUUGCUUAUCCCGGGUCCAGAGUCUCCAGGAAAGGAUUUUGAUCUCUUUAUGGAGCCCCUCAUAGAAGAACUGCUCCAACUCUGGACUGGUGUACCUACAUACGAUGCUUUGAGUCCAGAAGAAAAGUUCAAUCUACAUGCUGCAAUCAUAUGGUCCAUCCAUGAUUUCCCGGCUCUGCACACUCUGUCUGGGAGGAUCACAGCGGGUUAUCAGGCUUGUGUCCAUUGUGACAAAGACCCUUGCUCAAAGAGAAUAAGGAGCAAGAUCUGCUAUAUUGGGAACCGCCACUUUCUUCCCCGAAACCAUCGCUGGCGAAGAAGCAAAGAUUUUAAUGGUGAGAAUGAAACCCGUGACAAGCCAGCUGAAUUCACUAAAGAAGAGCUGGAGCAGCAACUUGAAAAGGUGAAAGAUGUGAGAACAGGAAAGCUGGCGAAGAAAAGAAAGCAUGAGGAAGGUCAAUGUUGGGACCGGAGGUCUUGUUUGUGGGACCUGCCAUACUGGGCUGAUCUGAAAUUAAGGCAUAAUCUCGAUUUAAUGCACAUUGAGAAAAACAUAUGCGAGAAUCUGCUAGGGACGUUUCUGAACAUUGAAGGGAAGACAAAGGACACAGUUAGUUCUAGGCUUGAUUUGGAGGACAUGGGCAUAAGAGAAGAUUUGCAUCUACAGCACAAUGAAGAUGAAGAUUCAUUUGAAAUGCCACGAGCAUGGUAUACAAUGAGUAAAGAACAAAAGCUUGCAUUCUGUGAAUUCCUAAGAGUGGUGAAAUUUCCAUAUGGUUAUGCUGCUAACCUAGCAAAGUGUGUUACUUCUGAUGGAUUCAAGCUUUCAGUACUGAAAACUCAUGAUUGUCACAUCCUCCUCCAAAGGAUUUUACCGACGGGCCUUCGAGGAAUCAUGGACAAGGAUAUAUAUGAAGCGGUUGCUGAGCUGGGAAAUUUCUUUAGAGAACUGUGCUGCAAAACACUCAAGUUAACUGUCCUGGAAAGACUUGAAAAAUAAAUCCCAAUUAUUCUUUGCAAGCUCGAGAAGAUUUUUCCCUCCAGCUUUCUUCACCGUGAUGGUCCAUUUGGCGGUGCACUUACCAAAAGAGGCAAUACUUAGAGGCCCUGUGCAAUACAGUUGGAUGUACCCAAUCGAAAGAAGGCUGCUUACUUGCAAGCGUUAUGUGCGAAACACGACAAGACCUGAAGGUUCUAUUGCUAAAGCAUAUGUCGUUGACGAGUGCUUGACUUUUUGCUCUAGAUACUUUGGCGAUGUGGAAACAAGAUGGAACCAGCCGGGCAAAAAUAGAGAGCGGUCUGAUUCGCAAAGUGGUGAUGUCUUUGUUUUCAACCAUGGUGUGAACUUUCUUGGAGCCUCACAAUACUUGGAGGCUGGUGAUGAGUAUGACAAGAUGGUUUGGUUUGUGCUCAGCAAUUGCGCCAAGGUUCUACCAUAUAUUGAGUAUGUUAUAUCCUAUGCACUCAUUAUAUAUUUUUUUGCUUGGGCUGGCACCAGCCUAAUGUUUUAAUUCACAUGUUUUGUUGGCAUUGCAGGAAAUGCAAGGAAGAGUUAUAUCAGGAACAAAGCAAUAUCCAUGUUGAUAAAAGGGUUGCCAAGGGGUUUGCUAAGUGGUUUAAGAAUCAUGUGAGAUCUUUAGCCACAUGUUUUAUGUUUUCUGUGUUAUUCACCAAUUGUUAAAUACCAUGGUUUUCUAAAUGGUUUAUUUGUGCAGAUUGGAAAGUUGCAUGAGGAGAAGAAGGUCAGUGAUGAUAUAUUUGCUUCGGCAUGCUUACCGGAUAAGCGAGUGAGAGUGUAUUCAGCAUGCAUUGCUGACGGUGUCCGGUACCACACAGUUGACCGCGAGGAAAAAAGGAAGACACAGAAUAGUGGAAUCGUCACUGAGGGGUCACAUGAUCGUGAGAUCAUUGACUUCUAUGGUCAGUUGAGAAGCAUCGUAGAGUUGCAGUACAACUCUAGUGGUGGCAUCCAUCGCUCAGUUGUCUUAUUUCGCUGUGACUGGUUUGAGCUUGGCAGCAAGAAGAAGAGAGACUCUUUUGUCAAAUAUGAUGGCCACUUCAAAAGCAUCAACACUGCAAGGUGCUGGUAUAAGAGUGAUCCCUUUAUUCUAACAACACAAGCAACAAUGGUGUUUUAUCUGCCAGACACUCUUUUCCACGGAAAAUGGAGAGUUGUGCAAAACUUUGAGCACAGACACUUGUGGAGUGUGACUGAAACAGAAGUGGAAAAGGGCCCUAGUGAUGGUGGACUAACAUACCAAGAUGAUCACUCUACGGACGUUGCGUUGCAAGCUGAUGAUGACUCUAUGGAAGUUUCGGUGCAAAGCAGAGUGCGAAGGGACCGGGAACGUGUGAUUGUUGGUGCUGCAACAGUUGAAGGCAUCAAGAAAAGAAGAAAGGUGGUAGCGGAUGAACAUGAGAGCGAGGAUGAGGAAAACCGGACUGAUCAUACUAUGCUGCAAUAUUGUAGUGAUGAUGAGGAAAACAGGAGUGGGCAUAGAGUUCCUUGUUUUUGUAUCGACGACGAUGAGUAGUGAAUGGACUGGCAAAGGUAAAUACUAUUACUUCAUGUUCUUUGUUUUGGUAUCUAUGUGACCUGAUGUGAUCAAUCUUCUCUCCAGGUAGAAAAAUGCUUGAAGAUUCUAGGAGCAAAAUGAUGUGAUCCUGAUGGUUGUAGAAAAAUGAUGAUCCUGAUGACUGUAGCAAUGUGGAGCAAAAUGAAGUUUUAAGAUUCCAGCAGCAAAAUGUAGUUUUUGUAAUAUGGAGCAAAAUGUAGUUUUUGUAGCUGUUAUGCUUGCUAUUUUGAACUGAAUUGAGAUGUUAUGUUUCAUGAAGUUUUUUUGAACUGAAUUGAGAUGUUGUGUAUUGAUGGCAUGGAGGUGAAGAUUCUAUUUUUUGAACUGAAGAUGCUAUUUUAACUGAAUUUUGGUCAGAACUGAAUGUUUAACUGAAUUUUGCUUCAACUGAAUGUUUAACUGAAUUUUGGUGACAACUGAAGUAUUUCCUGCUAUAAUUUUCUUGCAUGAAGUAUUUCCUGCUAUGUAGCUGUACACUAUUGGUCCAUUUAUAAUAGAUAUGGUUCUGGUCAAUUUAUAUUGCUAUGUUUUGGUCAAUUUAUAGUAGAUUUUAGUGUUGUUGAUGUUGGUGGUCACCUGAUGAUGUUGCUGUUGCUGUGUUAGUUUACUAUGCUAUUGAUGUUGCUUUUCAGAGAAGUGAGAUGGCUGGCUUGGAAGGUUUCGAGUUCUUCGAGAUUGUAAUUGAGAAAUCUUGCAGUAGGCAGGUAUGUUUAUCAUCACUCUUUUCUUUAUCAUCACUCUGCUGUCUAGUGCUUGAUUGCCACAAUUAACCACUGCUUGACCCUCGCUGCAGAGGCUGCCUGACAAGUUUGCGAAGAUGCUCGCCGGCCGUGAGCCCCACAAAGUGAAGCUGCAGGAGGCCGGCAGCGGGCUUCACAGGCUGUGGGACGUGUCGGUGGUGUUCGAUGGUGAAGGCCACAUGUACCUAGGGCCCGGCUGAGAGCAUUUCGCCCGCGCCCAUGAGCUACAGCUCGGGUACUUCCUUGUCUUCCGCUACAACAGCAACGCCAUGUUCACCGUGAAGAUGUUCGACAACACCAUGUGCCGCAUGUACUACCAGCACGACGAUGAUGCCAGUAAGAUCUCUGCCUCUCUUCUUCCUGUCCUUUUGGCUUCCUCUACCAGCACGAUGAUGACACCAUGUUCACACUUUGUUGCAUUUGGCCAGGCAGUGGGAGCAGCAGCGGGGAUGAUGAGGAGCAGAGUGGGCAAGAAGAGGAGCAGAGCAGGGAUGGCGACCUUGCUAUGGUGGUGGCUGACGACGACCUUGCUAUGGUGGUGGCUGACGACGACCUUGCUAUGGUGGUGGCUGACGACGACCUUGCUAUGGUGGUGGCUGACGACGACCCUGCUAUGGUGGUGGCUGACGACGACCACGCGAUUGUGGUGCCUGACGCUGACCUCGUGAUGGUGGUGCCUGACGAUGACCUCACGAUGGUAGUGGCACCGGCGAUUCCACAGCUGGGCGACAGGACCAUGCCAAUUGUGGUAGAGGAGUACAUCCGCGUUGGGAUUCGCCACUCUGAGCGCAUCAGGUUGAUGAAGGAGAAGAAGGAGGAGUGAAGAUGUUAAGAAAAUGAAGUGGCAAUGUUAAGCAUGUUGGGUUUAAGCUUGUUAGUGUAAUCUGAACAUGUCAAUGUUAAGUAUGUCAGGUUUAAUUUUGUGCAUGCUCAUGGAUGCUAUAUGACAGUGUCAUCUAAACAUGUCAAUUUCUUAAAAAUGAAUAUUUAGUUUGGUAAUUGAUGGGAAUUGGAAUUUUUUAUGCAUGCUCAUGGAUGAAAGAUAAAAUUAUGGGGUUUUGUGCAUGCUCAUGUAUGAAACAAUAUAAGUUUCAUUUUUUGAAUGCUAAAAACAUGACUCAAACCCUAGCCACGGACGACCGCCACCGCCGUGACGAAAUCCGAUGGUUUUUGAAAACAUCGUAAAAAAUUCAAAAACUGUUUUUCAUUUUUUUAUUGCUAUAGACAUGUGUUUUUCCGUGAAGCGGCUACAAGGUAGGCAUUUCAUCACAGAAUCGACAACAGAUUGGCACGCCUCAAACCCUAGCCACGGACGGCCGCCGCGACGAAAUCGGCCGGUUUUUGAAAACACCGUAAAAAAUUCAAAAAAAAUCAAAAAAAUGGGAGACCUCCGCAUCACAUCAUCAAAUGUGUCCUACCAACUAGCAAAAAUACUAAAAUUGCAAUACGGAUGUUUUCUUGAAAAAGUGUUAUCAAAAACGACCUACCAUGAACGAAGAUUCAUGGCUUUCAAGACAACCUAGCAAUGAUAUGGCCGCAUCCGAUGAAUAGUUUCUGAUAAUAUGCCCAAAUUUGGCGCAUGCCUCCAUCUUGUGAUGGCAAACAAUGUUGCCAAAGCGAGGUUCCAACUUGUUUACCAAGAAAAACCGUUUUUCAUUUUUUGACUGCUAAAGGCAUGCGUUUUUCGUGAAGCGGCUACAAGGAGGGUCACCCCAAACGGCGCCAUUCCAUGUCUAUCUCAAAGUAGGCCCUGUUUUACGGACGGUCGCCAAAAAUCAUGCAUUUCCGACCCUCGUAGCUACUCCCGGCAAUUCAGACCACCUUCGGCCGAUUCAGCUGGAACCGGCUGGAAUUUGAACUGUGGGACCUCCAUAGCUUGCCCGUUAUUUUUUACCAAGAAUGCUUUUUAGCUUCACAGGUAGGCAUUUCAUCACAGAAUCGACAACAGAUUGGCACACCUCAAACCCUAGCCAUGGACGGCACCGCGACGAAAUCGGCCGGUUUUUGAAAACACCGUAAAAAAUUCAAAGAAAUUUUAAAAAGUGGGAGACCUCCGCUUCACAUCAUCAAAUGUGGCCUACAAACUAGCAAAAAUACUAAACUUCCAAUACGGAUGUUUUCUUGAAAACGUGUUCUCAAAAACGACCUACCAUGAACAAAGAUUCAUGGCUUUCAAGCCAAACUAGCAAUGAUAUGGCCGCAUCCGAUGAAUAGUUUCUGAUAAUAUGCCCAAAUUUGGCGCAUGCCUCCGUCUUGUGAUGGCAAAUAAUGUUGCCAAAGCGACGUUCCAAAUUGUUUACCAAGAAAAACCGUUUUUCAUUUUUUGAAUGCUAAAGGCAUGCGUUUUUCGUGAAGCGGCUACAAGGAGGGUCACCCCAAACGGCGCCAUUCCAUGUCUAUCUCAAAGUAGACCCUGUUUUACGGAUGGUCGCCAAAAAGAAUGCAUUUCUGACCCUCGUAGCUACUCCCGGCAAUUCAGACCACCUUCGGCCGAUUCAGCUGGAACCGGCUGGAAUUUGAACUGUGGGUCCUCCAUAGCUUGCCUGUUAUUUUUGCCAAAAAUGCCUUUUAGCUUCACAGGUAGGCAUUUCAUCACAGAAUCGACAACAGAUUGGCACGCCUCAAACCCUAGCCAUGGAUGGCCACCGCGACGAAAUUGGCCGGUUUUUGAAAACACCGUAAAAAAUUCAAAAAAAAUCAAAAAAAUGGGAGACCUCCGCAUCACAUCAUCAAAUGUGGCCUACCAAGUAGCAAAAAUACUAAUCUUGCAAUACGGAUGUUUUCUUGAAAACGUGUUCUAAAAAACGACCUACCAUGAACGGAGAUUCAUGGCUUUCAAGCCAAACUAGCAAUGAUAUGGCCGCAUCCGAUGAAUAGUUUCUGAUAAUAUGCCCAAAUUUGGCGCAUGCCUCCGUCUUGUGAUGGCAAACAAUGUUGCCAAAGCGAGGUUCCAAAUUGUUUACCAAGAAAAACCGUUUUUCAUUUUCUGAAUGCUAAAGGCAUGCAUUUUUCGUGAAGCGGCUACAAGGAGGGUCACCCCAAAUGGCACCAUUCCAUGUCUAUCUCAAAGUAGACCCUGUUUUAUGGACGGUCGCCAAAAAGCAUGCAUUUUCGACCCUCGUAGCUACUCCCGGCAAUUCAGACCACCUUCGGCCGAUUCAACUGGAACCGGCUGGAAUUUGAACUGCGGGUCCUCCAUAGCUUGCCGUUAUUUUUUACAAAGAAUGCUUUUUAGCUUCACAGGUAGGCAUUUCAUCACAGAAUCGACAACAGAUUGGCACACCUCAAACCCUAGCCACGGACGGCCACCGCGACGAAAUCGGCCGGUUUUUGAAAACACCGUAAAAAAUUCAAAGAAAUUUAAAAAAGUGGGAGACCUCCGCGUCACAUCAUCAAAUGUGGCCUACAAACUAGCAAAAAUACUAAACUUCCAAUACGGAUGUUUUCUUGAAAACGUGUUCUCAAAAACGACCUACCAUGAACAAAGAUUCAUGGCUUUCAAGCCAAACUAGCAAUGAUAUGGCCGCAUCCGAUGAAUAGUUUCUAAUAAUAUGCCCAAAUUUGGCGCAUGCCUCCGUCUUGUGAUGGCAAACAAUGUUGCCAAAGCGAGGUUCCAAAUUGUUUACCAAGAAAAACCAUUUUUCCUUUUUUGAAUGCUAAAGGCAUGCGUUUUUCGUGAAGCGGCUACAAGGAGGGUCACCCCAAACGGCGCCAUUCCAUGUCUAUCUCAAAGUAGACCCUGUUUUACGGACGGUCGCCAAAAAGAAUGCAUUUCUGACCCUCGUAGCUACUCCCGGCAAUUCAGACCACCUUCGGCCGAUUCAGCUGGAACCGGCUGGAAUUUGAACUGUGGGUCCUCCAUAGCUUGCCUGUUAUUUUUGCCAAAAAUGCCUUUUAGCUUCACAGGUAGGCAUUUCAUCACAGAAUCGACAAUAGAUUGGCACGCCUCAAACCCUAGCCAUGGACGGCCGCUGCGACGAAAUUGGCCGGUUUUUGAAAACACCGUAAAAAAUUCAAAAAAAAUCAAAAAAAUGGGAGACCUCCGCAUCACAUCAUCAAAUGUGGCCUACCAAGUAGCAAAAAUACUAAUCUUGCAAUACAGAUGUUUUCUUGAAAACGUGUUCUAAAAAACGACCUACCAUGAACGGAGAUUCAUGGCUUUCAAGCCAAACUAGCAAUGAUAUGGCCGCAUCCGAUGAAUAGUUUCUGAUAAUAUGCCCAAAUUUGGCGCAUGCCUCCGUCUUGUGAUGGCAAACAAUGUUGCCAAAGCGAGGUUCCAAAUUGUUUACCAAGAAAAACCAUUUUUCAUUUUCUGAAUGCUAAAGGCAUGCGUUUUUCGUGAAGCGGCUACAAGGAGGGUCACCCCAAAUGGCGCCAUUCCAUGUCUAUCUCAAAGUAGACCCUGUUUUAUGGACGGUCGCCAAAAAGCAUGCAUUUUCGACCCUCGUAGCUACUCCCGGCAAUUCAGACCACCUUCGGCCGAUUCAACUGGAACCGGCUGGAAUUUGAACUGCGGGUCCUCCAUAGCUUGCCCGUUAUUUUUGCCAAAAAUGCCUUUUAGCUUCACAGGUAGGAAUUUCAUCACAGAAUCGAUAACAGAUUGGCACGCCUCAAACCCUAGCCAUGGACGGCCGCCGCGACGAAAUCGGCGGGUUUUUGAAAACACCGUAAAAAAUUCAAAAAAAAACAAAAAAAUGGGAGACCUCCGCGUCACAUCAUCAAAUGUGGCCUACCAACUAGCAAAAAUACUAAAAUUGCAAUACGGAUGUUUUCUUUAAAAGGUGUUCUCAAAAACAACCUACCAUGAACGAAGAUUCAUGGCUUUCAAGCCAAACUAGCAUUGAUAUGGCCGCAUCCGAUGAAUAGUUUCUGAUAAUAUGCCCAAAUUUGGCGCAUGCCUCCGUCUUGUGAUGGAAAACAAUGUUGCCAAAGCGAGGUUCCAACUUGUUUACCAAGAAAAACCGUUUUUCAUUUUUUGAAUGCUAAAGGCAUGCUUUUUUCAUGAAGCGGCUACAAGGAGGGUCACCCCAAAUGGCGCCAUUCCAUGUCUAUCUCAAAGUAGACCCUGUUUUAUGGACGGUCGCCAAAAAGCAUGCAUUUCUGACCCUUGUAGCUACUCUCGUCAAUUCAGACCACCUUCGGCCGAUUCAACUGGAACCGGCUGGAAUUUGAACUGCGGGUCCUCCAUAGCUUGCCCGUUAUUUUUGCCAAAAAUGCCUUUUAGCUUCAUAGGUAGGCAUUUCAUCACAGAAUCGACAAUAGAGUGGCACGCCUCAAACCCUAGCCAUGGACGGCCGCCGCGACGAAAUUGGCCGAUUUUGAAAACACCAUAAAAAAUUCAAAAAAAAUCAAAAAAAUGGGAGACCUCCGCAUCACAUCAUCAAAUGUGGCCUACCAAGUAGCAAAAAUACUAAUCUUGCAAUACGGAUGUUUUCUUGAAAACGUGUUCUAAAAAACGACCUACCAUGAACGGAGAUUCAUGGCUUUCAAGCCAAACUAGCAAUGAUAUGGCCGCAUCCGAUGAAUAGUUUCUGAUAAUAUGCCCAAAUUUGGCGCAUGCCUCCGUCUUGUGAUGGCAAACAAUGUUGCCAAAGCGAGGUUCCAAAUUGUUUACCAAGAAAAACCAUUUUUCAUUUUCUGAAUGCUAAAGGCAUGCGUUUUUUCGUGAAGCGGCUACAAGGAGGGUCACCCCAAAUGGCGCCAUUCCAUGUCUAUCUCAAAGUAGACCCUGUUUUCUGGACGGUCGCCAAAAAGCAUGCAUUUUCGACCCUCGUAGCUACUCCCGGCAAUUCAGACCACCUUCGGCCGAUUCAACUGGAACCGGCUGGAAUUUGAACUGCGGGUCCUCCAUAGCUUGCCCGUUAUUUUUGCCAAAAAUGCCUUUUAGCUUCACAGGUAGGAAUUUCAUCACAGAAUCGAUAACAGAUUGGCACGCCUCAAACCCUAGCCACGGACGGCCGCCGCGACGAAAUCGGCCGGUUUUUGAAAACACCGUAAAAACUUCAAAAAAAAACAAAAAAAUGGGAGACCUCCGCGUCACAUCAUCAAAUGUGGCCUACCAACUAGCAAAAAUACUAAACUUGCAAUACGGAUGUUUUCUUGAAAAGGUGUUCUCAAAAACAACCUACCAUGAACGAAGAUUUAUGGCUUUCAAGCCAAACUAGCAAUGGUAUGGCCGCAUCCGAUGAAUAGUUUCUGAUAAUAUGCCCAAAUUUGGCGCAUGCCUCCGUCUUGUGAUGGAAAACAAUGUUGCCAAAGCGAGGUUCCAACUUGUUUACCAAGAAAAACCGUUUUUCAUUUUUUGAAUGCUAAAGGCAUGCUUUUUUCAUGAAGCGGCUACAAGGAGGGUCACCCCAAAUGGCGCCAUUCCAUGUCUAUCUCAAAGUAGACCCUAUUUUACGGACGGUCGCCAAAAAGCAUGCAUUUCUGACCCUUGUAGCUACUCUCGUCAAUUCAGACCACCUUCGGCCGAUUCAGCUGGAACCGGUUGGAAUUUGAACUGCGGGUCCUCCAUAGCUUGCCAGUUAUUUUUGCCAAAAACGCUUUUUAGCUUCACAGGUAGGCAUUUCAUCACAGAAUCGACAAUAGAUUGGCACGCCUCAAAACCUAUCCACGGACGGCCGCCCCGACGAAAUCGGCCGGUUUCUGAAAACACCGUAAAAAAAUUCAAAAAAAAUCAAAAAAAUGGGAGACCUCCGCGUCACAUCAUCAAAUGUGGCCUGCCAACUAGCAAAAAUACUAAACUUGCAAUACAGAUGUUUUCUUGAGCUACUCCGUAUGAUUUUAGCCAUGAUUUCUACAAAGUGUACAAAAAAACCUAUUUUUUCUGCCUCAAAACCUAUAAAAACUGGUGAAAAUUUCCCUCCCACCCCACCAAAAAUUCCCUCCCACCGCACCAAAAUUUCCCUCCCAGCCCACCAAAAUUUCCCACCACUUCUCUCCCACUACCAUGCGGGACCCAGCACCCCUCUCCCACUAAACAAGCGGGAUCCCCUCCCCUCCCUUCCCAAAAUUUCCCCUCCCUCUCUCAUUCACCACCCUAGCGCCGCCCCGCUCCCACUCCCUCACCUCCGCGCCGCCCCGCUCCCAAUCUGUGCCACCCCGGCACGCCGCUGCGCCGCCCCGCCGUGCUGCGGUCCGCCGCCCACGUCGACAACAAAUCCACCGAUCUCUCUCCCCUCGACGAUGAUUGCUACAUCGACAGCUACAUCGACCGCCCGGGCUAUGACAGGGAGUACAUCGGCGACGGUGGAUACAUCAUCCACAUCAUCAACGAUCGACGACGGCGACAGGUACCCCUCUCCUCUCCCCUCUCCCCUCGAUCUUCUACGGUUCGGUAGAUCCCCCUCCUGGUCGACCUAGGGUUAGGAUUCGGUUGAUCUAGGGUUAGGAUCUGUCGAUCUAGGGUUAGGAUUCGGUUGAUCUACGAGCUCCUGGUGGUUCUUGUUCAUGUUCAUCGAGCUCCUGGUUCUUGUUCUUGUUCAUGUCGAUCUAGGGUUAGGAUUCGUUUUCUUGUUGAUCUAGGGUUAGGAUUCGCGCGUCGGCUCCUCCCUCCCUGCUCGAACCCUUCUGAUCCAGAACAUGCUCGCCAGAUUCACUCAUGGUGCUUGGCUUGGGUCACAGUUGGUUAUGUUGCAUGCGUGUCCUUGUGCACUUGUAGUACUGGUGGUUUAAGGCACCGUUUAUCAGAUAUAUUGUUUAUUUGUUUGGAUCUUUCAUGUCAUAAUCUUAAAAAAAUGCUUGUUUGAUACUCGUGGAGCUCUUGGUGGUUUGUUUGAUCCUCCUCAUGGUUUAGGGUUCAUGUAGAGGAUGGAGAGGAAGUGCAUGAUUUUAGGGGAUGGGGAUGGAUGAGGAAGUGGAUGAGGUUUUAGGAAGACCUCCCUCUGGUUCAUGUAGCUUGUGUAUGAUUUAGUUACUUAGCUUGUAUCAGUAGCACUUGGAGAAGGUGCCCCUCAGGGCCUCUCAUGCUGCCCAUUCCUGUUGUUUUGAGGUUAUGGGUGUGUUUGCUGUGCGUUUGGUUAUAUUGUGCUUGUGCGUUGGUCUGGUUCAUGGCGUGUUUACCGGUCUUGUGAGCGGGGCGCUGUGUCACUGAUGUUUCUGAACCUGAUGUUCAUGCCGUAUCUCUCUGAUGAGAUGUAUGGCAAAGUGAAUGAUGUCAUGAUGUAAGCCGGAUAUAGUAAGUAGACGGUGCUGUGUUCAGUCACCAAGCUAUAGUGGAAUUACAUGAUUUAGAUGAGCAUUUCUUUAUCAGCAUAGAGGCCAUCCCGUGUGGCCCUCUCACCUUUUUUUGUUGUUGUUGCAAAGACCGGGAACUUUAUUGAGCAGUUGAGAAUAAUUUUUUCAUCUGCUUUUGUACUUCUGCAAGUACUGUUGUUUCAUGCUUUACUAGUGGAAACAUCUAGUUGUUUUGAAGGUCCUCAUGAUAUACUCGUCUAGCUUGCUGUCAGACUGUCUAAGCAUGUGUACAUGACACAAAUUCACUAGUUCAUGUUGCUUGCUUGCUAACAUACAUGUUGCUUGCAAGAAUACAUGCUUAAUUAGGGUUUCCAUCAGCAGUACUUGCUUGUAUCAGUAGCACAUGGAGAAGAAGCUACUUGCUUGCUUAUUAAUUAGGGUUUAUAUCAAUAGUAUUUGCUUGCUUCUUUUCAAUUUCCUUCAUUGCUUGCUUGUUUCUAUCAGUAGCACUUUGCUUGCUUGCUUGUUUAGUGUACAUAUAUUUCCACUGUACAUGCAUGCUUGUUUAGUGCACUCACAUGUUUUCUUAAUUAAUAACAGUACAUCAGUGUAUGUGCAUGUUGGUCCAAAUGCUUUCCUUUAUUGAUACAAGUGCAUCAUUUUACUUUAUCCCUGUUGUAUUUGAUUGUUGUUUAUUCUAUUUUGCAGGCACCACCUCAAGAUCAUCCAUGGCAAGGAUGACAAGGUCAAACGUGAGGCCAACCGUUGGUAUGCAACUUGCUCCUUGUGGUUAUACUGUCAGUUUCAUAAAAUCUGUGUCUUAAUAUGCUAAGUGAAAUGUAUUGCUACAAUCUGAAUAAGCUGGCUUAAUUGUGCCUGUGUGCUGUUAGUCUUCCUGAAUAACUAGGAUUAAAUGAUAAUAAAAUUCAUAAGAUAUGUUUGGCUGUCUAUCCAUGCAUUCCAAACAUUCACCUAAUAUUUAAGUUUCCUUUAUCAUGCAAAGAAGAGCCUCUGAUCGAGUACGAGAAGGUUAGGGCUAGAAAUAUCAUGAGGAACAAUUAGUUGUUCCGGUCCCGUGGCAUCGGUGCAAUAAUGUCGAUGAUUAGGAAAACAAAUGAUGUACGAGAAGGUAGAAGUGAUGAGGUUCGAGAAGGUGGUGGAGUUAUCAAUGAUGACCCAGAGUACAAUCCUAAGGAGGAUGAAGUUAUUGAUGGAGGGGAAGUGGAUGAUGUUGUAGUGAGCAAGACUGUUAAGGUGCAAACUCUGUCUUGCUUGGAGGGCUGGGGUUCUUUUAUGCUAUGUUAUUCCUUGUGCUCACAUAUUUCUCUUGUGAUCUAAUGCUUUUUUUCGUGCUGUUUAUACGAGGCACUGAAGGAAUCUAGGACGAAGAGGCCUGGUGUUAAGAAGACAGUCAGCAAGAAGAAGAAGAGCUCAGAAACAUCUGCUGAAGUGCCUCCAGGAAGGGUGAUGGCCCCAGCUCCAGGACAAAAAAAAGAGGAUCCUGGAACCUGAUGAACCUGCCCUUGAUAGAGUCACAAGGCAGAAAGCAUAGAUGGCGACUGCGACGGACCAUGAGGAAAGUCUGCUGCGCAUGGACUCUGAGACCUCGGUGCAAAUGGGUGAUGAGUUGCUGCCCAUGGAUGAAGGAACCACUCUCAGCAUGGAUGGAAGUGGCACCGUCUGCCUAGAUGAAGGAGGAACCAUCUGCAUUGAUGAAGCAGGCACUGUCCACACAGACCUCAUCCCUGUUGCACCUUCUAUUGACAGGAAUGUUGUCAUCAAUGAAGAAGAACAACAGCUUGUGCUUCAAUCAGGCAAGUUGACCUUUGCAAUCCUAUCUUUUACUAGUGCAUUUUCCAAAUGGAAUGAUCAUGUAUGCUUUUGUCGAUUCCUGCAUUUGUCGAUUUCUAUUCUAGUUUAUGAGUUCAAUUUCAUUUUCAGAUGCAAUGACUACCAAGACUAGACCUAGAAAGGGCAAAGGGCUAGAGAGAAUCACCAAGUCGCUUGGUAGCAAGGUGCCUAUCCAAAUUGCCGAAGGGAUGAAGCGUCCAGAGAAGCCUCUGUAGUCAGCAAAGCUUGCUUCUGAGUGUGGACUCAUUGCAAGAAACCAUCUUCCGGUUCUUCCUAACUUCAAGCUAUACAAAAAAAUGCUAGUCUAUUGGAGAACUACAUUGGGAAAGUUGAUGUAAGCUACUUGUUUCAUAGUUAAUGUGCUAUCUAUUUUCUGUUACACCUAUGCAUGAUCUAAUAUUGUUCCUACCUUGUUUGUUGUCUUGGUAGGCAAAUUUUGAGAUGAACACAGACUCGGAGACCAUCAAGACCGCAUGCAAAGAUAUUCUGCAGAAAAAUUCAAAGAACAGACGCCAUCAGAUCAAGAAGAAGUAUUUUGAUACCGUAGCCGCAAAUAAAGUCAGCAUCAAGUCUCCGGUACCUGAUCUGACGGAUGGUGAAUGGCAAGAUCUGGUGGACAUGUGGUCUACCCCAAGACACAAGGUUUGUCUCUGCUUUGUUUGAUGCUUUAUGUUCUACACAUGAUAUGCUAGUGCUAGAUCAUGCUGACAGUAUGCUUUUUUGUAGGAAACCUGUGUGUCGAACAAGAUGAAUCGAGAAAAAGUCAUGUACAAUCAGAGAACUGGUUCCAGGCUCUACACAGCACACAUUUUUGCCACUGUGAGAACUUUUCUCUAGAGACCUUACCGUUUGAUCCUCGUUGGAUAACAUUUCUGAUUCUUGCUGAAUAACAUUUUGAUUUUUGUUGAAAAACAUUUCAGAAAGAAGAGCGUAAGGGUGAGCAGCUGUCUGCGAUUGACUUGUUUAAGGCCACCGACAACAGCAAGAAGCACGGGUUUUCGGAGCCAGUCAAGACUGCUAUAGUAAGUCACUCCAUGCUUUGUCCAUGCCCUAUUUGAUUCAUGCCAGCUUUGUCCAUGCCAGCUUUGUCCAUGCCAACUUUGAUGCUUUGAUGAUUUGAUGUUGUUUGAUUCGGAGCCAGUUCCAUGCUUUGAUGUUGUUUGAUAGUUCCAUGCUUAUAGUUCCAUGCUAGGCUUAAUGUAGAUAUUAGAACAGCUUAAUGAAGAUAGUUCCAUGAUGUGUUCCAUGCUUUGAUGCUAUUUGUUGCAUUUUUUAUGACAUGAUGAAAUUUGAUCUGAAUGUUAGUCAGGAAGCCAUCUUAUAUAGAACCACCAUUCUAGGCUUAAUGAAGCGAUCAUAUUGUUCCAAUUGCAUGUCUCCAGGUCACUAGUCAUCAUCUUCUUGUAUAGAUUUUGUUUGCUGGUUUGGUUACUUCAAAUAAUCCAUUUGUGUGCUGGUUUGGUUUCUCCACUAAUGCCUAUCAUUUUCCUCCAUAUUCUAGCUUGAGAUGGAAGAAAUGAAGGACGCGCCGGUACCAGAAGGUGAAGAGCCAAAGUCUACUGUUCAAAUUGUCGAAGAAGUGCUGUUGAAAUCUGUCAAGCAAAGCACAUUCCUCACGAAUGUUGGGCUCCAGUCAUCUAGGAACAACUCCCGCAAAGCAACUGCUGAAGUAUUUGCUCAUGUUCGUGACCUUGAGCAGAAGCUGCAGAGGUCCGAGCUUCAAGCUGACCUGGUGCAAGAAGAAUUGGCGGCAAUCAAGAUGAAGGCGGAAGAAUCUGAAGCUGCGCGCGACAAGGAACUUGAGCUGCUGCGCAAGAAGUCUCAAGAACAGGAAGAGAAGUUAGCCCACUUGAUGGCUCUCUUUGGAGCUAAGGCAGUUUGAUGGCUAUGCUGCUAAGGUAGUUUGAGCAUUUUGAACUUGAGCAUUGCUGUCUAGUUUGAUGGCUGUGAACCUAGUUUGAACCUGUGAAGUUUGUCUUUGAGCAUUUUGUUGCAUUGCUACCUAGUUUGAACCUGUGAAGUUAUGUGAUCUUGUGAACCUAUGAAGUUAUGGAUCACUUGUGAAGUUGUGGAGUUAUUGUUUAUUUUCUGUGAAGUUAUGUGGAUCACUUGUGCACCUGGGCUUGUGGAUCACUUGUGCACCUGGGCCUUUCUGUUUAUUGUUUAUUUUAUGUGAAGUUAUGCAAAAUGAGAACUUGGGCUCUAAAAAGGCCAAGGCCCAAACAAGAAUUAGACAAAAAAGGCUUGGGCCUAAAAAGGCAAAUGAAUGUAAGAAAAAAAUUAUAAAAAGCUGCAUAGUAGAAAAUAAAAAGGCCAAGGCCCAAAUUCGAACUAGACCAAAAAGGCUGUGGCCCAAAAAAAAUUUGGACUAUAAAAAAAUUCAUUAGAAAAAGGCUCCAUUCCCAGAAAAUAAAAGGCCAAAUUAUUGGGCCAGGCCCAUACACAUAAGCAAAAUAAAGAGAGAAAAAAAUUAAACGGGCAGAAUUAUUGGGCUUGGCCCAUGUAGACGGCUGAAAUGACCCGGGUUGAUUCUAUUUUACGACCUUUUUAUUUGGUCGUAAUUAUGCCAGUCAGCUUGCCAUGGUGGAUCUGACGUGGUGUGGUCGGAUUGCUAGUGACCAAAAUAAUUGGUCGUAAAAUCUAUGACCUUUUUUUGGUCAUAAACGUCUAUGACCAUUCCAGAAGAAAGGUCGGUAUAGUCAGUUUACGACCCUCAGCUUUUGACCUUUUGUUUUUGGUCACAAAAAGGUCACAAAUUGAAAACAGUGACCUUUCGGUGACCAAUAGUGGAGGUCACAAGAUAGCAUAUUUCUUGUAGUGUUCACAUUCACCCAGCGGUGGCGCGGGACGGCCUUUGACCCCUUCUUCACUGCUGUCCCGUUGCCCACUGAACCACGCCCCAAGAACCUUAAGGUAUAAUUUACUUACUCCACAUGCAUUGCUCUAGCUGCAUGUAUACCAUGAAUCUAGGACGUGGUUCAAAGAGGAAAGGAAUGGGGGAAAGUAGUGGGAAAAGUUGUAUAUGGCAUGAAUCUAGGACGUGGUUCAAAGAGGAAAUGAAGGGGAAAGUUGUAUAGCAUGAAUCUAGGACAUGGUUCAAAGAGGAAAGUAAUGGGGGAAAGUAGUGGGGAAAGUUGUAUCGCAUAAAUCUAGGACGUGGUUCAAAGAGGAAAGGAAGGGGCGAAAGUACUAGUACAGAGUGGUUAUCCAGCACCUAUGUUGGUCGAAAAGGGAAAACAAUGACAAACGUAGUACGCACAUCUGUAACGAAUUGAUCUUUUGUUUUUGGGGACAAGGCUAUAGAGUUUGAGCAGGACUAGAUUUGCUGCGCUCACAUAGGGAAAGGUGUCUAAAGAUAACAAAACUGGCACCAACACAAAUAUGCUCCUUGGUUAUUUGUUCUCUAUUGCAAUAGACUAUGCAUGACCAUAGUACAUCGGUAGAUGCACAUGGUGCUGGUGCGUUCAUUAUCUCGUGCAACUCAUUAGCUGUUGUUAAUCUAAGGCCCUGUUUGGUUAAAAACUCCCUAGUCCCACCUGCUUGGUUCCAGGGACUAAACAUGGACUAGAGGUUAUUAAAUGACAUGCUAAAAGACCAUGUUACCCCUAGUAAUGAACUAAUAGAGACAAGGUGCGAUGCGUGGCAGGGGCAACUAUUGGAAAAAGUCCCAAAAAGACUCCCUCGAUGUCUUCUUUCUUUAGUUCCAAAUGCCCACUUUUAGUCCCUAAAAGUCCCUCCUGUUUGGUUUAGAUGUGACUGACACGGAGUUUUUUUAGUCCCUACACCAAAAUGUCCCUGCAAACAAACACCCUCUAAUAAUGCCGCUAGAAAAUUGAUGCAAUGCCACAGUUAAAAGCAAAUUACAUGUUUAACGAAUUUUAUUGUUAAUAUAAUCUCUAUGUUAAUAUUAACCAAUGCCACCAUUUGAGAAAUGCUACUAUCUUGCUUUCUUUCCCAUUUAGAUAAGGUAGAUGCUUCUUUUUGUUGGCUUCUGUGUCAUCCACCAUUAUUGACCACUAAUUGUUUCCUUUGCACAUCUGUGUAAACAGGGUUAUCUACUUCACCUCGUUGCCAUUGUGACCUUUCAUUGCACUGCACAAAACACUUUUGUUUUAAGAGUGUUUUGUGCAGUUCAACCAAAAUGUCACACCGACAACGUUGCUUGAUUGCUUGAUCUUAGUGGAACUGCACAAGAGGAGAUCUUACUUCCUAUCCAUGUUGGCAAAUUUGGUUCAGAUCUUCUUCUUGUGAGUUGUUUGACUUCCGCAUCAUGAGAGGUCAGUACUAGCCUUCUUUCACAUGAUUAUGCAGUGUGCUUUCAUAUCUUGUGCUACUUGUACGAUAAUGUUGCUUGAUUUUAGUGAACUGCACAAAUGGAGACAAGACUUCCAAUCUGUAUGUGCACCGUAAUGUCCCAUUGACGUAAGAUAAGGAUAUUUCACAAGUGUUGGCCUGUAUUUUGCCACUUUCAUCAGAAAAUUAAGUUUAGUACUAUACUUGUGCUCCCUAAUUGACAUGCCAAAUCAUACAUUGAAGGCGAAGCUUGUCUGUUAUUGAACCAAGUGAUGAAGGGGGAGAACAAGCGGAAGAAAAACAAAAAUCAACUCUCGGUGCUGUAAUGAAGCACUGGAACUGUGGUGACACAAGUAAUGAUAUAGUUUUAUAUCUUAAUUUAUUGCUAUGGCUGGAACGAGAAAUUGUUUUGCCACUGAUUUGAUGCCACUCUUAAUGUAAUACGUAAUUAUCUCUACUUGUGCAAACAGGGAUCUUAUUUGAAGAUACCAUAUAUUUUAGUGGAACUGCACAAGAAGAUGUUGGAAACAUUAAACUAAUCGAGGAGUAUAUAGUAAGCAUGGACACCACCGUAGAUAGCAAUAGAUGGUUCCGGAGAAUUGCUUCAUCUGUAUGCUCUACACAAUAAGCCUCCUAAAAAAGGUUGGUACUCGCCCAUUGAUUUCAUCCAUAUGAUUGAGCUUUGUCAUCUCUAUUGGUGUUGUGCUACUGUUUAGAUACUGUCAUGAAAAAGUGGUAUUGUCCUUGCACUACAAAAAAAAAGACACAUCCGUGACAUUUUGGGCCGAACCAAUUUUUUUUCUGCCAUACAUAUGACACUUCUAUGACGAUAAUUGUGACAAAACCCGGUAUCAUCAUAGAUGUGGUGGGCUCCUACUUGUAUGACAAAAAAUCAUGACAGAAAAUGGGCUUUUCGUCCUGGGCGGGCUAGAGACGCGGCUGCAUGACAUUCUUUGGGCCGUCCAUGACAGAAAAAACCGUGGUAGAAGUGAGGGGGAGCAAAAUUUUGGGGAGUUGCCAGUUACGGUGGGAGGUCGGGGGUCGAGUGAUGCGCGUUUCUCUCGUACACGUACGCGCAUGUGUGCGAGGCAUUGGCUCUAACUGAACCCGAGCGAGGCGUUGGGCUCUAACUGAACCCGAGCGAUUGCACUAUAGGCUACGCGUUACUGAACCUGAGCGAUCGAUUCCUUCGCUACUGCUGCUAACUGAAGCCGAUGGAUGCUGCCUCUCUGGAUGAACAGUGAGUGUUUGNNNNNNNNNNNNNNNNNNNNNNNNNNNNNNNNNNNNNNNNNNNNNNNNNNNNNNNNNNNNNNNNNNNNNNNNNNNNNNNNNNNNNNNNNNNNNNNNNNNNNNNNNNNNNNNNNNNNNNNNNNNNNNNNNNNNNNNNNNNNNNNNNNNNNNNNNNNNNNNNNNNNNNNNNNNNNNNNNNNNNNNNNNNNNNNNNNNNNNNNNNNNNNNNNNNNNNNNNNNNNNNNNNNNNNNNNNNNNNNNNNNNNNNNNNNNNNNNNNNNNNNNNNNNNNNNNNNNNNNNNNNNNNNNNNNNNNNNNNNNNNNNNNNNNNNNNNNNNNNNNNNNNNNNNNNNNNNNNNNNNNNNNNNNNNNNNNNNNNNNNNNNNNNNNNNNNNNNNNNNNNNNNNNNNNNNNNNNNNNNNNNNNNNNNNNNNNNNNNNNNNNNNNNNNNNCGUGGCGUGGCCUUUGGAUGAACAGGACCCCGAUCGAUCGAGCCGGUUGGGGCUGGAUGAACAGGACCCCGUGGAGGGCAGGAUGAAUAGGACGACCCCGUGGAGGGCUGGAUGAACAGUAGACGGUGGAGGGGUGGAUUAACAGUAGCCCAUGGAGGGGUGGUUGAACAGGAGCCCGUGGAUAGGGGUGGUUGAAUAGUAGCCGGUGGAGUAGCGCGCGGUGGAGGUUGGAUGAACAGGAGCCCGUGGAUGACCAGUCACAGGUGGAGGCUGGAGGAGGUCGACGGUGGAUGAACAGUAGCCCGUGGAGGCUAGAGGAGGUUGACGGUGGAGAUGUAAAGUAUCCCGUGGAGUCCCGUUUUGCAGUACACCACACCCCUCCUGAUGAACACGACCCCCGUUUCGACCGUAGCGCUCCACCACAAGUCCGUUUUGUCCGUUUUGCGGUACGCCACACCCGUCCCGAUCAACAGGACCCCCGUUUCGACCGUAGGAGGUCCGUUUCCUCCGUUUUGUGGUACGCCACACCCCUCCCGAUCAACAGGACUCCCGUUUGGACCGUAGGAGGUCCGCUUCCUCCGUUUUGCGGGACGCCACACCCCUCCCAAUGAACAGGAUCCCGUUUCGAACGUGGCCGGUCGAACACAAGGCCGUUUCCUCCGUUCUGCGGUACGCCAGGCCUCGUUUCCAUCACCUGUUCCGUCCAAGCCCUCCCGAUGAACACAACCAUGCAUUCCGUUCCGACCCAGCUGGUUGGCUCCUCAUGAACACGACGACGACGCUGUUUCUCCGUUCCGACCCAGCCAAUGUACACGAGCCCUGGCCAUACGUAUAUAUGCGCGAGUAGGCGUUCGAGACCCCGCCCGUAUGUACACAUACGUGGCCGUAUUUUCUUUCUUGCACCCUGCACUACUAGGAAAAGGCAUGCUAGUGGCGCACCAGUUUUGCCUUCUAAUGGCGCACUACUGGUGUGCCACUAGCAUCACGCCAUUAGAAUUAAAUUAUAAUGGCACACCACUAGUGCGCCAUUAGUAUCUGGUGUUCUAAUGGCGCACCAUGUAGUGCACCAUUAGUAUAGGCCACGGUGCGCCAUUAGUAUUUUUGAAUUUUGAAGGCGGGAAAAUAGUAGUGGCGCACCGUCUAAACCCCACCGUGCGCCAUUGCUAUUUUUGAAUUUUGAAUUUGGAUCUGGAUCGCGAUUUUUUUGCCCAUUUUUUGCUUGUUUUUUUCCUUGUUUUUUUGCACUAUAUUAUUUCAAAUUUUGUUCCUGUUUUUGGAUCUUGUACGUUCUUUUGCCGUGUUCUUUUGCCGGAGAGGAGUUCGCCGAAGAGGAGUUCGCCGGAGAGGAGGAGGAGGAGGUGACCGCAGCAUCGCCAGAGAGGAGGACGAGGUCGCCGGAGAGGAGUUCACCGGAGCAUCGGAGAGGAGGAAGGAGAAACCGUGAGGGGAUGGGAGGAGAGGAGGGAGGAGGAGCUCACCGGAGAGGAGGGAGGAGAAACCGUGAGGGGAGGGGAGGGGAGGAGAGAAGCAAAGGGAGGAGGAGGUUGCCGGAGAGGAGGAGGAGGUCGCCGGAGAGGAGAGGAGGAGGUCGCAGGAGAGGAGAAGGGUAGUAUGGUGGAGGAGAGAAGGGAAGAUGGAUUGGAGGAGUGGAGGAGAGGUGGAGUGGAGGAGGGGUGGAGUGGAGGAGAAGAAUGAAGAGGUAAGGAGGAGAGGACACACCCAGCCAUAUAUACGGCAUACUAAUGGCCCACCGCGGGCAGGUGCGCCAUUAGUAACUUUAUUUUAUUUUUUUGAUUUAUUUUGAAUUUUGAAGGCGGGAAAAUACUAAUGGCGCACCACGGGCAGGUGCGCCAUUAGUAACUUUUUUUUUUAUUUUUUUGAUUUAUUUUGAAGUUUGAAGGCGGGAAAAUACUAAUGGCACACCACGGGCAGGUGCACCAUUAGUAACUUUUUUUUAUUUGAUUUAUUUUGAAUUUUGAAGGCGGGAAGAUACUAAUGGCGCACCAUGGGCAUGUGCGCCAUUAGUAAGUUUGAAUUUUUUUGAAUUUUUUUGCCUCUCCAGAUCUUAAAAGGCCCGUAACUUUUUUUCUGUUUGGUUUUUGAGGAUUUUGAAAAUGUUUAGCGGGGUAUGCAAAUGUUUAACGGAGUAGAUGAUUUUUCAUAUAAAAAACUUUUUCAUUCGAGUUAGUAUGCAAAAGUUAUGCCCAUGUUUACAAAUUCUAGAGAGAUUUUUCAAAUAAAGUCGAAAUUCACAUUUGCAAAUUUUCCCAACAACUAGACCACAUAUCACAUGGGAAACUUAUUUUCUUUUAUUUUUUUGACAGUUCCAUCAUUUUCUUUUAUUUUUUUUAAACUGAAAAGGCGAUCCAUGGGGGGGGUGCAUUCGGGGGAAUUUUUGGGCCAAAAUACUAAUGGCGCACCGUAGAAGUGGUGCGCCAUUAGUAGUUGACAUUAGUAAUGGCGCACCACUCCCACGGUGCGCCAUUAGUAGUUUUGAAAAAAUUAUAAAUUUUUUUUACUAAUGGCGCACCGUGGGAUGUGGUGCGCCAUUAGUAUUUGCACACUAAUGGUGCACCAACACAUGGUGCGCCAUUAGUAUUUAGUAAUGGCGCACCACAUGUACAGUGCGCCAUUAGUGUCCAUCCCAUCUAUAGCCCUUUUCCUAGUAGUGCUGGCCGCUGUACGUACGUGUACAUGCUACGUGCGCGCCUCUACUACGACACGUGCGCGCCUCUACUAUGACACAUGCGCGCCUCUACAUCCACCAGUAUGUACGUACACGUUCGCGACCAGAAUGACAACGCUACGUACGCUUCGACCAGGUGGGUCCCGACUGUCAGGCAAUUCCUUGCGUGCGAAGAUGUAGCUGGUGGGUCCCAACAGUCAGGGGGCGAAUCAUUUUUUUGCCCGGACACACUUCCUUGCGUGCGAAGGUGUAGCUGGUGGGUCCCAGCAGUCAGCCGACAAAUCGUUUUGUUUUCUUUGCUCGGACACACUUCCUUGCAUGUGAAGGUGUAGAUGGUAGGUUCCAGCAGUCAGGGGGAAACGCUUUUUUCACGAAAUAUGGUGGCCUGUCCGGCAGGUCCCUGCUGUCAGGUGAAGGAAUAAGUAUUUUGCGCAUAAUAACGAGGAACUUCCUUGCGGCCGCCGUGGACCCAGCUGUUGGCCUCUCCAUGUAUAGUACUCUUCCGACGGAAGUCGGUCAUUGACCACAUAGACCACGCCGCACCGAGAGCACCAGGGCGGUGGACGACAGCGAGGCCUAGGAUGGGGACGAUGCGGAGCCGGGGAAGACACGGCAGUGGAUGCCCACGCGGAGAGGAGUACGAUUGUACGAGGGUUUACUGGUUUGUUUGCCGUCGCCAGAGAGUAACAACAGGUGUGGGUCAGUAGAGGGAUGGCUAGGCCAGCGAUGGGAGUACGAUGGGGCGGUGAUGCCUGCGCGGCAGUACAACCGGCCGUGGGGAGGAGGGAGCAGGCAGUCCCGCUGGCGCUUGUUUGAGUGGCUGGAGCAUGAAGAGCAAAGAUUGAAGAAGCACGACAGCCGUUGGAUGGACAUCCAACAGUCACUGCUCUCGUGUAUUGACUAAGUUGACAGGGCGUUGCGUGUGCAUCAACCUUUUUUUUAUGAAAGCAUAUGCGUCAACCUGAAGUAGGCGCACAAGUCAGCCUCAAAUAUGUGGAAAACAACAGAAAGCCUAUCUGCCAUUACUUCUAAUAAUGUACAACCCAUUUGCUAAUUCUUAAGAAUUUUUUUGGAGCCCAUCUUCUUUUUGUUAGCAUUACACCCCAUAUUGUGGCCACGGUUAAAACGUAUACAAAAUUUUGCAUAUUUCGGUGCGGUCAACUGUUUUUAAUCCAGAAAUAUCGAUUCACAUUCAAACUAUUUGGAAAAAUAAUUUAUAUAAAUAUAAAAUCGAAAUAAUUGUCCACGCAUAAAUAUCAAUGGAAUUUAAAAUCUUGUAAUGAAAAAAAUUGAAACUAAUUCCCGGUUUGAUGUGUUUUAAAAAUGUAUAGCCCAUUUCUAGGCAAACCGAAUGAAACUCUCCUCGUCUUGAAAGAUUUGCAGCCCAGCAGGGCCGAGAAAGCAUGUAGGCCUUGUUUGGGUAUUUCUAGAAAAAAAAUAGAACUGGGCUAGCCAUUUUCAGCAAGAAAAAACACAACUGGGCUCAUGAUGUGCUAAACAUAAAUAAAACCCUGGCUAGACGGGCCACGGCCCCCGCACGGCCCCGUUGUUACCCUGAUCCAUCGCUAAUACUAGUAUAAAUAACAACUGCUUGUUCCUCACAAAAAUAACUGCGCGACCUGUUGGGUCCCUGGUGUCAGCCGCUCGUAGUGUAAUUCUCUCGUUUAUUGACUACGUUGACAAUGGCGUGAGCCCCAGAUGUCCAACCAUUAGGAGGAACCAUAUUUUUGGGCUUGUAAUACAGAGGCACUUGCUUGCAUACUGCCAUGACGUUGGUGGGUCCCUGCUGUCAUCCUCUCCACGUACAGUCAUCUCCUUGUUCCUCUCAGUUGUUGACGAUGUUUACAAUGCAAGAGGGCGGCGCACCGCACACGGCAAGCGAACCAAGGCCGCAAGGCGGAGGACGACGGCGAGGCCUCGGAUGGAACGAACAGGAGUCGUGGAAGAUGCGUCGGUGCAGUCGCAGGCAGAGGGGAGUACGAGGGUUGACUGGUUCGGGUGCGGGUGCGUGUUGGGGCUGACGUCGCCGGAGAAUAACAGGACGUGUGGGGGAAUAGAGGGAGGGACUGGCCAACGUUGGAGGGUACGUACGGUAGGGCGGCGGAGCGCAGCCAGCCAUGGGAUGCGGGAGCGGGCGGAACCGAUGGGGUGGUUCGGUUUGGGCGGCUGGAGGAAUAAGACAAGAGAUAGAAGAUACACAACAGAUGUUGGAUGUCAAUCCAACAGCUGGUAGGCAGAAUCGUUUGUUGACUGGCUAGGCUAUUUCCUCGCGGUUCCCAAAUGUCAGAAUGCAAAUCUGUCACGGUCAUGCAGCCUUUCCUAUGAAAAUUUACAGCCCAUUUGAUGUGCUAGUUCGAAAUAAGUUUGUGGGUGCUGGUGGGGGCUAAUCACUUGGCUUCUGUAAUGCACAGUGAGCUCAAGCAGCCGGCGAGAGUGAUGUUAUGUCCCUUGGUUGGGAUUUGUUACAAUAUUUCACUCUAAAUUAAACGAAUGGCAAGCCAUGCCUUGUUUCAAAGAAAAUAUGACCGUCACAGCCGAGAUGAAAAGGGUAGGAACAUCUAACUCCAGCUUACAAACCGUACAAAAGCACGAGGGUUAAUUGUUCAUCAGGUUUACAAAAAAACCCAGGUUGAAAAGGGCAACAACAUCUAUCUCCAGCACUGUUUUCGGCAGUCACAGUCAAAUGGAUCGGUCAGGUCCAUAGAAUGAACAUCCUGGGUCGUAAAAUUUACUGGACUAUGACCACAAUAUGUUGUAAAUAGAAGCCCGGUAUGUUCAGAUGCUCUUUUGCCCACCUGAAACUCCUUUUUUUGCUCUUCGACAUACCCAUCCAUCAAAACCAUGCUGCUGAUAAACUUAAGCCUGAUGGACAAUAGUAACCUUGCAUUCAACAGGAAGAAUGUGACAAAUCUAGUGUUUGCACGGUUGGCUACAUAUCAUUCUAGCGUUAUUAUCUUCAAUUGAAUCUCAUGAGAAGUGAGAAAAUCUUGAUGCUUACUAAUCCACCGAUUGGUUAUAACUUUCUUACCCCGUCCUGUUGCCUAAAUAGACAUGAAGAUUGAAAACAAUUAAGGUCUAAAAAAAGAGUGUCGAAAGAGCAACAGCUGAACGGUUAAUUCUAGUACACUAUAUGCGGGCUUCCAAUGUGCGUGUGAAAUUAUCACCUUUAUAUACAACUUCUCCAGACAUGGAAAGCAUUACAGCAAGCUAAUAAUCUUGUUCAGAUCAAAACUAAUCAUUUGGAUAUAUAAGAUCUUGAUAGAAUCCAGCACCAUUGAUAGGCCAUCCAUGGAGAAACUCUUCAUUGAGCAUAGAACAUAAUAUUAGUACAAAAUGUGUACUCCAAGAUGAUAUAUAACUUAUGGGCAGAAAUUUAAAAUGCAGCUUUUGGUUACAAGAGUAGAUGAUAAUGUAAAGUACCUGAAGAACUGUGAAGCCAAACACCAUAUUGAAAUGAGCAUAGAGAUCAUGUAUUACACCCAAGGUCUCCAGUUUAGGCGCAGAGAGGACUGUUAUUUGCAGUGAUGAAUAACUAGAAUCAAGGAUCAACCUAUGAAGUGAAGGGGCAUCUUGGAUGAUGAGCUGUCUUCCAUCAAAAGAAAUUCCAAUUCUUACAAGGUUAGGCGACUUUAUUUGGAGACAACCGAUUCUAACUGUGAAAACAAGCACCAAGCACUCCAGGGUAGGGCAACUGGAGUGGAUGAUGCUGUGCAAUGAGGCCUCUGAUAUACGAACCCGCACAAGUGAAAGUUUCUUGAGAAAUGGGAGUCGAAGGUUUAGUACUAAAUUGUCUGGUAGGUAGCACAUCGCAAAGGUGGCGGUGUGGAGAGAGGAGGAAAACCGCGAGAUGGACAUCGGUGCUAAGGGCACAAGUUCAUGGCAUUCGGUAUGUGGUAUGUGAUUUAUAGGGGAAUAGUAGUACUCAAGCAGUUGUAGUUCUGUGAAUUCAGGGGAUUUUAGCCAUGUGUCCACCAUGCAGGGCAUGGUAUGCUUGCUCAGGUAGCAUGAAGAGAUGCAGAGGCUUUGAACGGAGCCCUGGUGGGAGGAGAUGAUGGCUCUAGGGAUUUCAAAAUCAUUGAAGAGAGAUAGAUGUUGAUAGUCGAGAUUAAGGGGCACGUCGUGCCAUAGAGGGCGCCACCGAAUUGAGAGGAGUUGGGUAAGGAAGCAAUCCUUGGUGGGGAGAAGCGAGAUGAUCUCCCCAAGGACGGCGUCUGGGAGAUCGCUGAUGCGGUCCACCCGAGAUUCUACGGGUUCCUGGGAUCCGGUGGGGGCGAUGUCUCUGCUUCUCCCCGCGCUGCCGGAUGCGGGAUCUACAACAGGCGUCGCCGCUGGCGGGAGCCUCAUCUUCUUGGCGCUGGGGUCAGCCGACUCCAUUUUCCUUGAGGGCGUCGCGUCGCACUCACGGAUUUGAGCAGAGUAACGAAUAACGAGCCUAGUUGUAGUGCGAGUGAAGAAGAAGGGGAGAUGAGGUUUUUUCUGUAGUAGUGAGGAAGAAGGGGAGCUGGGGUUUUCUGUAGGAGUGAGGUGAGGAAUUUGGGGGUAUGAGUGGAGCGAGCUAACGUGAGGUGGGUGGGAGUUAGGAGGAAGAAGAGAACCCAGGUAUUUUUGGGGGGCGGUGUGCUGGGUGUGGGUAGCGCCUCUCAUUUAGUAAAUAUAGGUCUUUUGAAUUGAUUUUACUAUUUACUAGUGUGGAUGGGCCGUUUUGUCUUGGGCCCAGAGAAACAAUUACUACUAGUACAGUGGAGACACUCUACAGCUACCCAGAAAAACAAUUACUACUAGUACAAUGGAGACACUCUACCGCUUAUGGCUCCUCCUAGGUCAUUGAAACGUCUCCCUCUACUGAAUGUCGUUAUACUUUUGUUCACCGACAUGCGGGCCAUGCAACGUGCGGGCCCAAAUGCCAUCCACCAAAUUAGAAGGCAGUAUGCAGGCGGAGAGUCACCCCGGUCGUAGCGCGGCAGUAANNNNNNNNNNNNNNNNNNNNNNNNNNNNNNNNNNNNNNNNNNNNNNNNNNNNNNNNNNNNNNNNNNNNNNNNNNNNNNNNNNNNNNNNNNNNNNNNNNNNNNNNNNNNNNNNNNNNNNNNNNNNNNNNNNNNNNNNNNNNNNNNNNNNNNNNNNNNNNNNNNNNNNNNNNNNNNNNNNNNNNNNNNNNNNNNNNNNNNNNNNNNNNNNNNNNNNNNNNNNNNNNNNNNNNNNNNNNNNNNNNNNNNNNNNNNNNNNNNNNNNNNNNNNNNNNNNNNNNNNNNNNNNNNNNNNNNNNNNNNNNNNNNNNNNNNNNNNNNNNNNNNNNNNNNNNNNNNNNNNNNNNNNNNNNNNNNNNNNNNNNNNNNNNNNNNNNNNNNNNNNNNNNNNNNNNNNNNNNNNNNNNNNNNNNNNNNNNNNNNNNNNNNNNNNNNNNNNNNNNNNNNNNNNNNNNNNNNNNNNNNNNNNNNNNNNNNNNNNNNNNNNNNNNNNNNNNNNNNNNNNNNNNNNNNNNNNNNNNNNNNNNNCAAGGUGAUUUUCUUCUUGGUCGAUCUCGAUUGUGGUUUUUCAUCUAAGUAUGUGGUGAUUAAUAAUGCAAAAUGUUAUUAGCUUCGAUGCCAUGCUAUACAUAGUGGUUUAAAUAACUUGUGUGUCUUAUAUUGAAAAGUAAUUCAAAAUUUGUUUAUGUUUCAAUUAGAACCCUGAUGCAGACAAGGAUUGUGUGGUUGUACAUGUCACUCGCUAUGAGGCGGAUGACCUGAAUAUACGCACUAGAAAAACAGAGUUCUUAGGCUGUUGGAUCCUGAAAGCCAUUUGCGGUUAUACCAAUGAAGAGUUGUAUUCCAGCCUCACUGUUGUCAGGCGUGUUGUCCAGGGUGUACUGAAGCACAAGAAGUUCAAAGCUACUCCUUCAUUUGUGAGGAAUACUGUUCUUGUCAAGCUUACGCAGGAAGAUGACAUGGCAUGCCUCCACAAACAAGUUUAUCAGUGGCAAGGCCACAAGGUUGUCUUCAUGAAGGUUCACAGGAUUGAGUUGAUGUGGGACGUCCUCGAUGAUGUUCAUGGCAAGGUCCGUCUUGUGUCUAGCCCAAAUUAGAUCGAGGCAUGAAAUAGUUGCCCCAGUUAGUGUUUAAUAGUAGUUUGGAUUGUGUCUAAUUAUCCGAACCUUGCCUGUUAUCGACCCCUCUGGGGCUAGUACUCUCUUUGAAUCCUUCUAUAGGAACUGCUGCUACUUUUGUGUGCCCGUGAAUCAUGUGAGAACCAUCGUAAUUUUUGCCGAAAAAGAUGCGUCCUCACUAGUUUUUUCAUGAAUAUGGCAUGGUAAGACAUAAGUUGUCAUGGUUUAUCAUACGAGCAGUGUGUGUUUUGAUGAAAUAGAGCACUUGUUCGAGAACUGUGCGCCGACGUAUACACAAGUACUUGUAAACACUGUUGGUGCUACCCCACUUGUAAGAAGUUGUGCAAAACACGGCACAUUGGCUCAGCUCGCUUCAACACUAGGCUAUCGACCAGAUAACAAUCAACAAUCUGCUGUCUGACAUAUAAGCAACUAUGUAUCUUGUUAUAGUGGUUCAUGCAGUUAAUUGAGGCCACAAUGUAAUAAAUUCCAAACGUUCACACGCUAGUCCAGCGCUCAUGUGGAACACUCACAUUAAACUCGUCUUCAUAAAAAACUUGAAAAUCAUAAGUUAAGCAAUUUUAUACAUCUCAAUGAUUCAUAGAACAUAACAAACAUAUACUAGUUCACAGCAAAAGAAAAAGUUGUGAGAAGGUUUACAAAUUAGGAAAAAACAAGCAAGGCUUCUCUGAGCAAAGGGCCUCCCGGUAGGCUUAAAUUUCCUGGAGUUCACUCUAGUUUUUCCUUGUUGCCACCAUCCAGGGUUAGGUUCUCUCAUUCCAGAAUAACCAAUUAUAAUUGUGGUCUCAGCUGGAAUGCUGAACUCAACCAUGUAGUGUACUAACCAGUUGAAAUGCUUGUGCGUUCCACUAAAUUUAAGCACCGUUAUUUGCAGAAAUAAGCAGACCACAAUGCCUCUUGUCCGCCCACCUGUCCAAAAAACUGCCGUGCAGCCGUGCCAGCUAGUCCUCGGUCCAUGGAAGAACUGGCAGAAAGUGCAUUCCGGACUAGGGUGCAGUUGUUUUUGCUCAUCCCUACACUGCAAUCAGGAAGUAAAACGUACGAAUCAUCUUCUUUUAGAUUGUGUUGGUCAUUCUACCUUAGUUACUACCAAUGUAGGAAUACCUUGAAGACUGGAGGUUAGACGACGACAACGAGGGAUAGCCAUCUCAUUUUGCGCGGUUGUACUAAAACUGAGGUCUGUUCUUUUGAUUGCACGGAUAGAAAUGAUACGGAGAUAGACAUCCGGAAAUGAUAUGGAGACAGACAUCCCUGUUUGGGAAAAUACGAAAUACGGUUAUUUAAAUAGUGACAGAUAUUUGCAGUGGCGUAUGAUUAACAACAUCAUCUAUUGUGUUAUAAUUGGCACUAGAUUGACAGUAUGAAGAGUCCUUAAGUAAGUGCAUCACAUCACAUCCACAAUGCCACUAGAUUAACAUGCAGAACAAUAGCAUUAGUAUUAUUGUCAUGAGAGUAGCACAUGGUCAGUAAAUGUACAAUCAAAUUUGUGUAGUUCAACUGGGAUGAAGCAAUGAUAGCGGUGUGAGAGUUAAGUGUAACAGCAAAAACACAAUUCAAGGGAAAUAAAGCAAGAUGGAAGCACUUCAUAAAAUGGUGGUGGCAUUGCUUCAAUUUAUCGACGGCAUUAGACAAUUACUUAUAGUGACAUUAGGUGGAAUUGCUUAAUGCUUCAUGUGAUUUUACAUUAACGGUACCGAUAUGGGCGUAGGGACAGCAGGGGCAUAAAGUGGUGAGGCAGAUGUGGCUGCCGAGAGUGGCAAACACUUAGGCAGCAUGUCUGCAGUUGUCCCAUUUUUUAUCUCCUCGGCGACAUUUUCCUAUGUGAGCACAGGAAAUCUAGACCUGCUCAUUCUCAUUUCCGUUGUCCCCCAACACCAGUCAUUUUGUUUCCUUUUUCAACCAAGAGAUAGGUCGACUUCCCCCCACCCUUCGCCAUCCACCAUGCUUUCUUCGUCUUUUCAACAAAGAGACUGGAUGGGUACCCAAUAUCUACUACUUUCCCCCGUUUCCUCUUAGAACCAAGUCCUAGAUUCAUGCUACAACUUUCCCACUUUCUUCCCUGUUUGAACCAACUCUUAGAGUCGACUGUAUGAACUAGCUUUACCUCUAAUAAUAGUAAAAGUCUAGGUGGCUUUGGAACAGCGGACGGAAGUAGAAAGAGAUCCACACGAAGGGAGCUGGGGCACUAGAGCAAAGAAGGUUUCGAAGGAAUAUAUACUUGAGGGUCGUCGGCAUGUGGCAAAGACGGCAUCGGGAGGCUGCGUCUUGGCCAAAAUACUGCAGGGAGGAAGAAGGGGUCGGAGGCACUCCCGAGCCGGCGCUCUCUCGGAGAGAACGGCAUGGCCGCCGAUCGGGACGCGCAGGCAGCCGUUGGUCUCCUCCCUCGCCGCCGACGACAGUGUGAAUGAUGCACCUACACCCCUGCCCCAGUCGAGGUUGUCCGGCCGGAUUUGUGACCAGCCGUGAGCUGCGAGAGAGUGUGGCCACCUAUGUCUUGCUUAGAUCUGGAGAUCAUGAGACAGUGAACGAGAGGAACCCUAGUAAAGCAAGCGCUAAGGCUCCUUCUUAUAUAUAUAGUGGAGUGAUUUUGUUGUACCAGCUUCAAAAAAAUGCGCUCCUACGUGUACUAGUGAGUGGGUGUGAGAGAACUAGUGUGUGCGUGCACCUCUUCUCUUCGUGAUAAUACAAUAUUCUAUGCCCAAAGAACGUUCGCUGCAAGAGUAAUAGUAUAAGUGUGUGAUGUGUGAGCUAAAAUAAAAUGUGUGUGACGUCUUUUGUUUUUUAGAAGUUCUGAGGGUAGUGUGUGACGUCUAUCUGCAGAUAGACGGUGGGUGCGACGUGCGACUCCGCGAGAGUACUCGGGAGAGUCGUGACUCGUGACGGUGCGUGUGCGUGACAGGGAGGGGGGCACGUAUCAAUGCAAUGCAUGUGUCCGUAAAUCAUUAUCCGACAAACAUUCGCCACAAACCUUUUCCUGACGAAUGCCGUAAGAACCGUUAGAUCGGCAUCCGAGAAAGUCAGUUUUGCCAUGUCAUUUAACAUAACAGACACUCCUCCUACACACAAAUCUUCCACGUGAGUGUUAGCAACUGUCGUAUGCUCCCUCCAUUCCGAAAUGCAAUGCAUAUAACUUUAUUGAAAAUUCAAACCUAGCAAACUUUUACCGAGUUUUCGUGUAGCAAAUUGCACAUGUAGAAUACCCUGUAUAUAUCAUUUCAUUCAUCUUCGAGAGGUAACUAUAAAGAUGGGGGAUGAGUCUACAGAAUAAGACCAUCGUAUCACCCGCAUCAAUUUCAACCAUCCUUUGGUGUCGAGGAAUAUCUGUCACGCCCAAUAUGCGACCCUAUCCAAAAGGAACUCGAAGGUCCCACCAAGGAUAGACCCGCAUAUUGAAACGCUUUUGCAAGGUGGAUAUCAUUACAUCAACAUUACAUAAUAGAUGGGGAUACAUACAAGAGGCAUACAAUGCCACACGAAUACAACAAUACAUCAUACAUAAGAGCAUCAUCCGACUAUGGAUGAAACACAAACAGAAACUAAAACGACAUCCACCCCGCUAGCCCAGGCUGCCGACCUGGAACCUAUCCCCUGAUCGAAGAAGCAGAAGAAGAACUCAACGCAAGCAAGCAUCGCUCUCGCAUCAUGAUCAUCGCACAACCUGUACCUGCAACUAUUGUUGUAGUAAUCUGUGAGCCACGAGGACUCAGCAAUCCCAUUACCAUGGGUAUCAAGACUAGCAAAGCUUAAUGGGAAAGGAAGGGGUAAAGUGGUGAGGCUGCAGCAGCGACUAAGCAUAUAUGGUGGCUAACAUACGCAAAUAAGAGCGAGAAGAGAACAAGCGGAACGGUCGUGAAGCUAGCAAUGAUCAAGAAGUGAUCCUGAACUCCUACCUACGUCAAGCAUAACCCAGAAACCAUGUUCACUUCCCGGACUCCGCCGAAAAGAGACCAUCACGGCUACACACAUGGUUGAUGCGUUUUAAUUCAGAUCUGGUGUCAAGUUAUCUACAACCAGACAUUAACAAAUUCUCAUCUGCCUAUAACCGCAGGCACGACUUUCGAAAGAUUAUACCCUGCAGGAGUGUCCCAACUUAGCCCAUGAUAAGCUCUCGCGAUCAACGAAGGAUAUUCCUUCUCCCAGGAAGACCCGAUCAGACUCGGAAUCCCGGUUUACAAGACAUUUCGACAAUGGUAAAACAAGACCAGCAAAGCCGCUCAAUGCGCCGACAAUCCCGAUAGGAGCUGCACAUAUCUCGUUCUCAGGGCAACACCGGAUAGGUCAGCCUACGAGUAAAACCAGCCCUCGAGUUGCCCCCGCAGUCUGCCCGGUUCGGACCAACACUUAGACAAGCACUGGCCUGGGGGGGCUAAAAUAAAGAUGACCCUCGAGAGAGCGACUCCCAAGGGAAAAGUAUAGGUGGUGGUGAGGCAAAUGGUAAAACCAAUGUUGGGCCUUGCUGGAGGAGUUUUAUUCAAAGCGAAUUGUCAAGGGGGUCCCAUAAAUCACCCAACCGCGUAAGGAACGCAAAAUCCGGGAACAUAACACCGGUAUGACGGAAACUAGGGCGGCAAGAGUGGAACAAAACACCAGGCAAAAGGCCGAGCCUUCCACCCUUUACCAAGUACAUAGAUGCAUUAAUAAUAAUAUAAGGGAUAUUGUGAUAUCCCAACCAAAAUCCUAUCCACCAUGGAGCAAUCUUCAACUUCACCUGCAACUAGCAACGCUAUAAGAGGGGCUGAGCAAAGCGGUAACAUAGCCAAACAACAGUUUGCAUAGGAAAGGUGUCAAAGGUUAGAGGUUCAUGGCAAAAUGGGAGGCUUGAUGAGCAAAAGAUAGGUAACGCAGCAUAUCGAUAGAAUGAAGCAACUAGCAUAGCAAUGAUAGUAGUGAGAUCCAGGGUAGCGGUCAUCUUGCCUGAAAUCCCGCAAGGAAGAAGAACGAGUCCAUGAAGAAGAUGAAGCCACAAAGACGAACCAAGCGUAGACGAACGAAUCCUCACGAUCACAACGAUACGGGAACUAUCGAGAAGAAGCACACAAUAUGGUAAACACACCACACAUAGACAAGACAUGAUGCACAACAAGCAUGAUGCAUGACAAAGCUACAUGAAGCUACUCAUGUCAAGAGAUGAUGCAAACAAGAGCAACACAUCAAGGCAAGUCCUCAUAUGCAUAUUUUGUAAUUGGUCCAGAUCUGAAUAAACCUUAUGUUCAAGUUGUUAAACAGCAAGUUAAGAUGCACAAAGAUGAUCUACAUGAGAUUCUAGUCAAGUUACAUAUAAAGUUCAUUUAGUUCGGAGCUACGGCCUAGAAGAUAUGAGCAAAACAAGUUAAACAUGGCAUUGAUGCAAAAUGCACCCAAACAUCAAGUAAACACCUCAAAACAAGGAGGCAACAGGAUAAUAUGAAGCUGCAUGCAAAUCUAAGCAAGUUUCAUAUAAAGCACACUCAAAACGGAGCAACGGUGCAACACAUACACUCUAUACAAGUUUAAAGGACAAGCUGUCCAAAACAGCAACUAGACAUAUUGCAAGCAUCGAAACAAUAUGCUACAGCAGCUCAACAUGAUAACAAAAGGCAUGGGAAUGAUGUACAAGUAAAGCAUUACAAAACAUGAAAACUGAGCUAUCUCUAGAAAUCACUAGAACAUGCUCAAACACACAUGGCAAGAUUGCAAGUAAUAACAAUUUUAGACUUUGCAGAAAAUAACAUCAGGUUGCAAUGUUUAGAGCUAUCAAACAACAUGUUACAGGAACUUAUCAUGUCAAACAAAGGCAUGGCAUGAAUCUACUAAAAGCAUAGAACAGAAGUCCCUUACUGACCAUGAGCCAAAAAGGAUCAGAAAAUAUAAUGGCACCCAUGUAAACAUGGCAAGUUAUAUUACAGAUUCAAACAUGGCAGGAAUAGAAUUAUAAAGGCAUGUAGAUGAGCUUGUACCACUCACUACAGAGCAAUACAUGGCAUGGCAAGGCACCCAACAGUAAGAAGACAUGUUUGCGAAGCUAAGCAUGGCAAUAGCAAGUUCAUAGGGUGCAUGGAUCACUAGCAAUAGUCAUGGAAACAACUGAACUUAAUGUUAAGAGGCUGACAGCAACAUUAUCAAGCAACUUUGGAGCAAGAUAUGAACAAUCUACAGCAGGAUAUAAAUGCAACUAGGGGCAUGUAUGGUUAGAGGAUGACAUGUAGAACAAAACAUAUUUAGUGAUCAUCUCCAGAUUAUGCAUAGAAUGAUUAGUAGCAGCAGGUUUACAUGGCAUCACGAAAUAACAGAUUCAGCCUAGCAAAACAGCAACAGCAAGUACCCUACCUAACAAGCUCGAUUCACUCACCACAAGUCAUUGCAUGACAAGAUAAGCGUAGCAUCAGCAAGAAGACAUGCUUAUGAAACAAACCAAGGCAAGAACAAGUCCAUAGUAUGUAAGGAUCAACUACUACAACCUUGGCAAAAUUGAAUAACAUGUAAACAAUCUGCCAGGAAACAUUUUGGAGCAAAAGUAGAGCACGAAAAUGACAUGCUAGACUACUCCAUAAUUGCAACCAGGGGCAUGAAUGGAUAGACAACAACCAUAUGUUCAAAACAUCCUUACUGAAGUAUCUCAAAAUAUGCAUGGAUCUCUCUGUAGCAUCAUGUUUACAUGGCAUCAAAAUAACAGCAGAACAGGGACUAAAAUCAGCAACAUCACGAAGCCUAGUUUACAUGCUUGUGCUAGUCACCACAUUGAUCACAAAAAUACAUGGUAAGCACCUCUGUAAAGAAGACAUAGCAUAGAUCAAAACACAUGUAGACAUCAACCUCAUAGGAUGCACACAUCAAACAUGGCAAAAAUGACAAAUGAGCAUAUUCUGUUAACAGACAGCAGACAACAUCAUGAAGCACUCUUGCAACAAUGAUUCAGGCAUCAAGAUGAACUCAAAUGAACAUGAUGCAAUGGAAUGAAAUGUAUUACUCAUUGAGGCGAACAAUUUGACAUAUUACACACACGAAACGGAGCUACGAAUGCAGAGAUAUGAUGCGAUGAACAUGGCAUGAUUAUGCAAAAUAUUCAGGACCGUCAUUUUUCUAGAACAAAAAAAAACAGCGAGCGCUAUAUAUCUAUUCAGCGCACGGGGCGGCGUUUAGGUAUUGCUCACCAUGGGCUUCGGCCCAGGAUGGAGGAGGAGGCAGGCCUGGCAGGCCGGGCCAUGUAGCUGGGCCUUGGGGAGGCCAGCAGGGAUCUGGGCCGCGUGGAGGCCCACGUGGCCGGACACGGUCAGCAGGCGCUCGGGCGAGCUCCCGACGAACCGGUGGACGGCGGCGGCGCAGGAUGGAACUCCGGCGAGGCUCGCGGAGCCGGGACGAGGUCGGAGAAGGGCGAGGGAGGCCGGAACGGGUUGGCAGCGAGCGGAUCCGGCCGUCCCCUAGCCGGAUCUGACCGGAGACGGGGUCGACGGAGAGUUCGGGCGCAGGGGCAUGGAGAUCCAGCGACGGCGGCCAUGACGGCGGCAACCUGCGGGGGAGAGAGGCCAUGAGGGAGGAGGAGAGAAGGAGAAGAAGGACGGGAGGCAGGCGGCGCUGNNNNNNNNNNNNNNNNNNNNNNNNNNNNNNNNNNNNNNNNNNNNNNNNNNNNNNNNNNNNNNNNNNNNNNNNNNNNNNNNNNNNNNNNNNNNNNNNNNNNNNNNNNNNNNNNNNNNNNNNNNNNNNNNNNNNNNNNNNNNNNNNNNNNNNNNNNNNNNNNNNNNNNNNNNNNNNNNNNNNNNNNNNNNNNNNNNNNNNNNNNNNNNNNNNNNNACACUUGGCGGUGGAGGGCUGGCUUGGCGCUGAAAUUGAGGAGGGAGGAGGCUGGCGGCUGCGGGGCUCCCGAGGGGGAGGCUAGAGGUAGGUGGAGGGGCUAGGGAUGUAAAAUUUGGAAGGGGGGAUGUCCAUAUAUAGGCAGGGAUGGCUAGGGUUUGGGUUUAGGGGGGUUUUGAGGCCGUUUCGGAGCCUCCGAUUGCGAUCUGACGAACAGGCACAAAGGGGGGUUUAGGUGGGCUGAGAAAAGGGGUUGGGCUGAGUGGAGAGAAGAGAGAGAGCGGCACAGCAGCAGUUUCGAAGACCGAAACAUCCGACGAAGGUACCGACAACGGUACCGCUAUAUUUAACGGUUGGGCUAUCAAAUGGACUCCGAAUGCGAUGAAACUUGGCAGGCGCUCUGUCUACACUAUAAUAAGACCGCACGACAAGUUGCAUCCCAUUCCGAGAACAUUUUUAUUCCACUUAAAAAUAAUAUUUCGGAGGUGCCACAGGCGCGUGCGAGAGUGUCUGGCUCAGAACGGAAAACGGAGAGAACCAGCGGAACCCGAACAGAUGCAAGUUUUGAAAAACAUGCAGAAGAAAUGCAGAUGAUGACAUGGCAAAAUGCAACACGCAAGCAAAUGACAUGGCAACGACGGCGAAUAACUGGAAGACACCUGGCGCAUCGAAUCCGGGGCGUUACAAUAUCAUAGGAACUCUAUAUGAUAUGUUUUUAUAGGAUUUUUUCCUUUAGAGCCAAUUGGUCCAUAGGAAUAGAUUCAUAUACUCCACAUUUCAAAGGAAAUAAACAUGAUAUCAUUUCCAUAGCUUUAGAGCCACAUGGUUAAAACGAAUGGAUUCCUAUACUCCCUUAAUUUCAAAGGAAAAUAAACAUUAGCGUAUAUUCAAUAGAAAAGUUACUAUGAUCUGAACCAAAUUACACAUCUUUUUUAAUGCCUCCUCAUAGGAAUGGAGAUACAUGUCAUCUCUAGAUUCCAUAGAAAAGUUGCUAUGAUGUGAACCAAAUGACAUCUCUUUUCCAAUCCCUACUCAUAGGAAUUGAGAUGCUCCAUGUCAUCUCUUACCCUACAACUUCCAUGUAUACAUCUUCUAUUCCUAAAUAGAUAGUACAACCCACUAGUAGCUUUUUUCCAAAACAUGCAACUAUGGCACAAGAACUAUAUAGUGUGCCAAUAACUUUGAAAGAUGUUCGCUGGAUGAAGCUAGUCCGGCAGUGCAGAUAUGGUGAAUCCGAGCACUACUGGUCAUUGGAUAUCAUCAACAUUCCACCAGAUCUGCCACAUGUACAAUUUAGAAGACUCCAUGAUUGAACUUAAGCAUAAUGCACAAAUCUCAAAACACAAGCACUUCUCCUUUGUUGUAGAAUCUUCUGUAUCAUAAUUGUUUUUUUUCUAAAUGAAUUGCCAUUAUUUGUUUUUUACGUUGUGGUUUACAAUGCACAACCCCACGAAUCUUAACAUUUUUAUAAAACUAAUUGAUUUUGAAUGAGAUGAACUAUAAGAACUAAACGAACAUCUACAUCAUGCAUAUAUGACUCAAAGCUUUACAUGCUAUAGUGUGUAUUUAUUAAUAAUUUGGUUUCAAAAUUUCAUGCGUUAAAUGCAUAAUUGACUGUCGGUCGAACCUAUGUCCACAAUUUUUUGUACCUACUAUAUCUCCACUGGUCCCGGGCCAAAAUGUUGCCCCUUUCCCGUAAAACAAAGCGGUCCACACAUAUUUAAGGCGUCGACUCGAACCCGUUUACUACGACGUGGCCCCGCACGCCAUAGUACUCCUACAAACCCUACCGCCGUACUCAUCAUCGGUUUUCUUCAAGAGGACGAGGGAGAAGCUGAUUUGUAGUGGAGGCGCUUUAAAAAAAAGGAUCUGUAGUGGAGACCCCUACCCUAGGGUGCCCUAGGUAGCUAUCACACGCAUCAUUGUUUUCUCUUUUAUUUAUGCUCUUGCUCCCUAGAGUGAAAUGAUGGUUGCUUCGUCCAUCCAGCUUAAUGCGGGAAAAGGUGGGGCUUUGUGAUUUGACCCCUCAUCACUCAUUUUCUACUACUAUGACGCUACGACCGGGGUGCAUCACACGUGGAACAAGACGGUGGAUGAGCCACAUGUCUGCCAAAGGGGUCCUGUUAAGUGUGUUGCCAUUUCGUGUGUGGACUGACCCUGCUUGAGUUGCUACACCAACACAACAGGAGUGGCCUACCACUUGGUUUUGCUCCUUGGUGAAUCUCGACUAUAUUGAUCUAAAAAGAUACGUGCUGAACUACCCUCUCCGUCUCGGUUUUUUAUUUUUAGGCGUCUCGGUUUAUAGGGCCUGCACGUAGUUAUAGGUCAUCCAUUUGACUAACUAAAUAUGAGUUACUAUGUCACAAAAAGUAUAUCAUUGGAUUCUUAUUGGUUGAUAUGUGAAGAAACAAGAAAACGAGGUAGAAGUUAAUGCGCCGCGCCUUAGUAUUUUGGGACUAUUUGGUUUUCGUAAGAUGACUUAGUCACCUAGACGGAGGGAGUAGUUGUAUUUAAAAGUCGAGGGCGGGGCUUUUCCUGCACGGUAGGUGGGGUAGUUCCGCCUGGUCGGUUCAACAGAGACGCGAGAAGACGAGGGAGUAGGCUGCUGCAAACGUAGGGCUGUGUGAUUUGACAGUGAGUUACUGCUGGACAGGUGGGGCCCCGUGAUUUGACUUGCCAUUAUCAUUUUAACUGCGGCGCUACGACCGGCAUGAGUCUCCCGAUUCCUGACCACCUCCAUAUAGGUGCCUCUCCCAAUGCUCCACCAUGUAGUAGAGGAUGGCUCUUGCAUGAUAUCCCACUUCUCCACUUUUUCCUUGCCUCUCUUUCCUCCACAUAUGCAAAAAUGCCAUGUAAAGCGCACUAUUCUGCAUACUUUUACUUGCUCCUACAGGUGCUAAGCUUGCCACAUAGGCAUAAAGUCGGAUGUGGAAAGUUAAUGAAGAAGAGAGAGACUAGUUUGGUGACCCAAAGAAGAAAUGGUGCUAAGCGUGUGUACCUAGGUGAAAAGACAAUUUUGAGUCUAUAGCUAAUUAGAUGAAGCAAACUUAGCAACACCAUUUCAUUGGAAGAGGUCACUCCUUGGCAAAUGCAAUAAAUACUAGUACUCCCUGUGUCCUAGUGUCAAAAACGUUCUUAUAUUAUGGGACGGAGGGAGUACGAAGAAAGAGAUAGAGAGGAGUAAAAAUAUAAAUACACUUAUAGCCAACCUUAUCGCUAACCUUGUUGUAGUAUGAGUGACUAAGUGAUGACUAUGCACUACUAGGGAAAACCCUAUACACAGAAUCUUAGCAGCAGCGCGGCUCAAAAAGGAGCGUUGUUGCUAAUUAGCAGUAGCGCAGGUGUGGAAAACCCGCUACUGACAAGUGUUUAGCAGUAGCGUGCUUUGUGUAACACGCGCUGCUACAAAUAUCGACUGACAGUGCCCCCUCAACUCCAUUUAGUAGCAGCGCGGUACCGCUAGCCGCGCUACUGCUAAAGCUAUAGUAGUAGAGCGGUUUUUCUGAGGUCGCUGCUGCUAAUUUUCAAAUUGGACACACUUUUUGUCUCGGUUAGCAGUAGCGCUUCUGACGAAAGCGCGCUGCUGCUACUUUCUAAUCAGCAACGCGUUUUACGUCCCGUGCUACUGCUAAUCCGCACCAACCCACCACCUUUUCCCCCCUCCCCCCUCCCCCUCAUCUCUUCCUUUUCCCGUACCUCCCACAUGCUCCCACUCUCACUCUUCUUCUUCCUCAAUACUUCUCCCCCAUUACUCUCUCUCUUCUAUCUACCUUUCUCUCUCUUCUUUACUCCUACCUAACUACACCACCUCCAUUAAUGCAUCUCCUUUCUCUUUUUCCUUCCCCUCCACUAGUUGAAGUUGUCUCCUCCCAAAUUAGGUAGCUAGGUAGAUGUUGGAUUUAGUUAAGUGACCUAUUUGCCCCCUAACUAGAUCUAUCUUUGUCAAGAAGAGCUUUGUGCACUUUUGAUCUCCCUACAACAUCAUCUCCACCUUGUGCUCGAUCUCGAGAUAGGUGACGAAAAUUUCAUGCUUUUGCAAAAUGGAAAUAUGUUUAUGUGUGUGUGAUAUGUUUGUGGAAAUUGUCUGUGUGGCAUGAGUUGACGCCAAAUUGUGCUUUUGAGUUGCCUAUGUUUUGCCGAAAUGUCGAUUUAUUUCCGUUUCGGCGAAUUUCGGGCAAACUCUAGAUCCAUAUAUGUCCUAUUUUUAGGGAAGGUCAUGCCGAAUAUUUGUAUGACUUUGAUGCAUGCACGCAUUUUUAUAAUCAAUUUGUUUAUUAUUACCGUGCAGAGUUGACGAUGGUUAGUGGAACGAUGGUGGACAGGUGGUUGCGGUCGGCGGUGCAGGACAUGAAAGAAAAUAACCAGACAGAGGUUUUAUGUCCGUGUCGAAAAUGCAGAGGAAUAGUUUGGCUCGACCCCUAUGACGAUGGUCGUGUCGAAGUGCACCUGCUCAUGACUGGUUUCAUGGAUGGCUAUACUCAGUGGUAACUGAAGAUGAGGAUGACGAUGUUGAGGAUGCCGACGGGGCACGCAAUGAUGACAUGGGGCAAGAUGAAGAGAUGAUCGAUAAUGGAGGCGAGGAAGAGGCCGGACAUGGCGGCGGAGAAGGGGUCGGACAUGGCGGCGGAGAGAACAACAUUGACUCCACGCAGCAGAGUUCGUCGGUACUAAGUUCAAUUGUGCGGGACCCUCAUGUUCAAGCAUUGCUUCGCAAGGAGACGAGUACUGAGAGAGCUGCUUCUAGAGAGGAGGCUAAGCUGGAGCAACUGGUGGUAGACUCGAACACUCCACUGUAUGAUGGUUGCACUCCUGAGGUGACCCGCUUGAGUUUCACGCUCCAACUCCUGAAGACGAAGGCUAAAAACAAAUGGACCGACACUAGCCUCGAUGAGCAUCUCAAGUACCUAAAGGAUGUUCUUUCCGCGGGUAAUCUAUGUCCUACUAGUGUUGAUGAGGCCAAGAAGACCGUGUGCCCUCUUGAUCUGCCAAACGUGAGAUACCAUGCAUGCAUCAACGAUUGCAUAAUUUAUCGGAAGGAGCAUGCGGAAAAAACAAGCUGUCCGGUGUGCAAUGCUUCUCGAUACAAGAAGGCCGGGAAGAAAUGUCCCCAGAAAGUUGUAUGGUACUUACCGAUCACUCCCCGUCUCCAGAGGUAUUUUGUAGAUCCCAAGGAAGCAAAGCUAAUGCGCUGGCACGCGGAGAAGAAGAAGCCCGACGAUGGAGAUGAUCCGAAGCUGAGACACGUAAAGGAUGGAAGCCAGUGGAGAGUGUUGAACAGCUUCUAUCGGUAUUUUCAAUGUGAUGCAAGGAACAUCAUGCUCGGCGCGUGUACCGAUGGCAUGAAUCCGUUUGGCAACCAGAACACCAACCAUAUCACAUGGCCCGUGUUUGUAUGGAUGUACAACCUCCCCCUGGUUGUGCAUGAAAUCGAAGUACAUUCAAAUGAGCAUGCUUAUUCAAGGGCCAAAACAACCAGGAAAUAAUAUUAAUUUGUAUCUAGGGCUACUUCAAGAGGAGUUAGACACGUUAUGGAAAACAGCGGCCAAGACAUGGGACGCCAGCAAAGGCGAGUAUUUCAACAUGAGAGCCACGCUGAUCACGACAGUGCAGGACUAUCUCGGUUACGGAUAUGUGGCAGGCCAGGUGUGCCAUGGUAUUGCGGAUGCACGCAGUGCAUGGAUGAUACUACGUCUCAACAGCUAACGUCAAGGAAAGAUGGCGGGUCUGGGAAAAUCGUAUACAUGGGGCAUCGAAGAUGGCUUGAACAGCACAACCCGUGGAGAAACCAUGGAGAUCUAUUCAAUGGUCACGCUGAGCAUCGAGGACCUCCACGUAAGCGGAGCGGUGCCGAAAUCAAUGAGCUGUUGAAAAACUGGAAGGAGUGCCUCGCGCCGGGAAAGACGAUGAGAAAGGCGCCGGACAAGCUACUGAAGGUAUGGAAGACGAGGUCUGUGUUCUAGGACUUGGAGUACUGGCACAAACUCGAUACACCUCAUUGCCUUGAUCAAAUGCAUAUAUGUAAGAAUGUCCUUGAGAGGUUGCUUGCAACACUGAUGAACAUGCCAGAUAAGACCAAUGAUGGGCCGAAGGCAAGAAAAGACUUGCAAGAUUUGAAAAUCAGGGAAGAUCUGCACAUGUCGCCCCGUAAAAUGUCAGACGAGACAGAGACGGAGACAGAGGCACGGGAGAAGAAGGGCAAGAAAAUAAAGAAAGAGGAUUAUUGCCCCCCUUCUUGCUUCACCUUAAGUCAGGCUGAGAUCAAUGCCUUCUUUAUGUGCCUUACCGGAGUCAAAGAUAGUUCCGGUUAUUGUGGCAAGAUAAGCAGAUAUCUAGACACGGACAAGAAAAGGUUUAGCGGGAUGAAGUCUCAUGGCUGUCAUGUGAUGAUGACGCAGAUACUACCUGUUGCCCUUAGAGGGAUAAUGGACAAGCACGUCUGUGACACGCUUAUUGGUCUGUGCAACUUUUUUGACGUCAUCUCUCAAAAGUCAAUCAGUGUGAAGUAGCUCCGAAGGCUACAGGAAGUGAUCGUUGUGAUACUAAAUGAGCUUGAGAUGUACUUACCGCCCGCGUUAUUUGACGUGAUGGUGCAUCUGUGUGUCCAUAUUGUGGAUGACAUAAUAGACCUGGGGCCGUCAUUCCUGCACAACAUGAUGCCGUUUGAGAGGAUGAAUGGGAUCAUCAAAGGAUUCAUUCGUAACAUGUCCCGUCCGGAUGGAAGCAUCAUCCAGGGCUAUUUGACAAAAGAGUGCAUCUCUUUCUGUGAGAAUUUUCUAUAUGGCGCAGACCAGCCGCGUGGUGUUAGUAUUGGUUUGCCUGUUAACAAGCACGAUGGGAGGCUCGAAGGAGAUGGUCACUGCAACGGUCACAGGGAACUGCACGCGGCAUACUCAGAUCAACGCAACGACUUUGACAGAGCAAACUUGGUAGUGCUACAACACCUAAAUGAGGUAGAUCCUUUCGUGGCACUGCACAAAGAAAUUAUCGCAAAGAAGUAUCUUGACCGGGGGGUAUGCAGGACGAACGCCGAAGUUACUAGAGAGCACAACUCUACUUUCCUGCAUUGGUUCAAAGAGCAUAUUAUUGCUAAUCCCCCGGAGGAGGGCUCUAAGGACGGAUUGCUCAUAUACGCCUUAGCACAUGGCUCCUAGCCCAACCUCGUAACCUAUCAGGCAUAUGAUAUCAAUGGAUACACGUUCUACACGGAGGCCAAAGAUAUGGACAGUGAUGAUCAGAACUCAGGGGUGACGAUGGAAUGCAUGACCGGCAGCGACAACGAAGCAACUGCAUGAUUUUAUGGAAGAAUCAAUACUACAUUACCUAAGAAAAAUCAUACUCCAUGGAAAAGGCAAAGUCACAAUGAGGGGCUCAAUUAUUCUUCGACGAACAAGAAGGGAAAGAAGCUGACUCAAAAACGAAAAUGUCAAUGCUGAGGAACCGUAUGUUAUCGGUCAAAUGAUGUAAUAUACAUAUAUAUAUAUAUAUAUAUAUAUGUUCCUAUUUUGUAUACACACUUAGCCAUUAUUAUGCAUGGGUCCAAUGAUGUAAUAUAUAUGUUCCUAUUUUGCAUACAUAUUUAACCGUCAAAUGAUGCAAUAUAUAUCGCCCUCCCUUCGUUCACUGCUCUCGGGAAAUAAAAGUGGGAGAAAAUAAAGGAAAAGAAAAAGGAAAACUGGCAGUAGUAGCAACUACUGAAGGCAGUAGCAACUACUGAAGGUAGUAGUAGCGUGUUUCGUAUAAACUGCUACAGCUACUGAAGGUAGUAGCAGCGCUUUUCGUAUAAACCGCUGCAGCUACUGAAGGUAGUAGUAGCGCGUUUCGUACAAAUCGCUACAGCUACUGAAGGUAGUAGCAGCGCGUUUUGGCCAAACGUGCUGCUGCUACAUCCACUUAACCCAAAAUUCUCACUAUCUCUGCUUCAUCCCGCCUUUUUCCCCCAAAUCCCCACUCUCUCUUCCCCUGUCGCUCUCCCCCGACCUCGGCGCCGGCGCUCGACCCCGACCCCGCCCCCGUCCCCGACCCCGACCACGGCGCUCGCCCCGACCUGGCCCUCGCCCCUGACCCCGGCGCGCUCGCCCCCGACCCGUCGGCCCUCGCCUCCCUCCUCUGCUUCCUCCCCUCCCAACCUCGGUCGUCGUCGGGCCUGCCUCCUCGCCCCUGCACCCUCUGUAAACCCUCCCUCCCACUCUCUCUCUCCUAGGGUUCUUCGGUUAAUUUACUUAGGUUUUAGUUAGGGCAGUAUGUUAAUUAGGUUAUCUAUUUAGUUAUGAAUUUAGCUAGGUUUCAAAAUUAGCUGAAUUUAUAUGCAAAUUUGAACUGGACAUGUGAUAUGUGGAUAUGUCAUGUUUGGAAAAUGAUCCGAGUGGCCUAUGUUACGCCGGAAUGUUGAUUCAUUUCCGUUCCAGUGAAUUUCAGGCGCUCGAUAUGUCCAUUUUUUAGCAAAGGUCAUGCCGAAAUUUCCCGUGAAUAAAGGCAUGAUUUGUGCUACAUAGUUGGCAUAUCGAGUGCUGGCACAUAGUUUUCUUUUUAUGUCAUUUCUCAUUUAUUCAUACUCUUAGAAAUAAAUGAGGACACUUAAUCAUAGGAAACAUGUCGAACAACAAAGAAACUGGGCCUUCUAACCAAGAUGCAGACAAGAUGGAUUAUGAGGGUGAACAAGAGUACCUCGACUAUUUGACUGCUAAGCAAGGUUUGUAGGUCGGCCUCGAUGAUGGUACUGAAGCCGACAUCGACACUUACAGUGCCGGCACAGAGACCGGUGGGGAAGGUACCGGUGGGGAAGGUACCGGCGGGGAAGAUACCGGCCCCGAUGCUGCUACCGAAAAGAGGAAGCAUAAGAGGAAGAGGAUACGAAAACCUAACAAACUAGGGAUUGGACGACUUGUGAUCACAAAUAUGGCACUUGGCAAGUUUGAGCCGUUAGAGCCAGAAGAACCUCGCAAGAGCUAUGGGAACCAAUAAGGAUGGAUCCUAUAGGAAUGCACGAGCAUCAACGAUGAUGACUUAAGGAGUAAAGAACAUUUGAUGCAGUUGCUCCUAACGAAGUUGCACAAGAGAUUCAAGUUCCCCGACCAGGAUGAUAACAUAGAACAACCGUGGGAUGACCCGAAGAUGAAAAAGAUUAACAAUCACGCCAUGGGCAUGUUCAGCAAUGAUUUGGCCUCCUGGAAAGGGAGGGUGAAAUGAGCUAUUGAGGCUGAUGAACCCUUGUCCAAGAUUCUGGAGGAAAAUCCGAUAGUUACGGAAGAGGAGUUCGAAAAGUUCAAGGACACUUGUGCUACCGAGGCAGCCAAGGCUAAGGCUGCGAAAUUCAAGAGCCUUCAGCAAAGGAACACCGGGAAGCAUCGCCUCGGAAGCCGUGGCUACCUCGGUAAAAGGCCCAUAUGGGAUAAGGAGGACGCAGAACGUGAAGCCGCGGGUCUCCCAGACCCCUUCGCAAAGUUCACCAACCCCUUGGAGCGUGACUUCAUCAGGGCCCGCUACAAGUGGGACAAGGAGAAAAAGGUUUUUUACAUGGACAAGAUCACGAGGAAAUUGAUUAGACUACUUGAUAAGCAACACCGGCUUGCAGCCGAAAGCCCUACUUCUCCGAUGAGGCCCAAGUGGGACACCCCUCUCAACCGGGCCUUGAACGAACUUAAGGGACUCCCUUUGGGCCAGUGGCCGCAAUAUGGUCGUGUGCACGGCGCUGGAGAUGGCGCCACGUGGAAGGUGUUUUACGAUGAGGGCCCGGAGUCCAAGAAGCAGAAAAAGAAGUUUAGUCAGGCGGACAUCAACGCGAAGGUGAAGCUUGCGGUCGAGAAAAAAGCAGCUGAGGACGCGAAAAAAGCAGCCGAGGACAAAUGUGAGUUGCUACAGUAGGCAGACAAUGCUGCUGUAAUUGCCUGCAGAAAUGAUUUCGCUACUAACUUGGUUCCAGUUAUCAUCAACUGGACGAAGGAAAAUCCAGACAAGACGGUACAUGAUUUCCCGUUGCCCAGUUUCAUCGGGAGCAACUACAUGAACAACAACACCAUCGCACCAUCACUUGCUCACGCAACCGGCCCUCCUCUCACAGCCGCUCCCGCUCAUAGCAGCCUGUCCUCAGUCUCAGGCGUGCUAGGUGGGCCUUCAUCUUUGGCUGAGCUCGACGCCGUCACGGUAAUUACAUGUCGCACCAACAUAUAUAUAUAUAUAUAUAUAUAUAUAUAUAUAUAUAUAUAUAUAUAAUAUUCCAUUUUUGUUGCCUUUCGGUUGUUUUACGCCACAGACAUAUGUGUUUGCAGGAGAAAGAAACCCCGUGCACCAUACUCUACUUGAUCAAAGGCGAGAAGGUGGACAUGGGAAAGGGAAUGAUAAUGGACCCCUCGCAACCCAUGUUCCACAACCAGCCGAUCCCCGCUGUGCACUUCAGGGUUAGCUUGACCAGUGUGAAAUCGGGGCACGAGGAUUUGCCUCCUCCAGUACAGCAUGUGGGAGCGGACGACGAGACCCCGCUGCGGAUUGUAAGCUACAAGGGUUGGGUGCUGCUAUGGCCGAAGAAUCUUAUUCGUCUGGAGCGGCCGAGAGCACACCAAUAACCACACAUCAACAAGCAUGUGCAGAGACGACCACCCCGCCUAUGCAAUUACCAGCUCCUGUAGUGCCGGGUGAGAGCGGCGGACGACAUGAUGAAGGGGGUGCAAUAGUACUGGCUGAUGUAAUUUCUCCUGUAGAACAGAGAAUGGAUGAUGAGAAGGAGGUCGACCCUAUGGAUUACCUCAAUACAAACGCGUAUGAAUGUGACAUAGAUAUGAUGAGUCAAUCAUAUGACGAAUCGGGCUAUCAGCUUGCUAAUGAGGAUAUUGAUGAUAUGCCCGGGCAGGGUCGUAGCAGGGAUUGCAAAAAGUCUAUCUUCAUGAAAUCCUCACAGGACACGCCUCAAGAUGCCGCCUCAACACAGGCUCAACUAGCCGGGCACGAGGGUCAUACAGUACUUAGCCCGGGAACACUGGGGCAGGGGUUAAGGAAGGGUCUGGAAGGUGUGCCCAAGAAAAAGGAGAGGAAGAGAUCGGGGAAGAUAACUGACUCCAAACAAUCCAGAGCACAUAGCAACCACACAAUGCAUUCUGAAGAGUGUGUACCCAUGAAAGGUGCGGUCAUGUUCCAUCUCACAGGCGAGCCGAUGCUACCGCUGAAACUGCUGGAGGCACUAUCAGGGGAUCUCAAGAGACUGCACUGUAACGCCCUCGAUGCGGCUAUAGCUCCCACGUGUCGAGGCACGGCUUAGAGGCAUAACCGCAUUGAAAGCAAUGUCGCAAGUCAGGCAAUCAUUACAACAUCCCAUGUAAUACAUAAUAAAAAGGGGGAGAUAACAUAGUUGGCUUACACUCGCCACGUCACAUCAGAGUACAUAAAUAACAUCCAUCAAACAAGCACUCAUGGCCCGACUACGGCGCCAAAAUAGAAAAGACCCCCAACAUGCGACAAGGUCCUGAAUCGAUAACCCCAACUAGGCACCACUACUGAUCAUCCGGAAAAGAAACAUAGUAUCGCUGAGAGUCCUCGUCGAACUCCCACUUGAGCUCGUACUCGUCACCUGGAGCGGACUCACCUGGACCUGCAUCUGGAGUUGUAGUAUCUGUGAGCCACAGGGACUCAGCAAUCUCACACCCACGCGAUCAAGACUAUUUAAGCUCAUAGGAAUGGAUAAGGCCAAUAUGUGUGGAGCUGCAGCAAGCGACUAGCAUAUGUGGUGGCUAACUUAUACGCAAAAGAGAGCGAGAAGAGAAGGCGAAGCACGAGCGAGAAGCUAAAGGAACAUCCUGCGCAAGCAUAACUCCAACACCGUGUCCACUUCCCGAACUCCGCCGAGAAGGGGCCAUCACGGUAACACACACGGUUGAUUCAUUUUAAUUAAGUUUAAUUAAAGUUAUCUACAACCGGACAUUAACAAAUUCCCAUCUGCCCAUAACCGCGGGCACGGCUUUCGAAAGAUCAAUCCCUGCAGGGGGGUCCCAACUUAGCCCAUAACAAGCUCUCACGGUCAACGAAGGAAUAGACCUCCACCCAAGACACACCGAUCAGACUCGGUAUCUCGGUACAACAAGAUGAUUCGGCAGGUUAAAACAAGUCCAGCAACACCGCCCGAAUGUGCCGACAAAUCCCGAUAGGAGCUGCACAUAUCUCUUUCUCAGGGCACGCUCGGAUAGGUCAAGCUACGAGUAAAACCAAACCUCAAGUUUCCCCGAGGUGGCCCCGCAGGCUGCCUGGUUCGGACCAACACUUAGAGGAGCACUGGCCCGGGGGGGGUUAAAAUAAGAUGACCCUCGGGCUCCGGAAACCCAAGGGAAAAAGAGGCUAGGUGACAAAUGGUAAAACCAAUGUUGGGCAUUGCUGGAAAAGCUUUAAUCAAGACGAACUAUCAAGGGGUUCCCAUUAUAGCCCAACCGUGUAAGGGACGCAACAUUCCGGGAACAUAACACCGAUAUGACGGAAACUAGGGCGGCAAGAGUGGAACAAAACACUAGGCGAGAGGCCGAGCCUUCCACCCUUUACCAAGUAUAUAGAUGCGUUAAGAUAACAUAGCAAUAUAAUGAUAUCCCAACAAGCAAUAUAAAUGUUCCAACAAGGAACGGCUCCAAUCUUCACCUGCAACUAACAACGCUAUAAGAAGGGCUGAGCAAGCGGUAACAUAGCCAAUCAACGGUUUGCUAGGACAAAGGUGGGUUAGAGGUUCAACAUGGCAAUUGGGAGGCUGACAAGCAAAAGGUAGGCAUCGAAGCAGUGGCAAGCAAAAGAGCGAGCAAACUAGCAUAGCAAAGAUAGUAGUGAUUUCGAGGGUGUGAUCAUCUUGCCUGCACAGUUGUCAGAGUUGACUGGAUCCUCACAAGCAAACUCAACGGGCUCCUCGGUAGCGAACUCGUCUCCCGGCUCUACCCAAAGACAAACAAGCAACAAGGACACAAUCAACCACGGGCAAGACCAAGCAACAUGAUGAAAUGACGAUAUGCUAUGCGGGAUGCGAUGCGGGAUGCAAAAUGCAAGAUAUGACAGGAAAUGCAUGAACCUGGCAUCAACUUGGAAAACCAAGUGUGCCACUGGAUAGAGGGGAUGAAAUCGCUUGAAAACGAUAUAAAGAUCAUAGGAAUCGGAGCUACGGUUUGGAAAUGGCAAGCGUUUUAAGAUAUGACACCGGUCUGCGAUUUAUAGCAAGUAGGCAUCUAAAUGCAACGAAAAGAACAUGCUACAGCCACCAAACAUGAAAACAAAAUAUAUGGCAGUGAUGUACACAAGAUGGUUGACAAAACACUAGCACUGAGCCAUAGGCAAUUCAUCCAUUAAGAGGUUCAAACAAGCAUGGCUAAAACGCAAAUGCAAAACAGAUUUCAGACUUAGUGAAAUUAAUACUAGUCUGAAAUUUCAGAUCACGAAGCCCUCUUCGGAGCAGCAAAACAACAUGAUAGAAAACCUGAACAUGACAAGUAAGAACAUGGCAUGGAGCUACUCAACAAGCUUAACAAAACACCCAAAGUGACCUGGGGCCAAAAGGGUUCACAAAAUACUCUACCGAGCUCACGAACAUCGCUCGAACACAAUCAGUUUUCAGACUUAGUGAAAACUGAGACAUGCUGAAAUUUAACUCACGAAGGCAUGUAAACGAGCUCGAUGCACUCACUACGGUGCAAGUCAUGGCAAGGAAAGCAUAUCACCAGCAAGAAGGCACAAAGUGCUAGCUACACAUGGCAAGAACGAAGGCAUAGCAUGCAUGGAACGCUAACGGUAGCAUCGGCGAAAUCGCAAACAAGUUGACGAUCUGCCCAGAUUAACAAUGAAGCAAAAGUUGAGCUCGAUUGAGUCAACCUAGAGCACUNNNNNNNNNNNNNNNNNNNNNNNNNNNNNNNNNNNNNNNNNNNNNNNNNNNNNNNNNNNNNNNNNNNNNNNNNNNNNNNNNNNNNNNNNNNNNNNNNNNNNNNNNNNNNNNNNNNNNNNNNNNNNNNNNNNNNNNNNNNNNNNNNNNNNNNNNNNNNNNNNNNNNNNNNNNNNNNNNNNNNNNNNNNNNNNNNNNNNNNNNNNNNNNNNNNNNNNNNNNNNNNNNNNNNNNNNNNNNNNNNNNNNNNNNNNNNNNNNNNNNNNNNNNNNNNNNNNNNNNNNNNNNNNNNNNNNNNNNNNNNNNNNNNNNNNNNNNNNNNNNNNNNNNNNNNNNNNNNNNNNNNNNNNNNNNNNNNNNNNNNNNNNNNNNNNNNNNNNNNNNNNNNNNNNNNNNNNNNNNNNNNNNNNNNNNNNNNNNNNNNNNNNNNNNNNNNNNNNNNNNNNNNNNNNNNNNNNNNNNNNNNNNNNNNNNNNNNNNNNNNNNNNNNNNNNNNNNNNNNNNNNNNNNNNNNNNNNNNNNNNNNNNNNNNNNNNNNNNNNNNNNNNNNNNNNNNNNNNNNNNNNNNNNNNNNNNNNNNNNNNNNNNNNNNNNNNNNNNNNNNNNNNNNNNNNNNNNNNNNNNNNNNNNNNNNNNNNNNNNNNNNNNNNNNNNNNNNNNNNNNNNNNNNNNNNNNNNNNNNNNNNNNNNNNNNNNNNNNNNNNNNNNNNNNNNNNNNNNNNNNNNNNNNNNNNNNNNNNNNNNNNNNNNNNNNNNNNNNNNNNNNNNNNNNNNNNNNNNNNNNNNNNNNNNNNNNNNNNNNNNNNNNNNNNNNNNNNNNNNNNNNNNNNNNNNNNNNNNNNNNNNNNNNNNNNNNNNNNNNNNNNNNNNNNNNNNNNNNNNNNNNNNNNNNNNNNNNNNNNNNNNNNNNNNNNNNNNNNNNNNNNNNNNNNNNNNNNNNNNNNNNNNNNNNNNNNNNNNNNNNNNNNNNNNNNNNNNNNNNNNNNNNNNNNNNNNNNNNNNNNNNNNNNNNNNNNNNNNNNNNNNNNNNNNNNNNNNNNNNNNNNNNNNNNNNNNNNNNNNNNNNNNNNNNNNNNNNNNNNNNNNNNNNNNNNNNNNNNNNNNNNNNGCGGCGGCGGCCGGCCGGGGAGAAGACGGCGGCGGGGCGCGGGACAGGGCGCGGCGGCGGUUCGGGCCAUGAGUGCUUUCGCGUUACAUGCACGACCAUGUGCUUUCGACUGAGAAAAGCCUACUAGCCUCAAAGGAUCUAGGAUAUCCGACAUACGCGGCUCGUGUGCCUGAGGGAAAGUGCUAUGUCGAGACACGGCCCGCGGAGGUGUUCUUCCGGCGGUUUGACCAUAUCUUUGAGAUGUUUCUAACAAGGCGGCUCGAUUUUACAACCGUCCACCUUUUUGCGCUACAUAUGAGCUCCAUCAUGAAGAGUGAAGAAGUCUCGCAAAUCUGUGUGGCGGAUCCACACUACAUGCACGAGUCUUUCUUGAGUCUCGGCGACUUUGAGCGUGAAACUGCUAGGGAGUACCUACAAAACUUCAUGGUACAGAAUAAGGACCGGGAAAUUUUCCUCGUGCCUUAUCAUCCAAAGUAAGUCAGUUCCGGACAACCCUUUCGUACAUUUCAAUCAUUCCUUCUCUCUCAUAUGGGGAAUAAUUUGAGGUGUCUUUUCCCCGCAGCAAUGGGCGCACCGUCCUUAUCGUUCUUUACCCGCAAGUCUCCCACACCAUGUAUUUUGAUCCUUCCAGAGACUAAGAGAUAAAAGACUACACCCACAUAAUGAAUAUUCUAGAUGAUGCUCUCCAAGGCUUCAGCUUUAGAGGUGGCCACGUGCAGAUCGGGAAACAAAGGAACAAGAAGAUGGGUUUCGCGCAGAAAACUAACUUCUCCUGCAUCCAUGUCCCAAAACAAAGCAAGAAGGAUGGAUUCUACAUCGUCCAUCUCAUGAUUCAGUUUAACACGGAUCACCAAAAGCUUCGCAUGAGAAGCAGAAAUGAUGAUCAUAUCCACAAGUGGCUAGAAUCUCAUGGAGAAGCGGAUUAUAAACUUAGAGAUGACUUCUUUCGAAUCCAAAGCGACAUUGCGACGAUCAUCAUGAAAGAAGUCAUCAAUGAGAAGGCGAUGUUCCACCACGGCCCUAUAUCACGAGCUGAUAUGGAAGGAUGGAACUUCUAGUGAUUUAGACCUCACGUCGUUCAAGAAGCUAGGGUUCAUCCUCGAUGAUAUGGAAGGAUGGAACUUCUAGUGAUUUAUGAUGCCGAUGAUGAUGAUAUGUGUCGGUUGAACUUGUAUACUUUUUGUAGCGAUGAAACUUUGUGAUGUCCAUGGUCCCUGCCAAACUUGCGUAACACUACUUUUUUAGUUUGCGUACGAUGACCCGCGUACCUCUAGUUAAUUAAUUUGCGUACUGUAUGUUGCAUCUAGUUGCUAACCCUUUCUUUUUUGGUGUUGCUCUAGUAUAUUUUGUUGCAUAUAUAUGAUUAUACAUCCUCUUCAUGAACAUGCAUCUCUAACAGGUACCUAGUUUCUUGAUGACGAGAUGGACUUGCUAUGUCGUGUACAAAGGGAAGGUUCCGAGGGUGUACAACGAGUGGCAUGAGUGUCAGGCGCAAGUGAAUGGGUUCACGGGCGCCAGCCAUAAAGGCUUCAAAAGUAAACAAGAAGGAGAAGCUAGUUACUUGAGAUUCACGCUAGCGCGAGAGAUGACUCGUAACCGCCACCUCAUGUACUGCAUAGUUCCGCUCUCACUCAUAGUGAUAGCUCUUCUUGCGUAUACCUUUGUUAGAUGGAUGACGUUGUUGUAGUUGCAAGUAUUUGAGACUUGCAUGUAUCGCUAUUUUCGAGAUGAUGACAAGAUACCACUUUGUGUUGGAUGAUGAUUAUGAUGAGACUAUUUGUAUGUAUAUGCUAUGAUUACAUUUGUGGUCUCGCAGGCAUUUGUAUGUGUAUCAUGAUGACAUUUCUAUGUGCUAAAGAUUCUUCUAUAAAGCUUGUUCAAAUACAAAACAAAUAUGCGGGAAAAAAAACUACUUAAAUUAGCAGUAGCGAGUGUAGUUAGCAGCAGCGCCGCGAUAGCAGCAGCACGUCAUGGCAAAGCGCGCUAGAGCUACUAGCAGUAGCGAGCUUCCACUUACCGCGCUGCUGCUACACUUGUGUAGCAGUAGCAUCUGUGACCACGCGCUACUGCUAUGUGUUAGCUGUAGCGCCUUAUUAGUAGCGCCAUGCCCCGCGCUACUGAUACACCUAAAACCCGCACUGCUGCUAGCCUUUUCCCUAGUAGUGAUGUAUGACAUGCCAACAUCAGAUAGCCUAACACACCAUGUUAAAUCUCCAAGGGCGCGACCGCACGAGCGACGCAACGGUCGUGGUAGGCGCGACCAUGAUACAGGUUGCUGGCAGCCCUUGAGAUCAAACGGUCGCAUGCUAAGUUGCUGAAAAAUUGCAGAAUAACCCUCCAAGAUAGGAUAUUCACCCAUAGGUCUAGAAUCACGCCAUGCAAGCGUUCAAUCAUAGAUCCAAGGGCUCUCGGAAGCCCAUAUCAUGGGAGAAUGGAAAGCCACUACCCUGCCGUUCGCACGCUGGCAGUUCGCUCCAAGUCGUCCCCGCAUGUCCUUCAAUACUACGGCGGUUCGCCCCUAGUCGUCUCGUCCAUUCACAUUACGGCGGUUCCACUAAUCCUAACCCUCCUCCCAAAUCCAUGGCGUCCCAAAUCUCCAUGAUCGGCGGUGAGUACAAGGUUAGAACCAUCACCGGCAAUGAGUUCGACGUCAUCUACACCUGUUCUUCCGCGACGGUGAAAGGAUGCCUUUCUCGCUUCAGAUGCAUGUUCGAAGACUCAGAUGAUGAGUGGGUCGCUUGGCUAGAUGUUGAGAACACCACAUUCCUGGGAUGAGAGAAGGAUCUAAAGGACAAAGAGAGGAAGAAGCCCUCCUUGAUCCAGGUUUGCGUGCAUGAUUUAUGCUUGGUCUACCACAUAUGCCAUGCUGACGUUGAAUGCCUGGAUUUUUAGAACUUCCUCAAGAGCAACCUAGACAAAUUCGUUGCUAUAGACUUCGGUAACGACAAAGAAGUCCUGCAUCAGAUAGGCCUUGUUGUAGGUAACCCCUUCGACCACCAGAAGAAUCGGUUGCUGCCCUUCGGUGGCCAGCCUUCAAUGCUGACCCUGGCAGGAGCCAUGGUUCAUCCUUCGUACCGUAAACUGGAGAAACCUCAUUACAUGUUUCAUCAUCAUGCAUGGCAGCGGAAUGUACUAGAUAUAGACCACAUCCACUAUGCUACAAUGGAUGGCUACCUUUGUUUCAAUAUCUACAAGGGUUAGAUGAAGAGCAAGAGUCAAGUGUGCGGUUCAAGCAAAGAAGUAGUAUCGGCCAAGAGGAAGAGGGACAAGGACGAAGUCGAGGACGUGGACGAGGACUCCUCUGAGUGAGUAAGGUGUCAGUAUCGUUGCUCAUGGUGGUUCUAAUGCAGUGUCUAUCGGAUUAGUUGCAUAGUUUAAUUUCAGGUGUGCUUAGUUAAAUUUGAGGGGUGUGUUGUGCUGAGCCCCAGCCGAACUAUGUUAUGUUUCUUCUUGUUACUUUAACUCCCCAGUAUGAUACAUACUACUAGUAUUUCUUUAAUAGAAUUUAGCACCCCAAUUAAGCACGUACUAGCUUUUUUAAUAGUACUAUAUGCAUAAUUUGGCGACGAGCGCUCUCUAUAUGUACCACCUUUUUUUUAAUUUUAAUUUUCGCUCCACGGCGUAAUCCAUGGAUAGUACUACUGUACAAAAGUAUACAUUUUUUAAAAGGCUGGAGUACUGUUCAUCACAUAUAUAGCCAGUUAAAUUCUCAACCUAGAACGAUGUGCAUGCCAUGUAGUAAACCGAUACGGAGGAAGUAUAGAAAAAUGAGGUGAUUUUACCGAGCGAUCGGCGUGGGAGCAUGGCCUGUCAUGCGGUCCCACGUGUCAUGAUGUACCAAGGCGAUGCGCAUGUCCCUCUUGAGGCAGAAGCAAUACUACGUGGUUUGAGAUGAUGGCGAACCGAAGUGUGAAAUAAUGGUUGCUUCGUCCGUCUGGGAAGGUGCGGCAUUGCGAUUUGACGUCUCAUUGCUCAUUACUACUACUGGCCCGGUACGAGUGAAGUGCGUCCCCCUGCUGUUCUACACUGUUAUUUAGUGCUUGACACGUCGACCCGGUUGCUAUAUGUCCCACAUGUAGGCGACAGGAAGUACAGAAUUCAUGAAAGGGAGCCUCGACGGAGGAGUAUACUACAAAAUUCAUGAAAGGGAGCGACUUAGUUUUGGAAAAAUUUGUUUUUACGGAGUAGUACGUACCCACUAGGGUUUAUAGGGCUCAUCUAAAAAACAUUCAUUUUCUCGUUUGAUAAGUCUCAAUUCUACUAUACUAGUAGUAGUACCAUUACAUGUUGGAUUGAAGGUGCGUUAGAUCACCCGACGCAAGCAGUGUCAAGAGGAAACUAACCAAUGCAUGUGCAAGUUCAUGGAAAUUUAGUGGGAGUAAAAUUGUCUCCUCGUGUUGCGAGCCACCGAGCGCGUGAGCGAGGGAGAGGGCGUAAGGUGUACAGUAGUAGGAGUACUACAAUUACUACUCGUAAGCAAGCUUAACCUCAUCCUGCGAGCCACCGCGCCUGUGGGCGGGGGAGAUGGCGUACUAAGCAAGCUUCUCCUCGUUCUGCGAGUUGACGGGACACAUCAAAAUGACUCCAGUGUAUAGAGCCUUGCCUCUAAGGUAGGCCCCACAUGGUUUGCCUCUUUUUUUAACAUAACACAUCAAGUCGCAAUUUGUUUGUUCACCCGUGGUAGACGAUCCUCCCUCCACCAAGUGGACAACCCGUACACGUGCCAAAUUACCAUGUGGGCUGCCUUUUUCCUAUAGAAAUGAGGUCCACCGUGUACCCGCGCAGGUGUGGUUGGGAAAGAGACGGGAGUACAUGCACCGUGCGUGCACCUCUUCUCUUCGUGCACGUCCCCCACCUACGUAGUGUGUGUGAGAGAGAUACAAACCUAGACAUAAUGCACUGUCCAUCCCCAUGCCUCCGCCUAGUCCGACCACCAGUCACCACCAUGCCCCACUCCUCCUCACCUUAUCUCUCAUCUUUCUCCCUCCAUUUUUUUAUACAUUGGGCCACUAUCAAAAUUGCUCUACAAUCUGCAGAUAUACAAGGCCACUAACACUAAUAUAUGCAAUAUUAAUGGUGUUUGCCUCAUGGUACUAGCAAAGGAGGACAUUAAUUAUCCCUUGCAUGCAUGCGGGAGUUUGUAAAAAAAAUGCAUCUUAAUGUUCCGUGCAAUGCACAGGCAUCUUGCUAGUCCAUGAAAACAACACAUGGCAAAAUUCCAUGGCGAACGAGGGAUUUGAAUCUGUUGGGAGGGGCUGUUUGGAUCUUGCCCGGGGUAGCCAAAAUAUUGGCGACCCUUUUGUCCACCGGUGCCUUUGCCACCGAUGAACGAGGAAUGGCUCAGGUGCUCAUGCUAUCAUGCAUCCUCCAGCGCGCAUGUUGGAGACGAGCUCGCACGAGCUAUGUUUUUUGUCCCACAACGCCGCCCGAGCCGCCCACAGACCGACCGGCGACCCACAAAUUACACCAUCCAACCGGACGGAAUUCACGCAAACACAUAGACAAACUGAUAUUUCGUAUAAACAACGACAGAAAUCAUAUAAAAUACCGGAUUUUCAUACAAACAUGAUGAAUUUCAUUACAUUCAAAUGAACUACGUGGUGCUAGUUCUGGACAGCAUAGGUAUAUAAUACCUGGCCUAAUGGUCGCCCGCCGAUCGAUUUGUGUUCCUCAUGUCCGGCAGCACGAUCGCCGGACUGCCGGGAGCCCCAGAGGUAUAUGCUUCAGCACAAAGGACGGCUCGCUUCCCCACUGCCCAACUGAUAUCAUUGGCUGGUGCCGAAGAUGAUGGUGGCCGGCACCGGUUCGAGUUCAUCACCGGUCACUACUUCGCCAUGGCCGGCACCGGCUCGAGUUCAUCCUAACAUUCCCCUCUUCCAUGGAACCCACGCGGUGUCGACGGAGGUCCUCGCAACAAAAGGAUCUGGCAAGACACCCGUUGUGUAUGCUGGCGUCGCCUCCGUGGUGGCCUUCAUGGGACCCAAGCGGCGGCGGCCUCCCGUGUUCUACUUCUCAUUGAUGAUGGCGGCGGACGCGGAGGCGCUAGCCACCGACUCGUCGCUCUCCGCGCACCCGGCUUCUGUCGCUGCUUGCAUGGCACGGCCACCGGCAUGGAGUCUCAUCCACAGAAACGGGAGACGCGGUACAAGGCGGCGGCGUGGACGGCAACAACGACGCUCGUGCGCCGCUCCUCGUCGAGCUGGCCUGGAGUAGCGAGUUGCUGAAGCACGCACCGGCUUGGGGCGGCAUCUGGCUCCAUCGGGCGAGGGUAGGGAGGUGAAUCAGUGAGCUGCAUAGCUCGUAUCCGGCGGGCUACCCAGCCGGCUUGGAUGCGGAAUAACUACUCUUCGUAAGCCAUUGUAAGAGUGGACAAAAUGGUGGAGGAGAUAGGGGAGUGGCGGAGGUGUGCGAUUCUUGGCCGGCAUUUGGCCUCGUUUAAAUAGGAGAUCAAAUAGACGGCGGAUGGGAGGAGCUCAGCCGGUGUUGUGUUUAACGCCGGCCUGGUCAUGAACGGACGUGUGUCCAGAGUGGGUUUCUCGGCUUCCACACGGGCGGGUUUCAUGGAGGCAUUUGAAUGCGGCACGAAGGCAUGUUCAGCCGGACGUGCAGCGAGUGGCGCCCUCGACUCUGACCUAGGACAUCACGCCAUUCUUCCAUAGACGUGUGGGCUCUAUGGGUGCAUGGCCUUCAUGUCAGUGACCCAACGCAGGUAGCGCACAGCAGAGGAACCUUCGGUGGGCUAGGGCGGUCAGAAGCGGGCAUUUCAUAAACUGAUGAUUGUUCAUUGAGUGUGACGUCAUCUUUUUCAUGUAGAUAAGCCUACUAUGUUGAUAGCCCGUUCGAUACGUUGUGAUUCAUAAAGACCGCUGCAAACAUCAAUGUUCUGCUUAUCACAGAUAAGAUUGAUUAAUACCCAUAACAAUCCAUGUCCUUAAGAAAGGGUGCGUGCACGUAUAGGUUGAGUGUGUGUCUUGCGUCGUGUGCUGUGUGCAUGCAGGCGUGCGAGUGUUGCAUGCGUGCAAGGGUACGUUUCAGUGUUGCCUGCAUGGGUGCGUACGUGCGUCUGUUCGUGAGUGCAUGUGUACGUGUCAGUGUUGCACGCCAGCAUGCGUGCGUGUGUAUGUGUUAGUGUUGCACGCCUGCAUGCGUGCGUGUCUUGUGUGCGUGCAUGUGUAUGUUAUGUGUACGUGUCAAUGUUGCACGGCUGCAUGCGUGUGUGUCUUGCGUGCGUGCAUGUGUACGUGCGGGGUGAGGCUACACGUCAGCCGACUGACUUUUUCAUCUCUGGUCAUUAGAUUUUCCAGCCGUUGGAUAUGAAAUCAAGGGCCUCCAGUUUAUCAUCAAACUCCACCCCCCUGAGCCGCCAGCCCCCGCCNNNNNNNNNNNNNNNNNNNNNNNNNNNNNNNNNNNNNNNNNNNNNNNNNNNNNNNNNNNNNNNNNNNNNNNNNNNNNNNNNNNNNNNNNNNNNNNNNNNNNNNNNNNNNNNNNNNNNNNNNNNNNNNNNNNNNNNNNNNNNNNNNNNNNNNNNNNNNNNNNNNNNNNNNNNNNNNNNNNNNNNNNNNNNNNNNNNNNNNNNNNNNNNNNNNNNNNNNNNNNNNNNNNNNNNNNNNNNNNNNNNNNNNNNNNNNNNNNNNNNNNNNNNNNNNNNNNNNNNNNNNNNNNNNNNNNNNNNNNNNNNNNNNNNNNNNNNNNNNNNNNNNNNNNNNNNNNNNNNNNNNNNNNNNNNNNNNNNNNNNNNNNNNNNCCGGCGAUCCCCACCCCACCGCCCAAUGAACGCCCCCCUCCAACCGCCGGUGACUGCCAACCAGAGGUCUCACGACUUCGAAUACCCACACCACUAAUUUAUUACCAUUUUUGUCCUUCAUAUACGCGCUGACGGGUGGGCCCAAUGGUGAUGUGUGCUGCUGAAUGUGGACCAUUUGGCUGGUCAAUUGAUCGUGUUAUCAACAAAUUACGGAGCUGUAUGGUGAGCCAGUGACCGUAUGCAUGAUCACCCUAAAAUGUACUCCUAUUUUAUUAACAGUACAAACUCAAACUACCAUUUCUUUCUUUCAUAUAUGGGCUGACAGGUGGGCCCCACGGUUACGCGCCCCGAUGGUGCAACACUAGUUGCGCUGCGUGGAACGUUUGACUGGUCAAUUGAUUGUGUCAUCAACAAAAUACAGAGUUGUACGGGUAAGCCAGUGACAGUAUAAUCAUGACAUGUAUUUGUUUAACAUGGUACAGACGCAAGGGCUCAUAUAUACGCGCAAGAACUCACCGCUAUAAGCGCACACACGCGAACCCUACCCCUAUGAGCACCUUUGAGAGAGUGGGCCAGCAUAUAUGAUCUUGAGAUUUUAGGAAGUCACCAUAGGUACCUCGUAGUCGAGUGGAACGUCUCCUCCCACUGAACGUGCAUCGCCGGAAAAUACUGAAAUUAACACAAGAUAAAUGCGAGCACCGGGACUUUAAACUUGGUGGGCUCGAGAAACGACUGUCCUCCUAACCAUCCAACCACAUGUUGGUUAGCACGACAAAAUGUAUGUGGUGACCGUGAUGAGCUUAUUCUGAAGUCCAGUGACCAUAUCGUGCUUUCGUUUCAAAUACAAUGAUCGUAAAUGUCGUCAACAAAAUACGGAGCACGCAUCAAAUGCAAAGUCCGUCAGUGUCAUCAACAAAAUAUGGAGACGUAUCGUGAGCUAGAUACCGUUGUACUACUGUAUAUGCUUAUUUUCUUAGUGGCCGAUUGCGUGUGUGGUGUGGUGGGCACAUCAUUUCUAGUUGUGGUGGGUCAACAUGAAGACUCAUGGGUUGGUUCCAUCCUGCGCCACAAAUAGGUUGGACCGAGACGUGUUAUACGAAGACCCAUGUGGAGGACUCGGCGUACAUCACGAAGCUACCAGAGUCGCGGAGGACUUUAUCCCCACUGGUGACAAGCUGACUAUAUAUGAUUUGUAACCCUAGGCCCUUAGUAUGUUAUACAAGCUUGGGGGCUAGUUCGUUGAUAGUAUACACACACGCACAAUGCCUGGUAUUCAUGUGUACUUUGUACACACCCCUAUCACUAAUAUACAAUACCAGGAGUAGGCUCUUUCUUCAACUGCAAGGGUCCGAUCCAAACUAGGGUAAAACUUUGCCUCGUAUUACCAUCCAGCCUAACAGCCAGGGAUAUCCUACCGAAUAAUAUGAUGAAUUCAUAUCUGCCAACUACUAAGAGAGAGGUUUGUCGGGGGGGGGGGGCAAUGUGUGCGAGAGAGGCCUAAAGAUAAUGUGCGUGUGGGAGAUACGUAGGCACAUAUAUGUGCGUAUAGAGGGCUAGUAGAGACCGUGCGUGUGUAUAUACGCAUGUGAGAGAAAUAGUAUUUUCCAACUGAGAUUAGUGAAAAGAGUGGUACAUCACUACUACGGAAAACCCUAGUAGUAGCGCGGGUUUUGAGGCUAUCAACAGCGCGGGCACCGGCGCUACCAAUAAGGUGCUACAGCUAACUGUUAGUAGUAGCGCUGUCUGCGCCCGUGCUACUACUAUUGACUAUAUCAGCAGCGCGUUUUCUGAACCGCUGCUAUUAGUUAGCUGUAGCGAUUUCCUGAGCCCGCGCUACUGUUAUAUCUUUCACCAUUUCCCCACUCUAGCUUCAAUUAACUGCAAGUUCCAUAUACUAGGUACUACUAGAUAUCAACUUCGUAAAGCAUUAUAGGUACUAGGUAGUACUCCCUCGGUUCAAAAUUACUCAUCGUGGUUUUAGUUCAAAUUGGAACUAAAACCACGACGAGUAAUUUGGAACCGAGGGAGUACUAGAUAACAAUUUCACAUAUACUCAACAUGCAUCCUCAAGCAGUACAAGGUGACAUCGACGACGAUCAUCAUAUUUAGUUCUAGAUGAUAUCGACGAUGAUCAUCAUAUGUAGUUCUACAUGAUAUCGACGAUGAUCAUCAUAUGUAGUUCUAGAUGAUAUAGCCACACACACAUAUGUAGUUCUAGAUGAUAUCGACGACGAUCAUCAUCCUCAAGACUGGGCGGUGGGUGUUCUUGAUAGUAAUUAGGAUGGCCUGUCCAACACGAAGAUUCUUGCGAACGAGGAAUCUCUUCCACCCAACCGAGUUUAAGUGUGUGCGACCGGCUGUGUCCAUGCGGUAAGUACAGGUGGUGACGGAGCCCCUUGCGCUAAGGCGUAGUCCAGCUGAGCCUUCUUCAUCAGGCUCGAUACCACAACUCACAGAUAGGUUCUUUGGCAAUUUCUGAAUAAGAAAAACAUAUCAAUUAAUAAAUAGCCUCACACAUACUCUUUCAAAUAUAUUUCUAUUAAGUCUAGAUUUCUACAUUAUCAAAAGACACAGUACUAUGCAUUUGUACUAAUUAAUCAUGAAUUCUACUAAUAAGUAUAUAUGGAUUAUCUACACUAUUAAUAGUUCCUUGGAUUCUACACUAAUAAGCAUGUGAUUAGACUCUACACUAAAGCAUAUCAACCACUAGAUUUCACACAACAUAUCAUUGGACUCUACACUAAGCAUAUCAUCGGAUAAUUUGCAUUUGUAAGUAUAACAUACCAUAUCAUGUCGAUCGACCUUGGUACUUGUCAGGCGGGUCACGAAUGGCACCCCGACAAAGUCAGCACGUGGUGGAAUUAUGUCCCAUAGGUUGCAUACCUCCUCCUCGCUCAGCCUCAUUCUUUGAGCUACGAUGGCUUCAUGAAGUGGGUUCUCAUCAUCUUCAUCGAGUGGGUCCUCAUUAUCUUCAUCAUCUUCUUCAUCUGCAUCAUCUUCGUCAUCUUCAUCAUCUUCGUCAUCUUCACCAUCUUCCACCAGGUUGAGAUAAAUGACAGCCAGCUUGGGUCUUUCUGCUCUGGAGGAGAAGCUGAUCAACUCACCACCAGUAAGACGCAUGCGGGCGAGGAAACGGGCCCAUCCAUCUCCUCCAAUCUGCGACAUAUUGCGUCCUUUCUCGACCUCCAUAGUGUACGGCCCCCCAGGAGCCUCAAAUGUCACAGUGUCUCCUAUCAGCUUGUUGAAUGUCAACCUCACAUUACAUGGGACGGUUUGUGUAAGAAAAGAAAAAUGACACAAUGCAGUAAUGCCAACACUAAAACUAAAAAAGUUGUUACAUUUCAUCUAAUUUCUUACCGCCGCAUGACGAAAACUCAGCUGGAAGUAGAUGCCAAACAGCUUGCCAGUUGCAAGGCUGCUGGCGCACCUUGACUUGCACAGUCGACAUAGUGGUGCUGGUGGUGGCGCCAUUUUCCUAAAGCAAUAUGAGCAAAGGAUUAAUGAUUCACUUCACAGGAAAGAAAAACAGUAGCAUGUGAUAUUUUCCUAAAGCAAUAUGAGCAAAGCAUCCUAAAUCAACUAAAUCAACUAGCAUACUAAAUCCAGUAGCAUACUAAAUCAACUAAAUCAAAAUGUUCUAAAUCAACUAAAUCAACUAGCCUACUAAAUCAACUAAAUCAACUAGCCUACUAAAUCAACUAAAUUAACUAGCCUACUGAAUCAAUUAAAUCAACUAUCCUACUAAAUCAACUAAAUCAACCAGCCUACUAAAUCAACUAAAUCAAAAUGUUCUAAAUCAACUAAAUCAACUAGCUUACUAAAUCAAUUGAAUCAUAUCAACUAAAUCAGAAUGUUGCAUAUGAACUAGCCUAAUAAAUCAAAAUGUAGCAGGGAGGAGGGAGAAGGAGGGGCGACUCGAGGAGGGAGAAGAGUGUAGGACGGAGGAGGAAGGCGGAGCGAGGAGGGGCUGGCCGGCGGCGAGUGGAGGCAUAAUGGAGGAGGAAGGCGGAGCGAGGAGGGGCUGGCCGGCGGCGAGUGGAGGGAGAAUGGAGGAGGAAGGCAGAGCAAGGAGGGGCCGGCCAGCGGCGAGUGGAGGGAGGACGGAGGAGGAGGCCGGUACCUAGUCCAGCGAGGAGGAUGAGGUGACGGCAGUGCAGAUCGGAGGAGGGGCGACGAGAGGGAGAUCGAGUGUGUGUGUGAGUGUGAUCUGGAUUGGAUAGGUGAGGAGGGGGGCGAGAUGGAAUGGAUUAGCACUAGCGCGCUAUAGCAAAAUGCGCUACUGCUAAGCGACCUAUCAGUAGCGCCUUUGGACGAGAACGCGCUACUGCUAUGUUAGACAUAGACAUAAAAAAUACAUUGAUCAUCAAUUGUCUUUUUGUGUACAAUCUGAUUUGUCAAUAGGAAUCCUUGUUGGUUGGUUUAGGAACAGGCGAGGAUUCCUAUUACGGCCAUGGAUCCUACUCAUAGAGUUCGAUGAAGACCAAGUGCUUGUGAAAGUUGUAGAAGUAACAUAUUUAAGGUGGUACAAACUCUCUUCACGGAGCGAGGUGGGACUAAAUUUUUGUAGUAACCUUAGUAGUAGCGAUUAUUGCGUAAAUGCGCUGCUACUACGAUCCGUAGUAGUAGCGCCCUUUGCAUUAACGCGUUGCUGCUAUAAUUGGCCUCGCGGCGGCGUCAUGGGAAUUUUCGCAGUAGCGCGUCCUAGGGUGUGUGCACUACUGAUAAACUUGUACCAGCAGUGAGUUUUGAAAGCGAACGCUACUGCUAAGUAGCAGCAGCGCCUGAUUUUAAAGCGCGUUGCUGGUAAGAUUUUGUGUAUAGGAUUUUCCCUAGUAGUGCAUAGUAGUCAGAAAGAGAGAGAGAGAGACAGAGAUAGCACGUGCGUGAGACACCUCGACACCCUGAGAGAGAUUGUGAGAAUGUGUGAAAGAGAAAUGCCGAUGCAUAUAAAGUGUGUGCACUUAUGCGUUAUUUAGAGAGAGAUAUAACACGUUUGUGAGAACGGGGCGAGGCAUAGUGCAUCUACGUGUAAAAGGCGGUUCUAUGCAUUAAAUUAAAAUAUAAAUGGCAUUAUUAUUUUUGGAUGAGAUCAUGAAUUUUGCAAAUUGCGUAUGGACAAAAAUCGGUCUAUCAGACGCCCAUACUCUAUUGAAUUCUAGCAUGUGCAUGUGUUUAUUUCAUAUAAUCGAUCCAUAGAGUGAGAGCGGUUUGAAAUACAGGAAAUGGAUGCGUUUGAAAUUCAUAUAUAAACAUUAAUUAGUGCACUCCACGCUGUUAGUUUUAAGCUCUUUAUACAUUUCUCACUUGCAUGGAUACAUUCCAAAUUGCUAGCUAUGAAAUAGAAUACAUGUCGAAUUCAACAUAAAGGGGGUUUCGAACAUUCGAAUUCAUAGGAAGUGCAUUCAUCUAUUUGAACCCGAGAUAAUGGUAUUUGUAAAUCAGAUGUAAAAGGGGGCAGCAAUCUUUGUUGUGAGUUUGAACAUGCUAUAUAUAUUCAUACGCAUAUCUAACUUUUUAUUUUCUGCAAGGAAGGAGAUUAUAUCUGGAACCAUGCAUGAACUAAGGUAAGUUGCAUAUUUUUUAAUAUAUACUCAUGUACAAUGUAUAUUCAAAUGUACCCCCUCCAUUCCAAAAUAAUCGUAGCUUUAGGAUUUUCAAGAGUAAAGAUUUGUGAAGUUUGACAAAUCCUGAAAGUUCAUUUCAAGAGAACCGAAAACGUUAAUGCUUCUACUCCCAAAUAUUGAAUGAAGCACCAAAUAGGCCUAUGGUCACCCGAAACCGCGCGAGACUAAUGUUUGGUGGUAGGAAAUUACUGUCAUGACUCUGGCCCAUGUAGCCUAUCGUCUCGAUGUACAAAGGUCUAAACCGGGGUAGGUUUGUAACUUCACCAAGACGCCAGUCUCAACCGCCUUCGAGAAGCAUUCAUACGCCGUGGGCGCCUAAACACCCAUGCGCUCGGCCGAAAUCUAUCCCGCCCACAUUUGGGACACCUGACAUGACUGUCCUACCCCAAACCCGCAAUAUGUCUGAAAUUUUAGAUGGGGGAAAAGUUUUUAACUUUCCCCAAAUUUCAAUCAAGCACGUCUCAAACCGAAACAUUGUUCCCCCUUAGUUCCCCGCCUCCCUCUGUUUCCCCAUUCAUACUCCGUGGGCGCGAAAACGACCGCUCCACCAGCCGCGAAACCCCAGCCUCCUCCGUCCCCCACCCCAUAGCGGCCAAUCCACCGCCGCCCUCCUCCAUCACGCCGGAGCCGGUACCCCGACGUCGUCUUCCAACGGAACCGCAACCGCAACACCCUCAAGGACUUCGCAGCUGAAGCCAAGGCAGAGCUGCCUCCACGAUGCCGACGCCGACGUGCGCCGUACCAGAACCACUCCGACCACGCCGUCCUACACCUCACUGCUGCGGCUCCACUGUCGCAACCGUCCACCACACCGGAGCUGUUCCUGCUACGCCGUCGUUCACCGCCUCGGAUCUGCUUCCCCGCCGCCGACAGACGGCCACCGCACCACACUCAACAACUUGGCCAUGGGUUCAUCCAAGGCUGCACCGUCCUCCACAACUUCUGGUUUCCGGCGAACGACAAUAAGAUCGUCGGAAAAACAGAACGAGGACAUAGCACUGCCAGCAGAAAGAGGUACUCCUCUUCCCUUAUUCAUGCAAAUCUUAUGUCACUGCUCAAACCGUAUUCAUCCCAUGAAAGAAACUAGUUGAGCGCUUCUUACUGCAUCUUCUUCGUGACACUAAAUGCACAAGGUUUCCUCCCUUUUACUAUUUCACCUUUGCUAGAGGUCAGUAGGCCGCCUAGAUUUCAAUUCAGGGUCAGUCGAACCGCAAUUAAAAGAAGCAGCACCCACUUAGGCGAGCGGAGCACCUACUCCGCCUAUUCCCUGGGGAAGUGGCGCAUCGGUGUCUAUCAGAGGGGUGUGGAGUGCAGGAGCUGCUUGCUCCUGAUCUGGAGGUCGGCGGGGCUUGGAUGGAUGUCCGGGGGGCGGUGCCAAGCACGGCGGUGCGGUGAGGUCGAGGGGAGGGCGCAGGCAGGGGAGGAAUACUGGGCCGGUGGUCGCCGGCGUUUCGAGGAAGAUCGUCAACACUGACUAGCUGGAGGUAGAUGAAGGUGAUCUGCCCAUUCUUUGUACAUCAGACGGUGCAGAAAAAAUGGACUGACCUAUUUGCUGUCAGUCGACUGUUAUUUUCAUAGAAUCAUGUAGUAAUUUAGUGUGCCAUGCAUGUUGUAGAGCUAUCAUAUGUCUCCCGUCAUUUAUUUCUCACCGACCUUCUAUCUGCUACCUUUAUACUAUACUAAUUGUGCACACACUUCACCCAUAGUCACACUAUUGUUUUUUUAUGCAUGGGUAUUUCAGACUCUGACGCAGUGUUGAUGAAUGCAGAAAAGAGAAGACAGAAGUCGCUCCAAUGUAAUUCCAAUAUAAGCACUAUGCGUUUCAGCGCUCUAAUGGGUGCAGUGUCAGCAGUUGGAGACAGUAAAUGUAGCUCUGCAGUUGAUGAUCUCAAUUGCCACACACAACCAUCCUAGGUGCUUGCUUUAACUUCACGCUGUCAAAUGUGGUUGCAUGUUGCAUAUGGUGUCUAGCUUGUAUUGCUUCCAAUUUGGUUAAAUUGCAUCUGCUUACUUUACACAUUAUACAUUUCAUAAUGACAUGCCUUCCUGUUUUUGAUACAUACUACAUAUGUCUAUUAACCAUGUUCGUACAUCAAACUAAUGCUCUUUUGUAUCCCUCGUCAAUCACUUAUGAUGAGACAGUCACCCAGGUGGGUUACUGUGAGACGCCCUACUCGUUUAAAGAGUGAAGUGUGAUCCUCCCCACAUGAUUCUCAAGAAACAGCAAGGCUAAAUGAAGAUAGUCAACGUAGCUCUCUAGUUCAUCACUUCAAUUCCCCCACACCACCAUCGCAGGUGCUUGCUCUUACUUGGCAGUGUGAUAUGUGGUUGCAUGUUGCAUACGGUGUCUAGCUUGUAAUGCUUCUAAUUAGGGUAAAUUGCAUCUGCUUAGUUUACACACUAUACCUACGAAUAUGACAUGCCUUCCUAUUUUUGGUACACACUGCAUCUAUAUGUUAACCUUGUUCUUACAUGAAACUACCUCUCUUCUGUAUCCUGCAUCAAUCACUUACUAUGAGUCACCUUUAUUUGUUGCAUAUUGCAUAUUAUUUCUAGCCUGUUGCCAUGUAUGGCUUCUAAUUUGGUCAAAUACAUUUGUUAGGGCACCCUUUUAAUUUGGCAGAGUGAUAUUGGUUUCAUCUUUCAUAUGGUUUCUAGCUUGCAUCGAUUCUAACAAGUUCAAGCACCUUGUGCUUAGUUUACACUUUAUACAUCAUACAUGUCAAUAUGUCAUGUCGUCCUAUUUUUCAUACAUAAUCCAAUCGUCCUAUCAUGCGGCUGCCUUACAUGAAAGUAGUGUUCGUCAGUAUCAUGCAUCAAUGAGUUCUGAAGAGCAAAUUUUAUUCCUUUUUCUUGUGGGUUUGACUUGACAAGGCAAAAUCAAGAAAGAGGAAGGAAAAGAGUAAGGAAGGCGAUGGUGGUGGUCCUCUGCAGAAACGUAAACAGAGCAUCUAUACCGAUUCUCCUUGUACUGAUAGUGCAUUACAAGGUCCAAGUCUCCUCUCCCCUACUCCACCAUCCAAGGUGCUUGCUCUAACUUGGCAGUGUGAUAUCUGGUUGCAUGUUGCGUAUGGUGUCUAACUCGUAUUGCUCCUAAUUAGUGUAAACUGCAUCUGCUUAGCUUACACAUGAUACAUGUGAAUAUGACACCCUUUCCUGUUUUUGGUACAUACUAUAUCUCUAUAUAACACCAUGUUCUUACAUGAAGCUACUCUUCUUGUGUAUCAUGCAUCAGUCACUUAUGAUGUGACACCUUUAAGUUGGCAGUGUGAUAUUGGUUUGCGUCUUGAAUAUGAUUUCUAGCAUGACUCUAUGACUUUUUGUACGUGAAACUGUUGUGUUGGAUGCUUGGUGGUAUGCUUUAUAAUAUAAAGUGGAGGGGGAAACCCUUUUUCGUGAUAUGAUUUCUACCAUGUAUUUCUUCUAGUUUGAUGAACGCCACCUAUGACGAGACAGUUUUAACUUGGCAGAGUGAUAUUGAUUGCACCUUCCAUAUGGUGUCUUGCAGUGUUUCUAAUUUGUUGAAGUGCCUUCUGCUUAGUUACCAAAUCAUAGGUGUGAAUAUGUCAAGCCGUCCAUUUUUUCGUACAUAUUCCAUCCUUGUAUCAUGACUUUGCCUUUCAUCAGAGUAGUGUUCAUCUGUAUCAUGCAUGAAUGAGUUCUAAGGAGCGAAUGAUAUUCCUUUUUCUUGUUGGUAUGACCUCAUAAUGAAAAAUCAAUAAAGCUAAAGGAAAUUGGCAAGGCAUUGGAUGAUGGUGGUGCUUCCGAGCAACUGAAAUGGAGGUUCUCUACAUAUUCUACUCCACCAUCCUCCCAACAAGAUUCGCAAGACAACGCAAGGCUAGAUAAUCAACGUAGCUGUGUAGAUGAUGAGCACAUCUCCCCUACUCCACCAUCACAGGUGCUUGCUCUAACUUGGCACUAUUAUAUGUGGUUGCAUGUUGCGUAUGAUGUCUAGCUUGUAUUGCUUCUAACUUGAAUUGCAUCUACUUACUUUACACAUAAUGCCUGUGAAUAUGACACGUGUUCCUAUUUCUAGAACAUACGUGUACAUGAUGAGCACAUAUCCCCUACUCCACCAUCGCAGGUGCUUGCUCUUACUUGGAACUAUUAUAUGUGGUUGCUUUUUCCGUACGAUGUCUAGUUUUUAUUGCUUUUGAUUAUGUUGAAUUGCAUCUACGUAGCUUACAACUUAUACCUGCAACGAUCACUUACCCAUAAGACACAUUUAACUUGGGACUGUGAUGUAGGUUGCAUCUUGCAUUGUCUUCUAGCUUGUACUGCUUCUAAUUUCUUGAAAUGGCACUUACGAUGAGACACUUUUUACCUGAUAGAGUGAUAUUGGUUGCGUGUUCAUAUGGUGCCUAGCUUUCAUUUAUUCUAAUUUUGUUGAAAUGCCUUCCGCUUAUAGUUUUUUCAUACAUAUUCCAUCCUCCUAUCAUACGUGUGAAUAUGAAACACUGUCUUUUUUGUAUAUAUUCCAUCCUCCUAUCCUGCGCUUGCCUUACAUCAAAGUAGUGUUCGUCUGUAACAUGCAUCAACCAGUUAUGCAUAGCUAAUUUUACUCAUCUUCUUGUGGUUUUGACUUCAUAAGGCAACAUAAGAAAAUAGGAAGGAAAAGAGUAAGUUAGGGGAUGUUGGUGGUCCUCCGCACCGACGCAAACAGAGACUCUCUAGAUUUGCCACUGCUACUGCUAAUGAAGUUGAAGUCCCAAGUCUACAUGAUGAGUUCGUCUCCCGUACUCCACCAUCGCAGGUGCUUGCUCUAAGUUGACAGUGUGAUAAUUGGUUUCAUGUUGCAUAUGCUGUCUAGCUUGUAUUUCUUCUAUUUUGAUUAAAUUGCACCUGCUGAGUUUAUACGUUAUACAUGUGCAUAUGACAUGGCUUUCUGUGUCUAGAAUACACGGCAUCUAUCUAUCAUAUCUUACAUCAAAGUACUGUUGUUGUGUAUCCCGCAUCAGUCACUCAUGAUUAGAUGCUUUUAACAUGGCAGUUUGAUAGUGGUUGCAUCUUGCAUUGAUUUCUAUGUUGUACUGCUUCUAAUUUUUCGAAUUGCCACUUAUGACAAGACACUUUUAACUUGGCAGAGUAAUAUUGCUUGCAUCUUUCAUAUGGUGUCUAGCUUGCAUUACUUCUAUUUUCUUGAAAAUCCUUCUGCUUAGUUUGCACAUCGUAGCUGUGAAUAUGUCAUGCCGUCAUGUUUUUCUUACAUAUUCCAUCCUCAUAUGGUUGUCUUACAUCAAAGUAUUGCUUGUCUGUAUCAUGCAUCAAUCAGUUCUGAAGAGUGAUUUUAUUCUUUUGUGUUGUGGGUACAGCUUGACAUGGCAAAGUCAAAAAAGAGCAAGGAAAAUAAUAUAGUAGGGAGUGUUGUUACUCGUCGGGUGAAACGGUAAAGGAUCUGCUGUCGAGAUUCUAUUGGUACUUAUAGUGUGGUAGAAGGUCCAAGUCCACCGGCUAAGUCUACAAACACAGUAUCACCUGCUCCACCAGCUGCAGCAUGCGCUUCAACUGUACCAGGAUCUCAACCAGUUACUCAUUUGUUUGCUCCGGAACUGGCCAGUUCCCAAGCUGCCUUCACACCUAACACUACUUCUGAAGCACUGCUGACACAACAGGACUUGGCAAGAUCAGAUGAAACUCAUGAGCAUCAACACCAAGACGGUACCUGACCGAGUCAAGUUGCAGUUGCAUGCUCCUUUAUAUGUACUCUCACAGUUUGAUGUACACUAACACUUUCCAUAUUCGUUGUUGAACUAGCACCACGGCGCAAGCGGAAACAAACAUAAGGGAUAAUGCUUGACAGAUUAACAAAAUCUAAAGGAGGAAGAAUAGAGAUCCAUUCUGAGGCAGGUUUAAAAAGGCCACGUGAUGCUACAGAGUCAGCCAUCAGAGGCAGCCAUUGCCGUUAGGUGUCAUGCACGUAUCCUCCCAACGUGGAUCUAGUACAGGAAUGAGAAAGACAAUACCCAGUUUAACACCUUCCUUGACCAUUUAUCCGUAAGUAAUGUUAUUCAUCGCAAUUAGUAAUAUUGUCUUGCUCUGUCCCAUACUUUCUAGCUUCCUCCUAAUAAGACUCACAUUCUUUUUUCAACAGAUGAGGUUCAAGUUGGAUCCGAAAGAUGAUGCAACUAAAAAAGCAUGCACUCAUGUUUUUCAGUCUGCUCUGCGACAGUAUCAGUACCACCUUAGAAAAUCUCACUUUUAAGGCAUGGCUAACAAUGAAAUCGCCCAAACAUCUCCAGUGGAAUAUAUUACAGAUGAAGACUGGACAGCCCUUGUUAAAAUACUGGUCUGAUCCAAAGUAUCAGGUAGGCUAUAUGUAUUUGAUCAAACCACAUAUUGAACUUGUAUUUAUGUAUGUGCCUUACAAGUGUAUCUUGUUCUAGGUUAACUAUUUGAAGAACAAAACCAACCGUUCUAAAGUGAAAUUCCAAUAGACAACAUGAUCUCGUAGCUAUAUUGCACACUGGGAGGCACUUGUAAAUAGCUUCUACUUCCUUCUUUUUUGUGUUCCAUAUUAUCGUAUCUAUAUUGACUUGUUCCAAAUACACAGGAAAGCCCGUGUGGACCAAAAAGAACCUGAACCGAAUGCAGUGCAAAUCUUCAAGGAUUGCCACAUCAGCAAGAUGAAGCGCAUGAGCACACUAGUUCAAGCCGCUGUUGGAAGUCCUUACUCCUCCUGCCUUCAACUGAUUGGUACUGCGAUGUGUUUGUUGGGGAAUGUUGCAGAAAAUAAAAAAAUUCCUACGGUUUCACCAAGAUCAAUCUAUGAGUUCAUCUAGCAAUGAGACAGAGGAUUGCAUCUACAUACCCUUGUAGAUCAAGAGCGAAAGCAUUCAAGAGAGCGGGGUUGAGGGAGUCGUACUCGUCGUGAUCCAAAUCACCGGAGAUCCUAGCGCCGAACGGAUGGCACCUCCGCGUUCAACACACGUACGGUCAGGGAGACGUCUCCUCCUUCUUGAUCCAGCAAGGGGGAAGGAAAGGUUGAUGAAGAUCCAGCAGCACGACGGCAUGGUGGUGGAUGCAGCAGCGAUCUCGGCAGGGCUUCGCCAAGCGUCUGCGAGUGGGAGAGGUGUAGCAGAGGGAGAGGGAGGCGCCAAGAGCAUGGGUGCGGCUGCCCUCCCUCCCCCUCUUUAUAUAGGGCCCCUAGGGGGGUGCCGGCCCUAGGAGAUGCAAUCUCCUAGGGGGCGGCGGCCAAGGGGGUGGCUUGCCCCCCAAGGCAAGUGGAGGCGCCCCCACCCCUAUGGUUUCCAACCCUAGGCGCAGGGGGGCCAAGGGGGGCACACCAGCCCACCAGGGGCUGGUUCCCCUCCCACUUCAGCCCAUGGGGCCCUCCGGGAUAGGUGGCCCCACCCGGUGGACCCCCAGGAUCCUUUUGGUGGUCCCGGUACAAUACCGGUGACCCCCGAAACUUUCCCGAUGGCUGAAACCUGACUUCCUAUAUAUAAUUCUUUACCUAUGGACCAUUCCGAAACUCCUUGUGACAUCCGGGAUCUCAUCCGGGACUCCGAAAAACUUUCAGUUUACUGCGUACUCAUAUAUCUACAACCCUAGUGUCCCCGAACCUUAAGUGUGUAGACCCUACGGGUUCAGGAGACAUGCAGACAUGACCGAGACGCCUCUUCGGUCAAUAACCAACAGCGGGAUCUGGAUAUCCAUGUUGGCUCCCACAUGCUCGUCGAUGAUCUCAUCGGAUGAACCAUGAUGUCGAGGAUUUAAGCAACCCUGUAUACAAUUCCCUUUGUCAAUCGGUACGUUACUUGCCCGAGACUCAAUCGUCGGUAUCCCAAUACCUCGUUUAAUCUCGUUACCGGCAAGUCACUUUACUCGUACCGUAAUGCAUGAUCCCGUGACCAGACACUUGGUCACAUUGAGCUCAUUAUGAUGAUGCAUUACCGAGUGGGCCCAGAGAUACCUCUCCGUCAUACGGAGUGACAAAUCCCAGUCUCGAUUCGUGCCAACCCAACAGACACUUUUGGAGAUUCCCGUAGUGCACCUUUAUAGUCACCCAGUUACGUUGUGACGUUUGGCACACCCAAAGCACUCCUACGGUAUCCGGGAGUUGCACAAUCUCAUGGUCUAAGGAAAUGAUACUUGACAUUUGGAAAAGCUCUAGCUAAACGAACUACACGAUCUUUGAGCUAUGCUUAGGAUUGGGUCUUGUCCAUCACAUCAUUCUCCUAAUGAUGUGAUCCCGUCAUCAAUGACAUCCAAUGUCCAUAGUCAUGAAACCAUGACUAUCUGUUGAUCAACGAGCUAGUCAACUAGAGGCUCACUAAGGACAUGUUGUGGUUUAUGUAUUCACACAUGUAUUACGAUUUCCGGAUAAUACAAUUAUAGCAUGAAUAAAAGACAAUUAUCAUGAACAAAGAAAUAUAAUAAUAAAAUUUUAUUAUUGCCUAUAGGGCAUAUUUCCAACAGUCUCCCACUUGCACUAGAGUUCAAUAAUCUAGUUACAUUGUGAUGAAUAGAACACCUGUGGAAUUCUGGUGUUGAUCAUGCUUUGCCCUAGGGAGAGGUUUAGUCAACGGAUCUGCCACAUUCAGGUCCGUAUGUACUUUACAAAUAUCUAUGUCUCCAUCUUGAACAUUUUCACGAAUGGAUUUGAAGCAACGCUUGAUGUGCCUGGUCUUCUUGUGAAACCUGGGCUCCUUGGCAAGUGCAAUAGCUCCAGUGUUGUCACGGAAGAGUAUGAUUGGCCCCGACGCAUUGGUUAUGACUCCUUGGUCGGUGAUGAAGUCCUUCACCCAAAUUGCUUCAUGCGUUGCCUCCGAGGCUGCCAUGUACUCCGCUUCACAUGUAGAUCCCGCCACGACGCUUUUCUUGCAACUGCACCAGCUUACUGCCCCACCAUUUAAAAUAUACACGUAUCCGGUUUGUGACUUAUAGUCAUCCAGAUCUGUGUCGAAGCUAGCGUCGACGUAACCCUUUACAACGAGCUCUUCGUCACCUCCAAAAACGAGAAACAUAUCCUUAGUCCUCUUCAGGUACUUCAGGAUAUUCUUGACCGCUGUCCAGUGUUCCUUUCUGGGAUUACUUUGUUACUUUCCUACCAAACUUACGGCAAGGCUUACAUCACGUCUGGUACACAGCAUGGCAUACAUAAUAGACCCUAUGGCUGAGGAAUAGGGGAUGACGCUCAUCUCUUCUAUAUCUUCUGCCAUGGUCGGGCAUUGAGCCGAGCUCAAUCUCACACCUUGCAAUACAGGCAAGAACCCUUUCUUGGACUGAUCCAUAUUGAACUUCUUCAAUAUCUUAUCAAGGUAUGUGCUUUGUGAAAGACCUAUGAGGCGUCUUGAUCUAUCCCUAUAGAUCUUGAUGCCUAGUAUGUAAGCAGCUUCUCCAAGGUCCUUCAUUGAAAAACACUUAUUCAAGUAGGCCUUAAUGCUGUCCAAAAGUUCUAUAUCAUUUCCCAUCAAAAGUAUGUCAUCCACAUAUAAUAUGAGAAAUGCUAUAGAGCUCCCACUCACUUUCUUGUAAACGCAGGCUUGUCCAUAAGUCUGCAUAAACCCAAACGCUUUGAUCAUCUCAUCAAAGUGAAUGUUCCAACUCCGAGAUGCUUCCACCAGCCCAUAAAUGGAUCGCUGGAGAUUGCAUACCUUGUUAGCAUUCUUAGGAUCGACAAAACCUUCUGGCUGCAUCAUAUACAGUUCUUCCUUAAGAUAGCCAUUAAGGAAUGUCGUUUUGACGUCCUUCUGCCAUAUCUCAUCGUAGUUAACCCCUUGAACUUGUCGAUAACCCUUAGCAACAAGUCGAGCUUUAUAGAUGGUUACAUUACCAUCCACGUACGUCUUCUUCUUAAAGAUCCAUUUGUUUUCUAUCGCUCGCCGAUCAUCGGGCAAGUCUGUCAAAGUCCAUACUUUGUUUUCAUACAUGGAUUCUAUCUCGGCUUGCAUGGCUUCAAGACAUUUGUUGGAAUCUGGGCCCUCCAUCGCUUCUUCAUAGUUCGAAGGUUCACUGUUGUCUAACAACAUGAUUUCCAGGACAGGGUUGUCAUACCACUGUGGUGUGGAACGUGUCCUUGUAGACCUAUGAAGUUCAGUGGUAACUUGAUCCGAAGUACCUUUAUCAUCAUCAUUAACUUCCUCUUCAGUUGGUGCUGGCACCACAGGAACAACUUCCUAAGCUGUGCUACUUACCGGUUCAAGAGGUAGUACUUCAUCAAGUUCCACUUUCCUCCUACUUACUUCUCUCGAGAGAAACUCUUUCUCCAGAAAGGACCCGUUCUUGGCAACAAAGAUCUUGCCUUCGGAUCUUAGGUAGAAGGUAUACCCAAUGGUUUCCUUAGGGUAUCCUAUGAAGACGCAUUUUUCUGACUUGGGUUUGAGCUUUUCAGGUUGAAGUUUCUUGACAUAAGCAUCGCAUCCCCAAAUUUUUAGAAACAACAGCUUAGGUUUCUUCCAAAACCAUAAUUCAUACGGUGUCGUAUCAACGGAUUUAGACGGUGCCCCAUUUAAAGUGAAUGUAGCUGUCUCCAGAGCGUAUCCCCAAAAAGAUAGCGGUAAAUCGGUAAGAGACAUCAUAGAUCGCACCAUAUCCAAUAAAGUGCGAUUACGACAUUCAGACACACCGUUACGUUGAGGUGUUCCAGGCGGCGUGAGUUGUGAAACGAUUCCACACUCCCUUAAGUGCGUACCAAAUUCGUGACUUAAAUAUUCUCCUGCAUGAUCUGAUCGUAAGAACUUUAUUUUACAGUCACGUUGAUUCUCUACCUCAUUCUGAAAUUCCUUGAACUUUUCAAAGGUCUCAGACUUGUGUUUCAUCAAGUAGACAUACCCAUAUCUACUCAAGUCAUCAGUGAGAGUGAGAACAUAACGAUAUCCUCCGCGAGCCUCAACGCUCAUUGGACCGCACAGAUCAGUAUGUAUGACUUCCAACAAGUUGUUUGCUCGCUCCAUUGUUCCGGAGAAUGGAGUCUUGGUCAUUUUCCCCAUGAGGCAUGGUUCGCAUGUGUCAAAUGAUUCAUAACCGAGAGACUCUAAAAGUCCAUUAGCAUGGAGCUUCUUCAUGCGCUUGACACCAAUGUGACCAAGGCGGCAGUGCCACAAGUAUGUGGGACUAUCGUUAUCAACUUUACAUCUUUUGGUAUUCACACUAUGAAUAUGUGUAACAUCACGUUCGAGAUUCAUUAAGAAUAAACCAGUGACCAUCGGGGAAUGACCAUAAAACAUAUCUCUCAUAUAAAUAGAACAACCAUUAUUCUCGGAUUUAAAUGAGUAGCCAUCUCGUAUUAAAUGAGAUCCAGAUACAAUGUUCAUGCUGAAAGCUGGCACUAAAUAACAAUUAUUGAGGUUUAAAACUAAUCCCGUAGGUAAAUGUAGAGGUAGCGUGCUGACGGCGAUCACAUCGACUCUGGAACCAUUCCCGACGCGCAUCAUCACCUCGCCCUUUGCCAGUCUCCGCUUAUUCCGCAGCUCCUGCUUUGAGUUACAAAUAUGAGCAACGGCAGCGGUAUCAAAUACCCAGGAGCUACUACGAGCACUAGUAAGGUACACAUCAAUUACAUGUAUAUCACAUAUAGCUUUAGUGUUGCCGGCCUUCUUGUCCGCUAAGUAUUUAGGGCAGUUCCGCUUCCAGUGACCCUUCCCUUUGCAAUAAAAGCACUCAGUCUCAGGUUUGGGUCCAUUCUUUGACAUAUUCCCGGCAGCUGGCUUACCGGGCGUGGAAACUUCCUUGCCGUCCUUCUUGAAGUUCUUCUUACCCUUGCCUUUCUUGAACUUAGUGGUUUUAUUCACCAUCAACACUUGAUGUUCCUUUUUGAUUUCUACCUCUGCUGAUUUCAGCAUUGAAUAUACUUCAGGAAUGGUCUUUUCCAUCCCCUGCAUAUUGAAGUUCAUCACAAAGCUCUUGUAGCUCGGUGGAAGCGACUGAAGGAUUCUGUCAAUAACCGCGUCAUCCGGGAGAUUAACUCCUAGCUGAGUCAAGCGGUUGUGCAACCCAGACAUUUUGAGUAUGUGCUCACUGAUAGAACUAUUUUCCUCCAUCUUACAGCUAAAGAUCUUGUCGGAGACAUCAUAUCUCUCGACCCGGGCAUGAGCUUGGAAAACCAUUUUCAGCUCUUCAAACAUCUCAUAUGCUCCGUGUUGCUCAAAACGCUUUUGGAGCCCCGGUUCUAAGUUGUAAAGCAUGCCACACUGAACAAGGGAGUAAUCAUCAACACGAGACUGCCAAGCGUUCAUGACAUCUUGGUUCUCUGGGAUGGGAGCUUCACCUAGUGCUGCUUCUAAGACAUAAUCUUUCUUUGCAGCUAUGAGGAUGAUCCUCAGGUUUCGGACCCAAUCCGUAUAGUUGCUGCCAUCAUCUUUCAGCUUGGUUUUCUCUAGGAACGCGUUGAAGUUGAGGUGGACAUGAGCGUUGGCCAUUUGAUCUACAAAACAUAUUUGCAAAGGUUUUUAGACUAUGUUCAUGAUAAUUAAGUUCAUCUAAUCAAAUUAAUUAAUGAACUCCCACUUAGAUUAGACAUCCCUCUAGUCAUCUAAGUGAUACAUAAUCCGAGUCGACUAGCCCAUGCCCGAUCAUCACGUGAGACGGACUAGUCAUCAUCGGUGAACAUCUCCAUGUUGAUCGUAUCUUCCAUACGACUCAUGCUCGACCUUUCGGUCUCUUGUGUUCCGAGGCCAUGUCUGUACAUGCUAGGCUCAUCAAGUUAACCUAAGUGUUUUGCAUGUGUAAAUAUGUCUUACACCCGUUGUAUGUGAACGUUAGAAUCUAUGACACCCGAUCAUCACGUGGUGCUUCGAAACGACGAACUUUCGCAAUGGUGCACAGUUAGGGGGAACACUUUCUUGAAAUUAUUAUGAGGGAUCAUCUUAUUUACUACUGUCGUUCUAAGUAAACAAGAUGCAAAAACAUAAUAAACAUCACGUGCAAUUAAACAGUGACAUGAUAUGGCCAAUAUCAUAUAGCUCCUUUGAUCUCCAUCUUUGAGGCUCCAUGAUCAUCUUCGCCACCGGCAUGACACCAUGAUCUCCAUCAUCAUGAUAUCCAUCAUCGUGUCUCCAUGAAGUUGCUGGCCAACUAUUACUUCUACUACUAUGGCUAACGGUUUAGCAAUAAAGUAAAGAAAUUACAUGGCGUUAAAUCAUUGACACGCAGGUCAUACAAUAAUUAAGACAACUCCUAUGGCUCCUGCCGGUUGUCAUACUCAUCGACAUGCAAGUCGUGAUUCCUAUUACAAGAACAUGAUCUCAUACAUCACAUAUAUAUCAUUCAUCAUUCAUCACAACUUUUGGCCAUAUCACAUCACAAAGCAAUUGCUGCAAAAACAAGUUAGACGUCCUCUAAUUGUUGUUGCAUCUUUUACGUGGCUGCAAUAGGGUUCUAGCAAGAACGUUUUCUUACCUACGAAUAACCACAACAUGAUUUGUCAACUUCUAUUUACCCUUCAUAAGGACCCUUUUCAUCGAAUCUGCUCCAACUAAAGUGGGAGAGACAGACACCCGCUAGCCACCUUAUGCAACUAGUGCAUGUCAGUCGGUGGAACCUGUCUCACGUAAGCGUACGUGUAAGGUCGGUCCGGGACGCUUCAUCCCACAAUACCGCUGAAGCAAAAUAAGACUAGUAGUGGCAAGAAAGUUGACAACAUCUACGCCCACAACAAAUUUAUGUUCUACUCGUGCAAAGAGAACUACGCAUAGACCUAGCUCUGAUACCACUGUUGGGGGACGUUGCAGAAAAUAAAAAAUUUCCUACGGUUUCACCAAGAUCAAUUUAUGAGUUCAUCUAGCAACGGGAGAGAGGAGUGCAUCUACAUACCCUUGUAGAUCAAGAGCGGAAGUGUUCAAGAGAACGGGGUUGAGGGAGUCGUACUUGUCGUGAUCCAAAUCACCGGAGAUCCUAGCGCCGAACGGAUGGCACCUCCGCAUUCAACUCACGUACGGUCAGGGAGACGUCUCCUCCUUCUUUAUCCAGCAAGGGGGAAGGAGAGGUUGAUGAAGAUCCAGCAGCACGACGGCGUGGUGGUGGAUGCAGCAGCGAUCUCGGGAGGGCUUCGCCAAGCGUCUGCGAGAGGGAGAGGUGUAGCAGAGGGAGAGGGAGGCGCCAAGAGCAUGGGUGCGGCUGCCCUCCCUCCCCCCUCUUUAUAUAGGGCCCCUAGGGGGGCGCCGGCCCCAGGAGAUGCAAUCUCCUAGGGGGCGGCGGCCAAGGGGGUGGCUUGCCCCCAAAGGCAAGUGGAGGCACCCCCACCCCUAGGGUUUCCAACCCUAGGCGCAGGGGGGGCCAAGGUGGGGGCGCACCAGCCCACCAGGGGCUCGUUCCCCUCCCACUUCAGCCCAUGGGGCCCUCCGAGAUAGGUGGCCCCACCCGGUGGACCCCCAGGACCCUUCCGGUGGUCCCGGUACAAUACCAGUGACCCCCAAAACUUUCCCCAUGGCCGAAACCUGACUUCCUAUAUAUAAUUAUUUACCUCCGGACCAUUCCGAAACUCCUCGUGACGUCCGGGAUCUCAUCCGGGACUCCAAACAGCUUUCAGUUUACUGCAUACUCAUAUCUCUACAACCCUAGCAUCACCGAACCUUAAGUGUGUAGACCCUACGGGUUCGGGAGACAUGCAGACAUGACCGAGACGCCUCUCCGGUCAAUAACCAACAGCAGUAUCUGGAUACCCAUGUUGGCCCCCACAUGCUCCUCGAUGAUCUAAUCGGAUGAACCAUGAUGUCGAGGAUUUAUGCAACCCCGUAUACAAUUCCCUUUGUCAAUCGGUAUGUUACUUGCCUGAGACUCGAUCGUCGGUAUCCCAAUACCUCGUUUAAUCUCGUUACCGACAAAUCACUUUACUCGUACCGUAAUGCAUGAUCCCGUGACCAGACACUUGGUCACAUUGAGCUCAUUAUGAUGAUGCAUUACCGAGUGGACCCAGAGAUACCUCUCCAUCAUACGGAGUGAUAAAUCCCAGUCUCGAUUCGUGCCAACCCAACAAACACUUUCAGAGAUACCCGUAGUGCACCUUUAUAGUCACCCAGUUACGUUGUGACGUUUGGCACACCCAAAGCACUCCUACGGUAUCCGGGAGUUGCACAAUCUCAUGGUCUAAGGAAAUGAUACUUGACAUUUGGAAAAGCUCUAGCUAAAGGAACUACAUGAUCUUUGAGCUAUGCUUAGGAUUGGGUCCUGUCCAUCACAUCAUUCUCCUAAUGAUGUGAUCCCGUUAUCAAUGACAUCCAAUGUCCAUAGUCAGGAAACCAUGGCUAUCUGUUGAUCAACGAGCUAGUCAACUAGAGGAUCACUAGGGACAUGUUGUGGUCUAUGUAUUCACACGUGUAUUACGAUUUCCGGAUAAUACAAUUAUAGCAUGAAUAAAAGACAAUUAUCAUGAACAAAGAAAUAUAAUAAUAACCAUUUUAUUAUUGCCUCUAGGGCAUGUUUCCAACAGUGUUCAUUUAAGUACUUGGUUUGCAGCCAAUGUCAGUUACUCUGUUCACUUUUAUACCCAGUUGUCUUAACGUAUCAUUUCACCUUACAUGGUUUAAAAGAGAUGAAGGAUAUUCUUUUGGUCUUGAUCUGUAAUCUAGUUGUUAUGUUCACAUGCGCACACAAUGAUAAAAAAGCCUGUUUGUUUUAUAUCUGUUUGCCCAUGAUAUGAAUGAUGUCAUACUAUGUUCAUCCUACUUUAAACCAUGUCUCUUUAUCCUUAGGUGUCAACGAAUGUGAGGAAAUAGACAAUACAGUAGGCAUGCUACAUGGGCAUAUGUUCUGAAAGUGAUUUUAUUAUGUAGUUGGCACGACAAUACAUGCUAAUGUAUUACAAUAGUUCACCAAAAUAAGUUAUGUAUAAACGUUUAACCUACUUUGUUUCUUUUUGUCUCAUUAGUAAAUUAUCUGGUACACUAAUCUACAAGUUCAAACUUUCAGGAAGCUAUGGAACAAAUGAUUGAACAACCACAACCACCUGAAGGUGACGAGGCUACUAUAGGCACAAUGUCACCUCUUGCUGGAGUGUGUCAGUAUCUCUCCACUAACAGUGCAAAAAGCACCUUCCUGCGUAAUUCUGGGUUGGUUGUCAAGGUAACCUCGUCCAAAUCGCCUUCUAAACAAAAUCUUCCUGCUAGACAGAGUGAUAUAUCUGUGCUCCAGACACAAGUCCAAUUCGGAAACAAGAAUAGUGGUUGAGAAAUGUCGUCAAGAUAUGAAUGGUUUUUAAACCAGACUAUCAGACAUUCGCUUCGUUGUUCAGGAGCAAUGGCGGAAAAAGGUGGAGAUCGUGCUGCUCCAUCAGAUUCUAUAUCCUGAAAUAUUAGCACUCAGGUCAAAUGAUCUGUGCUUCUAUACAUCUGAUGGUGCUUUUAUCUGGAAGGACUGUAAACUUUAUGCCAACAGACCUUUUGUUGUAUGGUUGGAAUUUAUUUUGUUGUGAUACAACAUUUAUGAUGGUGCCAUAGGCUUUAGUAAUUACGACGCUAUUUUUGUAUAGUGUAGGUUUAUCUUAGUAAUGUAUUCGGCCGAAAGCUUCGUAGCAGCCCAACAUGCCAACAUUCGUCGGGCCCAUUCCAAUUGGGCUAAAAACGAUUACGGGCCGAAAUUGGCAUGUAGCCCACUAAAAAUAUCUGGGCCUAAAUCAGCAUAAGCUUUCAUAUUUUUCUGGUAGGACUGUGCCCAUAGUGGGCCUUUAACAGGCCUAAACAUAAGUUGGGCCCUCAGUAAAAUUAGGCCGUUUACAGGUGUAAAUAUCUCGAGCCCAUAAAAACAUGGGCCUUUAAUAGACCGAAAGUGAGAUUGGGCCCUGAUUGUGCCAAAUAACCCACUGGACUUAGCAGGCCAAAAUGGUGGCCCAUUUACGAUGCGGAUCUUUGACAGGCCAAAAUUCGUACGGGCCGUAAAUGCGCCGACCUAAUACACGGGCCUUUAACGGGUCGGACCUUCGGUCGGGCAAGAUUAUCGUCAUUUUUAUAUGGGCCGUUAAUGGGACCGAUAUGACGUUGGGCCACAUAUGGCCCAUGGUUUUAUGUCCAGCAUUAACAAGCCGGAAAUAACAACAGGCCGAAAGUGGCCCAAAUCUGUAGUUGGCCUCUAACAGGUCGAAUAUCACACAUGGCCGAAUAUGACCCAAAUCCUUCACGGUCAUUUAUGGGUUGAAAGUUUUGAUGGCCUGUAAAUGGGCCCAAAUGAAGCCUGACCUUUAACAGGUCGGAAAUACACCGGCUGUAAUUUGACCCAAUUACUUAGCCGACAGUUAACGGGCCAGAAGUGACCAUGGGCCGCGUUGAUGACAAGUUUAGGACAGGCCGUUGACGGGCCGAUUUGACAGAGAAUGUUGGGCCUUGAGCUGGGUCAGCCCAUUAUGGUCUGCAGAAUCUUGUGGGCCUUUAGCUGGGCCGGCCCAUUGUGGUCCGCAAAAUCUUGUGGGCCUUUAGCUGGGCCGGCCCAUUAUGGUCGGCAAAUUCGUGUGGGCGUUUAGCUGGGCCGGCCCAUUAUGGUCUGCUAAAUUUUGUGGGCCUUUAGCUGGGCCAGCCCAUUAUGGUCCGCUAAAUUUUGUGGGCCUUUAGCUGGGCCGGCCCAUGAUGAUCUGCUAAAUUUUGUGGGCCUUUAGCUGGGCCGGCCCAUUAUGGCCCGCUAAAUUUUAUGGGCCUUCGAUUGGGCCGGCCCAUUUAAACUUUGUGGGCCACUUUUGGGCAUCCACGUGUCAACAUAUCAUAGGCCCAUCUUGACCGUUGGAUGAGUGACACCUGUCCCAACAUGGAGCUGACGCGUGGAUCCGUCAGCCAAUGAGAAUUUUACAUGUGGAAAAUCGGCAUUCGUCGUGGCUGUUAAUGGGUUAUCAGAUCCAAAAUCCGACCCGAUAGCUUAACGCGUUCCGUUACGGUGGAUGCCAUGUGUCGGUCACCCAUGACGAAAGCACUUUUGUGACGCGCGCUUUAUCGUCAUGGAACUGGACACUUCCGUGAUGAUAAUUUUGGUAAUGUCAUGGAACACUUCUACGACAGAACAGCUAUGACUAUCUUGAUUCUGUCAUUAAUUUGUCAUGGAUGUACAAGCAUGGCAGAAAACGUGACCUACUGUGACAAAGACGUAUCAUCACGGAAGGGUAUUUUUUUGUACUGUUGAGAAGUGCUUCAUCUGUGCUAUUUUAAAUAUUUCCUUUCCUUUUUUUCGAGCAAACAGGGAUGCUAGCAUUUAGUAGUCCUCUCGUCUUUGCACAACAAGAUCAUCUUCAUCUGAAAAAUAAUAUGGAGUACGUGAAGUGACUAGUUCCAAUUAUGCCAGGAUGAAGAAGCACUGUCUAUCUUCUCAUCAGAAGGAGCAGUUGAAGGAUGGUUACAUUACUCCCCACAAGACCAAACUAACUUCAGCUCAGAAGGACUGACAAAUCUCCAUUUUUUUGCUGUGAUGCGCGAGUACAAUGUUGUUCUAGGAUUCUUUCUGGUGAGUUCCAUUUUUCUAAAAGUGUGCUCUACAUGGACCAUGUAGGUGCCUGUUUAAACUGUCAAUUCAUAGUACAGUUUGCUUUGUACUAAUCACUUUUUUGUAUUUGUGCAAACAGGGGUGCUCAGCUUGAUUUCCAUGGGAACUGCACAAAAUGUUGAUGAAUACAUCAAAUCAUUCAUUUCCAUUACAAGAAAGGAGGUGCCGAUAAGUUCAAGGCGUUGCAACAUAUAAGGGCGAAAUCAUACAAGCUAUGCGCGAAUUUGGUUGAUUUUGGUGGAACUGCACAACAAGAACAGCUGGUUUAUUUAGCACGAGGUGCCAUGUCAAUGUCCAAACUGAUGGCAAACUCUGCCCAUUCCACAAUCUUAGGAAUUUGAUAUUUUGGAAUGGGACAACCUUGUCAAAUUUUGCUCAUUGAUUUUAGCAAGACAUGUGUUUGAAAUUUUCGAAUGGGACACCCCUUGCUGUCAGCAGUGUUGAUCAAGUUUUUCUUUAUUCUUUAGUUGUGAAGUAAAUAUUGCCUCUGACAUGUGAGUGCUGAGAUGGAAAAUCAUCGAUUGUUUUGAAUGUUCUCUAUGAAUUGCCAGCCCUGUGUGUUUGAUUGCAAUGGACAGAAACGCUAAAAAGCUGCUCAAACUCUUUGCACUCCUUCAGUUUCUUUUUAGUUCGCACAUUGUGAAAGUGCAUACUUUGUUGUAUAAGAUUGGUCAAAGUAGAGAUACUUUGACUGUAGACAGAACUUGUAUGCAGACUAGAAAGGACCGGAGGGAGUACAUGUGAAACUGCUACAAAUGAGGUGAUCACCCAGGGAAUAAUGCUAGUAUGUAUUGUUUUACAUGUUCAUCCAAUGCCAGUGAUACAGGAAUUCGAACUAAUCGAAAUAAAUUCAUUCAUACACGGUCGGAUUUCAUAUAAACAUGUUGGAUUUCAUUACAUUUCAUACAUUCUUCAACUAAAAAGGGGUGCACUAGAGGUAUAAUUAAUUAACCGAAGCUACCACCUGUGUCCCGCUGAGCCAAACAGAAGCUUCAGUGACUUAACUACAGGUGCAGUUGCGUAACUGACAUGUGGCAUGUUGGGCCCAUGUGUCAGUCAGCCAACUGCACCAGCAGUUAAGUAGAAGUAGCGUUCUUCUCCAGCGCAGCUCUCCGACUCCACGUCGCCGCCAAGAAGCUAACCGGCCGUCAAUGGUCAACCCGCCUAGCUUGGCUUCAACCGGAGGGUAGCAGCGGUGGCCUUACAUGGACCCGAGCGGCGGCAACCUACCAUGUUCUACUCUUCCUCGUUUUUUGUGGCGCGGCGUCGUUGGCAGUGGGGCGGGGCCUUGGCGGAGCCGGCGAUGUCCUCUAUCUCGUUGCCGGCGGGCGGCGCCUCAGCGAAGCGGUUGAAAUCCACCCCCUCGUUGCCAGCAGUGUGGGGCCUCGGCUGAGCCGGCGAUGUCCUCUGCCUUGUUGUUGGCGGGGCGAGGCCUCGCCGAAGCCGGCAGUGUCCUCUGCCUCAUUGUUGGUGCCGCGGGGCCUUGGCUGAGCAGGGCCUCAUCGACGCCAGCGGAGCGGGGACUCGUCGGAGCCGGCAUUGCCCUCUGCCUCAUCCUCGGUCUCGCCAAACAGUGCCUCGCCUGGUUCAUCACCCUCUUUGCAGGCAGCCACAGCCUCCGGCACCCGCAUGCGGUACCGCCAGCGCUCGAGGCGGCCCAUGCAGGCAGAGCGGUACAAGUCGAGCAGCGCCUCCUGCUCCGCCCGCCCCGCGGCGAUCUGCUCCUCCGCCUGCAGAUGCUCCUAGAGGAGAUGGUGAUUGUAGGCGGCGUCGUCCUGCAUCUCCCGGAACUACUCCUCACGCAUCUGCCUCAUUGUGUCCAUAUAUUGGGCACGGGCCUUGCCGAUGGUCAUGGUGCAAUGCACCAACGAGGAUGGCGCGGAGGAGGGGGUUGGCGCCGGAUCAUCGACUACCAUGUUCUCCAUUGGGACGUCGUCGUCCUUCAGCUACCUGCCGGCCAAUCGGUCGGUAGCAAUGGCUGCCAUCUCCUUGUGGUCCGUCGUCCGCCCACCCCAAAGAGCACUGUAGCACGAGGAAGCCAUGGUGGGCAGUAGUGGUGUGGACAGGAGAAAGGGAACGGAUGCGGAUGACUGCGGCUAUGGCCAGCGCAGCAGUUUAUAUAGAAAUGGUGGGCGGCGGAGGGACGGACGUGUGGCGCCGGAGUAGCCGCCUUGGCAACCGCGUAUCAUUAAUGUGGGCGGCAGAUGGAUGGACGGACGACACUUGUGUCAUUUGAAGGCGGAGUAAUUGCCUGCACAGGAAGGGGGCGGGGCGGCGCUGACUGUUUCGGGCGGAAAGCGAGCGGGGGCGUGGAGAUAACUCUACUUGGAGAGGAUUACAAUGGGGACCCACCAGGGCCAUAGCCUCACGUACGCAAGUGCCUCCUUAUUAUAUAUAACUAUAAUUUAUUUUGCUUCCUCGUGGUUUCCUGACAUCACGGUUCCUCACCAUUGUCAACCUAUGUACUCCCUCCUUUCCGGUUUAUAGGGCUUAUCUCAAAAUUUUAGUUUUUCCAUUUUAUAAGGCUCAAUUUGGUUGUUUUCCAUCACAUGUUCAGAUUCCAAGGUGCAUUAAAUCAUUGCAUGCAAGUAUUAAGAGAAAAUUGACCAAUGCAUGUACUUUAUGCAUGCAUGCAUUGCAAUUAAUGCAUUGAUAAACAUAAUUUUUUGAGGAUAACAAGAGCAUUAAUUAGGUGCUUUUGCAAAACUACAAAAAGUAUUCCACCACUCGCCAUCUACCUUGAUUGGUGACAUUUUUGAAUUGAGCACUAAAAACCGGAAAGGAGGGAGUAGUUAAUGAACGAGAGAAUUGCACAAGAAGCGGCCGACAGCUGGGACCAAGCAGCUCGAGCAAUAUUUGUGUUUUUGAGGUAUGAGCACUUCAGAGUUUUUCGAUGUUUAGCCCAGAUAUUAUUUUUUCUCCUCCAAACAACAACGAAAACAUGGCUGCAGGUAUUAACUGGGCGGGUUGUGGCCCAUCUAGCCCAGGCCAGAUAUCCAGCCCAGAUAUUAUUUUUUUUUUCAAGCUGAAAAUGGCUAGCCCAGUUGUACUUUUUUUAGGAAUACCCAGGAAAGGUCAAGUUGUUAUUCUCCUCCCCACUGGGCUGCAAAUCUUUCGUAGGAGGGAUGCAUUAGGCUUAACAAGAAAAUGGGCUUUAAGAAAUAAUAAAUGAGAUGUAAUUAUAAAAAUUGGGCAGUAACUAUAAAAAAAUGCACCAAACACGUAAUUACUUUAUAACAUAUUAUUUUUGGAUAUAUAAAAUUUUAAUUUCAUUAAUUGUUGCGAGUGCAAUGUUUCGUUGGAUUUUUAUGUAAUAUAAAUUUAUAUUGAAAUUGUCUUUAAUCGGACUAGAAAUUUCGGGAUAAAAAUAUUUCGGAUCCCAUCAAAAUGUGGGAAUUUUUAUUGAAUUCUGUUUAAAACGGUUGGUUGAAAUGGGCUGUAGUAAAUUCCAUUAGAAUUCAAAAAUGGGCUGCACAUUCUUACAAAUCUUAAAUGGGCUAUAAGUUAUCUGCCACACACUUCUAUCCUUACUAAGUUGACGCGUCCCCUAAAAAGUAAAGUUGAUGCGUAUGCAAGGCUUUGUCAACUUAUAGUCAACACACGGUUCUAGCAGCAGUGGCCAUUGGAUGUCCAUCCAAUGGAUGUCGUGCUUCUUCUUCAAUCUCGGAUAUUCUAGCUUCACCCGCCCAAAAAACAAUUCCUCCCCCUGACAUCUGGGGCGCACCAUUUCGGAAGCUGACCUGUGGGCCUACUAAGUUGACGUACCAAGGGCUUUGUCAACUUAGUAAAUAUAAACGAUUCUAGCUGUAGUAACCAUACUAUGUCCAUCCAAUGGCCAUCAUGCCUCUUCAACCUCUGGUCUUCUUGCUCCAGCCGCCCAAAGUAGCGCCGGUCGUGCCGCCUGCUCCUGCCUCCCGUGGCAGGCUGUGCUGCUGCGGAGGCCUCACUGCCCCCUACUACUCCCACUGCUGGCCAGGCCAUCCCUCCACUCACCCACACCCCCUGUUAUUCUGCGGCGACGGCAGCGCAGCCGAACUAUAGCUGGCCAAACAGGCCGGCCCGGCCCGGCACGGCACGGCCCAUCCUAAUCGUGCCUGGCACGGCCCGGCCCGCCUAGGCACGAUUAUUAUACGGGCCGUGCCGUGCCAGCCCGCGUGCUAUAGCCUGCAGCCCAGGCACGGCCCGUAUGCUAAUCGGGCCGGCCCACCGGCACGCCAGGCCCACUAAUCUACCUCCUAUUUUGCGCAUUGAGCGUUUUUUAGCCUAUUUUUACCUGUUGGCCCAUAUUAGAAUACAUAAAAAAUAUAAAAAAGUUAGUCGGGCCGUGCCGUGCCGGCCCAUGGCGUGCCACGUGCCGGGACCGGCCCGUUUAGCACGUGUCGUGCCGUGCCAGGCCCGUGCCGUGCCGGCCGUGCUACCGGGCCGGCCCAACUAUCCCGGCCCAUUUGGCCAGCUAUAAGCCGAACCAAUGAACCCUCGUACUCCUCUUCGUGUGUGCAUCCACUGUCGCGUCUUCCCCGGCUCUGCGCCGUCCCGUUCCUAGGCCUCGCCGUCGUCCACCGCCAUGGUGCUCUCGGUGUGGCGUGGUCAACGUGGUCAAGGAAUGACUUCCAUCGGACGUGGAUUGUACGCGGAGAGGCUGGCAGUUGGGUCCAUGGCAGCCACAAGAAAGUGCCUCCUUCUUACGCGCAAAAUAAUUAUUCCUCCACCUGACAACGGGGACCCCCUGACCGCUACAUCUUCGCACGCAAGGAAGUGCGUCCGGAAAAAAACGAUUCGCCCCCUGACCGCUGGGACCCACCAGCUACAUCUUCGCACGCAAGGAAGUGCGUCUGAAAAAAAACGAUUCGCCCCCUGACUGCUGGGACCCACCAGCUACACCUUUGCACGCAAGGAAGUGCAUCCGGGCAAAAAAAAUGAUUCGCCCCCCUAACUGCUGGGACCCACCAGCUACAUCUUUGCAUGCCUGGUCGAAGCGUACAUAGCAUUGUCAUUCUGGUCACAAACGUGUACAUACAUACUGGUCGAUGUAGAGGCGCGCACGUGUCGUAGUAGAGGCACGCACAUAGCAUGUACACGUACGUACAACGGCCAGAGUGCAAGGACGAAAAUACAGCCACAUACGUACAUACGUGCGGGGUCUCGAAUGCCUACUCGCGCAUACGUACGGCCAGGGCUCGUGUACAUGGCUGGGUCGGAACGGAGAAACAUCGUCAUCGUCGUGUUCAUGGGGAGCCAACCGGCUGGGUCAAAACGGAAUGCAUCGUCGUGUUCAUCAGGAGGGCUUGGACGGAACAGGCGAUGGAAACGAGGCCUGGCGUACCGCAAAACAGAGGAAACGGCCCUGUGUUUGACCGGCCACGUUCGAAACGGGAUCCUGUUCAUCGAGAGGGGUCUGGCGUACCGCAAAACGAAGGAAAUGGACCUCCUAUGGUCGAAACAGGGGUCCUGUUGAUCGGGAGGGGUGUGGCAUACCGCAAAAUGGACGAAAUGGACUUGUGUUGGAGUGCUACGGUCGAAACGGGGGUCCUGUUCAUCAGGAGGGGUGUGGCGUACCACAAAACGGACGAAACGGACUUGUGUUGGAGUGCUACAAUCGAAACGGGGGUCCUGUUCAUCGGGAGGGGUGUGGCGUACCGCAAAACGGGACUCCACGGGAUACUGUUCAUCUCCAACAUCGACCUCCUCCAGCCUCCAUGGGCUACUGUCGACCUCCUCCAGCCUCCACGGGCUCCUGUUCAUCCAGCCUCCACCGCGCGCUACUCCACCGGCUACUGUUCAACCACCCCUCCACGGGCACCCCUCCACCGUCUACUAUUCAUCCAGCCUCCACGGGGUCCUGUUCAUCCAGAGGCAACGCCACCGCUCACUGUUCAUCCACCCCCCACCCCCCGCCCCGCAACGCUCACUGUUCAUCCAGAGAGGCAGCAUCGAUUGGCAUCAGUUAGCAGCAGUAGCGGCGGAAUCGCUCGAUCGUGUUCAGUUAACAGCCAUCGAUCGAUCGCUCGGGUUCAGUAACACGUAGCCUACAGUGCAAUCGCUCAGGUUCAGUUAAAGCCCAAUGCCUCGCUCAGGUUCAGUUAGAGCCAACGCCUCGCACACACACGCGUACGUGUACGAGAGAAAUGUGCAUCGCUCGGCCCCCGGCCGCCCACCGUAACCGGGAACUCCCCGAAAUUUUCCUCGCCCUCGCUUCUACCACGGUUUUUUCCGUCAUGGAUGGCCCAAAGAAUGUAAUGCAACUGUGUGCCCGCCCAGGACGAAAAGCCCAUUUUCUGUCAAUUUUUUUUGUCAUAGAAGUAAGAGCCCGUCACAUCUAUGAUGAUACCGGGUUUUGUCACAAUUAUCGUCAUAGAAGUAUCAUAAGUAUGAUAGAAAAAAAAUUUGUUCGGCACAAAAUGUCACGGAUGUCUCUUUUUUUGUAGUGUUAGGGGUACAAUCGAUGACAAUUUGAUUGGUCGAGAUCCAGCUCAUGUUUAAAAUGACGUUUGAGCCGGAAGGAUGAAUUCUAGGAUCGGAUUAAGGAUUGCAAGCAUUCACAACAUAUUGAAUCAACAGAUUUAAAAUGAUAAUGACAAGGGAUGCCAAUAAGAUUACGAGAGUUAUGGGAUUAACCAUAAUGCAAGAAACCAAGAAUUUCAAGAGCAAUAGGCUGCUCAGGAUUUUCGGAAGACCGAAUGGUACUUCGAAGACUUUUGGGAAACACAUGAACAACUGGGAAUGAGCGGAUACUCGAUAAGUGCGAGGAAUUAUCCGUAGGGGUAUUCAGGUGGCAAAGAACUACAAGGCAAUAGGCAAAAGUAUUCUUGGAACAAUAGAGAGAAUUUUGAGGUACCUUGUAGUAACAAGAUCAACUGGGAAUAAAAGUAAAAAUGACAAGUGUAUGCAUCUAUCCAUAGGGAUAUAUGGGUGGUAGGGAAUUGCAAAAGUGACGGGAACAAAGUCUCGAGAAAACAUGGGAGAGUAUCUUCGAAAUCUUCUGGCGCACUAAGCAAUCAUCUAGAGUGAGGGGAUCUCCGGAAGGAAGUAGUUACGAGAACCUAGAGUUAGAGUCAGUAAAAAUCAUUUAACCUGAAUAGAAGAGAGAUCAGAGUCCCAGAGUAUAAACAAGGAAUAAAAGAUCUAAUACCACCCAAUGGCGACGUGGGCCUAUAAGGCAGACAGCCAUGUUAGGAAAAUUUUAGCAAUGUCUAGACUCGACUUCGACCAAGGAGUGUGGAAGGGGGAUUCCAACAGGCAGUCGGCUCUGAUACCAACCUGUGACACCCCCGAUUCAAUCAUACACUAAUCAUGCACGAAAAUGUGUUCGACCAAGAUUAGGGACUCACGGGAAGAUAUCACUACACAACUCUAGACACAAAUUGAAGAUUAUACAAGAUUCAUAUUACAAGCCAGGAGCCUCGACGGCUCGAAUACAUAAGUUCGAUCAUAAAUGAGUCAACGGAAGCAACAAUACCUACGUACAUGCAUAAGUUAAACAAGGUGCUAUAAGAUUGCUAGUAGAAACUGGGAUACAGAUUAAAAGAGGCGCAUGCCUCCUGCCUGGGAUCCUCCUCCACUACUCCUGGUCGUCUGCGGCCUGCACGUAGUAGUAGGCACCCUCGAUAUGUUAGGGGUCGUCGUCCACGGUGGCGUAUGGCUCCUAGGGUCCAACAUCUGGUUGCAACAUCCGAGAAGAAUGGAAAGGGGAAAAGAGGGAGCAAAGCAACCGUGAGUACUCAUCCAAAGUACUCGCAAGCAAGGAUCUACACUACAUAUGCAUUGGUAUCUGUAUAAAGCGGUAAUAUCAAUGGAUUGAACUGUAGAAUGCUAGAAUAAGAGGGGGAUAGCUAGUCCUACCGAAGACUACGCUUCUGGCAGCUUCCAUCUUUAAGCAUGUAGAAGAGAGUAGCUGGUAAGUUCACCAAGUAUCAUCGUAUAGCAUAAUCCUACUAGGCGAUCCUCUCCUCGUCGCCCUGUGAGAGAGCGAUCACCGGGUUGUAUCUAGCACUUAAAAGGGUGUGUUUUUUAAGUAUCCGGUUCUAGUUAUCAUAAGGUCGAUGUACAACUCCGGGUUGUCCUGUUACCUUGGACACGACUAUUCAAAUAGAUCAAUCUUCCCUGCAGGGGUGCACCAAAUUACCCGACAUGCUCGAUCCCUCUUGCCAGGCACACUUUCUGGGUCAUGUCUGGCCUCCGGAGAUCAACGUGUCACAUCCCUACCUAGGCUCAAUAGACAGGUCAACACGCCGGUCUAAAUCCUAAGCGUGAGGGGUCUGGGCCCAUCGCCCGUUGCACACCUGCAUGUUGCGAACGCGGCCAGAAGCAAACCUGGCCUCCCUAAUACAAGAGCAGGCGUUCUAGUCCAAUCCGGCGCGUAGAACUUUAAGGCUGAGGUCCAGAAGGCUCCGGCUGAUACCACGAUGUCGGUUGCCCAUAUCUUGUCCCACGUGGCAGUUAGUGUGUAUAAGGUCAACGAUCCAACUCAGAUCAAAUACCAAGAUCUCGUUAAGCGUGUUAUUUUGAAAUAACCGCAGACGCCGACCAGGAUCAGGCCCACCUGUCUCCUAGGUGGUCACAACCUGCCAUGUCGCUCCGUCACAAAGAUCCACUCAGAGGGUCGGCUGGACAAAUGUCCUUUCAACCCCAAAUCCGUGAAUCACUCGCGGGUACUCUUUGAGACGACCCGACUUUAGUCAAAUCAUGUAACCUGUAUAGUGUGUAUGUAUGUAUAAAUAUACCCAUGAUCACUUCCCGAGUGAUCACGACCCGAUAAUAUAGCAUGGCAGAUGGACAACAAUGUUGGGCCACUGAUGAUAAACUAGCAACCUAGAUUAAGCAUGUAGGAUUGCAGGUAAAGGCAUCAACAAUCGUAGCAACAAUGACAGGCUAUGCAACAGAAUAGGAGCUAUCGAAUCAACAAUAGUAGCAAAACUAAUGCAAGAAUAAGAGAGAAGAGAGUGGGCGAUAUCUGGUUGAUCAAAGGGGGUUUGCUUGCCUGGAAGCUCUGCAUACAGAUACGGAUCCUCGACGGUGAAGUAGUCGACCACCGGAUCAACUGCGGUCUCGAGGUCUACCGGAAAGAAGUAACGGAUGAGGGAACACAAUAAAUAACACAACAAUCAAUGCAUCACAAAGUAUGACAUAGCAAUAUGCAGUGCUAGGGGUGACCUAACGCUGUGCUAAGCAUUACGGACGGAGCGGGAAAUAUCCGGUAAUAUUUUCUCGGCUCCCAGCAUUUAUCGGACAGACGAACCAGAGGGAAAUGUUCCAUGUUUGCACUGUUGUGAGCACAUCACAGGUAUGUGGGUGGCAUAUUCGGAUUCGUCUCAUUUUUCUGAUUAUUUUUCAUAUAUAAAUUAUUUUCAUCGUAGUUACGGUUUAUUUUCUAUGAAUUUCAAAGUUUAAAUGAUUUUCUGAAUUUAUAGAAUUCUUUUAAUCAAAAAAUAAACAGCAAAAUACUUUUGUCACCUAGUGCUAUUCUAGCCAUAGUGUAUGACAUUAGGCCAGUGGGGUUGGGUUGACCCAGUCAAAUGUUGACUAGUCAACAUAUAAACUGUGUAGGGGGCCACAUGUCAUUGACUUUGUCUUUUGUUAAAAUUUGUUUUUCUUUAACCUAAGAGUGGGUCUACAUGCCAUCUACUAUCUAAUUAGCUAGUACUACUAAUUAGACUAACUAACCGGCCGGCCACAUGCGCGGCUAUGGCACAGCCCGCCAGACACACAACCCACACACACACAAGACGCAUACACACCAGCUCAUGGCCAUGGCUAUAGAGCACCAGCAGCGGCAGCUAACAAGGCGGCGUAGCAGCGGUGUAAGAGCAGCAACGGGAAGUGAUACGUCUUCGUCGUAUUUAUAAUUUUUGAUUGUUCCAUGCCAAUAUUUCACAACUUUCAUAUACUUUUGGCAACUUUUUAUACUAUUUUUGGGACUAACAUAUUGAUCCAGUGCCCAGUGCCAGUUUCUGUUUGUUGCUUGUUUUAUAUUUCACAUAAAUCCCAUAUCAAACGAAGUCCAAACGGGAUAAAAACGGCCGGAGAAUUAUUUUGGAAUAUUUGUGAUUUUUGGAAAGUAAAAUCAACGCAAGACGGUGCCCGAGGGGGCCAGGAGACAGGGGGCGCCCAUGGGAGGCAGGCACACCCUGGACUCUCCUGGGCACCACGUAAGGCGGUUGACGCUCUUCUUUUGCCGCAAGAAAGCUAAUUUUAUGAGAAAAAUCUGGGCGAAAGAUUCACCCCAAUCGGAGUUACGGAUCUCCGAAUAUAAAAGAAAUGAUGAAGGGGCAGAAUCAUGGAAUGCAAAAAUAGAGAGAGACAGAGAGAUAGAUCCNNNNNNNNNNNNNNNNNNNNNNNNNNNNNNNNNNNNNNNNNNNNNNNNNNNNNNNNNNNNNNNNNNNNNNNNNNNNNNNNNNNNNNNNNNNNNNNNNNNNNNNNNNNNNNNNNNNNNNNNNNNNNNNNNNNNNNNNNNNNNNNNNNNNNNNNNNNNNNNNNNNNNNNNNNNNNNNNNNNNNNNNNNNNNNNNNNNNNNCCAUCUAUGGAGAAGGUCAAGGAAGAAGAAGAAGAAGGGGGGCUCUCUCCCCCUUGCUUCCGGUGGUGCUGGAGCGCUGCCUGGGACAAUCAUCAUCACCGCGAUCUACACCAACACCUCCGCCAUCUUCACCAACAUCUCCAUCACCUUCCCAUUCUAUCUAUAGCGGUCCACUCUCCCGCAACCCGCUGUACCCUCUACUUGAACAUGGUGCUUUAUGCUACAUAUUAUUAUCCAAUGAUGUGUUGCCAUCCUAUGAUGUCUGAGUAGAUUUUCAUUGUCCUAUCGGUGAUUGAUGAAUUGCUAUGAUUGGUUUGAGUUGCAUGUUUUAUUAUUGGUGCUGUCCUAUGGUUCUCUUCGUGUCACGCAAGUGUGAGGGAUCCCUGCUAUAGGGUUUGCAAUAUGUUCAUGAUUUUAUUAUGGUGGGUGGCUUGAGUGACAGAAGCAUAGACCUGAGUAAGUAGGUUGUUUGCGCAUGGGAUAAAGGGGACUUGGUACUUUAAUGCUAUGGUUGGGUUUUACCUUAAUGAUCUUUAGUAGUUGCAGAUGCUUGCUAGAGUUCCAAUCAUAAGUGCAUAUGAUCCAAGAAUAUAAAGUAUGUUAGCUUAUGCCUCUCCCUCAAAUAAAAUUGCAAUAGUGAUUAUCGGUCUAGUAACAUAGUCAAUUGCUUUGGGACAAUUUCACAACUCCUACCACCACUUUUCCACACUCGCUAUAUUUAAUUUAUUGCUUCUUUCUCUAAAUAGCCCCUACUUUUUAUUUAUGUGUUCUUUAUUAUCUUGCAAACCUAUCCAAUAACACCUACAAAGUACUUCUAGUUUCAUACCUUUUCUAGGUAAAGCGUACACUAAGCCUGCCUAGAGUCGUAUCAGUGGCAGAUAGGACUUGAGAUAAUAUUUGUUCUAACUUUAGCUCCGCGUUGGGUUCGACACUCUUACUUAUUGGAAGAGGCUACAAUUAUCCCCUACACUUGUGGGUGAUCAAGACCUUUUUCUGGCGCCGUUGCCGGGGAGUCAUAGCGUGGGGCGAAUAUUGUCGUGUGUGCUUGUUUGCUUUAUCACUAAGUAAUUUUUAUUUGCUGUUCUAAGUUGUUCUCUGUCUUCAGUUAUGGGUAGGAAACGCAAAAUACCAAAAAAUUAGUUGUACCUACUACACCAAUGGUUGAAGAACCACUCAAAAUCUAUCACACUCCUGAAGCUUUUUAUUUGGAUCAUCUUCGAUCCCUUUGUGCUCGUGCAGAAACCCCCACUAGCUUAGUUGAGGGAAAAUCUUUAGAUGAGCAUGCUUGUUAUGUGCGACACCGUAUAUCUGAAAAAAGGAAACUUUUACUGGAUCAAAUUCAUCGUUUGCAAUGCUAUGCUUGGACUUUAUGUGAAAUAUAUGAUGUUACUUGUUGUUCUGAAAACCCUAAGGAACACUUUCCCUACCAAUGGGAGGUUAUUGAUAAUGGAAUCGUAUCUUCAUAUGCUAAGGGUGUUUAUAAUUACUAUGAUGUUCAACAAAUUGAAGAAUUUGUUGCUUUUAAGGGUGCUUAUGAAAUUGCUUCUUUGAUUGAAAAGUAUGAUGCUACUCUCUACAAAUCUGAAAAUUUUGCCAUACUUGAAUAUUGUUAUGAUAAUUAUGCUUCUAAUGCCUAUGUUAUACCAUAUAUUGAGAAAGUCUCCGCUGUCCAAGAAGAGACUAAUAUUUUGCAGGAAGCUAUGGAAGAAGAAAUUGAUGAAACUGUGAGCUCAUUGGAUGAAAAAGAUGUUGAGGAGAGCGAAUAACAAAAGGAGGAAGAGCGGAUUAGCUACCCGUGCUCACCUUCCAAUGAGAGUAACUCUUCAACUCAUACAUUGUUUAAUUCCCCUUCAUGCUUACCGUAGGAUGAUUGCUAUGAUGAUUGUUAUGAUCCCGUUGAUUCACUUGAAAUAUCCCUUUCAAGAUGCCAAUAUGAAUUAUGCUUAUGGAGAUGAACUUGCUAUAGUUCCUUAUGUUAAACAUGAAGUUGUUGCUAUUGCACCCACACAUGAUAGUCCUAUUAUCUUUUUGAAUUCUCCAAACUACACUAUAUCAGAGAAGUUUGUGCUUAUUAAGGAUUACAUUGAUGGAUUGCCUUUUACCAUUGCACAUGAUGAUUUUGAUAGAUUGUAAUAUGCAUGUGCUUGCUGCUCCUACUUGCAAUUAUUAUGAGAGAGGAAUUAUAUCACCACCUCUCUAUGUUUCCAACACGAUAGAAUUGCAAGAAACUACUUAUACUAUGCAUUGGCCUUUACUUGAUGUGCAUGAAUUGUUAUUUUAUGACAUGCCGUUGCAUAGGAAGAGAGUUAGACUUCGUUGUUGCAUGAUAUAUGCUACUUUGUGCUCACUACUAAAUUACAAAUCAUUGUUAAUUAAAAUUGGCUUUGAUAUACCUUGGGAUCCGGGUGGAUUCAGUACUUGAACACUAUAUGCCUAGCUUAAUGCCUUUAAAGAAAGCGCUGCCAGGGAGACAACCCGGAAGUUGUAGAGAGUCAUUUAUUGUUGUUGAGUGCUUUUAUAUAGUUUAAAAAAAUAGGGGAACCCAUAACUUUUCAAAAAGGAAAGUGAAAGUGAGAGAGACAAGCAUUGUUGAAGUGGGAGAGCUCCUUGAACUUUAUUCAUGCUCACGGAAACUUUGAUUACAGAAACUUUUCAUAAAAAAUAAUUAUCCCCCUGUACAAUUCCAUUGUAUUAUAAAAAUAAUGUGCUAAGGUUUGCUUUUAGGAGGUUUACAAUGCAUGUUGGUUUGUACGGUGCAGGACAGAAACUUUGGCUGUAGUGCGAGAUUUUACAUUUUUUACUGGAACGCCAAAAGGUUAUGAUUCUUUUUGCGCUGUAUUUCUGUACAAAUUGUUUAUUUUUACUGAUUUUGGUAGAAUUGUUGGGGUACCAGAAGUAUGGUGAAUGUUCAGAUUUCUACAGACUGUUCUGUUUUUGACAGAUUCUGUUUUUGAUGCAUAGUUUGCUUGUUUUGAUAAACUAUCAAUUUAUAUCAGUGGAUUAAGCCAUGGAAAAGCUAUAUUACAGUAUACACAAUGCAAAAACAAAAUAUUAAUUAGUUUGCAACAGUACUUAGAGUGGUGAUUUGCUUAAUUAUACUAACGGAUCUUACCGAGUUUUCUGUUGAAGUUUUGUUUGGAUGAAGUGUUUUGAUCGAGAAGGUCUCGAUAUGAGGAAAAGGAGGAGAGGCAAGAGAUCAAGCUUGGGGAUGCCCAAGGCACCCCAAGUAAAUAUUCAAGGAGACUCAAGCUUCUAAGCUUAGGUAUGCCCCGAAAGGCAUCCCCUCUUUAUUCAACAAGUAUCAGUAUGUUUUCGUAUUCAUUUCGUUCAUGCGAUAUGUGCAAGUCUUGGAGCAUCUUUUGCAUUUAGUUUUCACUUUUCUUUUAUGCACCAUGCUGGUAUGAGAUAGUCCUUGGUUGAUUUAUAGAAUGCUCAUUGCACUUCACUUAAAUAUUCUGAGUAUGGCUUUAUAGAAUGCUUCAUGUGCUUCACUUAUAUCUUUUGAAGUUUGGAUUGCCUAUUUCUCCUCACAUAGAAAACCGCCAUUUCUAGAAUGCUCUUUUGCUUCACUUAUAUUUGUUAGAGCAUGGGCAUAUCUUUUGUAGAAAGAAUUAAACUCUCUUGCUUCACUUAUACCUAUUUAGAGAGAUGACGGGAAUUGGUCAUUCACAUGGUUAGUCAUAAAAUCCUACAUAAAACUUGUAGAUCGCUGAAUAUGAUAUGUUUGAUUCCUUGCAAUAGUUUUGCGAUAUAGAGAUGGUAAUAUGUGGGAGGUACUAGUAGAUGGUUGUGUUCAGUAAGGAUGUUGGUGUUAAGUUUUGUGAUUCCCGAAGCAUGCACAUAUGGUCUACUAACUAUGUAACCAAAUUGGCACACAUUGUAUUUUGAUUGUUUAUCUUUGCGUGAAGGUCGGGGGCGCGUGAUGGUUAAUUCCUACCAACCUCCCCCCUAGGAGCAUGCGUGUAGUACUUUGUUUCAAGGGCUAGUAAAUUUUUGCAAUAAGUAUGUGAGUUCUUUAUGACUAAUGUUGAGUCCAUGGAUUAUACGCACUCUCACCCUUCCAUCAUUGCUAGCCUCUUCGGUACGGUGCAUUGCCCUUUCUCACCUCGAGAGUUGGUGCAAACUUUGCCGGUGCAUCCAAACCCCGUGAUAUGAUACGCUCUAUCACACAUUAGCCUCCUUAUAUCUUCCUCAAAACAGCCACCAUACCUACCUAUCAUGGCAUUUUCAUAGCCAUUACGAGAUAUAUUGCCAUGCAACUUCCAUCAUCAUCAUAUACAUGACUUGAGCAUUCAUUGUCAGAUUGCUUUGCAUGAUCGUAAGAUAGCUAGCAUGAUGUUUUCAUGGCUUGUCCGUUUUUUGAUGUCAUUGUUAUGCUAGAUAAUUGCACAUCCCGGUACACCGCCGGAAGCAUUCAUAUAGAGUCAUCUUUGUUCUAGUAUUGAGUUGUAAUAUUGAGUUGUAAGUAAAUAAAAGUGUGAUGAUCAUCAUUAUAGAGCAUUGCCCCAUGAAAAAAAAGAAAAAAGAAAAAAAAGGAAAGGCCAAAGAAGCCUAAAUAAAAAAGGGGGCCAAAGAAGCCCACCCAAAAAAAAAGAAAAAGAACAAAAAGAAAAAAGAAAAAGAAAAGGGGUAAUGUUACUAUCCUUUUACCACACUUGUGCUUCAAAAUAGCACCAUGUUCUUCAUAUAGAGAGUCUCCUAUGUUAUAACUUUCAUAUACUAGUGGGAAUUUUCAUUAUAGAACUUGGCUUGUAUAUUCCAAUGAUAGGCUUCCUCAAAUGCCCUAGGUCUUCAUGAGAAAGCAAGUUGGAUGCACACCCACUUAGUUUCAGUUUGAGCUUUCAUACACUUAUAGCUCUAGUGCAUCCAUUGCAUGGAAAUCCCUACUCCUCGCAUUGACAUCAAUUGAUGGGCAUCUCCAUAGCCCGUUGAUUAGCCACGUCGAUGUGAGACUUUCUUCCUUUUUGUCUUCUCCACAUAACCUCCACCAUCAUAUUCUAUUCCACCCAUAGUGCUACAUCCAUGGCUCACGCUCACGUAUUGCGUGAAAGUUGAAAAAGUUUGAGAAUACUGAAGUAUGAAACAAUUGCUUGGAUGACACAGGGAUAGGCAUGAGGGGUACCUUGUGUUAAGAAAAGGGAGCAUACAAGACUAUAUGAUUUUGUAGGGAUAACAUUCUGAAGCAUUGAUAUUUUGAAAGACAUGAUUGUUUGUUGGGAUAAUAAGUAUUAUUAUUUUUAUGUCAAAUGAUAGACUACUGCUUUGAAUCUCUCGUGUCUUAAUAUUCAUGCCAUGAUUAGAUAUAUGAUCAAGAUUAUGCUAGGUAGCAUUCCACAUCAAAAAUUAUAUUUUUUACCAUUUACCUACUUGAGGACGAGCAGGAAUUAAGCUUGGGGAUGCUGAUACGUCUCCGUCGUAUCUAUAAUUUUUAAACACAUAUUUCAGGGGUAUAUGCUUCCCAAGGGAAAGCAGAGCACGAUAUCCAUGACAGGAUAUAAACUAGAAAACCAUUUAGGUAAGGGGAGAGGAAUUUCAUGACAUUACCCAAACAAUGGUGUUUGGAUAAUUGACGGGAAAAAAAUUAGCAUUGUGCUUCAAAUGUUCUUAUUGAAGAUCGGAGGACCGAAGACAUGCUUCAAGAGAGCAUUGGCAUGGUCUUCAAGCAAGGUUAGACUUUGGGUACUCAAAGGAUUCAUCAGGAACAACUUAUAGAAUAAGUCUUACAAUUUCCUCAUGGAAGAAUGGUUAACCUUGCUAAAAAGGAAACUAUAACAAUAUGGCCUCGGCCAGGUGUGCUAGGCAUGACAUCACCUUACUGGGUCAUAUAAAGACCAAUGUUAUAACUCUUGGAAAUAUGUUCCAACCAUCAUAUUUGACCGAGAUUCAGAUCUGAUUGGUGUCAGGAUACCUCAGACUCAGGAUGCUUGAGAAGAAAAAGGUGCGACACAUAUUGACGAGAUGACAUUGUAAGAUUCUCGGGAAAUGAACUAUGGGAGCGAGUUCUGAAACAAGAGUUCAUCAUUAAUCAAGGAGAUGGCGGAGGUGGCUGAUGGACUCAGCGACAAUUAAUUUAGAUUUCCAAAAAGAUGGAUUUGCACAAUUAUGUGAAGGAGAUAACAUUUGUAAGAUCAAAUGAUAUAACGAUGUAUGCUCAAGGAGAACAUCCACGAGUAAACAUUGGUUGAAAGGUGCACCCGAAAUAUGGGCUUAGGUAGCAUGAUCAAUGUUAGAAUGGUGACUCGAUAACCAAUACACAAAGAAUGAAACUAUUGUUCAUUAACUUACAGGCAAUAUGGUUGCUAGAAGUUUUGAAUUUUACACAUCACGGUCCAGUUGUCAGUAUUCUGGUUAGGAACAACAUGGGGACCAAGAACUGAAUGUAGACUAUGAGAUAUAUCCCUUGUAUCAAGAAUUCUUAAGAGGUGGUGAAAUUCUCACAACUUUCUUGAUACAUAAAAUGGUAAUACUCCAAGGUAGGACAUAAGAUAAGUUGGAUUUCCAGGAACUCAAGGUACAGCCACAACACGAACAAGUUUGUGUUGGAAAGAAGGCAAUGAAGUAGUUGAUGAUAACAAAAAUUACGAAGGAUAAGGAUGGUAAUCCCCAUCAGGAAUUCGAUAAAUAUCCUGGAAGGAGUCAAAAUGUUGUUGAUGAUCAUGACAAAUUUGGUCGAGAGGCUCCAUGAAGAAGCAAUCGAACAGUGACUGCGUCAAGCAAAAGUACUGAUGCAACGAAACAUUAUUGGAUCCAUGAAUAUGACACCAACUCGGAAUCAAGCUUGUUAUUCGUGGUGGAAUGAUAAGACAAGGGAAUCGACAUAAGAUUAGGUCAUCCUCGAAGUUGUGCUCCGAGAGUAAGGAACAGGUAGCACAGUUAAAAUCGGCAUGAUAAUGAUAUAGCCGAGCAGGCCAGGAAUGACAUGGUCGAGUACAAACUCGUGAGUAAAGGAGAUUACCAAGAGUUGUGUAAUCAUGGUGCGGACCUGAUUUAGUUAUCGGUGUCCUCGAGUGAAUAACAACAAGGAAACCAGGAAAAAUUGAAAUUAAUGAGGAAUAAUACUUGAUGAAGGCUCAUAAUAAGCAACAUGGUUCGGUGCUAUUAGCGGGAUACCAGAGGGUAAUACUCGGAGGUAGAGCAAAAUAGAGGGUUGACAAGUGUAUUGAUCUGCAGAAGACAAGUACUUUAACUUGUCUGAGAAAAGGAAUCAAGGAAUAUCAAUAUGGCUGAAACCAUUGCUACAACGGAUCCAAUUUAAUGACACCGAAAGAAUUAUCCAACUGAUUAAAUGUUUUGCAAGAAUCUUCCAUGAUAAGUUCCACAUCGGGUCCAUGGACAUGAACACUAAUUUCAAGGUCAACUCCCACUUCUCCAAAGCAGAACCUUACAUUCACUUCUCGUUUCGAAAAUGGCAUUAGCGUUGAAAGUUUUACCUGGUGAAAUACCAGAUGCGUAUGACCCGUGAAACCUCUCGGAUUUACAAAGAUUAGGGAAAGCAAUGGUUCAACCCAUCGGGGCAUCUUAGGAACAUAUGCCACAAACUUUAGAGUAAAUAUCACCAACUUGAAAGUAGAGUAUGGUUGGACAAAUCAAAGAAUAGGAUUUACCAAUGGCAUUAUUAUCAACAAAAGAACUCCAGGUUUUGAGAAUAUGCAAGAACGGUCGAAUAAUAAUCCACCAAAGGAUCUAGCGGACUGCAAAGGAUCUAAGGUGAGUAACAGUACCCAACCAGAAGAAGAAAGAAUGCAAGGGAUCAGAUUAUAGAAACAACUGACUAAUUCCAAGCUCAAAUGUAAAGGAAAUAUGAUUUCCAAAUCAAGGGAUCAAAAGCAAACGCUCUGAUUAAGGAUGGAUAAGUUGAGUAAGCUUAGGGGUACAAUCGACGACAAUUUGAUUGGUCGAGAUCCAGCUCAUGUUUAAAAUGACGUCUGAGCUGGAAGAAUGAAUUCUAGGAUCUGAUUAACGAUUGCGAGCAUUCACAACAUAUUGAAUCAACGGAUUCAAAAUGAUAAUGACAAGGGAUUCCAAUAAGAUUAUGAGACUUAUGGGAUUAAGCAUAAUGCAAGCAAGCAAGAAUUUCAAGGCAAUAGGCUGCUCAGGAUUUUCGGAAGACGGAAUGGUAUUUCUAAGACUUUUGUGAAACACAUGAACAAUUGGGAAUGAUCGGAUGCUCGAUAAGUGCGAGGAAUCAUCCGUAGGGGUAUUUAGGUGGCAAAGAACUACAAGGCAAUAGGCACAAGUAUUCUCGGAACAAUAGAGAGAAUUUCGAGGUACCUUGUAAUAACAAGAUCAACUCGGAAUAAAAGUAAGAACGACAAGUGUAUGUAUUUAUCCAUAGGGAUAUAUGGGUGGUAGGGAAUUGCAAAAGCAACGGACACAAAGUCUCGAGAUAACAUGGGAGAGUAUCUUCGAAAUCUUCUGGUGCACCAAGCAAUCAUCUAGAGUGAGGGGCUCUCCGGAAGGAAGUAGUUACGAGAACCUAGAGUUAGAGUUAGUAAAAAUCAUUUAACCUGAAUAGAAGAGAGAUCAGAGUUCCAAAGUAUAGACGAGGAAUAAAAGAUCCUAAUACCACCCAAUAGCAACGUGGGCCCGUAAGACACACAACCAUGUUAGUAAAAUUUUAGCAAUGUCUAGACUCGACUUAAGCCAAGGAGUGUGGAAGGGGGAUUCCAACAGGCAGACGUCUCUAAUACCAACUUGUGACACCCCAAUUCGAUCAUACACUAAUCAUGCACGCAAAUGUGUGCGACCAAGAUCAGGGACUCAUGGGAUGAUAUCACUACACAACUCUAGACAUAAAUUAAAGAUCAUACAAGCUUCAUAUUACAAGCCAGUGGCCUCGAGGGCUCGAAUACAUAAGCUCAAUCAUAAAUGAGUCAGCGGAAGCAAUAAUAUCUGAGUACAAACAUAAGUUAAACAAGGUGCCAUAAGAUGGCUAGCACAAACUGGGAUACAGAUCGAAAGAGGCGCAUGCCUCCUGCCUGGGAUCCUCCUAAACUACUCCUGGUCGUCGUCGGCCUGCACGUAGUAAUAGGCACCUUCGGUGUAGUAGGGGUCGUCGUCCAUGGUGGCGUCGGGCUCCUGGGGUCCAACAUUUGGUUGCGACGUCCGAGAAGAAUGGAAAGGGGGAAAAGAGGGAGCAAAGCAACCACGAGUACUCAUCCAAAGUACUCACAAGCAAGGAUCUACACUACAUAUGCAUUGGUAUCUAUAUAAAGGGGUAAUAUUAGUGGACUGGACUACAGAAUGCCAUAAGAAGAGGGUGAUAGCUAGUCCUAUCAAAGACUACACUUCUGGCAGCCUCCAUCUUGAAGCAUGUAGAAGAGAGUAGCUGGUAAAUCACCAAGUAUCGUCGUAUAGCAUAAUCCUACCAGUCGAUCCUUUCCUCGUCGCCCUGUGAGAGAGUGAUCACCGGGAUGUAUCUAGAACUUUAAAGGGUGUGUUUUAUUAAGUAUCCGGUUCUAGUUAUCAUAAGGUUGAAGUACAACUCCGAGUAGUCCUAUUACUGUCGACACAGCUAUUCGAAUAGAUCAAUCUUCCCUGCAGGGGUGCACCACAUUACCCAUCAUGCUCGAACCCUUUGGCUGGGUACACUUUCCUGGGUCAUGUCCGGCCUCGGGAGAUCAACACGUCACAGCCUACCUAGGCUCAACAGAGAGGUCAGCACGCCGGUCUAAAUCCUAAGCGCGCAGGGGUCUGGGCCCAUCGCCCGUUGCACACCUGCAUGUUGCGAACGCGGCCGGAAGCAGACCUAGCCUCCCUAAUACAAGAGCAGGUGUUCCAGUCGAAUCCGGCGCGCACCGCUUUGUCGCUGAGGUCAAGAAGGCUUCGGCUAAUACCAUGACACCGGUUGCCCAUAUCUUGUCCCAGGUGGCAGUUAGUGCGUAUAAGAUCAACGACCCAACUCAGAUCCAAUACCAAGAUCUUGUUAAGCCUGUUAUUUUGAAGUAACCGUGGACGCCGUCCAGGACCAGGCUCACAUGUCUCCUAGGUGGUCAAAACCUGCCCUAUCACUCCGCCACAAAGAUCCACUCAGAGGGCCGUCUAGACAAAUGUCCUUUCAACCCCCAAUCCGUGAAUCACUCGCGGGUACUCUACAAGCCGACCCGACUUUAGUCACAUCAUGUAACUUGUAUAGUAUGUAUGUAUAAAUAUACCCGUGAUCACCUCUUGAGUGAUCAUUGCCCGAUAAUAUAGCAUGGCAGAUGGACAAUAAUAUAGGACCACUAAUGAUAAGCUAGCAACCGAUAAUAAGCAUGUAGGAUUGCAGGUAAAGGUAUCAACAAUCAUAGCAACAAUAACAAGUUAUGCAACAGAAUAGGAGCUAUGAAAUCAACAACACUAGCAAAACUAAUGCAAGUAUAAGAGAAAGAGAGUGGGAGAUAUCUGGUUGAUCAAAGGGGGUUUGCUUGCCUGGAAGCUCUGCAGAGAGAUACGGAUCCUCGACGGUGAAGUAGUCGACCACCGGUUCAACCGCGGUCUCGGGGUCUACCGGAAAGAAGUAAUGGAGGGGGGAACACAAUAAAUAACAGAGCAAUCAAUGCAUCACAAAGUAUGACAUAGCAUUACACAGUGCUAGAGGUGACCUAAUGUUGUGCUAAGCGUUAUGGACGGAGCGGGAAAUAUCGGGUAAUAUUUUCUCGGCUCCAGGCAUUUAUCAGAGAGAUGAACCGGAGGGAAAUGUUCCAUGUUUGCAGUGUUGGGGGCACAUGACAGGUAUGUGGGUGGCAUAUUCGGAUUCGUCACAUUUUUCUGAUUAUUUUUCGUAUAUAAAUUAUUUUCAUCAGAGUUACGGUUUAUUUUCUUUGAAUUUACAAAGUUUAAAUGAUUUUCUGAAUUUACAGAAUUCUUCUAAUCCGAAAAUAAAACAGCAAAAUACUUUUGUCACUUAGUGCUAUUCUAGCCAUAGUGUAUGACAAUGGGGCCUGUGGGGUUGGGUUGACCCAGUCAAAUGUUGACGAGUCAACAUAUAAACUGUGUAGGGGACCACCUGUCAUUGACUUAGACUUUUGUUGAAAUUUGUUUAUCUUUAAACUAACAGUGGGUCUACAUGUCAUCUACUAUCUAAUUAGCUAGUACUACUAAUUAGACUAACUAACCGGCCGGUCACACGCGCGGCUGUGGCACAGCCCGCCACAGACACACACAGCGCACACACGCCAGCUCAUGGCCAUGGCCAUAGAGCAGCAGCAACGGCAGCUAACAAGGCGGCGUAGGAGCAGUGUAAGUAGUGUAAUAAGGCUAACUCCAACGCGCGACCCCAUCCGAUACAGCCCCGUCCGUUUGAGGUAAAAUAAACAAAUCAGACAGCCUAGCGCGCGACGGCCUGAACCCAUCUGGUCCGUCUUGUGUUCGGGCCGACCCAUUUCGGACGCAAACAUGCGCGCGGUUUGGGUCACGGCGACGGCAAACGGACGCUUCGCUCAUCCGCAUCGGGGCCGCGUGGCAGGCGGCCACCUACCUCCCACCGCCUGACAUAAAUGCACACAGGUGGUCGACCCCACCUGUCAUCUGCCCAGGCGAACGGUCGCCGUCCUUCUUAAAAGGGGAAGCCGUGGACCAUUCGUCGUCCACACUCCCAAGUCCAGCCCUUCCUGCCUCCUCGAAACAAACACCCUAAACCCUAGCCUCUCCCCAUCCCCGAUCUCAUCAGCCGACCACCUCGUAGCCAUGGGCUUCUGGACCCACGGCCGCAAGGGGAAGCACGACCGCGAGGCUAGCUCAUCCUCGGGCCGCCGCCGCGGCUCCGUGAAGUACAUUGCCGCGUCCGGCCCCCACGCCUGCCCCAUUCACCAUCGGCCCUACGGCCGGCGGCGAGCGCGACUGGCAGUACAUUGCCGCGGAUGUAUGACGGCGUUAUUGGGAGACGAGGACGCCGCUCCCGUGGAGCGACAUGCACCUCCCAAUAACUGGCACCUCCCCGUCGACCGGGUCCCGAUCCCGCCGGUCCCGAUGAGCGGCCAUGCGCGCUGCGAGGAGAUCGAGCAUCGCCGCUGCCUCCUGCCGGGCGACAUAUACUAUGACAAUAGGUACGACCCCAACUCCCGGCUCUGGGACACGUGGCUCCAGCACGAGCACGACGUGCGGUGCGUGUCAUUCUUCGCUGGCACCUCGUCGGGGCCACGGCGGCCACUUCGAGAGCAUGCAGCGCAUGCUUCCCAGGUGCGCGGGCGUACAAGGGUGUGCGGACUCACGCCAACGUCGUCGCCUUCACCGUCUCCAUCUCUGUCUCCAUCACCACCACCUCGCAUGACAGCGGAGGAGGAGACCUGGCUCAUGCAGCCUGUCAUGGAGGACUCCAUGCGCAGGCACGAUGAGCGCCAAUGGGAGGGCCUCGAGGAGAUGAUGGCCCUCUCUGCGGCCGGUGAUGUCGACAUCCCCGAGCUGGAGAUGGUGAAGGCGGAGAAGGUGAUAGAGGAGGAGCCGGUGGCCACGUUCCACCCGGGCCUGGUGGGCCAGAAGUGGAGCUGGUCAUGCACGGCUCCGGAGAUGGCCGACGCCGUGGGGGGCAUGAACUGGUACCCUACGCCGCCGUGGUCACGCCAUGGGAGGAGGUGGUGCAGGAACCUCCGGCCUUCCAGCCCGCCCCCGUGUAUCACGCGCCGCCGUCCCACCUCUGGACGCCGCCGGACUACGUCGACCUCAUCAGCGACGAUGACGAUAAUGGCGGCCACUGAAGACGGCCACGGCCACGUCAUCGACCGGCACGGCACGAGCACGCGGGCUGAUUUGUUUUGUUUUUAUGUUAAUUAUGGCAAUGUGAAGCGUGGAACUGGGCCGUUUUGUGGGCGUGAUGGUUAAUUUAUGUUUUAUGUUUUUAUAUUCGUGUUUAUUUAAUUUUUUCGGCAAUUUAUUUUAGUUUUUUUGUUUUUUUAAUCACGUCCACCCCGGACAUGAUUUGGGGUGAGGCCGCGGGUUGGGCGCACCCAAAACCCAACGAACAGAAGUGAGCACAGGCGAACCCAUUGCCACCCAAAAGGAUAAAAUCCUGCCAAACCGGACGUCUGUUUGGGGUCGUGCGCUGAAGUUGGCCUAAGAGCAGCAGCGGGAAGCAGUAGCAAGGAACAGCUGCGACGCAACGGAGCACCAAGCAGAGCAGCGCAGUAGCAGGCAGCAGAGCAACGACUAGCGGCAUGUAACAUCAGCGACAGUAGUGGGCGGCUUCAGCAAAGAGAAGUAGCAAGCAGAGCAGCAGCGGCACAAGCAGGCAGUAGCAUCACACAGCGGCAACAAUACAGAGCAGCAGCGGCACAUAACAGCGCAGCAGGCAGCCGCAAGCAGCAGAAGGUAGAGCAAUGCGCGACCGCGGCAGUGCAGGGCAGCAGGCGAGCGAGCCGGACCGCACGGACGGGCGCCGGCAGGGGAGCCCAGGGCGCGCACGAGGCUACCAGGGCUCUAGCGCGGCCACGAUGGCUACGUUCGGGGGUGGGGCAUCAACCGCGAUGGACUCGAAGGGGAUCAGUGGGAAAUCGACGCGGUGCUCAUCGGGGAGGACGCAGGCGAGCUCGAGAGGGGUUGGGGAUGGCCCAGAGCAGCAGAUCGACGGGGACGUGCGGCGGCUGUGAUAGAAGAAGUUGAUCGUGCCAUCGUCUUGGGGCCUCUAGGUUCGAACGGAGUAGUUGACGAUGACGAGCGCGACGCGACGGAGCUCCUGGACACACCGGCGAGACGAGAGGCGGUCGGUGGCCGCGGCAUCGACGCGGCGACGGUGACGACCGCGUUGGGUGCCUCUCCAGAUCGAGGAGGAGAGCGAUGAGGAAGAGGAGGGGAUAGUGGCUAGGGUUUGACCUGGGUCACGGGGUUGAUCAUAACCUAGGGGGGCCAUGGGAUGGGUGCCACGGCGGCAUCGCCAGCCAGGGAGGCCGGGAUGGCUGCCACGCUCCCCUCUACCUAGCGGGAGGUCGAGGAAGAUGGAGGUGGGCUGGGCCUCCCUCUCUCUUACUUUUCUCUCUUUCUUUCUUUCUUUCUUUCUUUCUUUCGUUAUUCUUUUUCUGUUUUCUUUCUAAUUUGUUUUGUUUUCUAUUUACUUUCAAUAUUAUUUUGGUUUUAUAAAAUAUGAUACUUGGUCCAUAAUUAGUUAUGCAAUAUUAGGCACUGCCACAAAAGUUUUGGGGGUUAUUUAAAAUAGUUUUUAUCAUAAAUUAGGAAAGGCAAUUUAAAUAAUGAAUUGUCCCCUUGUUUCAUUUAUUUUAGGGAUCUCAACCAAUUUAUAAAAUGUUGGUUAAUGAAUGACAAUUAUUUAGUGGAUAUUUUCAACCUAACGAAGAUUUUCAAUUUACUGUUUGAAGGAAUAAUAAUUUAACUUGUUAUUUCAAUUUCAAUUUGACUCGAAUCUUAAUCAAGUGACAAUUGGCUUAGUAAAUGAUGAUGACAUGGCAUCAUUAGGGUGAGGUUACUGUAGCAUGAGUCUUGGGGUGUUACAAUCUACUAGAUAAUACCCCACCCGUUGCUGCGGGAUGUAUGCAUGGAUACAAUUGAUGAACUAUUUGGAAGCUAAUAGGAAAUAUUGCCACGCUGAAGCAAAUAUGUUAUGUUCUUUACAAAUAAUUAAGUAAGAACAAUGAGUUGCACUUGGACAGAAAACAUGUUUAGUGGAAAUACCGGCACCCUAUAGUACCAUAAAAUCGUAGAUGAUACAAUGCAUUCACGGAUGUAUCAUUUACAUGCAUAGAAGACACUAAUGGAUUAAUUGUACUUCCGACUGAUCACAAUACUUCAGGGUAUGCUUCUGUGAAGAAAGAUCAAUAAAAAUACAAACAGUACUCCAAAUCUCUGAAGGUGAUAACUGUCGUGGACAAACUCAACACAGAUAUGGAGAACAAACCUAUCUGUAACAUUCCUGGGAAAACUUGUGCACAAACAUAUUAGGAAAUAGACUGUUCACGUCAAUGGAAUAUUCCAAAAGUGCUUUUAUCAAUUUAGAGAUACAUAUAGACUAAGGUAUAACGAACCAGAAGGUGAAGAGUUGUUGCUCAGUCAUGUACGUUCAGAAAACCACUUAUAUACUUCUUUAAUAUUUUUCCUCUAGAUUUCUAGAAGGAAACAGAUAAGUAAAUUAUUGUAGCUCAAUUUCUACCAAUACCGUGCAUUAUGUAAGUGUAUAGACACUCAUGCAUAUAGCGAGGGAGUAGUGGACCAUACCAAUUCUAUGUCUGGUCAACCACGACAUAUGCAUCCGGUGAAUUUGACUUCUCUCAAAAAAAUCCGGUGAAUUUGACUGUUUAUUCUUCCUUUCAACAUCCAGCGAAUCCAAACUUUGUUGGAUCUUAAUUUUUAAUAUAUCAUGGAAAUGAUAAGCAUAAUAAGUAGGCAGGAAAUGCUACAACCAACAACAUAUCCUAAAAGUAAAAUAUAUGCCUCCUCGAAAAUUAGGAAUGUAAAAUACAUAACUGAGAUAUAUAGGGGGGUGGAAAAGGAGUAUGUAACUUGUGGAAGAGAUAGACCUGUCAUAAGACUGCAAGAAUGUAUUUCCCUGUGCACCUCUUCUCCAAAACUAAAAAGUAAGUGAUCAUCAUAUCACUUGUAGAAGUGCUAGAUCAUUAAAACAAUUGAAAAUUCUUUCAAACGAACAAUAGAAUAUGUUCAUAAUCAACAAAAUACAGAAGAAAUAGUGGAUGUUCUCCCAAAGGGCCAAAAGCACUUGAGUGCAUCAUCAAAAAUCAACAAACAUCUAAAACACAGAAGAAGGAAAGACAGAGAAUGGCUUAUAUAUUAUUACCAUUCUACCAAACCGGAAGAGAUGAGAUUGCUUACCAGAACCUAGUUGCUCCAUAAAUGAUUCAUAAUGUUAAAGGGCUUCAUUGUCACUGUUGACAGUUCGUUGGAUCGUCAAAUUCAAGUGAAGCGAUGACAACACAAAGCAGUUCGUGAUCCAGUAGGAGAGAAAACCAAGCAGUGCGGAGACUUCAUACAAGGGUUGGUAUAGCUGCAGCCCACCACGGAUGAGUUGCAACCAAGAAUAGACAGUCUGCAUGCUAGUAAAGAUCUACCAAAACACAAAAUAAUAAUGUGUCAGCACUACUGUUCCUAUUAUCCAACAGGUAAACAUGAAUGUAUGUAAAACAAUCUGAUGCUAAUAUCUAUGUUGACAUGUGCAUGACAAAGAAAAAAACUGCAGUACUUAAUUAUUAUUUUUUGCCCUUGACUAAUCUACACGUAGCGUGAGUAUGCAAUGUCAUCAAAAAAGAAAAAUAGCAUAUGAAGAAGUCAUCUUCCCUGCACAUAGAUCAGCAUUUGGUGCAGAAGAAACAGAGCCAUGAAGCAACACUGCAAGAGAAACACUCGGACAACGGAACCAAUGAUGAUCCCAUAAUGCUACAAAAAUACAGAAGACCCGCAGGGAAACAAAAACUAGUAAUGAUAGUGAGACAAAUAAAUCAUACUGAUAUUGUAAAUCGCUCGGACAUUUUUGAAAUGUCUGUGAACAUCUAUAACAAUAACUGACUGAUUUAGUCCAGAAAAAUACUUCCAUGGUAGCCAGUGUUGGAGGUGGGGAUAGGAGGAGUGUGCAACCUUGUUCCAUGGUGCUUUUUAAUGAUAUUGUACAUCGCUCGAACGUUUUUGAAAUGUCUGUUAGCAUCUAUAACAAUAACUGAUUGAUUUGGUUCAGAAAAAUACUUCCCUUCUAGCCAGUGUUGGUGGUGGAGGAGUGUGCGACCUCGUUCCAUGGUUCUUUUAAUGGAAGCCAUGGCCCCUUCUCCAACCUCCCGCUGGUCCACGGUCAGCGUCGCUGUGGGCCUUCCCGCCUGCUGGCCUCGUCCUCCCGGAAUCGAGUGUCGGGGCAGCUCCGUCGUCCUCUGGAGCAGCGCCAGCUUCCUCGUGUGCCCUGUCUGCCCAUGAGAUCUGUCAGCUUUUUCUCUGCCUGGUGAUGCCACUUCGAUCAAAGUUCCAACUGCUACACCCGACCGGCAGAUGCUGCCGGGCAGCCGGAUCUGAUUCCCAUCUGGAGGGCUCAAUUCCUCAUGGAAAAGAAGUAGGGUGGGGAUUUAAUUAGAGAAAAUGCCUGAGAUUGAGAAACGCCAAAAGCCAAAGGGAGGUAAAGAACAAGAAAGGAGCAGCCGUGGGAAGCGGAGGGGACUGAUGGAUUCGCCAAAGGGACUCCUCGGUCGCCUGCGCUGCGCCUUCUCUCUACUCGUCGGUUACUACUGAAAGAAGGGAGAGGAAACAAACAUAUAGAGGAUUUAUGCGAGUGGAACAAAGUGUGGCAUUAAACAUUUUUUUCUCUAUGCAGUGCUGAUGUGGCAGCUUGCGCUUGAUUGGUCCCUCUUGUAAGCCAGUAGUAGAACGAUGAUGUAGCUCACUUGCUGAUGUGUAUAGGUUGCAUGUCAAGAGAAAUAAGAUAGUGGGGAUGAACUAUUUAGAUAUUCUAGAUGAACAAGAAACAAUAACUGGACAGAAACAAAGAGAAAGGAAAAUAAACAAAAACAGGGCAAAAAAACUUACUCCAAUGACAUCUCUCUCCCUUCUCGUUCUCCAGAACCCCUGGAGGAGCUCCUGCCGAAGAGGAAUGGGAAAUGGGCGAAAUGGAUGCGAGGUAGAAAAACUACUAUGAGACAGACAAACGGCCUGCCAGCCCAACUAUCGUGACAAACACCCCGGCCCGCUACUAGCAUCAACCUGAAAACGGGCCGCGCGACACAUAACAGCCGUGAGCGAAUGCACCGGUGGGACAAAAAUAGGUUUGAGCGAAUCUUAAAGACAGACGAGAUUCAAUGGCUCUAGACUUAGAUGUGAAGUAGUUAUUUCACAUCUGGAGGUGAAAUAGCAAAUUUGAUAUAAUGUCUGUAAUGUUGUAGUCUGUAGAUGUCUAAUUAAUGCACAAUUCAUUUUUUAUACCUUCAAGAUAUAUAUAAUUAAUGUAAUGUUGUAGCAUGUAGAUGUGUAAUUAAUGCACACGUUCAUUUUUUGGUGCAGUGCCAUAUCUUCCUAUCUUUAAGAUAUAUAUAAUUAUUGUAAUAUUGUAGCAUGUGGAUGUGCAACUAAUGGGUAAAUUCAUUUUUUAUGCAGUACCAUAUCUUCAAGAUAUAUCAUAUAUAGUACAACUAAUGUAUUUAUAACGUGUCGAUGAGAAGUUCAUGUACACACUCAUUGUUCGAUGUUAUUUCGUAUCUUCAAGGUAUAGCCUAUAAAUAUAGAGUUAAUGUGAAUAUUCAUUGUUUGAUACAAUAUCGUAUCGUCAAGAUAUAGAACUAAUGUAUGGUGUAUCCUCUAUAGUGCAAUUAAUGUACAUAUUAAUCGUUUGACAUGGUGCCAUAUCUUCAAGAUAUACAAUUGAUGCAUGUGCCCAUAUCAUCAUCUCAAACAAGGCUAUAUAAACCAAGCCAUAGCUAACGAAAUCAUGUAUCCCACACAUUCACAGAGAAGCCACACAAACAAUUAUAAGAUCAAAGGGAUAGAGAAGGCUCUAGUGUAGCAGAUACAAAAGCCAUAGCCAUGACGAAACCCAUGUGCUUGUGUUUCAUCAUCCUCACUAUUGGGGUAGCCGUGUCGGCUGACGAAUGUGAGGGUGACCGAUAGGCCAUGAUCAAGGAGUGUGCUAAGUAUCAACAAUGGCCAGCAAAUCCAAAAAUAGAUCCAUCGGACGCAUGUUAUGCCGUGUGGCAAAAGGCAAACAUCCCAUGCCUUUGCGCUGGUGUCACCAAGGAGAAAGAGAAGAUAUAUUGUAUGGAGAAGGUUGGCUACGUUGCCAAUUUCUGCAAGAAGCCGUUCCCACAUGGCUACAAGUGCGGAAGUAAGUGACAUAUAUUAAGGGAAAUAUGAUGAUCGCCAUUGCAUACAUGCAGUUUUGAUAUUUGUUAUUCUUCGGAUACACACGAUUUUGAUUUUAGUGAUGCAUUUUAUAUGCUUCUUGUGCUAUUCUGAUCAUAUGUUGGGUCAAAUUGAAUGGUCUUGCAGGUUACACAUUCCCUCCUAUGGCGUAGUGACUCUAGUUUAGUUGUGGGAGGAGAAGCUUGGCUUUUACAUUCCAUGUGCCUGGCCUCACAAUAGCUUUCCUUUCAGAUCUGUAAGUCGUGAGGUUGUGCUCAGAAAAGUUUAUGUUAAGCAUUUUGUAUGAGAACGUUUCUGAAACUAAUAAAGCCUUCUCCUCAAAUAGUCUAAAUUAUUUUUGCAUAUAUUAUUUUUGGUUCUACUAGAAAAUAUGACCGUACGUUGCAACGGGGGAAAAACAAUCAGAUUAUGCAUAUGUGGUAGAGAUAAAAAAAGUUUGAAACAUAUGCCAGGAUGAGAUCGGGACCUUUAAAAUGUGAUUUCAUAAACUACGUUUGAAUCAUGUCAUGAUGAGAUAAGGAACUUCUAAAAGGUCAUUUCAAAAUCUAAAAAUGUGAUGGUCUCAUCACGACUUGAUUUCCUAAGGCACCACAACAAAAUAUUUUCUGGCUGAGAAACUGUAUUGAUGGACCCUACCUGAGCUGCACCAAUGAAUGGUGUGUGUCGCCUUCACCUAGGGUCACGGUGUUUACCCUGACUAAUAAAACUAUAGUACCAGAAUAACAUAGAGGUGUAUGGAGGCAAAUUAGAUAUUUAAUCAUUUUCAUAUACAACUUACAAAAACUAAUUGUAGGAAGUUUUGUCAAUUUUUUUGGGCUCAACGUUGUGUAGAUUAUGGAAACCUUUUUUUUACGCGACUCGCAUGUACUAAAUAACACCAUGAACCAACAUCUACAAAUAAAAAAACUCUAUAUAAGCAGGUUAGUUUUGUUCGUUAUGUACAGAUCUGCUUAAUUUUUUUGAACAUUUUCUAAAAUUUACAUUUUUUCAAAUUCCCGAGUAUGUUUUGAAUACAUGAUCAUUUUUUUUCUAAAAUCAUGAGUAUUUUGUGAAUAUUUUUUUGAAAUCAUGAUUUUUUUAUAAAUACAAACAUCUUUUCAAAAUACUGGACAUUUUAUAAUUUUCCAAACAUUUUUUGAAUUAAUGAAAAUUUUAUGAUUUGGCAAAAAUAGGGCAUGAAAGGGGUUCAAGGCAAUGAGAAUAAGUAUUGUGUCUGAUAGCAGAAUUGAUGAUCUCUCGAAUGGUGGCUCGUGAAUUACAUAAGAGGCCACACGCGAGGAACAACCUUGGGAACAGGGGGUGUACAGGAGAGUCAGGUUUUGAUCCUGUGGAACUGUGGGUUAUGGGCCCACCAUGUGGGUUAAACGUAGGAAAGGCGGUGACGUCUUGCACGAUCAUGUAAGCAAGGCAUGUCAGAGGAUAGCCUGGCAGUUAUGUCGGCAACAGCAUUGGUACCAUUUUCUUGCUCGUUGAAUGAGGCAGACCAAUAGGCAAAGUUCUCGUCCAUCGGUGGUUACCGGAAUGUAAUCAACAUUAGUAACAGGGUCUUACUGACAGAGUGUUACAACGAGGUGCUUACCUAAGCAGGGAAUUAUCACUGCUCAAUUAAGUCAGGUUGCAAGAAAGGUUAAACAAAACAAUGGAAAGGAAAAUGCGAUUAUCAGAUUAAACAGAACAAUGGAAAGGAAAAUGUGUUUAAACACAUAUUUAAGGGGUAUAUCCUUCCCAAGGGCAAACAGAGCACGAUAUCCAUGACAUGAUAGAAACUAGAAAACCAUUUAGGUAAGGGGAGAGGAAUUUCAUGACAUAACCCAAACAACGGUGUUUGGAUAAUUGAUGGGAAAAAAAUUAGCAUUCUGCUUCAAAUAUUCUUAUUGAAGAUCGAGGACAGACAUGCUUCAAGAUAGCAUUGACAUGGUCUUGAAGCAAGGUCAGACAAUGGAUACUCAAAGGAUUCAUCAGGAACAACUUAUAGAAUAAGUCUUAGAAUUUCCUCAUGGAAGAAUGGUUAACCUUGCCAAAAAGGAAACUAUAACAAUAGGGCCCCAGCUAGGUGUGCUGGGCAUGACAUCACCUUACCGGAUCAUAUAAAGACCAAUGUUAUAACUCUUGGAAAUAUGUUCCAACCAUUAUAUUUGACCAAGAUUCGGAUCUGAUUGGUGUCAGGAUACCUUAGACUCAGAAUGCUUGAGAAGAAAAAGGUGUGACACGGAUUGAUGAGAUGACAUUGUAAUAUUCUCAGGAAAUGAACUAUGGGAGUGAGUACCGAAACAAGAGUACAUCAUUAAAUCAAGGAGAGGGCGAGGAGGUGGCUGAUGGACUCAGCGACAAUUCAUUGAGAUUUCCAAAAAGAUGGAUUUGCACAAUUAUGUGAAGCAGAUAACAUUUAUAAGAUCAAAUGUUAUAACGAUGUAUGCUCAAGCAGAACAUCCACGAGUAAACAUUGGUUGAAAGGUGCACCCGAAAUAUGGGCUUAGGUAGCAUGAUCAAUGUUAGAAUGGUGAUUCGAUAACCAAUACACAAAGAAUGAACAUAUCAUUCAUUAAAUUACAGGUAAUAGGGUUGCUAGAAGUUUUGAAUUUUACAAAUCACAGUCCAGUUGUCAGUAUUCUGGUUAGGAACAACAUGGGGACCAAGAACUGAAUGUAGACGGCGAGAUAUAUCACUUGUAUCAAGAAAUCUUAAGAGGUGGUGAAAUUCUCACAACUUUCUUUAUAUAUAAAAUGGUAAUACUCCAAGGUAGGACAUAAGAUAAGUUGGAUUGCCAGGAACUCAAGGUACAACCACAACACGAACAUGUUUGUGUUGGAAAGAAGGCAAGGAAGUAGUUGAUGACAACACAAAUUACGAAGGAUAAGGAUGGUAAUCCCCAUCAGGAAUUCGAUUGGUAUACUGGAAGGAGUCAAAAUGUUGUUGAUGAUUGAUACGUCUCCGUCGUAUCUAUAAUUUUUUAUUGUUCCAUGCCAAUAUUCUACAACUUUCAUAUACUUUUCGCAACUUUUAUACUAUUUUUUGGGACUAACAUAUUGAUCCAGUGCCCAGUGCGAGUUCCUAUUUGUUGCAUGUUUUAUGUUUCACAGAAACCCCAUAUCAGACGGAGUCCAAACGGGAUAAAAACGGACAAAUAAUUAUUCUGGAAUAUUUGUGAUUUUUGGGAGGAAGAAUCAACGCGAGACGGUGCCCGAGGGGGCCACAAGAUAGGGGAGCGCGCCCUAGGGGACAGGCGCGCCCUGGACUCUCGUGGGCAUGCCGUAAGGUGGUUGACACUCUUCUUUUGCCGCAAGAAAGCUAAUUUUAUGAGAAAAAUCUGGGCCAAAGAUUCACCCCAAUCGGAGUUACGGAUCUCCGGAUAUAAAAGAAACAAUGGAAGGGAAGAAUUUGGGAACGCAGAAACAGAGAGAGACAGAGAGAUAGAUCCAAUCUCGGAGGGGCUCUCGCCCCUCCCACGCCAUGGGAGCCAAGGACCAGAGGGGAAACCCUUCUCCCAUCUAGGUAGGAGGUCAAGGAAUGCCGCCAGGGCCAUCAUCAUCACCGCGAUCUUCACCAACACCUCCGCCAUCUUCACCAACAUCUCCAUCACCUUCCCCCAUCUAUAUUUAGUGGUCCACUCCCCCGCAUCCCGAUGUACCCUAUACAUGAACAUGGUCCUUUAUGCUUCAUAUUAUUAUCCAAUGAUGUGUGGCCAUCCUAUGAUGUCUGAGUAGAUUUUCGUUGUCCUAUCGGUGAUUGAUGAAUUGCUAUGAUUGGUUUGAGUUGCAUGUUUUAUUAUUGGUGUUGUCCUAUGGUGCUCUCCAUGUCGUGCAAGCGUGAGGGAUCCCCGCUGUAGGCUUUGCAAUAUGUUCAUGAAUUGCUUAUGGUGGGUGGCAUGAGUGACAGAAGCACAGACCCGAGUAAGUAGGUUGUUUGCGUAUGGGAUAAAGGGGACUUGAUACUUUAAUGCUAUGGUUGGGUUUUACCUUAGUGAUCUUUAGUAGUUGCAGAUGCUUGUAGAGUUCCAAUCAUAAGUGCAUAUGAUCCAAGAAAAGAAAGUAUGUUAGCUUAUGCCUCUCCCUCAAAUAAAAUUGCAAUAGUGAUUACCGGUCUAGUAACGUAGUCAAUUGCUUAGGGACAAUUUGACAACUCCUACCACCACUUUUCCACACUCGCUAUAUCUACUUUAUUGCUUCUUUAUCUAAACAGCCCCUACUUUUUAUGAGAACUUUUUAUUUACGUGUUCUUUAUUAUCUUGCAAACCUAUCCAAUAACACCUACAAAGUACUUCUAGUUUCAUACUUGUUCUAGGUAAAGCGAACGUCAAGCGUGCGUAGAGUUGUAUCGGUGGUCGAUAGAACUUGAGGGAAUAUUUAUUCUACCUUUAGAUCCUCAUUGGGUUCGACACUCUUACUUAUCGAAAACUAUUGCGAUCCUCUAUACUUGUGGGUUAUCAAUGAUCAUGACAAAUUUGGUCGAGAGGCUCCACGAAGAAGCAAUUGAAUAGUGACUACAUCAAGCAAAAGUACUGAUGCUGCAAAAGAUUAUUGGAUCCAUGGAUACAACACCAACUCGGAAUCAAGCUUGUUGUUCGUGCUGGAAUGAUAAGACGAGGGAAUCGACGUAAGAUUAGCUCAUCGUCGAAGUUGUGCUCCGAGAGUAAGGAACAGGUAGCAUAGUUAAAAUCGGCACGAUAAUGAUAUAGCCGAGCAGGCCAGGAAUGACAUGGUCGAGUACAAACUCCUGAGUAAAGGAGAUUACCAAGAGUUGUUUAAUCAUGGCGCGGACCCGAUUUAGUUAUCGGUGUCCUCGAGUGACUAACAACUCGGAACCCAGGAAAAAUUGGAAUCGAUGAGGAAUAAUACUUGAUGAAGGCUCAUAAUAAGCAACAUGGUUCGGUGCUAUUAUCGAGAUACUAGAGGGUAAUACUUGGAGGUAGAGCAAAAUAGAGGGUUGACAAGUGUAUUGAUCUGCAGAAGACAAGUACUUUAACAUGUCCGAGAAAAGGAAUCAAGGAAUGCAAUUUCAUGACACCGAAAGAAUUAUCCAACUGAUUUAAUGUUUUGCAAGAAGCUUCCAUGAUAAGUUCCACAUCGGGUCCAUGGGCAUGAACACUAAGUUCAAGGUCAACUCCCACUUCUCCAAAGCAGAAUCUUACAUUCACUUCUCAUUUCGAAAAUGGCAUAAGCAUUGAAAGUUUUACCUGGUAAAAUACCAGAUGAGUACGACCCGUGAAAUCUCUCGGGUUUACACAGAUUAGGGAAAGCAUUGGUUCAACCCACCGGGGCAUCCUAGGAACAUAUACCACGAACUUUAGAGUAAAUAUCACCAGCUCGAAAGUAGAGUAUGGUUGGCCAAAUCGGAGAAUAGGAUUUACCAAUGGCAUUAUUAUCAAGUAAAGAAUUCCAGGUUUUGAGAAUACGCAAUAAUGGUCGGAUAAUAAUCCACCAAAGGAUCUAGCGGACCGCAAAUGAUCUAAGGUUAGUAACGGUACCCAACCAAAAGAAGAAAGAAUGCAAGGGAUUGGAUUAUAGAAACAACUGACUAAUUCAAAGCUCAAAUGUAAAGGAAAUAUGAUUUCCAAAUCAAGGGAUCAAAAGCAAACACUCUGAUUAAGGAUGGAUAAGUUGAGUAAGCUUAGGGGUACAAUCGAUGACAAUUUGAUUGGUCGAGAUCCAGCUCAUGUUUAAAAUGAUGUCUGAGCCGGAAGGAUGAAUUCUAGGAUCUGUUUAAGGAUUGCGAGCAUUCACAACAUAUUGAAUCAACGGAUUCAAAAUGAUAAUGACAAGGGAUGCCAAUAAGAUUACGAGACUUAUGGGAUUAACCAUAACGCAAGCAAGCAAGAAUUUCAAGAGCAAUAGGCUGCUCAAGAUUUUUGGAAGACCGAAUGGUAUUUCGAAGACUUUUGGGAAACACAUGAACUACUGGGAAUGAGCGGAUACUCUAUAACUGUGAGGAAUUAUCCGUAGGGGUAUUCGGGUGGAAAAGAACUGCAAGGCAAUAGGCACAAGUAUUCUUGAAACAAUAGAGAGAAUUUUGCGGUACCUUGUAAUAACAAGAUCAACUGGGAAAUAAAGUAAGAACGACAAGUGUAUGUAUUUAUCCAUAGGGAUAUAUGGGUGGUAGGGAAUUGCAAAAGGGACGGGCACAAAGUCUCGAGAAAACAUGGGAGAGUAUCUUCGAAAUCUUCUGGCACACCAAGAAAUCAUCUUGAGUGAGGGGUUCUCUGAAAGGAAGUAGUUCCAAGAACCUAGAGUUAGAGUCAGUAAAAAUCAUUUAACUUGAAUAGAAGAGGGAUCAGAGUCCCAGAGUAUAGACGAGGAAUAAAAGAUCCUAAUACCACCCAAUGCCGACGUGGGCCCGUAAGGUACACAACCAUGUUAGUAAAAUUUUAGCAUUGUAUAGACUCGACUUCGGCCAAGGAGUGUGGAAGGGGGAUUCCAACAGGCAGACAGCUCCGAUACCAACUUGUGACACCCCCGAUUCAAUCUACACUUGUCGGUGGGAAACAACACCUAUGGGAUCACUGGAAUCCCUACUACGAUUGCGGGGCGCUGGAUCGUGAGAAGAGCAGGACUAGUAGACAGCACAAAGGGGAUUUACCCAGGUUCGGGCCGCAAAGAUGCGUAAGACCCUACAAUCCUGCUUUGGUGGAUGUAUUUAGUGUUCUUGAGCUCUUGAACUAGCUCUGGGUGCUGCUAGGUUCGAAAGAGCCGAAUCCUUUUCCAGUGUGCCAUGGGCCUCCUUUUAUAGACGAAAGGGGCUGCCACAGUGGCACGCUGGAGGUGGAAAGUGCUACAGCGCUGGGAGCUUAUCGCUGGUAUCACAGGACAAAGCGCAUUUAAUGCGAGGCUUAGGUGUCCCUUCACUUUAUCGGGGACGGGAGCGAGGCCCGUCCCAUCUGUCGCUGCUCCACCUUGCUUCGACACGCGCCCUGGCCAGCGAUGCAUGCGGUGCCAUGUAGGCAGGCAAGCAGCUGAGGUGGCGCGGUGGUGGAGCUUCCACGAAGGGCUGCAUGUUGCCACGCAGGUGCCUGCCCAGCUGGUUGGGCUGGCAGCUCCAUGCGAACGGCGGCUGGGAGUUGAUCGGUGCGGGCCUGGCAGUGGCCCCGCGGUUGCCUCUGGAGAGGGUCUUGUCGGGUGGCCCGACAAGGGUCUUGCCGGGUGGCCCGACAAGGGUCUUGCCAUGGCGCGCUGGUGUCCCCGGCAAGGAUCUUGCUGAAGGAAGUAUGCCCUAGAGGCAAUAAUAAAGUUAUUAUUUAUUUCAUUAUUUCAUGAUAAAUGUUUAUUUUUCAUGCUAGAAUUGUAUUAACCGGAAACAUAAUACAUGUGUGAAUACAUAGACAAACAUGGUGUCACUAGUAUGCCUCUACUUGACUAGCUCGUUGAUCAAAGAUGGUUGAGUUUCCUAACCAUGGAUAUGAGAUAUCAUUUGAAUAGUGGGAUCACAUCGUUAGAAGAAUGAUGUGAUUGACUUGACCCAUUCCCUUAGCUUAGCACUUGAUCGUUCUGUAUGUUGCUAUUGCUUUCUUCAUGACUUAUACAUGUUCCUAUGACUAUGAGAUUAUGUAACUCCCACUUACCGGAGGAACACUUUGUGUGCUACCAAAUGUCACAACGUAACUGGGUGCUUAUAAAGGUGCUCUACAAGUGUCUCCGAAGGUACUUGUUGAGUUGACGUAUUUCGAGAUUAGGAUUUGUCACUCUGAUUGUCGGAGAGGUAUCUCUGGGCCCUCUCCGUAAUGCACAUCACUAUAAGCCUUGCAAGCAAUGUAGCUAAUGAGUUAGUUACGAGAUGAUGCAUUAUGUAACAAGUAAAGAGACUUGCCGGUAAUGAGAUUGAACUAGGUAUUGAGAUACCAACGAUCGAAUCUCGGGCAAGUAACAUACCGAUGACAAAGGGAACAAUGUAUGUUGUUAUGCGGUUUGACCGAUAAAGAUCUUUGUAGAAUAUGUGGGAGCCAAUAUGAGCAUCCAGGUUCCGCUAUUGGUUAUUGACCGGAGAUGUGUCUUGGUCAUGUCUACAUAGUUCUCGAACCCGUAGGGUCUGCAUGCUUAAAGUUCGAUGACGGUUAUAUUAUGAGUUAUGUGUUUUGUUGUACCGAAGGUAGUUCAGAGCCCCGGAUGAGAUCGGGGACAUGACGAGGAGUCUCGAAAUGUUCGAGACGUAAAUAUCGAUAUAUGGGACGACUAUAUUCGGACAUCGGAAAGGUUCUGAGUUGUUCGGGUAUUUAUCGGAGUAACGGAGAGUUACGGGAAUUUGCCGGGGAGUAUAUGGGCCUUAUUGGGCCAUACGGGAAUAGAGGAGAGAGGCCAAAAGGAAGGAGACGCGCGCCCCCAUGCUACGUCUUGAGAUAGCGUUGGUUUUCCCCGAAGAGGAGAGGGUGAUGCAGCAAAGUGUAGCGUAAGUAUUUACCUCAGUUUUUGAGAACCAAGGUAUCAAGCCAGUAGGAGGCUCCUCAAAAGUCCCACACACCUACACAAACAAACUAAGAACUCGCAACCAACACAAAAGGGGUUGUCAAUCCCUUCACGGCCACUUGCUAAAGUGAGAUCUAAUAGAGAUAGUAUGAUAAGAUAAAUAUAUUUUUGGUAUUUUAUGAUAUAGAUGCAAGAGAAGUAAAGAUGCAAAUAAAAGUAGAUUAAAAGCAAAUAUGAUAAGAGAUAGACCCAGGGGCCAUAGGUUUCACUAGAGGCUUCAUCUCGAGAGCAUAAGUAUUACAGUGGGUGAACAAAUUAUUGUCAAGCAAUUGAUAGAAAAGCGAAUAAUUAUGACGUUAUCUAGGCAUGAUCAUGUAUAUAGGCAUCACAUCCAAAAGAAGUAGACCGACUCCUGCCUGCAUCUACUAAUAUUUCUCCACACAUCGACCGCUGUCCAACAUGCAUCUAGAGUAUUAAGUUCAUAAGAACGGAGUAACGCAUUCAGCAAGAUGAUAUGAUGUAGAGGGAUAAACUCAUGCAAUAUGAUAUAAACCCCAUCUUGUUAUCCUCGAUGGCAACAAUACAAUACGUGUCUUGCAACCCUUUCUGUCACUGGGUAAGAACACCGCAAGAUUGAACCCAAAGCUAAGCACUUCUCCCAUGGCAAGAAAGAUCAAUCUAGGAGGCCAAACCAAACCGAUAAUUCGAAGAGACAUGAAAAGAUAACUCAAUCAUACAUAAAAGAAUUCAAAGAAGAUUCAAUUAAUAACCACAAAUAAAUCUGAACAUAAACUCACAAUUCAUCGGAUCUUGACAAACACACCGCAAAAAGAGAUUACAUCGAAUAGAUCUCCACAAGAGAGGGGGAGAUCAUUGUAUUGAGAUCCAAAAAGAGAGAAUAAGCCAACUAGCUAAUAACUAUAGACCCGUAGGUUUGUGGUAAACGACUCACAACUCAUAGGAGGGGCAAGGAUGUUGAUGUAGAGGCCCUCCAUGGUCGAUUCCCCCUCCGACAGAGUGCCGGCGAAGGCUCCAAGAUGGGAUCUCGCGGAUACAGAAGGUUACAGUGGUGGAAAUUGUGUUUCGUGGUGCCCCAGAUGUUUUCAGGGUCCGUAGGUGUAUAUAGGAGGAAGAAGUACGUCGGUGGACGCCCGAGGGGCCCACGAGACAGGGGGCGCGCCCUCCUAUCUCGUGGGGCCCUCGGAGCUUUCUUGACUUGCACUCCAGGCUCUCCGGAUCAGAUUUGUUCCAAAAAUAACGCUCCCAAAGGUUUCAUUCCGUUUGGACUCCGUUUGAUAUUCCUUUUCUUCGAAAUACUGAAAUAGGCAAAAAAACAGCAAUAUGGGCUGGGCCUCCGGUUAGUAGGUUAGUCCCGAAAAUGAUAUAAAUAUGUAAAAUAAAGCCCAUAAGCAUCCAAAACAGGUAAUAUAAUAGCAUGGAACAAUCAAAAAAUUAUAGAUACGUUGGAGACGUAUCAAGCAUCCCCAAGCUUAAUUCCUGCUCGUCCUCGAGUAGGUAAAUGAUAAAAUGAGAAUUUUUGAUGUGGAAUGCUACCUAGCAUAAUUCAUAAUGUAAUUUUCUUUCAUUGUGGCAUGAAUGUUCAGAUCCAAGUAAUACAAAAUAAAAGUUCAUAUUGAUAUAAGAAACAUUAAUACUUCAAGCAUACUAAGCAAGUAAUCAUGUCUUCUUAAAAUAGCAUGGCCAAAAGAAAGUUAUCCCUACAAAAUCAUAUAGUCUGGCUAAGCUCUAUCUUCAUCACACAAAGUAUUUAAUCAUGUACAACCCCGAUGACGAGCCAAGCAAUUGUUUCAUACUUUAAUAAUCUCAAACUUUUUCAACUUUCACGCAAUACAUGAGCGUGAGCCAUGGACAUAGCACUAUAUGUGGAAUAGAACGGUGGUUGCGGAGAAGACAAAAAAGGAGAAGAUAGUCUCACAUCAACUAGGCAUAUCAACGGGCUAUGGAGAUGCCCAUUAAUAGAUAUGAAUGUGAGUGAGUAGGGAUUGCCAUGCAACGGAUGCACUAGAGCUAUAAAUAUAUGAAAGCUCAACAAAGGAAAACUAGUGGGGUGCAUCCAACUUGCUUGCUCACGAAGACCUAGGGCAUUUUGAGGAAGCCCAUCAUUGGAAUAUACAAGCCAAGUUCUAUAAUGAAAAAAUCCCAUUAGUAAAUGGAAGUGACAACAUAAGAGACUCUCUAUUAUGAAUAUCAUGGUGCUACUUUGAAGCACAAGUGUGGUAAAAGGAUAGUAGCAUUGUCCCUUCUCUCUUUUUCUCCCAUUUUUUUAUUUGGGCCUUUUCUCUUUUUUGUAUGGCCUCUUUUUUUUUGUCCGAAGUCUCAUCCCGACUUAUGGGGGAAUCAUAGUCUCCAUCAUCCUUUCCUCACUGGGACGAUGCUCUAAUAAUGAUGAUCAUCAGACUUUUAGUUUUUUACAACUCAACAAUUACAACUCGAUACUUAGAAAAAAAAUAUGACUCUAUAUGAAUGCCUCCGACGAUAUACCAGGAUAUGCAAUGAAUCAAGAGUGAGAUGUAUGAAAGAAUUAUGAAUGGUGCCUUUUCCACAAAUACAAUGUCAACUACAUGUUCAUGCAAAAAGCAAUAUGACAAAAGUAAUGUGUGUCAUAUGAACGGAACGGUGGAAAGUUGCAUGGCAAUAUAUCUCGGAAUGGCUAUGGAAAUGCCAUAAUAGGUAGGUAUGGUGGCUGUUUUGAGGAAGGAGUAUGGUGGGUGUAUGGUACCGGCGAAAGUUGCACGAUACAAGAGAGGCUAGCAAUAAUGGAGGGGUGAAAGGAGUGCGUAUAAUCCAUGGACUCAAAUUAAUCAAAAGAACUCGUAUACUUGUUGUAAAAAUUUAGAAGCCAUCAAAAACCAAAGCACUACACGCAUGCUCCUAGGGGGAUAGAUUGGUAGGAAAAGACCAUCGCUCAUCCCCGACAGUUACUCAUAAAGAAGACAAUCAAUAAAUAAAAUUGUGCUCCAACUUCAUCACAAAGCGGUUCACCAUACGUCGAUGCUACGGGAAUCACAAACUUCAAAACAAGCAUUCUUUAAAUCCAUAAUCACCCAACUAGCAUGACUUUAAUAUUACUACCUCCACAUCUCAAAACAAUUAUCAAGCAUCAAAUUGAUCAUAGCAUCCAAUUCACUUUCUUUGAUAGUUUUUAUUAUACCCAACUUGGAUGCUCAUCAUUCUAGGACCAAAUUAAAACCAUAGCAAAUACAAUGCUGUUCUAAGAGACUCUCAAAACAAUAUAAGUGAAGCAUGAGAGACUAGCAAUUUCUAUAAAAUUAAUCCACCACCAUGCUCUAAAAGAUAUAAGUGAAGCACUAGAGCAAAAACUAUCAAGCUCAAAAGAUAUAAGUGAAGCACAUAGAGUAUUCUAGCAAAUUCUAAUCAAAUAGGCUUCUUCUAAAAGGUGUGUUACAGCAAGGAUGAUUUUGGUAAACUAACAAGCAAAGACCAAUAUAAUACACGAUGCUCCAAGCAAAACACAUAUCAUGUAGCGAAUAAAAAUAUAGCUCUAAGUAAAGUUACCAAUGAACGAAGACGAAAGAGUGGAUGCCUUCCCGGGGCAUCCCAAGCUUAGGCUUUUGGCUAUUCUGGAAUAUCUUGGGGUGCCAUAAGCAUCCCCAAGCUUAGGCUCUUGCCACUCUUUAUUCCAUAGUCCAUAAAAGCUUUACCCAAAACUUGAAAACUUCACAACACAAAACUCAACAGGAAAUCUUAUAAGCUCCGUUAGUGAAAGAAAACAAAACCACCACAUAAGGUACUGAAAUGAACUCAUUAUUUAUUUAUUUUGGUGUUAAACCUACUGUAUUCCAACUUCCUUAUGGUUUAUAAACUAAUGUAUUAGCCAUAGAUGCAUUGAAAUAAGCAAACAACACACGAAAAACAGAAUCUGUCAAAAACAGAACAGUCUGUAGCAAUCUGUAACUAACGCAAACUUCUGGAACUCUAGAAAUCCUACCAAAAUAGGACGUAAUGGAAAAUUUGUUUAUUGAUCAGCAGCAAAAAGAAUCAAUGUAAAAUAUAUUUUUUGUUAUUUAUUGAUUUUUUUCUCAUGAGUGCAAAGUUUCUGUUUUUCAGCAGAAUCAAAUCAACCAUCAUCAUAGUUUAUCCUAUAGGUUCUACUUGGCACAAACAGUAAACAAAAGAUAAAAACACAUCUAAACAAGAAGUAGAAACAAAAUUUAACACUAAACAGGAACAAAAACAAAGAACGUAAAAUUAAGGAUAGAUCUAACGAGUGCCUUCUUUGGCACUUGAUUCAUAAGUAGCAACAGAGGAUCUCCUUUCUAUGGCAUUCAUCCUUCUAUUUAGGUUAAGAACAUUGCCAUUAAUGGAUGAAGUAAGAUUAAUCACGUUACGGAAAUUUGCAUCUAAGCUAGACUUCAUUUCUUUGAUAAUUUCAUUUUGAUAAAAGCACAAGAGGGUAGUUGAUUCAACUUUAUCAUUUAAAGGGUGCCCAAAUAUGGUUUUAAUUUUUUUAUAGGUAUCUAUAGCAUCCCCUUCAAGAAAACCUUCUUCAAAAAUAGAAUCUAGAACUUGUUUGAAAGAAGCGGGCAAGCCAACAUAGAAACUUUUUAAGUAAACCUCAAUUUUAUAUUGUGGCACAUAACUAGCCCGAAUCCUUAAUAACCUAUCCCAAGCAUCUUUUAAAGAUUCAUCAAGUAAAUAACGAAAGAUUCCGGAGUCAUCAUCAUCAAAAUCAUCUAAAUUCUCAUUGGUGAUCCCAGUGGGUCUUUCGAUAGCAUCAUUGUUUAUGAGCUUAGAAAGAAUAGAGGGGUUAUCCAAGGAAAUAGAACUCGGGAGAAAUCCCUUAGUUCUUUUUGAUUCGGCCAUGGCAACAGGAAGCCAAACAAAAAGGCAGGCGAAAAGAGAGAAGGAGAUUGGGAAAGAGAGGGUGAAUAAAACAGCAAAGGUGAAGUGUGGGAGAGGAAAACGAGAGGCAAAUGGCAAAUAAUGUAAAUGCGCGGGUGUCGGUGUCAAAACCGGCGGAUCCCGGGUAGGGGGUCCCGAACUGUGCGUCUAGGCGGAUGGUAACAGGAGACAAGGGACACAAUGUUUUUACCUAGGUUCGGGCCCUCUCGAUGGAGGUAAAACCCUACUCCUGCUUGAUUAAUAUUGAUGAUAUGGGUAGUACAAGAGUUGAUCUACCACGAGAUCAGAGAGGCUAAACCCUAGAAGCUAGCCUAUGGUAUGAUUGUUGUUCGUCCUAUGGACUAAAAUUCUCCGAUUUAUAUAGACACCGGAGAGGGCUAGGGUUACACAGAGUCGGUUACAAUGGGAGGAGAUAUACAUAUCGUAUCGCCAAGCUUGCCUUCCACGCCAAGGAAAGUCCUAUCCGGACACGGGACGAAGUCUUCAAUCUUGUAUCUUCAUAGUCUGGGAGUCCGGCCAAAGGUCAUUCCGGCCAUCCGGACACCCCCUAAUCCAGGACUCCCUCGGUAGCGCCCGAACCAGGCUUCAAUGACGAUGAGUCCGGCGCGCAAAUUUGUCUUCGUCAUUGCAAGGCGGGUUCUUCUCCAAAUUCCAUGUACCUGUCGAAUAGUGUCCGACUUCUAGUGCAUGCUGCGAUCCUUGGCUUCUGUGCCCAAUAAUGACCAUCUUCCACGUGUCAAACGAAUGCGAAAAGCCAGGGAGUUUUUUCAUUUACCCCCCUAGCUGCGUAAAUGAGCCGCCCAUAAAAGAGACGGGGAUUUAGAUCCAAAUCACACCAUCUUCCCUCCGCGAGCUUUCAUCGGAGCGCAUUCGACAGAGAUCCAUUCCAUCAUGACCAGUCGACGCAGCUCCUCCUCUCGCCCUUCCAGCCCUCAGCCCGGAGAUGGGGAGAGGUGUUCCGUCCCGCACAGCGAGCUAGUAGCGCUCCAAUCCAAGGGGUCCUUCCCCCAGCAUAUAUGGUCCCAGUUCGAGCCGGGCUUGCUACCUAUAGUGGCGGAGAGAAGGCGGAGAGCGUCCCCAAUCCCUCUAAAGGAGAGCGGGUAUGCCUUGUCCCUUAUUUAAUAAGAGGGCUCGGAUUUCCAAUUCAUCCCUUUCUCCGGGGGCUACUAGAGUUUUAUGGCCUCCAGCUACACAACCCUACGCCUGCCUCCACACUGCAUAUUGUGGGCUUCGUGGCCCUUUGCGAGCUGUUUUUGGGCAUCGAGGCCCAUUUCGCACUAUGGAAGAAGUUGUUCUGCCUCGUGCCCCGCUCUCAGGAGGGGUCGAUUUAUCAAGUGGGCGGAGCCAAACUAUGGCGCAUCGCUGGGACCGGAUAUCUAUCCGGAACCCCAAAGAAGGCGUCCGAGGACUGGCCUUCGGAAUGGUUUUAUAUAGAUGACGUCCCCCUGCCGGACCCUGUACGGAUCGGUCUCCCUGAGCUCAAUAAUGCUCCCUUGAAGAAACGCCUGAGCUGGCGUCCACGGAGCCCUAAGAGGGAAACUGAUAGGGACGUCCUUUACCUGAUGAGCCGGAUAAGGUUGUUAGCUCAUUCCGGACUGAUCAUGAUCGAGGUCAUGGCCACAUGCAUUAUGCGGGGGGUGCAGCCGGUUCAGUACAGAGGCCACCCCAUGUGGGAUUUCAAUGGGGAGGAUGAUGCCACCCGGUGCGGUCGCAAGGGGCCGGAUUCGGCUGCCACUCUAACGAAGAUCUUAUCUGCUUUGUACAAGGGAGAAGAGGAGGAAUUCCUCCGUGUCAACCCAUGGGGCGGAUUCUCUAUGUACAAUCCUCCAAGAUGGGUGAGCGAACACUUUCACUUACCAAUCCGUUUUCAAAUUCCCAUAGUUGAGUACUUAGUCUAGCAAUUUUAACGCAGGAGCUACACCAGACUGUAAAGGAGAUAAACAGCCCUCCUCCACAACCCGAGGACCCGGAACGGUCCCUCAACCCGGACUCCCAAGAGGACCCGGACUUGUGUGUGGAGCUAAUUGAUGGGGUGUUUCAUCAAUUGAGUAAGGACAACACCUUAGUGGCCAUUACGGUCGAUUAUCCCGGACUACUCCCAGCCUCAAAGGUAACCGCGACCGAAGUCCCAGUACUCUCAAGAGGAUCCAUCCGUGCUUAUUUUUUCUCGCCGUAUACCAAUGGCGUUUUUUGCAGGGGAAGUCCUUGAGGCGGAGGGCCGAGCCCGCGGUGGCGGGCCAACAAGGGCCAUCGAGGCCCAGCGGGCUAAAAAGAAGUGCGGACCGAAUCGAGACGCCAGCGCAACGGUACAAUGUGCAACUUUAAUGCCCAGGGUUUAUGCCCUCAAGGCAUACUGAUGCUCAUGCUUUCUUUAGGAAGAAGAGCGCCCGCCGGACUAUAUCCACUGGCCAGGCUUCAAGGCCGGCUCCGGAAGCGGAGGCGAACACGGGGCACGCACCGGACGUUCCUCCGACAGACGACGCGGACGGGCUAUCUGCCACCAAUUCAGAGGUGGAGAGUGCCAUGAACCACAGGCGUCGCCAGACUGUUCUUCGUGACGCAUGUUUUUUCCAAGAGGCGUUGGACGCCUUUAAUAGAGGAGAUGCGUACCUCCGUGCCGCUCAAAAUGGUCUAGCUAGAGCCACAGAGCAGUAUGUAAAAGACAUACGGGUGAGUAAAUCUGAUGGUUAUAUAUGCCAGUAGCCCCCGAGACUUGAAACAGUUAAGAUAACUGAUUUAAGGAUAAUUUGUUAGGCAGGAUCUUACAAAAAAGAAUACGCAACUGUCCCAGGAGCUGGAAGAGUGCAAGGCCCAACUUGAGGAUGCACUAGCCGCUACAGAGAAUGCCAAGGGGACCCCCUCAGGUAAUAUAUGCUUCGAAAGAUAAGUAUGUUGUGAAGUGCGGCAUGUGUGCAAUUCUGACAAUAACAGUGCAGAUGGGGCCGGAGUGGAUCCGGACAAACAACAACUCUUGCGCCAGUUAAAGGCCGGCGAGAGCGUAUUAACGAGGGUGAGGCAAGAUAAGAACAAGCUUCAAGAUGCCAAUACCCAGCUGGGCGAGGAACUAAAGGAUGUUCGUGCUCAGCUAUUGGAUUCCGUAAAGGAGAAUCGGCGACUUCGACGCGGCAUUUUUAGUAAGUGCUUCAUCGAAUCUUCAAAAAAGAGUUCGGCGAGGAAGUCGAUUGACAGAGUUAUGUCUGUAGAUAUGCUGAUAGGUCGGCCUGCGGAGGAAAUGCCCGGUUCAACGGGUGACCUUCUUCCCGAGCUAUCGCAACUGCACGAACGAGUUCGGCAGGCGAUGCAAGGCGUCGUCCAGGCUUUGUGGCCAUCCCUCUCCAUGCCCGAAGGCCUUGGAGAGCUUGCAGAGAAGCUGAAGGGAGCGCGGCAGCGCUUCCGAUUAUGGAAGAUAUUGGCCUGCCGUCAAGGUGCCAGGGAGGCCUGGGCCAUGGUGAAGACACGGUACACGAAGGCUGACCCAAACCAUAUGGCCGAAGUUGGACCUGUGGGGCCCGACGGGAAGGAGAUCCCUAUCAGUUUAGUGUACGACCAGGUAGAGCUGGCCGCCAAGUAUUCCCAACAGGACUGUAAAUUAGACAGCCUGUUGGAUGGUAUUGAAGAAGAAUAUACCCAGUCAAAUUGACUAUGUAAUUUAAAAUUACAUGUAAAAUGCCUUCUAGCCGGAUUGUAGAUCAUUUGUCAUUGCGGACCAUUUAGCUUCAAUCUCUGGACCCGAUAGUCCAGAGUGUGUCCGAAUACCCUCUCGGUUAUGUAAGAACCGGGGCAUGCGUGGAGACCAGGCGUAGGGGUCAUAAGUUCUUUAGCAGACAAGUGCCCAACUAGUUAUGUUAUAUUACAUGGUUAGUAAGAAACAUCUUCGAGUGACAAUAGUUCCGUUAGGGGUUCCUUUCCCUGGGAGGCACGCCCUAAAGUGCAUGUCUGGACUGCGAAAAAAGCAGAAAAGCAUCUGGGGGUAGAUAAAUAAACAAGUGAAAAAUCAUCUUUUAGUUCACCGACCGAAUAUUCCCUUAAGAACACUAGCUUUUGGCUUCACCCAGUCUGAGGUACACAUCCGGCUGACCCGGUAGUAACAAUCGCAGAGGUGCUCCCUUUACCACCUAGCCGAACAAUCGGGAAUGUAGGCGUAAGCACAGGAGCCAGGCAACCCAGCUUGGCCAAAACUUAUGUCAUAUCGAUGCAUAUAAUGGUGAAUAAAAGGUUCAUGCAGAAGUGUCACACAUGUAUUGGGCAUGAGGCCCGUGUAUAUAAGCUUCUGAUAAAGAAGCCCCCAGGUAUAGUGAGCGCGGGUGGCGCGUCAAUUAUGUGUGAACAAUGCGCAAGCGAGCCCUUAAAGGCUUGUAAGAAAAAGGGAGGGAGAAGGAGAGAAAUAUAAGGCAGCUAAUUUGUAAAAAAAAGAAGGGACAGGGGAAGGAGACAAACACAGAGUCCGGCGCUAGGCGUAGAAUCUUCGUAGGCGUGCUGCGUUCCAUGGGUUCGGCUCGAGUCGGUUAUCCGAUGCGUUUUGCAGACGGUACGCUCCACCAGUCAGGACUUGGUCAAUUAUGAAGGGACCCUCCCAUUUGGGCUUGAAUUUGUCCUUUUUCUUGUCCGGCAGGUGUAGAACUAGUUCGCCAACAUUGUAUGUUUUUGCGCGUACUUCUCUGCUUUGAUAUCUUCGAGCCUGCUAUUGAUAGAAUGCGGAACGGGAUUUUGCCACGUCGCGCUCCUCCUCCAAUGCGUCCAAGCUGUCCUGCCGAUCGAGCUCGGCUUCUCUUUCUUUGUACAUGCGCACGCGAGGUGAGUCAUGAAUUAUGUCGCAGGGUAGGACUGCCUCUGCGCCGUAUACCAUAAAAAUGGUGUGAAUCUGGUAGUGCGAUUCGGCGUGGUCCGCAGCCCCCAGAGUACGGAGUCGAGUUCCUCUACCCAGUGCGUGUUAGAUUCCCUAAGGGAUCGCACUAAUCUGGGUUUGAUGCCGCUCAUGAUUAGACCAUUGGCUCGUUCGACUUGACCGUUAGUUUGUGGUGAUAGACUAAAGCGUAGUCGAGCUUGAUGCCCAUGUUUUUGCACCAGAGUUUAACCUCGUCGGCCGUAAAGUUUGUGCCGUUGUCCGUGAUGAUGCUGUGGGGGACGCCGUAAUGGUGUACAACCCCUGAUAUGAAGUCUAUCACCGGUCCGGAUUCGACCGUCUUAACAGGCUUGGCCUCUAUCCAUUUGGUGAAUUUGUCCACCAUGACCAGUAGAUAUUUUUUCUUGUGGGUUCCUCCUUUAAGGGGUCCAACCAUGUCAAGCCCCCAGACCACAAAAGGACAGGUAAUGGGUAUAGUUUGGAGGGCGGUAGGUGGCAUGUGGCUUUGAUUAGCAAAUAAUUGGCAACCAACGCAUCGCUGGACUAAGUCCUGAGCAUCUUCCCGGGCCGUCGGCCAAUAAAAUCCAGUACGGAAGGCCUUGCUUACAAGGGCCCGGGCUGCGGCGUCGUGCCCGCCGAGUCCGGCAUGAAUUUCAGCCACAAGGUUCCGCCCUUCCUCUUCGGAGAUACACCUUUGAAGGACUCCGGUGGUGCGUUUCUUGUAAAGCUCUCCUUCGUGGACUUUAUAGGCUUUAGAUCGCCGUACUAUGCAGCGUGCCUCAAUUUGGUCCUCGGGAAGUUCCUGCCUAGUUAAGUAGGCUAAGAAUGGUUCUAUUCAUGGGGCAAUUACUGCCAUUAUUACGUGGGCUGAGGGUGUUACCUCGUUGGCGGAGUCUUCCGCUGCAUCAGAAUGUUCGAUGUCAGGUGGUGCGGCUAGGUCCGGAUUGUAAUUUCCGGAUUCCCCUUCCACUGUACGGAUGGAUUGAAUAGCCUUUCCAGGAAAAUGUUGGGGGGGACUGCAUCGCGCUUUGCGCCGAUGCAUGCCAAGACGUCUGCUGCCUGAUUGUUUUCCCGGACUAUAUGGUGAAAUUUGAGCCCUUCGAACCGAGCUGACAUAUUUAGGACGGCGUUGCGAUAAGCUGCCAUUUUCGGAUCUUUGGCAUCAAAGUCUCUGUUUAUUUGGGAUAUCGCGAGGUUCAAAUCCCCACGCACCUCUAGGCGUUGAAUGCCCUUGGAGACUGCCAUCCGGAGGCCAUGUAGAAGGGCCUCGUAUUCGGCUACAUUGUUGGAGUCCGUAUACAUUAUCUGGAGUACAUAUUGGACUGUAUCUCCUGUUGGGGACGUCAGAACGACGCUAGCCCCCAGACCUGCCAGCAUUUUGGAGCCGUCAAAGUGCAUGGUCCAGUUGGAAUAUGUGUCGUACUCUUUAGGGAGUUCGGCUUCAGUCCAUUCAACGACAAAGUAGGCCAAGGCUUGCGACUUGAUGGCUCGCCGUGGCUUAUAGGUUAUGUCGAAUAGGAGGAGCUCAAUGGCCCAUUUGGCAAUCCGGCCCGUUGCGUCAUGGUUGUUUAUGAUAUAAUUAAGAGGUACUUCGGAGGCUACUGUUAUUGAACACUCUUGAAAGUAGUGUCGUAGCUUCCGGGAUGCCAUGAACACUGCGUAUGCUAUCUUUUGGUAAUGCGGGUACCGGGACUUGCAUGGAGUGAGGACAGUGGACACGUAGUAGACUGGUUUCUGGACAGGGAAUUUGUGUUCGUCCGUUUCUCGUUCGACGACGAGGACUGCGCUUACAACUCGGUGAGUUGCCGCGAUGUAUAACAACAUUGGUUCGCCGAUGUUAGGGGUGGCUAGGACUGGGUUUGUUGCCAGUAUGGCUUUUAUUUCUUCGAGUCCGGUCGUGGCGGCAUCCGUCCACUCGAAGUGUUCGGUGCACCGGAGGAGGCGGUAAAGGGGUAAUGCCUUUUCCCCUAAGCGGGAGAUGAAGCGGCUUAGAGCCGCCACGCAUCCAGUCAAUUUUUGUAUUUGCUUGAGAUCUUUUGGAAUAUCCAAUUGUGACAGAGCUCGGAUCUUGGUUGGGUUUGCUUCAAUUCCUCUACCAGAUACGAUGAAGCCCAAGAGCUUUCCGGCUGGUAUGCCAAAAACGCAUUUUCCGGGUUGAGCCUAAUGUCAUAUGUUCAGAGGUUAUCGAACGUGAGCCUCAAGACGUCUAUUAGAGUUUCGACAUGCUUUGUUUUGAUGACCACGUCAUCCACGUAUGCUUCAACUGUUUUGCCGAUCUGGUAGGCCAGACAUGUCUGAAUCAUGCGCUGAUAUGUUGCGCCAGCGUUUUUGAGCCCGAAGGGCAUUGUGUUGAAGCAGAAUGGGCCGUAUGGGGUGAUGAAUGCUGUUGCGGCUUGGUCUGACUCUGCCAUCUUGAUUUGGUGGUAGCCAGAGUAUGCAUCGAGGAAACACAAUGAAUCUUGUCCUGCGGUGGCGUCGAUGAUUUGAUCAAUGCGGGGGAGGGGAAGGGAUCCUUUGGGCAGGCCUUAUUUAGGUCUUUGAAAUCGACGCAUAGGCGCCAGGAUUUGUCCUUCUUUGUUACCAUCACCAAGUUUGCUAGCCAGUCUGGAUGUUUUAUAUCUCUGAUGAAUCCGGCUUCCAGUAGUUUGGCUAGCUCCUCUCCCAUGGCUUGUCUCUUAGGUUCGGAGAAACGCCGAAGAGCCUGCUUAACAGGCUUGAAUUCUUUUAGGAUGUUCAGGCUGUGCUCGGCCAGCCUGCGUGGGAUUCCUGGCAUGUCUGAAGGGUGCCAGGCAAAAAUGUCCCAAUUUUCGUGUAGGAAUUCUCUUAGUGCGGCGUCUACAUCAGGGUUUAGUUGUGCCCCAAUGGAGGCUGUUUUUGUAGUGUCCGUUGGAUGGACUUGGAACUUGACUAUUUCGUUUGCCGGCUUGAAGGAGGCGGACUUGGAUCUUUUGUCAAGUAUCACGUCGUCCCUGUCCACCGUGGAGCGCAACGCGGUUAGUUCCUCAGCCGCUAGGGCUUCGGAUAAUGCCUCGACGGCCAGUGCGGCUGUCUUGUUUUCGGCUCGGAGCGCUAUGUCCGGAUCGCUAGCAAGAGUGAUGAUUCCAUUGGGUCCGGGCAUUUUGAGCUUCAUGUACCCAUAAUGGGGUAUAGCUUGAAAAAUUGUGAAUGCCUCUCUCCCUAACAGAGCGUGGUAUCAACUACUGAACGGGGUCACUUGAAAUGUGACCUCCUCGGAUCUGUAAUUAUCCAGUGUGCCGAACACCACAUCCAGUGUGAUUUUUCCUGUAUAGCACGCUUCCUGACUGGGGAUUAUUCCUCAAAAGGUUGUGUUGCUUCGCUCAAUGCGGCUCCAGUAUAUUUCCAUUUUUUGUAGGGUUUCCUCAUAGAUGAGGUUCAAUCCGCUGCCACCGUCCAUGAGUACCUUGGUAAGCUGAAAACCGUCCACUAUCGGACUGAGGACCAGUGCGGCUGGUGCUCGGGCUGUCCGGAAUUUAGGUUCGUCACUGGCAUUAAAGGUAAUAGCCGUGUCACUCCAUGGGUUUAUUGUCGCUACCUGGUAGACUUCAGUAAGGCUGCGGAGCGUUCGUUUCCUCACAUUGUUUGAUGCGGAGGUCUCAAAGACUGUUGAUACCGUACUGGUGUUCCUGGGGUGGUGCUCUACGGAUUCUGGAGUUAGAAGCUCCUCGCCACUUCUGGCCACCUGCCGGAGUAUCCAACACGCUCUAAGGCUAUGAGUUGUUGUGGUGCCCUCUGUACUAUGAAUUUUACAGGGUCCACUGAGCCAUCCCUCCAGUACGGUCCCAUACCCUAUAGAGGGUUUUUGUUUUUUGUUGUUUGGCCCAGGUGCCUGGCGAUAAUGCGCCCUUUUGUUUCAGACUGGGAUUGUAUUCAGGGUUGGAUGGUCCCAGAAUUUUCUUUCGGUUUUACGAACGCUUUCUAUCACACAGUACUUUCGUACUAUGGAUGCAAAGUUGGCGAAGCGUGUAAUUUCACGGUGACUUAUGGCGUUGAGGAUUCUGAUGUCCGUGCAGUUGUUGCAGAAGAAUGAAAUUGCAUCCCCCUCACGGCAGACCUUUAUCAUGUUCAUAAUCAGGAGGAAUCUGGCCCAGUAAUGGUGUACUGUUUCUCUGGGCUCUUGCCGAAUUUGGGAUAGAUCCCUUAUAUUUGGGUGGGCGGGUGGAUUUAAAUCCGGAAGCUUGCCCGAUCUAAGACUCAGGGGCCAAGAAAUUUCCGAACUCGGAAGCUUGGGUUCUUGGACGUUAUCCAAUGAAUCAGGCACGCUGCCUGACUUUAGCUUCAGGGCUUGAGUGACGUCCUCCCCUUCGCGGAUGUCCGGCUUGGAGGGAUCAGGAAUCUGGACACAUCUGGUCCUUAGGAUGGGUGAAGAUUCGCCGCAUUGUUCCUCCACCACUUCGACAUGGUGGGUGACCAUGGGAGAGUUAAUCUCUCUCGGAUCGGGUUUAAGCCCAAUCUGAUCAUAGUCUGUAGCGACUCCCAGGGCAGCGAUGCGAUCCGAGAGCUCGUUUAAGGAAGAGAGCUCCAUCGGAUCUAACUGCUCGGCAAGUUCCGAGUUGACGUGGAGAUUGCUUUCGAUGACCUGAGAAGUCAUCGUCGGCGCGGUGGCCGAACAGGCCGUCAUUAAAAAACUGCCUAGCCGGAGAGUUUGGCCAACAGCCAAAGCUCCUUUAGCAAUAGCGCCGUCUUUAAAGACGGGGUGCGGCAUCCUUCCUGACGGUGGCGACACAGAGGAACUCUCAAUGAAAGCACCAAUGUCGGUGUCAAAACCGGCGGAUCUCGGGUAGGGGGUCCCGUACUGUGCGUCUAGGCGGAUGGUAACAGGAGACAAGGGACACGAUGUUUUUACCCAGGUUCGGGCCCUCUCAAUGGAGGUAAAACCCUACUCCUUCUUGAUUAAUAUUGAUGAUAUGGGUAGUAAAAGAGUUGAUCUACCACGAGAUCAGAGAGACUAAACCCUAUAAUCUAGCCUAUGGUAUGAUUGUUGUUCGUCCUAUGGACUAAAACUCUCCUGUUUAUAUAGACACCGGAGAGGGCUAGGGUUACACAGAGUCGGUUACAAUGGGAGGAGAUCUACAUAUCGUAUCGCCAAGCUUGCCUUCCACGCCAAGGAAAGUCCUAUCCGGACACGGGACGAAGUCUUCAAUCCUGUAUCUUCAUAGUCCGGGAGUCCGGCCAAAGGUCAUAGUCCAGCCAUCCGGACACCCCCUAAUCUAGGACUCCCUCAGAGGGAGAUGAGUUUGUGAUGGGUACUUGGUAUGUCUUGACUUGAGCGAAGACCUCCCCGGCAACGGUGCCAGAAAUCCUUCUUGCUACGUCUUGAGCUAGCGUUGGUUUUCCUCGAAGAGGAGAGGGUGAUGCUGCAAAGUGUAGCGUAAGUAUUUCCCCUCAGUUUUUGAGAACCAAGGUAUCAAUCCAGUAGGAGGCUCCUCAAAAGUCCCACGCACCUACACAAACAAACUGAGAACUCGCAACCAACGCAAAAGGGGUUGUCAAUCCCUUCACGGUCACUUGCGAAAGUGAGAUCUAAUAGAGAUAGUAUGAUAAGAUAAAUAUAUUUUUGGUAUUUUAUGAUAUAGAUGCAAGAAAAGUAAAGAUGCAAAUAAAAGUAGAUUGAAAGCAAAUAUGAUAAGAGAUAGACCCAGGGGCCAUAGGUUUCACUAGAGGCUUCUCUCAAGAGCAUAAGUAUUAUAGUGGGUGAACAAAUUACUGUCAAGCAAUUGAUAGAAAAGCGAAUAAUUAUGACGUUAUCUAGGCAUGAUCAUGUAUAUAGGCAUCACAUCCAAAAGAAGUAGACCGACUCCUGCCUGCAUCUACUACUAUUACUCCACACAUCGAUCGCUGUCCAGCAUGCAUCUAGAGUAUUAAGUUCAUAAGAACGGAGUAACGCAUUAAGCAAGACGAUAUGAUGUAGAGGGAUAAACUCAUGCAAUAUGAUAUAAACCCCAUCUUGUUAUCCUUGAUGGCAACAAUACAACACGUGUCUUGCAACCCUUUCUGUCACUGGGUAAGAACACCGCAAGAUUGAACCCAAAGCUAAGCACUUCUCCCAUGGCAAGAAAGAUCAAUCUAGUAGGCCAAACCAAACCGAUAAUUCGAAGAGACUUGCAAAGAUAACUCAAUCAUACAUAAUAGAAUUCAGAGAAGAUUCAAUUAAUAACCAUAGAUAAAUUUGAACAUAAACUCACAAUUCAUCGGAUCUUGACAAACACACCGCAAAAAGAGAUUACAUCGAAUAGAUCUCCACAAGAGAGGGGAAGAUCAUUGUAUUGAGAUCCAAAAAGAAAGAAGAAGCCAUCUAGCUAACAACUAUGGACCCGUAGGUCUGUGGUAAACUACUCACAACUCAUAGGAGGGUCAAGGAUGUUGAUGUAGAGGCCCUCCAUGGUCGAUUCCCCCUCCGGCAGAGUGCCGGCGAAGGCUCCAAGAUGGGAUCUCGCGGAUACAGAAGGUUACGAUGGUGGAAAUUGUGUUUUCGGGGUCCGUAGGUAUAUAUAGGAGUAAGAAGUACGUCGGUGGAUGCCCGAGGGGCCCACGAGAUAGGGGGCGCGCCCUACAGGGGGGGGCUCCUAUCUCGUGGGGCCCUUGGAGCUUUCUUGACUUGCACUCCAGGCUCUCCGGAUCAGAUUUGUUCCAAAAAUAACGCUCCCGAAGGUUUCAUUCCGUUUGGACUCUGUUUGAUAUUCCUUUUCUUCGAAAUACUGAAAUAGGCAAAAAAACAGCAAUAUGGGCUGGGCCUCCGGUUAGUAGGUUAGUCCCAAAAAUGAUAUAAAUAUGUAAAAUAAAGCCCAUAAGCAUCCAAAACAGGUAAUAUAAUAGCAUGGAACAAUCAAAAAUUAUAGAUAUGUUGGAGACGUUUCACCCCCCUCUGGUCUGAAUUGGACAAGGGGUGCAGCCCCCUUUUCCUUCUUCCUCUCCCCCUCUUUCCUUCUCUCCUACUACAACAAGGAAAGGAGGAGUCCUACUCCCAGUGGGAGUAGGACUCCCCCCUUGGCACGCCCUCCUCCUAGGACGGCCGCCUCCCCCCUUGCUCCUUUAUAUACGGGGGCAGGGGGGCACCUCUAGACACAACAAUUGAUCCCUUGGAUCUCUUAGCCAUGUGCGGUGCACCCCUCCACCAUAGUCCACCUCGAUAAUAUCGUAUCGAUGCUUAGGCGAAGCCCUGCAUCAGUAGAACAUCAUCAUCGUCACCACGCCGUCGUGCUGACGGAACUCUCCCUCAAAGCUCGGCUGGAUCGGAGUUCGAGGGACGUCAUCGAGAUGAACGUGUGCUGAACUCGGAGGUGUUGUUCGUUCGGUACUUGGAUCGGUCGGAUCGUGAAGACGUAUGGCUACAUCAACCGCGUUGUGCUAACGCUUCCACUUUCGGUCUACGAGGGUACGUGGACAACACUCUCCCCUCUCGUUGCUAUGCAUCAGCAUGAUCUUGCGUGUGCAUAGGAAUUUUUUUGAAAUUACUACGUUCCCCAACAGUGGCAUCCGAGCCAGGUUUUAUGCGUAGAUGUUAUAUGCACGUAUAGAACACAAGUGAGUUGUGGGCGAUACAAGUCAUACUGCUUACCAGCAUGUCAUACUUUGGUUCGGCGGUAUUGUUGGAUGAAGCCGCCCGGACCGAUAUUACGCGUACGCUUACGCAAGACUGGUUCUACCAACGUGCUUUGCACAUAGGUGGCUCGCGGGUGUCAGUUUCUCCAACUUUAGUUGAAUCGAGUGUGGCUACGCCCGGUCCUUGCGAAGAUUAAAAUAGCACUAACUUGAUGAAAUAUCGUUGUGGUUUUUAUGCGUAGGUAAGAACGGUUCUUGCUAAGCCCAUAGCAGCCAUGUAAAACUUGCAACAACAAAGUAGAGGACGUCUAACUUGUUUUUGCAGGUCAUGUUGUGAUGUGAUAUGGUCAAGACGUGAUAAGAUAUAAGUUGUUGUAUGAGAUGAUCAUGUUUUGUUGAAGUUAUUGGCAACUGGCAGAAGCCUUAUGGUUGUCUCUUUAUUGCAUAAGAUGCAACGCCAAAAAUUGCUUUACUUUAUCGCUAUGCGAUAGCAAUAGUUGCAAGAGCAAUAGUUGGCGAGACGACCAUGUGACGACACAUUGAUAUAGAUCAAGAUGAUGGAGAUCAUGGUGUCGUGCUGGUGACAAUAGAGAUCAUGACAGUACUUUGGAGAUGGAGAUCAGAGGCGCAAGAUGACCAUGGCCAUAUCAUGUCACAUAUUUUGAUUUCAAUUGAUGUUUAUCUUUUACACAUCUUAUUUUUGCUUAGUGCGACGGUAGCUUUAUAAGAUGAUCCCUUACUAAAAUUUCAAGGUAUAAGUGUUCUCCCUGAGUAUGCACCGUUGCGACAGUUGUUCGUGCUGACAUACCACGUGAUGAUCGGGUGUUAUAGGCUCUACAUUCAAAUACAACGGGUGCAAAACAGUUGCACACUCGGAAUACUCAAGUUAAACUUGACGAGCCUAGCAUAUACAGAUAUGGCCUCGGAACACUGAGACCGAAAGGUCGAGCGUGAAUCAUAUAGUUGAUAUGAUCAACAUAGUGAUGUUCACCAUUGAAAACUACUCCAUCUCACGUGAUGAUCGGACAUGGUUUAGUUGAUUUGGAUCACGUGAUCACUUAGAUGAUUAGAGGGAUGUCUAUCUAAGUGGGAGUUCUUAAGUAAUAUGAUUAAUUGAACUUUAAUUUAUCAUGAACUUAGUCCUGAUAGUAUUUUGCAAAUUAUAUUGUAGAUCAAUAGCUCGUGUUGUUGCUUCCCUAUGUUUAUUUUUGAUAUGUUCCUAGAGAAAAACAAUGUUGAAAAAUGUUAGUAGCAAUGAUACGGAUUGGAUCCGUGAUCUGAGGUUUAUCCUCAUUGCUGCACAGAAGAAUUAUGUCCUUGAUGCACCGCUAGGUGACAGACCUAUUGCAGGAGCAGAUGCAGACGUUAUGAAUGUUUGGCUAGCUCAAUAUGAUGACUAAUUGAUAGUUUAGUGCACCAUGCUUAACUGCUUAGAAUCAGGACUUCAAAGAUGUUUUUGAACGUCAUGGACCAUAUGAGAUGUUCCAGGAGUUGAAGUUAAUAUUUCAAGCAAAUACCCGAGUUGAGAGAUAUGAAGUCUCCAACAAGUUCUAUAGCUAAAAGAUGGAGGAUAAUUGCUCAACUAGUGAGCAUGUGCUCAGAUUGUCUGGGUACUACAAUCGCUUGAAUCAAGUGGGAGUUAAUCUUCCAGAUAAUAUAGUGAUUGACAGAGUUCUCUAGUCACCAUCACCAAGUUACUGGAACUUCGUGAUGAACUAUAGUAUGCAAGGCAUGACAAAAACGAUUCCCAAGCUCUUUGUGAUGCUGAAAUCAAUGAAGGUAGAAAUCAAGAAAGAGCAUCAAAGUGUUGAUGAUUGACAAGACCACUAGUUUCAAGAAAAGGGCAAAGGGAAAGAAAGGGAACUUCAAGUAGAAUGGCAAGCAAGUUUUCACUCCCGUGAAGAAGCCCAAAGUUGGACCAAAGCCUGAAACUGAGUGCUUCUACUGCAAAGGAAAUGGUCACUGGAAGCGGAAAUGCCCUGAAUAUUUGGUGGAUAAGAACGAUGGAAAAGUGAACAAGGGUAUAUUUGAUAUACAGGUUAUUGAUGUGUGCCUUACUAGUGUUUAUAGUAGCCCCUGAGUAUUUGAUACUUGUUCGGUUGCUAAGAUUAGUAACUCGAAACAGGAGUUACAUAAUAAACAGAGACUAGUUGAGGGGAAGUGACGAUGAGUGUUGGAAGUAGUUCCAAGAUUGAUAUGAUCAUCAUCACACACUCCCUAUACUUUCGGGAUUAGUGUUGAACCUAAAUAAAUGUUAUUUGGCGUUUGCAUUUGAGCAUGAAUAUGAUUUGAUCAUGUUUAUUGUAAUACGGUUAUUCAUUUAAAGUCAGAGAAUAAUUGUUGUUCUAUUUACAUGAAUAAAACCUUCAAUGGUCAUACACCCAAUGAAAAUAGUUUGUUGGAUCUCGAUCGUAGUGAUACACAUAUUCAUAAGAUUGAUGCCAAAAGAUGCAAAGUUAAUAAUGAUAGUGCAACUUAUUUGUGGCACUGCCGUUUGGGUCAUAUCGGUGUAAAGCACAUGAAGAAACUCCAUAAAGGUGGAUUUCGGAAUCACUUGGUUAUGAAUCAUUUGAUGCUUGUGAACCGUGCCUUUUUGGCAAGAUGACUAAAACUCUGUUCUCCGGAACAAUGGAACAAGCUACUGACUUGUUGGAAAUAAUACAUACCAAUGUAUGCGGUCCAAUGAGUGUUGAUGCUCGUGGCGGGUAUCGUUAUUUUCUGACCUUCACAGAUGAUUUGAGCAGAUAUGAGUAUAUCUACUUAAUGAAGCACAAGUCUGAAACAUUUGAAAAGUUCAAAGAAUUUCAGAGUGAAGUGGAGAAUCAUCAUAACAAGAAAAUAAAAUUGCUACAAUCUGAUCGUGGAGGAGGAUAUUUGAGUUACGAGUUUGGCCUUCAUUUAAAACAAUGUGGAAUAGUUUUACAGCUGACACCACCUGGAACACCACAGCCUAAUGGUGUGCCCGAACAUCGUAAUUAACCGCUCUUUAUUGGAUAUGGUGAGAUCUAUGAUGUAUCUAAUCGAUUUACCACUAUCGUUUGGGGUUAUGCAUUAGAGACAGCUUCAUUCACUUUGAAUAGGGCACCAUCAAAAUCUGUUGAGAUGACACCUUAUGAACUGUGGUUUGGCAAGAAAGCAAAGUUGUCAUUUCUUAAAGUUUGGGGCUGCGAUGCUUAUGUGAAAAACUUUGAACCUAAUAAGAUCGAACCCAAAUCGGAGAAGUGUGUCUUCAUAGAAUACCCAAAGGAAACUAUUGGGUACACCUUCUAUCACAGAUCCGAAGGCAAGAUAUUCGUUGCUAAGAAUGGAUCCUUUCUAGAGAAGAAGUUUCUCUCGAAAGAAGUGAGUGGGAGGAAAGUAGAGCUUGAUAAGGUAAUUGUACGUUCUCCCGAAUUGGAAAGUAGUUCAUCACAGAAAUUAGUUCCAGUGAUGCCUACACCGAUUAGUGAGGAAGUUAAUGAUGAUGAUCAUGAAACUUCGGAUCAAGUUACUACAAAACCUCGUAGGUCUUCCAGAGUACAGUUCGCACCAGAGUGGUACGAUAAUCUUGUUCUGAAAGUCAUGUUACUAGACCAUGAUAAACCUAGGAACUAUGAGGAAGCGAUGAUGAGCUCAGAUUCCGCGAAAUGGCUGGAGGCCAUGAAAUCCGAGAUAGGAUCCUUGUAUGAGAACAAAGUGUGGACUUUGGUGGACUUGCCCGAUGAUCGGCAAGCCAUAGAAAAUAAAUGGAUCUUCAUGAGGAAGACAGACGUUGAUAGUAGUGUUACUAUCUACAAAGCUCGACUUGUCGCAAAAAGGUUUUUUGACAAGUUCAAGGUGUUGACUACAAUGAGAUUUCUCAACUGUGGUGAUGCUUAAGUCUAUCCGAAUCAUGUUAGCAAUUGCCACAUUUUAUGAAAUCUGGCAAAUGGAUGUCAAAACUGCAUUCCUUAAUGGUUUUCUUAAAGAAGAGUUGUAUAUGAUGCAACCAGAAGGUUUUGUCAAUCCUAAAGGUGAUAACAAAAUGUGCAAGCUCCAGUAAUCAAUCUAUGGACUGGUGCAAGAAUCUCAGAGUUGGAAUAUACGCUUUGAUGAGUUGAUCAAAGCAUAUAGUUUUAUACAGACUUGUGGUAAAGCCUAUAUUUACAAGAAAGUGAGUGGGAGCACUACAACAUGUUUGAUAAAGUAUAUGUGAAUGACAUAUUCUUGAUCGAAAAUAAUGUAGAAUUUUCUGGAAAGCAUAAAGGAGUAUUUUGAAAGGAGUUUUUCAAAGAAGGACCUUGGUGAAGCUGCUUACAUAUUGAGCAUGAAGAUCUAUAGAGAUAGAUCAAGACGCUUGAUAUGUUUUUUCAAUGAGUAUACCUUGAUAAAAUUUUGAAUAAGUUCAAAAUGGAUCAGUCAAAGAAAGGGUUCUUGCCUGUAUUACAAGGUCUAAAGUUGAGUAAGACUCAAAGCCCGACCACAGCAGAAAAUAGAAAGAGAAUGAAAGUCAUUCCCUAUGCCAGCCAUAGGUUCUAUAAAUUAUGCUAUGUUGUGUACUAGACCUAUUGUAUACCUUGCUUUGAGUUUGGCAAGGGAAUACAAUUUUCAUCUAAGAGUAGAUCACUGGACAACGGUCAAGAAUAUCCUUAGUAAGGACUAAGAAAAUGUUUCUCGAUUAUGGAGGUGAUAAAAGAGUUCGUUGUAAAGAGUUACAUCGGUGCAAGCUUUUACACCAAUCCAAAUGACACUAUGUCUCAAUCUGGAUACAUAUUGAAAGUGGGAGCAAUUAGCUAGAGUAGCUCCAUGCAGAGCAUUGUAGACAUAAAAUAUUUUUGCAAAAUACAUACAGCUCUGAAUGUGACAGACCCAUUGACUAAACUUCUCUCACGAGCAAAACAUGAUCACACCUUAGUACUCUUUGGGUGUUAAUCACAUAUCGAUGUGAACUAGAUUAUUGACUCUAGUAAACCCUUUGGGUGUUGGUCACAUGACGAUGUGAACUACGGGUGUUAAUCACAUGCAGAUGUGAAUAUUAGUGUUGAAUCACAUGGUGAUGUGAACUAGAUUAUUGAGUCUAGUGCAAGUGGGAGACUGAAGGAAAUAUGCCCUUGAGGCAAUGAUAAAGUUAUUAUUUAUUUCCUUAUUUCAUGAUAAAUGUUUAUUAUUCAUGCUAUAAUUGUAUUAACCGGAAAAUUAAUACAUGUGUGAAUACAUAAACAAACAUGGUGUCACUAGUAUGCCUCUACUUGACUAGCUCGUUGAUCAAAGAUGGUUGAGUUUCCUAACCAUGGAUAUGAGAUAUCAUUUGAUCAGUGGGAUCACAUCAUUAGAAGAAUGAUGUGAUUGACUUGACGCAUUCCGUUAGCUUAGCACUUGAUCAUUUUGUAUGUUGCUAUUGCUUUCUUCAUGACUUAUACAUGUUCCUAUGACUAUGAGAUUAUGUAACUCCCGCUUACCGGAGGAACAAUUUGUGUGCUACCAAAUGUCACAACGUAACUGGGUGAUUAUAAAGGUGCUCUACAGGUGUCUCCGAAGGUACUUGUUGAGUUGACGUAUUUCGAGAUUAGGAUUUGUCACUCCGAUUGUCGGAGAGGUAUCUCUGGGCCCUAUCGGUAAUGCACAUCACUAUAUGCCUUGCAAGCAAUGUAGAUAAUUAGUUAGUUACGGGAUGAUGCAUUGCGUACCAAGUAAAGAGACUUGCCAGUUUUGAGAUUGAACUAGGUAUUGAGAUACCGACGAUCGAAUCUCUGGCAAGUAACAUUCCGAUGACAAAGGGAACAACGUAUGUUGUUAUGCGGUUUGACCGAUAAACAUCUUCGUAGAAUAUGUGGGAGCCAAUAUGAGCAUCCAGGUUCCGCUAUUGGUUAUUGAUCGGAGACAUGUCUCGGUCAUGUCUACAUAGUUCUCGAACCCGUAGGGUCCGCACGCUUAAAGUUCGAUGACGGUUAUAAAAUGAGUUAUGUGUUUUGAUGUACCGAAGGUAGUUCGGAGUCCCGAAUGAGAUCGGGGAUAUGACUAUUAGUCUCAAAAUGGUCAAGACGUAAAGAUUGAUAUAUUGGAUGACUAUAUUCGGACAUCGGAAAGGUUCCGAGUGAUUCGGGUAUUUAUAGGAGUACCAGAGAGUUACGGGAACUCGCCGGGGAGUAUAUGGGCCUUAUUGGGCCAUACGGGAAUAGAGGAGAGAGUCCAAAAGGAAGGAGGGGCGCGCCCCCCUCUGGUCCGAAUUGGACAAGGGGUGCAGACCCCUUUUCCUUCUUCCUCUCCCCCUCUUUCCUUCUCUCCUACUCCAACAAGGAAAGGAGGAGUCCUACUCCUGGUGGGAGUAGGACUCCCCCCUUGGCGCGCCCUCCUUCUAGGCUGGCCGCCUCCCCCUUGCUCCUUUAUAUACGGGGGUAGGGGGCACCUCUAGACACAACAAUUGAUCCCUUGGAUCUCUUAGCCGUGUGCGGUGCCCCCCUCCACCAUAAUCCACCUCGAUAAUAUUGUAGCGGUGCUUAGGCGAAGCCCUGCGUCAGUAGAACAUCAUCAUCGUCACCAUGCCAUCGUGCUGGCGGAACACUCCCUCAAAGCUCGGCUGGAUCGGAGUUCGAGGGAUGUCAUCGAGCUGAACGUGUGCUGAACUCAGAGGUGUCGUACGUUCGGUACUUGGAUCGGUCGGAUCGUGAAGACGUACGACUACAUCAACCGUGUUGUGCUAACGCUUCCACUUUCGGUCUAUGAGGGUACGUGGACAACACUCUCCCCUCUUGUUGCUAUGCAUCACCAUGAUCUUGGGUGUGCGUAGGAAUUUUUUUGAAAUUACUACGUUCCCCAACACUUGCCAGGGGUCUUGUGGGUUUCUUCGGUGAGGAUCUUGGUGAGGAUUGUUACCCUCCAAUCAUCAUCUGACCUUGAGCAUUUUAUGUCUUCACAAAGAUCGGCAUGCCACCACGGAGGUGCCUCCCGAGCCCUGUCCCAAUGCGUUUGUCUAGCGUUGGUGGGCUCAAAGGUGGCUCGCUCAACUGGUGUGUGGGCGAGCUACACCGGCAAGGGUCUUGCCGGGGCCGCUGAGGCUGCCCCGGCAAGGGUCCUUGCCGGGGAGACCUACUUCGUCCAUCCGACCGUUGUGGCCUUGGCCCUUGUCAUUGCUUGGUUUGUCUCAUGCCUUCGGCUUCUCUCCGGCUUCCCUUUCCUGCCAUGUUAUGCGUAGCCGUGGCGGGUGGCUCUGACUGUCCGUGCACCAGUAAAGGGUUCAAAAGCAGAGCCCCUACUUUUGUACACCGACAGGAGCCCCCAGGCCUGGGCCAUACAUAAGCACAACACGUUGUUGGGCCAGGCCCAGAAUGGUGCGCGGGCAGUUGGCGCGGAUUUUUACGGCGGUAACUGUUCCGUCCGCUGCGCUUCCCCAUGACCCGUGCUGAACGCGCGACAUGGGGGUCGUGCACGCGCAUGACGGAAGCAUACUGGCGUCAUCCCGUGGUGGACAGUAAAGAGGCGGCUUGCGUGUCUCUUUGAGACCGCAUAGCCGCUACUCAUUUACUGCCCUCGCUUGGGAACCGUCGCUCCAUGCGUCCCACUGCGCCUAUCCCUCGCGUCACGUUUGCUGCAUGCACGACGUAGGGCGAAUGACAGGCGCGCGGGUCGUGAGAAGUUGUGCGCAUGCGUGGGUCGAUUCUCAUGCACCUUCAAUGGAGCGGGGAGGGCGGUCGACGGCCCCGCCUGCUGUCACUUCAACGGGCUGGAUUGGCCGUGAGGGGGCGGCUGGGCCUCGCCCCUGCCCCUUUAUAAAGAGGGGAGCGGGAGGAACGGUGCCUCUCAACCCUUCGCCAUCUGCCUCUCCCCAUUCCUGCUUCCUCCUUUCUUCUACCAUGGCGAGGGGGCGUGGCGACGCUUCAUCGAUGGCGGCGAGCGUUUCGGCCAGACAACGCAUUGCUCCUCCCCAAGAGCUCAUAGCGGCGGAGCCGGCCACUAGAGGAAGGGGGAGUGGGCAAGAUCGAGGCCGUCGUGGUGCUCGAGGGAGAGGAGGACGGGGCGGCAGAUCAGCCUCGCCUCCGCCAGCAGCCGCUCCUCCGAUGGAGGGGCACUCCAGGGACAACCCUUGCGAAUUCAUCGUCAAGCUGCACCAGCCACCGCACCGUCGCCUUCACCUCCCGACUCCAUUUGCGCAGGAGAUGGAGCUGGAUUCGCCGCAGGCGUUGCGGCUGCAUAUGAGGGGUUGUGGGAACAGUGGCACAUGGGCCGAUGUUGAGUUCCCCGCCCCUCACGUCAUGUAUCUCCACCAAGGGUGGAAGACCUUCGGUCGCCUCCACAGCUUGACGGAGGUGCUCACUAUCCAUUUCAAACUAAUGGAGAGUGGCCUCCUCUCCGUCAAGAUCUUCAGGCACUUCGGGACUCCCAUAACAUGCUGCAUGGAGAACUCUUCUGAUCAUGAAGAUUCCUCCUUGAGGGAGAGUGGCAAGGAAGACAACGAAAGCGACGACGAGGCUAGCGGGUGGCUGGAUGACUGGUCCGACUAGGCGUCGGGCGCCGCUCCGAGCGGCACCGGCGACCCCAUCAUCCGUCUGCCGGCUCCUUGAACUUCUCGGGGUCGUCUCCUUGGGCGGCUGGCAUUGGGAGGCUGUGGAAGAGGAAGAGGGCGGGCGGCAAGGCCGUCAAGUCAGAGUAUGCGGGCACCGACAAGCGUAUUGACAUCCUGCCGCCUCGUCUUCGAGCUCUUCCUCCGGCGCCGCCAUCACCAUCCAGCCCUUGGACGGCCACCGAGAUGUUCUCUUGUUGUCUUCCGCCUCUCAUAGCUCGCCUAGGUGCCCGUUUGCCCUUCUGCUUUCUUGUUCCAUUUCUUGAGGAGAGGGACAAGAAAGGGAUUACGGGCACCUUAUCUCUUUUUAGUCUUGUAAGUCUUCGGGCCUUUGUUAACUUUAUAACUUGUAAUCCCCUUGCUCAUGUUUUUCAUUUCGUACGAACUAUACCUGUACAGGAUGUUUUUUAAUGAAAAAGGGAUGUUUGCCGGGUUUUCCGUUCGCAGGUGAAACCCACGACAAGGAGUGAAUCCUCUUUACCUUUAAGAUAAACGUUUUUUCUCCCGGCAAUAGGCCUUGCCAUCCCCCCACUUCUGACCUUUCUCACGCCCUUGGCGGAGGUAGGGAUGAGGUGGGCUUAGGCUCCUCGUUUCAUUUCCUUGCUGCCGCGACUACGACCAAUCUUGGCCCCAGGAGAUGAGUCCUAGGGUCCGGAAUGAGGGAAGCAUGGUAGCCUAAGGAUAAAACGAGGUUUCACAUACCUCAGUCCAUAACGAGACACAUGAUAGAGGAUAGAAGACUUAUCUGGAUCUGCAGCCCCCGGCAAGUGCAGUGUAUGGAUCCUUGCUCUUGUAGCCCCGACAACUUUGGCUUGCCAGGGCCCGGACACCGGUCCGUCCCCUUUCUUCCAAAGCAGUUCGACAAGAAUACUCAUGUGUCCUGCGAAUCAAAGAAGACAGAGAAGAAUAGAGAGACGCGCACUCGACCUCUAAGCUAGGGGUUAGCCGCUACCAAGCACUAUCAACCCUAACCGAGGAAGAGACUCGACCUAGCAAGCAUGCUAUGACUUAGGGCGCCAGCGCUUCAUUUUAUUAGUGCUCAGGGUCUGCCCCUGGCUUUGUACAAAGGGUUACAUGCCUUGCCGGCAAGUCUUGUACAAAAGGGUGGCUUGCCGGGAGGCCCGGCAGCCGCGCCUUAUGGGUAAAACUUACGAAGAUGCUCGAUGUUCCAGGAGUUACUCACUGGAAUGGCAUCUUCGGUCUCCAGGCGGACUGCGCCGGGCCUGGUGACUCGUGUUACCCGAUAAGGGCCUUCCCACUUCGGCGUCAACUUGUUGGAAUUCUUGGCUGACUGAACGUGCCGAAGAACAAGGUCGCCUUCCUCAAGGCUCCGGGCAUGGACCUUGCUGCUAUGGUAGUGGUGCAAGGCUUGCUCGUAGCAUGCUGCUCUCACAGCCGCCCGGAGACGAUCUUCCUCAAGGAGCGUUGCGUCAUCUUGCCGCAAUCUCUCUUGGUCAAGCUCAUGAUAAGUGAGCACUCGAGGUGACCCGUAUAUGAGUUUCGUGGGGAGAACGGCUUCUUCCCCGUAGACCAGGGCAAAGGGCGUCUGGCCGGUGACUCGAUUUGAUGUCGUCCUGAUCGACCAAAGAACCGCCGACAACUCAUCAAUCCAGCAUCUUCCACUUCUACGCAGCCUGUCAAAAGUCUUCGUUCUUAAGCCUCGCAGGACUUCAGCUUUUGCUCUCUCCGCUUGGCCGUUGCUCCGCGGAUGUGCCACAGAGGCAAAACAGACCCUGCUGCCAAGAUCCUCAAUGUAUUGCAUGAAGGCGUGGCUUGUGAACUGUGUGCCAUUGUCGGUGAUGAUCCUGUUGGGUAUCCCGAAACGGCACACCAGUCCCUUGAAGAACUUGAUGGCUGACUACGACGUCACCUUCCUCACUGCUUCCACCUCUGGCCACUUUGUGAACUUGUCGAUUGCAACGUACAAGUACUCAAAGCCCCCAACAGCGCGGGGGAAAGGGCCCAAUAUGUCGAGCCCCCAGACCGAGAAGGGCCGGGAGAGAGGGAUAGUUGAAGGGCUUGAGCUGGUUGAUGAAGCUUCUUCGAAUGGAACUGGCAUGCUUCACACUUGGUUAUUAGUGUCGUCGCAUCCUAGAGGGCGGUGGGCCAGAAGAAACCUUGCCGGAAAGCUUUGCCGGCAAGGGCCCUCGACCCUAUGUGGGAGCCACAUAUGCCUCCAUGUAUCUCUGCCAACAACUUUAGUCCUUCCUCCCGGGAGAUGCACUUCAAUUUCACCCCAUUCGGUCUUCUUCUGUACAAUAUGUUAUGAACGAAUUGGUACAUAGCAGACCGGCGGGAUACUCUUUCUGCCUCUUCCUGCUCCUCAGGAAGCUCUCCCUUUUGGAGGAAUCAGACGGUGUGCUGCGCCCAUGUCGGAGCCUGUGGCUCAACGACAAGGACCAAAGGCAUCUCUUCUGCCAUGGGAGCGGCCGUCUCCACGGCCAUGACCCGAGGUCCUGGCGAAGUCGGUUGUCCCACGGCAGGAUCGACAUCUAUGGCAACAUCUUCGUCGGCGGCUCCAGGGAGCUUGGUGGGGAAGUACUUGCUGGAGCCUAGCUUCCUCCGCUUGUUCUGCCCGGUCGAUGGCUCAACGGAUGGUUGAGUUAACUAAAGCACAAAAAUACCUGGUUCCACAGGUAGCUUGAGGGCAGCGCGCUUUGACAGGUAGUCGACAAUGUCGUUCUCCGUCCGAGGGACAUGCUCCGCUUUUAUACCGUCAAAGCGCUCCUCCAGUUUCCUCACCUCAUCUACGUAAUCUUCCAUCAACGGGCUUUGAUAGUCUUUGUUGACCUGCCUGAUGACGAGUUGCGAGUCGCCCCUAACGAUGAGCUUUUUAAAUUUGAGGUCCGCCGCGAUCCUGAGACCGGCAAGCAAACCCUCGUACUUAGCGGUGUUAUUGGUUCACAUCUCCUGGGGAAAGUGCAUUUGGAUGACGUACUUGAUGUGAUCUCCGGUGGGUGUGACAAGCAGCACACCAGCACCAGCGCCUUGCAGCGAAAAAGCCCCAUCAAAGUACAUGAUCUAGUUGCCGCUUGUUUCUCGUCGGGGAGAGUAGUCUCUUGUACCUCUUCGUCAGGCGUUGAGGUCCAUUCUGCAACAAAUUCCGCCAAGACUCUGCUCUGGAUCAUUGAGGUACUUUCAAACUUUAAACCAAAACUUGACAGCUCUAGGGCCCAUUCCACGAUCCUUCCUGUUGCAUCUGGGUUAUGCAGUAUCCGUUGCAACCGAAGGCGGGUAACCACGGUGAUCUUGUGCGCUUGGAAGUAGUGGCGGAGCUUCCUCGAGGCCAUAAGGAGGCCGAAGAGAAAUUUUUGCACAUCGGAAUACCUCGACCUAGCUCCCUGCAAGAGGGAGCUGACGAAGUAAACUAGGUGCUGCACCAUCUUCUUCCUUUGCGCCACUUCAACUGGCGUGCGGGUCCUGUCGUACCAGCGGCAGUCUUGCCGGGACCAAGCCCUGCCGGGGACUCAGUCUUGCCGGGACCGAGCCCUGCCGGGGAGGGUUCUGGCCCGCCAACCGUUGACUCUACCGCUACUGCUGUCUCCUUGUCGACCUCUCUCUAUACCACCAAUGCGGCGCUAACCACUUGGUUUGUUGCUUCUAGAUAUAGCAGCAAUGGUUCUUGUGGUUUGGGCGCAACCAGCACCGGGGCAGAGGAGAGGUACUUCUUCAAGUCUUGCAAUGCCGCCUCGGCCUCUGGGGUCCACUCCACUGGGCCCGUCUUCUUUAAGAUCUUGAAAAAGGGGAGGGCACGCUCCGCGGAUUUGGAGAUGAAUCUGCUCAUGGCGGCAACGCAGCUAGUGAGCCGAUGCACGUCCUUGAUCCGUUUGGGUGCCUUAAUCUGCUCGAUGGCCCUAAUCUUGUCUUGGUUUGCCUCGAUCCCGCGCUGCGACACAAAGAACCCGAGAAGCUUGCCGAACGGGACACCGAAGACACACUUCUCAGGGUUCAACUUGAGGUUGAUCUUGCGUAGGUUUCCGAAUGUUUCCUCGAGAUCUUGCAUAAGUUUUGCUUUGUCCUUGGUUUUGACCACUAUGUCAUCCAUAUAAGCUUCCACGUUUCUAUGUAACUGGGGUUCAAAACCAAUUUGGACUGCUCUUGCAAAGGUUGAGCCAGCACUCUUAACCCCGAAAGGCAUCCGUAAAAAGCAAUAUGUACCUCUUUUCCUCAUCUUCUUUUGUCAUGAAGAUCUGGUGGUAUCCUGAGUAGGCGUCAAGGAAUGAUAACAGGUCACACCCAGCCGUGGAGUCAACAAUCUGGUCGAUGCACGGUAACGGGAAGGGAUCCUUGUGACAAGCCUUAUUGAUGUCUGUGUAAUCAAUACACAGCCUCCACUUCCCAGUUGCCUUGCGCACUACUACCGGAUUGGCCAACAACAUCGGAUGGAGUUCUCCUCUCACCAUGCCUGCCACCUCUAGCUUUCUGAUUUCCUCCAUGAUGAACUCCUGCCUCUCCAGAGCUUGCUUCCUGACCUCCUGCUUGACGGGCCGCGCAUGAGGACAGACAACAAGGUGGUGCUCAAUCAGUUCCCUGGGAACGUCGGGGAUGUCGGAGGCUUGCCAUGCAAACACAUCGACAUUCGCCCGCAGGAAGGCGACGAGCUCUCUUUCCUAUUUGCCGUCGAGGGUGGAGCUUAAGGUAAAAUCUCCCCCCGUGCCGUCCUCCUUGACGGGCACCUUCUUGGUCUCUAGUGGUGUGGCUCUGACUUAUUGCUCUUGCCGACGGAGCUCCCUGGCACAUUCUCAAUGGGAGCGCAACACCCUAAAAAGGUGCGCUUGCCAGAGUGGGAGCGAGAGGUCUCGCCGGUCCUCCCCCUCAGGGCUCCGUCGGUAGGAGCAGGUGCCUUAGCGGCAGCUGCUGCGACUGCUUCCCAGUAGAGUUGCUCGGUGCAGAUCAGCGCAUCUUUCUUGUCGGAGGGAACAGUGAUGAUGUUCAUCGGCUCGGGCAUCUUUAGCAUGUUGUAGGCAUAGUGUGAAGCCACCAUGAACUUGGCUAGCGACGAGCGGCCGAGGAUCCCAUUGUAAGGCAAGGGGAUCUCGGCUACAUCAAAAACAAUCCUUUCCGUCCUGUGGUUCAGCUCACCUCCGAAUGUCACGGGCAGCGUGACCUUUCCCUUUGGCUGGCUCCUCCCCUGGUUAACCCCUUGGAACGUGUCUGUCUCCUCGAGUUCUCCAUCAAUGAUUUGCAGCCUUUUGACCACAACAGGCGAGAUCAAGUUCAGGCCAUCCCUGCCGUCAACCAACAUCUUUGUCACAUUGAGGUUGCGGAUUAUUGGUGAAACCAACAACGGCAAGCACCCGACUGCGGUAGUGCGGUCUGGGUGGUCCUCGGUGUCGAAGAUGAUGGGCGUGCUGGACCAUUUCAGCGGCUUCCAUGUGUCGAACAAUGGCUCCACUGCCGUGAUCUCACGCGCCCACUGCUUGAGUUGGCGGUGGGACGUAUGCAAUGAGGCGCCACCAUCGACACACAUGGCCUCUGUGGCUUUCUGAAACUCGUGGUCGCCUGACUCGUCAUCCUCGUCAUGAUCAUCGUCUUCCUGCUUCUUGUCGCGGCCCCAGGCGGGCCUCUCCUACUGAUUAUCCUUACUGCAGCGGCCUCCUUGGCUGCCACGCUUCUUGCCGGAUCCCUCGGCACCAUCUGGGCCUUUCUCCUUGUCCCACCACUCAUACUCGGCUUUCUGCUUCUCGGCGAGCAGCUCUACCUGCCGACAGUUUUGGAGGUCAUGGCCCUUGGUGCGGUGGAUCUUGCAGUACAGCUUGUUGGAGCCUCCCGGCUAGUCGGCGGCCGCCAAGGCCUGGCAAGCGACACACCCGGCAACCUCCUUGCCGGGGUCGCUCGCCUUGGUCUUCUUGGUGGCGCAGGUGUCAUCGGAUCCCUCAACGGCAAGCACGGCUCUGCCCUUGCGCUUCCUGUUACAGUGCCGACCCUUCUUCGCUGGGGUGGCACUGUCACCGAUGGAGUCGGUUUCCGCGCCGGCAUCUUCGCCGGGGUACUUCCUUCCCUCUUCAGCACAAGCACAUCAAUCGGCCAGGACAUAAAGCUUUGACACAUCCUUGACAUUGUUCAUCGCCAGCUCUUCACGCAUCUUGUGGUUGUGCACAUUCUGAUGAAACGCACUGAUCAUGGCGGCGGAAUGAACAUCGGGGAUGUUGUACUGCACCCGGCUGAACCUUUGGAUGUACUUGCGCAAGUUUUCUCCUUCCUUCUAGGGAUGAUGUGUAAAUCACUCGCCUGGCCAUGAGCUUGGUGACCUCCGGUAAAGGCGCCAACGAACUCAUGGCACAGAUCCGCCCAAGUAGAGAUGGAAUCCACCAGCAAGUGCAUCAACCAUGACAUCAUAUUAGGCUUGAGUGCCAACGGGAAGUAAUUGGCAAGCACCUUAUUGUCGCAGACCCUAGCAGCUUGCAUCACGAUGGUGUAGAUGUUGAGGAACUCUGACGGGUGAGUCUUGCCGUUGUACUUCUCGCCAACGUCGGGCUUGAACGUACGGUGGGAGGGCCACUGGAACUGCCGCAGCUCACGGGUGAAGGCCGGACGACCCACCUCGUAGGGUAGGCCACCAUAGCCUCCUGGUGCUGGGUGGUACAUAGCGGGCCCUGCCCGCAUGUCCGACUGGUGGCGCGCGUCAUGUCGGUGCUCGAUAGUAGUUCGAGCGUCCUCAUGAGCCCGCUCCCGAAGGACUUGAUGCUGAUCGCGGUUGGUUCGCGGGUCGGACGACGCGAUGGAGACUCCAUCACGAGCAUCGUCGCGACGGACCGACGCCCGUGGUGGCCAGGAUGGAGGUGGGGAGUACACCGUGGUCGCAUCGCCCCCGACACGGCCUUCGCUGGCAUGCGGUGGCCCGGCGGAGCGACGGCCUACGGGACCCGCCGGCCGCAACUCAUCGUUGUUGUUGAUGCCGACGAGGCUCCGAACGGUGUCCCUCCAUUUGUCGAGCUUCUCCGUCGUAGGAGGAAAAUCGAGGAGCAGCUGCGCGCGCUAGGGCCUCCGUUGGCGUGGGUGGCGGCGAGAGCUGGAUGGACCGCGAUGCACCUCGACUUAUAACCACGUUAGAAGGAACUGCGUCACGGCCCCGCAGCCGUUCACCACCUACGUCAGCACCUCGGCGUGCAUGCUGGCCCUCCUCAUCAUGUGAUGGGUGCACGGGACUCUUCCUAGGGCGACGUGCAGGGUCACCGGCAGGGUGAUGCUGCUCAUCACGCACAACAUGAGAAGAGCGCACCAUGGGCGACGUGCCACCAUCUGGCGGGAUGGCGGCGCCCCUGGAGGGCCCCAUGCUGCCUGCGGGGGGGGGGGAGACUCCGUCUCUGGAGCCCACGAAUGGUGGCUCGUCGCCUGGCGCGCGAACAGCGCCACUCGCCAGGCCCGGACCGCCAGGGUGAUGUGAAUGUUCGCGGGCCGCACCACGGGUUCUCUCCGCGACUAGCCCACUACUGGUCCACGCAAGUACUGGCAACCCGGUCCCGGACGAACCGAUCGUCGUGGUCGUCUUAUUCUUGGGAGCCAUGGCGAUGAAGAACAUCUAGGUCAACUGCUAGACCAGAUUCUCACAAUUGCGCCCCCUACCUGGCGCGCCAAAGAUGUCGGUGGGAAACGACACCUAUGGGAUCACUGGAAUCCCUACUACAGUUGCGGGGCGCUAGAUCGUGAGAAGAGCAGGACUAGUAGACAGCACAAAGGGGAUUUACCCAGGUUCGGGCCGCAAAGAUGCGUAAAACCUUACGAUCCUGCUUUGGUGGAUGUAUUUAGUGUUCUUGAGAUCUUGAACUAGCUCUGGGUGUUGCUAGGUUCGAAAGAGCCGAAUCCUUUUCCAGUGCGCCAUGAGCCUCCUUUUAUAGGCAAAAGGGGCUGCCACAGUGGCACACAGGAGGUGGAAAGUGCUACAGCGCUGUGAGCUUAUCGCUAGUAUUACAGGACAAAGCGCAUUUAAUGCAAGGCUUAGGUGUCCCUUCACUUUAUCGGGGACGGGAGCGAGGCCCGUCCCGUCCGUCGCCGCUCCUCCUUGCUUCGACACACGCCCUGGCCAGCGAUGCAUGCGGUGCCAUGUAGGCAGGCAAGCAGCUGAGGUGGCACGGUGGUGGAGCUUCCACGAAGGGCUGCAUAUUUCCACGCAUGUGCCUGCCCAGCUGGUUGGGCUGGCAGCUGCAUGCGAACGGCGCCGGGGAGUUGAUCGGUGCGCGCCUGGCAGUGGCCCCGCGGUUGCCUCUGAUGAGGGUCUUGUCGGGUGGCCCGGCAAGUGUCUUGCUGUGGUGCGCUGGCUUCCCUAGCAAGGAUCUUGCCGGGGGUCUUGUGGGUUUCUUCGGUGAGGAUCUUGGUGAGGAUUGUUACCCUCCAAUCAUCAUCCAACCUUGAGCAUUCUAUGUCUUCACAAAGAUCUGCAUGCCACCACGGUGGUGCCUCUCGAGCCCUGUCCCAAUGCGUUUGUCUAGUGUUGGUGGGCUCAAAGGUGGCUCGCUCAGCUGGUGUGGGCGAGCUGCCUCGGCAAGGGUCUUGCCGGGGCCGCUGAGGCUGCCCCGGCAAGGGUCCUUGACGGGGAAACCUGCUUCGUCCGUCCGACCUUUGUGGCAUUGGCCCUUGUCGUUGCUUGGUUUGUCUCGUCCCUUCGUCUUCUCUCCAGCUUCCCUUUCCUACCUUGUUAUGCGUGGCCGUGGCGGGUGGUUCUGACUGCCCAUGCACAAUUAAAGGGGUCAAAAGUAGAGACCCUACUUUUGUACACUGACAACACUAAUCAUGCACGCAAAUGUGUAUGACCAAGAUCAUUGACUCACGGGAAGAUAUCACUACACAACUCUAGUCACAAAUUAAAGAUCAUACAAACUUCAUAUUAUAAGCCAGGGGCCUCGAGGGCUCGAAUACAUAAGCUCGAUCAUAAAUGAGUCAGCAGAAGCAACAAUAUCUAAGUACAGACAUAAGUUAAAUAAGGUGCAAUAAGAUGGCUAGCACAAACUGGGAUAUAAAUCGAAAGAGAUGCAGGCCUCCUGCCUGGGAUCCUCCUAAACUACCCCUAGUCAUCGGCGGCCAGCACGUAGUAGUAGGCACCCUCGAUGUAGUAGGGGUUGUCGUCCACGGUGGCCUCGGGGUCCUGGGGUCCAACAUCUGGUCGCGACAUCCGAGAAGAAUGGAAAGGAGGAGAAGAGGGAGCAAAGCAACCGUGAGUACUCAUCCAAAUUACUCGCAAGCAAGGAUCUACACUACAUAUGCAUUGGUAUCUGUAUAAAGGGGAAAUAUCAGUGGACAGUGCAGAAUGCCGAAAUAAGAGGCGGAUAGCUAGUCCUAUCAAAGACUACGCUUCUGGUAGCCUCCAUCUUGAAGCAUGUAGAAGAGAGUAGCUGGUAAGUUCAUCAAGUAUCAUCGUACAUCAUAAUCCUACCAGGCGAUCCUCUCCUCGUCGCCCUGUGAGAGAGAGAUCACCGGGUUGUAUCUAACACUUGAAAGGGUGUGUUUUAUUAAGUAUCGGUUCUAGUUAUCAUAAGGUUGAAGUACAACUCCGGGUCGUCAUGUUACUGUGACACGGCUAUUCGAAUAGAUCAAUCUUCCCUACAGGGGUGCACCACAUUACCCGACAUGCUCGAUCCCUCUGGUCUGGCACAAUUUCUUGGGUCAUCUCCAGCCUCAGGAGAUCAACACGUCACAGCCUACCUAGGCUCAACAGACAGGUCAGCACGCCGGUCUAAAUCCUAAGCGCACAGGCGUCUGGGUCCAUCACCCGUUGCACACCUGCAUGUUGCGAAAGCAGCCAGAAGCAGACCUAGCCUCCCUAAUACAAGAGCAGGCAUUCUAGUCCAAUCCGGCGCGCACCGCUUUGUCGCUGAUGUCAAGAAGGCUUCGGUUGAUACCACGACACCGGUUGCCCAUAUCUUGUCCCACAUGGCAGUUAUUGCAUAUAAGGUCAAUGACCCAACUCAGAUCAAAUACCAAGAUCUCGUUAAGCGUGUUAUUUUGUAGUAACCGCCGACGCCAUCUAGGACUAGGCCCACCUGUCUCCUCGGUGGUCACAACCUGCCCUAUCACUCCGCCACAGAGAUCCGCUCAGAGGGCCGUCUGGACUAAUGUCCUUUCAGCCCCCAAUCCAUGAAUCACUCGCAGGUACUAUACGAGCCGACCCGACUUUAGUCACAUCAUGUAAUCUGUAUAGUAUGUAUGUAUGUAUAAAUAUAACCAUGAUCACCUCUCGAGUGAUCAUGGCCCGAUAAUAUAGCAUAGUAGAUGGACAAUAAUGUAGGUCUACUGAUGAUAAACUAGCAACCUAUACUAAGCAUGUAUGAUUGUAGGUAAAGGUACCAACAAUCGUAGCAACAAUGACAGGCUAUGCAAUAGAAUAUGAGAUAGCGAAUCAACAAUCGUAGCAAAACUAAUGCAGGAGUAAGAGAGAAGAGAGUGGGUGAUAUCUGGUUGAUCAAAGGGGGUUUGCUUGCCUGGAAGCUCUACAGAGAGAUACGGAUCCUCGACAGUGAAGUAGACAACCACCGGAUCAACCACGGUCUCGGGGUCUAUCAGAAAGAAGUAACGGAGGGGGGAACACAAUAAAUAACAGAACAAUCAAUGCAUCACAAAGUAUGACAUAGCAAUACGCAGUGCUAGGGAUGACCUAACGUUGUGCUAAGCAUUAUGGACGGAGCGGGAAAUAUCCGGUAAUAUUUUCUUGGCUCCAGGCAUUAUCGGAUAGACGAACUGGAGGGAAAUGUUCCAUAUUUGCAGUGUUGGGGGCACAUGACAGGUAUGAGGGUAGCAUAUUUGGAUUCGUCUCAUUUUUCAUCGGAGUUACGGUUUAUUUUCUAUGAAUUUACAAAGUUUAAAUGAUUUUCAGAAUUUACAGAUUCUUUUAAUCCAAAAAUAAAAUAGCAAAGUACUUUUGCCACCUAGUGCUAUUCUAGCCAUAGUGUAUGACAAUGGGGCCCGUGGGGUUGCGUUGACCUAGUCAAAUGUUGACUAGUCAACAUAUUGUGUAGGGGGGCACAUGUCAUUGACUUAGACUUUUGUUAAAAUUUGUUUUUCUUUAAACUAACAGUGGUCUACAUGUUAUCUACUAUCUAAUUAGCUAGUACUACUAAUUAGACUAAGGGAAGUGUUUACGCGCGGUGCGCCGGCGGAACGCUCGGGCCGGUCGCUUUCGCCUCGCUGGCGCUAGCCACCAGGAAAGCAACACAUGUACCUUAUCCUCUCCCCAACGCCCCAUCCACUCUUUCUUCCUCGCAAUCGCUCAGGCAAGAAACUCCAUGGAUCCAGGCCGGCCAUCAGCUCUUGCCUCCUGUGUUGUUUGCGCGCCCCUCGGGGACAAUGCUGCCGUGCUGUUUCCAUGGCCGCAGAGGAAUCGCGGGGAGGAUACGAGGAGGCGCAGGCCAUGGCGGCGCACACGAGUGAGGAUGGGCAUCGCGUAGGGAUCUCGGCCAUUGCAUCGUCAGGCACCUCUCGGAACGGCGCCACGGCGGUGAUGGCCAUGGGCGGGCGUGGGAGCUCAGCGGAGCAGUAGCACCGGCUGUGAAAUGUAUGUAGCAAAUUCCAUCACCGGUUGUAGCAAACAUCGACUAUGGUUGCAGCAAAACUGCAUCAUCAUCGUCGCAGAGGUCGCAGCUAGACAAGAAGUUCAAAGCUUUUUUCAAUGCCGGUUGUAGCUUUCGUAACCGCCGGUUGAAGCUUUUCAUUUGUCAUCCAUGGAGGGCGAGCAAGGUGACCGUCAGCUUCGAGGAUGGCGACGCUGUCCUGAAAGAACAUUGUAAAUGUCAUUUUUUUGUUGCAUGCUACAACCGGCGUCACAUUUUGCUUCCACUGGCACACCACUCAGCUACAACCGUCUUCAUCGUGUGCUUCAUGCUACGCUGGUGGUCAUUGUGCGAGCGACGUUCUUGCUCCAACCGUACCUGUUUUUUUGCUACAACCUGCAAGAAUUUUUGCUAUAUCCGUUUAGAUGGCGUUCAUUGGCAGCCGUCGUCGUUCGUUCAACCCGUGCACGAAAGCCCACGGGUGGAAAAAAGCUUCCGUUGGCGUGAAAAAAGCUUCAAUUAGCAUGGAAAAAAGCUUCAACCGGGUGCGAGGAUGGCAGCGGCCAUGGAGUUUUUUUGCUACAAUCGUGACCACGUUUUGCUACGACCAACAUUGAAAAUUGUUCCCAUGACGGCAGCCGUGUUUGGGGACCUGCACGGUGAGCUACAGCCGGCAGCUAUCGGCCACAUUGUUUUUUGCUACAAGCAUGUCUCCGUUUUGCGGAGGCGGAGGCGGCAUGGUGGGGCUCGAUCCACGAUGACCACGACUUGCGCGGAGGGCGUUGACAAGCACGACGGUGGGUGGAAGGGGGGAGGGGGAGGGAGGGGAGGAGGUGGGGGAGGGGGGGGGGCGCAACGCUUGGAGCGGUGGGCACGGCGCGAGGAAGAAGAAGGUAAGGGGGAACCAUUUUCUUCGACAGGAUCUAACGGCCCACACGCGCGCGAUCCAACGGCUGCGGUGUGACCGGCCCAACAGUUGGGCCGGCGCACCGGUGCAGAUCGUUGCCCUUAGACUAACUAGCCGGCUGGUCACACGCGCGGCUAUGGCCACAGACACACACCACACAUACACACCCGGCGCACACACCAGCUCAUGGCCAUGGCCAUAGAUCAGUAGCGGCAGCUACCAAGGCGGCGUAGCAGUGUUAGAGCAGCAGCGAGAAGCAGUAGCAAGGAACAGCAGCGACGCAGGAGAGCAUCAAGCAGCGCAGUGGAGUAGCAGACACGCAGAGCAGCGGCUAGCGGCAUGUAACAUCAGCGACAGUAGUGGGCGGCUUCAGCAAAGAGCAGUAGCAAGCAGAGCAGCAGCGGCACAAGCAGGCAGUAGCAUCACAUAGCGGCAACAAUACAGAGCAGUAGCGGCACAUAGCAGCGCAGCAGGCAGCCACAAGCAGCAGCAGGUAGAGCAACGCUCGACCGCGGAAGCGCAGGGCAGCAGGCGAGCGAGCCGGGCCACACGGACGGGCGCCGGCAGGGGAGCCCAGGGCGCGCACGGGGCUGCCGGGGCUCGAGCGCGGCCACGGUGGCUAAGUUCGGGGGUGGGGCGUCUACCGCGAUGGACUCGAAGGGGAUCAGGGGGAAUCGACGCGGUGCUCACCGGGGAGGACGCAGGCAAGCUCGAGAGGUGUUAAGGACGGCCCAGAGGAGCGGAUCGAUGGCGAGGUGCGGCGGCUGUGACGGAAGAAUCGACCGUGGCAUCUUCUUGGGGCCUCCAGGUGCGAACGGAGUAGUUGACGAGGACGAGUGCGACGCGACGUAGCUCCUGGAAACACCAGCAAGACGAGAGGCGGUCGGUGGCUGCAGGAUCGACGUGGCGACGGCAACGAGCGCGUCGGGUGCCUCUCCAGAUCGGGGAGGAGAGCGAGGCGGAAGAGGGGGGAGAGUGGCUAGGGUUUGACCGGGGUCGCGGGGUUGAUCUUAACCUCAGGGGGGCCGUGGGAUGGAUGCCACGGCGGCAUCACCAGCCAGGGAGGCCAGGAUGGCCGCCAUGCUCCCCUCUGCCUCCUGUAACGGGAGGUGGAGGGAGAUGGAGGUGAGUUGGGCCUCCCAGCCCCACUCGGGCCUCCCUCUCUCUUACUUUUCUCUCUUCCUUUCUUUCUUUCUUUCUUUCUUUCUUCUUUUUCUGUUUUCUUUCUAAUUUGUUUUGUUUUCUAUUUACUUUCAAUAUUAUUUCGGUUUUAUAAAAUAAGAGACUUGAUCCAUAAUUAGUUAUGCAAUAUUAGGCACUGCCACACAAGUUUUGGGGGUUAUUUAAAAUAGUUUGUAUUUUCAUAAAUUAGAAAAGGCAAUUUAAAUAAUGAAUUGUCCCUUGUUUCAUUUAUUUUUGGGCACUCAACCAAUUUAUAGAAUGUUGGUUAAUGGAUGACAAUUAGUUAGUGAAUAUGUACUGCUUGAAGGAAUAACAAUUUAACUUGUUAUUUGAAUUUGAAUUUGACUUGAAUUUUAAUCAAGUGACAAUUAGCUUAGUAAAUGAUGAUGACAUGGCAUCAUUAGGGUGAGGUUACUGUAGCAUGAGUCUCGGUGUGUUACAAUCUAUGAGCAAGAAACAAUAUCUCAACAGAAACAAAUAGGAAGGAAAAAACAAAAACAGGGCAAAAAAAACUUAGUCCAAUGACGUCUCUCUCCCUUCUCGUUCUCCAGAGCCCCUGGACGAGCUCCUGCCGAAGAGGAAUGGGAAACGGGUGAAAUGAAUGCGAGGGAGAAAAACUACUCUGAGAGAGACAAAUGGCCCGCCGGCCCAACUAUCGUGACAAACACCCCGGCCCGCUACUAGUAUCAACCUGAAAACGGGCCGCGCGACACACAAUAGAUGCGAGCGAAUGCACCAGCGGGACAAAAAUAGGUUUGCGAGAAUCUUAAAGACAGACGAGAUCCAAUGGCUCUGGACUUAGACGUGAAGUAGUUGUUUCACAUCUAGAUGUGAAAUAGCAAAUUUGAUAUAAUGAUUGUAAUGUUGUAGUCUGUAGAUGUGUAAUUAAUGCAUAAUUCAUUUUUUUGAUGCAGUACCAUUCCUUCAAGAUAUAUAUAAUUAAUGUAAUGUUGUAGCAUGUAGAUGUGUAAUUAAUGCACACGUUCAUUUUUUGGUGAAGUACCAUAUCUUCCUAUCUUCAAGAUAUAUAUAAUUAAUGUAAUAUUGUAGCAUGUAGAUGUGCAACUAAUGGAUACAUUCAUUUUUUUAUGCAGUACCAUAUCUUCAAGAUAUAUCAUAUAUAGUACAACUAAUGUAUGUAUAACGUGUCGAUGUGGAGUUAAUUGACACACUCGUUGUUCGACGCGAUUUCAUAUCUUCAAGGUAUAGCCUAUAAAUAUAGAGUUAAUGUGAACAUUCAUUGUUUGAUACAAUAUCGUAUCUUCAAGAUAUAGAACUAAUGUAUGAUGUAGCCUCUAGAGUGCAAUUAAUGUACAUAUUAAUUGUUUGACAUGGAGCCAUAUCUUCAAGAUAUACAACUGAUGCAUGUGCCCAUAUCAUCAUCUCAAACAAAGCUAUAUAAACCAAGCCAUAGCUAACAAAGUCAUGUAUCCCACACAUUCGGAGAGAAGCCACACAAACAAUUAUAACAUCAAAGGGAUAGAGAAGGCUCAAGUGUAGCAGAUACAAAAGCCAUAGCCAUGGCGAAACUCAUGUGCUUAUGUUUCAUCAUCCUCACUAUCGGGGUAGCCGUGUCGGCUGAUGAAUGUGAGGGUGACCGACAGGCCAUGAUCAAGGAGUGUGCUAUGUAUCAAAAGUGGCCAGCAAAUCCGAAGAUAGAUCCGUCAGACGCAUGCUGUGCAGUGUGGCAAAAGGCAAACAUCCCAUGCCUUUGCGCUGGUGUCACGAAGGAGAAAGAGAAGAUAUAUUGUAUGGAGAAGGUUGGCUACGUCGCCAAUUUCUGCAAGAAGCCGUUCCCACAUGGCUACAAGUGUGGAAGUAAGUGAAAUAUAUUAAGGGAAUUGUGAUGAUCGACAUUGCAUACAUGCAGUUUUUAUAUUUGUUAUUCUUCGGAUUCACACGAUUUCGAUUUUAGUUAUGCAUUUCGUAUGCUUCUUGUGCUAUUCUGAUCAUAUGUUGGGUCAAAUUGAAUGGUCUUGUAGGUUACACAUUCCCUCCUCUGGCGUAGUGACUCUAGUUUAGCUGUGGAAGGAGAAACUUGGCUUUUACAUUCGAUGUGCCUAGCCUCACAAUAGCUUUCCUUUCAGAUCUAUAAUUCGUGAGGCUGUGCUCAGAAAAGUUUAUUUUAAGCAUUUUGUAUGAGAACGUUUCUGAAACUAAUAAAGCCUUCUCCUCAAAUUUUCUAAAUUAUGUUUGUUCAUAUAUCAUUUUUUGGUUCUACUAGUAAAUAUGCCCAUGUGUUGCAACGGGAGUAAAACAAUCAGAUUGUGCAUAUGUGGUAGAAAUAAAAAAAGUCUGAAACAUAUUCCAGGAUGAGAUCGGGACCUUUAAAAUGUGAUUUCAUAAACUACGUCUGAAUCAUGUCAUGAUGAGAUAAGGAACUUCUAAAAGGUCAUUUCAAAAGCUAAAAAUGUGAUGGUCUCAUCACGACUUGAUUUUCUAAGGCACCAUAACAAAAUAUUUUCUAGCUGAGAAACUGUAUUGAUGGACUCUACCUGAGCUACACUAAUUAAUGGUGUGUCCCUAGGGUCACGGUGUUUACCCUGACUAGUAAAACUAUAGUACCAGAAUAAACAUAGAGGUGUAUGGAGGCAAAUUAGAUAUUUAAUCAUUUUCAUAUACAACUUACUAAAACUAAUUGUAGGAAGUUUUGUCAAUUUUUUUGGGCUCAACGUUGUGCAGAUUAUGGAAACCUUUUUUUACGCAACUCGCAUGUACUAAACAAAAUCAUGAAACAACCUCUACAAAUAAAAAAACUCUAUAUAAGCAUGUUAGUUUUGUUCGUUAUUUACAGAUCUACUUAAUUUUUUUUGAACAUUUUCUAAAAUUUACAUUCUUUCAAAUUCCUGAAUAUAUUUUGAAUACUUGAUAAUUUUUCUAAAAUCUUGAGUAUUUUGUGAAUAUUUUUUCGAAUUCGUGAUUUUUCAUGAAUGCAAACAUUUUUUCAAAAUACUGGACAUUUUAUAGUUUUCCAAACAUUUUAUGAAUUAAUGAAAAAUUUAUGAUUUCGCAAAAACAAUGUGAAUACUUUUUAAAAAUACUGGACAUUUUAUGAUUUCCUAAACACUUUAUGAAUUUAUGAACAUUUUAUGAUUUCCCAAUAAAAUCCAAAACUGUCAACUUUUGGAAAUCCCAAAUUAAUUUGAAGGAAAAAAAGAACUAGGAUUAGGGUGAGGUUACUGUAGCAUGAGUCUCGAGGUGUUACAAAUCUCCUCCACUACAAGAAAAAUCUCGUCCCGAGAUGUAAGAGGCGGAGUAAGGUGGAAAGUUUUGGUUACGAAAUUCUAAUGAAUCUUCUCGUUCUUGGUUGCUCUUCUCGAAGGAGUUGACCCAUUACGUUGAUGUCUUAUUUUCUCUACUUCAGUUCAUAAUGACGAAGUCGUCAUCCUUUCUUUGAGAGCUCCAUCGUACUUACGAAGGAAUAAAGGGUGGGUAUUCCGGGAGAACGGGCCUCUGCAAGGUUGAUUAUUUGGUUGAUAACAUCUGGGAAGGUGGCAGAGAGUAACUCGCGAAUUGAAACUUAAGAAAAUAUCUAGAGCAAAGUAAGGAGGUAUCAUGGGAAGUCUCGAGUGGGCAGGCAAUCGUUUGAUGCCUAAAAUAGGGCAUGAAAGGGGUUCAAGGCAACGGGAAUAAGUAUUGUGUCUGAUAGCAGAAUUGAUGAUCUCUCGAAAGGUGGCUCGUGAAUUACAUAAGAGGGCACACACGAAGAACAACCUUGGGAACAGGGGGUGUAUAGGAGAGUUAGGUUUCGAUCCUGUGGAACUGUGGGUUAUGGGCCCACCAUCUGGGUUAAAAUUUGUAAAGGCGGUGUCGUCCUGCACGAUCAUGUAAGCAAGGCAUGUCAGAAGAUAGCUUGUCAGUUAUGUCGGCAACAACAUCGGUACCAUUUUCCUGCUCGUUGAACGAGGCGGACCAAUAGGCAAAGUUCUCGUCUAUCGGUGGUUACCGGAAUGUCAUCAACAUUAGUAACAUGGUCUUACUGACAGAGUGUUGCAACGAGGUGCUUACCUAAGCAGGGAAUUAUCACUGCUCAGUUAACUCAGAUUACAAGAAAGGUUAAACAAAACAAUGGAAAGGAAAAUGUGAUUAUCAUAUUAAAUAGAAUAAUGGAAAGGAAAAUGUGUUCAAACACAUAUUUCAGGGGUAUAUCCUUCCCAAGGGCAAGCAGAGCACGAUAUCCAUGACAGGAUAGAAACUAGAAAACCAUUUAGGUAAGGGGAGAGGAAUUUCAUGACAUUACCCAAACAACGGUGUUUGGAUAAUUGACGGAAAAAAUUAGCAUUGUGCUUCAAAUGUUCUUGUUGAAGAUCGGAGGACCACAGACAUGCUUUAAGAUUGCAUUGACAUGGUCUUGAAGCAAGGUCAGACUUUGGGUACUCAAAGGAUUCAUCAGGAACAACUAAUAGAAUAAGUCUUACAAUUUCCACAUGGAAGAAUGGUUAGCCUUGCUAAAAAGAAAACUAUAACAAUAGCGCCCCGACCAGGUGUUCUAGGCAUGACAUCACAUUACCGGGUCAUAUAAAGACCAAUGUUAUAACUCUUGGAAAUAUGUUCCAACCAUCAUAUUUGACCGAGAUUCGGAUCUGAUUGGUGUCAGGAUACCUCGGACUCAGGAUGCUUGAGAAGAAAAAGGUGCGACACAUAUUGAUGAAAUGGCAUUUUAAGAUUCUUGGGAAAUGAACUAUGGGAGCGAGUUCCGAAACAAAAUUUCAUCAUUAAAUCAAGGAGAGGGCAAGGAGGUGGCUGAUGGACUCAGCGACAAUUCAUUGAGAUUUCCAAAAAGAUGGAUUUGCACAAUUAUGUGAAGGAGAUAACAUUUGUAAGAUCAAAUGAUAUAACGAUUUAUGCUCAAGGAGAACAUCCACGAGUAAACAUUGGUUGAAAGGUGCACCCAAAAUAUGGGCUUAGGUAGCAUGAUCAAUGUUAGAAUGGUGAUUCAAUAACCAAUACACAAAGAAUGAAACUAUCGUUCAUUAACUUACAAGCAAAAUAGGGUUGCUAGAACUUUUGAAUUUUACACAUCACAGUCCAGUUGUCAAUACUCUGGUUAGGAACAACAUGGGACCAAGAACAGAAUGUAGACGGCGAGAUAUAUCACUUGUAUCAAGAAUUCUUAAGAGGUGGUGAAAUUCUCACAACUUUCUUGAUAUAUAAAAUGUUAAUACUCCAAGGUAGGACAUAAGAUAAGUUUGAUUGCUAGGAACUCAAGGUACACCACAACACGAACAAGUUUGUGUUGGAAAGAAGGUGAGGAAGUAGUUGAUGACAACACAAAUUAUGAAGGAUAAGGAUGGUAGUCCCCAUCAGAAAUUUGAUUGAUAUCCUGGAAGUAGUCAAAAUGUUGUUGAUUAUCAUGACAAAUUUGGUCGAGAGGCUCCACAAAGAAGCAAUCGAACAGAGACUGCAUCAAGCAAAAGUACUGAUGAAGCGGAAGAUUAUUGGAUCCUUGGAUACGACACCAACUCGGAAUCAAGCUUGUUGUUCGUGGUGGAAUGAUAAGAUGAAGGAAUCGAUGUAAGAUUAGCUCAUCGUCGAAGUUGUGCUCCGGGAGUAAGGAACAUGUAGCACAGUUAAAAUCGGCACGAUAAUAAUAUAGCCGAGCAGGCCAAGAAUGACAUGGUCGAGUACCAACUCAUGAGCAAAGGAGAUUACUUUAAUCAUGGUGUGGACCCGAUUUAGUUAUUGGUGUCCUCGAGUGACUAACAACUCGGAACCCAGGAAAAAUUGGAAUCGGUGAGGAAUAAUACUUGAUGAAGGCUCAUAAUAAGCAACAUGGUUCGGUGCUAUUAUCAAGAUACCAGAGGGUAAUACUCGGAGGUAGAGAAAAAUAGAGGGUUGACAAAUGUAUUGAUCUGCAGAAGACAAGUACUUUAACUUGUCCGAGAAAAGGAAUCAAGGAAUAUCAAUAUGGCCCAAACCAUAGCUACAAGGGAUCCAAUUUAAUGACAUCUAAAGAAUUAUCCAACUAAUUAAAUGUUUUGCAAGAAGCUUCCAUGAUAAGUUCCACAUCGGGUCCAUGGGCAUGAAAACUAAGUUCAAGGUUAACACCCACUUCUCCAAAGCACAACCUUGCAUUCACUUCUUGUUUCGAAAAUGUCAUUAGCGUUGAAAGUAUUACCUGGUGAAAUACCUGAUGAGUAUGACCCGUGAAACCUCUCGGGUUCACACAGAUUAGGGAAAGCAUUGGUACAACCCACCGGGGCAUCUUAGGAACAUAUACCACAAACUUCAGAGUAAAUAUCACCAACUCAAAAGUAGAGUAUGGUUGGCCAAAAAAGAUAAUAGGAUUUACCAAUGGCUUUAUUAUCAAGGAAAGAACCCCAGGUUUUGAGAACAUGCAAGAACAGUUGGAUAAUAAUCCACCAAAGGAUCUAGCGGACCGCAAAGGAUCUAAGGUUAGUAACGGUACCCAACCAGAAGAAGAAAGAAUGCAAGGGAUCAGAUUAUAUAAACAACUGACUAAUUCAAAGCUCAAAUGUAAAGGAAAUAUGAUUUCCAAAUCAAGGGAUCAAAAGCAAACGCUCUGAUUAAGGAUGGAUAAGUUCAGUAAGCUUAGGGGUACAAUCGACGACAAUUUGAUUGGUCGAGAUCCAGCUCAUGUUUAAAAUAACGUCUGAGUCGGAAGGAUGAAUUCUAGGAUCGGAUUAAGGAUUGCGAGCAUUCACAACAUAUUGAAUCAACAGAUUUAAAAUGAUAAUGACAAGGGAUGCCAAUAAGAUUACGAGACUUGUGAGAUUAACCAUAAUGCAAGCAACCAAGAAUUUCAAGAGCAAUAGGCUGCUCAAGAUUUUUGGAAGACCAAAUGGUAUUUCGAACACUUUUGGGAAACACACGAACAACUGGGAAUGAGCGGAUACUCGAUAAGUGUGAGGAAUUAUCCGUAGGGGUAUUCAGGUGGCAAAGAACUGCAAGCAAUAGGCAAAAGUAUGCUCAAAACAAUAGAGAGAAUUUCGAGGUACCUUGUAAUAACAAGAUCAACUGGGAAUAAAAGUAAAAACGACAAGUGUAUGCAUUUAUCCAUAGGGAUAUAUGGGUGGUAGGGAAUUGCAAAAGCGAUGGGCACAAAGUCUCGAGAAAACAUGGCAGAGUAUCUUCGAAAUCUUCUGGCGCACUAAGCAAUCAUCUGGAGUGAGGGGCUCUCCGGAAGGAAGUAGUUACAAGAACCUAGAGUUAGAGUCAGUAAAAAUCAUUUAACCCGAAUAGGAGAGAGAUCAGAGUCCCGGAGUAUAAACAAGGAAUAAAAGAUCUAAUACCACCCAAUGGCGACGUGGGCCCGUAAGGCACACAACCAUGUUAGGAAAAUUUUAGCAAUGUCUAGACUCGACUUCGACCAAGGAGUGUGGAAGGGGGAUUCCAACAGGCAGUCGGCUCUGAUACCAACCUGUGACACCCCCGAUUCAAUCAUACACUAAUCAUGCAAGCAAAUGUGUAUGACCAAGAUUAAGGACUCACGGGAAGAUAUCACUACACAACUCUAGACACAAAUUAAAGAUUAUACAAGCUUCAUAUUACAAGCCAGGGGCCUCGAGGGCUCGAAUACAUAAGCUCGAUCAUAAAUGAGUCAGUAAAAGCAACAAUAUCUAAAUAUAGGCAUAAGUUAAACAAGGUGCCAUAAGAUGGCUAGCACAAACUGGGAUAGAGAUUGAAAGAGGCGCAUGCCUCCUGCCUGGGAUCCUCCUCCACUACUCCUGGUCGUCUGCGGCCUGCACAUAGUAGUAGGCACCCUUGAUGUAUUAGGGGUUGUCGUCCACGGUGGCAUCUGGCUCCUGGGGUCCAACAUCUAGUUGCCACGUCCGAGAAGAAUGGAAACGGGGAAAAGAGGGAGCAAAGCAACCGUGAGUACUCAUCCAAAGUACUCGCAAGCAAGGAUCUACACUACAUAUGCAUUGGUAUCUUUAUAAAGGGGUAAUAUCAAUGGACUGAACUGUAGAAUGCCAGAAUAAGAGGGGGAUAGCUAGUCCUAUCGAAGACUACGCUUCUGGCAGCCUCCAUCUUUCAGCAUGUAGAAGAGAGUAGCUGGUAAGUUCACCAAGUAUCAUCGUAUAUCAUAAUCCUACCAGGCGAUCCUCCCCUCGUCGCCCUAUGGGAGAGCGAUGUGACGCCCUCGAUUCAAUCGUACACUAAUCAAGAUCAAGGACUCAGGGGAAGAUAUCACAACACAACUCUAGACACAAAUUAAAAUAAUACAAGCUUUAUAUUACAAGCCAGGGGUCUCGAGGGCUCGAAUACAUAAGCUCGAAUACACAAGAGUCAGCGGAAGCAACAAUAUCUGAGUACAGACAUGAGUUAGACAAGUUUGCCUUAAGAAGGCUAGCACAAAAGCAACAACGAUCGAAAAGGCAAGGCCUCCUGCCUGGGAGCCUCCUAACUACUCCUGGUCGUCGGCGGCCUCUACAUAGUAGUAGGCACCCUUAGUGUAGUAGCAGUCGUCAAAUGUGGCAUAUGGCUCCUGGACUCCACCAUCUAGUUGCAACAACCAGAAAGAAGAAAGAAGGGGGAAAAGGGGUAGCAAAGCAACCGUGAGUACUCAUCCAAAGUACUCGCAAGCAAGGAUCAAAGCUACUUAUGCAACAUUAUCAAAGGAAGGCUGUAUAUGUGGAAUGGGCUACAGAAAUGCCAGAAUAGAGAGAAGUCCUAGUCCUAUCGAAGACUAGCAUCUUGCAGCAAACAGGAGGGAGUAGAGUAGCAUAAAGUAAAGUAGUAGUAGUGUUAUAAACUUCGGCCAGAGAUCCUUUCUCGACUCCCUGCAAGAAAGCAAUCCCAGAGCCAUACUAUCCAUUUCUCAUAUCCAUGUCUCAUCUCGAGUAUCCAGUUCUAGUUGUAUCGAUCGGGAUACAACUCCAAGUGUCCGUUACCAUAGGAUAGGCUAUCGAUAGAUGUUUUCUUCCCUACAGGGGUGCACCAACUUACCCACCAUGCUCGAUUAACUCUAGCCGGACACACUUUCCUGGGUCAUGACCGGCCUUAGCCAAACAAUACGCCGCAACCCGACCUAGGCCUAAUAGAGAGGUCAGCACGCCGGACUAAACCUAUGCCCCCAGGGGUCAUGGGCCAUCGCCCCGGGAACUCCUGCACAUUGCGAGGGCGGCCGGUGAGCAGACCUAGCUACCUCCCUAAAAAGGCAGGUGCUUACCAGUCGAACCCGGCGGGCGUCGCUCAGUCGUUGACGUUUAUUAAGCUUCGGUUGAUGCAUACGACGCAUAACGCCCAUACUAUGCCCACGUGAUAGUUAGUGCUAUCAGGCCAGAGACCCCUCAGAUCAAAUAUCGAAAUUGUAGUGGAUUAGGAACGCACGGUAACAAGCAGAGACUCACAAAAUAUGUGACCCCGUUGCCCCAUCUCGACGACUUGUGGCAAGGGCUAAGAAUGCCCGGCCACGCCUCAUAAUUAUCUCGCGGGCACCUUCUAGGUCAACCUGACUCCACAUCACUUGGAAUUAUGCUCGCGCGGGUACCCCUCAGGGUCGACCCGUCUUUAGUAACAUGGUUCAGUGUAAAGUCAUAGUAAUCAUAGUAACUAUGUGUCUAAACAUCAAGGGGAAAACCCGAGGAAUCACCCCCGAUGAAUUCCACUCGAUGUACAAGGUGAACGUAAGAGGAAUCACCCCCGAGGUUCACACUUGAGGGGUUGCAUGACAGAGUUGUAUCGGAAGUGGUUAAGGCGGAAUCACCCUCGAUGACUACGACCGAAUAGCUACACUACAGGGUUAACAUCAGAAGUGUUGUAGAGGUAUCACCCUCGACACUCGAUAGUAACCCAGCAGUGUCGAGCAACUAACACUACUAGGAAAAGGGCUAUACAUGGAAUGGUCACUAAUGGCGCCCCAGACAUGUGGUGUGCCACUACUAUAUAGCACUGGCGCACCAUGUGCUGGUGCGCCAUUAGUGUGAAAGACACUAAUGGCGCACCAGACACAUGGUGCGCCACUAGUAACAAUUGUUUUUCCAAACAUACUAAUAGCGCACCAGCCUCAUAGUGCGCCACUACUAUAUAUUUUUUUAUUCUAUUUUUUGGCAAAACUACUAAGGGCGCACCGGGGAAUAGUGCGCCAUUACUAGUUUAAACUAGUAAUGGCGCACUAUGCCCCGNNNNNNNNNNNNNNNNNNNNNNNNNNNNNNNNNNNNNNNNNNNNNNNNNNNNNNNNNNNNNNNNNNNNNNNNNNNNNNNNNNNNNNNNNNNNNNNNNNNNNNNNNNNNNNNNNNNNNNNNNNNNNNNNNNNNNNNNNNNNNNNNNNNNNNNNNNNNNNNNNNNNNNNNNNNNNNNNNNNNNNNNNNNNNNNNNNNNNNNNNNNNNNNNNNNNNNNNNNNNNNNNNNNNNNNNNNNAAACUACUAAUGGCGCACCACCAGCAGGUGCGCCAUUAGUAACCAGGGUUACUAAUGGCACAUUUGUAGGUGGUGCGCCAUUAGUAACCUGGGACCAGCUAGAUAUUUUGGACAGCCACACCUACCCACUCACUUUCCCCACUUCAUUCUCUCCACCUCCUCCUCCAAGCUUGUCUCGGCUGCCUCCUCCUCCUCACCUCAUUUGCGCCAUAGAUUCAUCCAAAUUAAGUGGUUAAAUUACCCUUUUUGAUAGGUAAGUAAGGGGGAAGCUAUCUUUAUGUUGUUCUCCCUCCAACAACGUGCACAUGCACUUUUUAUGGACUAGCUAGAUCUAUGUAUGUUCAUGGUGUUGCAUAUGUUUGUGGUGUUGCAUAUAUGUUUGUGUUUGCAGGUACCGGUAUUUGAAAUGCGAUAGUUGCCAAUAUUUUGCCGGAAUGUUGAUUCAUUUCCGUUUCGGCGAGAAUUUUGGCACUAUGCAUUCUUUUUGGUCCUAUUUUCAGGCAAAGUCAUGCAAAAAAAUUCUUGGUUCUAAAAUAUUGUUUUGCUCUACCCCACAGGAAACCAUGGUCCGCACGAUGACCGAAGGCAUCGUGAAUAGGUUUUUGAGCUCCGCCGAGGCUGAGAUGCUUCAAAGAACGAGCCGGAGAUAAGAUGUCCAUGUCGAAGAUGCAAGCUGAAGAGCCUUAUUGCGGACCCGGAUUCUGGGCAGGUGCGGGACCACCUGCUCUUGCAUGGUUUCAUGGAUGGCUAUCGGUGGCAAGGUGAUGAAGAUGACUACGAAGUCGUCCAUGGGGGCCGGGCAAGAAAUGAGGAAGGGCAGCAAGACAACCAUGGCGGCUCGGGCGGGCGAGAAGACGAAGAAUCUCCAGGACAUGAUCACGAUGGUGAUGCUGUACACAGUCAUCAUGUAGAAGAUGCAGGACAUGAUGAUGAGGAAGAUGUCGGAGCAGACGAUGAUGGACCAUCGAUUGGCUGGAUGCAGGACCCUCAUAUUCAACAACUGCUUCUCAAGCAGACGGAUAACGCAAGAGAUGCCGCCCGAGAGAAAGACAAGCUGGAUCAACUGGAGAUAGACGCGGUUACUCCAUUGUAUGAAGGAUGCAGGCCUGAGGAUACCCGCCUGAAAGUAAUGCUCAUGGCUCUGGAGAUGAAGGUAAAACACAAAAUGACUGACGCAUGCUUCAACGAGAACAUGACAUUCUGGCACGAACGUCUUCCCAAGGGGAACAAGUGCCCGACCAGUUUCGAGGAGGCAAAGAAAAUCGUGUGUCCUCUAGAUUUACCGCACGUGAAAUACCAUGUGUGUAUGAACAAUUGCAUCAUUUAUCAGGACGAGCACGUGGAGUCUACCAUAUGUCCGGUGUGCAGCGUCACUCGAUACAAGAAGAGGAAGAAAGCUCCUCGACAAGUGGUGUGCUACUUUUCGAUCACUCCUCGUCUGUAGUGGUAUUUUGCUGACCCUAAGGUAGCAAAGCUCCUGCGUUGGCACGCGGAUAGGGAGGAGAAGAACCUAGAAGAUGACGCAAAUGAUCCGGAGAUAAAUAAAAAAGACAAGAUGCUGAGUCACCCUAGGGAUGGGAGCCAGUGGCAAGCGUUGAACUUCAAACACCCAAAAUUUGGGAAGGGUCCAAGGAACAUCGUGCUCGGCACGAGCACCGAUGGAGUCAAUCUGUUUGGCAGCCAGAGAAGCACACAUAGCACCUGGCAUGUGUUUGUGUGGAUGUACAACCUUCCCACCUGGUUGUGCAUGAAGAGGAAGUACAUUCACAUGAGUAUGCUAUUUGAAGGGCCGAAACAACUAGGGAACGACAUCAAUCUGUAUCAGGGGCUGCUGAAAGAGGAGCUAGACACGCUCUGGAAAACGCCAGCCAAUACAUGGGAUGCCGCACAGAAAGAAUAUUUCCCUAUGAGAGCAGCACUGCUCACGACUGUGCACGACUAUCUCGGUUAUGAAUAUGUCGCGGGGCAGGUGGUCCACGGAUUUUCUGGAUGCGUUAGGUGCAUGGAUGACACACCGUAGCGCCAUCUAGAUAGAGAUCCCGGGUCUUCGAAAACCGUGUUCAUGGGACAUCAAAGGUGGCUUCGCGACGAUGACCCAUGGAGGAAACGCAAGGAUCUAUUCGAUGGUGAAACCGAACCCCGAAGACGCCCGCGUACGAGGCGGGGCGAGGAAAUAGACGAGCUGUUGAAAAAUUGGAAAGAUUGCCCACUGCCGGGAAAGAAGCAAAAGGCGCCAGAGCCGGGAAAGAAGCGAAAGGCGCCAGAGCCGCUGCUGAAGGUAUGGAAAACGAGGUAUGUUUUCUGGGACUUGCCGUACUGGAAGAUCCACCAUGUGCCUCACAGCCUUGAUGUCAUGCAUAUCACGAAGAAUGUGUGCGAGAGUCUCCUUGGUACCCUGCUCAACAUGCUAGAGAGGACCAAAGAUGGGCUGAAAGCAAGGGCAGAAGUGAAAUCAAUGGGCAUCAGGGAGGAGCUUCACGCUAAUGAUGAUGAUGAUGAGGCGAAGCAGGACACUGAAAGUCGUCGCAAAGGCAAAAAGGACAAGAAUACCAGAAAUGACUACCCUCCCGCGUGCUUCACUCUAAGUCUGGAGGAGAUCGAUCAGUUUUUCAGCUGCCUCAUAGGAGUAAAACUUCCUUACGGUUAUGCGGGGAAGAUAAGCAGAUACCUAGACCCAGCGAAGCAGAAGUUCAGCGGGAUGAAGUCUCAUGACUGUCAUGUGCUGAUGACGCAGAUACUUCCAGUUGCAACUCAGAAGGCUACAGGAAGAGAUCGUGGUGAUACUAUGCGAUCUUGAGAUGUACUUCCCGUCCGCAUUCUUCGAUGUUAUGGUGCAUUUGCUGGUCCAUAUCGUGGAGGAUAUCAUCCUACUCGGGCCGACGUUCCUUCACAGCAUGAUGCUGUUCGAAAGGAUGAAUGGUGUUAUCAAAGGAUACGUUCGCAACAUGUCACGUCCAGAGGGAAGCAUAGCCAGGGGCUUUCUGACCGAAGAGUGUAUCUCCUACUGCACGAAUUAUCUAGGCAUCGAGAACCCCAUUGGUCUGCCCGUCAACAGGCACCUCGGUAGGCUUGCUGGAUGGGGUCACCGUGAGGGUCGCCGCGAAAUGCAUGUCGACUUCGAGGGUCGACUCGCCGACUUUGAAAGAGCAAACCUAGUCACGCUACAACACAUAGACGUGGUCGAUCCUUGGGUGGUAGAGCACAAAACCUUUAUUGAGAAGACGUACAAUGACCGAGGCCAACAGAAGACGGACGGAGAUAUAAUCAAAGAGCACAACUCAUGUUUGACGCGUUGGUUCAAGCAGAAGCUUCUGUCGUACCCUUUACAUGAGGAUUCUUCCGCGGAAGAACAACUCAUAUUCGCCUUGUCACAGGGUGCCGAGCACAACCUGAUGACGUACGAGGCGUACGAUAUCAACGGCUACACAUUCUACACCGAGGGAAAGGACAUGAAAAGCGAUGGUUAUUAGAACUCCGCGGUAACGAUGGAAUCCUACACCAGUAACGACAAGGAUAGAUACUACGGAAGGAUCGAGGAGAUCUGGGAGCUGAGCUACGCUGGAGAGAAGGUCCCGAUGUUCCGUGUCAGAUGGGCCAAGAACGUCAUAAAAGAAGACCGGUAUUUCACCACCAUGGUUAUACCCGAAGCCAAAUCCAAGACCGCGGGCGCAAACGUCACCGCGAAAAAUGAGCCAUGGGUACUGGCUUCCCAAGUGAACCAAUGCUUCUUCAUUACCGAAUCGCCAAAGCCCAGUCGUGUUGUCGUGAGGAGAGGCAAAAGGAAGAUCAUCGGAAUGGAUGGAGUCGCCAAUGAGCAAGACUUUGACAAGUACGGCGACCCGAAGAUGGAACAUGAUGACGACAAUGAAGUAUCAGCAUACACCACAAGAAGAAGCAGGACCACCCUACCUAAAGGACGUCCGUUCAAGAGAAGAAGUCCAUUUACGAAAAAUAAGGGCAAGAAGAUUGUGAACAGAUAGCUAGCUAAGAUCGAUUGUAUUUAAAUUGUAGCCUUCAUUUCUCGAUUAUUGUAUUUCAUGGGCACUUUUUGAACUCAUGAAUGUUUUUAAAUUUCAUGGGCACUUUUUGAAUUCAUGAAUAGUUUUCCAAAUUUGAUGAUAUUUUUCCAUAUUCAAUAUGAAAAUAUAUUGAAUAUUCAUGAGGACACUCGAUCUUGAUCCCCCUCCAUCUCGAUCUCUAUCCCCCUCCAUCUCGAUCGCUAUCCCCCUCCAUCUCGAUCUCGAUGCCCCCCGCACCCUCCCCCGCUCCACCGCCGCCGCCGACCCCCAGCACCCUCCUCGGCCUGCUCCACCAUCGCCGAGCACCCCCCGCACCCUUCCCCGCUCCACCGCCGCCGCCGACCCCCCGCACCCUCCCCCGCUCCACAACCGNNNNNNNNNNNNNNNNNNNNNNNNNNNNNNNNNNNNNNNNNNNNNNNNNNNNNNNNNNNNNNNNNNNNNNNNNNNNNNNNNNNNNNNNNNNNNNNNNNNNNNNNNNNNNNNNNNNNNNNNNNNNNNNNNNNNNNNNNNNNNNNNNNNNNNNNNNNNNNNNNNNNNNNNNNNNNNNNNNNNNNNNNNNNNNNNNNNNNNNNNNNNNNNNNNNNNNNNNNNNNNNNNNNNNNNNNNNNNNNNNNNNNNNNNNNNNNNNNNNNNNNNNNNNNNNNNNNNNNNNNNNNNNNNNNNNNNNNNNNNNNNNNNNNNNNNNNNNNNNNNNNNNNNNNNNNNNNNNNNNNNNNNNNNNNNNNNNNNNNNNNNNNNNNNNNNNNNGACCACCCGCAACCUCCCCGGCCCGCUCCACCGCCGCCGAGCACCCCCAUUUGUUGAUAUUUUUUCAUAUUCAUAAAAAAAUUAUUACUGUUUUUAUAAAAAAAUUAUUACUAUUUUUAUAAAAAAUAUUAAAAAAUAGCAACAAAAAAUAAUUAAAAAAACAUAUUAAUGGCGCACCGCUUGGGUGGUGCGCCAUUGCGAUCUAAAAAAAGAUUUCUAAUGGCGCACCGCCAGGGGGUGCGCCAUUGCUAUCUAAAAAAUUACUAAUGGCGCACCGCUCGAGGGUGCGUCAUUAGUAAUUUUCCCCCUAGCUCUAACUUGGCUGACUCCUUCUCCCUCUCGUGAUACCCACUUUACCCACCCGCGCGCUGCCCCGACGACCCACGACGCUGCAGCCCCUACGUGCGGCGUCGCCCCCGCGCCCCCGCGUCGGCCCCUGCCCUGCGCCACCUUCCCGCGUCGGCCCCUACCCUGCGUCGCCUCCCCGCGUCGGNNNNNNNNNNNNNNNNNNNNNNNNNNNNNNNNNNNNNNNNNNNNNNNNNNNNNNNNNNNNNNNNNNNNNNNNNNNNNNNNNNNNNNNNNNNNNNNNNNNNNNNNNNNNNNNNNNNNNNNNNNNNNNNNNNNNNNNNNNNNNNNNNNNNNNNNNNNNNNNNNNNNNNNNNNNNNNNNNNNNNNNNNNNNNNNNNNNNNNNNNNNNNNNNNNNNNNNNNNNNNNNNNNNNNNNNNNNNNNNNNNNNNNNNNNNNNNNNNNNNNNNNNNNNNNNNNNNNNNNNNNNNNNNNNNNNNNNNNNNNNNNNNNNNNNNNNNNNNNNNNNNNNNNNNNNNNNNNNNNNNNNNNNNNNNNNNNNNNNNNNNNNNNNNNNNNNNNNNNNNNNNNNNNNNNNNNNNNNNNNNNNNNNNNNNNNNNNNNNNNNNNNNNNNNNNNNNNNNNNNNNNNNNNNNNNNNNNNNNNNNNNNNNNNNNNNNNNNNNNNNNNNNNNNNNNNNNNNNNNNNNNNNNNNNNNNNNNNNNNNNNNNNNNNNNNNNNNNNNNNNNNNNNNNNNNNNNNNNNNNNNNNNNNNNNNNNNNNNNNNNNNNNNNNNNNNNNNNNNNNNNNNNNNNNNNNNNNNNNNNNNNNNNNNNNNNNNNNNNNNNNNNNNNNNNNNNNNNNNNNNNNNNNNNNNNNNNNNNNNNNNNNNNNNNGUGCCUUCCACGCCGCCCCCCACCACCAGCCCUAAUCGCUGACACUCCCCUCUUCCAUAAUUCUCUGUUUGCUAGAUCACAGUUUUGCGAAAUUAAUUAUCAUGUACACUGAACUCUGCAAAUAUCUGCGUCUGCCCUCUUUGUUCAUCAUGUAUAACUCUGCAAAUAUGUACAACUCUGCAAAUAUGGUGCAUCAUGAUCUUUCCCUCUUUGUUCUGCAUAGGAGUAGAUUUUUUGAGACAGUGUAUGGGGUUCAGAAGAAAUUUAGUUUGCAGUCAGGGUUGUACAUUCAUUUGUAGGAUAAUUGCAGGUUGUUUAAUGCUUGCCUAGUAUCUGUUCAUGUAGGAACUGAAGCUGAAUAUAGGAUUUAGAAGCUGGAUGUAGUUUGUCUGAAUGUUCUUAUUUUUUUGUUUGUAGUGGUUUGUCUGAAUGUUGAGAAUACAGAUCCAUAAUUUCCAGUUCUUGGUUCUUACUGUAUUUUGGAAUGAUGGUGGUACCUAUUACAUUUCUAUGGAUGGCAAACUCAGAAUAAAACAAUCGAGAGAUUUGACCAUGCCCAUAAUUUCAGGACACAGAUUUUUUUACCAGUGUUAUCCAUCAUAAAAUGUGCUUAUUCUGCAUCCGCAAAUGGUCCAACACGCAAACCACCCCCAAUCAAAAGAAGUUAUAGAAAGUACGGUUAGACAAUGCUACCCCAAAUAAGUUAUUGUUAACAGUAUCAUGAUUCCUGGACUAUAUUGAGACUUUGAUACCAAGGCAAAUAACUACAGGGCUUCAGGCCCACAAACACCAUGUGUAUAAGUGCGGUGAAACGGAAAAUGUUUGAGAUAUGUGUAUACAAAGCAAUAUCAUAGGCGGGUCCUAGGACAACAUCAAAGAUGUUUGUAGGAUUUAUUCUAUUGUCCUGUAUUACAACUGUUUCCCUUUCGAAUUUAACAUUGAAAGAUCUUAGUUUUGACUACAAUUUUUCCCUAUGCAUUCCUUUCCAGAUGACCAAUCUUUCCCUGUUUGUGUUUCUGCGUAACAUGUUCGAUCGCGAUUGGAGAAAAAUUGAGGCAUUUGUUGGCUCCAAGAUAGUGAUACAGGUAUAUACAUGUGCUCUGCUUUCAUGUUGAUGCACUUGCUCCUUUCUUACAUAUUUGUGCCUGACGAACACGGUCAUCAAGUCUACUUCCAUGUUGCUGCUAGUAGUAACCUGACAGCACAUCCAUACUUAGACCUUCAGAAGGUCAAUCUUCAGUUUAGUUGACUUUUGAGCCUGCUAGUAGUUUACUUCCAUGAGUUGCAAUGGAGUUUUAUAUAUCUUUAGCCACUAUUCAUUAACAGCAAGUCAACAACAACAUCAGUAAAAUUCAGUUAACAAUAACAUCAGUAAAAUUCAGUUAAUUAACUGAAGAAGAGAAGAGAGAAAGUAGAGAGCAAGAGGAGUACAUGCAUUAACUGAAACGUUUUACUUUAAACUUGCAAAAUUGUAGUAUUCCCUAAAACUACUGCAAGCAAGAACUACUGUUGGAGGGCACUAUUGUAGGGAUAUUCUCUGGUCUACUGAAACUUGCUGGAUAUUUGUUCAGAAAUGUGUUAACAGGUGUAUUAUUUACAGUAGUAGUUGCAGAUGGUUUCUCUUGUCUUAACUGGAUAAUCAUGUAUUACAUAGUGUUCUUGUUUUUCUUCAUAGUUUGCAGCAUUUUCAGAUGUACACUGUUUUCCUAUGUCUCAAAAUGUUCCUAAUUUGAUAUUUGAAAGUAAGUGUGUGGUUUGAAAUUUUGAUCUGAUUAUGGCAUCUAGAAUUAUGUCAGUUUUGUUUUGUAACUAGAAGACCAAAGUGUGUUACUCACCUGGGAUCUUAACUAUUAAUUUUGUAAUAUUCCUUAUAUUGAAAUCGAACAUGAUGGUGCUACUUGAUAUUUUUGAGAGAUGGCAUCUCCCAUGACUGAAUCAGCAACAAGGGGAGUUGAUUCCAUUUCUUGGUUUCUGUAAGAAUUUAAUGGACCUGGGACUAGUUAAGUAUAGGCUUGGGCUUGUGGUUGAAUGCUACCGUUGUCCUAGCCAUGUAUUUUCAGAAUUGAGCUAAAGAUUUUGGGAGUAGUAUUUCUGAUUUUAGAGCACCUUUGCUGGAUGUAUUUUACAGCAGCUGUUGGAAUCAAAACAAUGCUUGUGGGUUGUCCUGUUAAGUUGAGUGAGUCAUUAGAGGGCAGAUAGAGUCACCCACACCAAUUAAUGUUUAUGAAGAAGAAGAAUAAACCUGUUGCUGCUGCUGUUAUGCCUGUAUUCACUGUUGCUGCUACUGUACUUGUGAUGAUGUUGUACUUGUGAUGAUGCUACUUGUGAUCUUCUGAAAUGACCCAUUGGCGACUUCAUUACGCGGGGAUAAUGAUAUUGCAGGUACCCCGAGAGGCCCUUGAGUUUGCCGGAAUGUCGAUUAACUUCCGUUCCGGCAAAUUCGGGUACUCCAUAUGCCCUAUUUUCAGCAAAGGUCAUGCUGAAAUUUUCCGUGAAUUUUAGCAUGACUUUGCUAAAAAUCGGACAUAUGGGGUACUUGCUACUAAUGCAUGGGCCGGGGUAUCUUAGUACUUAAUUAAGUAAGAUCAACUGCCCCUUUAUUCUUGCUGCAUUAAACCAUAGGUGGCAAUAGAGCCAAGUGAUUAGGCUGAACUUAGAGUCGACAAACCCUAAAUGAUAAAACCAUGGCUUUUAAGGUGCCUCGGUGUCGAUGAGAACCUAAAUGAUGUACGCUUAGGCUUUUAGGGUGCCUCGGCGUCGACAAACCCUAAAUGAUAAAAGCUUAGCUUUUAGGAUGCCUCGGUGUCGACAAACCCUAAAUGAUGAGACCAUGAUCUUGUUCCUUGACAAUAACUAACUUUUUGACCAAACUUUUUUCCUAUUUAGAGCGAAACAUGGCCCACAACGAUGAGGCCGGCGGUUCGGGCGACAAGCAAUUCUGGGAGCUGUCCCAGGAGAUGGAGGAAGAACCUCACCGCUAUGAGGAUGCCGCGGAAGACACCGAUCCUGACUACACAAACCCUAGUGGCAUCGGGGAUGACACCUCUAAUGGUGCCGCCAAGGAUGCCACCACUGAUGAUGGCGGCGCACACACAGAUGGCAGCCAACCGAAGAGGCAAUGGAAGGACCGGCGCCCAAGCGUGCUCGGCACCAUCAAGGAGGAAUUUACUGAAGUGAACUCCGACGGGCAUCCAACGGUGCCCAAAGAAUUAGUCAAGGGGUACUCAUUUCAGCUCGGGUGCAUUCUCCGGAGCACCGUCUCGAUCAACACCGAGAACCUAAGGCAUAAGGACCGAGGGAAUUUGCGCAGCCUCCUCUUCAUGAAGCUGCACGAAAGAUACAAGUUCCCCGCUGACUUUGCAAACAUAUGCCUCUCAGGGAAUAAAGUGAACAGUGGCACCCUCACGAAGAUGAGCACGGCCCUGUCUACUUGGAGAAGCACGGUGAAGGCAAUGAUUGAAAAAGGUGAUAGUUAUGAGAAGAUCAAGGCAAAAUAUCCUUUGAUCAGCGAAGAUGACUACAAGGAGUUCAAGAUCAAGUGCGAGAGCAGGACAACCUCCGAAUCAAGUCAGUGGGGGAAAGAAAUGCGGGAGUUGAACUUAGGGGUCCACCAACUCGGUCCCGGCGGUUACAGAGUGGUGGAGCCUAUAUGGGCCAAGGAGGACGCGGAGCAUGCCGAGCAAGGCCUACCGCCCCGCUUUGAGAAAUACCGUGACAAGCAGACCAGGAACUAUGUCAGGGCCCGGUACAAGGAGGACCCGGUAACAAAGGAGCUUACCACGGAUCAGAAGACCAUGGCGCUUGAGCUUGUUCUGGUAAGGAAUACACCCCCGCGUAAUUAGUGCCAUAUGGUUGCAUUCUAAUUAAUCCCCAAUAUUUCUAAAUGGUUCACGUUCCUUCCACAGGACACUGAAAGCAGUAGCGCGGGCUCAUCUUAGAGCUCCCCUUUCGACACCCCUUUAAAUAGGGCGUUGAACGUAAUGAAAAACAAGGAUAAGCUCAGUAAGCUGUUGUCAGCUGGUCGUGUGGCCGGCAAAGGCUUGUCCACAAAAUGGACAUCAUACUAUACUGCUGGUAGGCGAAAGGAGAAAAAGAACAGCUUGGAAAGCCAGUCGCGCGAGGUGGAAGCACUCAAGGCACAAGUGGCGCGUAUUCCGGAGAUUAUCCAAGAACAAGUGCAACAACAACUAGGAACGACGCUCACCGCCAUGGUGCCUAUGUUGAUUCAGGGGCUAACGAUGUGGAUUGCGGGCGUCCAACACGGGCCUCCCCCGGUUCCAGCUUCACGGCCAGCAACUCGCACAACACACAGGAGGUGCCAUUGGUGUCUCAGGCGGCGCCAUUGGUGUCUCCAGCGGAGGCGGUAUUCGUGUCUCCGGCAUCGGCACGGGCAUUGGAGCUUAAUGCACCCGGGUGUAAGCCGACCGGCACCUCGCCAGCAAGCAGCCCCUCCGUCAGUUGCACGCCCGCCGUUGGCGGUGCCUCCACAUUAGCCGAGCUUGAUGGCAUCAUGGUAACUAAGCCUCUCGGCAGAUGACUUCAUCUCCUUGCCUUUGACUGGGCCUCCCUGAUGCCCUACAUGUAUUCGCAGGGCGCUACCGACGUUCCUUGCACUCUCCUGCACUUCGUGGGCGGCGAGUUGGUCGAUAUCGCCAAGGGUAGAAUCGUUCAACUGGGCAACCCCGUGUUCCACGGUAAUCCGAUGCCACCCAUAGUGUAUAGGGUUGAACUAGUUUGGGUGCUGCCAGACUGUGACGAGCUGUUACCUCCGAUUCGACCCGCUGGGGCCGACGAAGAAGAUGAGAUGACCCUCAGCGCCUGCGUAAACUGGCCCGUGCUUUGGCCAAAGAGCCAGAUUCGUUUGGGUGUGGGGGACACCACCCCACAGACAAGACCGCCAGUCGUGCCGGCGCCAAGCCAUGGCAAGAAUGCCGCAACGCUGCCGGACAUGCCGGACAUCCGUAUGGCACAGGAUCCGGACAUGCAUAUGGCACAGGAUCCGGACGACGACGACAACAAUGACAGUACAUUUACCAACGUCGAUAAGUACUUUUCCGAAAAUGGGUACGGUGACGAGUUCUGCGGGCCUCCUUCUCAAGAACCCAACCAAGACGACCGUGAUCUAGCUGGGAUGGCGGAGAAAUCCAAUUGCAAUAGGCGUUGUCUGGCGUUCAGUUCUCAGGAGAUGCCUCUAGCUCCCGCCUUCACCGAGCCUCAGAUAGCUGAGGUGUGAAAUAUUAUCAGCCCCAACACGCUCAAGAAGGCGGUCUGUGAGCAGAACUCGAUCCCAUUACAGCAGAUAAAGAAGAAGGGACGGAAAUUAAAGACUAACAAGGGCGCCGGUGCGAGCCAGCCAGCACCGAGUACGAUCCGUGCUCAGGAUGGGCCACCUUCACCUAAGGAUAUCUCGAGGAGGGUGCAUGUGGCGGGUAGGGCGAUGCUACCAACAAAUAUGCUCAAUGCUGCAACCGGUGCUAUGUGGAGUCUGCAUGACAGUGUUCUUUCUUUGGAGAAGCGGCGUCUCUCCCAGAAUGAUGUGGCAUACCCGGUUUUUGUGGCCAAGGUGCCAGAGGUCAAGGGCUUCGUGGAUGGCGCCAUCGGGGGUAUGAUCGUCCUGCGGUUUGAUGACAUCUUUGCUAUGUUUAACCUUCAUCCGCUGCACUACACCUUCGUUCGGCUGUUUUCGCUGAGUAUGGAGAUGCGGAUCAUUCGAUACAAGACCCCGGACAUCGUGAUAAUCGACCCCUUCUACAUGCGUGCCAAGAUCUUGGGCAGCGCUGGGGACCAGCAAGUCGCGAGUUCACACCUCGAAGGCGUCAUUCUGGCAAACCCAGAUAAGGAUAACUUCCUUGUGCCUUACUUUCCCGAGUAAGUCAUCCCCUCACCGCCCCGUAACAUAUGAUUUCUGAGAUUUCGAUCGUUCUUCUUUUUUUCUAACAUUCUGUGUUCUGUGCAGUGACACACAUUGCACACUUAUCCUCUUAAGCCCGAAAUAUUCCACGGCCACGUAUUUCGACCCGGACCGUGACUCCAAGAUAGACUACACAAAUAUCAAGAAAGUUCUUGAUGAUGCUCUCCCCGGCUACGCCACAUCUAGAGGGACCUUUAAGAGGCCAGUUCGUAGGUAUGGCAGGCACGUGUUCACCCACAAUACGACGUUCCCCUGCGUCAAGCAGUCGCCUGGUGUUCAGAAGGAUGCCUACUAUGCCCUCCAUCACAUGCGGUCGAUCUUACGGGACCAUAAUCACCUUCUGCUACCAAAUAAUGUCAAAGAUUGGGCCGCUAGCUUAGCGGCAAUCCAGGACGCGGACCUUCGACAAUAAUUCUUUCGCAUCCAGUCGAAGUUUGCAGAAAUCAUCCAUCAAGAUGUCCUUCGUACUUCGGGGCAGUUCUACCUCAGAGAUCAACCGUCCAACAAUGAGAUAGACACAACGCUACAAAUGCAGGCUGACAACGCCCGCGACUUCAUGACCAUCACGAAAGACGGCGUCUUCAUCCACGCUCCGGUCCCAUGAGUCAAGUCGAAAGUAGUGAUGCUAUUUGUAGUUCUGAAACAUCGAUUAGCUCAUGUUGUAAUUAAACUUUAAUGAACUUGUAUGUCUCUUUGGUUUGGACAGUCAUUCAACUUAGAUGUAAUCAAUGCUAUUUAUUAGUAGGACCAUGAAUCACGCUAUUAAUGUCUUGAUUUUCCCUUUCGAUCCUUUUGUUGCAUACUUAUAUAUUGCUUAUGUAUUGUCUGUUGUUUGGCUUGUGCAUAUAGAUGCCGUCGUAUGUCGUGUACAAGGGUAAGGUUCCCGGAGUCUACGACGACUGGGAGGAGUGUCGGAGACAGGUUCACCGUUUCAGCGGUAACAGUUACAAAGGGUACACCACUAGGGUGGAGGCGGAAUCUAGAUACGCUCGCUAUCUAGCGGGAGAGAGGAGGGAGCGUUGGAGGAACCGGAUGAAGACCAGUUUCAUCGCGAUGAUGCUCAUCGUGAUGACCGCCGCUCUCUUCUAUGUGAUGGUAGUUUAGAUGAUCGAUAUCGACUUGUAAUGUGAAGACAAACUCGCUACUCACGGUCUCUGAGACUUGUAAUGUUCUAUGUUUGUUCGGUCUUUUGAAUUCGGAGACUAAUAUGAUGAAUUGUAUUCGGAGACUAAUCUUCUAUUGUAUUCGAUGAAUCUGCAGUUGCUGUGUGGUGCUGUCUAUAUUCUGUCCAAUAAUAUAUUUUGUAACCUGUGCAAAAAUCAGAGAAAGAAACCCUAAUAUUAAUACUAAUGGCGCAUCACCCCACAGUGCGCCAUUAGUAUGCCAAAGGAUACUAAUGGCGCAUCACCCCACAGUGCGCCAUUAGUAUGCCAAAGCACACGGCUAAAUAUGGCCCCCAAGGAGGCAUACUAAUGGCGCAUGUUGCUCUAUACUAAUGGCGCACGGCGUGGUGCGCCAUUAGUAAACCAGAUACUAAUAGCACACCAGUGGUGCGCCAUUAGUAUAUAAUACUAGUGGCGUGGUACUAGUGGCGCACCAGUAAUGCGCCAUUAGUAGGCAAAACUGGUGCGGCACUAGUAGGCCUUUUCCUAGUAGUGUAAGGGGAAAGUGAUGUGCGGUGUCGGGGCCUGGUCUUCGAUCCCGUUGAUCGGUUCUUCGAUGAUGAAGCAGGGGCAACAAGGACAAGGUGGGGGUCACUGAUGGAUCACUAACCAACCUAUACUAAGCAGAUUAGGAUAAGCAGGUAAGGUAACAAUAAGAAGGUUACAAAAGCAGGCUAUGCAUCAGAAUAGGAGCAAACAAUAACAAUAGCCAAAUCUAAUGCAAGCAUAAGAGAAUUGAAUGGGCGAUAUCAGGAUGAUCAAAGGGGGGGCUUUCCUGGUUGCUCUGGCAAGGAGGGGUCAUCGUCGACGUAGUCGAUCACAGGGGCAACAUCAGUCUCGGGGUCUACCGGAGAGAAGAGGGGGAAGAAACAGUAAAUACAGAGCAAACAAGGCAUCACAAGGCAUAACAUGGCAAUAAGCUGUGCCGGGUGUGACCUAACGUAUGGCUACACGAUAUAGGUGAAGGCCGAACUCAACCGGGAAAGUUUUCCCAGUUCUGGACCUGUGUCAGACAGGUGACCGGAGGGGGAAUGUUCCACGUUUAGAUAGUUAGAGGCAUCUGACAGGUAUGUGGGUAGCGUAUUUGGGUUCAUCUCGUUUUUUUGAGCAACUUUCAUGUAUAAAGUUUUUCGAUCCGACCUACAGUUUAUUUUCUAUGAUUUCUCAAAGCUUUAAAUAUAUUCUGAAAUUAACAGAUUUAAACUAAUUCAGAAAAGGAGUUUAUUGCAUCAGCAUGACAUCAGCCUGAGGUCAGCAGUCAACCCAGCUAACUCAGGUCAAACCUGAUAGCUGGGUCCCACGUGUCAUAUAGAGUGGGUUAACCAGAGAGUUAAAUUCAACUAAUCAGGUCAAUUAGCAGAUGAGCCCCAUCUGUCAGCCACUAAAGUAAUUAGCAUAUUAGUUUAAAAUUAAAUUUGUUUAAUUAAUCGUGGGGGACCACAUGUCGGCCCCUGGGGUUGCCCAGUCAGCACCGUUGACUGGUCAAAGCAGUCAGCGGGGCCACUGGGGCCUGUUAGCAGUGACCCCGGGGGUGGCCCCAGGUCGGCCACGUCGGAUGCCAGCGCCGGAGUUGGCUCCGGCGAGCCAAAACAUGGCGGAGGGCGCCGGCGAGCCUCGGGAUUUCGCCACGGUGGCCCAAAACGGGUGUGGCUACUCCCGUUCGAAAGCUAGCGACGUCGCGCGUCGCAUGGAGCUACGGGAUGGUCUCGGGGAUGACCGGAAUGACACCGGCAAGCGGCGGAGGCGGCGACGCGUACGGGGAGAUGACGGAGACGGUGAAGCAGCGUGCUAUGGAGUAAAAGAAGAGGCUGGGCAGGUUCUACGCGGUGCGGUGAAGCUGUUCGGCGCACACCCGUGACCAUUUGGUCACCGGAGGCACGCCAGCGACGAGCACGGGCGGCAGCGCGUUUAGGCGCUCGACGAGCAAGGGGCUAGGGGCCACGGGGGCGAGGAGAAGAGAGCGGGGAGGAAGGAGAGCUCACCGAGGAGCACAAGGAGGCUCGGUGGCAGUUUAGGAGCUGCAGGGGCGGCGCCAGAGACGAAGAAGAUCGACGGCAGCCGGAGAUGGGGACGAAGGGGAUCCGAUGCUGCAGCGCCUCCGAGCUCCAGCUGAGGCCACCAGUCGAAGGAGUCGACCCCGUUGGAGCUCACCGACAGGGUCAGCGAGUGCGGGGCCGCUGGUGGCCGCGACAACGACGAGGACGGCGGCGACUGCGCUGGAGUGUCGAUGGGGAACGAGGGGGGAGAGGCGAGGAGCGGGCGGAGAGGGCGAGGAGAAUCUGUGAGUGGGUGGAGGUAGGUGUGGAGGACCCGAGGAGCCGGACGGGGAGGCUCUUAUCCACCAGCGGCGUUGCCGGCGAGGUGGUCGGGCGGCGAUGAGCCGCUGUAGCGGCGCGCACCGAGGGAACAGGAAGGAGGGGAGAACGACCGGGGAGGGGGCAUGGGCCGGCCUAGCUGGGCCAGCUGGCGCGGGUGGGCCGAAGCCCAACUGGUGUAGGGGCUUUCUCUCCCCUUUGCUUUUUUCCUUUUCUCCUUUUCUAUUCUUUUCUCUUUUUUUGUAGCUUUUGCAUUGGCUUUUAGCCACUAUUGACUUUGCAAAAUUAUGCAACUGGCCAAAACAAUUUCAAAUAAUUAUUGGGCACUACCAAAAAUAGAUUGUGAGGCUUUAGAAAUAGUUUGCCAUUUUUAUAAAUUAAAAAGGCAUUUAACUUAUUGCUUAGGUCACUGUUUUAAGUAGUUUAGACCACUCAAACCUUUUACAAAAAUGUUGGUCCACCACCAAUAUUAGCUAUGGAUUAUUUGGAACAUGAUGAACAUUUUAGUUUUCAUGUUUGAGAAAUUUGAAUUUCACUCAAAAUCUGAAAUUGAAUUCAAGUGGAAUUUGAAAUGGAGUAUUGAUCAUAGUGACUAAGCACUAUUAUAGCAUCAUUACACCAGGGUGUUACAACUCUCCUCCUCUAUAAGAAAUUCUCGUCCCGAGAAUUAAGAGGUAGAAGGGAAAAGAUUGGGGUAUUCAGCAUGGAGGUUAUCCUCGCGUUCCCAAAUGGCUUCAUCUUUGGUAUGAUUCGACCAUUGCACCUUGAGGAACCUGGUAACCUUCUGGCGGGUUCGAUGUUUAGCUUCUUCAAGAAUGCAGAUAGGAUGCUCUUUGUAUGUGAGAUCAUCUUGAACUUCAAUCAAUCCCAGAUCCACUUCACAUUCCGGAUCCUUGAAGCAACGACUAAGUUGUGACACGUGGCAGAUGUCAUGGACAUGAGAGAACUGAGGUGGCAACUCCAAUUGAUAAGACAUCAUUCCUCGAUGGGCGAGAAUGCAGAAGGGACCAAUGUAGCGCAGAGCUAGUUUGCCCUUGAAUCUGAACCGAUGAGUGCCCCUCAAAGGAGUGACACGCAGAUAAUCUUGAUCACCAGGUUGAUAAGUUGAACCCAAGUGUUUCCGAUCAUAAUUGCUCUUCUGGCGGCACUGGGCCGCCUUGAGAUUACCCUGAACAAUGCAAACCUGCUCUUCAGCUUGUUGAAUAAUAUCCGGACCAAUGAGUGUACGUUCCCCGGUUUCUGACCAAUUCAGAGGGGUUCGGCACUUACGUCCAUAGAGCACCUUGAAGGGUGCCAUCUUCAAGCUGUCUUGAUAGUUGUUGUUAUAAGAGAACUCCACAUAAGGGAGAGAUUCUUCCCACUUCUUGCCGAAAGAAAUAACACAAGCCCGAAGCAUGUCUUCCAGAAUUUGGUUGACUCGCUCGACCUGGCCAUGGGAUUGGGGAUGAUAAGCAGUGCUCCAGGUAAUAUGAGUUCCCAUUGCCUCUUGGAAAGUAUCCCAGAAAUUUGAAGUGAAGAUACUGCCACGGUCUAAACUGAUCUUCUUCGGAAUGCGAUGGAGUGACACAAUUCUUGAGAUAUACAACUUUGCUAAUUGACUAGCAGUGAUUGUCUCCUUGACUGGCAGAAAGUGAUCAACUUCCAAGAAUUGGUCGAUGACGACAAAGAUAGCAUCAUUACUUUUCUGAGACUUGGGAAGGCCAGUGACCAAGUCCAUCUGAAUCUUAUCCCACUUCCAUUCAGGAAUCGGAAGCGGUUGUAGAAGGACAGUCGGUUUCUGAUGUUCUGCUUUGACGCGAUGUCUAACGUCGCAUUCUUCGAUAUAUCGAGCAAUGUCUUGCUUCAUUUUAGACCACCAGUACUUCUGACGGAUUUCUAAAUACAUCUUCGUACUUCCCAGAUGAAUAGAGCGAGGGGUGUCAUGCGCAUCUUUCAUCACCUUCUCUGUCAUAAGCUCAAACCGGGGUACUACAAUACGAUCUCUAAAGUAUAAGGUCCCAUCUUCAGCAAUACGAUUUCUCUAAGGAAAGAUCCUUUUUCAUCAGAUCAACAUGAGCAUCUUUGGCUUGAGCGGACUUAAUUUCUUUCAAAAGAUUUGGUUCCAAGACAAGGUUAUUCAGAGAACCCUAUGGAACUAGUUGAAGGUUCAGCUUGCAAAGUUCUUCAUAAAGGCUGCGUUGAGCUUUAUGAACCAUGUGAUUAUUGCAAUAAGACUUGCGGCUCACGGCAUCGGCCAUUACAUUAGCCUUGCCAGGUGUAUAAGAUAUACCGCAGUUGUCGUCAGCAAUAGCUUCCAUCCAUCGCUGCUGACGGAGGUUUAGAUCUGGCUGAGUAAACAGGUACUUUAGACUCUGAUGAUCUGUGAAGAUCUCACAAUGAUUACCGAGAAGGUAUUGUCUCCAUAGCUUCAGUGCAAAGAUAACCGCAGCAAGCUCGAUGUCGUGAUCUAGGUAGUUCUCUUCGUGACGACGCACUUGACAGGAGGCAUAAGCAAUUACUCUGCGCUAUUGCAUUAGGACAUAGCCUAAUCCUUGUCGUGAAGCGUCGCAAUAGAUGACAAAGUCCUUGCGAGAAUCAGGGGGAGCAAGCACUGAGGCAGAAGUCAGCCUGUCCUUGAGUGCCUGGAAACUUUCCUGACAUUUUUCUGUCCAAUUGAACUUAAUGCCUUUGUGAAGUAGAUUAGUCUGUGGCUUGGCAGUCUUGGAGAAGUUCUCGACGAAACGGCGGCAAUAAGUGGCAAGUCCGAGAAAGCUUCUGACUUGCUUGACAGUCUUCGGAGGGGUCCAGUCAAGAAUAGCCUAAACUCGCUCUGGGUUGACGGCAAUACCAUCCUUGGAGAUGACAUGCCCAAGGUAGGUUACUUCGGGAAGCCAGAAUUCACACUUGGAAUACUUGGCAUAAAGCUGAUGCUCUCGAAGCUUUUCCAGAACAAGACGAAGAUGUUCAGCAUGUUCUUCUUUAUUCUUCGAAUAUACCAGAAUAUCAUCCAGAUAGACUACAACGAACUUGUCGAGGUAAUCUGUGAAUAUGUAGUUCAUCAGACGAGAGAAUGUAGCUGGAGCAUUGGUUAAACCGAAUGACAUGACGAUGUACUCAUAUGAACCAUAUCGAGUAACGAAGGCGGUCUUUGGAAUAUCCUCUUCAUGAACACGGAUCUGGUGGUAACCCAACCUCAAGUCGACUUUAGAGAAUAUCGAUGAACCCGUUAGUUGAUCAUACAGAUAGAUCAUUGAUCUGAGGAAGGGUAUAUUUGUUUUGAAUUGUAGCUUGGUUGAUAGGACGGUAGUCUUGGACCAAGUGGUUCGUUCCGUCCUUCUUUUUGACGAAGAGAGAAGGUGCUCCCCAAGCAAAGGAACUUGGAUGAAUGAAACCCUUGUGAAGAGAUUUGUCGAUUUCCUCCUUAAGUUCAAGGAGCUCAUGAGGAGGCAUCUUAUAGGGUCGUUUGGCAAUAGGAACGGUGUCUGGUUUCAAGUUGAUGACAAACUUGACAGCCCUGGCAGGGGGUAUUCCUGGAAGUUCUUCUGGAAAGACAUCUAGGAAGUCACGAACAACUAGAAUAUUUUCAAUUCCCUCAAGAGGUGUUGUGUUCAACGCAUUCAGGACAUAAAGUCGUGCUUCAGCGUUUUGAACCAGAUGAGCAUUGUAGCUUACUAUCUCAUUUGAAGGGUGCAGAAGGUGGACGGUUUUAGUGGCGCAAACGAUAGAAGUCGUAUGUGCUUUCAACCAAUCCAAUUCCAGAAUGAGGUCAAUAUUGGAAGACUUCAGAAUAAUGGGAGAGGCAUGGAACUCUAAUCCUUCAAUCUCAAUGAUGACAUUGUGGCUAACCAUGGUGGCUCGACAUUGGCCCGCAGGGGUGAUUACCACUAAUGGAAUGUGCAUCUCUUCGUAUUUAACGCCAUACAUGAAUGCAAAAUCUUCUGAUAUGAAAGAAUGUGAUGCUCCUGUAUCAAAUAAAAUAGCAGCUGGUACUGAAUUAAUGAGAAGAGUACCCAUCACAGUGGCAGGUUGGUCUUGAGCUUCAUUCAGAUCAACAUGAUUAUCCUGACCACGACCAUAAGGUCUGGCAUUGUUGUUAUAGGGUUGAUUGUUACGGUCAGUUGAAAGUAGAGCCAGCUGGCUCUUUUUCUGAUUGCACUCUUUGGCACGGUGACCUGGACGGCCACACCUCAAGCACAAUUCAUCAUUGGGGUUGGGAGCAGGAGCUUGGGGUGGCAUAGCUCGAAGAGGCUGCCUCUCCGGAGGAGGAGGCAGACGAGUUGAAGCAUAGGAUUGUCUUGGUGCAGGUGCAGUUGGACGAUACAUGCUGUGGGGAAUCCAUAUCCGAUGCUUCUGCGCUGACGGGCCCAAAGAUGGGCCAGCGUCACGGCUACGCCUGAGGGAUCCCUGGUGUUCCUGAAGACCAGUCUCAACCUGAAUAGCCUUGUUUACCAAGGUGGUGAAGUCGGCAAAGUCAUGAACGAGCAGUGCUAGCAUGAUAUCUGGGUGAAGUCCAUCAGGAACUUUUCUUGCCUGCGAGCAUCAGUUGCAAUGUCUUCUUCAGCAUAACGUGACAAGUCCAGAAAUUCCCGCUGAUAAGCAUCUACAGUCUUGUUGCCUUGGGUGAGGUUGCGGAACUCUCGCUUCUUCCUGUCCAUGAUUCCUUGAGGAAUGAAGCGGGCACAAAAGGCAGCUUGGAAAUUCGGCCAAGUGAUGAUCGUUCCAGUAGGUAGGGUACGCCUAUGGCUGUCCGACCAUUAAGCAGUGGGACCCUUGAAGAAGAAGGAUGCGAAGGUGACAUAGCUGGCAAGGGCAACACUAGCAGACUCCAUUUCAUAUGUGAUGUCACAGAGCCAGUCAUCAGCAUCAAGGGGCUGAGUUGAGCUGCAGUAGAUUGUCGGGUUGAGGUGCAUGAGGUCCUGCAGAGUAACUGGGGCUGGCUGCUGGUCCAUAUUCGAAUGAGGAAACUGAGUCAUCAUUCCUUCCAUGAACUGGCGGUUCAGCUCAAACUGUUGCAUCAUUCCAGCAAAGAAUUGAGGCGGUGGUGGAUCGUUGGCACCACGGCCACGACCAGCAGGUCUAGCCAUCCAGCUAACAUGUAACAGGGGUUAGUUUAGCAUUGAGCAUUUCCAAAGACAAAGGAUCAUUCAUGAUGAAACAGUCAUAAUGAAAAAGGUACGAUGGAUACCACUUAGUAGUCGACACGACAGUGUGUGCACUAUUCAAGAUGCUAUUCUAAGGAGUAACUAUGGCUUAUACAACUUUGGGGUGAAUGUGGUCACGGGAUCCUAAUGUUAGAGUUAGUAAACUCGUUUAACCCGAGUAGAAGAGAGUUCAGAGUCCCAGACUAUAGACGAGGAGUAAAAGAUCCUAAUACCACCCAAUGGCGACGUGGGCCCAUAAGACACACAACCAUGUUAGUAAAAGUUUUGUAGUGACUAGACUCAACUUCGGCCAAGUGGUUGGAAAGGGGGAUACCUACAGGCAGUCGGCUCUAAUAUCAACUUGUGACGCCCUCGAUUCAAUCGUACACUAAUCAUACAUGCAAAUGUGUAUGAUCAAGAUCAAGGACUCACGGGAAGAUAUCACAACACAACUCUAGACACAAAUUAAAAUAACACAAGCUUUAUAUUACAAGCCAUGGGCCUCAAGGGCUCGAAUACAUAAGCUCGAAUACACAAGAGUCAGCGGAAGCAACAAUAUCUGAGUACAGACAUGAGUUAGACAAGUUUGCCUUAAGAAGGCUAGCACAAAAACAACAACGAUCGAAAAGGCAAGGCCUCCUACCUGGGAGCCUCCUAACUACUCCUGGUCGUCGGCGGCCUCCACGUAGUAGUAGGCACCCUCAAUGUAGUAGCAGUCGUCAAAGGUGGCAUUUGGCUCCUGGACUCCACCAUCUGGUUAUAACAACCAGAAAGAAGAAAGAAGGGGGAAAAGGGGUAGCAAAGCAACCGUGAGUACUCAUCCAAAGUACUCGCAAGCAAGGAUCUACACUACUUAUGCAACAUUAUGAAAGGAAGGUUGUAUAUGUGGACUGGGCUGCAGAAAUGCCAGACUAGAGAGAAGGCCUAGUCCUAUCAAAGACUAGCAUCUUCUGGAAACCACCAUCUUGCAGCAAACAGGAGGGAGUAGAGUAUAAUAAAGUAUAGUAGUAGUAGUGUUAUCAACCUCGGCUAGACAUCCUUUCUCGACUCCCUGCGAGAAAGCAAUCCCAGAGCCAUACUAUCCAUUUCUCAUAUCCAUGUCUCAUCUCAAGUAUCCAGUUCUAGUUGUAUCGAUCGGGAUACAACUCCAAGUGUCUGUUACCAUAGGACAGGCUAUCGAUAGAUGUUUUCUUCCUUGCAGGGGUGCACCAAAUUACCCACCACGCUCGAUUAACUCCGGCCAGACACACUUUCCUGGGUCAUGCCCGGCCUCGGCCAAACAAUACGCCGCAACCCGACCUAGGCCUAAUAGAGAGGUCAGCAUGCCGGACUAAACCUAUGCCCCCAGGGGUCAUGGGCCAUCGCCCCGGGAACUCCUGCACGUUGUGAGGGCGGCCAGUGAGUAGACCUAGCUACCUCCCUAAAAAGGCAGGUGCUUACCAGUCCAACCCGGCGCGUGCCGCUCAGUCAUUAACGUCUAUUUAGCUUCACCUGAUGCAUACAACGCAGAACGCCCAUACUAUGCCCACGUGAUGGUUAGUGCUAUCAGGCCAAAGGCCCCUCGGAUCAAAUAUCCAAAUCGUAGUGGAUUAGGAACGCGCGGUAACAAGCAGAGAAUCACGAAAGAUGUGACCCCGUUGCCCCAUCUCGAGGACUUGCGGCAAGGGCUAAGAAUGCCCGGCCACGCCUCGUAAUUAUCUUGCGGGCACCUUCCAGGUCAACCCGACUCCACAUCACUCACAAUUAUGCUCGCGCAGGUACCCCUCAGGGUCGACCCGUCUUUAGUAACAUGGUUCAGUGUAAAGUCAUAGUAAUCAUAGUAACUGUGUGUCUAAACAUCAAGGGGAAAACCCAAGUAAUCACCCCCGGUGAAUUCCAAUUGAUGUAAUCAUCAAGGUGAACGUAAGAGGAAUCACCCCCGAGGUUCACACUUGAGGGGUUGCACGACAGAGUCAUAUCGGAAGUGGUUAAGGCGGAAUCACCCUCGAUGACCACGACCAAAUAGCUACACUACAGGGUUAACAUCAGAAGUGCUGUAGAGGUAUCACCCUCGGCAUUCGAUAGUAACCCAGCAGUGUCGAGCAACUAAGGGGAAAGUGAUGUGCGGUGCUGGGGCCUACUCUUCGAUCCCGUUGAUCGGUUCUUCGAUGAUGAAGUAGGGGCAACAAGGACAAGGUGGGGGUCACUGAUGGAUCACUAACCAACCUAUACUAAGAAGAUUAGGAUAAGCAGGUAAGGUAACAAUAAGCAGGUUAUAAAAGCAGGCUAUGCAUCAGAAUAGGAGCAAACAAUAACAAUAGCAAAAUCUAAUGCAAGCAUAAGAGAAUGGAAUGGGCGAUAUCGGGAUGAUCAAAGGGGGGGCUUGCCUAGUUGCUCUGCCAAGGAGGGGUCGUCGUCGACGUAGUCAAUCACAGGGGCAGCAUCAGUCUCGGGGUCUACCGGAGAGAAGAGGGGGAAGAAACAGUAAAUACAAAGCAAACAAGGCUUCACAAGGCAUAACAUGGCAAUAAGUUGUGUCGGGUGUGACCUAACGUGUGGCUACAUGAUAUAGGUGAAGGGGGAAUUCAACUGGGAAUGUUUUCCCAGUUCCGAACCUAUGUCAAACAGGUGACCGGAGGGGGAAUGUUCCAUGUUCAGAUAGUUAGAGGCAUCUGACAUGUAUGUGGGUAGCGUAUUCGGGUUCAUCUCGUUUUUCUGAGCAACUUUCAUGUAUAAAGUUUUUCGAUCCGAGCUACGGUUUAUUUUCUAUGAUUUCUCAAAGCUUUAAAUAUAUUCUGAAAUUAACAGAUUUAAACUAAUUCAGAAAAAGAGUUUAUUGCAUCAGCAUGACAUCAGCCUGAGGUCAGCAAUCAACCCAGCUAACUCAGGUCAAACCUGAUAGCUGGGUCCCACGUGUCAUACAGAGUGGGUUAACCAGAGAGUUAAAUUCAACUAAUCGGGUCAAUUAACAGAUGGGCCCCAUCUGUCAGCCACUAAAGUCAUUAGCAGAUUAGUUUAAAAUUAAAUUAGUUUAAUUAAUCAUGGGGGACCACAUGUCGGCCCCUAGGGUUGCCCAGUCAGCGCCGUUGACUGGUCAAAGCAGUCAGCGGGGCCACUGGGGCCCGUUGGCAGUGACCCUGGGGUGGCCCCAUGUCAGCCACGUCGGAUGCCGGCACCAGAGUUGGCUCCGGCGAGCCAAAACAUAGCGGAGGGCGCCGGCAAGCCUCGGGAUUUCGCCACGGUGGCCCAAAACGGGUGUGGCUACACCCGUUCGAAAGCUAGUGACGUCGCGCGUCGCAUGGAGCUACGGGAUGGGGGAUGACCGGAACGACACCAGCGAGUGGCGGAGGCGGUGACGCGUACGGGCGGAUGAAGGAGACGAUGAAGCAGCGUGCUAUGGAGUAAAAGAAGAGGCUGGGCAGGUUCUACGUGGUGCGGUGAAGCUAUUCGGCGCACACCCAUGACGAUUUGGUCACCGGAGGCACGCCGGCAACGAGCAUGGGCGGCGGCGUGUUCGGGCGCUCGAUAAGCGAGGGGUAGGGGCCACUGGGGCGAGGAGAAGAGAGCGGGGAGGAAGGAGAGCUCAUCGAGGAGCAGAAGGAGGCCCGGUGGCGGUUUAGGAGCUGAAGGGGCGGCGCCGGAGACGAAGAAGAUUGACGGCAGCCGGAGAUGGGGACGAAGGGGAUCCGAUGCUGCAGCGCCUCUGAGCUCCAGCUAAGGCCACCAGGCGAAGGAGUCGACCCCGACGGAGCUCACCGACAGGGUCAACGAGCGCGGGGCCGCCGGUGGCUGCGACAACGAUGGAGGACGGCGGCAACCGCGCUGGAGCGUCCAUAAGGAACAAGGGGGGAGGCUCUUAUCCACCCGCGGCGUUGCCGGGGAGGUGGUCGGGCGGCGACGAGCCGCUGUAGCGGCGCGCAUCGAGGGAACAGGAAGGAGGGGAGAGCGACCGGGGAGGUGGCGUGGGCCGGCCUAGCUGGGCUAGCUGGCACGGGUGGGCCGAAGCCCAAGUGGGCCAGGCACUUUCUCUCCCCUCUGCUUUUUCCUUUUCUCCUUUUCUUUUCUUUUCUCUUUUUAUUUGCAGCUUUUGCAUUUGCUUUUAGCCACUUUGACUUUGCAAAAUUAUGCCACUGGCCAAAACAAUUUCAAAUAAUUAUUGGGCACUGCCAAAAAAAGAUUGUGAGGCUUUAGAAAUAGUUUUCCAUUUUUAUAAAUUAAAAAGGCAUUUAAUUUAUUGCUUAGGUCACUGUUUUAAGUAGUUUAGACCACUCAAACCUUUUACGAAAAUGUUGGUCCACCACCAAUAGUAGCUAUGGAUUAUUUUGAACAUGAUGAACAUUUUAGUUUUCGUGUUUGAGAAAUUUGAAUUUCACUCAGAAUCUGAAAUUGAAUUCAAGUGGAAUUUGAAAUGGAGUAUUGAUCACAGUGACUAAGCACUAUUAUAGCAAAAUGAUUAGCUUGAUCUCAGGGAUUACUGUAGCAUCAUUACACCGGGGUGUUACAAGCGAUCACCGGGUUAUAUCUAGCAAUUAAAAGGGUGUGUGUUUUAAGUAUCCGGUUCUAGUUAUCGUAAGGUUGAAGUACAACGCCGGGUCGUCCUGUUACCAUGGACAUGACUAUUCAAAUAGAUCAAUCUUCCCUGCAGGGGUGCACAACAUUACCCGACAUGCUCGAUCCCUCUGGCCGGGCACACUUUCUGGGUCAUGUCUGGCCUCAGGAGAUCAACACGUCACAUCCCUACCUAGGCUCAACAGACAGGUCAGCACGCCGGUCUAAAUCCUAAGCACGCAGGGGUCUGGGCCCAUCGCCCGUUGCACACCUGCACGUUGCGAACGCGCCAGAAGCAGACCUGGCCUCCCUAAUACAAGAGCAGGUGUUCUAGUCGAAUAAGGCGCGUACCACUUUGUGGCUGAGGUCCAGAAGGCUCCUGCUGAUACCACGAUGUCGGUUGCACAUAUCUUGUCCCACGUGGCAGUUAGUGUGUAUAAGGUCAAUGAUCCAACUCAGAUCAAAUACCAAUAUCUCGUUAAGCGUGUUAUUUUGAAGUAACCGCAGACGUCGACCAGGACCAGGCCCACCUGUCUCCUAGGUGGUCACAACCUGCCAUGUCGCUCCGUCACAAAGAUCCACUCAGAGGGCCGUCUGGGCAAAUGUCCUUUCAACCCCCAAUCCAUGAAUCACUCGUGGGUACUCCAUGAGCCGACCCGACUUUAGUCACAUCAUGUAACCUGUAUAGUGUGUAUGUAUGUAUAAAUAUACCCAUGAUCACCUCCUGAGUGAUCACGACCCGGUAAUAUAGCAUGGCAAACGGACAACAAUGUUGGGCCACUGAUGAUAAACUAGCAACCUACAUUAAGCAUGUAGGAUUGCAGGUAAAGGUAUCAACAAUUGUAGCAACAAUGACAGGCUAUGCAACAGAAUAGGAGCUAUCGAAUCAACAACAGUAGCAGAACUAAUGCAAGAAUAAGAGAGAAGAGAGUGGGCGAUAUCUGGUUGAUCAAAAGGGGUUUGCUUGCCUGGAAGCUUUGCAUACAGAUAUGGAUCCUCGAUGGUGAAGUAGUUGAACACCGGAUCAACCGCGGUCUCGGGGUCUACCGGCAAGAAGUAACGGAGGAGGGAACACAAUAAAUAACACAACAAUCAAUGCAUCACAAAGUAUGACAUAGCAAUACGCAGUGCUAGGGGUGACCUAACGCUCUGCUAAGCGUUACGGACGGAGCGGGAAAUAUCCGGUAAUAUUUUCUCGGCUCCAGGCAUUUAUCGGACAGACGAACCGGAGGGAAAUGUUCCAUGUUUGCACUGUUGUGAGCACAUGACAGGUAUGUGCGCGGCAUAUUCGGAUUCGUCAUAUUUUUCUGAUUAUUUUUCAUAUAUAAAUUAUUUUUAUCGUACUUACGGUUUAUUUUCUAUGUAUCUCAAAGUUUAAAUGAUUUUCUGAAUUUAUAGAAUUCUUUUAAUAAGAAAGUAAACAGCAAAAUACUUUUGUCACCUAGUGCUAUUCUAGCCAUAGUGUAUGACACUGGGCCAGUGGAGUUCGGUUGACCCAGUCAAAUGUUAACUAGUCAACAUAUAAACAGUGUAGGGGGCCACAUGUCAUUGACUUUGACUUUUGUUAAAAUUUGUUUUUCUUUAAACUAACAGUGGGUCUACAUGUCAUCUACUAUCUAAUUAGCUAGUACUACUAAUUAGACUAACAAGGCGGCAUAGCAGCAGUGUAAGAGCAGCAGCGGGAAGUGAUACGUCUCCGUCGUAUCUAUAAUUUUUUAUUGUUCCAUGCCAAUAUUCUACAACUUUCAUAUACUUUUGGCAACUUUUUAUACUAUUUUUGGGACUAACAUAUUGAUCCAGUGCCCAGUGCCAGUUCCUGUUUGUUGCAUGUUUUAUGUUUUGCAGAAAACCCAUAUCAAAUAGUCCAAACGGGGUAAAAACCGACGGAGAAUUAUUUUGGAAUAUUUAUGAUUUUUGGGAAGUAAAAUCAACGCGAGACGGUGCCCGAGAGGGGCAGGAGACAGGGGGCGAGCCCCAGGGAGGCAGGAGCGCCCUGGACUCUCCUAGGCAUCCCGUAAGGCGGUUGAUGCUCUUCUUUUGCCGCAAGAAAGCUAAUUUUAUGAGAAAAAUUUGGGCGAAAGAUUCACCCCAAUCGGAGUUAUGAAUCUCCAAAUAUAAUAGAAACGGUGAAGGGGCAGAAUCAGGGAACACAAAAAUAGAGAGAGACAGAGAGAUAGAUCCAAUCUCGGAGGGGCUUUCGCCCCUCCCAUGCCAUGGGAGCCAAGGACCAGAGGGGAAACCCUUCUCCCAUCUAGGGAGAAGGUCAAGGAAGAAGAAGAAGAAGGGGGCCUCUCUCCCCCUUGCUUCCGGUGGGGCCGGAGCGCUGCCGGGGGCCAUCAUCAUCACCGCGAUCUUCACAAACACCUCCGCCAUCUUCACCAACAUAUCCAUCACCUUCCCCCUUCUAUCUACAGCAGUCCACUCUCCCACAACCUGUUGUACCCUCUACUUGAACAUGGUGCUUUAUGCUUCAUAUUAUUAUCCAAUGAUGUGUUGCCAUCCUAUGAUGUCUGAGUAGAUUUUCAUUGUCCUAUCGGUGAUUGAUGAAUUGCUAUGAUUGGUUUGAGUUGCAUGUUUUAUUAUUGGUGAUGUCUUAUGGUGCUCUCCGUGUCGCGCAAGCGUGAGGGAUCCCCGCUGUAGGGUUUGCAAUAUGUUCAUGAUUUGCUUAUGGUGGGUGGCGUGAGUGACAGAAGCACAGACCCGAGUAAGUAGGUUGUUUGCAUAUGGGAUAAAGGGGACUUGGUACUUUAAUGCUAUGGUUGGGUUUUACCUUAAUGAUCUUUAGUAGUUGGGGAUGCUUGCUAGAGUUCCAAUCAUAAGUGCAUAUGAUCUAAGAAGAGAAAGUAUGUUAGCUUAUGCCUCUCCCUCAAAUAAAAUUGCAAUAGUGAUUAUCGAUCUAGUAACAUAGUCAAUUGCUUAGGGACAAUUUCACAACUCCUACCACCACUUUUCCACACUCGAUAUAUUUACAUUAUUGCUUAUUUAUCUAAACAGCCCCUACUUUUUAUUUACAUGUUCUUUAUUAUAUUGCAAACCUAUCCAACAACACCUACAAAGUACUUCUAGUUUCAUACUUGUUCUAGGUAAAGCGGACACUAAGCAUGCGUAGAGUCGUAUCAGUGGCAGAUAGGACUUGAGAGAAUAUUUGUUCUACCUUUAGCUCCUCGUUGGGUUCGACACUCUUACUUAUCGAAAGAGGCUACAAUUAUGCCCUACACUUGUGGGUUAUCAAGACCUUUUUCUGGCGCCGUUGCCGGGGAUUCAUAGCGUGGGGUGAAUAUUCUUGUGUGUGCUUGUUUGCUUUAUAACUAAGUAAUUUUUAUUUGCUAUUCUAAGUUGUUCUCUAUCUUUAGUUAUGGGUAGGAAAUGCAAAAUACCAAAAAAUUAUUUGUACCUACUACACCAAUGGUUGAAGAACCACUCAAAAUCUAUCACACUCCUGAAGCUUUUUACUUGGAUCAUCUUUGAUCCCUUUGUGCUCGUGCUGAAACCCCCACUAGCUUAGUUGAGGGCAAAUCUUUAGAUGAGCAUGCUUGUUAUACGUGACAUCGUAUAUCUGAAAAAGGGAAACUUUUACUGGAUCAAAUUCAUCGUUUGCAAUGCUAUGCUUGGACUUUAUGUGAAAUAUAUGAUGUUACUUGUUGUUCUGAAAACCCUUAGAAACACCUUCCCUACCAAUGUGAGGUUAUUGAUAAUGGAAUCGUAUCUUCAUAUGCUAAGGGUGUUUAUAAUUACUAUGAUGUUCAACAAAUUGAAGAAUUUGUUGCUAUUAAGGGUGCUUAUGAAAGUGCUUCUUUGAUUGAAAAGUAUGUUGCUACUCUCUACAAAUCUGAAAUUUUUUCCAUACUUGAAUAUUGUUAUGAUAAUUAUGCUUCUAAUGCCUAUGUUAAACCAUAUAUUGAGAAAGUCUCCACUGUCCAAGAAGAGACUAAUAUUUUGCAGGAAACUAUGGAAGAAGAAAUUGAUGAAACUAUGAGCUCAUUGGAUGAAAAAGAUGAUGAGGAGAGCGAAGAACAAAAGGAGGAAGAGCGGAUUAGCUACCCGUGCUCACCUCUAAUGAGAGUAACUCUUCAACUCAUACAUUGUUUAAUUCCCCUUCAUGCUUACCGAAGGAUGAUUGCUAUGAUGAUUGUUAUGGUCCCGUUGAUUCACUUGAAAUAUCCCUUUUUGAUGAUGCUUGCUAUGCUUGUGGCCAAGAUGCCAAUAUGAAUUAUGGUUAUGGAGAUGAACUUGCUAUAGUUCCUUAUGUUACACCUGAAAUUGUUGCUAUUGCACUCACACAUGAUAGUCCUAUUAUCUUUUUGAAUUCUCCAAACUGCACUAUAUCAGAGAAGUUUGUGCUUAUUAAGGAUUACAUUGAUGGGUUGCCUUUUACCAUUGCACAUGAUGAUUUUGAUAGAUGUAAUAUGCAUGUGCUUGCUUCUCCUACUUGCAAUUAUUAUGAGAGAGGAACUAUAUCACCACCUCUCUAUGUUUCCAACACGAUAGAAUUGCAAGAAAUUGUUUAUACUUUGCAUUGGCCUUUACUUGGUGUGCAUGAAUUCUUCUUUUAUGACAUGCCGACGCAUAAGAAGAGAGUUAGACUUCGUUAUUGCAUGAUAUAUGUUACUUUGUGCUCACUACUAAAUUACAAAUCAUUGUUAAUUAAAAUUGGCAUUGAUAUACCUUGGGAUCCGGGUGGAUUCAUUACUUGAGCACUAUAUGCCUAGCUUAAUGGCUUUAAAGAAAGCGCUGCCAGGGAGACAACCCGUACGUAUUAGAGAGUCAUUUAUUGCUGUUGAGUGCUUUUAUAUAGUUUAAAAACAAAAAAAAAGAGGGGAACCCAAAUUUUUUCAAAAAGGAAAGUAAAAAUGAGAGAGACAAGCAUUGUUGAAGUUGGAGAGCUCCUUGAACUUUGUUCAUGCUCACGGAAACUUUGUGAAUCUUGAUUACAGAAACUUUUCAUCAAAAAUAAUUAUCCCCUUGUACAAUUCCAUUGUAUUAUAAAAAUAAUGUGCUAAGGUUUGCCUUUAGGAUGUUUACAAUGCUUGGGGAUGCCCCGGAAGGCAUCCCCUCUUUCUUCAACAAGUAUCGAUAUGCUUUCGUAUUCGUUUUGUUCAUGCGAUAUGUGCAAGUCUUGGAGCGUCUUUUGCAUUUAGUUUUUACUUUUCUUUUAUGCACCAUGCUGGUAUGAGAUAGUCCUUGGUUGAUUUAUAGAAUGCUUAUUACACUUCACUUAAAUCUUCUGAGUAUGGCUUUAUAGAAUGCUUUAUGUUCUUCACUUAUAUCGUUUGAAGUUUGGAUUGCCUGUUUCUGCUCACAUAGAAAACCACCAUUUGUAGAAUGCUCAUUUGCUUCACUUAUAUUUGUUAGAGCAUGGGCAUGUCUUUUGUACAAAGAAUUAAACUCUCUUGCUUCACUUAUACCUAUUUAGAGAGAUGACAGGAAUUGGUCAUUCACAUGGUUAGUCAUAAAAUCCUACAUAAAACUUGUAGAUCGCUGAAUAUGAUAUGUUUGAUUCCUUGCAAUAGUUUUGCGAUAUAGAGAUGAUAAUAUGUGGGAGGUACUAGUAGAUGGUUGAGGGAGUCCUGGAUUAGGGGGUAUCCGGACAGCCGGACUAUAUACAUCGUCCGGCCUAUUGAAGCGUGAAGAUACAAGACUCAAGACUUCCGCCCGUGUCCGGAUGGGACUCUCCUUUGCGUGGAAGACAAGCUUGGCGAUCCGGAUAUUAUAUUUCCUUCCUUGUAACCAACUCCCUGUAAACCCUAGCCCUCUCUGAUGUCUAUAUAAACCGGAGAGGAUGGUCCUUAUAAGGCCGAUCACAAUUACAAUCAUACCAUCAUAGGCUAGCUCUUAGGGUUUAGCCUCUACAAUCUCGUGGUAGAUCUACUCUUGUACUACUCAUAUCUUCAAUAUUAAUCAAGCAGGAAGUAGGGUUUUACCUCCAUCGAGAGGGCCCAAACCUGGGUAAACAUUGUGUCCCUUGCUUCCUAUUACCAUCAGCCUAAGACGCACAUAUUGGGACCCCCUACCCGAGAUCCGCCGGUUUUGACACCGACAUUGGUGCUUUCAUUGAGAGUUCCUCUGUGUCAUCGCUUUGAGGCUUGAUGGCAUCUUCAAUCGCCAACAACACCGUCUAGGGCGAGACUUUUCUCCCCGGACAGAUCUUUGUGUUCGGCGGCUUCGCACUGCGGUCCAAUUCGCUUGGUCAUCUGGAGCAGAUGGAUAGCUACGCCCCUGGCCACCAGGUCAGGUUCGGAAACUUGAACUACACGGCGGAUAUUCGCGGAGACUUGAUCUUCGACGGAUUCGGGCCUGUGCCAGGAACGCCGGACAGUCACGACGAGCACGGCCUAUGUUGGGGAACAUAGUAAUUUCAAAAAAAUUCCUACGCACACGCAAGAUCAUGGUGAUGCAUAGCAACGAGAGGGGAGAGUGUUUCCACGUACCCUCGUAGACCGAAAGCGGAAGCGUUAUAACAACGUGGUUGAUGUAGUCGUACGUCUUCACGGCCCGACCGAACAAGCACCGAAACUACGGCACCUCCGAGUUCUAGCACACAUUCAGCUCGAUGACGAUCCCCGAACUCCGAUCCAGCAAAGUGUCGGGGAAGAGUUCUGUCAGCAUGAUGGCAUGGUGACAAUCUUGAUGUUCUACCGUCGCAGGGCUUUGCCUAAGCACCGCUACAAUAUUACCGAGGACUAUGAUGGAGGGGGUGCACCGCACACGGCUAAGAGAUCUCAAGGAUCAAUUGUUGUCCCUCUGGGGUGCCCCUCCGCCCCCGUAUAUAAAGGACCAAGGGGGGUGCGGCCGGCCAAGAGGAGGGCGCGCCAGGAGGAGUCCUACUCCCACCGGGAGUAGGACUCCCCCCUUUUCCAUGUUGGACUAGGACUUGGGGGGAAGGAGAGGGAGAGGGGAAAGGAAAGGGGUGGCGCCCCCCUCCUUUUCCAAUUCGGACAUGGGGGGGAGGGGCGCGCGGCUGCCCCUUGGCCUCCUCUCCUCUUCCUCCACUAGGCCCAUUAAGGCCCAUUAAGUUACCGGGGGUUCCGGUAACCUCAUGGUAUUCCGGUAAAAUGCCGAUUUCACCCGGAACACUUCCGAUGUCCAAACAUAGGCUUCCAAUAUAUCAAUCUUCAUGUCUCGAUCAUUUCGAGACUCCUCGUCAUGUCCGUGAUCACAUCCGGGACUCCGAACAACCUUCGGUACAUCAAAACAUAUAAACUCAUAAUGAAACUGUCAUCGUAACUUUAAGCGUGUGGACCCUACGGGUUCAAGAACAAUGUAGACAUGACCGAGACACGUCUCCGAUCAAUAACCAAUAGCGGGACCUGGAUGCUCAUAUUAGCUCCCACAUAUUCUACAAAGAUCUUUAUCGGUCAGACCGCAUAACAACAUACGUUGUUCCCUUUGUCAUCGGUAUGUUACUUGCCCGAGAUUCGAUUGUCGGUAUCUUAAUACCUAGUUCAAUCUCGUUACCAGCAAGUCUCUUUACUCGUUCCGUAAUACAUUAUCUCACAACUAACUCAUUAGUUGCAAUGCUUGCAAGGCUCAAGUGAUGUGCAUUACCGAGAGGGCCCAGAGAUACCUCUCCGACAAUCGGAGUGACAAAUCCUAAUCUCGAAAUACGCCAACCCAACAUGUACCUUUGGAGACACCUGUAGAGCUCCUUUAUAAUCACCCAGUUACGUUGUGAUGUUUGGUAGCACACAAAGUGUUCCUCCGGUAAACGGGAGUUGCAUAAUCUCAUAGUCAUAGGAACAUGUAUAAGUCAUGAAGAAAGCAAUAGCAAUAUACUAAAUGAUCGUGUGCUAAGCUAACGGAAUGGGUCAUGUCAAUCACAUCAUUCUCCUAAUUAUGUGAUCCCGUUAAUCAAAUGACAACACAUUUCUAUGGUUAGGAAACAUAACCAUCUUUGAUUAACAAGCUAGUCAAGUAGAGGCAUACUAGUGACACUCUGUUUGUCUAUGUAUUCAGACAUGUAUUAUGUUUCCGGUUAAUACAAUUCUAGCAUGAAUAAUAAACAUUUAUCAUGAUAUAAGGAAAUAAAUAAUAACUUUAUUAUUGCCUCUAGGGCAUAUUUCCUUCAGUCUCCCACUAGCACUAGAGUCAAUAAUCUAGAUUACACUGUAAUGAUUCUAACACCCAUGGAGCCUUGGUGCUGAUCAUGUUUUGCUCGUGGAAGAGGCUUAGUCAAUGGGCCUGCUACAUUCAGAUCCGUAUGUAUCUUGCAAAUUUCUAUGUCUCCCACUUGGACUAAAUCCUGAAUGGAAUUGAAGCGUCUCUUGAUGUGCUUGAUUCUUUUGUGAAAUCUGGAUUCCUUCGCCAAAGCAAUUGCACUAGUAUUGUCAUAAAAUAUUUUCAUUGGACCCGAUGCACUAGGUAUGGCACCUAGAUCGGAUAUGAACUCCUUCAUCCAGACUCCUUCGUUUGCUACUUCCGAAGCAGCUAUGUACUCUGCUUCACAUGUAGAUCCCGCCACAACACUUUGUUUAGAACUGCACCAACUGACAGCUCCACCGUUCAAUAUAAACACGUAUCCGGUUUGCGAUUUAGAAUCGUCCGGAUCAGUGUCAAAGCUUGCAUCAACAUAACCAUUCACGAUGAGCUCUUUGUCACCUCCAUAAACGAGAAACAUAUCCUUAGUCCUUUUCAGGUAUUUCAGGAUGUUCUUGACCGAUGUCCAGUGAUCCACUCCUGGAUUACUUUGGUACCUCCCGGCUAAACUUAUAGCAAGGCACACAUCAGGUCUGGUACACAGCAUUGCAUACAUGAUAGAUCCUAUGGCUAAAGAAUAGGGAACUUCUUUUAUCUUUUCUCUAUCUUCUGCAGUGGUCGGGCAUUGAGUCUUACUCAAAUUCACACCUUGUAACACAGGCAAGAACCCUUUAUUUGCUUGAUCCAUUUUGAACUUCUUCAAAACAUUGUCAAGGUAUGUGCUUUGUGAAAUUCCAGUUAAGCACCUUGAUCUAUCUCUAUAGAUCUUAAUGCCCAAUAUGUAAGCAGCUUCGCCGAGGUCUUUCAUUGAAAAACUCUUAUUCAAGUAUCCUUUUAUGCUAUCUAGAAAUUCUAUAUCAUUUCCGAUCAGCAAUAUGUCAUCUACAUAUAGUAUCAGAAAUGCUACAGAGCUCCCACUCACUUUCUUGUAAAUACAGGCUUCUCCAAAAGUUUCUAUAAAACCAAAUGCUUUGAUCACACUAUCAAAGCGCUUAUUCCAACUCCGAGAGGCUUGCACCAGUCCAUAAAUGGAUCGCUGGAGCUUGCACACUUUGUUAGCUCCCUUUGGAUCGACGAAACCUUCUAGUUGCAUCAUAUACAACUCUUCUUCCAGAAAACCAUUCAGGAAUGCGGUUUUGACAUCCAUCUGCCAUAUUUCAUAAUCAUAAAAUGUGGCAAUUGCUAACAUGAUUCGGACAGACUUAAGCAUCCCUACGGGUGAGAAGGUCUCAUUGUAGUCAACCCCUUGAACUUGUCGAACACCUUACGCGACAAGUUGAGCUUUGUAGACAGUAACAUUACCGUCAGCGUCAGUCUUCUUCUUGAAGAUCCAUUUAUUUUCAAUUGCUUGCCGAUCAUCGGGCAAGUCAACCAAAGUCCACACUUUGUUCUCAUACAUGGAUCCCAUCUCAGAUUUCAUGGCCUCAAGCCAUUUUGCGGAAUCUGGGCUCACCAUCGCUUCUUCAUAGUUCGUAGGUUCAUCAUCGUCUAGUAACAUGACUUCCAGAACAGGAUUACCGUACCACUCUGGCGCGUAUCUUACUCUGGUUGAUCUACGAGGUUCAGUAACAACUUGAUCUGAAGUUUCAUGAUCAUCAUCAUUAUCUUCCUCACUAAUUGGUGUAGGUGUCACAGAAACCUGUUUUGCGAUAUACUACUUUCCAAUAAGGGAGCAGGUACAGUCACCUCAUCAAGUUCUACUUUUCUCCCACUCAAUUCUUUCGAGAGAAACUCCUUCUCCAGAAAGUUUCCGAAUUUAGCGACAAACGUCUUGCCUUCGGAUCUGUGAUAGAAGGUGUACCCAACAGUCUCCUUUGGGUAUCCUAUGAAGACACAUUUCUCCGAUUUGGUUUCGAGCUUAUCAGGUUGAAGCUUUUUCACAUAAGCAUCGCAACCCCAAACUUUCAGAAACGACAACUUUUGUUUCUUGCCAAACCACAGUUCAUAAGGCGUCGUCUCAACGGAUUUUGAUGGUGCCCUAUUUAAUGUGAAUGUGGCCGUCUCUAAAGCAUAACCCCAAAAUGACAACGGUAAAUCUGUAAGAGACAUCAUAGAUCGCACCAUAUCUAGUGAAGUACGAUUAUGACGUUCGAACACACCAUUACGCUGUGGUGUUCUAGGUGGCGUUAGUUGCGAAACUACUCCGCAUUGUUUCAAAUGUAGACCAAACUCGUAACUCAAAUAUUCUCCUCCACGAUCAGAUCGUAGAAACUUUAUUUUCUUGUUAUGAUGAUUUUCAACUUCACUCUGAAAUUCUUUUAACUUUUCAAAUGUUUCAGACUUAUGUUUCAUUAAGUAGAUAUACCCAUAUCUGCUCAAAUCAUCUGUAAGGUGAGAAAAUAACGAUAUUUGCCACGGGCCUCAACAUUCAUCGGACCACAUACAUCUGUAUGUAUGAUCUCUAAUAAAUCAGUUGCUCUCUCAAUAGUACCGAAGAACGGUGUUUUAGUCAUCUUGCCCAUGAGGCACGGUUCGCAAGUACCAAGUGAUUCAUAAUCAAGUGGUUCCAAAAGUCCAUCAGUAUGGAGUUUCUUCAUGCACUUUACACUCAUAUGACCUAAAUGGCAGUGCCACAAAUAAGUUAAACUAUCAUUAUCAAAUCUGCAUCUUUUGGCUUAACAUUAUGAAUAUGUGUAUCGCUACUAUCGAGAUUCAAUAAAAAUAGACCACUCUUCAAGGGUGCAUGACCAUAAAAGAUAUUACUCAUAUAAAUAGAACAACCAUUAUUCUCUGAUUUAAAUGAAUAACCGCCUCGCAUCAAACAAGAUCCAGAUAUAAUGUUCAUGCUCAACGCUGGCACCAAAUAACAAUUAUUUAGGUCUAAAACUAAUCCCGAAGGUAGAUGUAGAGGUAGCGUGCCGACCGCGAUCACAUCGACUUUGGAACCAUUUCCCACGCGCAUCGUCACCUCGUCCUUAGCUAAUCUUCCCUUAAUCCGUAGUCCCUGUUUCGAGUUGCAAAUAUUAGCAACAGAACCAGUAUCAAAUACCCAGGUGCUACUGCGAGCAUUAGUAAGGUACACAUCAAUAACAUGUAUAUCACAUAUACCUUUGUUCACCUUGCCAUCCUUCUUAUCCGACAAAUACUUGGGGCAGUUCCUCUUCCAGUGACUAGUCUGCUUGCAGUAGAAGCACUCAGUUUCAGGCUUAGGUCCAGACCUGGGUUUCUUCUCCUGAGCAGCAACUUGUUUGUUGUUCUUCUUGAAGUUUCCCUUCUUCUUCUUCCCUUUGCCCUUUUUCUUGAAACUAGUGGUCUUGUUAACCAUCAACACUUGAUGCUCCUUCUUGAUUUCUACCUCCGCAGCUUUUAGCAUCGCGAAGAGCUCGGGAAUAGUCUUUUCCAUCCCUUGCAUAUUAUAGUUCAUCACAAACCUCUUGUAGCUUGGUGGCAAUGAUUGGAGAAUUCUGUCAAUGACGCUAUCAUCUGGAAGAUUAACUCCCAGUUGAAUCAAGUGAUUAUUAUACGCAGACAUUUUGAGAAUAUGCUCACUGACAGAACUGUUCUCCUCCAUCUUGCAGCUGUAGAACUUAUUGGAGACUUCAUAUCUCUCAAUCCGGGCAUUUUCUUGAAAUAUUAACUUCAACUCCUGGAACAUCUCAUAUGCUCCAUGACAUUCAAAACGUCGUUGAAGACCCGGUUCUAAGCCAUAAAGCAUGGCACACUGAACUAUAGAGUAGUCUUCAGCUUUGCUCUGCCAGACGUUCAUAACAUCUGAUGUUGCUCCAGCAGCAGGCCUGGCACCCAGCGAUGCUUCCAGGAUGUAAUUCUUCUGUGCAGCAAUGAGGAUAAUCCUCAAGUUACGGACCCAGACCGUGUAAUUGCUACCAUCAUGUUUCAACUUUGCUUUCUCAAGGAACGCAUUAAAAUUCAACGGAACAACAGCACGGGCCAUCUAUCUACAAUCAACAUAGACAAGCAAGAUACUAUCAGGUACUAAGUUCAUGAUAAAUUUAAGUUCAAUUAAUCAUAUUACUAAAGAACUCCCACUUACAUAGACAUCCCUCUAAUCCUCUAAGUGAUUACGUGAUCCAUAUCAACUACACCAUGUCCGAUCAUCACGUGAGAUGGAGUAGUUUCAAUGGUGAACAUCAUUAUGUUGAUCAUAUCUACUAUAUGAUUCACGCUCGACCUUUCGGUCUCCGUGUUCCAGAGCCAUAUCUGUUAUAUGCUAGGAUCGUCAAGUUUAACCUGAGUAUUCCAUGUGUGCAACUGUUUUGCACCCGUUGUAUUUGAACGUAGAGCCUAUCACACCCGAUCAGCACGUGGUGUCUCGGCACGAAGAACUUUCGCAACGGUGCAUACUCAGGGAGAACACUUUUACUAUGAUAAUUUAGUGAGGGAUCAUCUUAUAAUGCUGCCAUAAAUCAAAGCAAGAUAAGAUGCAUAAAAGAUAAACAUCACAUGCAAUCAAUAUAAGUGAUAUGAUAUGGCCAUCAUCAUCUUGUGCUUGUGAUCUCCAUCUUCGAAGCACCGUCAUGAUCACCAUUGUCACCGGCAUGACACCUUGAUCUCCAUAGUAGCAUCAUUGUCGUCUCGCCAAUCUUAUUCUUCUACGACUAUCGCUACCGCUUAGUGAUAAAGUAAAGCAAUACAGGGCGAUUGCAUUGCAUACAAUAAAGCGACAACCAUAUGGCUCCGCCAGUUACCGAUAACUCGGUUACAAAACAUGAUCAUCUCAUACAAUAAAAUUUAGCAUCAUGUCUUGACCAUAUCACAUCAUAGCAUGCCCUGCAAAAACAAGUUAUACGUCCUCUACUUUGUUGUUGCAAAUUUUACGUGGCUGCUACGGGAUGAGCAAGAACCGUUCUUACCUACGCAUCAAAACCACAACGAUAGUUUGUCAAGUUGGUGCUGUUUUAACCUUCGCAAGGACCGGGCGUAGCCACACUCGGUUCAACUAAAGUAAGAGAGACAGACACCCGCCAGUCACCUUUAAGCAACUAGUGCUCGUGGCGGUGAAACCAGUCUCGUGUAAGCGUACGCGUAAUGUCGGCUCGGGCCGCUUCAUCUCACAAUACCGCUGAACCAAAGUAUGACAUGCUGGUAAGCAGUAUGACUUAUAUCGCCCACAACUCACUUGUGUUCUACUCGUGCAUAUGACAUCUACGCAUAAAACUUGGCUCGGAUGCUACUAUUGGGGAACGUAGUAAUUUCAAAAAAAAUCCUGCGCACACGCAAGAUCAUGGUGAUGCAUAGCAACGAGAGGGAAGAGUGUGUCCACGUACCCUCGUAGACCAAAAGCGGAAGCGUUAUAACAACGCGGUUGAUGUAGUCGUACGUCUUCACGGCCCGACCGAUCAAGCACCGAAACUACGGCACCUCUGAGUUCUAGCACACGUUCAGCUCGAUGACGAUCCCCGGACUCCGAUCCAGCAAAGUGUCGGGGAAGAGUUCCGUCAGCACGACGGCGUGGUGAGGAUCUUGAUGUUCUACCAUCGCAGGGCUUCGCCUAAGCAUCACGACAAUAUUAUCGAGGACUAUAGCUAAGAGAUCUCAAGGAUCAAUUGUUGUCUCUCUCGGGUGCCCCUCCGCCCCCGUAUAUAAAGGAGCAAGGGGGGUGCGGCCGGCCAGGAGGAGGGCGCACCAGGAGGAGUCCUACUCCCACCGGGAGUAGGACUCCCCCCCUUUUCCAUGUUGGACUAGGACUUGGGGGGAAGGAGAGAGAGAGGGGAAAGGAAAGGGGGGGCGCCCCCCCCCCUCCUUGUCCAAUUCGGAUUUGGGGGGUGAGGGGUGCGCGGCUGCCCCUUGGCCUCCUUCCUCUUCCUCCACUAGGCCAAUUAAGGCCCAUUAAGUUACCGGGGGGUUCCCGUAACGUCCCGGUAUUUCAGUAAAAUGCCGAUUUCACCCGGAACACUUCCGAUGUCCAAAUAUAGGCUGCCAAUAUAUCAAUCUUCAUGUAUCGACCAUUUCGAGACUCCUCGUCAUGUCCGUGAUCACAUUCGGGACUCCGAACAACCUUUGUUACAACAAAACAUAUAAACUCAAAAUGAAACUGUCAUCGUCACUUUAAGCGUGUGGACCCUACGGGUUCGAGAACAAUGUAGACAUGACUGUGACACGUCUCCGGUGAAUAACCAAUAGUGGAACCUGGAUGCUCAUAUUGGCUCCCACAUAUUCUACGAAGAUCUUUAUCGAUCAGACCGCAUAACAACAUAUGUUGUUCCCUUUGUCAUCGGUAUGUUACUUGCCCGAGAUUCGAUCGUCGGUAUCUCAAUACCUAGUUCAAUCUUGUUACCAGCAAGUCUCUUUACUUGUUCCGUAAUACAUCAUCUCACAACUAACUCAUUAGUUGCAAUGCUUGGAAGGCUUAAGUGAUGUGCAUUACUGAGAGGGCCCAGAGAUACCUCCCCGACAAUCGGAGUGACAAAUCCUAAUCCCGAAAUACGCCAACCCAACAUGUACCUUUGGAGACACGUGUAGAGCUCCUUUAUAAUCACCCAGUUACGUUGUGACGUUUGGUAGCACACAAAGUGUUCCUUCAGUAAAUGGGAGUUGCAUAAUCUCAUAGUCACAGGAACAUGUAUAAGUCAUGAAGAAAGCAAUAGCAAUAUACUAAAUGAUCGUGUACUAAGCUAACAGAAUGGGUCAUGUCAAUCACAUCAUUCUCCUAAUGAUGUGAUCCCGUUAAUCAAAUGACAACACAUGUCUAUGGUUAGGAAACAUAACCAUCUUUGAUCAACAAGCUAGUCAAGUAGAGGCAUACUAGUGACACUUUGUUUGUCUAUGUAUUCACACAUGUAUUAUGUUUCCGGUUAAUACAAUUCUAGCAUGAAUAGUAAACAUUUAUCAUGAUAUAAGAAAAUAAAUAAUAACUUUAUUAUUGCCUCUAGGGCAUAUUUCCUUCAGCCUAGACCUGCUAUCUGGCAAUGGUCGGGAUAUUAUCCCUGCAGUAGCCCCGGAUCUAAAUCCGGAACAGGAUGCGUUGCCUAAGGACGAAGGGGUGGAACCCGCCCCGCAGGCCGCACACUCAUCGGUGGUGGAGCCGAAUACAGGUCUCACCGCUGUUGAGGCCUGUAAUCCCGGGCCCCGGGACUCGUAUCCGGUUGUUGGUUCCGGUCCGCAUACCAUCGAGCCAGCCAAGCCAGGUUGGGCUCCGGUAAUGGAGUUUACAGCUGCGGACAUCUUUCAGCACUCGCCCUUUGGCGACAUGCUGAACUCAUUAAAGUAUCUCUCUUUGUCAGGAGACUCUGGGCCGAACUAUAUCCGGCUUGAGUGGGAAGCAGGCGAUGAAGGAAUUCGCUGCCCACCCACCACCCACUUCAUUGCCAUAGUCGAUGAUUUAACCGACGUGCUUGACUUCGACUCUGAAGACAUCGACGGUAUGGACGACGAUGCAGGAGACACACAGGAGCCACCACCCACAGGGCGGUGGACGUCCACCUCUUCAUACGAUAUAUAUAUAUGGUGGACACUCCGAAAGAAACAAAUGGCGAUGAGGCAAUGGAGGAUAACCCCUCCAAGAAGAAAGCAAAACAUGGGCGUCGCCAACACCGCUCCAAGCCCCGCCAAGGGAAUACCAGCACCGGAGACGAAAACAAUCCGGACGGUGCCGAAGAUGAAUACAACUCCGAUCAGCCCGCCUUUGAGCAGGCCGAACAGGAAGAUGGGCAGGACAACCCAUAUGAAUAGCCGACGGACGGGUAUCCGAAGGAGGAUAACUACAUGCCCCCCUUCGAAGACGAGAUUAGCCUCGGCGACGACGAGUUCGGCGUGCCUGAGGACCCCGCGGAGCAGGAGCGCUUCAAGUGCCGGCUUAUUGCCACCGCGAGGAGCCUGAAGAAGAAGCAACAGCAGCUGCAAGCUGAUCAAGACCUGCUCACAGACAGAUGGACAGACGUCCUGGCAGCCGAGGAAUAUGGACUCGAGCACCACAUGGCUGACCGUCCGCCUUGAGGUCGGGAUAAAACGGCAUAUCAGCCCGAAUACCAGCCUGCACCCCCACGCCAGUUUACUACGGCACGGGCAAUACUCAGGACCUGCGUGAUAGAUUGGAUAACACCGCAGGACAACCAAGAUCGAUCUACGGAUCACGAGGGCGCGCCGCAGCACAUAACGAUGGCCGUCAUACCGGAUACACUAACAGUAAAUUCGGCCGACCCGAACUCAAUCAGCCUGAUUUGGCCGGACUGAGUCGUGACAUAGCCCGGCACAGAGGCGCCGCACACCCCCUCUGCUUCACUGAGGAAUUGAUGGAUCAUGAAUUCCCAGAAGGGUUCAAACCCGUAAACAUCGAGUCAUACGAUGGCACAACAAACCCCGCGGUAUGGAUUGAAGACUUCCUUCUCCACAUCCACAUGGCCCGCGGAGAUGAUCUACAUGUCAUCAAGUAUCUUCCCCUUAAGCUCAAAGGACCCGCCAGGCACUGGCUUAACAGCCUGCCCGCAAAUUCCAUUGGCAGUUGGGAAAACUUGGAAGACGCAUUCCUUGACAACUUCCAAGGAACAUAUGUGCGACCUCCGGACGCCGACGACCUGAGACACAUCACUCAAUAGCCCAGAGAAUCAGCCAGGAAAUUCUGGACUUAGUUCCUAACUUAAAAGAAACAAAUAGUUGACUGUCCGGAUGCCGAAGCCCUGGCGGCCUUCAAGCACAAUAUCCACGACGAGUGGCUCGCCCGACACCUCGGCCAGGAGAAACCCAAGUCCAUGGCAGUUCUCACAACACUAAUGACCCGCUUUUGCACAGAUGAGGACAACUCGUUGGCUCGCAGCAGCACUAUGCCACAUUCUGGCACGUCAGAUGUUCGUGACAAUAAUGGCAAGCUACGGCGCAAUAGACACAAGCGGCGGAACAACAGCGACAACACCAAAGACACGGCAGUCAAUGCCGGAUUCAGCGGAUCCAAAUCCGGUCAGUGGAAGAAGCCAUUCAAAAGAAACAAUCAGGGACCGUCCAGUCUAGACCGUAUACUGGAGCGCUCGUGCCAAAUUCAUGGCACCCUGGAAAAGCCAUCCAACCACACCAAUAGAGACUGUUGGGUAUUUAAAUAGGCUGGCAAAAUAAACGCCGAAAACAAGUACAAGGGGCUGCACAGCGACGAUGACGAUCAGCCCCGGCGUCCGAACACGGGGGGACAGAAGAAAUUUCCCCCCAGGUGAAAAAGGGUCAACAUGAUCUACGCCACUCACAUCCCCAAGCGGGAACGGAAGCGAGCACUACGGGACGUCUACGCAAUGGAUCCAGUCGUCCCCAAACUCAACCCAUGGUCAGCUUGUCUGAUCACCUUUGAUCGUAGGGAUCAUCCUACUAGCAUCCGUCACGGCGGCUCGGCCGCAUUGGUUCUAGACCCAAUCAUAUACGGAUUUCACCUCACAAGAGUCCUUAUGGACGGAGGCAGCAGCCUGAACCUGCUUUAUCAGGACACAGUGUGCAAAAUGGGCAUCGUCCCUUCAAGGAUUAAGCCUACCAAAACCACCUUUAAAGGUGUAAUUCCUGGAGUAGAGGCCCGAUGUACGGGCUCUAUAACAUUGGAAGUGGUCUUCGGAUCUUCGGAUAACUUCUGAAGCGAGGAGAUAAUCUUCGAUAUCUUCCCUUUCCGCAGUGGUUACCACGCACUACUCGGAUGAACCGCAUUCGCUAGAUUCAAUACGGUACCACACUAUGCAUACCUCAAGCUCAAGAUGCCAUGCCCGCACAGGGUCAUAACAGUCAACGGAAACAAGGACCGCUCUCUCCAUUCAUAAGAGCACAUUGCAGCCCUCGUGGCAGAAGUACAAUGCGGCCUCCUCCGGCAAACCACCAAUCCGGCGACGACAACCUCAAGCACCUUCAAGCGAGUCCAGAGCACCCCGCAACAGGAUCACUAGGCACGCCAAGAGCGUGACUAGCAGUCCAGCCUCCGCUCAAAUCCCAUCAAAGAAGCAUUCGUGCCACGCAUACACAAUUACGCACUGAAAAUACCAUGGGAACUGGCGGAGGCGAAGCAGUGGCUCAGUCAAUAGCGCGGUAUCACCGCCUCAUACCUUCAUAACCUUUCCUUUCACCUUUCAGGACAUUGCUUUAGUGCAGCCUCUUCAUAAGAGCCGGAUCGACGGACUUCCAUAGGAUAGAAACCCAAGGAGGCAACUGGCUUUGCGCACAGAAGCAAAUACCCAGGUGGAAUCUAUUUACAAUCGUUAUACCUACUUUAUCUAUCUGUACGUAGCCUGCCCCCGGAUAGGGUAUGUCAAAUAAUCCUAUUUAUCUCCGCUUAAUGCAUUCAUUGUAAACAUACGCUUAAACGUAUUAUUCAUCAAUGGGAGAUCAUAUAUAGCAUCAGCUUAUUAUUCUUAUUUGAGCAUUUUUUCUUACAAAUGUCUAUUUGAUAUUGCAUCCGUACACCUUGGUACGUUCAGUUUGCCAGGGGCUUCUUAUGGCACCCCAUAAUACGUCAAGGCAAGUCCGAACACUUUCAACAGUGCGGUAACCCGAACUUAUAGCAUUAUAUGCAUCAGCUCCGAAUCAUGUCUUGGGUCUACAGUUGGAAUAGCCCGGCUCCCUUGUUUUGGUGCCUCACGUUCCGUUAUAUCGGCUAAGGUAGCGCAGGGAGAACUACGGCGAUUGUGUCCCGAUUCUUCCAGACGAGCACCUCGGUAGAGAAAGCCGAAAACUGACCGGCAUGAUGUGGCGAGAGCUGGUCGCUGUUCGAGAGGUCUUAAAAUCCUUAAAGAUUUUUCCGCUUUAGGCGAUAAUUCGGCUUUGUCCGAUCUAGGCGUAUAUAGCGCCCCAAUUCGGCCAUCUAGAUUCUAGGGGCUUCGCCGAAAUUUAGAAUUCUAGACUUCUAUGGCUAAGUGAAGGUUAUAAAGCUGCAUAGUCCGAUUGCCUUGUUCGGUGCGCCGGACACCUCCUUAAGGGACCAAACAUUUGGAUAAAGAGUGUCCGGGUUUUCCACGAACACCCCAGUACUAGUUGCAUGGGGGCGGAAGCCGACGACUGGCCUACUUUCAGAAUUUUAUAAACAGCCGCACAGAAAGUAAUAUUUUAAAUAACAAAAGCACUACAUAGCGCAAGUAACUUCGUCCUUAAAUUACAAACAUGACAGAAGUGAAUUCAUUCUAAAAUUAUGUCCUUGGUACAUUCAUCGGCCACGAGGUGAGCGCCCUUCAUAACGCCAUCAUAAUACUUCUUCGGAUAGCGAUGCGGCUUGCCCUCCGGUGGCCCGUCCUUCACUAGCUUCUCCGCAUCCAGCUUGCCCCAAUGCACCUUCGCACGGGCAAAGGCCCGACGGGCACCCUCAAUGCAAACGGAUCGCUUGAUGACCUCCAGUCGCGGAUAGGCAUUCACCAUCCGCUUGAUCAGGCCGAAGUAGUUGGUGGGCAGGGGCUCACCAGGCCACAUCCGGACUAUGAACUCCUUCAUAGCCACUUCGGCCGCCCUGUGGACUUCGACCAACUGCUUCAGUUGGUCACUCGGAGGCAUUGGACGUUCGGCCCCAGCAUACUGGGACCAGAACAGCUUCUUCGUUGAGCUCCCCUCCUGAGCAUGGUAGAACUCUACGGCGUCUGAUACACUGCGUGGCAGAUCUGCGAAUGCCCCUUGAGAGCUCUGGAUUCGGGUAAGUAAAAGAAACGCCUCCUCCACAUGUUUGCUUUGCAUAAAGAAUUUCUUACCCGCCGCUAUCUUUUUGGCCUCCUGGAUUUCUUGCUGUGCCUUCUCGGCUUCGGCCUUUGCAUCUUUUAUACUUGCAAGGGCCUUCGCAAGCUUGGCCUCUUUCUCCUUAAGCUCAUGCUCCACAGACUCAAACUUUUUGCCGAGCUCCUGGAGCUCUUGUUGUACCUCGCCCACUCAGGCAUCUUGCUUUUAGCGCUCUUUGUGCUCCAAGGCUGCCUUGUGUUCGGCCUCGGACAUCGCCUUCUUCAGAGACGCCACUUCGGUGGUGGCCUCUGUUAUCAAAUCACGAUGCUUCGUCGUUAGAAUAACCAAUUUUAUCUAUCCUACAUUAUAUGAGAAAGGGGAAUCAUUCACCUUUGCUCUCUUCGAGCUGCCUCCUCGUGAGGUCAAGCUCUCCCUGCGCCUGCUCCAGGUCUUGUUUUAAUCUGGCGAUCUCGGCCGUACGGACCGCAGCGGCAAGCAGCACAGCCUGCUUAUUCACAUUCAAACUUAUUAUUAAACUCCUGCGGAUUAUAAUUGACCCUCCGUUUGGCUUUUCCUUCCGAACACCAAACAGAGUAUCAGGGGCUACUACCUAUCGGGUGGUAAUUUCACACAUUUUCUACUUACCUCAAAGCCUGUCAGGAGGCUGGUGCAGGCUUUGGUUAGUCCGCUCUUGGCGGACGAAACCUUCUGAAUCACCGCACUCAUAAGAGUACGGUGCUCUUCAUCUAUGGAAGCGCCGCUAAGCUCUUCGAGCAGACAAUCCGUUGCCUCGGGUGCAACGGAAGUCCUCAACACAGACGGCCUUCCCUCCCUAACGAGGGGCUGCCAGCCUGAGUCCGGAACCAUUGAAGGCUCAGGAAAAGUGUUCGGCUGAGAGUCCGGCUUACUGCGGCUCUCAUCAACCCGAUCCGCGGGGAUCUUGAACCCCGCGUGCCCGACGUCUGGAAUGCCGCCUCGGAGCGCCUCCAGAGCCACCUCCCCCUGCUCUGGGAGCCUUUGGGAUAACACCUCCGUGUCAUCUGCAGGCUGAGGAGUAGUGGCCGUCAGGAGCGAGUUCAUCGCCGAAUCGCUCAAGGACCCAUCUGAAGACAAUGCUUCGGGAUGGACCAUGGCCGGACUACAUACAAGUUCGGCCUUAUAACAAAACUAUGAAGCAAAAUUAUGAUAGAGUGCGGUUACUUACGAUCACACUGCGGGCUUCUUCCUGGGCAGCCACCCCUCCUCGCUAUUGGCGGUGGUGGCGGAGUAGUCCGGAAGGGACGCCUUUCCCUUCUUGGAUGUCCCAGCCUCCCCCUCCGGGGCAGCCUUCCUCUUUUUCUCCCCCCCCCAAUACGGGGAGGUGGAUUUUCUUCUUGUUUCCCCCCGCCUCUGCGGGAGGAAUCUGCCUCGUCGUCAUCAGACGAUGAGGAUAUGACGGCCUUGCGCCAGGGGCCUCUCCUGGUCCCCUGGUCCGCCCUCUCAGGCCCCUCAUCCUUUCUCGAUGGGGCAGCCUCCUCCUCCUCUUCUUCUUCUUCCCCUUCGGGGGAGGAGUGUACCUCGUCGUCUUCGGACGAGGCUUGCGCAACCUUACGUCGGAGACCCUUUCGGAUCCUCGGGGCCUUCUUAUCGGCCUUAUUCUCCAGCCCCUUGUAGGGCGCCGGGACCAGCAUCUUCGUCAGGAGAGCAUUAGCUGGGCUUUCCAGCAGCGGAGCCGGAUAGUCAAUCUGCUCCGCUGUCUCCACAUAAUCCUGAAUAAAUAUGCACAAUUACUUAAGGCUCCCCCAUGAAUAUAUUGGGAAGAACCGAAUCCGAUGGUAGCCUGACAACUCACCUGACUAGGAGGCCACGCGGCGUGGAGCCCGCGGUCCUCGGAUAUGGGAGGAUGUACUUCGGAGGCCUUGAAUAACGCCUUCCACCCGUUUUUGUGCUUCAUGCCAUAGAGCCUCCGAAGCGUCUGGUGUUCGGCCGGGACGAACUCCCACAGAUUAAAUGGCCGCCUUUGGCAUGGCAGAAUCCGAUGAUGAGCAUGACCUAGAUCACGUUGACAAGCUUGAUGUUCUUGUCCUUCAUGCCCUUGAUGCAGUUUAUGAGUCCGGUCAGCUAUGUGGAUUUGCCCCAGGACAGACCCUUCUGUUCCCAGGAGGUGAGCCGCAUGGGGGUUCCGGAUCAGAACUCGGGGGCCGCUGCCUAGUUGGUGUCGCGCGGCUCGGUGAUGUAGAACCACCCCGACUGCCACCCCUUCACGGUUUCCGCAAAGGAUCUGUCAGGCCAGGUGACGUUGGGCAUCUUGCCCACAAUGGCUCCUCCGCACUCCGCUUGCUGGCCGCUCACGAUCUUCGACCUCACACAGAAGAUUUGCAGCCACAAGCCUAAAUGAGGCUUGAUGUGGAGGAAAGCCUCGCAUACGACGAUGAACGCCGAGAUGUUGACGACAAAGUUCGGGGCUAGAUCAUGGAAAUCUAGCCCGUAGUAUAACAUGAGCCUGCAGACGAAGGGGUGGAGUGGAAACCCCAGUCCACGGACGAAGUGGGCGAGAAACACGACCCUCUCGUGGGGUCCUGGAGUUGGAGUGACCUGCCCUUCGUCCGGUAGCCAGUGCGCUAUGUCUGCGGCCAAGUAUCCGGCCGCCCGAAGAUUUGCGAUGUGCUUCUCCUUUACGGUGGAAGCCACCCACUUGCCUCCUGCUCCGGACAUGUUUAGCUGUGCGGAGAAGACUUGGACUAGGGCGCUGGGGCUCGAGGGGCAAGAGUGGGCAAAGGAGGAAGAAGGCGUGGGUAAAAAUGGGGAACUCUUAUCCCUUUAUAGAAGCGACGGAAGCGGUGCGCCUCCCCACUAGCCCGUUGAGAAUCGCUUACUUCCCAAGCGCCACGAUUGAUGGCACGGUGGGAUUACCCAUACCCGUAUUGAUGAGAAUCCCAUGAUAAGGGGACACGAUCUCUGCUUUGACAAGACGUGUCAAGGAAACCGCCUCACAAUACGCGUUGUGGCUGGUUGUGGAAAAACGGUUCGAACAAUGACCUGACCGUAAUGGCAUAUCACGUCGUCUAAAAAGUUGUCAGCUGAAGUAUCAUUCUCUCUACGGUGGUAUGUGAAGAUCAUUUUGCAGAUCCGGACACGAUCUACGUGUUCGAUAAUAACCUUGGAACCCGCCUUUCAAUGCUGAAGAGAAGACUGCGCGCUGGACUCAUCGUCAUUGAAGCCUGGUUCAGGGGCUACUGAGGGAGUCCUGGAUUAGGGGGUAUGCGGACAGCCGGACUAUAUACAUCGUCCGGACUAUUGAGGCAUCAAGAUACAAGACUCAAGACUUCGGCCCGUGUCCGGAUGGGACUCUCCUUUGCGUGGAAGACAAGCUUGGCGAUCCGGAUAUUAUAUUUCCUUCCUUGUAACCGACUCCCUGUAAACCCUAGCCCUCUCCGGUGUCUAUAUAAACCGGAGAGGAUGGUCCUUAGAAGGCCGAUCACAAUUACAAUCAUACCAUCAUAGGCUAGCUCUUAGGGUUUAGCCUCUACAAUCUCGUGGAAGAUAUACUCUUGUACUACUCAUAUCUUCAAUAUUAAUCAAGCAGGAAGUAGGGUUUUACCUCCAUCGAGAGGGCCCGAACCUAGGUAAACAUUGUGUCCCUUGCUUCCUGUUACCAUCAGCCUAAGACGCACAGAUCGGGACCCCCUACCCGAGAUCUGCCGGUUUUAACACCGACAAUGGUUGUGUUCAGUAAGGAUGUUGGUGUUAAGGUUUUUGAUUCCCGAAGCAUGCACGUAUGGUUUACUAACUAUGUAACCAAAUUGGCGCGCAUUGUAUUUUGAUUGUUUUUCUUUGCGUGAAGGUCGGGGGAGCGCGAUGGUUAACUCCUACCAACCUCCCCCCUAGGAGCAUGUGUGUAGUACUUUGUUUCAAGGGCUAAUAAAUUUUUGCAAUAAGUAUGUGAAUUCUUUAUGACUAAUGUUGAGUCCAUGGAUUAUACGCACUCUCACCCUUCCAUCAUUGCUAGCCUCUUCGGUACCGUGCAUUGACCUUUCUCACCUCGAGAGUUGGUGCAAACUCCGCCGGUGCAUCCAAACCCGUUGAUAUGAUACGCUCUAUAACACAUAAGCCUCCUUAUAUCUUCCUCAAAACAGCCACCAUACCUACCUAUCAUUUCAUUUCCAUAGCCAUUACGAGAUAUAUUUCCAUGCAACUUCCAUCAUCAUCAUAUACAUGACUUGAGCAUUCAUUUUCAUAUUGCUUUGCAUGAUCGUAAGAUAGCUAGCAUGAUGUUUUCCUGGCUUGUCCGUUUUUUGAUGUCAUUGCUAUGCUAGAUCAUUGCACAUCCCGGUACACCGCCGGAAGCAUUCAUAUAGAGUCAUAUCUUUGUUCUAGUAUCGAGUUGUAAUAUUGAGUUGUAAGUAAAUAAAAGUGUGAUGAUCAUCAUUAUAGAGCAUUGCCCCACGAAAAAAAAGAAAAAAAGAAAAAAAGGAAAAAAGGAAAGGCCAAAGAAGCCUAAAUAAAAAAGGGGGCCAAAUAAUCCCAUCCAAAAAAAGAAAAAGAAAAAGAAAGAAAAAAGAAAAAGAAAAGGGGCAAUGUUACUAUCCUUUUACCACACUUGUGCUUCAAAAUAGCACCAUGUUCUUCAUAUAGAGAGUCUCCUAUGUUAUCACUUUCAUAUAAUAGUGGGAAUUUUCAUUACAGAACUUGGCUUGUAUAUUCCAACGAUGGGCUUCCUCAAAUGCCCUAGGUCUUCAUGAGCAAGCAAGUUGGAUGCACACCCACUUAGUGUUAGUUUGAGCUUUCAUACACUUAUAGCUCUAGUGCAUCCGUUGCAUGGCUAUCCCUACUCCUCGCAUUGACAUCAAUUGAUGGGCAUCUCCAUAGCCCGUUUGAGUAGCCGCGUCGAUGUGAGACUUUCUUCCUUUUUGUCUUCUCCACAUAACCUCCACCAUCAUAUUCUAUUCCACCCAUAGUGCUAUAUCCAUGGCUCAUGCUCACGUAUUGCGUGAAAGUUGAAAAAGUUUGAGAAUACUAAAGUAUGAAACAAUUGCCUGGCUGACACCGAGAUAGGCAUGAGGGGUACCUUGUGUUAAGAAAAGGGAGCAUAUAAGACUAUAUGAUUUUGUAGGGAUAACAUUCUAAAGCAUUGAUUGUUUGUUGGGAUGCCCUAAGUAUUAUUGUUUUUAUGUCAAAUGAUAGACUAUUGCUUUCAAUCACUCGUGUCUUAAUAUUCAUGCCUUGAUUAGAUAUAUGAUCAAGAUUAUGGUAGGUAGCAUUCCACAUCAAAAAUUAUCUUUUUUAUCAUUUACCUACUCGAGGACGAGCAUGAAUUAAGCUUGGGGAUGCUGAUACGUCUCCAUCGUAUCUAUAAUUUUUUAUUGUUCCAUGCCAAUAUUCUACAACUUUCAUAUACUUUUGGCAACUUUUUAUACUAUUUUUGGGACUAACAUAUUGAUCCAGUGCUCAGUGCCAGUUCCUGUUUGUUGCAUGUUUUAUGUUUCGCAAAAAACCCAUAUCAAAUGGAGUUCAGACGGGAUAAAAACGAAUGGAGAAUUAUUUUCGAAUAUUUAUGAUUUUUCAGAAGUAAAAUCAAUGCGAGAUGGUGCCCGAGGGAGCCAGGAGAUAGGGGCACGCCCCAGGGACGCAGGCGCGCCCUGGACUCUCCUGGGCACCUCGUAAGGCCGUUGACGCUCUUCUUUUGCCGCAAGAAAGUUAGCUCUAUGAGAAAAAUCUGGGCGAAAGAUUCACCCCAAUCGGAGUUACGGAUCUCCGGAUAUAAAAGAAACGGUGAAGGGGCAGAAUGAGGGAACGCAGAAAUAGAGAGAGACAGAGAGAUAGAUCAAUCUCGGAGGGGCUCUCGCCCCUCCCAUUCCAUGGGAGCCAAGGACCAGAGGGGAAACCCUUCUUCCAUCGAGGGAGAAGGUCAAGGAAGAAGAAGAAGAAGAAGGGGGCUCUCUCCCCCUUGCUUCCGGUGGCGCCGGAGCGCUGCCGGGGGCCAUCAUCAUCACCGUGAUCUUCACCAACACCUACGCCAUAUUCACCAACAUCUCCAUCACCUUUCCCCUUCUAUCUACAACGGUCCACUCUCCCGCAACCCGCUGUACCCUCUACUUGAACAUGGUGCAUUAUGCUUAAUAUUAUUAUCCAAUGAUGUGUUGCCAUCCUAUGAUGUCUGAGUAGAUUUUCAUUGUCCUAUCGGUGAUUGAUGAAUUGCUAUGAUUUGUUUGAUUUUCAUGUUUUAUUAUUGGUGUUGUCCUAUGGUGCUCUCCGUGUCGCGCAAGCGUGAGGGAUCCCCGCUGUAGGGUUUGCAAUAUGUUCAUGAUUUGCUUAUGGUGGGUGGCAUGAGUGACAGAAGCACAGACCCGAGUAAAUAGGUUGUUUGCGUAUGAGAUAAAUGGGACUUGGUACUUUAAUGCUAUGGUUGGGUUGUACCUUAAUGAUCUUUAGUAGUUGUGGAUGCUUGCUAGAGUUCCAAUCAUAAGUGCAUAUGAUCCAAGAAGAGAAAGUAUGUUAGCUUAUGCCUCUCCCUCAAAUAAAAUUGCUAUAGUGAUUAUCGGUCUAGUAACGUAGUCAAUUGCUUAGGGACAAUUUCACAACUCCUACCACCACUUUUCCACACUCGCUAUAUUUACUUUAUUGCUUCUUUAUCUAAACAGCCCCUACUUUCUAUUUACAUGUUCUUUAUUAUCUUGCAAACCUAUCCAACAAAACCUACAAAGUACUUCUAGUUUCAUACUUGUUCUAGGUAUAGCAAACACCAAGCGUGCGUAGAGUCGUAUCAGUGGCAGAUAGGACUUGAGAGAAUAUUUGUUCUACCUUUAGCUCCUCAUUGGGUUCGACACUCUUACUUAUCGAAAGAGGCUACAAUUAUCCCCUACACUUGUGGGUUAUCAGGAAGAAGUAGCAAGGAGCAGCAGCGACGCAGCAGAGCGUCAAGCAGAGCAGCGCAGUAGCAGGCACGCAUAGCAGCGGCUAGCGGCAUGUAACAGCAGCGGUACCAGUGGGCGGCUUUAGCAAAGAGCAGUUGCAAGCAGAGCACCAGUGGCACAAGCAGGCAGUAGCAUCACACAGCAGCAACAAUACAGAGCAGCAAUGGCAGAUAGCAGCGCAGCAGGCAACCGCAAGCAGUAUCAUGGGAAGUCUCGAGUGGGCAGGCAAUCAUUCGAUGCCUGAAAUAGGGCAUGAAAGGGGUUCAAGGCAAUGGUAAUAAGUAUUGUGUCUGAUAGCAGAAUUGAUGAUCUCUCGAAAGGUGGCUCGUGAAUUACAUAAGAGGUCACACACGAGGGACAACCUUGGGAACAGGGGGUGUACAGGAGAGUCAGGUUUUGAUCCUGUGGAACUGUGGGUUAUGGGCCCACCAUGUGGGUUAAAAGUAGGAAAGGCGGUGACGUCUUGCAUGAUCAUGUAAGCAAGGCAUGUUAGAGGAUAGCCUGUCAGUUAUGUCGGCAACAUUAUCGGUACCAUUUUCUUGCUCGUUGAACGAGGCAGACCAAUAGGCAAAGUUCUUGUCCAUCGGUGGUACCGGAAUGUCAUCAACGUUAGUAACAGGGUCUUACUCACAAAGUGUUAGAACGAGGUGCUUACCUAAAUAGGGAAUUAUCACUGCUCAAUUAAGUCUGGUUACAAGAAAGGUUAAACAAAACAAUGGAAAGGAAAAUGCGAUUAUCAGACUAAACAGAACAAUGGAAAGGAAAAUGUGUUUAAACACAUAUUUCAGGGGUAUAUUCUUCCCAAGGGCAAGCAGAGCAUGAUAUCCAUGACAGGAUAGAAACUAGAAAACCAUUUAGGUAAGGGGAGAGGAAUUUCAUGACAUUACCAAAACAACGGUGUCUAGAUAAUUGACGGGAAAAAAAUAGCAUUGUGCUUCAAAUGUUCUUAUUGAAGAUCGGAGGACCACAGACAUGCCUCAAGAGAGCAUUGACAUGGUCUUGAAGCAAGGUCAGACUUUGGAUACUCAAAGGAUUCAUCAGGAACAACUUAUAGAAUAAGUCUUACAAUUUCCUCAUGGAAGAAUGGUUAACCUUGCUAAAAAGGAAACUAUAACAAUAUGGCCCCGGCCAGGUGUGCUAGGCAUGACAUCACCUUACCGGGUCAUAUAAAUACCAAUGUUAUAACUCUUGGAAAUAUGUUCCAACCAUCAUAUUUGACCGAGAUUCAGAUCUGAUUGGUGUUAGGAUACCUCAGACUCAAGAUGCUUGAGAAGAAAAAGGUGCGACACAUAUUGACGAGAUGACAUUCUAAUAUUCUCGGGAAAUGAACUAUGGGAGCGAGUUCUGAAACAAGAGUUCAUCAUUAAUCAAGGAGAUGGCGAGGAGGUGGUUGAUGGACUCAGCGACAAUUUAUUGCAAUUUCCAGAAAGAUGGAUUUGCACAAUUAUGUGAAGGAUAUAACAUUUGUAAGAUCAAAUGAUAUAAUGAUGUAUGCUCAAGGAGAACAUCCACGAGUAAACAUUGGUUGAAAGGUGCACCCGAAAUAUGGGCUUAGGUAGCAUGAUCAAUGUUAGAAUGGUGAUUCGAUAACCAAUACACAAAGAAUGAAACUAUCAUUCAUUAACUUACAGGCAAUAGGGUUGCUAGAAGUUUUGAAUUUUACACAUCACGGUCCAGUUGUCAGUAUUCUGGUUAGGAACAGCAUGGGUACCAAGAACUGAAUAUAGACUACGAGAUAUAUCCCUUGUAUCAAGAAUUCUUAAUAGGUGGUGAAAUUCUCACAACUUUCUUGAUACAUAAAAUGGUAAUACUCCAAGGUAGGACAUAAGAUAAGUUGGAUUGCCAGGAACUCAAGGUAUAGCCACAACACGAACAAGUUUGUGUUGGAAAGAAGGCAAUGAAGUAGUUGAUGAUAACACAAAUUACGAAGGAUAAGGAUGGUAAUCCCCAUCAGGAAUUCGAUUAAUAUCCUGGAAGGAGUCAAAAUGUUGUUGAUGAUCAUGACAAAUUUGGUCGAGAGGCUCCACGAAGAAGCAAUCGAACAGCGACUGCAUCAAGCAAAAGUACUGAUGCAGUGAAACAUUAUUGCAUCCAUGAAUAUGACACCAACUCAUAAUCAAGCUUGUUAUUCAUGGUGGAAUGAUAAGACAAGGGAAUCGACAUAAGAUUAGCUCAUGAUAUAGCCGAGCAGGCCAGGAAUGACAUGGUCGAGUACAAACUCGUGAGUAAAGGAGAUUACCAAGAGUUGUUUAAUCAUGGUGCGGACCCGAUUUAGUUAUCGGUGUCCUCGAGUGAAUAACAACAAGGAACACAGGAAAAAUUGAAAUCGAUGAGGAAUAAUACUUGAUGAAGGCUCAUAAUAAGCAACAUGGUUCGGUGCUAUUAGCGGGAUACCAGAGGGUAAUACUCAGAGGUAGAGCAAAAUAGAGGGUUGACAAGUGUAUUGAUCUGCAGAAGACAAGUACUUUAACUUGUCUGAGAAAAGGAAUCAAGGAAUAUCAAUAUGGCCGAAACCAUAGCUGCAAAGGAUCCAAUUUAAUGACACCAAAAGAAUUAUCCAACUGAUUAAAUGUUGUGCAAGAAUCUUCCAUGAUAAGUUCCACAUCGGGUCCAUGGACAUGAACACUAAGUUCAAGGUCAACUCCCACUUCUCCAAAGUAGAACCUUACAUUCACUUCUCGUUUUGAAAAUGGCAUUAGCGUUGAAAAUUUUACCUGGUGAAAUACCAGAUGAGUACGACCAGUGAAACCUCUCGGAUUUACACAGAUUAGGGAAAGCAAUGGUUCAACCCACCGGGGCAUCUUAGGAACAUAUACCACAAACUUCAGAGUAAAUAUCACCAACUUGAAAGUAGAGUAUGGUUGGCCAAAUCAGAGAAUAGGAUUUACCAAUGUCAUUAUUAUCAACAAAAGAACUCCGGGUUUUGAGAAUAUGCAAGAACCAUCGGAUAAUAAUCCACCAAAGGAUCUAGCGGACCGCAAAGGAUCUAUGGUGAGUAACGGUACCCAACCAGAAGAAGAAAGAAUGCAAGGGAUCAGAUUAUAGAAACAACUGACUAAUUCAAAGCUUAAAUGUAACAGAAAUAUGAUUUCCAAAUCAAGGGAUCAAAAGCAAACGCUCUGAUUAAGGAUGGAUAAGUUGAGUAAGCUUAGGGGUACAAUCAAUGACAAUUUGAUCGGUCAAGAUCAAACUCAUGUUUAAAAUGACGUCUGAGCCGGAAGGAUGAAUUCUAGGAUCUGAUUAAGGAUUGCGAGCAUUCACAACAUAUUGAAUCAAUGGAUUCAAAAUGAUAAUGACAAGGGAUGCCAAUAAUAUUAUGAGACUUAUGGGAUUAAGCAUAAUGCAAGCAAGCAAGAAUUUUAAGAGCAAUAGGCUGCUCAGGAUUUUUGGAAGACGGAAUGGUAUUUCUAAGACUUUUGGGAAACACAUGACAAUUGGGAACGAGCGGAUACUCAAUAAGUGUGAGGAAUUAUCCGUAGGGGUAUUUAGGUGGCAAAGAACUGCAAGGCAAUAGGCACAAGUAUUGUCGGAACAAUAGAGAGAAUUUUGAGGUACCUUGUAAUAACAAGAUCAACUAGGAAUAAAAGUAAGAACGACAAGUGUAUGUAUUUAUCCAUAGGGAUAUAUGGGUGGUAGGGAAUUGCAAAAGCGACGGGCUCAAAGUCUCGAGAAAACAUGGGAGAGUAUCUUCGGAAUCUUCUAGCGCACCAAGCAAUCAUCUAGAGUGAGGGGCUCUCCGAAAGGAAAUAGUUACGAGAACCUAGAGUUAGAGUCGGUAAAAAUCAUUUAACCCGAAUAGAAGAGAGAUCAGAGUCCCAGAGUAUAGACGAGGAAUAAAAGAUCCUAAUACCACCCAAUGGUGACGUGGGCCCGUAAGACACACAGCCAUGUUAGUAAAAUUUUAGCAAUGUCUAGACUCGACUUAGGCCAAGGAGUGUGGAAGGGGGAUUCCAACAGGAAGACGGCUCUAAUACCAACUUGUGACGCCAACAAUUCGAUCGUACACUAAUCAUGCACUCAAAUGUGUACGACCAAGAUCAGGGACUCACGGGAACAUAUCACUACACAACUCUAGACAUAAAUUAAAGAUCAUACAAGCUUCAUAUUACAAGCCAGGGGCCUCGAGGGCUCGAAUACAUAAGCUCGAUCAUAGAUGAGUCAGCGGAAGCAACAAUAUCUGAGUCCAAACAUAAGUUAAACAAGGUGCCGUAAGAUGGCUAGCACAAACUGGGAUAAAGAUUGAAAGAGGUGCAUGCCUCCUGCCUGGGAUCCUCCUAAACUACUCCUGGUCGUCGUCGGCCUGCACGUCGUAAUAGGCACCUUCGGUGUAGUAGGGGUCAUCGUCCAUGGUGGCAUCAGGCUCCUGGGGUCCAACAUCUGGUUGCGACGUCCGAGAAGAAGGGAAAGGGGGAAAAGAGGGAGCAAAGCAACCAUGAGUACUCAUCCAAAGUACUCACAAGCAAGGAUCUAUACUACAUAUGCAUUGGUAUCUGUAUAAAGGGGUAAUAUUAGUGGACUAGACUUCAGAAUGCUAGAAUAAGAGGGGGAUAGUUAGUCCUAUCAAAGACUACACUUCUGGCAGCCUCCAUCUUGAAGCAUGUAGAAGAGAGUAGCUGGUAAGUUCACCAAGUAUCAUCGUAUAGCAUAAUCCUACCAGGCGAUCCUCUCCUCGUCACCCUGUGAGAGAGCGAUCACCGGGAUGUAUCUAGCACUUGAAAGGGUGUGUUUUAUUAAGUAUCCAGUUCUAGUUAUCAUAAGGUUGAAGUACAACUCCGGGUUGUCCUAUUACCGUGGACACAGCUAUUCGAAUAGAUCAAUCUUCCCUGCAGGCGUGCACCACAUUACCCGACAUGCUCGAUCCCUUGGGCCGGGUACACUUUCGUGGGUCAUGUCCGGCCUCGGGAGAUCAACACGUCACAGCCUACCUAGGCUCAAGAGAGAGGUCAACACACCGGUCUAAAUCCUAAGCGCGCAGGGGUCUGGGCCCAUCGCCCGUUGCACACCUGCAUGUUGCGAACGCGGUCGGAAGCAGACCUAGCCUCUCUAAUAUAAGAGCAGGUGUUCUAGUUCAAUCCGGCGCGCACCGCUUUGUCGCUGGGGUCAAGAAGGCUUCGGCUAAUACCACGACACUUGUUGCCCAUAUCUUGUCCCACGUGGCAGUUAAUGCGUAUAAAAUCAACGACCCAACUCAGAUCGAAUAUCAAGAUCUCGUUAAGCCUGUUAUUUUGAAGUAACCGCGGAUGCCGUCCAAGAUGAGGCCCACAUGUCUCCUGGGUGGUCAUAACCUGCCCUGUCACUCCGUCACAAAGAUCCACUCAGAGGGCCGUCUGGACAAAUGUCCUUUCAGCCCCCAAUCCGUGAAUCACUCGCGAGUACUCUACAAGCCGACCCGACUUUAGUCACAUCAUGUAACUUGUAUAGUGUGUAUGUAUGUAUGUAUAAAUAUACCUGUGAUCACCUCUCGAGUGAUCACUGCCCGAUAAUAUAGCAUGGCAGACGGACAAUAAUAUAGGGCCACUGAUGAUAAACUAGCAACCUAUAAUAAGCAUGUAGGAUUGCAGGUAAAGGUAUCAACAAUCAUAGCAACAAUAACAAGUUAUGCAACAGAAUAGGAGAUAUGAAAUCAACAACAGUAGCAAAACUAAUGCAAGAAUAAGAGAGAGAGAGAGAGAGAGAGAGUAGGAGAUAUCUGGUUGAUCAAAGGGGGUUUGCUUGCCUGGAAGCUCUGUAGAGAGAUACGGAUCCUCGACGGUGAAGUAAUCGACCACCGGUUCAACCGCGGUCUCGAGGUCUACCGGAAAGAAGUAACAGAGGGGGGAACACAAUAAAUAACAGAGCAAUCAAUGCAUCACAAAGUAUGACAUAGCAAUACACAGUGCUAGAGGUGACUUAACGCUAUGCUAAGCGUUACGGACGGAGAGGGAAAUAUCCGGUAAUAUUUUCUCGGCUCCAGGCAUUUAUCGGACAGAUGAACCGGAGGGAAAUGUUCCAUGUUUGCAGUGUUGGGGGCACAUGACAGGUAUGUGGGUGUCAUAUUCGGAUUCGUCACAUUUUUCUGAUUAUUUUUCAUAUAUAAAUUAUUUUCAUCGGAGUUACGGUUUAUUUUCAUUGAAUUUACAAAGUUUAAAUGAUUUUUUGAAUUUACAGAAUUCUUCUAAUCUGAAAAUAAAACAACAAAAUACUUUUGUCACUUAGUGCUAUUCUAGCCAUAGUUUAUGAUAGUGGGGCCAAUGGGGUUGGGUUGACCAAGUCAAAUGUUGACUAGUCAACAUAUAAACUGUCUAGGGGACCACAUGUCAUUGACUUAGACUGUUGUUGAAAUUUGUUUUUCUUUAAACUAAUAGUGGGUCUACAUGUCAUCUACUAGUACUACUAAUUAGACUAACUAACCGGCCGGUCACACGCGCGGCUGUGGCACAGCCCGCCACAGACACACACCACACAUACACACACGGCGCACACACACCAGCUCAUGGCCAUGGCCAUAGGGCAGCAGCAGCGGCAGCUAACAAGGCGGUGUAGCAGCAGUGUAAGUAGUGUAAUAAGGCCAACUCCAGCGCGCGACCCCAUCCCGUCCGGCCCCGUCCGUUUGAGGUAAAAUAGACAAAUCAGACAGCCUAGGGCGCGACGGCCAGGACCCAUCUGGUCCGUCUUGUAUCUGGGCCGACCCAUUUCGGGCGCAAACAUGCGCGCGGUUUGGAUCGCGGCAGACGGCAAACGGACGCCUCGCUCGUCCGCGUCGGGGCCGCGUGGCAGGCGGCCACCUACCCCCCACCGCCCGACAUAAAUGCACACGGGUGGUCGACCCCACCUGUCAUCUGCCCAGGUGAACAGUCGCCGUACUUCUUAAGUGGGGAAGCCAUGGACCGGCCGUCGUCCACACUCCUCAGUCCAGCCCUUCCUGCCUCCUCGAAACCAACACCCCAAACCCUAGCCUCUCCCUGUCCCCGAUCUCGCCGGCCGGCCACCUCGCAGCCAUGGGCUUCUGGAACCACGGCCGCAAGGGGAAGCACUACCGCGAGGCUAGCUCGUCCUUGGGCCGCCGCCGUGGCUCCGUGAAGAAGGAGCCCGCAUCACCACCGCAUCAGGCCCCCGCGCCUGCCCCAUUCACCAUCGGCCCUACGGCCGGCGGCGAGCGUGACCGGCAGUACAUCGCCGCGGAUGUAUGACGCCAUUAUUGGGAGGCGAGGACGCCUUUUCCGUGGAGCGACGUGCACCUCCCCAAUAACUGGCACCUCUCCGUCGACCGGGUCCUGAUCCCGCCGGUCCCGAUGAGCGGUCAUGCGCGCUGCGAGGAGAUCGAGCGUCACCGCCGCCUCCUGCCAGACAACCUAUACUACGACAGGUACGCCCCCAACUCCUGGCUCUGGGACACGUGGCUCCAGGACGAGCACGACGUGCGGCGCGCGUCAUUAUUCGCCGGCACCUCAUCGGGGCCGCGGCGGCCACGUCGAGAGCAUGCAACGCAUGCUUCCCAGGUGUGCGGCCUCACACCAACGCCGUCGCCUUCACUGUCUCCAUCUCCGUCUCCAUGCGCACGCACAAUGAGCGCCAAUGGGAGGCCUGGCUCAUGCAGCGUGUCAUGGAGGACUCCAUGCAGCGUGUCAUGGAGGACAGCGGAGGAGGAGGCCUGGCUCAUGCAGCGUGUCAUGGAGGACUCCAUGCGCACGCACAAUGAGCGCCAAUGGGAGGGCCUCGAGGAGAUGGUGGCCCUCUCUGCGGCCGGCGAUGUCGACAUCCCCGAGUUGGAGAUGGUGAAGGCGGAGGAGGUGAUGGAGGAGGAGCCGGUGGCCGCGUUCCACGCGGGCCUGGUGGGCUAGAAGUGGAGCUGGUCGUGCACGGCUCCGGAGAUGGCCGACGCCGUGGGGGGCCUGAACUGGUGCCCUACGCCACCGCGGUCACCGGAGCGGGAGGCCUCGCCAUGGGAGGGAUGGUGCAGGAACCUCCGGCCUUCUAGCCUGCCCCCGUGUACCACGCGCCGUCGUCCUACCUCUGGACGCCGCCGGACUACGUCGACCUCGUCAGCGGCGACGACGACAACGGCGGCCACUGAAGACGGCCACGGCCACGGCAUCGACGGGCACGACACGAGCGCGCUGGCGUUUUUUUUGUUUUUUAUGUAGAUUAUGGCAAUGUGAACCGUGAAACUGGGCCGUUUUGUGGCCGUGAUGGUUAAUUUAUAUUUUAUGUUUUUAUAUUUGUGUUUAUUUAAUUGUUUCUACAUUUUAUUUUAUUAUUUUAUUUUUUUAAUCACGUCUACCCCGGACAUGAUUUGGGAUGCGGCCGAGCGUUGGCCGCAUCAAAAACCCAAUGGACAGAAGCGGACACAGGCAAACCCAUUGCCACCCCAAAGGGAUGAAAUCCGACCAAACCGGACGUCCGUUUGGGGUUAUGCGCUGGAGUUGUCCUAAGAGCAGCAGCGGGAAGCAUUAGCAAGGAACAGCAGCGAUGCAACAGAGCACCAAGCAGAGCAGCGCAGUAGCAGGCAGCAGAGCAGCGACUAGCGGCAUGUAACAUCAGCGACAGUAGUGGGCGGCUUCAGCAAAGAGAAGUAGCAAGAAGAGCAGCAGCGGUACAAGCAGGCAGUAGCAUCACACAACGGCAACAAUACAGAGCAGCAGCGGCACAUAACAGCGCGCAGGCAGCCGCAAGCAGCAGCAGGUAGAGCAAUACGCGACCGCGGCAGCGUAGGGCAGCAGACGAGCGAGCCGGGCUGCACGGACGGGUGCCGGCAGGGGAGCCCAGGGCGUGCACGAGGCUGUCGGGGCUCCAGCGCGGCCACGGUGGCUACGUUCGGGGGUGGGUCAUCUACCACGAUGAAUCGAAGGGGAUCACGGGGAAAUCGAUGCGGUGCUCAUCGGGGAGGACGCAGGCGAGCUCGAGAGGGGUUGGGGAUGGCCCAGAGCAGCAAAUCGACGGCGACGUGCGGCGGCUGUGACAGAAGAAGUUGAUCGUGCCAUCGUCUUGGGGCCUCUAGGUGCUUACAGAGUAGUUGACGAUGACAAGUGCGACACGACGGAGCUCCUGGACACACCGGCGAGACGAGAGGCGGUCGGUGGCCACGACAUCGACGCGGCGACAGCGACGACCGCGUUGGGUGCCUCUCCAGAUCGGGGAGGAGAGCGAGGGGGAAGAGGGGGGAUAGUGGCUACGGUUUGACCGGGGUCGCGGGGUUGAUCAUAACCUAGGGGGGCCAUGGGAUGGGUGCCACGGUGGCAUCGCCAGCCAGGGAGGCCAGGAUGGCUGCCACGCUCCCCUUUGCCUCCUAUAGCGGGAGGUGGAGGAAGAUGGAGGUGGGCUGGGCCUCCCUCUCUUACAUUUCUCUCUUUCUUUGUUUGUUUCUUUCGUUCUUCUUUUUCUGUUUUCUUUCUAAUUUUUUUUGUUUUCUAUUUACUUUCAAUAUUAUUUUGGUUUUAUAAAAUAUGAGACUUGGUCCAUAAUUAGUUAUGCAAUAUUAGGCACUGCCACAAAAGUUUUGGGGGUUAUUUAAAAUAGUUUUUAUCAUAAAUUAGGAAAGGCAAUUUAAAUAAUGAAUUGUCCCCUUGUUUCAUUUAUUUUAGGGAUCUCAACCAAUUUACAAAAUGUUGGUUAGUGAAUGACAAUUAUUUAGUGGAUAUUUUCAACCUAACGAAGAUUUUCAAUUGGGCCAUUUGCAUUUCUGUCCCUAACUUGAACCACUUACUCAGAUUUACCCCUAAUUCCAAAGCCUGCUCAAAAAUGCCCAUCCGCCGUUAGUUCCCCUUACAGAAUUGCCCUUCUGCUCCGUUUUCGUUAGGUCAAAGGGGUUUAACCAUUUACUUGAUGUUUUUUGGACAUUUUGCCCCUGCCUCCUUUUGUCACCGACAUGUAGGACCCACUAUCAAGGUCAAAUGGUCAGCAGUUGACUGGGUCAACGAGGGAAUGGGUCCACUUGUCAUAGGUUAGUUAUUUUGGAUUGAUUGUUUUAGAUUGAUUUAAUAUGCCAUUAAUAGAUUAAUUAACUAAUUAAUGCCCACAUCAUGGAUUAACCCUAAUCUAAUCGCAAAAAAAGAUUAACCCUAAUCUAACAGCCCCACGUGGUGGUGGGGCCACUGGCUGCAGUUUGGCUGGCAGAAAUUGGGCGACGCCGGCGCUGGUCCAAGCGAGGACGCACGGUGGCGAACACGGCGGCGCACGGGAGUGAGGCAUAGGGGACGCACAGUGGCGAAUACGGCGGCGCACGGGAGCGAGGCAGAGGGGGCGCACGGUGGCGAACACGGCGACGCAUGGGAACACGGCGGCCCACGGUGACAGAUCGGGGCAAGAUGGCGGCUGGCUGGAGGCAAGGAAGACAGCAAUGGCGCGGACUAAUGAAGGCGCGCCGCAUCAAUUCGAUCUGCACGGAGGGCACAGAGAUCUUUGCAAAGCUCCUGGACAUGGAGGUUGAGCCCGAGGAGGCCAUUGGCCCUACAAAGAACAAGGCAGCGGCGGCGGAUCUCUGCACAAGGAGGGAGGAAGGGAAAGGGAGGGAGAGGGGGAGGGAGAGGGAGGAUGGGAUGGAGACAGGGCAGCGGCGCGUGGGGAGCUAGCAGCGGUAGCGCCCGGUCUAGGGUAGCCGGAGCUCGCCGGAGGUGAGAGAGAAAGGCUAUGAGGUAGGGGAGAGAGGUGGGUGAUUUUUCCCUUUUCUUUUUUAUUUCUCUGUUUUGUUCGGGUCCCACAUGUAAGUGACAUGUGAAGCUAGGGGCAAAAUGUCCAGUAAACGCCCCGUAAACGAUCAAACCCCUUUGACAAGACGGAAACGGAGCUGAAGGGUAUUUCUGUAAGGGCACCUAACGGCGGUGGGGCAUAUUUGAGCAGGCUUUCGAAUUAGGGGCAAAUGUGAGUAGUGGGUUCGAGUUAGGGAUAUAGAUGUAAAAGACCCUUUUCAAUUUACUAUUUGAAGGAAUAAUAAUUUAACUUCUUAUUUGAAUUUGAAUUUGACUUGAAUCUUAAUCAAGUGACAAUUGUCUUAGUAAAUGAUGAUGACAUGGCAUCAUUAGGGUGAGGUUACUGUAGCAUGAGUCUCGGGGUGUUACAAUCUACUAGAUAAUACCCUGCCCGUUGCUGCAGGAUGUAUGCACGGAUACAAUUGAUGAACUAUUUGGAAGCUAAUAGGAAAUAUUGCCAAGCUGAAGCAAAUAUGUUAUGUUCUUUACAAAAUUAAGUAAGAACAAUGAGUUGCACUUGGACAAAAAACAUGUUUAGUGGAAAUACCGGCACCCUGUAUUACCAUAAAAUCGUAGAUGAUACAAUGCAUUCACGGAUGUAUCAUUUACAUGCAUAGAACACACUAAUGGAUUAAUUGUACUUCCGACUGAUCACAAUACUUCAGGGAAUGCUUCUGUGAAGAAAGAUCAAUAAAAGUACAAACAGUACUCCAAAUCUCUGAAGGUGAUAACGGUCGUGGACAAACUCAACACAGAUAUGGAUAACAAACCUAUCUGUAACAUUCCUGGGCAAACUUGUGCGCAAACAUAUUAGGAAAUAGACUGUUCACGUCAAUGGAAUAGUCCAAAAGUGCUUUUAUCAAUUUAGAGAUACAUAUAGGCUAAGGUAUAACGAACCAGAAGGUGAAGAGUUGUUGCCCAGUCAUGUACGUUCAGAAAACUACUUAUAUACUUCUUUAAUAUUUUUCCUCUAGAUUUCCAGAAGGAAACAGAUAAGUAAAUUAUUGUAGCUCAAUUUCUACCAAUACCGUGCAUUAUGUAAGUGUAUAGACAUUCAUGCAUAUAGCGAGGGAGUAGUGGACCAUACCAAUUCUAUGUCUGGUCAACCACGACAUAUGCAUCCGGUGAAUUGGACUUCUCUCAAAAAAAUCCGGUGAAUUUGACUGUUUAUUCUUCCUUUCAACAUCCAGCGAAUCCAAACUUUGUUGGAUCUUAAUUUUUUAAUAUAUCAAGGAAAUGAUAAGCAUAAUAAGGAGGCAGGAAGGGCUACAACCAACAACAUAUCCUAAAAGUAAAAUAUAUGCCUCCUCGAAAAUUAGGAAUGUGAAAUACAUAACUAAGAUAUAUAGGGGGGUGGAAAAGGAGUAUGUAACUUGUGGAAGAGAUAGACCUGCCAUAAGACUGCAACAAUGUAUUUCCUUGUGCACCUCUUCUGCAAAACUAAAAAGUAAGUGAUCAUCAUAUCACUUGUAGAAGUGCUAGAUCAUUAAAACAAUUGAAAAUUCUUUUAAAAGAACAAUUGAAUAUGUUCAUAAUCAACAAAAUACAGAAGAAAUAGUGGAUGUUCUCCCAAAGGGAGAAAAGCACUUGUGUGCAUCAUAUUAUUCAAAAAUCAACAAACACCUAAAACACAGAAGAAGGAAAGAUAGAGAAUGGUUUAUAUAUUAUUACCAUUCUACCAAACCGGAAGAGAUGAGAUUGCUUACCAGAACCUAGUUGCUCCAUAAAUGAUUCAUAAUGUUAAAGGGCUUCAUUGUCACUUUUGACAGUUCGUUGGAUCGUCAAAUUCAAGUGAAGCGAUGACAACACAAAGCAGUUCGUGAUCCAGUAGGAGAGAAAACCAAGCAGUGCGGAGACUUCAUACAAGGGUUGGUAUAGCUGCAGCCCACCGCGGAUGAGUUGCAACCAAGAAUAGACAGUCUGCAUGCAUGCUAGUAAAGAUCUACCAAAACACAAAAUAAUAAUGUGUCAGCACUACUAUUCCUAUUAUCCAACAGGUAAACAUGAAUGUAUUAAAACAAUCUGAUGCCAAUAUCUAUGUUGACAUGCGCGUGACAAAGAAAAAAAACUGCAGUACUUAAUUAUUAUUUUUUGCACUUGACUAAUCUGCACGUAGCGUGAGUAUGCAAUGUCAUCAAAAAAUAAAAAUAGCAUAUGAAGAAGUCAUCUUCCCUACACAUAGAUCAGCAUUUGGUGCGGAAGAAACAGAGCCAUUGUAACGCCCCGGAUUCGAUGCGCCAGGUGUCCUCCAAUUAUUCGUUGUUGUUGCCAUGUCAUUUGCUUGCGUGUUGCAUUUUGCCAUGUCAUCAUAUGCAUUGCAUCCUCAUGUUUUUCAAAACUUGCAUCCGUUCGGGUCCUCCCGGUUCUCUCCGUUGUCCAUUCGGAGUCCAGACCUCUCGCGCGCGUCCGUCGCACCUCUCAGACCUUGUUUCGUGUGCGGCAUAAAAUGUUCUCGGAAUGGGAUGAAACUUGGUGUGCGGUCUUAUUAUAGUGUAGACAGACCAACUGCCAAAUUUUGUCGCAUUCGGAGUUCGUUUGGUAGUCCAACCGUCGUUCGUAGCGGCACCGUUGCCGGUUUAUUCGUCGGACGUUUCGGUCUCCGAAACUGCCACAGGGCCGCACCUCUUCCCUCUCAUCUCAGCCCAAGCCUAUCUCUCACAUCCCACUUAUGGCCUACCUAACCCCCCCCCCCUCCGCUCCGGACUGUCCGAUCGAGAUUGAACGACUCCGAAACGAAGCAAAACACCUAACCCUAACCCCCUUUUGCUAUAUAUAGACCCCUCCUUCCAAUUUUGGGCAUCCCUAGCCCCUAAACCUACCCCUCCUAGCCUCCUCCCACCUCUAGCCAUCGCAUCUUCCUCGAAAUCCGCGCCCCAACCCACAGCCGCCACCUCCACCUUCCAGCCGCCUCCUUCUCCUCAAUUUCCGGUGCCGGCCAUCGCUCCAUCGCCACUUGGCGCGCCCUAUUUGGUCAGCCGACAUCUGAGCACCGCCCUCCACCACUCCAACGCUGCCACAUAGCCCCACAGCCCCCUCUCCACCGCACGGCCCGCCGGGGUCCGGAUCUGGCCUGUCGGGCCCAAGCAGGCCAGACCGCGCCAUCACCCGUACCCGCUCGCUCGAUCGAUCCAGAUCGGGAGAGGAGCUCCCAAUCCAGAUCGAACCACGCCGCCACCGGCCUCUCGCCGCCGCCUGCACCACGGCGACCCCGUCGGAGCUGCGUCAGAUCCGGUGAGCCCCGACCUCACCGCCCUUCUUCUCUCCUUCCUCACUAGCUCUCUCUCUCCCUCGCAGCAAGCUGCCGCCGACGUGCACGUCUCCGCUGGCCUCGAGUUGCUGCGCCGCCGCCCGGAUCUGGAACCCCCCUCGCCGGAUCACCCGUUCCCGCCGCCCCGACCUCCUUCCGGCGACGCGGCGCCGCCGCCGUCCACUCCUGAAAGCCGAGCCUCCCCCUGCUUCCCUCGACCCCCCUCUGGAUCGAGGAAGACGACGACAGGCGCCACCGGCCCUGUGGGCCCGCGGCCCCGACCCUGCCAGCCCAGCCCCGCCAAGCCAGGCCUCCUCCUCUCCGACCUGGGCCAGGCUCGCUGGUGAGCUGCCCCGCUUAAGCCUCGCAAUGCGUCGUAUAGUUAUCCCGCGCACGUGUUUUUUCCUUCCAAAAAUCGGCCAAGUCCCCUGAUCUGUAACAUUUUGUGCCCAAGUUCAUCGCAUCAUAACUCUGCAUCCGUAGCUCCGUUUCGUACGUGUAAUAUAUCUAAAUGUUCGCAAUGAGAUGCUUUACAUUUCAUUCCAUUGUAGCAUGUUUGUUUGAGUUCAUCUUGAUGCCCUAAUCAUCGUUGCAAGAGUGCUAUAUGAUGUUAAUCUGGUGAAAUUGUUAUAACUUGAUGAUUUGUCAUUUUUGUUGCAUUUGUUGUGUGCAUCUUAUGAGCUUGAUGUCUAUAUGUGUUUUGAUCUAAAUCAUGCCAUCUUUACAGAGGUGCAAUCCAUGUAUUUUUGUGAGUCUUGUAGUGAGUGCAUCAAGCUUGUAAAGUAGGGUACUUGCUGUUACUGUUUUGCUAGGCUGAAUCUGUUAUUUCGUGAUGCUACGUAAACCUGCUGCUAGAAGUCAUUCUAUGCAUAAUCUGGAGAUGUUCACUAAGGAUUUUUUGUUAUACAUGGCAUUCUCUAUCCAUCCAUGCCCCUGGUUGCAAUAAUAGCCUGCUGUAGCUUCUUGUUAUAAUGCUCCAAACUUGCUAAAUAAUGUUGUUGUCAGCCUGUUAACGUUAAGUUCAGUUUUUCCAUGUGUGCUGCUAGUGAUCCAUGCACCCUAUGAACUAUUCUAUUGCCAUGAUUAGCUUCAUAAACAUGUAUUAUUGCUGUUGGUUACCUUUUCAUGCCAUGUAUUGCUCUGUGGUGAGUGGUACAAGCUCACCAACAUGCCUACUUAUCGUUGUUCUUGCCAUGUUUGAAUUUGUCAUAUAACUUGCCAUGUUUACAUGGGUGCCAUCAUAUCUUCUGAUCUUUUUUGGCUCAUGGUCAGUAAAGGACUUUUCUUCUAUGCAAUUAGUAGAUUCAUUCCAUGCCUUUGUUUGCCAUGAUAUGUUCCUGUAACAUGUUGUUUGAUAGCUCUAAACAUUAUAACCUGAUGUUAUUUCUGCAAAGUCUGAAACUGUUACUAUUUGCAAUCUUGCCAUGUCUUUUUGAGCAUGUUCUAGUGAUUUCUGGAGAUAGCUCAGUGUUCAUGUUUUGUCAUGCAUUACCUCUACAUCAUGUCCAUGCCUUUUGUUCUCAUGUUGGGGUGCUAUAGCAUGUUGUUUUGAUGCUUGCAAUAUGCCUAGUUGCUGUUUUCGACAGCUUGUCCUUCAAACUUGUAUAGAGUGUAUGUGUUGAACCGUUGCUCCGUUUUGAGUGUGCUCUAUAUGAAACUUGCUUGUUUUUGCAUGUAGUUUCAUAUUAUCAUGUUGCGUCCUUGUUUUGGUGUGUUUGCUUGAUGUUUGUAUGCAUUUUGCAUCAAUGACAUGUUUAACUUGUUUUGCUCAUAUCUUCUAGGCCGUAGCUCCAAAUCUAAUGAACUUUAUAUGUAACUUGACUAGAAUCUUGUGUAGAUCAUCUUGGUGCAGCUUAACUUGUUGUUUAACAACUUGAACAUAAGGUUUAUUCAGAUCUGGACCAAUUUCGAAAUUUGCAUAUGAGGACUUACCGGAAUUGUUAUAUGUUGUUCCUGGCCUCAUUUAAACUUGCCUUGAUGUGUUGCUCUUGUUUGCAUCAUCUCUUGCCAUGAGUAACUUCAUGUAGUCUUGUCUUGCAUCAUGCUUGGUUGUGCAUCAUGUCUUGUCUAUGUGUGGUGUGUUUACCAUGUUGUGUGCUUCUUCUCGAUAGUUCCCGUUUCGUUGUGAUCGUGAGGAUUCGUUCGUCUACGCUUGGUUCGGCUUCAUCGUUCGUCUUCUUUAUAGACUCGUUCUUCUUCCUAGCGGGAUUUCAGGCAAGAUGACCGCUACCCUGGAUCUCACUACUAUCAUUGCUAUGCUAGUUGCUUCGUUCUAUCGCUUUGCUGUGCUACAUAUCACUUGUUCUUCAAGCCUCCCAAAAUUGCCAUGUCAGCCUCUAACCUUUUCACCCUUCCUAGCAAACCGUUGCUUGGCUAUGUUACCGCUUUGCUCAGCCCCUCUUAUAGCGUUGCUAGUUGCAGGUGAAGUUGAAGAUUACCACAUGGUGGACAGGAUUAUGUUGGGAUAUCACAAUAUCUCUUAUUUAAUUAAUGCAUCUAUAUACUUGGUAAAGGGUGGAAGACUCGGCCUUAUGCCUGGUGUUUUGUUUCACUCUUGCCGCCCUAGUUUUCGUCAUAUCAGUAUUAUGUUCCCGGAUUUUGCGUCCCUAACGCGGUUGGGUGAUUUAUGGGACCCCCUUGACAGUUCGCUUUGAAUAAAACUCCUCUAGCAAGGCCCAACCUUGGUUUUACCAUUUGCCUCACCACCACCUACUUUUCCCUUGGGAGUAAUUAAACCGAGGGUCAUCUUUAUUUUAGCCCCCCCCCCGGGCCAAUGCUUGUCUAAGUGUUGGUCCGAAAUGAGUAGACUAUGGGGCCCCCUCGGGGAAACUCGAGGUCUGGUUUUACUCGUAGGAUGUCUCAUCCGGUGUUGCCCUGAGAACGAGAUAUGUGCAGCUCCUAUCGGGAUUGUCGGCGCAUCGGGCGGCUUUGCUGGUCUUGUUUUACCAUUGGUCGAAAUGUCUUGUAACCGGGAUUUCAAGUCUGAUCGGGUCUUCCUGGGAGAAGGAAUAUCCUUCGUUGACUGCGAGAGCUUAUCAUGGGCUAAGUUGGGACACCCCUGCAGGGUAUAAACUUUCGAAAGUCGUGCCCACGGUUAUGGGUAGAUGGGAAUUUGUUAAUGUCCGGUUGUAUAUAACUUGACACCAGAUCCAAAUUAAAACGCAUCAACCGCGUGUGUAGCCGUGAUGGUCUAUUUUCGGCGGAGUCCGGGAAGUGAACAUGGUUUUGGGUUAUGUUUGACGUAAGUAGGAGUUCAGGAUCACCUCUUGACCAUUGCUAGCUUCACGACCGUUCAAUUUGCUCUCUUCUCGCUCUUAUUUGCGUAUGUUAGCCACCAUAUAUGCUUAGUCGCUGCUGCAACCUCACCACUUUACCACUUCCUUCCAAUUAAGCUUUGCUAGUCUUGACACCCAUGGUAAUGGGAUUGCUGAGUCCUCGUGGCUCACAGAUUACUACACCAACAGUUGCAGGUACACGUUAUGCGAUGAUCAUGACGCGAGAGCGAUGUUUCCUUGUUUUGGAGUUCUUCUUCUGCUUCUUCUUCGAUCAGGGGAUAGGUUCCCGGUCGGCAGCCUGGGCUAGCAGGGUGGAUGUCGUUUGAGUUUUUGUUUGUGUUUCAUCUAUAGUCGGAUGGUGCUCUUAUGUAUUAUGAUGUUGUAUUCGUGUGGCAUUGUAUGCCUCUUGUAUGUAUCCCCAUCUAUUAUGUAAUGUUGAUGUAAUGAUAUCCACCUUGCAAAUGCGUUUCAAUAUGCGGUUCUAUCCUUGGUGGGACCUUUGAGUCUCUUUAGGAUAGUAUCGCGUAUUGGGCGUGACAGCCAUGAAACAACACUGCAAGAGAAACACUUGGACAACGGAACCAAUGAUGAUCCCAUAAUGCUACAAAAAUACAUAAGACCUGCAGGGAAACAAAACCUGGUAAUGAUAGUGAGACAAAUAAAUCAUACUGAUACUGUAAAUCGCUCGGAUGUUUUUGAAAUGUCUGUGAACAUCUAUAACAAUAACUGACUGAUUCAGCUCGAAAAAAUACUUCCCUGGUAGCUAGUGUUGGAGGUGGGGAUAGAAGGAGUGUGCAACCUUGUUCCAUGGUGCUUUUCAAUGAUAUUGUAAAUCGCUCGAACGUUUUUGAAAUGUUUGUUAGCAUCUAUAACAAUAACUGAUUGAUUUAGUUCAGAAAAAUACUUCCCUGCUAGCCAGUGUUGGUGGUGGAGGAGUGUGCGACCUCGUUCCAUGGUUCUUUUAAUGGAAGCCAUGGCCCCUUCUCCAACCUCCCGCUGGUCCACGGCCAGCGUCGCUGUCGGCCUUCCCGCCUGCUGGCCUCGUCCUCCCGGAAUCGAGUGUCGGGGCAGCUCUGUCAUCCUGUGGAGCAGCGCCAGCUUCCUCGUGCGCCUUGUCUGCCCAUGAGAUCUGACAGCUUUUUCUCUGCCUGGUGAUGCCACUUCUAUCAAAGUUCCAACUGCUACACCCGACCGGCAGAUGUUGUCGGGCCGCCGGAUCUGAUUCCCAUCUGGAUGGCUCAAUUCCUCAUGGAAAAGAAGUAGGGUGGGGAUUUAAUUAGAGAAAAUUCUUGAGACUGCGAAAUGCCAAAAACCAUAGGGAGGUAAAGAACAAGAAAGGAGCAGUCGUGGGAAGCGAAGGGGACUGAUGGAUUCUCCAAAGGGACUCCUCGGCCGCCUGCGCUGCGCCUUCUCUCUACUCGUCGGUUACUACUGAAAUAAGGGAGAGGAAACGAACAUAUAGAGGAUUUACUCGAGUGGAACCAAGCGUGGCAUUAAACAUUUUUUUCUCUAUGCAGUGCUGAUGUGGCUCACUUGCUGAUGUGGAUAGGUUGCAUGUCAAGAGAAAUAAGAUAGUGGGGAUGAACUAUUUAGAUAUUAUAGAUGAACAAGAAACAAUAACUGGACAGAAACAAAGAGGAAGGAAAAAAACAAAAACAGGGCAAAAAAACUUAAACAAUGACAUCUCUCUCCCUUCUCGUUCUCCAGAACCCCUGGAGGAGCUCUUGCCGAAGAGGAAUGGGAAAUGGGCGAAAUGAAUGCGAGGUACAAAAACUACUCUGAGAGAGACAAACGGCCCGCCAGCCCAACUAUCGUGACAAACACCCCGGCCCGCUACUAGCAUCAACCUGAAAACGGGCUGCGCGACACACAACACCCGUGAGCGAAUGCACCAGUGGGACAAAAAUAGGUUUGCACGAAUCUUAAAGACAGACAAGAUCCAAUGGCUCUGGACUUAGAUGUGAAGUAGUUAUUUCACAUCUAGAUGUGAAAUAGCAAAUCUGAUAUAAUGACUGUAAUGUUGUAGUCUGUAGAUGUGUGAUUAAUGCACAAUUCAUUUUUUUAUGCAAUACCAUACCUUCAAGAUUUAUAUAAUUAAUGCAAUGUUGUAGCAUGUAGAUGUGUAAUUAAUGCACAUGUUCAUUUUUUUUGUGCAGUGCCAUAUCUUCCUAUCUUCAAGAUAUAUAUAAUUAAUGUAAUAUUGUAGCAUGUAGAUGUGCAACUAAUGCAUACAUUCAUUUUUUUAUGCAGUACCAUAUCUUCGAGAUAUAUCAUAUAUAGUACAACUAAUGUAUGUAUAACGUGUCGAUGUGGAGUUAAUGUACACACUCAUUGUUCGAUUUGAUUUCAUAUCUUCAAGGUAUAGCCUAUAAAUAUAGAGUUAAUGUGAACAUUCAUUGUUUGAUACAAUAUCGUAUCUUCAAGAUAUAGAACUAAUGUAUGAUGUAGCCUCUAGAGUGCAAUUAAUGUACAUAUUGAUUCUUUGACAUGGUGUCAUAUCUUCAAGAUAUACAACUGAUGCAUGUGCCCAUAUCAUCAUCUCAAACAAGGCUAUAUAAACCAAGCCAUAGCUAACGAAGUCAUGUAUCACACACAUUCACAGAGAAGCCACACAAACAAUUAUAACAUCAAAGGGAUAGAGAAGGAUCUAGUGUAGCAGAUACAAAAGCCAUAGCCAUGGCGAAACUCAUGUGCUUAUGUUUCAUCAUCCUCACUAUUGUGGUAGCCGUGUCGGCUGACGAAUGUGAGGGUGACCGACAGGCCAUGAUCAAGGAGUGUGCUAAGUAUCAAAAGUGGCCAGCAAAUCCGAAGAUAGAUCCGUCGGACGCAUGUUGCGCCGUGUGGCAAAAGGCAAACAUCCCAUGCCUUUGCGCUGGUGUCACCAAGGAGAAAGAGAAGAUAUAUUGUAUGGAGAAGGUUGGCUACGUUGCCAAUUUCUGCAAGAAGCCGUUCCCACAUGGCUACAAGUGCGGAAGUAAGUGAAAUAUAUUAAGGGAAUUUCGAUGAUCGGCGUUGCAUACAUGCAGUUUUGAUAUUUGUUAUUCUUCGGAUUCACACGAUUUUGAUUUUAGUGAUGCAUAUUAUAUGCUUCUUGUGCUAUUCUGAUCAUAUGUUGGGCCAAAUUGAAUGGUCUUGCAGGUUACACAUUCCCUCCUCUGGCGUAGUGACUCUAGUUUAGCUGUGGGAGGAGAAGCUUGACUUUUACAUUCCAUGUGCCUGGCCUCACAAUAGCUUUCCUUUCAAAUCUGUAAUUCAUGAGGCUGUGCUCAGAAAAUUUUAUGUUGAGCACUUUGUAUGAGAACGUUUCUGAAACUAAUAAAGCCUUCUCCUCAAAUUGUCUAAAUUAUGUUUGUUCAUAUAUCAUUUUUU